CCAUCGCCAAGCAUUAAGACCUCAUGUCCAACGUCGAAUUCUGUACGUAUUUACCCUUCACUGUAUGAGCGCAAGAAGUGCCUAGCCACCUUAUACGUACCACUAGAAGGAUCGAAGCCAAAGGCGACCCUUUGUUCCAACAACACAUUCCGGGUGCCCGUGGCAACUCAACAAACUCCUUGGUGGCCGGGUUGCACACAAAUAUGUGCCCUGUGAUGCUGGGGAUCAGAACAAGUCCGUCACAGUGCAAGGGGAUGGUGAAUCGUGGGAUGCCAUGGGAAAGAGGCUUGUUCCUCAUAAUGAGCUUGGCGACAUUGCUCUGCACCGCUGGCUGGAAGCUGUAGAUGUGCACGAACCGAGAGCCCAACUUCUUCGGUUCUGGCUGGAACUUCCGGGGGAUUAAGAUCAUGGAUGAUGAGCGAGCUCUUGCAAGCUCUAAGUGCAGGCGGACGAAAUCAGCGCUGGCUAUGGUGGUGCACCACACCUUGCAGACGGAUUUGAAGCGCACAAAAGACUUCACAGGAAGGCGCACGAGGAUCUCGAACUGCAGCACCUCAACUGGAAUCAUGCUGCCGCCGCCGACCUCCGGAGCCACUGGACAGCGUCGUUUGGAGAUUGGCUGGUUCAUAUAUCGAUCCUUAUUAAUCUUGACUGCCUUCAAUCUGCUCUAUCCAGACUCGUUCAUAUAUUCGUCCUUAUUAAUCCCGACUGCCUUCAAAUCUGCUCUAUCCAGACUGGUUCAUAUAUUCGUCCUUAUUAAUCCUGACUGCCUUCAAUCUGCUCUAUCCAGACUCGUUCAUAUAUUCGUCCUUAUUAAUUCUGACUGCCUUCAAUCUGCUCUAUCCAGGCCUGCGCGUCCACACGUGUAUACAUAAGUAAUCAGAAUACGGGCAAUCACAAAACUCCGACUCGGAAUUGAGACCCGAUACCGAUUGGUAUCACACUAAAAACAGGAAAAAAAAAUCGUAUGUGGAUCAGAUUCGAACAAAUCUAUACCUUAUAUAUUCAAAAUUUUGUUCUGCCAUCAGUCUACCGCGUUCCCUUCGGAGUCCAUACAGCAGAGACUUAUACGGCGGAGACGAUCCAUACAGCCUGCAAAGAAUAAUAAUAUAUAAAUAUAAAAGCGGUGGAGAGUUAAACCAAAAAAUUUUCUGGAUUCUCCGUCACAUCAAAUCUUGUAGCACAUGUACUAAACAUUAAAUAUAGACGAAAACAAAAACUAAUUACACAGUUUAGCUAUAAAUCACGAGACGAAUCUUUUGAUCCUAGUCCAUAAUUACAAACAAACGAAACAAACGUAAUUACAAACAAACGAAACAAACGAAAGUACUACGGUACCGAAAACUUUCACUUUUUCGGAACUAAACAAGGCCUAAAUCUGCACGGCCUGCAAAGGAUAAUAGUAACGCCGGCCAAAGAGAAAGGAAUAAUAAAAUGGCAAAAGAUCCAAAAAUCGAAUCGAAAAAGAACUCCAAAGGCAACGAACCAUGGCUGUACCCAGCAAACGCACAGCGCCCCCGGUCCGACUAGAAGGCAACACGCGCCCAGCGUCCAAGGGUGGCACUGCGCAAAUAGGAUCUUCUCCCCAAGCGGCGGCGGCCGCCAUGGAGUCGCCGAUCUGGCUGCUUGGGUUGCGAUUUGGCCGAUUCGGUUGAGGUACUUUGGGAGAAUAGAUUUGGGAAGAGGAGAAAGUGAAGGGUAGAAGAAGUGGAUGGGUGCAGAAGACCGAGCGGAGAUUUGCCGUAGGGCAGGGAGGGGUGCAGAAGAAGAGCGGUGCGGGUCUGCCUGCCAUCUGCGGACGGGAAAAGCAGCACCGCAUGUAUCUGUGCGUGCGUGCACGGUCUAUCCUGGGCGUUGAUUCGGCCGGCGGGUCCUAUCAUAGUAGUACGGUUUUAUCAUGCGCUGAUUUACCUGUGGAUUAUUAAGCUUAAGCCUUGUUUAGUUACUGAAAAGUGAAAAAAUUUUCGGUACGGGUCGAGGAUGGUGAGAUGCAUGCUGAAACUAUACACCUAAUCGUGUUGAGAAAUUUGUGAUUAUAGAACUCCAAUCGUGUGGGUUUCGCUAUAAUAGGACUCUAAACAUUUGCUUCGUUAAAACGACUCUUAAAUCGUUAACGCUUUGCUAUUAUAACAUUUGAGAUUUAAAUUGGACGUUUUGUACUCAAAUCUCUUCCAAACUUGAAAUAUUUUCAAUUUAAUGGCCAUAUUACCCUUAGGGGCUAAUAAACAGCCUCCUGCAGGUGUAGACCUCGCGUCGCACCGAACGGGCGACAUCACGAGUGGCACGGCAGUUGCGAUCGCUUGUUAAUCCUAGCACCGCUCGCCUGCCAAUCUGCCAUCAGAAGAAAGUUCUAGCGUUCCUACGGGUUCUUUUUCUCUUCCAUUCUCAUUUUCUGGAAGGCAUCGAUGGAUGGAUUCCUGCACAUCAUGCACGCACUCACUGGCUCACGAGGGCGGACGACCGGACCCGGAUGAUGAGGCGGGGAAAGCUCCGCUCAGCAAAGGAUGGCCUCGACGCUGCCCGUCCGCACGCACAGGCACACGGGCACGCCAUGGCGGCGACGUUCGCGUCGCCCGCGGCGAAGCACUCGCCGCAGAGGGAGAAGCACGACGGAGGCCGGCCUGUGGCGGUAGCCGAGGCACGUGCAGUCCGACGACGUCCUUGGACCCGUGGUGCGGCAGCAAGGGUCCACGUACGCUGAUGACGAGGACUCCGCCGAGGCGGCGUCGCCGGCGGUGGCAAGCUCCUCGACCGACGCCCACGCCAUGGCCGCGGCGUGCUGGAGCUGCGCGUGCAGGGUGACCGCGGCGGCCUGCUCUGACAGCGCCUUGGCCUACCACGCUGUCGCCUCGCCGUGGAGGCGCGAGAGCCGCUCCUCCAGCUCGGCGCAGCACCGCGCCUCGCGCUUCGCUUCCGCCGCCUUCUCGCGCAGCCUGGUCCGCCUUCACCAGAAUCGCCUGGUUGUGGCACCACAGCCGAUCAGCCAUCGCUAGCAGCAGCCGGCCAGGCAUGCAGCAGCCGGCGGCCAGCAGCUGGCUGUUUAUUAGCCCUUAGGGGCAAUAUGGCUAUUAAUUGAAAAUAUUUCAAGUUUGGAAGAGAUUUGAGUACAAAACGUCCAAUUUAAGUCCCAAAUGUUAUAAUAGUAAAGCGUUAACGAUUUGAGAGCCGUUUUAGCGAAGUAAAUAUUUAGAGUCCUAUUAUAGCGAAACCCACACGGUUGUUUUUGUUGUUGGUUCAGUACAAGGUAGGAUCUUGUUUGGUGGCAUGUAUGGAUGAGAGUUUUAAGUGUAUGACACAUGGGCCUCUGUACCAUGGCUGCACCGUAUCGUCCCGGCUGGAGUGGGAAGGUCGAAUCGAGAAGACGGAGGCGGCCGGGAUGGAGGGGGAGAGAGGAACGAAGCCAUACACGAAAAUGAUACCAGCAGAGAAACCAAACACGGGCCAACUGCACCGAACCGUACGGGAUGGGCCUUUGAAUGGUCCGGUCGAGGCAACCAAUCACCCCCUAACUAGGAUCAAAAGAUUCGUCUCGUGAUUUACAACUGAACUGUGUAAUUAGUUUUUGUUUUCGUUUAUAUUUAAUAUUUCAUGUAUGUGACACAAGAUUCGAUGUGACGGAGAAUCUUGAAAACUUUUUGGUUUUCAGGGUGAACUAAACAAGGCCUUAAUCCAUGAUCCAAUCGGAUUUUUGCAUUUGGAUUGUAUUGGAUUUGGACCCAAUUCGAUGAGGACAUUAGGGCACUCACAAUGCAGACUCUAUCAUAAAGUCUAAAGUUAUUUAUUACCUCGAACAAUGUGGAUUUAGAGUCUAAAUAAGACUUGAAGUCUUAUUUUUUCUACCUCUUUCUUCAAUAAAUAUGUUGCCACAUCAGCAAAAUACCAUAAAUAAUAUGUAAUUAAUUGUCUUGGACUCUGUGAUAGAUUGUUGCAUUGUGAGUGCCCUUAAAUAAGCUGCCACAUAGACAUUUUAUGAUUUUAGAUGAUAUAACACUGUAUUUAAGAAAAGAAGAAAUGAGUUAAUAGUUUUGGAUUUUUUUGAUAAAAAAGUUGGACAAUCCAAAUUGUGUUGGACUUUUCCUGCACGGCAGCCAUGCCAGCGUUUUUGCUUCUCCCUGUUCACCCAUCGGCACCUCGGCGUGGCCUUGCACACUGAGGGGCUUCUGCAUCUAAAGCGACAUGCCCACGCGCUUAAGAGCAUCUCCAAAGGUUAUGUAUUUUUAGUUUUGUAUUUGAUGGAGUUUGCAAAGUUUCAAAUAAAAAUGGCAAGGAUAAAAAGACAUGAUCUCCAACGGUUUUGCAUUUUCACUUGGCAUUUAAAGGGAUUUUGGGCCCACACUUUUUUUCCCGGAAGGUUUUUCUCUCGGCACGUGAUUUUCUUCGUCGCCGGUAAUUCUUUACGCGUCACGCGCCUUCGUAUCGCGGCAUUCCUCGCUCAGCCGUCGUCGCCCCGUCCAAGUCCUCGCGCCGCGUCAUUUGGUCCUCACUCGUCCUGAACCUCGCCCCGUCCUGAUCCUCUGCGGCAAAGCUUCGCGGCAAAACUUGGCGGCGCUCGCGCGGGUGGACGGAACGCAACCCGAGUCGCGCGGGCAUGGGGACGAUCACGAUUUGCAAAGCCCUGGGGGGCUUGGCAUAUAUGCCAAGUCUAGACCUCUAAAUACCAAGUUAUGCAAAUUGCAAAGUCUAAAUGCAAAACCAUUGGAUAGCAUAUUUUAAGUUUUUUUUGCAAAUUAGUAAAUGCAAAGUCUAAAUACAUAACCCUUGGAGAUGCUGUAACAUCCCAAAAAUUCACAUUCAAAAAUCACUCGCAUUAAAAAUUAUUUUCAAAAUAUAUUUCAAAAACUAUAAAAUAAUUUGAGCUCUAUAGUAUCUCCAUCUAAUUCUUUUUCCAUCCAUUCUAAUUAUCCAUCUUUAAAUAUAACCUGCACCGCAUGGCAUGAGCAUCAUAUGUCCGCUACUUAUCCCUCUUACUCGCUCGCUCUGCCCGAUACCCGGCAACGGCGCGUGCGCCGACCCCACCACCAUCAGCGCCGCAGUGCACUCACGCCCGGCCCCCUCGCCGAGCGCACUCGCUCGCGCGCGCACCGCGGCAUGCGGGCCCCACCUCUUGCCUUUUCCCGCGCCUCUUUUGCUGUACAAAAAGAUAGCAAGUCGCAACGUACAAUUAGGCACCAUUUAUAUUUUCGCGCACAAAUAACAGCGAGUACCAGCAAGUUUACAUGCAAGAAAGCAUAGCAGUGCACCCACACAUAUGAAUAUAUCUCAUACAUGCAUGCAUGCAUGCAGGACAAGCAUGCCACCGUCCAUUUGCAUGCACCUGCAUGCAAAGGACAUGGUGAUUAGGCACCGUCCAUUUGCAUGCAACGUGCAUGCAAAUGGGACAUCGUCCUUCGCAUGAAAUUAGGCACCGACCAUGCGCUACAGUAGCAUUUUUAAUGGCACGCAGCUGAGCGCUUCGGCCUAUAAAAAGCCAGCCUCGGGUGCUCACUCUCACCACCCGAGAAACACGUUCACUCACUCGCUCACUCGCUCUCACUUCGCGUAUACCGUAUACGGCCAUACGCACAAGCCGAGCUCGACUGUCGUCGCAAGACGAGGUGAGCAGCUCAUGAGCAUCUCCUUGCUCUUCUCUGUCUUUCUGUAGUAUUUUUCUGUAUUUUUCCAUGUAUUUGUCUGUACCGGUUCACUGCCAAGAACUCCACGAAUAGAACCAUGACAUACAGAAGAGUUCUAAUGACCCCUGCUAAUUUCUCUCUAACCAUGCAUGUGUGGGCCAAGCAUUAACUCCAAAUAGUACAUGCAUGCAUGCAACAUGCACUACCAGCCAAACAAAUGCCCACGUGAAGCAUCCAUUCCUUAAUCAUCGUUAGCCUUUUUCGCAUGAUUAAAUUCCGGCCAUUUCACAAAUGCCACAUGCUAACUCUGAUUUUAAUAAUUCUUUUUCCUAAAUUCAUCUAAAAUCAUGACCUACCUCCCAUAUUAAUUUCAUGAUUUUUGGAGCUCAUUUGAAUUUAUAUGAUUAUUUAUCUGUGCCUGUUGUCUGUGUCGUUCGUCGCGUAUUUUAGCUGACGGAGUGAACGAGCCGGAAAACGAGAACGUUGGAAACGAGUACCGCGAGUUUGACGCCGAGGACCCGGACUGUCAGCAGGAGUUUGCUGAGGACGCCGACGGAGGCAAGUCCAACCGAUCCCCUUUGAUGCAUAUUGAUCCUAUUUUUAAACACAACCCGUAGAAGCCGUUUUAAAUAUUGCAUGUACGAUAUAUGUACGAAGUAUUUUUGCUGCUUAGUUAAAACCUGUUGAAUAGCCAUCCUUGAAUUGAUAUUACCCGGUAAUUGUCUUGUUCGAACCUAGGAACAAAUAAUAUGCUAUGACAGAAAUAUUAUUAUUUAGUAUGCUUAGGACUUGUUACUCAUCCUGGAUACUCAUCGCUAUAUUUUCCCAAAUAUAAUGAUUUUAAAAGUAAAAGGUGUGAGUGGUGAAAAUAAAUUGUGGGUAUUAUGAAAGGGUUAAUGAACAAGUUAUAGAUGUGAUUACUAUAGAGAUGGGGCGGAUGGAAUCUCUUUUGAGGAUGUCUUGGUGUUGUGGCUUAUACCUUGUGGGGUUAAGCGUGAAGAUAUCCGCCUUGUCUCGAUUAAGGACUGAGUUGAUGAUUCAUCUUGCCUAACUCAUUUAUCGUACAACCACUCGCCUUGCAUGGGAAAGGCUUAGUCUAAAUCCCUCUAGUUAGUAUGGCAAUCACCUGGAGGCAGGUGUGCAACGGGACACUAAGUGAUGUAUGUGAAAUUGUGGAAAUAUAUGAAAAGAGCUUUGUGAAUUAUUGUGGUAUCAUGAGAUGUGGCCUUAGUGUUCCCGUGGUGAGCGCCAUUACUUAGCUAUGGAGGGUAAUGACUUUGAUGGAUAUGUGCUUGCACGACGGUGUAAGUUAUGGUAUCCUACUUGUGGGAAAAGUGUACAACCUCUGCAGAGUGUAAAUCUAUCUGGAUAGCCGUGUCCGCGGUCUCGGACGGGUUAUGGUUUGGUUUCAACAACUAGAUGGGAUGGUAUGAGUGAAAACAUAAGAGUGAGUGUGAUUUUGGAAAUAAAUGGUUGACUGCCAUUGUGUUGUGGGAACAAGGGUUCAACAACACUUAAAAUUGUGAUUAAACCCCCAUUUUUAGAAAUACUAUCAUUUGUGGAAAAGGAGCUCUUUUACAACAGUAUUUGUGAAAUGAAACCUUGCAUGUGUAAAAAGAUAGCUUUAUGCAAAUAAAACUAAGCCUCAUCCUUGAUUUAACCAUAUGCAUAUAUACUGUUAUCCCCUUCCGUAGGGUAAAGUUGGAUUUGCUGAGUACUUUGUACUCACCCUUGCUUUAUUAAACAGAGGAAGAUCCGGACUUCGAUCCCGAAGUGGCGUUCGAGUAAGGUCGUGUCUGCACCCAACUAAGCCUGUGGCAUUGGGACUCGUCAGAUGUUCGAUGGCGAUAUCGUUUGUUUCUGGAUCCUUUGGACCUGUGUUGUAUUUUGGUGUCUUAUUAUUAUAGCGUGCCUUCCUUGUCCACGCUUUCCAAGACUACUGCGCUGAAACUUAUCUGAUGUAAUAAAUGUGUUACUAGCCUCCUGGGACUAGUAUUGUAUCACAUUUGAGUUCCUGGUUUACCAGGGGCGCUUCAGAUGCUCUAAGUAGCAAAGAUGGUUACGGGUACAGAUUAUCCACGUACCUGCGGGUAAAAAUCUGGGUCUUACUUAGUUUUAAAUUAUUUUAGGAAAUCGACACUGUAGCAUUUUCGUUUGUAUUUGAUAAAUAUUGUCCAAUCAUAGACUAACUAGGAUCAAAAGAUUCGUCUCGUCAAUUUUGACCAAGCUAUGCAAUUGGUUUUUAUUUUUGUAUAUAUUUAAUACUUCAUGCAUAUGUCUAAAGACUCGAUGUGACGAAGAAUCUGGAAAAUAUUGCAAAACUUUUUGCGAACUAAACGAAGGUACGAGUGCAACUUUGUGCCUGCGGAUGUGUUAUAAGUUUGUAGUUGAACCCAGUGGAUAAAAACUUGUGAGAAUAGAAAAACCUGUACCGUGUCUGUUUCACCCGCAAACCCGCUCCAACCUUGUGAUAUGUAAGCCUCUUAUUAUACUAUAUAUAAAGAAAGCAACAUAGAUUCAUGAUUUUCUCCCUCAUAUCUAUUUAUAUAUAAGAGAACCAUUUUUAUGUUGGUAUAGUGUUAGGUAGUUUUGUUUUUCAUACUUAAACUUCUUUUUUUAUAAUCUAUACAUGUAUUAUUAUUCUGCAAGUUCAUGGGUGCGCCCGCGGGUAUUUUGUGCCCGUAGGUACGGGCGUGAGUGUAGACUUCUACCGGAGCGGUUUGCGGGUGCGGGUGCAGGUUUGGGAUUCAACCCGCGAGUGCGAGUCUAUGUGUCUCCUACCCACGGGUAAUGUGCCAAUUGCCAUCUAUAUCAGCUAGGGGUAAGGGUGGAUGAGAUAUGACCAUUCAUAGAUUUAGGGAUAUGGAAAUCCAUAUUUUUUGUUUAGUUGGAUGGAUGGAAUGAGCUAUUUUUUGUUUAGUUAGAUGGAUGAGAAUUGAUGGAAUGAAAAAUACUUGACUAAGGAGUAGAUGAAAAUAAAAACUAAUUGCACAGUUUGCGUGUAAAAUCGCGAGAUAAAUCGUUUGAGCUUAGUUAGUCCAUAAUUGACAAUAUUUGCCAAAUAGAAACAAAAAUGCUAUGGUACCUGAAGUUAAUUUUUUUUAGAACUAAACAAGGCCUUAUAUUUAUUUUAUUUAAAAACACAAGUAAUUAUACACUAAAUAAUUAUACAGUAACAUCAAUUUGUCAUGAUAAUCUACAAAUAAAAAAGUUAAUUAACACCACAAUUAUCCUAAUUAGCAUUAAAACAUGCACUAAUUAAUAUAUUAGCAAUUAUCAAGGUUAAUCUUGAUGUCAUAAUUGCUAAACAGUAAUAUAACAUACUAUUAAUCCUUAAUUAUUUACUAAUGACAUAUUAGAAAAGAUUGAUGAGCUCACUAGGCAAAAUUUUUGUGGCGGAGGUAUCCAACAUCUAAGAGAAUAUUCCCUUAGCAAAGAUAUCCAUAUCUAGCUUGUCCAGCGAACCAAACAACGAUUAUCCAUAGACCACCAUCUUCCAUCUAGGGAUAUCCAGCAAACCAAACACACUCUAGAUGAAUAUAGCCAUACGCACCACCCAGCGACGGAUCUAGAAGCACCUAGGGGGCUAAAAAGGAUUUUGGCUGUGUUGGGUAGGGCCAAUGUAUAUUUUUAUGAGCUAUUUGGGCUGGACAAAGAAAACAUCUCAAUGUAUUGAGUCGUUGUAGCACAUAGGUGCAACGAAAAGCAUUACGCAGUAGGAAAAGCAACUAACAAUAUGCCGCGUGGGGUGAAACCGAGCAGGGGAGCUAUGCCACUGCGUGCCAGCCGCGCGGUUACACCCUCCCUAAUCCAAUUCAUGCUUCAUUUCGGGAUGUGGCCAUUCCUCGUCGUCCACCCAUGGAGCGGGACCUAGGGUUCCGAGCGAGGCUCAAGGUGGCUAGCCAUGGUCUGGUGUCUAGGCGGCGGUGUCAGGGGCGUUCGACAGCGCUUAAUGGUGGGUUCGUUGACAAGGAGGGAGGGGAGCGUGAGGCUCAUUUUGGGCAAGGGGCGAGGGGAGUCCGUAGGGAACCUGAAGGCCAACUUAGUAGAAGUAAGAUGAUUGAAUAAUAUAUGUAAUAUAAAGGAAACAAAUUGUCAAGCGACUUAGUUUAUCCAAAGAGACGUUGGUGCCACUGUUGUCGAUGAUAGCAUAAUCGAAAGGUGGUGGUCAACUAUGUGUCUAGGCGAUUGUUGAGGGGUAUUGAUGAUGUCGAGUGUUGCCACGAGCAUAAUGACAUGAGAUGGUAGGAUGUUGAGAACCGUGACAAAAAGGUUGUGCACUGCUAAACUAUAAGACGUUUUAUUUUUUUUUUUCUAAAAACUUGCUACACACUAUGUCUAGAUAUAUUACAAAAGAAAUAUAUAAAAAGAUUACUAAAGUAUGUUAUCUUAUAUUUUAGAAUUGAGUGAGUACAAAAUCACACUUAGCUGAAAACCUACUCGUACUAAAGACACAAAGUUUGGUAACUCAAACAUCAUCAUCAGUAAAUAAAGUCAAAAUUGAAGCACGUGGAACGCUGCUAUCCUAUCCGCAUACGGCUUGAAAUAGUAGCUUUACACUACAAUCGUGUGCCCCGGAAGUUGGUUAUGGCUACUUCAACCAAUCUGAUUCCUGAAGUAGCAGCAGCAGUGACGAUCUCUUUCCUACAAAAAGACGUUAUUUGUCCACCAAGGACCAUCGCUGCAUUCUCGCUGCAGUGCCUAUACUAUACCCAACUCGACUGACGUGUCUGAAUCUGAUCUGAAAAAAAAAGGAACGAACACACACGAGCGCCCAAAGCCCCGGACGAGCAUCCAUCUCCUCAGCAGCUCACCUCAGACACCCUUAACGCACGUGUGUAAUUGUAAUGCAACGAAACGAACCCGGCGAGCCGAAGCGAGAGUCUGCUGCGCUUGCUAUUUUUGCACCCAAUCAUUUACGGUGCACCCCCGCGCCGCGCAGCACCAGAGCCUAGAGCCGCCACUUCCCGGGCCCACCCGCAGCGACCCGCCGCGCCCGAUUCCGCGCAGAUCCGCGAUUGGUCGACGCCUCCUCCUCCUCCUCCUCGUCCCCGUUCCCCUCCCCCCCCCUUCUCCUUCCCCGCGUCGCUCGCAGCAAGCCCCGCCCCAACAAAUUCCCCCAUUCCCAAAUCCCCCCCGAACUCCCCGCCACGCCCGGCUCCGCAUCCUCGGCCCGCUCCCGCCGCCGGCCGCCGCCGCUCGCCGCCGUACGGAAUCUCAGGCACCCCGUCGCCGCGGCCGCCCCCGACCCCACGCUCCCGCGGCCCCGCCGGGAUUCUAGGGUUUCGGGUGGGCCGACCCUAGGGGGUCUGCAAUUCGCGGGCCGGGCUCCACGCCCCGGCUCCCCCCGCGCCUCGGGCGCCGAUCGCCGCGAGCUGCGCUGCCCCCGCGCGGGCGUGGGCGCCGUUUCCACUCGCUGGGCUGCUGCCUGCUGAUACAUGCGGCCGCUGCCACACUGCUGCUCCAGCUCAAUCGGGAAACGCCCCGCCUCGGAUUCCGCGCAGGAUAGACGGCCGUUUCCUGCUACCGCGGUGUGUGCUUGAACAAAGCUUGCUCCUUUCACGUUUGUUCUUUUUUUCUUUUACCGUCGCUUCCUUCUCUCACGUGUGGCUUCACUCUCUUGCUCAUAUAUGUGUGCCCUCUGUCCAGCUACCGCGCGCGGGAUGACCUGAGCCUCCGCCUGCCGCCAAGAUGAAUGUGGGGCAGGCUGCCCACCUGUCUGGGCAGAUGUCCGGGCAGACAGCGCAGAUGAAUCAGGUUCCCGGCACCGGUGUCGGCGUCGGCGUUGGUGUUGGUGUUGGUGGCGCUGAUGGGCUGCCGCAGCACCAGCCAAUGCAGGAGAUGGCAGCGCUCUCGGGAACGGAUCAGCAUUUCGUCAUGCUUCGGACCACUAUGCGUGAAAAGAUGUAUGUGUUUAUUUACUACUGUUGACUUCUAAAUACUCCAGUUGUAGUCAGGUAUUGAUUGCACUGAGUUAGUGAGCUUCAGACUGGCUGAACGGCCACAUAUACCAAGUGCCAGAUCCAAAUUGUCUACAUGCCCCGACAAAAAUAUUACCUUAUCAAACUUUGUGCUUAUAAAUUUAUUUCCUUGCCAUAAUUACGAAUGCGACAAUGGAUGCAUUAUAUGUUGUUGGCUUUCCUUAAAAUUUUCGAGGUUUGUUGAUUUCCCUUCCUAUAAUUGCCCAAAGGUUUGUGAACGAUUUUCUUCAACCCUAUAUGAGGUAUAUGACAUUUUUUUACUAUUCUUGCAGAUUCGAAUAUAUAGGGAGGAAACAAUCAUCAGCUGAGUGGCGGAAGCGGUUGCCAGAACUGGCAAAGCGGCUUGAGGAGAUCUUGUACAGAAAAUUCCCAAACAAGGUAUUGCUAUCCCAUUCCCUUCAUCUUUUGCAAGGCUUUGUUGAUAUUCUAGAGAUCAAGUAUAUUUCUGGGGAGCAAAAAUAAAAUCUUGCUGUUUCAUCGCCAUUUUGUUUUUUGUUCCUGUAUUGUUUGAGCAGAAUGACUACUACAAUAUGAUGAAGGGACCAGUUGAGCCGCAAUUGCAGUUUGCUAUUAAGACCUUGAGCGCUCAGAACCAACACAAUCAACAAAACCCACAAAUGACAAGACAAAUAGCAUCAUCCUCUGGCUAUGGUACUAUGAUUCCUACCCCUGGUAUGACGCAAGGCACCAGUGCAAAUUCUAGGAUUCCUUAUGUCACGGACAACAAUGCCCUUUCUUCGUCUGGUGGAGGCAUGGUUCCUCAGAAUGCUAACAUGGGUGUCUCGAUGCAAGGUGCAUAUAUUUUUACUAGUCCUUUUGGCCUGUUUUCUGUUUAACUGAAGAUCUCUAGCCAUUAUCUAGUGCCUGUAUGCUGAAAAAGGACUUACCUCUUUGAGGGUCUCACUUAUCUUCCUUAUACUCAAAUUUCUUUUGGUUAUAUCUUAAAAGAGGAAGCAUGCCUUUUGGUGUCUGUGUUUUUUGAAAUUGAUUUGAUUAUUUUACCAAGUCAAUAAGCUGAAACUUAUGCAGUGCCUAACUGGUCAACCAUAUAUUCUUAGUUUUGUUUUGGCAGUCUCUUUAUUUGCCCCUGCUCACUCUUAAUUCCUCCAUGCAGGUCCAAUGUCUAAUGGGUACCAGCAUUUAAAUACCAACAUUCCACAAAAUUCUACCACAAAUAACGUCCAAUCUACAAUGGGUUCAGUUGGUGUUCAGCGACAACUACCUCAUAUGAUCCCAACUCCAGGAUUCAGUAAUCAACAGAAUGUACCUUCAAAUCCUGACUAUUCAAAUGGAACUGGAUAUUUCAACGGUGAGUCAGCUGUGGCGCCACAUAUGCAGCACCAGAAGCAAUUUUCUAGCAACCAAAAUAGCAAUCAAAUUCAGCAUAUUGCGGGCCACAAUAAUUCUGGAAUGCAUUCAAGCAUGUUGGACAACUCAUCUGCAUAUGGUUUAUCAGAUGGACACAUGAAUGGUGGAAUAGGAGUGCAUGGGUCAAAUAUGCAGCUAACAAAUAGGAAUACAGCACCGGAAGCAUAUAUGAACAUAUCCCCUUAUGGCAAUUCGCCCAAACCUUUGCAGCAGCAAUUCAAUCAGCACCCUCAGCAGAGAAUACCGAGUAAGCUUGCUGCCUUUUGACGCUGCGUCCUCUUUUUCACUGCCAUCUUAUGGGUGUUUUUUUUCCUAUAAGCCAUAACAUGAGGUUAUGCUUGUAAAGGACACCAAUCAGAAAGUCUCAAUGAUUAUAUCUGAAGCUUGAGCCUGUAUAUAUUUAUUUAUAUUGUUGCCCAAACUGACCGGUUCGAUUAUUAUUUGACAGUUAGCAAACUCAGAAAAAUAAAACCUUAAGCUUCUUAUAGUUCCUUGCUGCUGGAAUUGCCAGUCUUAUAAGUAAUGUGUUGCUAUCCAGGGUGGUGAUGCUUUUACCAAUCUAUCUAGUAUUUAGCACCAGUCUGGAUAUCUUCAGAUGGAGCCUUGUAGGCGUGUAUGGUUUUGCUGUUGAUACUUCAACGAUGAUAGAUGAAAUGUUAUUAAUGAAUAGUGAUUCUAAAUAAAUAGUGGCAACAUGACAUCCCUCUUCUUUCUGCAGUACAUAAUUGAGGGGGUCUAAAGUUCUCUUAAGCAUACACCUAUAUGAUCUUUGCUUGGGGAGGCGGUACAGCUUGGCAUGUUACUGUUUCGAAUUGACUGAUUUUUCUUGCGUUUAGUUUUCUUCAUAUAAUUGAAAAAAACUGUGGCAUUGUAAUGAAAUAAAUUCAAUUUCUUUUUGUGUGCAGCAUCAGUUGAUAUGGCUGGUUCCGGCAGCUUUUAUGCUACUGGCUCUACCCCUUUAACCACAGCAAAUAGUCAGAGCAUGAAUGUUGCAAAUUUGCAGUCUAGAUCAAGAAUGAAUCAGAUGUUGGUUUCCAAUCAGUUAAACAUUCAGUCUAUUCAGCAACAGCCCCAGAUAAAAAGUGAGGUUUUGGAUCAAACAGAAAAGGUGAAUUUUCAGUCACCACAGUUGACUCAUGAUCAACUACUACGCCAGCACCCAAUGCCGCAGCAUCAGGUGCAACCUAAUUCCCAGUUUGUUCAAAAUCAGUAUCAUAUAAAUCAACAGCAGCCAAAUCCACAGCAUCAGCAGGCUAUGCUAAGGAACAAUUCCUUUAAACAGUCUCAAAUGGUUUCCACCCAUUCAAUGCAACUACCAGAACAGGGGACUCUGCCACAAACUGAACUGGUAUCUUCACAAGCUAGUGAUCCUGGUGACCUUCCAAGCUUCCAGGGUCAAUACCAGCAAAGAAAUGCUCUUGACAAUGUUAAAGGAGGGCAGAUGCUUGGUCAUCUAUCUAGCUCUCAAAAUUUUCAUCCUUCUGCCUCACAUGUUUCUCAGCAAUUGUUGCCCUCUAAUCCACAUCUUGAUGACGGUUCCAAUGCUGUAAGCUAUGUGCUGAAAGGGUCGCAGACAGAGCAAAUGCUACGUCCUCAAUGGCAGCCUCAAACAAUGGAAAAGGCUCCUGUCACUACUAAUUCAACACUCGAAAAGCAAAUACAGGAAGAUUUUUGUCAAAGCACAAUGGCACAAGAUGGAGCACAACAACCAUUUUCAUCAGAUUGGCGUCUUUCUAAUGGCACUGCAACUUCUAUUGAUCCUGCAGUGCCGAAGCCCGCAGCUGAACAGGUUACUGGAAAUAUCCAUUACUUCCGUCAGAUAAAGUGGUUGCUGUUACUGUUUCAUGCAAAAACAUGCACAUAUCCUGUUGGAAGUUGUAAGUUCCAUGGUUGUGUUCAGGUGCAGGAGCUUUUGAAGCAUUUUCAGAACUGUCAAAGGAAAGAUUGUUCAUACAGGAGCUGCAGUAAGUCAAAAACGAUGUCUCACCAUUAUAAAACUUGUGUUGAUGAGCAAUGUCCUGUGUGCAGCGUUGUAAGGAAGUUUUUGCGGCAAUCAACUGAACAGGCAUCUAAGCAAAAAGCUCUUGAGUCUAGAAAACUUGCUCAACAAAAUGUGCCUCAGAGAAUCAUGAACGGGAUAGAAGGUGAUAGAAUGGACGUUGACCCAGUGUCAGCUGAAGCAUUUGAUGAUCAACCAUCUGUCCCAAAACGUUUAAAGAUGCAUCCUCCAUCACCCAGUGGCCCAGAGAAUGAUAUCUCUGUAGUCUCCAAUCAUCAUGUAAACUCAGGCUUUGCAUUGCAGGAAACACAGCCUGAGCAGUUUGAGCACAAUAACAGGACAGCAUAUCUGAAACGAGAGGUAGAUGCAAAGGCUGACAUACGAGCUCCUCAAAAGCCCAUAAAAAAUAGUUAUGGUAUUGAUGGAAAUGCGACUACAUCAAGGCACAAUGUGAUUCCUGGUGUUCCCACUGAGAUGAACUCUCAUAUCAAGCAAGAAAACUUGUCGGUUGACAAAGAGACAAGUGAAACCGCCCUUGAGGUUAAGAACGAAACAAAUGAUCCAACUGAUGCGACCGUGUCUAAAUCAGGAAAACCAAAAAUAAAGGGCGUUUCUAUGACUGAAUUAUUCACUCCAGAACAAAUAAGGGAACAUAUUGACAGUCUAAGGCUGUGGGUUGGUCAGGUAUGAUUUUCUUAACUGAAAGUACCCACUUGCAUAGUUGCAUUUCAUUUCCUUUGACAAAAUCACAAAAUUGCUGGACCACUUAUAAACUGUAGGCUAUAGACAACUGAGCAUUGCCCUUAGAAAGAUGUGGUUCAUGCUUGCCUGUUAGCAAUUGGGGUAGGCUAGAGGUGAAACCCAACAUGAUUCUUGGUCAUGAAAGGCUUUUACCAAUGGGUAAUGAAUUCGUCUCCUCCUUGUGCCUUCACUACUUUAUUAACUAGACUAUAAUAUAAUAUAAUUAAAGAAUGGGGUUACAAUAUAGUAUUGCCAAGCUGGCAAGCUCUAUUUUAGUUACUUUAGAGAAAACUCUUUUCCUGCCAGGGACUAAAUGAGAUUUAGUCAACUCCUUGUUUUCUCAGAUGGAUGGGACUUGCGGGAAUUUAUUCUUAGCAUGUAAGACAUUGUAACUUGUGUUACUGUAUCUUAGCAAAUAAAGUAUUUUACCCUCUCUUCGUCAGAAAUUAGGAAUGAUCUUUAUCCUGUACUGUUUUGCAAAUACAGCAUUUUUUUAUUAGCUAAAACUGCUGUUCGUACUUCUGUUUUAUAAUGCUUCUGGUGGAACUUGUGCCUUAACCAUACAAUGUAUUUUUGAGAGGAGCUAAUUUUUACAUGUUCCACUUUUGACAGAGUAAGGCUAAAGCUGAAAAGAAUCAAGCUAUUGGUCAUUCUGAGAAUGAGAACUCUUGCCAGCUCUGUAGAGUAGAAAAACUUACUUUUGAACCUCCACCAAUAUAUUGUUCUCCUUGUGGAGCUCGGAUAAAGCGAAACGCACCAUACUACACUGUGGGUACUGGCGAUACACGCCAUUAUUUCUGUAUCCCUUGUUACAAUGAGUCUCGUGGUGAGACUAUUGAGGUUGAAGGCCAAACAUUUCCGAAGGCAAAGUUAGAAAAGAAAAGAAAUGAUGAGGAAACGGAAGAAUGGGUAAGUUGUGCAGUUCCAUUGAUACGGUGGUGUCAUAAAAGCUCAAAAGUUUCUGAUAUGUUUCUUUUGUGCUAAACAUUUUCAAAUCAUGCAUUCUGCAGUGGGUUCAAUGUGACAAAUGUGAAUGCUGGCAACAUCAAAUUUGUGCUCUAUUUAAUGGAAGAAGGAACGAUGGAGGACAAGCUGAAUAUACUUGCCCCAAUUGCUAUGUUGAGGAGGUCAAACGCGGGCUGCGCAAACCUUUACCACAGAGUGCUGUUCUUGGGGCAAAAGAUUUGCCGAGAACUGUUCUUAGUGAUCAUAUAGAAGAUCGGCUAUUUAAACGACUUAAGCAGGAGAAACAGGACCGUGCAGCUGCUGCUGGCAAAAAUAUUGAUGAGGUUAGUAGACUAGAUCUUCUUUGAGGAAACAAUGCCAAAUAAAUCAAUCUGAACACAUGAUCCAUAUAUUUAUGGUUAUUCUGCUAAAAAAACUCGGAUUUACCUUAAGAGGAUGUACCAGGAUUCGAACGCGGACUGACAAGGGGAGAACCCCCCUGAGCACACUGCUCUUACCAGUAUAACUCGCGAGAAGUUGGUGUUUAUUCUGCAAGUUGUCCUAGAUUUGUAAUAUGAAGAACUACAAGUCGGACACCAAAUCAACAAGUAGUUUCUUUGUUGCAGUUUGGAUACUCAAGCACAACGAGCUUUGUUUAUUUACCUGAUUUUUUAGUUCUUGACAAAACAUAAUAUGGCAAGGAAGUUUUUUUAGUGUAGUUUGGACGCUCAAGCACAACGGGCUUUGCUCAUUAAGAUAAAAGUUUUAUGAAUCAAGAAAGCAUUAGUUUUAUAUUUUUGUCGGUACAUUCUUUCUCAUUUAUUUACAAAGAUAGUAAUAGCCUUUGGUUUGGAGGUGGGACUGCUGCCUAUCAAUAAGAGAAUAUAAGUCAACUGCAGAUAGCAAAUAGGCUGGCGGCUUCCAACAUCACCAUAGGUGAAGUGGACAAGAACCAUUGCACAUAACAGGUUUUCCUCUGUAUUGAUGCAGAGCAUGCUUUUGUGAAGUGGUUGGGUUUCUUAUUUGGGCUAAAUAGGAUGACACGUUAGAUAGCAGGCUAAGUUACCUUGGUAUAAAAUUAUGUAUUUACUUUUGUGCUAGUUUUCCUUGUAUACAUACUGUCAGGUACUUCUUUUUUUCCAUGUAUGAAGCAUUAUGGCACACUUAUUCUUUUUGCCAUCAAGUUUGAUCCCUGGUAUGAUUUUGUUUCAUUCCAUCAAGUUCACUUCUAAUUAUGCCUUGUUAGAUUCCUGGAGCGGAAGGACUUGUGGUCAGAGUUGUUUCAUCAGUGGAUAAGAAGCUGGAGGUUAAACCACGCUUUUUGGAAAUUUUUCAAGAAGACAACUACCCUACAGAGUUCCCUUACAAGUCCAAGGUAAGAAUUCAUUCUUGUCAUUUGAAGCAUGAAAUCUAGUCACACUCACUAAUUUCUGCAACUGUAUGUUUAUGAAAUAUUGGACAGGCUGUUCUCUUGUUCCAGAAAAUAGAAGGUGUGGAAGUAUGUCUAUUUGGAAUGUAUGUUCAAGAAUUUGGUGCAGAAUGCUCUUUCCCGAACCAGCGCCGUGUUUACUUGUCGUACUUGGAUUCUGUUAAGUAUUUCAGACCUGAGAUUAGAACAGUAUCUGGAGAGGCCUUGCGUACAUUUGUGUAUCAUGAAAUUCUGGUAAUUUACCAUCCAUGCUGACCUUUUGUGACUAAUACGAAUUAUUGCCUUACCAGGUUUUGGUCAAAACUGUGUAGGAAACCAUAUGACAGGAAACUUUUUUUUUUCUUAUUUAGCUAGCACUUGUUCUUGGUCUAAUCUGUCCCCAUUGUGUACAGAUAGGAUAUCUUGAAUACUGUAAGCUACGGGGAUUCACAAGUUGUUACAUAUGGGCUUGCCCACCUUUGAAGGGUGAAGAUUACAUCUUAUAUUGCCAUCCUGAGAUUCAAAAGACUCCGAAAUCUGACAAACUGCGUGAGUGGUAAGCUUUAGAUGUCCAAUUGGUCUUGUUGCUUUUAGAUUGUCCACCAGUUCUAAUGUCUUUUACACCCAGGUACUUAUCUAUGCUUCGGAAGGCUUCUAAGGAGGAAAUUGUUGUUGAGCUGACAAAUCUAUAUGACCAUUUCUUCAUUACUAUGGGGGAAUGCAAGGCUAAGGUGACUGCUUCUCGCUUGCCGUACUUUGAUGGAGAUUAUUGGCCAGGAGCUGCAGAAGAUAUGAUCAAUCAACUCCGACAAGAAGAAGAUGAUCGCAAACUUCAGAAAAAGAGUAAGACAAAGAAAAUUAUUACAAAAAGAGCUCUUAAAGCUGCUGGCCACACUGAUCUCAGUGGGAAUGCUUCCAAGGAUGCUAUGUUGAUGCAAAAGGUAAGCUUCUUUGAUUUGUGUACUUCCUGCUCUCAUAAAUACUCUAAAGUAUACUCCUGUUUCACCACCCACCCUAAGUCUCUCUUCUACGUACUUCAAUUUUGUAUUAAUUGAGCGACACACUUACCAUGCUCCAUUUUGUGUAUGCAGCUUGGGGAAACUAUAUAUCCUAUGAAGGAAGAUUUCAUUAUGGUCCAUUUACAGUAUUCAUGUAGUCACUGUUGUGUUCUUAUGGUGUCUGGAAGACGUUGGGUUUGUCAUCAAUGCAGAAGCUUUCACAUCUGUGACAAGUAAGUUGAUUUCUUUGGCAUAAUUGGACCAUGCUGCACUGCACAUGUUUGAUUUAUGAUUUAUCCAUCCUGCUAUAUAAUUUUCCACCAGUUUAUAAUUAUCUUCUUUUGUUACAUAUGAUCACUAAAUACGUAUGUGAGUUAGCUCCAAUAAUUUAAUCAUGAUUCCAUGGAAUAUUUUAUUUUCAUCCAGACACUUCUGUCUUGCGCAUAUUUUAUUUGCUUGUAAACUUACUAUUUGUGCUCAAUUAAUCAUUAUUUCAUCAAAACGUUUUCCCUUGAUCAGUUCUGGUGAUCAGACAGUUUCUGUUUUUUGGUUAGAACUUUUUUUUUCUUUCUCAGAACAUUUCUCUUUGCUUGGAACAAUAUUUUUUUUAUCGAAACAGUUUUUUUCUUUGCUCAGAUCAAUUUCUUGGUGCUUAUCACAAUUUCUGCUGCGGGUAUACAAAUUUUUGUUUGAGGUGUAAAAUUUUAUGUUCCACUUCCACAUGUACAAACUUCGACCCAAUAUGUUAUUUGUUCCACUUACAAAAUCUUCUUGUUUUAGGUAUAUAAUUUUGUGUUCAGCUGUAAAUUGUUUUGUUUCACAAAUUUACAUAUAUAUAUAUUUUUCCCCAUGUGUACAAACUUUUCAUUCCAGCUGUAGAGACAUUUAUUUGAAAUUCAAAGUGUACAAAGUUUUUUUUUCUUCACAAUGACCAUUUCCAAACAGCUUGACAUUGAGCCAUAUGUGGUUUUUAAUAUUAUAGUCCCUCUGUCCCUAAAUAAAUGUCGCUUUUGGUUUCCGUACUAAGUUUGACAGGAUUUGGAGAAAAUGUGUGCAACAUUUGUAUCUCCAAAUAAAUUUAUUAUGAAAAUAGAUUCAUCGAUCUAUCUAUUGAUAUCAAUUUUUUACCAUAAAUAUUAAUAUUGUUUUUUAUAUAUUUAGUCAAACUUUUUUUCUAGGGAAGCAAAAAGACAAUUAUUUAGGGAUGGAUGGAGUAUUUUAUAUAGAAAUAUUAGUGAUCAUUAUUUUGUUACUUUUUCUCGGCACAAAGUCUUAGCAAAUAGAAUAAAUGACCAGACACCCAAAGUCAAGUCUUCAAAAAAUUGGGCCACAACUGUAUAAGGGCUGGAUAACGAACCAGCCCAGCUCCGCUUGGCUCGUUAGCUCGCUAGCCAGGCAAUAAAAUCACAGAAAACAUAAUCUCUACAUUUAUUUAACUUAGGAAUAAUAAUAAUGCAAAAACAACUCAUCCAUAAGCCUUAAAUCAAACAAAUAGAUUAAAACAUACUGACAUAUAUAAAUACAACAAUGCACUAAAGCACUAAUCCGUACAUUCAUGGUUCAUGCUCCAUACCAUACAUGAUGCAUCCUUUAAUGAUUAUCUAUACAUCCAUUUAAAAUAAAGUGAUAACAUCAUAGUAAGUACAUAUCUCCAAGGUCCAGGUCCAACUAUCAACCAACUGCAGAGUGCAAGACAUCAAGUUAUACAGAACUGAUAUAAGUUCAAGGCCAAAAACUUUGCCUUGUUAGGCUCACGAGCCAGCACGCGAGCUAGCUCGUUAACUACAUGAGCUGGAAUGCUGGCUCAGCUCAUUGAAAAAUGUAAACAAGCCGAGUCGAACCAAGCCACUAACAAGCCAAGUCGAGGGAGCUGUUGAGCUGGUAGCUUUUUUUCCAGCCCUAACAGUAUUCCCCUUGUCAACUUGUCCUCACCAUUUAAUUUUCUUUCACUAAUUACUAGUUUUGUAUACAGUUUUUCAAGACAGAUAAACUAUAUAAUUCUUGCUUGAGUUCUUUUGGUGAAAUUGAAUAUUUUGUUGGUCCAGGUGUUAUGAUGCAGAACAACAACUUGAAGACAGGGAGAGGCACCCGAGUAAUAGUAGAGACACACAUAUGCUUCAUCCGGUACUAUACCCUUUUGUUCUCAGUAUAGAACUAGAGCAAAUAGAUUCUCAAGAUAUGACUUGAUUCUCUCUGUUUUAGGUUGAUAUUGUCGGGGUGCCCAAAGAUACCAAAGAUAGAGAUGACAUCUUAGAAAGUGAGUUUUUUGACACCAGGCAGGCAUUCCUUAGUCUUUGCCAAGGAAAUCAUUAUCAGUAUGACACACUUCGCCGCGCAAAGCAUUCGUCAAUGAUGGUGUUGUACCACCUACACAAUCCAACUGCACCAGCAUUUGUCACUACGUGCAAUGUCUGCUGUCAUGAUAUUGAAACUGGUCAAGGCUGGCGGUGUGAGAUUUGUCCAGAUUUUGAUGUGUGCAAUGCUUGUUUCCAAAAAGGAGCGGUUACUCAUCCUCACAAUUUAACAAACCAUCCAUCAGCUGCUGACCGUGAUGCUCAAAACGCAGAAGCUCGGCAAAUGCGUGUUCAGCAGGUAAGCCUUCUUUUAGUUGUUGCCCACUAAGUUUAUGCUCUUGUUCCACCAUUGCUAAGAGAUGUGAUUUAAGUUCGGUUAUAUGUGUCGCAAUUCCACUUUCUAGAACCAUACCAGUAAACCGUAAUGCCUAAAUCUAUUUUCUUUUUCAUGAUGCUGCAGCUAAGAAAGAUGCUUGAUCUUCUGGUACAUGCGUCGACAUGCCGCUCUGGUAGUUGCCAGUAUCCUAACUGCCGAAAAGUCAAGGGACUAUUCCGUCAUGGGAUGCAGUGCAAAACGCGUGCUUCAGGAGGGUGUGUCCUUUGCAAGAAAAUGUGGUACAUGCUUCAACUCCAUGCCCGAGCUUGCAAAGAUUCAGAUUGCAAUGUGCCGCGGUGCAGGUUUGUUGAAGCCCUCCUCUUUUGUGCAUAUACAUACCGUUUCUGUGUUUACUUGUAUAGCAUUGCCAUCUGCAAUAGACCUGACUACUUGUGGUAAACUAUGCACAGAGAUCUGAAGGAGCAUCUUAGAAGGUUGCAACAGCAGUCUGAUUCCAGGAGGAGGGCUGCUGUAAAUGAAAUGAUGAGGCAAAGAGCGGCGGAAGUCGCCGCAAAUGAAUAGUUGCCUCUGUACAGGUAUACUUUAUGGAAAGAGGAUAGGAAGUAUGAAGGGUUGCACUCCUCACUCCCACACCGAGAAAGCUUGGGAUGGUUGAAUUAUAGGAUUGGUAGGUAAAGAACAGCCGCUUCACAUGUAUUUCUUAUGACGAAGGUCUCGGUCGCCCUUUGCCUAUGGUUAACAACAGAUAGGUUCGGGAGCCGCCCGCCUUCCUCCAAAGAGCUGAAGCAGCAGGGUGCACCGUAGGCUGUAACUGUUCGUUUGCACCCUCUCCAGUGCUAACCAGCUACACCCUGCUUACUGCACUGAUGUUGUCGUCGACUGGGCGCGUUACAACCCUUGGGUGUGGUGAAUUCUUUGAUUUGACCUGUACUAGCUGAACUGAUCUUCUCGCUGCUGCUUGCUGAUGGUGUAUAAUAGGUGUCUCUGGACAGUUGUCAGUCGUGUAUUGCAGAAAAUUUGGUGUAGCUGUUGUUCCCCCCUCUCCAGUCUCUUCUUGUCUCAGUUCAGGAGAGGGUAUAGGUUAAAAAAGGGUAAAAAGGGCUGGGCGUUAUUGGACAAGUAUUUGUUUAUUUCUGCCCCCCAUUUUGUAGGACUCAUCUUUGUUAAAAUAUAAAGCAAAGUAAAUCCUCCAUGUCUUCUCUUGUAGCUGUACUGCUCCAUAGGUUUUUUUUUUCCUCUUCCUAGUGCAGGUGGCCCAUCUUUGUUAAAGUAUAAGGCGUGGUAUGUGCAGUCUUGUGCUCUCAGAUUUUUGUGUUUUUUUUUGACGAAAUGAUUUUUGUAGUAUCUCGCAAAUGGAGUUCGGUUUGGUUGUUCGGAGGAUGGAGGAUGAAGUUGAAAGGGUGGGUUAAUCCUGUUUUUAUUAGGGGAUGAGAUACCUGGUAAGAAAAAAAAAAGGAAAAAGUUUGAGAGGAUGACCGAACAAACCCCAUGCAGGGGCCGCCUAUUAACAGGGACUCCUUGUUUAGAUCCAAAAAGUUUUUGGAUUUUGAUACUGUAGCACUUUUGUUUUUAUUUGACAAACAUUGUCCAAUCAUAGAGUAACUAGACUUAAAAGAUUCGUUUCGUGAUUUACAGGUAAACUGUGCAAUUAGUAUUCUUUUUAUUUAUAUUUAAUACUUCAUGCAUGUGCCACAAGAUUCGAUGUAAUAGGGAAUCUUGUAAGUUCGCAAAAAUUUUCAAGAUUUCCCGUCACAUCGAAUCUUUAGUCGCAUGCAUGGAGCAUUAAAUAUAGACGAAAAUAAAAACUAAUUGCACAGUUUAACUGUAAUUUGUGAGAUGAAUGUUUUGAGCCUAGUUACUUCGUGAUUGGACAAUGUUUAUCAAAUAAAAACGAAAUGCUACAGUACCAAAAACGAAAAAUUUUGCGAACUAAACAAGGCCUAAGUAAACUGCAACCUUUGGUUUAGAUUCAUGUCACAUAGAAACUCACCUAGACCUUGUUUAGUUACACUCGAAAAUCAAAAACUUUUUAAGAUUAUUCAUCACAUUGAAUUUUGUGGCACAUACAUAAAAUAUUAAAUAUAAAUAAAAAAAUAAUUUGCAAGAUGAAUUUUUUAAGCCUAGUUAGAGCAACUCCAACAGUUUUGCAAAUAGGUUUGACAUUCUUGUUUUUUGUCAAAACUCUCAAAAUCUCCUAUCCAACGGUUUGGCAAUUGGGUUUGACAUUUAUAGCAGGUUGACAAAUUCUCCUCCUUUCUUGGUAUUUAUGCACACCUAGAAUAGGCUUGGCAUUCUGCAUGCGCGUGCUUUUAUAGCAAGCUGACAACCUGAUGCUUCUUCGUUGAUCUUCAGAACCAGUAGAAUUUUGUUUUUGCCAAGUCAAAAUUGUCAAACAUUUGGAGAUGUCCUUUUUGUUCCCUUCCCAUAUUGUUUUGUGAGUUGACAAAUAACAACAUUUGCCAAACAAAAUUUGCAAAACUGUUAGAGUUGCUCUUAGUCUAUGCUUGAACAAUAAUUAUCAAAUACAAACAAAAAUAUUAUAAUGUCAAAGGACUUUUCACCCAGGGUACUAACACAAGGCCCUAGUUCACAAGUUCACUUCUCACAAAAACGUACUCUCUCCGUAUAGGAUUUAGAAGUUGUUUUGGACAACGUUUAAUUCAAACAUCAGGAAUAUAAAUCAUCAAUAAUUUUUAAAUUAUUGAGUUUGUAAAUAUGAAAAUUAUAUUAAAUAGAAUUGUCUUGAAAAAAAUUUCAUAAAAAUAUACAUAUAUCAUUUUUUCUUACAUAUUUUUUUUAAAAAUAAGUUGUUGAAGUUGUGUUUUGUAGACCGUAUUGCUGUCCUAAACGAUUUCUAAAUCCUGACAUAACACUAGUUCACAUUGCACAACAUUAAACUAUAGUGGAUGUUCAUCAAACAUAAUCUACAGAUAUGGGCAUUUAAACUUUCAGUGACUUAUCUUCUUUGCCCUUUGGAUCGUGGUUUGACGACGUAUCAGCCUAGCGGCAGAGGGAGUAUGAUUUUUGCUGAAGCCGGCAAUUGAGUGCGAGUGACCAGUUCUGCCUAUCCAGACCAUCCGUCCUGCAUCGGACGGCGGACGGCCACACUGCCGCGGUCCCGCUUCCUGCGUGUUUAUCCACGCCUCGCGCCGCGCUCGCUUCGGCCACGGCGGCAAUGGCGGUGGCGGCGGCCCGACGCCUCUUCUCCUUCCACCUCCACGCGCGCCCUCUCGCCGCCGGUGUUGCCGUCGCGACACCACACCGCCGCGGAAAGCAUGAUGCGGUCUCGUGCAAGGCCACGGGGAAAACCAAGCCCAAGCCCAAGCCCAAGUCCAAGGCGAAGGCGGUCAAGGGCGGCGAGCGGCAGCAGAGGCGGGCGCUGGAGGAGCACCUCAAACGGCGCACCCGUUCCGCGGCUUCCUUCGACGCCGACCUGUACGGUCGGCGCGCCCACGAGCACCACGUCCCCGUCUUGCUUGGCGAGGUCCUCGCCGCCUUCCGCCGGCCCCGCCCACUCCGUUCCUUCGUCGACUGCACCCUCGGCGCCGCGGGACACUCCCUCGCCGUGCGUAUCCACUCACUCGUUCUCGUGCUCCAUUGCUUUUGUUCUACUGCCCACGACGUCUUCGAUGCGAUGUUGUUGAGUGCUCUUGCCCGCUUGCUGCUUGACGAAAUGCCUCUCGGGCUUUGUGGUUUAGAUGAUGGAGGCGCACCCGGAGUUGGAGCUGUACAUUGGCAUGGACGUCGACCCAUCUGCCCUGGAGAUUGGCCGUGGGCACAUUGAGACCUUCCUUGCUGGUAGGGAAAGGGAAGCGAAUGGAAGGGAAGAGGAUGUCUUGCAGGAGACUCUGCGUGCCUACACUCAUGUCAAGAACUUCAAGUACAUCAAGCAAGUUCUCGGUAGUGUGGAUGAGAGUCUGGCGGUUGGCUCUUCUGGAGUUGAUGGUAUCCUCAUUGACCUUGGCAUGUCAUCCAUGCAGGUCAGUCAUCAAGUUAAAAAUAUGAAUAGUGAUUGCAAGGUUUCUGCAUUUCCCAUUUGCUGAUUCACAUUUCAUCUUGUUACUACUUCAUCAGGUGAAUAGAUCAAAUAGGGGAUUCAGUGUACUCCAGGAUGGCCCUCUUGAUAUGCGCAUGGACCCUAAGGUCAGUGUUACUUUGCUCGUCUUUUCUGGUCUAAUCUUCAUUCUACUCCUAUGAUAAUGUGUGUUCAAAGAGUAUUUCUUCCUGCAAUACUGAGGUGUUUUUUAAAAGUUUUAGGGCCAACCCCAGUCUUUUACCUGAAGUCAAAUGACGGUUUAAACCACUGCAGCACAGGGGAUUAGCCUACCAAUCUGAAAGUUAAGCACAAAUCCAUCUCAAAACUCAAAACCGACCAAACACAUGCUUAAGCAGCAACCGAAACUGUAGAGACUUCAGAUAUUGAUGCCCUCUGCAACAGCUGACAUCGCCACAUCGGAGCCAGGAGCUCUCAUCGUGAGGGUCUUCUCCAUCUUGUAGCUGCGAAAUGUCUGCGCCGUCACUUGACUCCAGGAACAGUCCCAUUGAUGCAUCAGUUCUGAAGCCACAACACUAAAUCUGCCAGAUUCUUGAUAUCCUUUAUCUUCUUCAACAGCGAAUCUUUUUCCUCUGCCUGGCACAAAAUUAGCCAAUUCUGUACCAUAGCCACUACCUUCAAGAAGAGCAAAUCCAAAUCCAUACCUUUCCACCUAGUUCUCUGGAAGCAUAAAUCAUUUCUAAGUUUCCAGAUACACCAAAGUGCUGCAGAAGUUACCAUGUUAAGAACCCCAUGCUUUUUAUUGCUAAACCAGAACUUUCCUAUAUUUUCAAGUUUGCUCCCUACCUAUACUUUUAGAACUUGAGAUAAUAUAUGCCAAAGCUGUUGCGCCACUACGCAGUCAAAGAAAAGAUGUUGAACAUACUCUGUGUAUCAUUUUUGUCGAAUUAAUCAAUUUAGAACUUUAUAUGCUACACUUCCAAUGUCCGUGGUUCAAUUUUAAAACUGAUUUUACAACAAAGAAUGAUCGUGUCAAUUCAUGUUUUUAGUCACUAAACAGUUGCUAUGUCCAAAAGGUUCAGAUCAACUUUGGUCUUGUCUUCAAGUUGUAUCACUCUUACCUAUACAUGAAAUUAUACAGGCAACUUUAAGAGCAGAGGACAUUUUGAAUUCUUGGCCGGAGAUUGAACUUGGGCGUAUCCUGCGUGAAUAUGGGGAGGAAAGCAACUGGCAAUCAGUUCAGAAGCAAAUUGUUAAAGCCCGAGCUACGGGCGGUUUGCACUCUACUGGGGAUCUUGUCAAACUAAUCCAAAGGAUGUGUAGCAUCUCAAGCGGUAGGUGUAAUCUUUCGACGAUGUUGCCACUAAAGGUGUUUUUUUUUCCUGUCAAUGUAUGCAUAGGUUCAUUUCUUUUGGUUUUGAAUGCCAAAUUCAGUGUUCUAAAAUAGUAACGAUUUACAGAAGUGCCAUGUGGUGUUUUCAUUUCAGUGUAUUUCUCCUUUCUGCUUGCAGUUUCUCAAGUUUUAUUACUAUUGUUUUUAUGUAGCAAGUAGCAUAUAGUAGAAUGUAUUUCGAAAGAAGCAAAACGAAGAUAAUUUUGCAAGACAUUUGAUAUAGUUGAUAAACUACAGGGCGGCAAGGCUGGAUUAAGACUGCAACAAGAGUGUUUCAGGCCCUCAGGAUUGCAGUUAAUGAUGAACUCCGGGUUCUAGAAGAUUCACUCCAUUCAUGCUUUGACUGCCUAGCGACAGGUGGCCGUCUUGCUGUAAUCUCAUUCCACAGUCUGGAGGACAGAAUUGUGAAGAAGACUUUCUUGGAGCUCAUCCAUGGGGGUGAAGCAGAUGAUGAAGAAGACGACAAAGAUGACCUGGCGCUCACUGACAUCGUAAAUGAAGAUGAACCAUGGUUUGGCCAGAGAGUGCAAGGAAGGAAUGGAACUGUCCUCACAAAAAGACCAAUAACCCCCUCGCAAGAGGAGGAAAAACUAAAUCAGAGGUGCAGAAGCGCAAAGCUUAGAGUUAUUCAGAAGAACUGAAUAAUUUGGGAUAAAUUUUGAAGGAUUCCUGAGCACAUUGGUGUGUAAUUUUUUAUAGCCAGAGAAAUGUGAAUGGAUUCUCACUUGUGUGCACAGCCAGCUGCAGUCUGGAUCAACAGAAAAAUUGCCUCAGUCGGAUGUGGUGCUAUUUAUCCUCGACAAGAAAUCUAGAGGCUUAGGUUAGUCAAAAAUCUCACUGUAUCUGCAUCAGUUUCUGAACUCCAUUCACGUAUAUCGGCUCAUGUACUCUGUAAACCAUUCACUUGCAAGACACGAUAAUCACUUUAGGCCCCAUUUAGAUCCUUGGAAUUGAAAUAUAUUAAUAGUUAUAAUUUAGAUAUAGAUUAAUUAAGCUAAUAUGGUUGUAUACUAUUGUCGGCCAUGCGAUAUUUGUAUACUAUUGUCCGCCAUGCGAGGGAGAUACUUAUGUGCUGUAUGUGUUGUACUUGUACAUGAUUAAUAUACUAUUUAACUGGUUUAACUCGCAUGCCAUUUUUACAGUUGAACUUCUUAUACUUGUAGUACCUUGGUCCCCCAAAAGAUAACAUUCUAGAUUUAGUCAAAGUCAAACUAUAAGCUUGAGUAAGGUUACAGAAAAAAUGUUGACAUAUAUGACUUCAUAUAGGUAUUACUGGAAUCUAGUGAUAGUUAUUUGUAUUGAUAAAUAUUAAAAUUGUUUUAAAAAAUUCAGUCAUAUUUCAAAUCAUUUGACUUAGCAGCAUUUCUUUUGGGGUGGAAGAAGUAUUAAGAUGGAUUGUCUUGCAUAUCACAUAGCAAUUUUUUUUUAAAAAAAACAUUUUUCUGUUACUGAGAAGACAACUGAAGGCGUGAACGAGAAGUGACGUCGGUGAGGCCACGUCAUCCCAUCGCGACGCACACAGGCGGCCACGUCUCCUGGCAGCACCACCACUCUUCCCCUCCCAAAAAUUUCUCCUCGCCUUCGUCAAACGAUCGCGCCCGCUUCGUCGUCGCUGUCGAGUUUGGUGUCCGCCUCUGCCGCGAGAGCUCCAGCCCCACACGGCCCCGCAGCAAUGGCAGCCACAACCUGAGCUGCCACUGCCAGCCGGCGCAGCUGCCACGCGAGCGCUUCCCACUCCACACGUGAUUUCAUUUCAAGCCGGCGGGAAUGGUGGUGGAUCGGAGGGCUCCGUAGAUUCUUCUUCCCGACCUCCUCCAGGCGCUUGAUAAAGCCGGCGCCGAGCAGCCAAGAAUCUCUUGGGACAGAACCGUACGCUCCUCCCUGCUCGCUCCGAUCGGCUGGUCUCCCGACUCACGAGAGCGAGCUCGCGGUGGAUAAUGGCCGCCAUGUCGGCGCCCCACUGCGCGUCCUCCUCCUCCUCUGCAUUCCUCAGCCUCCCGCGCAGCGACGGCGGGCGGCGCUACGGCAACUCAUGCCACUUCGCUGCCAACGCUAGGCUGGCGACGGUGUCCGCCACGCUCGACAAGGAGACCGCGGCGGCGAAGCCCCGGAGGUCCCGCCGGCCCAGGAAGGCGACCAAGUCCGGCUCCACGGCGCUGCUCGCCCCCGACGAGCCCACGGAGGCCAAGAACGGUGUGGCCACCGAGGCACCGAACGGCGGCCUCGGCGGUAGGGGUAUGGUGGCGCUGGACGAUGUGAUCGUGAACCCGGUGGGGCUGGGCCGCCGGUCCCGGCAGGUGUUCGACGAGGUGUGGCGCAAGUUCUCGCGGCUCGGCCAGAUGUCCAGCGCCUCCUCCGCCGCGGUGGCAGAGCAGGACCCAGCCAUCCUCUUCCGCGGCGGACCCAUGUGCGACUUCACCGUGCCCGGCGCGCAGGACACCACCGUCCUCGUCGUUGGCGCCACCAGCCGCAUUGGCCGCAUAGUUGUCCGCAAGCUCAUGCUCCGCGGAUACAACGUCAAGGUACUUUUAUUCUCUUCUCCCAAUUGGCUCAUCUUCAGUUACAAAUUCUCUUCUCCCAAUUGGCUCAUCUUCAGUUACAAAAUUUCAAUGGCUGUCAUUGCAACCGAUGAAAUGGGUCCAUUGGCGUUCAUCUUCUUGUGCUUGGUUUUGAUCAGUUCCUUCUGUGCUAUCUUACAACAGGCAUUAGUUAGGAGGAAUGACCCAGAAGUGAUCGACAUGCUUCCGAGGUCUGUGGAUAUUGUGGUUGGAGAUGUUGGCGACCCUUCUUCAGUUCAAGCUGCUGUGUCAGGUUGCAACAAGGUAAUUUACUGUGCAACCGCGCGGUCCACUAUCACGGGGGACCUCAACAGGGUUGAUAACCAAGGAGUGAGGAAUGUUACCAAGGCCUUCCAGGUACUCUGACCUAAACCUCAUCUGAUUCUUUCAUGUUAUUAAUGUACUAUAUGGUCUAUGAUAUCCUGUUGCUGCUAAAUAUACACUGAACUGUGUGAGCUAUCAACUAUUGUUUGCAGGAUUACUACAAUCAGCUGGCCCAGUCAAGGGCUGGUAAGAGCAGCAAGAGCAAACUGUUGAUUGCUAAAUUCAAAUCUGCCAAAUCUGUGAAAGGAUGGGAGGUGCGGCAGGGAUCAUACUUUCAGGAUAUCUACCCUUCUACUUCUAGAUUCGAAGGUGGCACCGAUGCGUCAUUUGAAUUUGCAGAAAGUGGACAGGCUGUUUUCUCAGGUAUCACUCUCAGAAAUGUACACAGUACACAGCCAUUUGAUUUGUUUAAUUCUUUAUUGAAAUAUUCUAUUCUCAGGGUUUGUUUUCACAAGGGGUGGGUACGUUGAAAUCUCUAAACGACUUUCACUUCCUCUAGGUUCCACCCUAGACAGGUAUCAUAAGCUUUUUUUUUUAAUUUCUGCUUUUUUAUAUGUGCAUGAUGUCAUAAGGUUUUGACUUGUAUACACUGCAUAUUCUAUCUGAAGGUAUGAUGGCUUGCUUCUUUCGGUGGGUGGAAAUGGAAGAUCAUAUGUUAUCAUUCUUGAGACUGGUCCGCUGGCUGACACCUCACAGAGCAAGAAGUAUUUUGCCCGGAUGAACACAAAAGUUGGGUUUUGUAGGGUAAGUAAGUGAAGUUUGAUGAUAUAUCCUUUGUAUGUGGUUCUACAUUGGCCAGAAAUAAAUGAAGAAAUGUCUUGUUUGUGCAGGUAAGAGUGCCGUUUUCAUCUUUCCGGCCAGUAAACCCACAGGAUCCUCCACUGGACCCGUUUCUUGUCCACACACUAACCAUUAGGUUUGAACCAAAGAAGCAGGUCAGUACAAGCAAUUCACCAUUAUGAAUAGAAACUAAUUCUGCUGAAGUAUUGGCCUACCGGUUACUAACCAAAUCCUUGUGCAGAGACCUGGUGAUUCAUCUGAAGGAGCUAGUGACCAAAGAAACUUUGAGCUCAAAAUGGAGUUCAUAAAAGCCUUGCCGGUAAGGAUUUGCUUUGUGCAACCUGUUGAUAUAAUCAUUGUUCGUUAGACUUUCCUUUGAUUUCCUUAUGUUUGUUGCGAUUAUUUUGCAGAGUGGUCAAGAAACAGAAAUUGUACUGGUCUCAUGCACAGGCUCAGGAAUUGAAGCUAAUAGGAGAGAACAAGUCCUGAAAGCAAAGAAGGUACUUGACGCACAUAAACGUCUAAACUAUUGUUGAUGCACACCUGACGCAAACAUUAAUCAGCUUUGUAUGGAUUUUUCUAGGCUGGAGAAGAUGCAUUGAGGAGAUCUGGCCUUGGAUAUACAAUUGUACGGCCAGGUCCACUGCAGGUACGACAACAUGAGAUAGGAUAGGAGCACUGAUUCCUUUUCGUAGGGCUGAUCAAACAGCAUGCGAAUUGCUUUAAUCCAUGCCGUAUUGUAACUUGGCAUUCGUUUUGCUAUUCCAGGAAGAACCUGGCGGUCAGCGUGCCUUGAUCUUCGACCAAGGGAACAGGAUCUCUCAGGUGAUUGAGCAUGAAUGAAGUUUUACUGCGCUAUUAUAUUGUAAGAGUCUCCGGAUAGUGGCAUGCCGUUCGAUGUGUAUGCUAUAACCGCUGCUACCGUCCAAUUUGUGGUUGAUGCAGGGCAUCAGCUGCGCCGAUGUAGCAGACAUCUGCGUCAAAGCGUUGCACGAUUCGACCGCGAGGAACAAGAGCUUCGAUGUAAGAUCCUCUAGUCGUCUCCCCUGUGAUUUCUCUUGUGAGUUCGUUGGUGGUGCAGCAAGCAACUAACCUGGACGCAUGCAUCAUCUUGUUUGUUCAGGUGUGCUAUGAGCAUGUUUCAGAGCAAGGGAGCGAGCUAUAUGAACUUGUAAGCCUACUGUCUCAUGUGCUCAUGCCAUGCUGUGUGAUGUCAUGUGGUUUAAUUUCUGAUAUGGAUUUGGUUAACCAAUGUGUGACCUGUGUGAGCUUGUUGCUGCUGCAGGUGGCUCAUCUGCCAGACAAGGCCAACAACUACCUGGCGCCGGCGCUCUCGGUCCUGGAGAAGAACACCUGAUCUCAUCAGUGAGCCAGUGACCUGUGAGGUGCACUAGGAAUUAUCCAUGUACACGGUGCUGUGUAAUGUGAAUAUUGCAUACCACCGACUCCUCUUGUACGCAUAGGAACACUACAUUAAUAUACACACACAGCAUUGUGUUGGGUUAUUUGGAGAGAGUAGGUGAGGUAGGAAUUUCCUAUGUCCAUACAUGUCAGUUUUUUCCUCGCAAUGUGAAGUCAAGUCAUCAACACAUCGCAGCAGCUGGGCAGUGACAAGGCUGAUGACCAGAUGGAGUUCCCUGCCUAGUGCCUAGUGGCCAGGCCGGGCAUGAAAUACAAGUUGUGAUGAUGUAUUAGUACUACUAUUAGGUACAAGUUGUGAUGAUGUACUAUUAGGUAGAGAUGCAUAGCCUUUGUGAACGCAUCAUGUGAAAAUUUGAAACAUGUAAAUGCUCUUGCAAUAUUCGUCCUCUAAUUAAAAUAUGUGAUUGUUUUUUUUUAAUUUCACAAGACUUUAUAAACCAAGAGCUCUGGACAAAUCGCCGGAGACCAUAUCGUUUACAAAGCUUGGUGCCUAGCACCGGAACGAUUGCCCUCCAUCAGGAAAAGCAGCAACACCAUGGUUGUCCAUAGAAUCAGCCACCCUAUUACAUCCUCUAGGAUAGACUGAGACAGAGACACUACAUGAAACAAAGUUUCUCACCAUUGCUAAAUGAAUUUCUCUAAAAAGAGCUCCUUCUGGACUACAGUCCAUCUAACUUGUCGUCAAGGCUCUCCCAAGGUUUGAGGCAUGUGUCUUCAAAAUAAUCUUGUCAUGUGCCUAGUUGUUCAGCUCUGUCUAACCCGUGCGGGGCUGCUAGUGCUUCAGCAUGCAGAGCACUUCCUUCUCUUUGGAUGCUGCCUUCCCCAAUGUCCAGCACCUCCCCUGUGUUGUUCCUCACACAUCCCCAUCCUCCCUUCAAUGUCAGAGCAGAGAAGGUUGCAUCAACAUUCAACUUAUAUUGGUCAUUUGGUGGAGGCUUCCACCCCACUUUUUGUACCUGAUCUCGUUGUUUCCCCGGGAUUUUCAGUUUUGCAAAUUCGUUGAGGUGGUAAUGGACUGAGCUGCAUACCUCCCCAGCACCUUCACUCUUUCACCCGCAUUUGCCUUAUUUCUUGUUGUCCACCAUCUCCACAUCCAUACAAUAACUUUCAAUUGUUGAUCAGCCGACAUUGUCCAUAUCUUUUCAGCUACUUCCUUUCCUGAUUUGCAGCGUGCCAAGCAGCAAUGUGCCUCUUCCAUUUGCAGUUCCCCCAACAUUCGCGGACCUUUUUACAUUGUAAGAAUAAAUGUCCACAAUCUUCAUCUAACCUUUUACACAUCGGGCAGACAAUUUCGGUCUUAACUUUCCUCCUCUUCAGAUUGUUUCUCACCGGAAGGCUAUUAUGAAUCAGCCGUCAUAGAAACAUUUGUACCUUAUUGUGCACCUUUUUUUUUUGACGAUUUUAUUGUGCACCUUCAGUUGCCAGAUUUUAUACCACGGGAAUUGGGCAUACGUUGUUCCACCCCUUGUCGAUGCCUCAGCAGCUCUUCCCGCCUCAUUGUCCCUGUCCUGCACCGCAAUCUUGUAUGCUGAUUCCACAGAAAACAGGCUCUUUGAGUCAAAAUGCCAUGCUGGCCAAUCCGGUGAUUCCACCCCAAUUGGGAUCGUCAAAAUCAACUCUGCAUCCUCAGCCCAAAAAGUGUACCACACCAAAUGUUCGUCCCAGCCUCCGUCUAUCGGGUCCAUCAACUCCUCCACCCUUGUUAGCAGGGAAUUCCCCCUUGGAGUAGCGAGACAACGUGUCACUCCUUGGGGUAUCCAUGGGUCAAUCUAGAUUUUUAUAAUGCUUUCAUCACCAACCCUCCAAAUGAUUCCCUUCUUCAUCAACUCCACCCCUUGUAAGAUGCUUAUCCAGGAGUAAGAAAUGCCACCUUUUACUUGGCACUCUAGAAUGCUGUUGUUUGGGAAGUAUUUUGCUUUUGAGUUGUUGUGAGAACGUUUCCAAUGGUAAGCAUGUUAGCUUGUAUAAUACAAAUAAAUUGUCCACGUCUUGAAUCAAUAGACAACAAAUGGAUACUUCUCUCUGUCUAACUACAACACCAUCUUAAUGAAAACUACCAAGAGUCCACAUUUCAUGAGACACUUCUUCUAUCCGUCAGGUGGCUGAUUUUUCAUUGUUACUUAGACAACAGGUAAUCUUUUCAGCAAACUCCAUCAUUGCUCUCUUUAGAUCUUAUUCUUCCAUCCCCAGAAACUACUCUCUUCAUUCUAAACCAAUGUAUAUCGCCAUGAUAUCAUCUUCCACUUCACUCUAGCCUAACUCUUAUUUCAAUGGACGCCUCUAAUAGGGUGACUACGUCAUUGGCUUACAUUAUUUUUUGUUUAGCAUGAGCGAUGGGGAAAAUCAUCUCUCUAGCGAGCAUGCAAAGUUUAGCUUAUAAUUUGGAACAGAGAGAACAUCUUCAUUGCCGGUUUAAAAAAUAUUAAUAAAAUAUGAAAGAUUCAAAUUCAGGUCACACCAACUCAAAAAUCAAAUUGAAAAUGCCAAAAUAGGGAGAUAGAGAAUACUUAUGCAGCGAAGAAUGUGCAUGAGUAGAAUCAAACUCAAGCGUAUCUGGGUUUCAUGGAGUAUGAACAACAAACCAUUAUGUCACCACUUGAUUUAUUAAAAUAAUAAUGUUCCCUGUAUCCUAAAAUAAGUCCUCAUUUUAUACUACAAGGAGUCAAACAAUCUCAACUUAGACCAAAUAAAAAAUACUAAUAUUUAUGAUAACACAUAGACAUUAUCAUUAGAUUAACCACGUCAUAUGUUUUUAUAUUAUUAAAUCUUUUAGAACAUAGGGGUAUUACAAGACGAGUACUAGAAACACGAGCCCAGACACUAAGCGUGGAUACAAACUGUGAGGAUGAGUGCAAUGCAAUAUUGAUGAUUUUAUCAUAAGCAGGUCCACGAGUGUUUGCUACAUCUACAUCACAUCUGUCCCUCGAGUCAUUUGCCAUCUCUAAUCUAACAAAAGCAAACCUAUAAGAAUUAGCCAGACGACCACACAAUUAGGAUCAUAGUAUCAAAUCGUACGACCUAGAUAAAUCUAACGUCUCGUUUAGUUCACCUAAAAACCAAAAAGUUUUUAAGAUUUCUUGUCACAUCGAAUCUUGCUGACAUACAUGAAGCAUUAAAUGUAGACGAAAACAAAAAUUGAUUACACACUGUAAAUCGCGAGACAAAUAUUUUGACCCUAGUUAGUCUAUAUAAUCGAACAAUAUUUGGCAUAAACAAACGAAAGUGCUACACUAAACAAAAUCUAAAUUUUCACAUCUAAACAAGGCCUAAGUAAAUUUAUUCUGCUGGUCGUAAAAGCAGGUAUCAUAAAAUUUUAGCUGUUUAGUUCACCCAAAAACUAAAAACUUUUCAAGAUUCUUCGUCACAUCAAAUCUUGCGGCAUAUACAUAAAGCACUAAAUAUAGACGAAAAUAAAAACUAAUUACACAAUUUACCUGUAAAAUCAUGAGAUAAAUUUUUUAAAUCUAGUUACUUUAUAAUUGGAUAAUGUUUAUCAAAUAAAAACGAAAGUGUUACUGUUCUUGUUCUCAGAAACUAAAAUAUUUUCGAAACGCCUCAGUUCAACGACGAGAACCGAGGGUACGUGGAGAAACGACAAACUGUUGGUCACCGUGACAAUCGAUUGACCGCUACUGCCUCACAGCGUUGACCGGUCAAACUGGCCCCUCACCCCGAUCCCUUCUUCGACCACUGGUUCAGCAGCGGCUCCCCUGUUGCAGCUGCUGCGCCGCGUGAGGUGGCAGCACCGCAGCAGGCACAGGCACAGGCAGAGGCAGAGAGAGGCCAGUCCCAGUCGGACUUGUUUAGUUCACCUGAAAACAAAAAAUUUUCAAGAUUUUUCGUCACAUCGAAUUUUGUAAUACAUGCAUGAAAUAUUAAAUAUAAACGAAAAUAAAAAUUAAUUACACAGUUUAGUUGUAAAUCGCGAGACGAAUCUUUUGAUCCUAGUUAGUCCAUAAUUAGAUAAAAUUUGUCACAAACAAACGAAAUUGCUACAGUACUGAAAACUUUUUACUUUUCAGAACUAAAACAAAGCUCUCCCCUGCCAGCAGCUCGGCCUGCCUUUUGACUGCCUGCCUGUGUGCCUGCGCUGUGCGAGCACGCUGCACUGCCCGUCGUUGCCAUCGAUUCCUCCCCCACCUCUUGCCUUCGCUGCCGCUGCCUGCCUGCAGCCUGCCGACUUCUCUCUCUCUCUCUCUAUAGUUGGUUGCAGCCACCAGGCACCACCAGCCAUUGACCCACUCACCCACCACCCACUCGCGCGCCGCCGCCGCCGUCGCCAUCACCGUCGCCGUCGCACGCGCGCCGCUCCCAGCCGGCCCCUUCCCUUCCCUGGCUGCGGCUUGGUUGGUUAGUUGAUUGGAUUGGCUCAGUAACGGGCACGGGCAGCACGGCACGUCGGCACGACAGCACCCACUCCCGUCUCUCCCUAUCCACCCAAGUACUCCUCGCGCUCGCACGCGGAUCCACCCACCCCACCCCACCCCACCCAUCGCUCCUUCCGUCCGUUCCUCCACUUGCCGGCCACAACCCCCUCCCGGCGGAGUGCGGCGGGAUGAGGGGGCAAGCCAACGGAGUGGAGGACCGCCGGCCGCGGGGCGACGACCACGAGGCGGACGACGACGAGGAGGACAGCGAGGAGGAGGAGGAGGAGGAGGGCCGACACCGGGGUCAGGGUCAGGGUCAGGGCCAGGGACAGGGCCCGCCGCCGCAGCAGAGGCGGCACCAGCAGACACAGAGACCUUCCUCCGGCCCGCAGCAGCAGCAGCAGCAGCACCAGCCGCCGCCGCUCACCAGGAACGUCGGCUACGUCGGCAAGCACCGCCUCUCCGCCGCCAUCGCCCGCCUCGACCAGGAGCUCCAGUCCCUCCAGGUACCUGCACGACUUGCUCCCCGCCCCGCCCCGCCCUCCUCUCUCUCUCACCUUUGCUCGAUCAACAGCAACCGCGGCCGGUCGGCCUGCCCGGGCGACUCCUAGCUCGUCCGUAGAGUCAACCACCUGACACCCACCUGCUGCCGGAGCUGUGCGCGAUCCAGAUCUUGCCUGCGUGCUGCAUACUACGUAGUACCAAGCUGCACGAUUCUAAGCAUCGAGCAUUCGAGCCCAGUGCCCCAACUGUGCCCUGCGCAGCGCGUGUUGCUGCACGACUAGUUAUGCGCUUUACCUCUAUGAAAGUAAUAAACAAGCAAAGAGGGAAUAUCUUGAUGUCUGUUGCUGGAGUGGAAAACUGGAAAUGGAGGCCCAACACUUUAUUACCUAUAUAUAUAUGUAGUAUGCAAUAAGCUAAUUGUGAAGAUAUACCAUAAGAUUGCCUUUCACAGCAUAGGUGUGUAUUUGCCAUUUAUAGCUCGAUUUGCAUGAUAGACAAUCUUGAGCCGUCUGCAAGCUGAAAUGCUUAAAAAUUGUUCUUAUUGAUCCUCGCUGCACCAGAGUAACUCUAUUGGAAAGGAAACAUUUGAAAGAAACUGACAGCCUUAUUACUCGCCAUUCGCACCUAUCUCCUGUUACUCUGUCACUCCAUCUAAACAAACACCGAGCCGUUUCUGGGUGGAGGAUCAUCUAGAACUUGUUAUUGAGGCUUCAUUUUUUUGAAGUAACACUUUACAGGAGCUUAUAACUAGUGGUUACGAUUUCCCAUUCCGUUCUUUGAUUGCUGGCAUCUACAAAUGGUGAACUCAUUCUUUUGAGUAUCUGCCUAUCUGGUUAUGUUCCAGGAGCAGACAGUUUCUUUGCAAAAGAUGAGUAGAACACUAAUCUAAAAACAAUUCUGUUCCUCUUUAAUCAACUGAGUGUUUGUGUUUAAAAGGAAUAUUGAUGAUCGAUACUUGUGCUGACUAAUUGUGUUCCCCAUUAGUGAAUUUAUCACGUUCCAGUGUUUCAAAAAUUCAUCAAAAAAGUCAUGUAUGUAGUGCGUAUAACCUACAUGUCGAGAAUCAAAAGGGGCAAGGAGUCAAUCUGGUACUAUCCGUCAUGUGCUCAUAGUACACGUGAAGUCAAAUAAAAGCUGAAGAGGUGGUCAAGUCGGGGAAGUGGAUCAAUCUGGUGGCUUUGGAUCUUUCUGGAGUCUAGAGAGUUUUUCCUUGUAGCUGGUUUUAGGGCUGUGCUUCUGGCUCUUAUUUCUGGUACGAGUUGAGAGUGGUGUCUUUUGGUGCUACACUUGUUUGGACAUUGUAAACGUUGAUGCUCUUCGGCUUUGCUAAAGCUGUGGUUAAUCCCUUAGGCUCUAAAAACUAGUAACACUUACGUUUUUUAUGAAUCUCAACAUCAAAGAUGAAUUUGAGAUUGAUUUUUUGCAGGCUCAUUUAACUUUUUGUGUGCUACAUACAUACAUGAUUUUAGUGAUGUUUUUUUUUUAAGUUUUGCAACGCGUUGGGUCAACUUUAUUUUGGCUAAAGAUGGGCUCCCUGAACCCAGAGACUAACGGAUUAUAGACAAAACUAGUACAGAUUUUGUGAAACAAGGAAACUAGAAGAAAGGAUUGUAAUUUCUUAGCUAUCUUGUCAGCAAUUAUACAUCGUACACUUUUGUUAUUCGAGCACUGAUGAUGGUAAAUUGGUAACGUGACUUGUUUAGAGGGCUGCAUGGUGUUUGUUUUAGGCCUCAUGUAAUCGGAUCACGCCGUUAUUGAAUAUGGCCGUUCACAAAAGUGGCCUCAUGUAAUCGGAUCACGCCGUUAUUGAAUAUGGCCGUUCACAAAAGUGACAAUGCUCCCACCAUGACACUAUCCAAUACUGAGUAUUGUCUCCGCUAGCCUGGACACUCUCAGGCCUUGUAGUUUGCUCACGCUAUCAUCGGGUCAAGUGAAUGAAGGAAGCACGAAACAACAAGUUGCAUGUAAAAAGUGACUCUGCUUUGCUGUCUAGUAGCUUCUGUGUUGACGUUACCGAAGCUAACCAAAGAAACCAAGUAAUUACGUUAGCGCUGUUUAUCCAACCCCUUUGUGUUGACGUUUCCUUAUCCCAACCAAACACUACUUACAUGUAGAACUAGAGCUGUGAAACUGAAAUCUCACAGGACUGGCCUGUGCUUUUUGGCACUUGUUUCUCAGCGAAAAUUACAUAAUUACAUUGAAUAUUUCUGUGACUUGAUACAGAUGUGAGUACACAAAAUUGCAGUGAUUUGACUUACGUUUGUGUUGCCCUUUCAGUCUUUUACAAAGACCAAAAAACUUGAAUUCAUAACAUCCAUUGAAAAUAUUUUAAAAAGGGUUUAGAGUCACAGAACUUGCUCUUUUGUUCUGUGUAUGUCCAAAACCCUGUGUCUACAGACAGGCUCGUUUGGAAGGUUAGGCAACCUGUAUGGCUGUAUCCUUCAGAAUGUAGGAUAGAGUGGAAAUCAGAACUUGUACCCCGCAAAAAAAAGAAAAAAAAAGAGAGGAAAUCAGAACUUGUGACUAGUACCUAAAUCCUAUAGAGUGCCUGUGGAAUGAUCUAUUUGUAUGACUGCUCUGGACCAACAAUUCAUUCAUAUUUGGGGUCAAAGUUUUACCUCUUUUUUUCUUUUUGUGAAGGCAAAGUUUUGCCGACUUCAAUAGAUAGCAUGGUAAUACAAUAUCAACUCUCAGUGUGUGUAUAUUCAUGCAGGAAGAACUGGACGAGCUUGAAACCAUGGAAUCUGCAUCCGCGGCAUGCCAGGAGUAAGCAGAUUUGAGUGUAGCAUUGUGUUUUCCACAUCAUCAUUUGCUGUUUCUUCUCGUUGUUGAUAUAUUCCUUGUGAACAAAACAGAGUGAUCACGAGUACACAAGGGAAACCUGACCCUCUUCUUCCUAUGUAAGUGCUGCUGCUACACCUCCUUAUUUUCAACUACCACUACCAUACCCUGCAAAAUCCUUACAGAACCAGUGGUCUCUCAAUCUUAUUUACAGUACCAGUGGUCCAGAGAACUCUUCAUGGGACAGAUGGUUUCAGCGGGUCCGCUCCCGCAGCAACAAAUGGUGGGCAUCAAAAGGCUCUGACUUCUCGUAGCUUCUGCAAAGCUGAGAUCAUCCUCAUCAGUGUGUGCAGAUUAAAUUGAAACCUGUUGAAAUGUAUCAUCCAUUGGUGUCCUGGGAAACAGAAUAGGUGGUGUGACUGCGGUGUGGCACUCAAACACCUCUGAUAGUUUUUGGAGAGAAUCAUCGUGUAUGUAGUAAUCCCUAACAAGGCUGAACAUCGAUGUAUCCAAAUCAGGCCUGAUUGUUGCUCGCGAGAUAGUCUUGAGAUCAUUUUCCUACAGAUUCUGACUCACUAGGUCGGAUUUCUGAUGGUCAUGUAAUCUUGCUGUUCUUUUUCCCCCCUCCUGCAAACGUGAAGAUCCACAUUGUCUUUGGAAAGUUUCAGAAAAGAGAAUCAGAUUGAACAUUGUGCUGUGCUGCUUGUGAGCGCUGUUCAUUGAACCACAGGUUUUAAAAAGUCCGAGGCAUCUCUCCGUGAUCCUCCAAAAUUACUAUUGCAUCGUGUUUCUGCAUCGACACAUCAUCUGUACCAAUAUUGUGUUUUGAGACCCUUUAGGAUACCAUAUCUUGUAAUAUAUUCCACUCCUGUUUUUUUUAAGGAGGCACUUACUGAGGCAUAAUGCAGGUCUUCCGAAAUCGUGGAAACACAAGUUAAACUUGCUAAACCUGUACACAGCCAAGGACAGCUGGAUGCAAGAGAAGUUAAGUUCAUAUCACAGUCCAACAUCAACAUACAACAUUACAUUAGCCAUCGGAAGGUGACGGUGAUUUUAAUUCUAACUUUACCGUCAAUCGUCAUACACCAAACAGUUGCUUGAUGGUACACGCGGCACAUGUUUAGUGCGUGCGCAAAAGAUAACGGCCACGCAGUACUCGCGUCGAAGAGAUGUUACGAGUAACAGGUUGCCGACACUGCAACUACCGCGAUGCUGUCCACAGAAGCAAGUGGAACUCUUGCUCCUCCUCUCGUAUAUCUUGACGCGUGCUACACACCUACACUACACUACCAGCUGGGCGUACAUUCGACGCCACAGUUCCAAUGUACAUCUGCAUCACAAAAACCGUUCACACCCCACUGCCUCGCUGCAUGUGCUCGACGACCUAUCCCUAGACGACCACAUACAUAUGUGCAAGCCUACAUUCCUAUUCCCUACUGGUACAGUGUACUCUACUUGGCGUAUCCAAAUUCAUGGAAUAAGUUAGAGGGAGGAACGCUGCUACCCUUGGAUUUGGCUUUGGCGGGUGCCCACUUGGGCAGAACUCUGCCAGACGCCACGGGCUUCGGGACGCUGCAAUGCUCGUCCACAUCCACCACCUCAGGUCCAUCCAGAUCGGCAUCGAUGCAGCGGGCGCCGUGGACCAUGCUCGCGGCGUCGGAGACAGUUCGCGUCUUGGCCGCGCGCUUCUUGGACUGGCCCGUGGGUUCCUCAAAGUCAUCGUCACCGCAGCUCACCGCAGAGCUCGCGGUGGAGCCCCUUCGCUUCUUUGCCGCCUCGGAGUGCUCUUUGCCGCCACUGCCGCUGAUGUUUCUCCUUGGAUUUGGGUGUUUGCUCAGGAAGUCCUCGAUGGUUGCAAGCACACGGUCCCCGUACUUCUUGAGCUUUGUCCUGGAAGAAAACAUGUGAACCAUGAAUAUAGUUGCCGCUGCAUCUCUAAUGGUAAAGAUGAUUUUUCGAAAACAAAAGAUGGUGUAAACAAUUCAAAAUUGCUGAGUAGAUGCAUUACUUGCCGAUGCCGUUUAUAUCCAAAAGCUCUUCUUUUGUUCUUGGUACUCGGAUGCUCAUCUCCUUCAACGUGUCAGUCCUGAAGAUGGAAAGCUCAACCGUAUCAGGAGCCAGUGAAUGCUUCCACAAAUGAAGGUGCAAUAACAACUUACUUGAAUAUGUGGUACGCAUGGCAUCCUUCACUACACUCCUCCAUUAUCUGUCGUCUGAGGGUAAGUAAAGCUUCGUAGAGUAUCGAUGCAAGCUUCUGCAAGAAUGAGAAAAAUAGAUAUUAGACCAGAGAAAGAACAUAUAAAGACCCAACACCACAGAUCCGCUCUAAUCUAGACGUUCAGGUCUUUACCUCAUCGACUUCACUUUGCUGCUGAACAGUCUUAUUGAUUUGUGGAAAUAAUGAGGUAUCAAGAUUCCCCAUCUUGGAGGCCUUGCCAGGAGCAGGAAACCUGCAAGAUCACAUUUUUUAGAGAACUACCAGCUGUUUGUUGUUCAAACAUUCUCAGGAUAUGUUGGUUUCAAGAAAAAAAAAAUACUCAUAGAGGUUUCAAGAAAAAAGAAACUACCAUAGAAUAUGAAACAUUGAAAUUCAGGUCACACCAACCCAAAACUCAAACUGAAAAUGCCAAUACAGGGAGAUAGAUAAUACUUAUGCAGCCAAGAAUGUGCAUUAACUAGAAUCAAACGCAAAUGUAGGGUUUCAUGGAGUAUGAACAACACGCUCCAUUACGUAACAUCCUGAUUUAUAAAAUCGUGUUUCCAGAUUAUAAUUCAAGUCAACCAAAUCCCAAUCGACAUAUUAUAUAAAAGUUUCAGCAGCAACAAGAUCAAUGUUAAGCAUUAUUUGAAAACCAAAUGAAUGCAACCCCACUGCAAACUCAACCAGAACAAAUAGGUUAAGGAAACAUGAAAACAGUCUCAUGUACAGGUCAGCCCUGCCAAAGGGUGCCUAGCCCAGUGGUUAGGCACGUUUCGGCAGCACCCCAGGUCCCAGGUUCGAACCCCCGGUGGGGCGGAUUUCGGAAAACUUUGGUAAAAAAAUCCCCUCGCUGGCCCCGUGUCCAAAACACUGGUAAUGAGAUCGGCCCAGGUCGGCCUGAGGACCGUGUGUGGCCCAGGCAGGUAAUCUCACGGGUAACGUCUCCCAGUGUAUGGGUGGGGCCAGGGUUCGGGGGUUUUCUGGGCCUCUGUGAGAAGGUCCUUAGUUCAAAGCCCGGAGGGCGGCUUGCCCCUCGCAGGUCCAGUUUUUUUUUACAGGUCAGCCCUAAUAACACAGAGAGGUCAUAGAACUACUCCCUCAGUUCCAAAUUGUAAGUCGUUCUGGCUUUCUAGGUACAUAGCUUUUACCAUGUAUCUAGACAUAAUGUAUAUCUAGAUGCAUAGCGAAAGGUAUGUACCUAGAAAAGCCGAAAUGACUUACAAUUUGGAACAAAGGGAGUAUAAAUCAUUGAUCCAGGGCCAAUUUAACAACCACUAAUCAACCAAUAGCUAGCUGGUCUCAGAUAAACUAAAUCACUCAGGAUUUCAAAAAAAAAGGAAGGCCAAAGUAGGAACCUUUUUCCCAGUAGUGAAAUGCCCCUGCCAGUUUUAAGCAGUAUCUCUUAAAUAUAGUAACAAAAUAAACUUACAUCAUACUGCUUGACAUCCAAUGCCAACAGUAAACUUUACAAAUAUUCAGAUGUGAAGGUAAAAUUAGCUUACUGUGACAAAUCACUCUUUUACAUGCGUGCAUAUUAAUAUAUAUGAUCAGAGGAAUAUUCCUACUUUUAACAAAAAAAAAGGUAGCAUUUUUUUAAAAAAAAGUCUAUCAACUUGAGAGAAAAACAGGUUCAUAUGUGAUUUAGAUAAUAUUGCAUUCAAAUCAUGUGAUAAGUUUGGUGGUUGUAAAAGGUACAAAACUAACUUCAGGAUGACGCUGCGUUUGCCAGAGCGAAGAUCACUAGCUUUCAAAUGAUUAACCUGCUUAACCAAGAUCAUGUUAGACCUAUGCCUUGCUAAAAAGAAUGGAAACAAAAAAUAUAUAGAAGCAUUUUGUCUUGAAAUAAACCAAGGCACAUCAAGUAUUUUUCACCUUGAGGACAGAUGAUAUUGAUCCGUACAUGUCGCUCUUUUUCACAUCCUCAAUAAGUAUUUCCUCAGUUACUAAAUGUCUCAUUAUCCUUGCUGCCUCACCUUUAGCUAGAUGUUUCCCAGCUCCAUGAAGAGGUAAAGCAUCAUGACGCUGCUUCUUGACCUAUGGGUAAUGAGUUGUGUUACCAUUAGCAUAUUAAUGUGGCAGUGAAAGUUGCCCCUGGUGGCAAGAUCAUGCACUUAAAAAAGAUCCGAACAUGAUCUUGAUUAGGUAUCUGGGCACGUACGUUUUGGCUCACAGACCCUCUGUAAACUUCAAGAAUGUGAGUAGACGAAUUUGAGUGCCCUGUCAUUGUGACUAGGUCAACCUAAAGAAGCAAGAGUUUAGGUUCACAUAGAGAGAGAUGUCUGAAUGCAUUUGGAAGGGGCACAUCUGUCCACUUACCAAUUGCCUGGCAAUGUUGGUAACAUCUUUUUCAACCCAUCCUGACUCUUUCAAGCAAUUAUCACAGGUUUUUGCACAAAGCGAAGGGUCAAACCUCUCCCCAAAGUGGAUCAGUUGAAGUAGACGUCGGCAGUCCACAUCAUUUUCACAGUAACUGACCUGCAGAAAUAUAAGAUAUGACAUUUUUUUCAUGGUUUCCAUACUUCGUAGCAACAAACAAAUGCGUGCAUAUAGAACUUCAGAUACCAUUCUCAAGAGAUUGUCCUUAUGUGUCUUCAGUGCUUGCUCGUGUGAAGAUAAAUCACGUGGUGCUCCUGUUUGCUCCCCAACUCCUUGCGUAAUCAUAUGUCGGACCCGAAUCUGAACAUUUUUUAAGAAAAUUACUUGUUUGUGAUACAUUACAGAUAUAGUGAGAAGCUGCCAACAAGGUAUUAAGGUACCAGUAGACUUACAUAGUCAGAAUACUGGUAAUAUAGCAAACAAGAUGAAGGUUGCCCAUCUCUACCCGCACGUCCACACUCCUAUGAGAAUUGAUCAACCACCAAACAGCUUCAGCUUUACAUUUCCAUUGUGCUUAUGUCAUGAAACUUCAGUUAUGGAGAUAUACCUGAUGAUAUCCUUCAAUGGACUUGGGCAGUGAAUGAUGAAUAACAAAGCGAACAUCAGGUUUAUUGAUACCUACAGUUUGUCCUAUUAGAAUGGAACACCCAAUAAUAGAUGUUACAUACACAGGCGUUUGAAAGAUUAAGUUACCCAUCCCAAAUGCAAUUGUAGCACAGAUUAUGUUGAUCUUAUCCUUGCUCCAAUCCUCCUGUAUACGUGUUCUAUUCACAGGAUCCAUGCUACCAUGGUAGUGUGCUACUGUGUGCCCACAUUCCUGGCGAAGGGAAAAAAUGGAAACAGUAAGAAGUUAUAGCUGGUGGAAAGGUCAAUAUCUACAUGACUACAUAACAAAUAUUAGUGCUAGGGUAGGCCAAAGUUUCAUUGGAUGAUUAAAUUUAGUUCACUGUUGAAAAUGUGCCACACCAACCAGUAAUCAAUGUUAGACAAAAUAAGUACAUCGAGAUCAUCAUAUGAAAAGCCUUAAGCACAUAACAGAUCCCUACAUUCAUGAGACUGGUAGCAAAUCUAAGACAAAUAUCCUGAACCAUCAGCUAAUGAAAUCCACUAUAUACCUAGCUCACCUGCUCAAGUUUGGUAUAAAUUUCUACCUUCGGCAAAACCAAGGGGAGAUUGACAAAUCGUUGAGGCAAUCAAAGCCAAUUCAACAAACAUGGGCAUAUAAUACUUCAUAAUUUUCUCAAAUAUAUAGCUAAUGUUUAAUGCAUCUAUAGUGGCUUUUAAAUUAGCUAGGGAUUGCCUAAAGCAUAGGCCCACCACACCAACAUAUAUUACUUGCAAUACCACAGAAACUACAGCUAAUGGCCCUCAACAACGAAGGGACACGAUUGACAAAACAAACAUGUGCAGGCUUGGUCAGGACAAGCAUAAGAAGGUAACCGACUAAAAUAGAGCUCCCAAUCUAUACCCAGGUAAAUAUGAAGCAAAUAUAAGCAAGUCCACUGUAUAGCUAAAUAAUCAAGAAUUCAAUCUGCUACUACAGCAUGUAAAAUUAAGGACUUAAAUAUACAUACAAACAAUGAACAGCUUAUAGUUUCAAGAAAUAACCCUUAGUUUUUCUGACACUUUUUCACAAUCCAUUCUUGAAAGGCAAUAUAUAAUGCCGCAUUCUUUAUAAUGAUUUUCACGGAUAAACAUGUCAAUGUCCUCAACGCAUUUCUUUGUCUUGGGUCUUAAGUAGUACCUGCAAAGCCCAACUUAAAACUAAGAUGUCUGCUACAGUAGAACUUGCAUCGAUACCUUACUGCUUACAGGCACGCACCUCAGAUUUGGACGAUUAAAACUUUGUUUGAAAACAAUGCAGUUUUCAAGGGCUAAAGCUUGCACAACAUCUUCCUUAACCCUAGCAGUUGCUGUUGCAGUCAAGGCCAGGACUGGUGUCUUGGGGAAAUUUUGUUUUAGAACACCUAAUUCCUGACAGAUAGUAAAACCUACAUCAAGAAGUCAUCUUAUUUAACCAUGAACGUCUCUCAUCAGAUAGAAAUACCUUGUAAUCAGGUCGGAAGUCAUGACCCCACUGGCUUACACAAUGAGCUUCAUCAAUAACAAUUCUAGAAAGGUGCCCUUGUGAAUCUAAAUCCCUCAAUAGUCCCGAUAAAGCACCACUCCUAUACUCAAAACAAUGCUAACUGUUACAAUAAUAUAUUCAUACAACAUGUGUGAUGGUACUUUUACCCUCAAAAAAUAUUCAUAUAGAAAAAUGACUUCAUGAAUAUACAUUUUCCAACAGUCUCAACAGGGUGGCGAACCCUGUACUCAUAAAAUUGCCAGCAAGUUUUCAAAAACAGAAACACUGAAAGAACACGAAAUGAUAUUUUCAAAAAAAAUGUGUGUAAACAAUAAAAUAAUAGAAAGCAAACACAUCCUGGAGACUAAAUGCAGCGUGCCAAUAAAAUAGAAUCAUGACAAGUAGUUUUGAUUUGGAAAACAAUAUUGCUGGAUAACUUAAGUACUCAGAAACAACAGUGUAUGAACCUAAUGGUUGUAUGUUGUAUUGCAAAAGGAUAGCUUUAGACGAUAGUCAAGAGAUGAUGUGCUUAAUCUGAAUACAGCUGCUUCAUACGUGUAACUCACAACGGGCACCAUUCCACUUACCUCGCUAUUUUCUCUGGAGUGACGUACAGCAACUUGUAGCGGCAUGACUUUAAAUCUCUCAUUAUCUCUUGUUGUUCAGACCAGUCCAAGUUGCCACUCAAAUAAGUUGCAGGAAUAUUUGCCUGCUCCAGCCAAAAGGUAGUCAAAUCAAGAAAAAAACGCCAAGAAAUAUGUACAAGGAAAUGAAAUGGUUCCCUACCUGUGACAAGUGCAUGAUCUGGUCUUGGAUGAGUGAGACAAGAGGGCAAACUACUAACGUUAAGCCCACACUAAUAAGUGCUGGAAGCUGCAAAUUAAUAGAUGAGCAUCAAUGCUGAUAGCAGAUACGCAAUUCAGUGUAUGUCAAAGGAACAAAUGUAACAUGUCCCACUGGAUAAAAAUCUUCUGAAAAUUACCUUUUCUUGAACAUUAACAAAUAAAAAAAGAAGUGGUUUUAUAUAUGCCAGCAUUUAGAAAGAGAAAAGAAUGCCAACAUAAACAAAACAAUGGUCAAGAAACACAGGACAGGAAGCUGAAUGUCCAAACAUUUAAAAAGAGCAACAACAGAUAAAAAUAUAUUUUGUAAGUUGUUACCUGAUAUGUCAAACUUUUCCCACCACCAGUUGGCAUCAAAACAAAAACAUCAUACCCACUCAUUGUGGCAUUUAUUAUUUCUCGCUGGUUGGGGCGGAAAGAACGGUUUCCAAACUUAUUUCUGUUCUUGGCCUGAAUAUGCACUGAAAGUUAGUAUUCACAAAUCAGGGAUGGUGUAAAUAAUCAAAAAUUGAUACUGAAGAAAAUAACCUCAAGGUCCUUAGUCCAUGGAAAAUUUGUACUACUCCACUUCCUAUCACCAGAUCCUUCAGUAUAGUUAAUAUCAAUAACCUUUGGGGUAUAGCUUUUCCAUACAGAAUUUAAUGGUGUGCUUAGAUUAUCUGAACAGGAAUAUGGGGCAGAAGAAUAGCAUAAAUCACUAUCCCUAGGUCCAUUUCCAAUGUAAACCUGAGAUUGGAAUCUAUUGCUAUCCGUUAUAAAAGUGCUUCCUGGGGUCAUAGGUGGCAGAUGCUGCUGUGUAGCUUUUGUGGAUGCCAUAGAGUGUGAUAUUUGUCUCUCCUCAUCUUGGGCUGACCUUGUCAUAUGGUCCUCGAGUAGCUGAACCAGUUUCUUAAGAUGUAAUCUGCAAGGUAUAACAGUAGCACAUAUCAGCAUUACUGUGGCAAAGCAGAGGUGCCUACUUCAGAACUCAGAAGUAACAAGUAAUAUUGAUAAGUAAAACAAAGAUUUGAACCGUCUUUGAUGAAGCUCUUGUGAAUGUUGAGGAUUGAGUUCACCAUCAUCAUCAAGAAGCUCAUUGGCUACUGCAAGCAGCUCAUCCUUCAUCUCCUGCAAAUGAGUCAUUGCCUCUCUGCAAAAAGCUAGCUGCAGAAAGUAGUGGAUAAUGAGAUGACAUGCUGAAAUAGCCCCUCAGUAUAGAACAAAGAUGGUAACUUAAUACUAAGUACUUAGCCUACCUUGCAUUGAUGGCUACAUAAUUCAGAUAGUUCUCGUGGUAAAUUAGCCUCAUCCAUGCCAUUGAAGCUACACUUGUUUCCUGGUGGAGUUGACAUGUUAUGAGAUGAUCCUCUGGGUGUUGCUUGAUAAUGUUCCAUAACUAUUCGGUCCACAUCAAUACUCUGAAAGAUAAAUUCGACAGUUCAGGAAACAAACAUGGACACGUUAAAACCACCAUGCAAUUAUGUCCUUGUAGUUUAUGGAUUAAUAUAAUCCUGGGAACAUUUGUUGCAGUUAAAGAAAUAUUAAGUUCAGGAGAUGAGAGCACCAACCGCUAGAAUAUCAUCAUCCAUGGCAUCAUAAUUAUCAUAAGUGCACAUGUUAUCAGCAACCGGAGCAGACUGGUGUAAUGCAGCAUCGGUUCUUGCAAAGUUGUAUUGAUUUGUUGCUCUCGUAUCUUCCUGCGCCACAUGGUUGCUCUGGUAACUUCUCAUAGAGGAGCUGAUACCAACAGGUUGAUGGCUACUGUUGUUCUGCAGAGAAAUUCUUUCAGUGGGUUGGCUUGUGCUUUCCACAGAGGGCAUCCUGUUUCCUGACACAGUAGCCAUUUUGUUGGUGUUGUAUGAGCCUUCUCCACAAGUACGAGCAUGACCUCUAUCACAGUCUUUCACUUUUGCGGAUAAACCAGGUCUUAAAUAGCUCUUGCGGGCAGCCUGAGUGUUGCAUAGGGAACGCCAGGCCUAUGAUGAGAAAUAAUUAUAGAAGUAAAUAAAGUGUGUGGAGCAUUGCAAACAGAUCCAAUUAGGUUAAUGAUAUAAUAUCUGUAGGUAAAAGAGAAGGUAGGGACUAGGGGUUGACUUUUUCAGUUAGGGUGUAACCAGUAGAAGUUUUGACACAACUAAUUGAAGGUAAGAGUAACUUCCACUAGUUUGUAUUGUAACUAGUUGAAGCUUUUACUUAACAUGUUGCAUUGUUGAACUCAAGUUUUUCCACAAAUCCUGAUCUGUUCUUAUAAGUUGAGAUUCACAACUACCAGUUGCAUUGAUUAUCAUGAAGGAAACAUAUGGUUUUGAAGAUAUCUGGCUAUUGAUGUAAAGUUACCUAAAAACCUAGCUAGAAGACACUCUGGUAUCACCAGGUAACUCCCCAUAACUGUACUAAGCAUCACCAAAUAUUCAUAGCAUGUCACAGGAUCGCAGUCAUACCUUCUCGAUCAAUGGAGCAUGAAAACGCUCUGAGCCUUGAAUUUUACAGGCAGAAGACCUGCAAAAGAGAAACGUUUGAGCGAUUCAUGCUGUCUCAGUAAAUGCCGCAGUCGAGUUGGUUUCCAUAAACGAGAGGCAUACCUUAACGAAAGCAUGCUCUCAGGGGCUUCAGGGCUGGGCUUCUGUGUCGGCAAGGAGAAGAGAAAGCUUGAACUCAGAAAGCCAUCUCUGCUAGAGAAGCCCUGAACAGCGUUUUCGUGUUGCGGCCAGUUGACCCUUGGCGACUUAUUGGCUUGCAUUGGUGUUCAUAAGAGCUCAGGACCUGAUCCACACACGUCCACGCCCGAUAAUUUUUGCAAAAUAAAUAAAUAAAUAAAUAAAUAAUAAAGUCGGAGUUGGUAGUAGGCGUGAUACACGUGUAAAUUCAGUAAUCAGAUGAGAUCCGAAUGCAAAUAGCCAAACAGCAUACCGCAUACGCUAGGGUUUGGGUGCUCGGUUUCGCGCAGCAGGAAGGGAAGAGAAGGGGUGGGCAUACCUGGUGGGGCGCUCGUCGCCGGAGAAGGUCCCGUCGAAGGCCUGGGCGCCCGGCGUAGAGCGGCGGCGGCGCGCUGCUCGCCCAGUCGUCGUUGUCGUCGUCGCCGCGCUCGGGGAUGCGGAAAAGCAGAGGUGAAAGCAGAGAGAGAUCCCCGAGCUGUUGUCGACGCAGCUGGUUGCUAAUGCGGCGGCGGCGGCGGGGGAGGAGUGGGCGGAGGCGGCGGUGGGAUUCGGCGGAAAUGGCUGCGGCCGGAGAAGAAAACAGAAGGGGCAGGGCGGGGCGGGGCGCGGAAUGCGAAAUCGAAAACCUCACUCACCGGCUCACCGUGUGUUGUGGAGGGAAAGUGCCAAAGAGGGAAACCAAUCGGGCCGCCUGUUUUAAUCGGAUCUCUCUGAUUAGCGCUGGUGGCCGUCGGAUGGAAGCCGAGAUUCGCACCAUCCUCGGGGUCGCCAACGGAUAGAAUAGACAUGCCAACUUUUCCCUUUUUAAGGUCCUGUUUAGUUUCCAAAAAAUUUUACAAAAAUUUUUAAAUUUCUCAUCAAAUCGAAUCUUUAGACACAUGCAUGAAGUAUUAAAUAUAGACGAAAAUAAAAACUAAUUGCAUAGUUUAGUCGUAAUUGACGAGACGAAUCUUUUGAACCUAGUUAGUCCAUAAUUGGACAAUCUAUGUUUUAAAUAGCGAGCUAAGGCCAUGGUAUUUAGCGUUUUAUAAACCGUAAUUAGUGUAUUUUAGUGGUAAAAUUGUGCAUGAACGCAAAUAGCGGCAUAAUUUUUUUCAAGCUAUUUUGGGCUAUAGCGGCAAAAAUAGCGGGCUAUUUUUUUUCCAUGUAAACAAUAUUUAUCAAAUGCAAAUGAAAAUGCUGCCGUGUCGAUUUCUUAAAAUUUUUUAGAACUAAACAAGGGCCAGUGAUGAACAGUGUGGUUUUAAAAAAAUGGUGAACAGUGGGCAGUGCCCUGUGGUGUGGCAAACUGGCGCACGUGCGUCGCGGUGCGGUUUGGUCUGGCGAAUGGGCCACGCUGUCAGUGUACGUAUACUCCUGUCAAGGCCCAGGCAGAAACAGACACCGGCCAUGCGGAUGCGGUGGUACUGGGCCGGGGCCUAAUAGAAAUCUGGGGUCCAUUUUUACUGAGACGCGUUUGGUUUCCAGUUUUUUUUUCUCCGCCGGGUGUUCAUUCCAUUUUUGGUUAAACAGAAAGGUAACUAGAUGUUACGAAGACGAUAUAUAGAACUCACAAAUAAUUCUUAGAUUACAAACAAAAUCUCACAUGCAUAAACAAACAGCAAGAAAACUCAAGGAGGGAGACCCUCCACCUCACUACCCAACCGACCGAGUCUAAUAUAUAAUACAACACAUUGGUAGACUGGUAGUCACUAGUGUAGUGAAACCGAAGAGUCAACAAAGCAAGCUCGACUUCGACGGCAAAGUAUCUACCAAGAAUGCAAAUACGACAACAGCGGCAAAACAUUCGCUAGAGACAACUACCAUCAAAACAACAAAACGUUCGAGGGGGAGGAGGGGCAUCACGCUCACAUCAGCAAAGUAUAGGGCAGACCGAAGCGAUCGCCGGUAUCUCAUCUAGCCUCACCUUGUCCUGCUGACAGAAAUAAUGAAAAGUUUGCCCAAACAGGUAGCUCAGGCCUUGUUUAGUUUCUAAAAAUUUUCAAUAUUUUCGUCAUAUCGAAUAUUUAGAUAUACGCAGAGCACUAAAUAUAGAUAAAACAUCAGUAUUUGGUGGCCAAAUCAACAACGAUGGUAGCUCUGCAGAGGUUCAGAGAAGCCUGCCGAGGAUACAUUAGCUUUACCUGACACGAAUUAGAAGCACUCAUUCCCACCCGCGUUGCAGGAUUGAAGUCAAGUUGAUGUUUUUUGCAAUAAAAGUAAAUGCGGCUUUUUAGAAGAGAGGACAAAGUGACGACACUUAUGAGAAAGUAAAGCAUUAUAGCUUGUUCGCUUGAGCUUAUCAAUUUAAUCAGCCAGUUAUUCAACAGUGUUUUUUUUUCUCAUAACAAAUCAGUCAACAAUAUUUUCUACCACGGCUUAUCAACCAAACAAACAAUGUUGCCUACAUAUAACACAACUUUUAGCUGCCUUAGAAAACUUUAGCUGCUUAAAUCUUUGUUGCCUACGUGUAACACAACUUUUAGCUAAGAUCAUUACUCUUGUUAGCCUGCAUAGGGGCUGCCCUAACAAACCCAGACAGUUGUGCUAAGGCCUUCUACAACACACCAGGCUAGAGUGCUGCCCCAACAUCCAUAUAAGCAUCAAGUGGUUAUGUCACAUUCAACAACAGCCUCGCAGGGGCCAGAGAUGCCUGCAGAGGCUACGGUGGUUCCGUCUGAUAAAAGAUGGAGGCACCUACUCAACAUGCGUUGUAAAGAAGGAGCAACUUCAAGAUGACGUCUGUUUGCUUAGGACCACAUCUCGUAUACAAUUAAGGCCUUGUUUAGAUGGGAAAACUUUUUGGAUUUCGCUACUGCAGCACUUUCGUUUGUUUGUGGCAAAAAUUUUCCAAUCAUGGACUAACUAGGAUCAAAAGCGAUUUACAGGUAAACUAUGCAAUUAGUUUUUGUUUUCGUCUAUAUUUAAUACUUCAUGCAUGUGUCGCAAGAUUCGAUGUGAUGGAAAAUCUUGAAAACUUUUUGAUUUUUGAGGUGAACUAAACAAGGCCUAAAAUAUGGAAUAGGCUAUAGAGUAUGGAUCCUACAAGAUUAGGAUCUGUUGUGGCUUGCGUUGUAGCAAUAACAUCUUUGGUUGUAGCUUAGUCUAGAUGGCAUAUUACUUUUAUGUGAGGCUAAUACUCUUAUUAGCUUGCGUUGGGGCUGCCCUAAAAAGGUGUGGCAGCCUUAUGUUGGUGGUGGCAUGUCAUGACGGGCAAACAAACACACAGGAAUGUUAACCAACACCUAUGUGUUUUUUAGCAUUUUAACACAUGAUUUUUUCUAUGUCUAUGACUUUGGGGCCCACACCUCAUUCCUCUCUCACUCUCUUCCUCUUCCUCCCCUCCUUUCCUCCCAACGCCUGCCCUGCCCCUGACGCGCACCUCAGCUGCCAUGCCCGCGCACCCCUGCUGCCAUGCCCACGCACUGGUGCACACCCAUGCGUCGUCGCGCCCACGCCUCCCUCCCCAAUGCGUCUCCCUCAGCGCAGCCCUCGACGGCGUCCAUGAUCGCACCCUCGUGUCGGCCAUGGCAGCGGCGGCACUGUCGGGUAGGCUUCUCCUUUCGAUCUAUGAUAUGUGAUUGUACUUUGCUUAGAAAAAAAUUGUGAUUUGUCCUUCUAUAGGCUCAAAAGAUUCGUCUCGUCAAUUCUGACCAAACUGUACAAUUAGUUUUUAUUUUCAUCUAUAUUUAAUACUCCAUGCAUGCAUCUAAAGAUUCGAUGUGACGGGGAAUCUUAAAAAACUUUGCGUUUUUAGGUGGAAGUAAACAAGGCCUGUGUCGCGGAGUGCAAAAAACGCCGUGCGUGCUGGGCUGGGAUGAUCUGGAGUCGCUCUCGAGCUCGACCAUGGCUAAUUGGCUUGCGCCGGCAUGAAAACUUAUCAACCAAAUUUGCUUGUUCGUUUAAGCUUAUCAGCUCAAUUUAUUAAUCAUUAAGUGAUAUUUUUCUUUUAUAACAAUACUUUCUGUCAUGGCUUAUUAGUCAAAGGAACAACGACGCGCCUAUUGGACGUCUGUAAGAUGCUGAGAUGCUCCGGCUAGGCACACAAAGCUGGCAGAGCGGGGCGCUCGAGUAGGAUAGAGUUGCAUGAUGAUGAGAUGCGCCCGGCUCCUGCGCUCUUGCCCACCAAGACCUACCAUGUGCUACCAUGUGUUACAUUACAUAUACCAUUCCCGAUCAUUCAAUUUAACCUUGUCAGGAUGACAAGAACGUGAGAAGCAAUGCCAACUUGUUUAAUUAUAUAUCCGCAUUUCCGAGAUGUAGGAAAGCUGACUUGUGUAUAUUGGCCUUGUUUAGUUCCGAAAAGUGAAAACUUUUCGGAACUGUAGCACUUUCGUUUGUUUGUGACCAAUAUUAUCUAAUUAUAGACUAACUAGGAUCAAAAGAUUCGUCUUGUGAUUUACAGCUAAACUGUGUAAUUAGUUUUUAUUUUCGUCUAUAUUUAAUGUUUAAUGCAUGUGCCACAAGAUUCGAUGUGACGGGGAAUCUUGAAAACUUUUUGGUUUUUGGGGUGAACUAAACAAGGCCAUUGUAUAUGUACAUGAGAAAGUUACGCCGUGACGAACGUUGAAUCUGCGUAUGAUAUAGCCGAGGCUGCGAUCCAAAAGUUUCCAAACACUCUCCUCCCAGGUCAAACGGCAAACACUUAGCUUGCUUGGAUCCUAAUAACCUGGCGCGAGCGCCGGCGGUGGCGCGGCUCCUGGCAGCUGGGCGCCUUCGUGCCUAGGCGGCUGACUGCCCUGGGCCCAGGGCCCGAGGGACGACACCGCGGCGGGCCGGCGGCAGCCAGGACCCGAGUCAGGGGAGGCCGGACGGGCUGAGCGGCGGCGCCCCGGCAGCCAGUACACCGGAUUCAGUGAUUCGGUGAGGAUUCAGUCAUUCAGUUUAAACACUAGAUCACCGGCAUCCCUAGCGUGAAAGAAGAGUACGUUGCUGCCCAUUUGCAUGUUCCAUUGCUUUUUCAAGAGCUAGCAGGUCUAAUGGAAAAAGAAAUCACUAAUAAUGGUGAAAAGGGAUCCCUCACACUCAUCUCCCUUUCCCUUCUUCUACCCUCAAUCAAUGUUUAGGAAUUUCCACUUUUCCGCUUCUUCAGUCGGCUCACUUGUCUUCUUUUUCUUUUGCUUGGCUUCAGGGGUCUAUGGUUUACCUUCUCGCCUUCUCUUGGUUCGUCCCAUGGAUCCUUGCAUUUGAUAAUGAAACAAUCAGAAUUUGUUGAAUUGAAAUAUGUGAAUUCUCAUUUCUUUACGUGGUUUUGGCAACUAUCAAUUAUUUCUUUCCUCGGCUUCUUACACGGGCCCUAAAUGAUAUCUAGUAGGCAACCUGGGAACUACAUUAGCUUAGGGGAUCGGGUAGCGAGUGCUCUCCUCGGCAAAGCACAUGAUUGAGAUUGGAAUUAUUGUAUUGUGAAUAAAGGCAUGAAAGAAAUUCUAUAGUAGUUAGGUAUUCAAAAAGAUAUAAAGAUCUAUGAUUCAGUUGGCUUUUUAUUUAUAGUGUUAUAUUGCUAUUAGCUAGUGAUUGUAGUAAACAAAUUUUCCGAUAAGGGAUAAUCGGAGGUAAGCCUCGACGCUUCAUGGCUAGUUUUUAGUUUGAUGAAGUUAGAUGGCUUGAAUAUAGUGUGGAAGAAGAUGGUCAAGAUGCUGCGUUCUGUUUUAUUUGCUAUUUGUUCAAGCACAAAAUUAAUGCUGAUGAAGAUGCUUUUGCGAAAGAGGAUUUAGAAAUUGGCACAUGAGAACGAAGAUUACUAAAAAUUGUUUGUUCUAUGACUAGUUUUAACAAUAUGGCUCAAGAGAGAGACAGUUCCUAAAGCAUCAACUGUUGAGAAGUUUGCUGCAGUGAUUGAUAAGGAGAAGGUUUUUUGCUUGGAAGGUGGGAAUACCCAAGUUUAAAAUUUUGGCUCCGACAGUGUAUAAAUUUCAGCCUUGCCUCGACCUCGAGGUGACAGGCUCGCUCAAGCUUGGUUGGUUUACAUCCAUAGAAUGAGUCUAACUACACAAGAACCAUACUUAAUUUAAGUAAAUAAAGAAAAGUACAACUAUUUUGUUGUUGGUUACCACAAAACUACAACUUUAUAGUCAGCAUAUCAAUCCUGGCUCUUGUUUGAAUGGUACAUUUACAGAUACGUGAUUACAAAUGGAUUUCGAAGCUACUAAGCACAAUCUCUUGGAACGCAUGCUACUUGAUGCAAGUGCAAAACCUACAGACUUGCCGCUAUCACUUCUAAAAAGUAUCACAAAUGGUUUCUCUGACGAUAAUCGAGUUGGUAGUGGUGGCUUUGCAGUUGUGUACAAGGUAAAUAUAUAAAUCUAUAUACUGCCCUGAAUCUCAGUUUCGAUUGAUCUCAGAACUUAUGUGCAUGCUCACAAGGCAAUGCCCUUGCUUGCCACUGCAGGCAAAACUUCAGAACGGGGAAGUAGCCGUGAAGAAACUGUCACAAGCGCUUGAUCUGGACGAGAAGAAUUUCAAAAAAGAGGUUAGUUGUCUGAUGACGGUAAGGCACAAGAAUAUAGUGCGUUUCCUGGGAUAUUGUGCUGAUACACAAGGGAAAAUCUCUAACUACGCGGGCAAGAUGGUCAUGGCAGACGAACGGGAAAGGUUGCUCUGCUUUGAGUUUGUGCCAAAUGGGAAUCUUGAACGGUAUAUCGCUGGUAUGUUUCUCUACAUCUUAUUUAUAUUGGAAAAAUCCAUAAACCACAAAAAUGUUGGAUGCUUUUGCACUUUGACUUUUGCAUCCAGGAUUAAAGAAGUUACAAUCUCAUUCCAUUUAUCUUUUCCUUUUUUAUUAAUGUAUAAAUAAACUACUAAUAAUCCUAAAAAGGACUUCAGUUACCUAUUUACAAACAUUAAAACUGGAAUCUCAAUUUGCAGAUGCAUCCCAAGGACCCGAAUGGAGUAUACGCUACCAAUUAAUCAAGGGAAUUUGUGAGGGUUUGCAUUAUCUUCACCAGAACAAAAUUCUGCAUUUGGAUCUCAAACCUGCAAAUGUAUUAAUUGAUCACAACAUGGUGCCGAAAAUUGCUGAUUUUGGUCUCUCAAGGCGCUUUGAUGAAAACCAAAGCCAUGCUAUAGCUUCAAAUCUAGUUGGAACAACGUAAGUUACCUAAGGGUCCCCAUAGCACAUCUGUUUUUGCCAGGCACGAUCAAUGCUGCCUUCUUUUUGCUCUUGAAUUAUUGCUCGUACCAUAAAAUUUUCUUUGCAGGGGAUAUUUGGCACCAGAAUUCUAUGGACGAGAAAUAAGAUCAGAGUUAGACAUAUACAGUCUUGGGGUUAUAAUCAUAGAGAUGUUGACAGGACGGAAGGGGUACUUUGAGAUCAAGAAUGUAAGAAUUAAGUAUAUAAAGUUGACAAUUAUGAUAUCCACCACCCCCACCCCACACACACCCUUUUUGUUUGUCUUUUUUCCCCUGAGCCAGUUUUAUAAUAUUUUUCUGAUUUUCUAUCUUUUCUUGAAUUGAUUAUUACAGUGCUAGUUCUUUAUUUGACCCUAACUCAUGAUCACAUUUUCGAUUAUUAGGUACUUGAAAGUUGGAGUGGUAGGUUUGGGACAUCACAAGGAGACACACGGUUGGAACAGGUACGAGUAUGCGCUGAAAUAGGCUUACAAUGCAUUGACUCCGACCCAAGGAAGAGAAAAACUACACGGUGUAUACUUCAGAAGCUUGAUGAAAUGGAAAGUAGGUGCGGUUUUAUUUUAAAUGGCAUCAGUACUUCGCCGGUGACACAUGUAAGUUUACUCUGGCACAUAGUAGCGUGCUCUCAUGAACAUCAUUUUUUGAGCUUACCAUUUCCGCUAUUAUUGUUCUUCGAGUUGGCGGAUAAGUGAAAAUGAUUAGUUAUUAAGAAUACUAAAAAAGGUUUCAAAAAAAAAAGAAUACUAAAAAAGGUUCUACCGAGCUAGAGCAAGGUGAACCUAAGGUGCCAAAAGCCCUGUCUUAGUUAUUUUUUAAGUACUUGGUAUUCUGGCAUUUAGAGACUAAUAAAUUAGAUAAAAUUUAAUACAGGAUAAAAGAAAUGAACCUUUCUGAAAAUUAAAUACAAAAUAACUACAUAUGUGAUUUUGCAAAACUCUAUCUGAUAACAACCUAAAUGACUGACAGGUCGUGCGCUAGCCAAGUGCACGACCUCUUCUCGUACAUGUGCCACGCCAGAAGAGGUACGCCUAAUUAGAGUUCCAAGGUUUCGGAAGAAGUACGCCAGUCAAUAGUAAUCAUAGCAGGGAUUUAGGGCGGUAGCCACGACAUAAUGCGUGAGAGAGCUGUGGGUGGAGAAAGGCAGAUGUGGAUGGAGAUUGGGAGAAAGAGUAGAAAGUUAUUUCCCUCCAUUUAUUAGUGACCCAGUACAAGAAAUUAUGCACUGUGGAAUGAAGUUUCUAUCUACAGUGUCUUACUGCUUUGACAACUAUAUAUGUAAAUUUUUACCACAUACAAUGCAUGGUUAAAGUAAUUUGAGUAGGUUUCUUCAACAAUGAACGGAAAGUGUAGUUUUGUGAUAGUUGUAAUGUGUACUAUUCUGCCUAGUUUUGGUAAUCUUUACUUAAUAGGAUAACCAAGUGUAAUUUCAAAUUUUUACGCUAGUUGCCUUUAUCAACACUGCUGCAAAAACCACACCUUGACCCCCGGAUCAACCCCUGCAGCCUACACCUAACACCCUUUGCCCUAAAAAGAGUAUAAUUAUAGGUUUGAACUAAGUCAAACAUUUUUUAGUUUGACUAUAUAAUUAUAGAAAAUGGAAUCAACUUUGUGUCUCCUAACAUGUAUUACUAUAAAAAUAAAUUUAAUGAUUUGAUCUAUUUAUACUAUUUUUUGCAUCAUAAAUACUAUCACUUUUUAUGUAUACUUCUCGUAAUUCCUCCUGUUUGUUUUUUCAUUCUAAUAAUUACUUUGCAAUUAUUAUUUUUAGGAACCAGUAAUGAUAUCGCCCAAUGUUUCUGCACCUGCUUUAUCGCACAUAACACCUAUUUCAAAUGUGGCUUCUGAAGGAGUAUCAGCACUGCAAACUUCAUCACCAUAUCUUAUUCCACAAGAAGCAAAUUUUGCAAAUGAUACUGUGCAAGAACACAAACCUGUAAAAAAUCCUGUUCAACUGCCAGUACGAACUGGUAGUCAUGGUAGCCUCAACAAUCUGCCACAGGUCAGCCUGACGAACUCAACUUCUUUAGGAGGACCACCUCGAUGGCUCGAUGGGACUGUCUAACAUGGGCAACCAUACAGGUUCACAUGUCAAACACAGAAUUGAAUUCCAUUGAUUUGACUAACAAGUCUUCCAUGAAUAUGCCUAUUGGGCAGCAUCCCCAUGCCCAACAGCAGCCACCAAACUAUGUCAAAAUUUGGCAGGUAAGGAUUUCCUCUUGUAUUUUAGCGUUUGCGUAUACACAAUCAGCGCACAAUCACAAUUUUCAACUUCUCCUAGUGAUAUGAGUUUUUCUUAGUAUUUUAGCAUUCAAAAUUUAGUAUAAACUUUUCCUACUAAAUGUCCCUUAGUGAGAAUUUUCUAGUACUAUGACUAGUGGUAGUAUUUUAUUAUUAAUUAAAAACACUAGGAUAACUUCACUAUUUUGGUAGUGACGUGCCUGCUCCGUGGCAGUGACAACUUAGAAAUGGGCAGACAGAUUUUUAAAACUCAGUACUACUCCGUAAAUCGUAAGAGAAGUGCACAACACUUGACUAAUACGAGCCUUAUUAGGGCCUGCUUGCCAUGUUACUGGAUAUAUAGGGUAUAAGAGUAUCUCCAAGAGUUCCCAAUAAAGACUUCUAAUCUAGGAUUUUUGGCAAGAAUAGAAAAAAUCCAUCUCCAAGAGUUUUCAAUACCACAUUUCAAUCUUUUAGCACUUGGAAAAGAAAUCAGCCAACGCGCGUAAAGAUCUGCGCAUCUACCGUGCGCAUAUCGGUCUCACAAUCUAAAUGCGAAAGGGUGUGAAAAAUAAUAAAGAGUAGGAAAGAGUUCUUAAUGCAAAUGGAUAAGAGAAAGAAUAUAUAAAAGUGGUUGAAAUAAUUUAGAAAUAGUAUAGGAUUUCAAAUAUAAAAUUGUCUUUUAUAUUUUUUAGGAGUGAAUUAUAUUGGAAACCCUUGGAGAUGGUCUUAUCUAUUCCUCCCAAUAUUUCUUUAGGAUUUGGAAAAUGCCAUGUUUUUUUGAAAUGAAUUAUUAGGUACUCGUGGAGAUGCUCUUAUAUUGCAUAGGUUAUUUUGUACAUUGGUCAUAGAGGUUUUGAACAAAUGUUUAUCAUAUGUUAGGGAACUUUAUCUGGGCGAAGGAGAGGAGAACGUGUUCACAUUUGUCAUCUCGAAGUAAGUACUUUUUUGCAUUAUUUCACUCCCAAAACAUUAUGCAAUAUUUUGUAAAAAAAAGGAUUCCACUAUCUUUUUUUAAGCUGCAAUGUUACUAGCUAAUUGAAUGAUUUGACAUUUCUUUGCUCUAUGUAUGCUUGUAUGAAAUUGAAAGAAAAUAACUUUUUCCUUAAAAAAAGCUUGCAUGGCUAUUUUUCUAUUGAACAGGCAAGCUAUAUUUCAGGUGCCUGAAUUUUAAGGUGAUUUGAGUCAACACUUUUGUACAACUAACUAGUAUAAGUAAAUUAUUACUUUUGUGAUUCAUUACUUGUCUUUGUGUCAUAACAUACCAAAUUUUUGUCCUUAUCCAACUAUAGAAAUGAUUAUAUUGUUAAUUGUCUCUGUGUCAGCAGAUGUCAGAUUUUAUAGGUUUUAUGAUUUUGUUUAACAUGUAUUUUUAUUCUUCGAACAAAAAAUUACAGAUUACGCCUACAGAAAUUGUAACUGACUAAAGCUACAAUUUUAAUAUAAAAUAUAUACAAUAACCAUUGCAUGAAAGGAAGCUAACAUUCAGGCACCUGAAUCUUAGCAAGUCCCUUAUAUAAUAAUUAUAUUGAGAAGAAACACAAGGGGCAAGAGUCCUUACAGUUAGAAACAUAGACCGACCCACUUCUUAAUUUGUAUAACUAAAUCUUGUGUUAUCUUUGACACAUUAACUUGCUAGACCAUUAAUGGAGAUAAAUUAGCUUCCAAGAAACUCCUAAACGCUCAAUCAUGAUUUCUUAAAGUUGAGGUAGAAAAAUUAAGGCCGUUAAAACAUGGGUUGCAUCAAUUGCUGCCAGUGCAAAUUUUCAGUCAUGGUUAUUUUCCACCUUCAAAACUUGAAUCUAAUCCUCAGUUUGGUUGUAUUUAGUGUUCUCCAUUGCUAGGUUCUUUUACUAUUCAUAGUAUGAACACAUAUAUUCAUUGAAUUAUUUGUCUUUUUAUUAAUUCUCACAUUAGCAUAUGUCUGACAGGCUUAUAGGAGAGGAACAAUGCCUGAAAUGUAAGUGUUUGAAUUAUUGCAAUAAUCCUUGCAUUUAAUUGAAUUUGCAUUUUUCAUUAGCAUUAUUGUUUGUUGAUUACUUUGAUCGAGAUCUGUAAUCUUGCCAUUAGCCGUUGGUGUUAUCCUUGUGUUAAAAGAAAUGACUUGUGAUAAGAUUUUUCAUAGUAUAUAUCGUGUUGAGGGUUUUGUAACCCACUAUGCCAUGCACGAUGUGCAUGAUGCACUCAAUAGAUAUACUAAAGAGCCAUGCACAAUGUUGAGGAUUAUUCUUUUUCAAAUGGGACCCUUUUUCUGAUAUUAUUGAAUUGUGCUUCCUAAGUAGGAAAUUGAAAACUCUACUUUCUAUAUGCAGACAUGUAGCGGACUGGCCAGAAAUUAUGGAGAUUAGUCGCAUGAUAGAUGAGAAGCAUAUGGACAUGUUUGUAUCUCAAGCUCGCCCUUUUUAAUGCGAUCUUGUUGCAUUAUCACACUUGCGAAAUGUUGUGAACAAUGUCUUUUCUGUGCAGAGAUUAUUGUGAAGUUGCAGACUUUUUAACAUUCGGGGUUUCAAAACAGCAUGGGUUUCUUGGACAACUACAAGAGAAAAAGCUGGUCAGUGAUUGGUUCUAAUCUUUUGAUACCUGUGUUAUUCAGCUAUCUUUCAUCUACAGUCAUUUAAUUCUUUGCAGACAUUUUGUACAAUUCUAAUGCCUAGUUGGUCCUCUGUUUCAGUGUACUGUGAUAAUAUUACCUUCACAAACUUUGCUGCUAAAAUGGUCUGAAAAAGUAGGCCGCCUGAUUGGCAUGCUCUUCCCUGGGGUAAUCUUGAUUGUGGCUAAAUGAAUAUAUAUACUUCAUCUCAGAGGUCAAUAUAAUCAUCUGCAUUUACUGAAAUAUUGCCUUUUUCUGCAGGACAUAGAGGUAUUGAAAACACCGAUCUCAAAGUCAGCAGCUAGUAAUAUAUCAGCAGCAGCUGCUGCUGCAGUGCUGCUACACCAACAACAGCAGCUGUUGCUCCAGCAGCAACACAUGUAUAUGCAGCAAGGCCUCCUUCACCAGCCGGAGAUGCAACCAAUGAAACACCAGCAUGAAAGUAGACGUGCCGCUCCAGCAAUAGCAGCUACAGCAGAUGAUGCAAGGGAAAUUUUGGCUGAAAAGGGCCGGGCCAAAGUCGCCAAACAGGAUGCCUGAGGAAGGCUUCCUAUUCCUACCGUCAAAGGGUUAGAGAUGUCACCUUUAAUUGGCAGUUUUAGAGAGGGGACUUGUGUAAACUUACAUGAUGGAUAAUACAAUCUAUUCCAAAGUGAUAACAUAUCAUUCUACAUUUCUACUGGAUUGAUCUAAAUCGACUGGAAGCGUAGUUAAUACUUGCAUUUCGCAUGUCAUACUAGAACUUGCUCUAUCAAAUUCACACAUCAGAUUUCGUCAGUCGCAACAUGGUGAUAUCUAUAAACUCAAGUAAAUAUCUUAAGAUAUUGUCUUGAUGCAUGUCCGUCUCAUAGCAUAUGGGUGCCAACAUUCUGUGUAAUGCUAAGUAGAGUAGUAGCAAACAACCAAAUUGUUUGUGUUGAGAUUGAGAUUCCCAAUCUUGAGCAUCUCCAACAGUUUGUCAAAAACUGUUUGGCAAAUCUUGACUUUUGACAAGUUGAUAAAAAGGAUGGCAAGUCAAAUAUUUGAUGAUCUCCAAUAGUUUGCCAAAAUGACUUAACAAACGUAAAAAACGGGCCCAUAGUUACCUGUUUGCAACCGACAGACUCUCCUUCUCCCUUCCACCGGAUCGCGCAAGAAGACCGGUGGAAACCCUCUUGUGCGCUAAUAGAAAGUUUCUUGUAUACCGGUGGAAAGGAACCUGUGCGCUAGGAGAAAGUUUUCUGUAGACCGGUGGAAAACCUCUUGUGUGCUAAUAGAAAGUUUCUUGUAUACCGGUGGAAAGUUUAUUGUUUACCAGUGGAAAGUUUCCUGUGCACUAGUGGAAAGUUUUCCUGUGCGGCGGGGCACACCUUCAGAUCGAGAUCUCCGGCUGGAGCACCUGGUCUCGCGACGGUCCUUCAAACGACGCCGGUCUGGGAGGAACAACGAGAGCGACCUGAAAGACGACGGGCCAGAAGUUUCACUUGCCGUGCGGGAAAGGGAAAGAAGAAGAGGGAUCGCGCGUUGCCAAGCGAGUCCGCGCGGCGGAUAGCUACCAGCGCGGCUCAUGAAUUUGCCAAGCGUGUCAAUUUGCCAAAUGUGUUUGCCAAACUGUUGGAGAUGCAUUUUUGCCCCUUUUGCUAAUUUUUCAAGGAUGCAAAGUGUUUUUUGCCAAAUGUUGGAGAUGCUCUGGUAGAAAUCAGGGUGGACAAGAUCUCUCUAUCUACCUGACCAGGAAUGCGGGGGAUAAGAGGUGCAUGCGGUGCGAGCCUUUCUGGUGGUUGGCGCAGAGAGAAAGAGUGUCGCUUAGCGAAGAUCAACAAAGACCACAAACCACAGCAGAUGGCAGGUAAACCUUGUUUUAGUAAAUGGAAAAGUUCCGACCUCUACUAUCGCACACAGCCAAGAUUGUAGGUAAACCUGUUGGUCUAAUAAAAUAUUUAGAAGCUUGGGUUUGGAGCAGCACCAGUCCAAGGGUCGACCUCCUAGCCCUAAAAGGACUGAGGACAAACAAGGGGAAAGGAUGAAUGGGAUAGGGGAGAGACAGGACUGACAUAUAGAAAUCAGAUUCGAAGAUUUACAAAGAACAAGACUCUACUCAUGGCGACAGUUACGAUGCAUGGAAGAAGAAAUAGACAACGAAAAAGGUACUAAACAACAAGUUGAUACCUAGUGUUGCUUAUUGUUGUGAAUGACAGUAGAUAAACGACGAAGACCAAAAGAUCAAAUCACAGCGGAGACACAAGAUUUAACGUGGAAGUCGCUUUGCUUUGCUCCGUCAGAAGACGGCCUUUAUAAUAUGCAACUAAAUUUGGAACAUAUUCAAUAGACUCCACCUUGAGACAAAUUCAUCUUGUAGCAUAAAUCAACACCUUCGUCCUGAACAUAACAAGAAAAUACCACUGGCGCCAAAUAGCCUCUUGGGCUAAUCUACUAAACCAACUAAGCUUGAGCAUAGCUCAAACUUAGCAAUAGGAAUAGGUUUAGUCAUCAUAUCAGCAGGAUUAUCAUGAGUAUUGAUCUUACAUACCUUUAACUUACCAUCAUCGAUAACAUCAUGAACAAAAAUGGUACUUGAUGUCAAUAUGUUUAGUUCUCUCAUGAACAUCCGAUCUUUGGUAAGGUAAAUAGCACUUUGACUGUCACAGAAUAAGUUAAUGCAAGAAUCAACUCUACACAGCUCAACGCACAGACCUUUUAGCCAAAUUAAUUCCUUGUACGCCUCAGAAAUAGCCAUAUACUCUGCUUCAGUUGUUGACAAAGCAAUAACAGAUUGCAAUGUAGGCCUCGAACUUACACACUCUCCUAAGUUGUAUGGUUUUUGAGUUCGGUUUUCAUUUAAAAAACUAAGCGUACACUUGCCUUUUUUUUUUCUUUUCUUCGUCUAAGGCCUUGUUUAGUUCCCAAAAAAUUUUGCAAAAUUUUUCAGAUUUUUCGUCACAUCGAAUCUUUAGACACAUGCAUGAAGUAUUAAAUAUAGACAAAAAUAAAAACUAAUUGCACAGUUUGGUCGGAAUUGACGAGACGAAUCUUUUGAGCCUAGUUAGUCCAUGAUUGAACAAUAUUUGUCAAAUACAAACGAAAAAGCUACAGUGUCGAUUUUGCAAAAUAUUUUAGAACUAAACAAGGCCUAAUAGAAAUCGUGACAAAGCUUUUGCCAUCCUUUCUAAAAAAGCCUUACCUUCCAUGAGUUGGAAAUCAACAGGACCUAUGGAAAUAAAGAGGGUUUAGUACUCAAGAAGAAGACCUGGUGGAUAAUGCCUCUAUCCAGAGCCUGAAGAGUUUUUUCUGGCAGUGAAGAGCAAUAAGAAUGGGAAGCAUCAGUUAGAAAGAAGCAAAGGGAAAAAAAGAGGUGGCAAAGUGGCGGUUGCAACUAGAGCCAGCUCAAGAAUCCCAAAGGAUGGGAGAACAGUGAUGGAUAGAUGCUGCAUGCAUCGCUCUACCACGGCGCUGCAUAUCAACACACAGGUACCUCCCACACUAACCCUUUUACUGUGCUGAAUACUAUUGAUUCUAACAAUGUCACUAAUGAGCAUUAAUGAGCACUAGCUAGCGAUGGUACUCCUAAGAGCCUGUUCGUUUGGUUAAAAAUGUUGUUCAUCAAUUCAUAGUGAGCGACAAAUAUUGCUGAAUGGUUGAUAAAUUUGGCAGAUAAGCUCAAGUGAACAUGCUCCUUAUUUGCUGCUCACGAGCCAGCUCGUUAAGGAAAACGACCUAAAACUUUGAUACAUGUAAUUUGAAGAAUAAUAAAUAGGUUAUUUUAAACCUAUUCAUUUGCCAACGUUGAUAUGCAUAGAAAUCACUUAGGCAAGUAUAGAUAUAGCCCCAAUUAUGCAAGCAAUAAAAAUUUAUACUGCAAGCACAUAAUAAUUGAGAGGACAAAAAGAUACAUGUUAAAAAGGUUAAUAUUUCAAGUCCUCCAGAUACUACGUCAUGUCAUAGAAACCAACGUUAUGCAAGUAUGGACGAGAGUACGUAGAAACCAGUCGCUCAGUCUUCGGGGCGUCUUAGCGUCCGGCCGCUCGGACGGCAAUCGUGGGCCGAUAAAUUUUCCCGCGUAGUCACUUUCCCGCCCACCAGACUAUGGCGCACGAGAGGAUGGUACGCGCGGAACAGAUCACGGAUCACCAGUAUGCAUGUAGUGCUGACGUCAUACGUUUUUACCAACUAAAAAAAGUUAUAGAUGCUAAAUCAAACAUUCAAAUUAAAUUUUGAUUACACCAUUAGAUUUCUUAUAAUAAAUCCUUUAAAACAAGAUCUCACAUGAAUAUAUUUAGAUAAAAUUUUAUUGGCGAACAUUUGUCUUAUGAAGAUAGAAUUUUUUUUAUUAAAUAGAGACGAUGUUCUAGAUUUAGAAAACAAUGUUCCGUCUUUGAAACAAAAAUGUUCUCAAUUUAGAAAAACAAUGUUCUAAUUUUAGAUGCGUAAAAAAACAAAUAAAUAAAUGCAUAUCAUAAAUAAAAAAAAUAAAAUGUAGACCAAAGCAUGAAAACAAAAAUGUAAGAAAACGCAAUAGAGAAAAUUAAAAAGAAUAUCACGUGGAUAAUUUUCAAACAUCCUAAAAUAGACUAUAGAAUAUCAUAUGUAUAACAUUAGGGUAAGUAAACUAUUAAAUAUAUUAUAAAUGUGAACAUUAGUAAAUACACUAUAAAACAUCACGGGUAUACUUGAACAUCACAAAAAACACUAUAAAACAUCACAUGUAUACUACAAGAACAUCACAUAUAGAUUACGCGAACAUUACAAAAUACAUCAUAGAACAUUACACAUAUACCACGUGAAUAUAAAAAAACACAUAUAUAACACAUGAACAUAAAAAAAGCACAUAUAAACUAUAUAAAAUAUUAAAAAUCCAACAUAGAACAUAAAAAAAGAAAAAGAAAAGAAAUAAAUGAAAAAAAAUAUAACAAUGAAAAUAAUUGUAAACAAAUAAGAAAGAAGUAGAAAAAUAUAAAAGGUAUAGAAUAUGAAAAAAGACAUAUAUAACACAUGAACAUAAAAAAAAGCACAUAUAAACUAUAUAAAAUAUUAAAAAUCCAACAUAGAACAUAAAAAAAGAAAAAAGAAAUAAAAGAAAAGAAAAGAAAAAAAUAUACAAUGAAAAUAAUUGUAAACAAAUAAGAAAGAAGUAGAAAAAUAUAAAAGGUAUAGAAUAUGAAAAAAGAAAAAUAAAAAAGAAAAGAAAAAAUACCAAGAAAAGAAAAUAAAAAAUAUCAAGAAAAGAAAAGAAAACUAAACAACAGCGAUCAGGAGGGGAAAAGAAAAGGAAAACAAAAAGAAACAAAAUAAGAAGAAAAGAAAAAAAAUAUAUUAUAGAACAUUAGUAAUACACCAUAGAACAUCACUACAUAUAUUAUAGAACAUCACAUAUAUAUUAAACGAACAUCACUAAAUAUAUCAUAGAACACCACAUGUAUACUAAAGUGAACAUCACUAAUACAUCGUAGAACAUCACAUGUAUACUGCAAGAACAUCCCAUAUAUAUUACAUAGACAUCGCAAAAUAGAUCACAGAAUAUUACAUGUAUACCACAUGAACAUAAAAAAGCAUCAUAGAACAUCAAAUAUAUAUCAUGUAAACAUAAAAACAUCGCAUUAUGUAUACUAUAUAAACAUAGAAAAUAACAUAUAAUAUCGAAAAAAUAUAUAAAAAUAAUAGUAAAAAAAUAAAAAGUAUGAAAAUAAUAAUAAUAAUAAUAAACACAUAAAAAUAAAUAAACAAACCUAAAAGACAAGAAAACAUGAAUCAAAGAAAAAUAUUUUAAAAAGAAAACAAAUAAAGAAAAAUAAAAUGAUAAAAACAUGAUUAACAAAUGAUGAAUAUAUAGAACAAAUAAAAUAAAUGAUUAACUUAAAUAAGAACCAAAAAAGGAAAUUAAAAAGAAAGAAAGAUUAAAAUAAGAAUGAAAGCAUAGAAUACUCAAAAAGAAAAGAAAAGGUAGAAUAAAUAGAGGCAAGCAAAAACAACAAAAAAUCAAAAGAAAAAUAAAAAGUAAAAAUAAAUAGGAAAAGAAUAAAAAAAGAAAACGUAAUACAAUAAAAAUAAAAACAUAGAAAACAAAAAAGAAUAAAAUAAAAAAUAAAUAGAAGCAAUGAAAAAAUAAUAAAGAGAGAAAAAAGAAAGAGAAGAGAAAACAAAUGUGAAAAGAAAAUUGAAAAAAAGAAAGAAUACAUAUGAAACAAAAGUAAAAAAAUUGAUGCAUGGAAAGAAUAGUAAUAGUAAGAAAAAGAAAAGGAAAAAAGAAAAGAAAAGAAUAAUAAAAAGUCACAGAAAUCAAAAAGAAAAUAAAAAUAAAAAUAAAUGAAGCAUGGAAAGAAAAAGAAAAAGAAAAAAGAAAAGAAAGUAAAUGGAAAGAAUAAUAAAAAAGAAAAAAAAAAGAGAAGCUUACCUACCUGGCUCGUCGCUUCCCGCCGCGUGGGUCGUGGCUUGGGCGGGAAUUGCCUUGCGCUCGCGUUGUGGGUUGGGCGGGAAUCAUCGGACCGUGGUUUCUGUCCGAUCGUUCGGACGGAAAGAUUCCCGUCAGUCUUCAGCGUCUACAUGGAAAAAGAGAACGAUAGUGUUAGCGCCUGAACGUGUGGACAGACGCCCGCGUGCUGCACUACAUUUCGGGCUCCACAUGGGGCCCGUGGCGUUUGAGCGACAAGAAAGGAUGGGUGCAUGGCGCCUACAAUUCAGAUGGACCCAGCCACAGUGUCAUACGGAUGCCUUGCCGGCACCGAGACACAAUGCAACAGAAGGUGGAUCGGAGAGGAAAGAUGCAACACCUAAUCUACUUCUGAAUCAUCUAUAGAUACAACAGUUGCAACAUAUUAUGAAGACAGUUGAAAUACUUGAAAAAACACCUAUAAACACUUGAACCCCAUUGAAACAUACGCAACAUUUCAAAUAAAACACAUGCAACAUAUUUGUGAACAUAUACAAUAUCCCGAUAAACACACUUGUAACAUAUGUUCAGAAAACACGGAUGAAACAUAAACAUUUCAAACACUCGAAAUAUACGGUUGUAAUAUGCCUCUGAAACAAUUGCAACAUAUACAAUAUCUCCUGAUCUACUUUUGCAGCACCCAUAUAAACACAAUAUGGAUCUAUGCCCGUUUCUUUAAGACUUUGUAUGACAUUAGCACUGUCUGAAGCUAAACCGGAUGGACUUGGAGCGUUAGAUCAGAUGCCAACGCUAAACUUUCCCUAUAUGCAAUCGUCUCGGGCUGUUUCAAUAUAAGUAAUACCUCCAAAGAACCACACCCGGAACUCCCAAGAACUUCCUUGCCUGAUCACGAGCAACAGCUGCCACAGACGCUUGACCCAAGUUCUUGAAGAUAUAUUGCUACACAUCAACAUUUAACCUUUAUACAUAUCCCGCUGGAGGUGGUAACCACUUCGGUCACCUGGUCUGGAUCGAACCCUUCACCGCCUUAUUAGACACUCUAGAAGAUCAGCCAUGUAGUUGUUAACAAAGCUAUAUGUUGAUAGCGAAGAUAUUCUCGUGUAUAGCUUUUCUUCUCGCUUACUUACCUUACCAGAUAGCUCAUAUCCUCACCACCACUCGAACCAGAUCGCCAUGGGAUGAUUUGAUCAAGGCAGCCACACACACACACACACACGGGGGGGGGGGGGACAUGGUCUGGUGGUACCGUAAUUGGCAAGUCAAUACCCUUUGUGCGACGGACCACCCAAUGCAAGGCACCAACGGCGGCCCAGCGGCCCAGGCCUGUGCCUGCCGCUCAUCUCAUCUGUAUCGUAACCCACACGCAUCGACACUGUCAAGUUAGCCCAAAAAGCUUUCUAACUUUGCUUCUUCAAUCCUCGGCCACUCCCGCCACUUUCCGCCCGAUUACGCGCUUCAAAAAUGGUCGCUCUCCCGUCCGGGGACUUGAACCAACACCCAGCCACUCGCCACUUUCCGCGGCCGCGCCCAUGGAGAGCAGCAUCCGCCUCGCCGACACCCUCCGGCCGUCGUCUCUCCCGGCACCGGCGUCCGCCCACCUCCGCCGCCGCCACCUCUACCUCCACCGCCUCCCCCGCACCUCCUCCUCCUCCUCCCUCUUCUUCUCCCCGUCGCACCAUCAUCGCCUCUGCCCCACGCCUCGGCAUGACCUCCUGCAGCCUCUCGCCGCCGCCGCCUCCGGCGCCGCGAAGCUCGUGCCCGCCUCCCCGGCGCCAGCUGAUUCUAGCCCCGAGCCAAAGCCCUCGGGCGCGAAGCUCGUGCCGCUCGUCAUCUCCCUCGCGGUCGGCCUCGCCGUGCGGUUCCUGGCGCCGCGGCCCGCCGAGGUGAGCCCGCGGGCGUGGCAGCUGCUCUCCAUCUUCCUCUCCACCAUCGCGGGGCUCGUGCUGGGCCCGCUCCCCGUCGGCGCCUGGGCUUUCCUCGGCCUCACGGCCGCCGUCGCCACGCACACGCUCCCCUUCGCCGCCGCCUUCGCCGCCUUCACCAACGAGAUCAUCUGGCUCAUCGUCAUCUCCUUCUUCUUCGCGCGCGGCUUCGUCAAGACGGGCCUCGGCGACCGCGUCGCCACCUACUUCGUCAAGUGGCUCGGCAAGAGCACGCUGGGGCUGUCCUACGGGCUCGCCCUCGGCGAGGCCUGCAUAGCGCCGGCCAUGCCCAGCACCGCCGCCAGGGCAGGGGGCAUUUUCCUGCCCAUCAUCAAGUCACUCUCCCUCUCGGCUGGGAGCAAGCCCAACCAUCCGUCUUCACGGAAGCUCGGAACAUAUCUGGUCAUGUCGCAAUUCCAGGUAACAUAAUAGUGUUUUUAUUUCCCAAAACAAAAAAAGGUAAUCAAGUAGCGCAGUUCGUCAGAUAUCAAUUGAUGAACUUGCUGUUUGAUUUUAAAUUUAUUAAAAUCAUGGCUGUUGGAUUCGCCACCAUUGGCAUGUGACUCUUACUAGGAUCUCCAAAAUCCUCAAAAUCAAACUUAGCAAAAUUUCAAAUGUUGAAAUGUGGUUCUUGGGGGUGAAUAUUAUUAGAUCAGUUUCUGUGUACGCAUGAUUGGUGAAUGUUCAUAUAUACUUCUUCUGGUAUGUUAUACAUCUUGAUGUUUUAUUUUGCUUGACAGGCAGCUAGUAGCUCAAGUGCUUUGUUCCUGACUGCUGGGGCACAAAAUCUGUUGUGCUUGAAUCUAGCAGAAAAGUUUGGUGUUAUUAUCGCAAAUCCAUGGGUAACAUGGUUUAAAGCUGCUAGUUUGCCAGCUAUUGUUUCUCUCCUAGCAACGCCAUACUUGCUAUACAAAAUCUUUCCCCCUGAAAUAAAGGACACCCCUGAGGCCCCGGCAUUGGCUGCAGAGAAGCAGAAGCAGAUGGGUCCGGUGACUAAAAAUGAAUGGGCUAUGAUUGGCACAAUGAUUCUUGCAGUCGCGCUAUGGAUUUUUGGGUAAGAUUAUCUGUCUGAAGAAGAUCAUCUCAUAAUGUUGACUCGUGAUCUCAAUACCACCCCUGCAGCCUGCCACCUAUUUUACUAUAUGGUUCUUUUAUAAAUAAAAGAUCUGCAUGGACUUUCGCAAGCUGCUCCAGAAAGCCUCAUUACACUUAUCUUGGAAUGAUCCAAUUAAUCUGAAAGCAAAUAAUUGGUUGAUUCUCUCAUCCUUAAGUUGCCAUAGUGCACUGUCCCAUUCAUAUAGUCUGUUUCCCACUCUUUGUUUGCCUUUCCUUGCUCCUUGCUCACUUCUAAUAUGAACGAAACGAAACUUGGUGGUCCAUAUGCAUCCUGUUAUUGAUGACACAUGUUUUCUUUUUAUUUAUCUCUGAUGAUCGUAUUCAUCUAUAUCCAUCACUACAUGUUUAAAUACUUGAGAGACCCAUCGUAGAUCUUUAAUCCCUAAUUUCAGAUAUUGGUAGCUACUACAAAUUAGGCAGAAUGCUUUAGAACACUAUUUAUGAGAUCUAUGCAUUGUGCCCUAGAAAUUGUACUCUGGUGUGCUUUUUUGUGUCCCAUGGUCAUGAUGGAUAUGUUUAUUUUUAAAAAUAAAGGUCACGAUGGAUAUGUAACCUGUUGCAAUUUCUGUUCAGGGAUGCUAUUGGUGUGUCUAGUGUUGUGGCUGCAAUGCUUGGGCUCUCCAUUCUUCUCCUGCUUGGUGUGCUGGACUGGGCUGAUAUCUUGAAUGAGAAAUCCGCAUGGGAUACAUUGGCUUGGUUUUCAGUUCUGGUUGGGAUGGCAGCACAACUCACAAGCCUGGGGAUUGUUUCUUGGAUGUCAAGCUGUAUUGCUAACCUGCUUCAGUCUUUCUCAUUGAGUUGGCCUGCAGCAUUUUGUGUUCUUCAGGCCUCCUACCUUGUGAUCCAUUAUCUAUUCGCAAGUCAAACUGGGCAUGUUGGAGCCUUGUACUCUGCAUUCCUGGCUAUGCAUGUAGCAGCAGGCGUUCCUAGUGUGCUUUCAGCACUUGCUUUGGCGUUCAACACAGAUUUGUUUGGGGGAAUAACUCACUACAGUAGUGGGCAGGCAGCGGUAUACUUUGGAGGUAAUUUCAUUAGUCCAGCUUCUGUUCUGAACCUAGUUUCCUUAUUGGUUAUGUUAGAUAUGUGUCAAAAUACAUGUACAGUUUCGAUUAGGUUGGAUUUGUGUUGUAUUAGAGGCUAAGAUAGAGUUGGAGUCGAACUCUAAGUCCUAUGCGAUCAUAAAUAUGAGGCCACCCUCAGGGGCGGAUCUAGGAUAAGAACAAAGGGGAGGAGGCUAAACAAUGAAGAUUUAGUGCUAAAGUUAGAGAUUAGUGAUGAUUUUGAGGCUAAGUAACAGUGAUUAAGGUAGAAAAUCAUGCUCAUAGGGGGGCUGCAGCCCACCUAUCCCCCCCUUGUGGAUCCACCAUGGUCAUCCUCUUAUAUCCGUGAGACGACUUGGCGGCUGGUUUGGGCGACGGUGAGUGAGAUCACCCAAACACUGGUGCGUAGGAGCACCCACAGUCAUGCCCCGAGGAUGUAGGUAGAUCACCGAACCUCAUUAAAAAAUAUUGUGCCUUGGUGUCAUUCUUGUUUGUGUAUUUUCUUCUAUGGUGGUUAUGUUUUCGUCGGUUAAUAGAUUUGUUUGGGUCUAAAUCUAACUGUGCACUCUAACAGGUUAUUCUUGGCCUCACGUUUUUUUGUUGUUUAUUGUUUUUGUGUAGAAUGAGAAGCUCUAUCAUUUGAGCGUCCCUUCUUUUCUAUCUAUGCGGUCCCUUGAGAUUGCUUUCUCAAUUAACAUGUUGCUUUCCUUUUGCAGCUGGGUAUCUUGACCUUCCUGAUGUUUUCAGGAUUGGUUUUAUAUCAACCUUGAUUAACACAUUGAUCUGGGGAGGUAUUGGGACCUUUUGGUGGAAAUUUUUAGGGCUCUACUGACAGCAGGCGCCGUGUAAGUUGAGCAAAUUUUCUUUUGUCGAGCAAAAUUUUCCUUUGUGCAGCAAUUUUUUUCUUGUUCGGUGUGCGUACAAAACGUGUCUGGUUUGAACUGGAUAGUAUAAAGCGACCUUAGGACAAAAAUCAAAACCCCUAUCAAAUGGUAUCCAAAAAUUAUAAAAUUGUAACCAUAGACGCCUUAGGAAAGGUCUCAACAAAAUUUCAGCUCUAAACUCGAAAGUUUGACCUACUGGAUGUCCAAACAUUCACACCGGACAUGUCUGCUAUGUAUGAGCGGAAAAAACUAAUUUCAGCCCUCUCUUUUUAAGUGAGUUUGAGUACUUAAGAGAAUUACCCGUGCUAAGAUUCAUCUCUAUUUUUCUUAUUUUUGCCAAUCUAAUUUUGCUACUACAAUUUUUGCUGCUGACAGCAACGUACCGGUGGUGUUGGAAGUGAUGACAGCAGCUGGAUUAAGUGGAGGCAGGACAACAUUGAAUUGGAUAAUUCAGUUGAGAUGUGAUUCUGGGGAGAUGAGAUGGUGCCAUUGUAUUGUUACUCCCAAAACCGUUUCCCCGGUCAGAGGGAAGUCUUGCAAAUGUGAAAUGGAAGAAAAAUGCGCUGCUGGUAGUUGCACUUGCACGGAGUUGGAGCUGGGCUCGGGGGCUGUUUGGAAGCUCAGUAUUUAUCCUAAAACCCUUGUAAAUUACAGGUUUACGCGCGACUGUCACAAUAUAGUAGAGAAAAGCGCGACCAAUCUCUACGCGCAUGAUGCCUUAGAGCACUCACAAUGCAGACUCUAUCAUAGAGUCUAAAGUUAUUUAUUAUCUCGAACAAUGUGGACUUAGAGUCUAAAUAAGACUUGGAGUUUUAUUUUUUUUAUCUCUUUCUUAAAUAAAUAUGCUAUCACAUCAGUAAAAUACCUUUAAUAAUAUGUAAUUAAUUAUCUUGGACUCUGUAAUAGAGUCUUACAUUUUAAGUGCUCUUAGCGUUGACUCCACUCCUCUGUCCGUCCGUCCCUGUCCGUUUUCGACUGACACAAGUAUCCGUUCGAGCUGGUCAACCGCCGCCGCCGCCAUCUCCCUUACGUCAGGCUCACAAAGCCUUAAAAAAAAUAAAAAAUUUACUUUAAUUUCUAUAAUUUUUAAAUGGUGUAUCUAUUUUCAAUUCUGUUUGUACCGGUGUGUUCCUACCUAACGAGACGAACAAAACUAGACCACAUUUAAAUAGUUUUAUUUUAGUAGCAAUUUAUGUAUAAUACGUGCUAAGAGAUUUAUUUAAGGAGUUACUACCAUGUAAUGCUAAAGUUGGUACUCCAAGUUGUUACAUAAAACUUGAGAGGUAUAUUAUUAAAAUAAGCAUAAAACAAGCUGUCAAUUGGGAUCAAGUUAUUAUACAACACAAUCUACGACCCCUUAAACCUAAUACAUGCCGCAACCUCUAAUCUAAUACUUGUUGAACCCCUAAUCCCAACCAAAUCUAUCAGCAUGUAUGUGCUUUUUUAGCAACUUAUGUAUGCAAUGACUACCCUUUUAGACUAUCUCCAACAAUCGUCACCCAAAAUACAACACCCAUUUGUCCUUUGGGUAGCGCUACAGGUAAAAGGUUCCAUACCUAUUUUUAGUCUUCUCCAACAACAACAAGACCUAAAAGACAACACUCUCUGCAAAUGGGUCUCGAGGAGAGAGGAUACCCAAAUUUGGGUUAUGCCUCUCCUGAUACCCAAAAUAGGUCUUCUGUAUGGAUACUCUGUUGGAGGCUAUAGGUAUUGUGUUGGAGACCCAUUUUAGGUUUGGGUUCCCAAAUGGGUCUCCUGUUGGAGAUAGCCUUACAACAACUCAUAUAUUGUAGAUACAUUAAAAGACAUUUCAACCUAAAAGGGUGACUGAAAACUGAAACUUAAAAAAUAUUAAAAAAAAACUUGACUGAAAACUAAAACUAAAAAAACAAGACUAAAAACUAAAAUAAACGCUACCAAAAACCAAAACUGAAAUUUAUAACCAGAAAAUGGAAUGAAUUUGACAAAUAGCUGCAAACUGAAGUAGAUAUAGUGGGAAAAAACAUAUUAUUGUAAAUAAAAUUACCAAAAAAUAAAAUAGCAAAAAAAUAAACUAAAACUAAAAGAUGACAACAUAGCUAAAAAAUGAAGCUAUAAUUGACAAGCAAACAUAAACUAAAAAAUACCAAAAGGAACAUUGAAACAAAAAACUAAAAUAUUUAAAAGUAAAAAUAUUGAAGAACAACUAAUACAAAGGAUUUAGAAAGACAUUCGAACAUGAAAGGAACAAAAAUAAACUCAUAACUCAUUUGAAUUAAAACUAAAAGAAACAACGAAACAAAAAUAAAUUUAACUAAAAAGUACAUUGAAAGAAAACUAAACUAUUUAAAAGCAGGAAAUAUUGAAGAACAACUAAUAAUAACGGUUUGGGAAGGCAUUCGAACCUGAAAGGAUGAGUGAAAAAAAAAUGAAAAAUCACAGCUCAAUGAACCAAAACUAAAAGAAAUAAUUUAGAAAAAAAUGAAAUAUUCUAAGCAAAUUAUGUGGCAAGUUAUAUUCUAAGCAACUAGUAAGUUAUAUUCUAAUCAAGUGACAAGAUAUCAUGAAAAUGACAAAUUGUGAGUAUUAUGACUUCCAAACGCUACAAACCGCAUGACCAUCACAACAACUUCUCAGGGUCAAAUGUAAGUGACAACAACAUAAAGUAGGAAACACCAUAGGUUCUUCAACUACAUGAUAAAUGUUGCUUGCCUAAAUAGUCAUGAAACAAAACAACUACAACCUGAUAGGAGAGGACAAAUGAUUAGAACAAGCAUUGCAUAAGCUACAAACUAGAAAGCAAGUUAUUAUACCCAUUACAACAAUCGGAAUACCUGCCUAGCUGACUAUACUGGUUGCCGCCCCUAAUCUCAACCAAAGCAACAAACACUAAUCCUAACCCAAUUUGUGAUCCCUAAUCCUUAACCUAUGUUGCGGACCCUAAUCCUAGUACUUACCUUUGGCGGGUAAUCCUAGUACUUACCUUUGGCGGGUUGGUCAACACCCUAUUAUGAGUCAAGUGACAUGGUGGUGAUGCCUCGUUAUUGGUUCGAGUGGUAGAAACCGAAUACGGUCUGUACGUGACAAUAGAAGAGUGAUGCUAAUCACCCCCUAAUCAGUAUGUUUACUGCAAAUAUAAUUGGUAUGUGUAUUGUAGCGCUCCUAAUCAGGAUAUGUGAAUGACCAUGUGUAGCUGAACUAUCAACAUAAAUAGUUACGCACCCAAUACAUAACUAGCUACUUCUAGAUAACAUAAGUUGUCAGUAUAUAAAAACUGUUAUAAAGAAUAUGCAUUAUGGGUCUACUUUUGUAGAUCUCAUUGUAAGAAACGCAAUGAUGUAAAUAAAAUUAAAAAUAAACAUUUCAUAAGAAAGUUAUCCUAUUUUAAAUAGUUGAAUGACCAUGUGUAGCUGAACUAUCAACAUAAAUUCAUGUUUGAAAACCAAGUUCAAUGCCACCAUCAUAAAUUCAUGUUGAGCUUUUGCAUUUUAGUAUGACUGACUAAUGGAAAAAAAUUCAAAUUUGUGCAGGAGAUUUUGUGCAAGUAAAGUGCCAGGAAAGGUAAUUGUUGUUGUCCUGAUGCUGAACCAUUUAUCAUCCGAGUUCUCAACAUGUGCAUGCGAGUCCAUGAAUUGUUUCUGUGCACAGCUUAUUCUUCGUUUGUGCAGAAGCAGAGAAGCUUGCAAGCGCACCUGAGCUUGCAUUAAUUGUUUUUCAUACCCAUGGACCAACAAUAGACAUAAAACUUGUCCUAUUUACGGCAAGGCUGUAUCAUACCGAGCAAGCAUGAAGCUUGUAAUUGUGGGGAAAGAACCCCUAACUUCAAAUGAGGGAUUGUUAUCUCCAUGUAAUGUUUGCAUGGUAAUACAAGUUCAAAGCAGAAAAACUCAGGGAAAGCUGAAGCUGGUCCACUAACAAAACAUUUUACAAUGAUAGACCAAAUAACUCUAAAAUUUAUUAAGUGAUGUUGCAUCCAGUGUUAUAUUCGUGAUUCAUUUGGUACAAUUCAAUUGCAGCUCAUUAACAGGAAGGUCGUCCCCAGAACUGAACUUUACCAUAUGAACAGGGCUUAAACAGGCAGAGCUUCAGUAUGCUUCUUGGUUCUUACUGAAGCAAAUCUGUGUUGCACUUGUUGCUGCCACUAUCUCGAGACAUGACUCUUUUUGGCGAUUCAUGAUCUGCAAAACAAAUAGGGAAAAAAAGGAAAAUAUCUUAUUAAAGAAUUGGGUGUACAAAUCUAAAUCUCACAUAGCAUUCCCUGAUCUUUCAAGAAAAUGUUGGAUCACCUUAUUCAAGUACCUACCUAGUAUGGUCAGGUAAAUUUGAAUCUUAACAGUUUGGAGCAUACUGAACUGUUGAUACUUCAAGAAUCAAUACAACGCCAUCUGAAAGAAUUAAACCUUGCAAAAGAUCAUCAUUCUGUACAACCUCUUUGUUGAUUAUUUGAUAUAAACUUGAGGAUGGCACAUAUCUCAUUAAAUGUCUCAAAUAUUCCGCGUUCCCAUUUGUGAAUGCCAUAUGACCCCUCUUCAUGGCCUUGUUUACUUCCACCCCCAAACCCAAAAUUUUUCAAGAUUCCCCGUCACAUCAAAUCUUUAGACGCAUAAAAACUAAUUGCACAGUUUGGUCGAAAUUUACAAGACGAAUCUUUUGAGCCUAGUUAGUCCAUGGUUGAACAAUAAUUAUCACAAACAAACGAAAGUGCUACAGUGUCGCGAAAUUUUUCCCUUCAAGAACUAAACACGGCCUAUAUAGAAUUCAAAUGGUGCAAGUUAAUAUUUCCCUCCCAUUCCUAGAAUUCAGAAUUUUUUUAAUCCUGUACCUACCCAAAGCUACAUGACUACUUAUGAAAUUAAGGCCUUGUUUAGUUCCGAAAAGAUUUUGGAUUUCGGUACUGUAGCACUUUCGUUUGUUUGUGACAAAUAUUAUCCAAUUAUGGACUAACUAGGAUCAAAAGAUUCGUCUCGCGAUUUCCAGCUAAACUGUGUAAUUAGUUUUUGCUUUCGUCUAUAUUUAAUGCUUCAUGCAUGUGCCACAAGAUUCGAUGUGACGGGGAAUCUUGAAAACUUUUUGCUUUUUGGGGUGAACUAAACAAGGCCUAAGCAAUACAGAAUUCUGAACCUUUUGUUACAACUUGCAUCUAGUACUAUAAAACACUGCGAUUAUCAAUUAGAAAGAAAAUAACAAUAUACCAAGCAUGAUGGUGUGUGUCUAUACAUUUGGUCUUGUAGGCACAUUGCAGAAUGCCCUCUCAAGGGCUCCCAUCAGUCCUGAUGGUUGGCUAUUGGGUCCACACAUUGAAAACCAUUUCCUGGCGAAAACAGUCAUUUCUAUUACAUAUUGACCAAACUUCUACCCAAAGGACCAUCGCCAAUCGCCAAGAAGUUUUUUUACUGGUACAGUAUAAAGAUACAGCUUGCAUAUAUGAGAUUUAGAACAUCUUGAUUUCCAAUCCUAAAUAUACAUCAUACCAUCUAAAUUGCAAGGAACAAUCCAGCAAGGUAAGUUUAUAAUGAUAUUACAAAAAAACAGAAGUUACCUGCUCGGCUGUGCAAGGUGGUUUGCUAGUUACCUGUUCCUCCUUCGGGAUGAAGUCAAGGAGGUUUGCUAGUCACGGCCGGGCAGCUGCACUAUAGUGCUGCUCCUGCUCUGCCUUCGAGAUGGAGAGCUUCUGUCAAGUGGGCUCGGGGGUGAGGAAAAUUGCGUGGAUGUCGAGACAAAAAUAGAUCCAUCUGAAACUACUCAGGCUUGUCAGGCAUAGAAGGGCAUGGCACAAAUCUCAAAGAACAAUCCUGCGGUGGAAAACUAGGCUUCCCCUAAAGUUGCAUAGAGAAAACUAUUUCUCGUUGCCAUCCUUAGCCAGAAGGAUGGUAAUGGUUACCUAAGAUGGAUGCAAAACGACAACUUCUUGAGAGCUCAUGUGGUCGGAUCAGUGGUUGGAGCAACAAGCAGCGGUGGUCAGUGAGUGAGAGGUUGCGAUAGAGUGCCCUUGUGCUGUUUCAUGGGUUGAAUAAUUAUAUCCCCCAAUAAACUAUAGUAUUGACCCCUAAACAACCUUAGUUGCAACCCAAAUUGCGAGCCAUGACCUAAAAAUGCAGGCUAUGCUGCACACCGAAAGAAAUGGCCUGCUCCCAUGUGAACUGCACAAGUCUGAGCUUUCACACAUGGCAAAAAAGUACAGCCAUGUCACAAUAGUAAUACAAAAUACAUAGUAAUUUAGCGCAUCUACUUUGUUUGAUCAAUCAAGAUUCAUCAAGGUCAUGGUGCACAAAUUUGGACCACUAAUGCCAAUACUAGCAGCCCAGGGACCUCCAAGCCACUAACGCAAUUGCUGGUUGCCCAAAUUAUUGUUGAAAGAAUGCUAGUAGCUAAAUAUGUGUUUGUGGGAAAAGAAAAUAUUCUUUAGAACAAAAUGACUAAAUGAGCAAUUCAUCCAAGUAAGCUUGGGCAUCCCAACCAAAGAAACAAGGAAUAUAUGCAUCAAAUCUACCCAGGUUAGGAAUAUAUAAUCCAAGUUGACAUUUUGGUCCCAUUAGUACCAUGAUCCUGGUCCCAAGUAUAAAUCACUGGAAAAGGCAGGAUAAGAUGAAAGGAAUACAAUCAUAACCUAUAAGUAUGGUGGAACAGAAUACUUGUAGAAGCACCAUGUUCUCCCCCCAUCCCUCUGUAAGGCCUUGUUUGGAUGCCCAUGUAUCCAUCUCAAUCCAUGUGUGUUGGGGUGGGUUGGUGUGGAAUUUAAACUAUUAAACUAAAUUCCACUGCAGCAAUCACAACAAUUAGUUGCAAACUGGUUACUUGUUAUGGUAUCAGCCAUCCUAGUUUAGCAACAAAUUGAGCAAAAUACCAAAGGUAUCAAUUCAGGACGCUACAAAGUAAUAGCACUAUAGGGCUGGGGCAUUUUAUCAUUACAGUCACUGAAGAACAGUUCCAAACAAGAAGGAAGAUCGACAGAACAAGCGAUAAAAAAAACAGAAAAAACAAAAGAAUGUACACUCUGCACGGCUACAAUAGUUACUCACCCAGCUCCAACAGGAGUACAUGAUCUAAACAUCUCAUGAAAUUACAGCAGUAAAUUCUGGGACAAACAAAGUUAACAGAAAGUAUCCAUCAUGCAACCCAAGCCCAAUACAAAAAAUCAUAGCAGAAUCAACAGAAAUUAGGAAACAUCUCAACCUACAAAGGAACAGAAUUCGAUAGACAAAUGCAACAAAAGGAAUGAAGUUGUCCUCUUUGGCUUUGUAUCAACUCGAUGUGCUUCCAAGGUUUUAAUAAAAGCUUCCUUUAUCAAAAAAAAUGCAACAAAAGGAAUAAAGUUAGAACAUAUGUAGGUUAGACAAGAAAACACAAAGCAGCAACAUAUAUUCAACUAAAACAUGAAGGAAAUCAAAUAAAGUCAUGUUAUCUUCUUCUCUUUCUUUUGGGGUGUGUAUGUAUGGGUUGGGGGCUCAGCUUCGCCUUUGCUCAAUCAUUUAACUGUAUCCCCAUCAUCUCUUAUCACUAGAUCAACUUGAUCAGAUAAGUGGAGCUGCCCUGGUUAUCACCCAUGAAGAAUGGCAUGACCAUCCAAGGACAAAUCCACUAUCAUCAGAACAUAAUUGAAAAAGUCUCCAAGAGAGGAAAGCAAGGAUUCCAGUUUUGUACCCAUAGCAGCCUUGAUUAUCAAAGGCGCUUAUGUCAGUCAUGGUUGUUGAUCAUUGCCCCCACAUUGGAAUUUUAUUUCUUCAUUCUUGAGAGGCACUCAGGUAGGAACUUAUGAGAUGGACAGCCAUUCAGCAGUGUUUUUCUCUCACAACAAAUCAGAGAACAGUACUUUCAGCCAUGACUUAUCAGCCAAAGCGAACAGAGCGGAACAUUGACCCAGGUCCCAGGUUCAAAUCCAGUAGGAAGGCAAAUGAAGAAUAGCCCCUGGAGAACAGGGUAGAGCAUCAACAGGACAUGCAAAAUAGCAUAAAAUAACAACCAGAUAAAGAGCACACAAGAGUAGAAAAUAUAAUAAAACUUUGAACCAGUUCAAAGAACAGGUUAGCUGUCACAACUCACAUCAGCUGCAACAGCGGCAAAAACUGCCACGAGUUAGCCAAAAGGUUUUUGCAUUGUUUUUUUUUUUGUGGGUGGGUGGAUGGGUGUGCUUGUGUGGGUGGGUAGGGGAGGAGGGCAAUUCAGACAGUUGUACUAUAAGAAAAAGGCUGCUUGAGUGGCUCAGCACAUAGGCAUUUUUCCUUCUUUAUUGGAAAAUUUUGAAGUGCAGAAUAGUUGCAAAGACUGAAAGAUAAAACAGGGCUCAGCGUCACCUUUGCUCAAUCAUAGAAACCAAGCCCUCCCUUCUGCUGCACAAUUUACUCGUCCUAAGAGCAUCUCCAAUAGUUCCCAAAAAAACAAUUGGUAAAUCAAAGAGUUUUCCAAGUGGCUAGAAAAAAUUGAGAGCAUAUUUGCUGGGUUCCUAAUCGUUUCCAAAAUCUCACUCCAAGGCAAUUUUGAAUCCAAAUGCAGAAAGAUUGGCGGUUGAGAUAAGGAGUUGUUGGAGAGCAGUUUUUAUCAAUCUUACCAAAAAAAUACAGAUUCAAAGUGGGUUUUGGAAACUAUUGGAGAUGCUCUAAUGUAUGUGGAACUGUGCUGGUUGUCACAUAUCCAAAUGACCUUCCUACUAGGCAGAACCACAAACAAAAAGGAUGAUUAAAUAGACUUCAGAAGGGGAGAGGGUCACAGCUCUAAUUAGAUACUCGGAGCUGCCUUGAUUGCUCAAUGUUAUGCAAUUCAGAAAAGGUAGAACAUCAUCGCCCUUCAUCGACACUCCAUUGACAGGUUCAGGCCCAUUUCCAUGUCCAAAACGGUCACCCUAAGUAAAUUUCACUUGCAAUGCAAUGCCCGCUGGGUACUUUCACCCGAGCCAGAAAGCCACCUCUUUAGGGAAGUGAGUGCAGCAGUGUUGGUGAGGGCCACAGCAGAAUAGAAAAGAGUAAAGAAUGCAGCAUCCAUGCUGAUUUCUGUCCAUACCUACUGCCCAAAGGACGGCAGUAAGCGAGUAACUCCACUCACUGAACUUUUUAUUGGCUUGGUUCGAACCGAAAGGAUGAACCGCUUACAAUAAUCGCUUUGCUUGGUUAGAUACCUGCAGUGGUGAAAGCAAACCAUACUCCUCCUCUCUCCCCAUGGUUCGGUUUCAAUGCACACUGGAGCUGCUCUUAUAUCUCAUCAUCGUGUGAAAGGGUAGGUCUUGGGGUUUGAUUCCCCAUGGAAGCAAAUUUUCAGGCUCAGGUUAAAAAAAAUCUCAUUGUCUAUAUCACGCCAAAACACAUGUCUAAGGCCCAGCCACGGUCAUGAUCGUACUCACAUGGGCUACGGUGCCACAGUGUAUGGGUGGGGCAGGGGUUUGGGGGGUUCCUUCAACCUGCACUUCUUAAUGCAAUGCCCGUGCCCCGAGGGCUGCCUUACCCCAGCAGGUGAGUUUUUUUAUCUCAUCACAUAUCAUAAUACCAUUCGUGCUGCCUAUCCAAAUGCCACCAAGGUGGGGAGGAUGAGGAGCUUUAGGGCUAGGAACAUUCAGAGCAAAGCUGAUCAAAGCACACGGAACCGUAGGCAUGGAUCCAAUAAAGAACAUGGGUGUGCACAUGUACGCUCGAUAAUCUUUGAAAGCGAUCAAAGUUAAUAGGCAUAAUACAUGUAUACACUUGUAGAUCAGAUCCGAAUACAAAUAGCCAAAUAGCUUAAGUUAGGGUUUGGGUGCUCAGUUUCGCAUAGGAAGUGAAGAUAAGGGGUUGGCACACCUGGUGGGUGCUCGUCACCGGCCAAGUGCCCAGUUAAGACCUGACGAAGGAGCCAACGAAGACCAGGGCACCUGGCAUAUGCCGACGGCAGCGGCCCAUCAGUCGUGAGAAGAACGCUCCUCCAGAGCAGAGCACCGGCAACAGCAGGGUAAGGAGAUCACCACUGCGACGCUGGAGUUUGUACUAGUGACAGGAGAACAGACUCUUCAAGGGUUUGGAAGUCUCUUGGCCAUCUAGGAAGAAGCGAAUGAAGGCAGCGCAGUGGAAGCCGCAGGCGUCAGACGGCUCCGCACGGUUCCCAGCCCCUACCGACACCGAUUCCAGGCGGAACGGCAGCGAGGCAGCACCGUAGGGAUGGUAACCUGAAGCGACGGCCGCUCCGGAGAAUCGGAGCCUGCACAGCAUCAAUUCGAUCUAGGGUUCGGGCAAAGACGAGGAGCGGAGGAGGAAAAAUUGCAAUUUAGCAAUCAAAGGCACGACGACGACGGCGAGGACGAGAAGGACGAGCAGGAGAGGAGGAGGCAGAGCGCGUACCAAAACGAAACAUUCGGAACCAAAUGCUCCAAAAAAAAUUCCUCAAUGGCGGCUCAGAUCCCGCGUCGUCCGACCGUGGCACCGUGCCCGCGACCGGAACCCGCCGCUGAGACCCCGCCCCCACGGUCCCCAACCCCAGCCCUCGCCACCGCAGCACCGUCGCCCGCACUAGGGCCCGCAAUCCGACGCGGCGCGGCGCGGCGGGGCGGAGAGAGGGGUGGCCCCGUGGAGGCGCGAAUCCGCGGCCGGCCGCCGCUCGGGAACCGGCCCGGCGCCAACCGCGGCGCCCUUCGUCAUCGCCGCCGUUUUGGUCCCAAGGGCUGUGGGUUUCGGUGGUGCGGUCACCGGCCGCCGCGAGUGGAACAAGCGGCAGGAAUGGCUGCAGCAGAUAGCCUUAGGGUUUAGGCCUUUAGGGUUAGAGCGCUCGCCUCGCAUGAGCUACCGCCGCCGCCGCCGCAGCAGCUGUCCACACGCAAAGGCCUCACACUUAAAAUAACGAGUAAAAAUGAAUCUGGUUGGAGACGGCGAGGUCGACGAGGGCUUUAUGCGUUGCGUGGUUUUGGACUUGGGAGGGGACGAGGGAGGAGCAACCGAGCAGGUGACGAACUGCGGGGCCCGUGAGGCCAUGAUGCGAGGCGUGCUGCACAAUGUGGUUCAGCACGGCUCAUGGCCCAACAACCCGUGUAUCUUUAUCUCGGCCCAAAUGAUACCAGUUUCUCGGGAGCCUUCAAUGGGCCCAUAAGAAACUCAGGGUUUUCUUUUUAAUUUGCAUAUAAUCCAUUAAGAAGCUAUUUCUUUUUUAAAUAUGUCGAGUAAUGCCUAAAAUUCUAACACCUCGUCUAUGCAGAUCGGAGUGGAUUGGCAAAGUCGGAGUGAUUUGGUGUUUAAUUGAGACUAGUAAAAAUGCCCGUAUGUUGCAACGGGGUUUAAGAUCUCUAAGUGGAUGAUUUGUAGUUCAACAAUUCAAUCAUCCGUGACGAGUUGUUCUUAUGUUGGCCCAUUGCGGACAGAUUAAAGAUGACAAUGGGCCUCGAUCUCUAUUUUCUCGUGAGGAAUUUUCUGUUAGGAGACGUGGAUAGGAACAGUCCAUAGAGAAGUAAACGGGACCAAAACCAUCCCAAUCGGGUCAGACGGGGUUGAGGAUGGGAGAGCGUUCCCGUAUCCGCUCCCCGUGGAGCCCCAAUUAAGGCCUUGUUUAGUUCGCAAUUUUUUUAAUUUGGUACACUGUAGUACUUUUAUUUUUAUUUGAUAAUUAUUAUUUAAUUAUGGACUACCUAUGCUUAAAAGAUUUAUCUCACAAUUUACAGGUAAACUUUACAAUUAGUUUUUGUUUUCAUCUAUAUUUAAUGCUACAUACAUAUGCCGUAAAAUUCGGUGUAACGAUAAAUCUUGAAUUUUUUUUUGUUUUUUGUGAACUGAACAAGACAUAAUUAGCUGUACCGGGGGCUGUCCAUGAGUACUCCAUCCAUUCGUCCAUCCAAAAUCUUAUCCAUACAUCCAAACCCAACCUUCACCCGACUCUCAGCCUGAUGGCUUGCAGACCCAUUUCUCCACAAAGCACGGUGUGGAUGCGUCUCGCCGCACGACUCGAGGAUACGGCGCCCUCUGCUCGUUUGCUCCCUCUGUUGCUCCAUCUCCUCCGAUUCGCCGGCCUCCGCGAGCCCUGUCAAUCGAUGCUGCUGCCCGUCCCCAGUCUCCUACCCAAGAAGACGCCGAAGCAGGAGCGCCGCUGCCGCCAGCUGCAGCAGGAGCGGAUCUACAUCGUCUCUACAGAUUUGCUGCCUUCUUAAUUGAUUUCUUUGUUUCUUGAUCAAUUCAUAGGAGCGUUCUUAUCUAGUUUCUUUGUUUUCGGUUCGAUUUGAUGGGUGAUUUCUUUUGGUUGUAGAUGGAUUCAUGGGAGACAAACAAGAUAGGCUGUGAAUCCAUUUGGUUCGCUCUUUGUUUUUAGUUCGAUUGACAGGUGAUUUCUUUUGGCUAUGAAUGGAUUCAUGGGAGACAAACAGGAUAGGUUGUGAAUUCAUUUCUUUCGCUCUGGCUUCCACGGUAUGUUCUUCUAGAGAUUUCAGUUUUUGUCUUGCAUAUUCUCUUAGAGUUCUUUUUAAUCUUCUCUCAGUGGUUUAUUGAUUGGAAAGGUCACUUUAUUUUUUGGUAUCUUGAACUGUAUCUUGGAUCCUUUCUCUCCCUGUUUUGCUGUCUUCCAAGUUGUGUUCUUGUACUUAUGGAAAUACUUUAUGAUUUCGUUAAAAUAUAUGCAGUCCUAUUUGGAUUUGGACAAGAAUUCUAUAUAUACGUAUACGGACUGGAUUUGGAUUGUCCUAUACGAAAUAGUGGCGGACUAGAUUUGGAUUGUCCUAGACUGGAUGACUUAAAGAAUUCUAUAUACGUGGACUGGAUUUGAACUGGGCGGAGAGAUCGGACAUGGUGGCAGAAAAAAUUGUAUUGGCAAACUGAAAUUUUGACUCUUUAUAGAUUUGACUCUUUAUAGAUAAAAUAUAGAUUUCUACUCAGAGGAGUGCACUAGAGUUGGAGUGAUUUUGUAUAGUUGAGCUAGUUAUAACACACCAGUACCAAGUUUUGACUUGACUUGUUAUUGAUCGGAAGAUUGGAAUCAGAGCUUUGCAUUGGAGUCUCUUUGGCAAGGCUGCCCUUGUUCCUCUAAGGCCCUGUUUAGUUCCUCACCUAAAAAUUUUUUAUCCAUCCUAUUGAAUCUUUGACACAUGUAUGAAACAUUAAAUAUAGAUAAAAAAAUAAACUAAUUACACAGUUUGGUUGAAAAUCGCGAGACAAAUCUUUUAAGCCUAGUUAGUUUAUGAUUAGCCUUAAGUGCUACAGUAACCUACAUGUGCUAAUGCCAGAUUAAUUAUGCUUAAUAGAUUUGUCUUGCAGUUUCUAGACGAGCUAUGUAAUUUAUUUUUUUAUUAGUUUCUAAAAAUCCCUCCCGACAUCCUUCCGACACAUCUGAUGUGACACCCAAAAAUUUUUCAUCUCCAAUCUAAACAGGGCCUAAAAACAACUUCUGCCCUUGUUCCUGUAAAGAAGUGUCUUCUUUAAAGAAGCUAAAGACAUUUUGAAAUAUGUUGGGGAAAAUAGCUCUUGUUUUUUUAAUGUAUUGAAGAUGACAAAUGUUUAUAAUGUCUCUGCUUAUUAUUUGACUUAGUUGUGCAUGUAAUAGAAAUUCAUAUAUUGUAAAAAUGACCAUCUUGCAUCAAUUAUCAUAAUAUUAGUCACCAUUUAGGUAGAUAACAAUUGUAGACUUAAAGCAUGUACGUUAUUUUGGGCAAAAGGCCAAGGCCCAUACCCGCAACACUCCUAUCGUAUCUCUUCCUGUCUUCCUUUGAGAUUGCCACUACUCACAAGUUUUGUGGCGUCGCUCAUGGUGCAUUCAUACCGCGGCGCUGCUCGCUCUCCAGCGUUGCUGAUCGCCACCGUUUUUGAAAAGUGAUGUAUGGUAUGGCAACCAUACUUAGCAAAGUUGACAAGUCACGCGUUUUGCAUGUGCUGACAGAACAACCACUUCAUCAUGGGCCCACAUAUCAUGGACGAAAUAGUGCGCCUUAGGAGUCGGCCAUUCCAACCUGGCUUCCUUGUCCUCGUUUUGUCUCCGCCGCCGUCUAGGUUUGGUGGAAGCCCAGGUUUGGAUUAGCGAGAGCUCGAGGACAUCAGUCACUUGCUCACUAUUGAUGGCGGAGGAGGAGAUGCAGCUGGUGGUUGUCGUUGAGGGGGACAGCGUCCUUAGGGCUCUACUGGUCCACCAUUGUGACCAACUACAACAAGAAGAUUGUGCGGUACGACCGCACCCCUAGCCCCCUCUUGUGUUCCUCUUCCUCGUUUAUGGAUGUUUUAGGGAUAAAAUUGGGUGUUGGGGUUUCGUGGAGGCUUGUGUGUUCAUAAUGUGAUUUAAGCUCUCUUGAUUUCAACUUUCCUUUUUUGUUAUGGAAUUAUUAAUUUUCUUUAGAGUUUUAAAUUGAUGAAUCUGUCGAAGGACUGACUACUAAGGUACUAACGCAUCUGUGUUAGUGUUUUAUUUGACGACAAAGCAUCUACUUCCUAAUUUAUUCACAAAAAAAACAUCUACUUCCUAAUUGUCGAUCAGGCUUAGGCCCACUAUGCGGCAAUCCUUUUUAAUAAACCCCUAUCUCAUAGCAAUAGCAUGCUGUGAAUUUUGCUAAAUGUUUGAAAACCAAGUUCAACGCUACACAUCAUUUUGCUAAAAUUUUGCAUUUUAGUAUGACUGAUCAUUGAUGAAUGGAGAAAAUUCAAAUUUGUGCGGGAGUUUUUGUGUCCAGCCUGAUGCCGAACCAUUUAUCAUCCGAGUUCUCAAUUUGUGCAUGCUAUUCCAUGAAUUAUUUCGGUGCGUAACUUAUUCUUCGUUCGUGCAGAAGCUUGCAAGGGCAUCACCUGAGCUUGCAUUAAUUGGUUUUCAUACCCAUAGACCUUACAACAGUAUGCCUUUAUAACGUCGUCCAUGCAUAUGGAAAUAUAGUUAAUUGUGCAUUCUAUCAAAUAUGCAAUAUGUGAAUAUUUUGCAAUGCAGUUUUUCGUGUGCCGCGAAGUAGAUGGACAAAAGAUAUUGAUGCUUUCCUAUCAUAGUUAUCUGGAAUAUCAUUCAGUAGUGGAGGAUUUAGUGAAGUUCCUACUUGUGAAGGUUUUGCUGAAGCACUGAUGGUAUUGACCUGUUAUAGUUGAUUAAAGUCUCUAGUUUCAUUCAUGCAGCCAAAAGCUAGCAUGUUGGAGUUUUGUUAACCUUUCAAGAUAUCUUCUUGAUCUUUGAGUUAUGUUGUUAUGAGAGCAUGAUGUCUGGCGCUGGGUCUCUGACAGUGGGCCCAUGUAUUCCGUACCGCUACAGGGAUACUAUGGCAGCUAGCCCUUCAGGUCGUCGCCACGGAGCCGUCAGCGUGACGCAGCUGCAGCGUCACAUACUCACAUGGCAUGGCCGCCGACAACGGUCGCUCGCUCGCUCGCUGUGCAUUCACGGUGCUACCGACCCAGUGUGCCCACUGCGUGAAUCGUCGUGAUCAUGGUGGAUUAUUAUUACUAACCCACACCAUGCAUGCAUGCGACGCGGACAGAGCAUGCAGCGCACCGUCGUCGGUCUGCUCCCCACGCUGGCAGCAAAGCGAGCGAGGCUCCACACAUCACAACGCACAGGUUUAAAUUCAAAAAGUUUUUGAAUUUUGAUUCUACAAUAUUUUUAUUUUUAUUUAUCAAAUAUUAUCUAAUUGUGAAAUAAGCAGGCUUAAAAGAUUCGUCUUGCGAUUUACAAACAAAUUAUACAAUUAUUGUUUGUUUUACUUUUUUGUUUUUAAGGUAAACUGAGGCCACCCUCUCUCAUCACUCGUGGCCGAAACGAAAAUUAUGCCGCGGCCCGCGAUGUACAGUAGAAGAUGCUUUAGGCCUUGUGUAGGGUACAGCUCACAACAGCUUCAUGAGCUGUUUUUUUUUUUCCAAACACUUCAUGGCUGAAGCUAUUCUUCUCCUCCUCUCACAAAGACAUAAGUUGGAUGAAGCUGGAAAAAUAUAGCUUAUUGCAGCUUCUUCCUCAUUUCUCUCUCUCAACUAUGCAUGAAGUAGUUGGUGAAGCUAUUUUGCCAAACACUUUCUCCAAAAUAGCUCAGCUUCAUCUAGAAAGUCACUCAUGAAGCUAUUUUCUAAAAAAAACAGCUUUACUAGUGAAGUUGAGCUGUGCCAAACAAGCCCUUAGUUUCGCAAAAAUUUUGCAAGAUUUUUUAGAUUCCUCGUCACAUCAAAUCUUUAAACGUAUGCAUGGAGUAUUAAAUAUAGAUGAAAAUAAAAACUAAUUGUACAGUUUGGUCAGAAUUGACGAGAUGAAUCUUUUGAGCCUAGUUAGUCUAUAAUUGGACAAUAUUUGUCAAAUAUAAAUGAAAGUACUAUUAUUUCUCUUUUGCAAAAAUUUUUGGAAAGUAAACAAGCCCUAAUGCAACGGCUCCAUGAACGUAGUGCGAGCAGCAGCACUGCAGCAGAAGUAAUAAUAUAAUAAUUUAUUGCGCAUGCAUGGUUUGUGCUGUAGUAACGGCUACUGAAUUGAGAGAUCUCGUCGAGGGCAUUGACUAGCAGGUCGUAAUAACCGGCAUAGGCAUAACAAAUGUCAACGAGAAGCAAGUUGUUUUGGGUUUACAAUACUCGGACCGUAGACAAUCAUCAGCACGUAGUAGACGAAAUCCAAGCCUACUAGUACAGCAGUAGUUCUGAAUCUACUAACCUCGAGUCGCAAGUACGUACUGUCGGUGCAUGCCUUGUAGUUGGACGAUCAUUAAGGCCUUGUUUAGUUCACUCCAAAAUCCAAAAACUUUUUAAAAUUCUCUGUCAUAUUAAAUUUUGCAUUACAUGCAUGAAGCAUUAAAGAUUUUAGUUAGGCCUCGACCAAACUGUACAAUUAGUUUUUAUUUUCGUCUAUAUUUAAUACUCCAUGCAUGCGUUUAAAGAUUCGAUGUGACGGGGAAUCGAAAAAAUUUUGCAAAAAUUUUUGGAACUAAACAAGGCCUAACUAAACAAGAUGGCACGGUCUAGCAGCAGACCACAUGCGUAUUUCUACUUCCCUAGCUCGUUCAUGUAGUACGUACGAACGAACCGGUUUCAGUUGUCGCAUACGGUCAAAGAAAAUAAGUAAACCAGAUAAUUAAAUAAAUCAAAUGAUUCAGAAUUGCAGAUCUCGCCCCCGUCCCUCAGUGGUUAACGGCCGGGUGAAUGUGAAUCGGUCGUGCAGGAUCAAGCGACCCCAGUAGUUGUUGGCCCCGCAUGGCCGCAUCGAUGCUGCUCACCCACCGGCCACCGACCACCGUGCUGCUGGCUGGCUGGCUGCCGCCGCGCACCGUCACCUGCCCACUGUACUGCGCCAUGCAUGCAUGCACGGCUCGCAUCGCAUCCCAUGUGACUCCCUCCCGACGAAACGAUGGGGAUUGGUGACAAGGCGAAUCCGCAGCCACCCAAAUGGUGGCCAAAUCUUGCCGCGCUGGCCGAGGACGACCGACGUCCGGGGACGCUCGCUCGCAGCGUCGAGUCGCCGACGCGGUGCGGUGCCCCGACUCCUCCACGGCCGAUGGGCCAUGCAUGCCCGCUAGCCGCUGGCGUGCGUGCCCUUUUUCUCCUCACUCCCUCGGCAGCAGAGCAGGAGCAGAGCAGCUGUACAACGCCCCCGCGCGCGCACAUGGAUCGGUGGGGAAGCAGCGCAGCGGAGUGGUCGCUGGCGUGUGUGGGGGUCCGCGCCGCGGGCGGGCGGACUCGGUCGGAUCGGAUGGACACGCCCACGCGGCCGCCAUGGGACACGGACAAUGGGGCCGCCCGCUGGCCGCUGUCGCUUUCCUCUGAUCAGCUGAUCUGAAUCCGGCAAAGUACAACACGGACGGGACGGUGGUUGCCGCUCUCUGAUUAGCCACCAGCACUGGUAAUUAAACUCCGCGGCACGGCAUGCAUCCAUGCAUUGGUGAUUAGCCACCAGCUCAGCUAGCUCACCACCACCCAAAGCUGUCCUCUUUCUCCACCCUGUCGUCCCGUGUCCCCCUGCUGCUUCCGCUUCUUCCCUUCCUCGCUUCGUCACGCGCGCGGCGGCGGCCUCACGACGGGGGGCGCCAUGGCCACGCCGAAAGAAACUCAACUGUUGUCCCUCCACUCCCUUUUGGCCUUUCUUCUUCCUCCGAUCACCUUUUUCCUUGCUCGGAACUGCUAGCGAUGCAGUACUUUGCCACCGAAAGAGCCAUCUGAAAGUGCUUUGCGUCGGCAUCUCUACCACCUCCGCAAAAGCGCGUGCAGACAUUCCGAUCGGGGCUCAUGAAUUGAAAAGGUUGGCGCUUCCCAUGGCGGUGCCUGCAUUCCGCACAUCUACGACGAAUUUAUUUAUUUAUUGCCCAACAUGGAUUCCCAUUCCCCGUGCUGGAUCUCGUCUCGCUACGUUCAUGAUCGAUCGUGUAUACCAUACCGGGAGAUGCUGAUCUGAUUGUAGUACAAGGGCAGUGUUUUAUAGGAGUAUAUAUCUUGAAAAUAAUUAAUAAAUUCAUUCGGUGAGGAGCUGGAGGGAGGAGGAAGAAAAAGAAUCAAUACAUAGCAACUCUUUGAUUCAAUUUGAUCAAAUACGCAUCAUCAAAGAAACAAAAAAAAAAGAAUCCAAGAAAAAAAAUACUACAUGGAUGCAUGGAGAAGUAUUAUACUGGCGGGUGAAAAGUAUUAUACUCCGGCGACGGCGAGGCAGCGCGGGCGAGCGCGGUCAAGGUGGUUUAGUAGUACGGCUUCCCCGGCGGCGGCGGCGACGCGUACGACACGCCGUACACCGGUGGGAACGGCAGCUUGCCGCCGCCCGGAUGGUGCCCGCCGGUGCCGGUGCCGGGGCUCCCGCCCUGAGAAGGCGGCGGCGAGCAAUGCGAGGACGACGGCGUUCCCGAGGAGGGGGUGGUGGGGUGCGACGGUGUCGACGAGGGGGUCCCGGUCCCCGGGGCGUGCGGCGGCAGGGCGUAGCCGGGGUGUUCCGCCGUUGGUGCCGACGGCGUGGUGGGGUGGCCGGAGGACGGGGGCUGGUGGGACCCCGUGGAGGGAGGCGACGGCGAACCGUGGGAGUGGGUUGGUGGCGUUGUGGGGUUCGGGCUGUAGGAGGUCGGUGGCGGCGCGUACCGCACGUCUGGCUCGUCUGCGGACGUCGGCGGGGGCGGCGCGUGUGUUGUUGUUACUGGAGGAGUUGUGGAGGAGCCGGACGGCGGCGACGGGUGGGACGGGGUCGGUGCGCCGUGUGGCGGCGAGUGGUAGGAUGGCGUGCUGGAGCUUAAGGGUGGUGUCGGGUAGGAUGGCGUGGUGGGUGACCCGUGGGAAGGUGGCGAGUGGUAUGACGGGGUGGUGGCGCUCGAUGGCGGCGAGGGGAAGGACGGCGUGGUGGUGGGUGAGCCCUGAGGUGGCGGCGUGUGGUAGGACGGGGUGGUGGCGCUCGACGGCGGCGAGGGGUAUGACGGAGUGGUGGAGCCCGUAGGCGGCGAUGGGGUGGUGGAGCCCUUGGGUGGCGAGUGGUAUGAGGGGGUGGUGGCGCUCGACGGCGGCGACGGGUAGGAAGGAGUGGGAGUAGCAGACGAUGGCGGCGGGCUCCCUAUGAAGGUGCCUUUCGGAGGCGACGAGACCGGCGUGGGCGGCCGCUUGCCGGUUCCGUGGCCACCUCUUCCGCCGCCUCCCGGCGUUGGGGUGUAGCCGCCCGGGGCUGCCUGGCAUUGCGCCUUGCUGCAGUCGAACGGGUGCGCCGCGGCGGCCGCGCACUGCGACGGCGGGCGCUGCGCCGGCGCGCCGGGAAUGCAAUUCCAGGCGCCGUCAGCGGUGGCCUUGGCGCAAGGCGGGCGAGAGGUGAAGAAGUUGUCGGUGUAGGUGAAGUUCCUGAGGCUGGCAAGCGCGCAGACGCCGGCCGGCACCGCGCCCUCGAAGCGGUUGCGUGCGACGUCGAGCUCCUCGACAGCAGCCAUGUUCACGAUGGCAGCCGGGAGCUGCCCCUGCAGGUGGUUGUCGCUGACGUCGAAGACGGUGAGCUUCCGGAGCAAGCCGACCUGCGGCGGGACGCAUCCCGUGAGCUCGUCGUCGAUGAGCACGAUCUCGUUGAGCGUGUCGGCCAUCCGUCCGAUGCUGGGCGGGAUGCAACCGCCGAGGCGGUUGUGAGCGAGCACGACGACGGAGGCCGGCGAGUUGCCGAGGUUGGCCGGGAUCGGGUUGCGGAGGCGGUUGGAGUUGAGGAAGAUGGCGUCGAGCGGGCGGUCGAAGAGCGCCGGCGGGAUGCUGCCCUCGAAGUCGUUGAAGCGGAGGUCGAGGUACCGGAGCGCCGGCAGCGACAGCACCACCUCCGGGAACCCGCCCACGAAGCGGUUGUUGCUGAGGUCAAGCUCGUGGAGGAGGUGGAGGUGCGCAAAGGUGUGUGGGACGACGCCGCAGAAGCGGUUGGAGUUGAUGUGGAAGAGUGCGAGGUCGGGGACGCCCAGCGGCAGCGACGCCGGGAGGUACCCGGCGAUGUCGGCGUGGUUGAGGUCGAUCCCGGCGACGACGACGUCGCCGGGGUGGGAGCCCGGGAGUGGCGCGCAGAAGACGCCGUUGUAGGCGCAGACGUUGGGCCCCACCCAGUUGGCGGUGAAGUUGGACGGGUCGGAGAAGAUGGCGGUGCGCUUCCACGCCUGCAGCGCGGCGUAGGACGCGCGGAGGCGAGCGUUCGGGAACGCCCACGACGGCGGCGCGUCGAAGCGGGUCGCCAGCGACGACGCGUACGGCUCGGAGACGGCGUCCCCGCCGCCCUCCUGCGCCGUCGCCGCCGGGGACGCGAGCAGCAGCAGCAGCAGCGCGAAAGCCGCCGCGCUGCGGAGGAUCAUGGCUCUGAGGAAUGGAGUGUCUGGUGGUGGUCGGCGCGGUGCGAUCCGGCCGGAGGAGCUGGCAGGGAAUGCGAGCGGGACGGCGGCGGGUCUCGUGUGAUCUAGAGAGAGAGAGGGGAGCGUGGAGCGGGCAGUGGCAUUGAGAGCGCGCACAUGGGGAUGGGAGCUGGGAGGGGCGUGUGUGUGUGAUUGAUGAAGGCAAGCGCAGUCGUCAGUGGCUGACAACACAGUCACAUGGGGGCCAGCUGCACAGCAAGCUCAGUUGAUUAGCCAUCAGUGUGUGUGUGUGUGUGUGUGCUGUGCUGGGUGUGUGACGGUGGUGUCUCUCUGCGCCUGCGCCUGCGAGCGAGCUUCGUCACUCACGGUCACGGUCACGGAGACGGCGGCGACGCGGCUGGCUGGGUUGGUUGGUUGACGGGCGGCGCGGCACGUAGCGAGGGCAGGCAGCGGCAGGUGAGCUCGGGAUGGGGAUGAGUUCGGCUGGGCUGGCGUGCCCGUGCCCGUCCGUCUUGUUUUGGUCCGGAUGGAGUUGGGUUUAGCUUUUAACUAGCCUUUGCGUUUGUUUUUGUCUGCAUGAUUUGGACCGUCUGCAUGUGUAGAGCAUGUGUUGACGUCCGCGGCUAUACUUUUGUUUCGUUCCCUCUUGUUUGUUUACGCAUCCCCAUGCAUGGAGGCGAGUUCGAAUUCGAAAAGUGGCGGUUUCGUUUCGUUCGGACACGGACGGCGGCCGGGCCGGCUCCGUCGCUGGGCGACGGCGAGCAGCAUCAAUGGGCCUCACGGGCUCCAGAAGGGAAGGCUCGCGGCACGGCAUGGCCGUGGCCGUGGGUGUGGAGCGGACGACGUACGUCCAGUCUGUUACAUACCUGUAUGCACGCACUCGUGAAUCGUCGCGUGCUCGCGUUGCCCUGCUCCACAGGUCAUUCGUUCCACAGGUCAUUCGUUCGCGUUGCCCUGCUCCACAGGUCAUUCGUUUAGGGUUUUUGUCUGUCUGGGUCGAGGAGCUCGCGUUACACUGACACUGACACUGGUACUCUUUAGAUCACUCUCUGGCCUUAGGUAAUUUCGUUAGAUAUGAAAAUUUUUUGGAUUUCGUUACUAUAGCAAUUUCGUUUGUUUACGGUAAAUAUUGUCCAAUCAUAGAUUAACUAAGGUUAAAAGAUUCGUCUCGCGAUUCACAGUUAAACUGUGUAAUUAGUUUUUAUUUUCGUCUAUAUUCAAUACUUCAUGUAUGUAUCUCAAGAUUCGAUGUGACAGAAAAUCUUAAAAACUUUUUGGAUUUUGGAGUUAACUAAACAAGGCCUCAGGCUUCCUACGACAUUGAUUAUUUCACCCCAAAAACUAAAAACUUUUUAAGAUUUUCCGUCACAUCGAACCUUGCAACAUAUACAUAGAACAUUAAAUAUAAACAAAAACUAAAACUAAAGCUAGUCUUAAUGUAUGUUUCAUGAGAGUGUCAUGCACAUUAAAUAGGGUGCUACAUAAGCAAAAUUGCUACUUAGCAGAGUCAUUAAAUGAACGAGUUUCAUCAUAUGAGAAAGGAAUUUCAUCCCCAUAAAACUCAUGUGGCUCGGUUACCUAGUUUAUAGUCUUGAUAACUAUGCCAUGAAACUAUGCAUUGAGACUGACCUAAUAGCACAGUUUGUCUGUAAAUCAUGAGAUGCAUCUUUUGAGCCUAGUUAAUCCAUGACUGGACAAUAAUUGUCAAAUAAAAACGAAAGUGCUACGGUAACCAAAACCAAAAUGUUUUCGGAACUAAACAAGGUCUAAUUACACAGUUUGUCUGUAAUUUGCGAGACGAAUCUUUUGAGCCUAGUUAGUCUAUGGUUGGACAAUAAUUAUCAAAUACAUGAAAGUGCUACAAUGUCAAACUUCAAAAACUGUUGGCAUCUAAACAAGGCCUUAUUAGAGCAUGGAAAGGAACCUAAUUACAUAGUUCACAUGUAAUUUAUGAGACAAAUCUUUUGAGCUUAGUUAGUCUAUAAUUAGAUAGUAAUUGUUAAAUACAGACAAAAGUGUUAUAUUAGCAUUUUGUAAUUUUUUUCAAGAACUAAACAAGGCCUAACUACGGAGUACAUCCUGCUCCUAUAUUGUACUCUCUUCUGUCCACGAAAAAAUUAAUUUCUAGAAUCCAUAUCAAUCAAUCUUUUUUAAGUUUGACUAACUUUAUAGAAAAGAAUAACAACAUCUAUGACAUAAAAUGUGCACCAUAUAAAAAAUAUAUUCUAUAAUGAAUUUAAUAAUACUAAUUUGAUACCAUAAAUAUAGUAUUUUUCUAAAAAAAUAGUUAAAGUUUAAAACAUUUGACUUAUGAUAACUCUAGAAAUUGAUUCUUAGUAGUACUAUUAUACGAGGUGAUUAUCAUGUGCCAGAUGCUCACCAAGAGGCUAUUAUACUACAUUAAUGCUGCUUCCACUAGUCAAUUAACUAAGGCCUUGUUUAGAUACAUCCAAAAAUCUAAAACUUUACAAGAUUCCCAUCACAUCGAAUCUUGCGGCAUAUGUAUGGAACAUUAAAUAUAGAUAAAAAAGAUAACUAAUUACACAGUUUACCUGUAAAUUACGAGACGAAUCUUUUAAGCCUAGUUGCUCCAUAAUUGGAUAAUGUUUGUCAAAUAAAAAUGAAAGUGCUACAGUAUUAAAAUCCAAAAAGUUUUUGGAUCUAAACAAGGCCUAAGCACCACUGCACUCAAACUUUUGCGCGAUGUUCUCCGUACCAGUAGAUCAACCGCUUGUGCUAGCCACUAGCCAGGAUUCCGAGGCAUGCAGCAGCUUCAAAGGCCUUGUUUAGUUAAAAAAAAAUUACAAAUUUUUUUAGAUCUCCGCGCUUGUCAGUUUUUUUAACAAGGUCUAGUUUAGUUGCAAAAAGUUUUUUAAUUUUGUUACUAUAACGCUUUCGUUUUUAUUUUACAAACAUUAUACAAUUAUAAAGUAAUUAGGUUUAAAAGAUUCGUCUUGUAAUUUACAAAUAAAUUGUGCAAUUAGUUUUUGUUUUUAUUUAUAUUUAACACUCCAUAUAUAUAUAACGGUAAAUCUUGAAAAAAAUUUGGUUUUUUUUUAACUAAACAAGGCCCAAGUUGGGAACUGAAACGUUUCAGCUAUUUCUUUUUUUUUGAGAGUUGAUCUCCGCGCUUGUCACGUGGUAAGAGGUUGGUUUCACAAAGACUCUUCAUCUCAUUACUUACUACCGUUUUUUUAGGCCAGCCUCAAUGCAUAGUUUCAUGGCACAAUUACUAAGACUAUGAAACUCUUCUCUCAUAUGAUGAAACUUAAGAGUUUCAUAGGGAUGGAACUCUUCUCUCAUAUGAUGAAACUCCUUCAUUUAAUGACCCUGCCAAAUCCGCAAUUUUACUUAUGUGACACCAUAUUUAAUGUGCAUGACACUCUUAUGAAACAUGCAUUGAGACUGACCUUAGUGUAACAAGUUAAAAUGGUUUGUAUUUAAGUUGGUCUCUAGUCAAAUGGUCUCAGAAACGUUUUUGAGAUAAUCUAGAUCAGAAACAACAUUCUUGUAAGAAUCAAGAGCACUACCAAACACAAUGGCUUCUCUCAGCGCCGGCCUCAGAUCACACAAGAGCAAGCUGUUUGGCUGGUCAAACGAACGGGAACAAAGACAGAACGUUGGUGUGUUGGGAUACAUGCGAGGAACAGUUCUUCAGUUGGAGGGCCCAAGAAAUCGACGCGCUAUGCUGCACGAGCCAGCAGGCUAUCUGAUCGUGUAGUAUGUGUUCUAAGCACCUUCUCGUGCACUCGUGCUUGCCAGAAACGGAAAACUUUCAUUAUCAAAUUUGGCAGCCAUUUAAUAAUGUUUUUCUCCUCAUAAUAAAUUAGAAACGAACAAGGCGACGUCAGUCAUCUCUCUGCGUCGUUCUACGGAUCAUGCCAUGCCGAAUGCCGUUCCAUCGAUCUCUAGACAAAAUAAACCAACCACGAUGGUACGUUGGUGAGUUCUAAAAAACCAAUAACGGUAACCAACCACGAUGUUGUUCACUGCGUAUCUGCUUAGACUGUAGGUGUACCCCGUACGAUAGUAUAGCAUGGGCCACCACGCGUGGCCACACCGUCGAUUCGCGUAUCAGCAUAGGAGUACGCGCAGUGAGUGAAAUCCCUGUGCUUGGAGUCGGACAUGCCCUUCAAGUAGCUGCACGGUACUUAUGCCGCCCACUGCACCGUACAGUAACGGAGGGACGGAUGCGAGUGCCAAUAUGCGAUGCAUGAGCACCAAGCACCGCGUCAGCCUCUCUUUGCCGGGCCUCCGCUAAUUUUUCGGCCCAUUUAAUAGGCGUGGUGGCGAUGACGGAGGGAUACAGUGCGGAGUACGGUGAUGUUUGGUUGCUAGCCAUAAUUUACUAUAACUAACUUUAGUCAAGUAUGACAAGCCACAAAAAGUGUGGCUAGCAAAUUGGUUGCCACACUUUGUCAUGCCUAAAGGAAUCUUGUCACACUUUUUAACUCUAUAACAUAUGGAGCCCAAAAGAAUCAUACCUAAACUUAGUUGUCAACCAAACACUUGCCAACUUGGUCAAACUUGCCUAAAGUAAAGUGUGACAAACUGUGGCUAGCAACCAAACUCCCCUACCUACACGGAAGCGGGCAGCGGUGGUCCAAUCUGGCAUACUCCUCCAUCCAAAAAUUAGAGUUGAUAUAAAAAUCAUGCUGGUCAAGCUUUUUAACUCCUUGAUAUGAAAAAGCCAAACUAAAUUUAUAAAAAAUACAUGAAAUGUUUAUAUUUUCAUAUAGGUUUAUUUUAUGAAGUAUAGUCAACGAAGAGAAACCCCUUGAUCUUUUCAAAUUACUUUGGUGUUAGCCCCAUAACUUUUCGAAUGAGGGGGGAGAGGGGGGAAGUGAUCACGAAAUGAGCCUCUGAUGCAUUUAGACUAGUUUGAUGCCAACCCCCUACUUGAUGAGGCGAGAGGGCUCAAAGCGGUGAAAUGAUGUCCUUGGCGCUUUUAGAUUAGUUUGGCGCCAAGCCCUAAACAUUUUGAGACGUGGGGUGAAGAGACAUGAAAUAAGCCCCUAGGCGCUAUUAGAUUAGUUUGGCGCCAACCGCCAAACCUUAUGAGGUGAGAGGGCUCGGAGCGGCAAAAUGACCCCCUCGGUGCUUUUAGAUUGGUUUAGCGUUGGCCCAAAACAUUUUGAGGCAUAGGGCAAAGAAUCACAAAACAAAACAAGCUUCUCAUCGCUUUUAGAUUAGUUUGGCGCCAACCGCAUACCUUAUGAGGCGAAGGGCUCAAAGCGGCGAAAUGAUCCCCUCAUUGCUUUUAGAUUAGUUUGGCUCCAACCUUCAUACUAUGAGGAGAGGGAGCUUGAAUCGGCAAAACAAGCCCCUCCACACUUUUGGAUUACUUUGGAGCUAACUCAUAGUCAAUGUCGUCGACGGUGUAGCCCCUCGCCAAAGUGUUGGCAAAAGCUUAGUUGAUGACGCUAGUGAUAAUUGCAAAAUUAAUUAAAACAAAGUUUGCAAAACAUAGAGUCACAUUUUGCUUCUGUUAUAUGUAUUCUUUAGCGACCUGAAGUUACCAGGCUCUAUCAAAUUAUUUUGCUUCUGUUGCUCAUAUUUUUUGCAACUUGAAGUAUCUGAGCUCCUAUCAAAUUGUUGUACUUUGCUUGCACGUAUUUUUGGCAACAUGAAGUCAAUGAGCUCUUCUCAUAUCGUAGUGUACAUAGAGAUGGAAAAGGAUGCAUGCAACAAUAUGUGACUGCUCACUAGUUUUUUCCCAUCAAACAUGUUUUUGUCGAUAUUAGAGAGCCUUACGAUGCUAAGACACCCCUUUUGGCUCAUGUGAUGUGUUCAUGCGGUGAAUAGAUGUUAUGAAUGGAGUCUCGUGAUGCAUAUGAUUGAUGCAUUCACACAUAUAAAAAGAAUGGGGAAGCGUUUUCAUUUGGCUUUGCCCUCGUAUAUCUUUGGAGAGUCAAAGUUAUGAACCUUUAGGCUUUUUCAUUUGGGUCCAUCCUCAUGUAUUUUUGGUGGGUCAAGUCUUGAGCGAGACUUUUUUCAUUUAGCUCCGACCUCAUGCAUUUUUAGUGGGACAAAGUCUUGAGUCCUUAGGCUUUCCAUUUAGUCUUACUCUCGUGUAUUUUUGGAGGGUCGUAUUGUAUCUUUUAGGGGGUUGAAAUGAGCUUUGAAAACCAAAAAGUUUUUACUAGACGACAAGCAAAACAAAUAAUUAAAUUUUGAAAUAAUCCAAAUUAAACUAUCCAAAAGAAAUUUCUCAUGGAAAACAAAAUAAGAUUUCUCAGCUAACAAACUUCUCUUUAAAAUACCAAAUUCCUCACGGUUUUAGUUUUGAAAGACAAAAAAAAAACACCACAUAUCCUAUUCUAUACAUCAGAUAAUCCAAGUAGGAUUUGCGGAUAAUCCAUAUUUGUCAAAUCUAUAUUCUACUUCGCAUCUAUUCUUAAUGACAUGGAUAUUAUAGUUCUUCUCUAUAUCCUCAAAAUUUCAAUUUUGAUGAAUCAGAGCGCGCGGAGACCAGCUGACAUGCCUGCACGACCACGACUAGUACUCCAUCGCAAGCGGCCGAAACCAUACCGUGUGUUUGGUUGGGAGUUGGGUGGGUUGGGUUGGAUCUAACCCAGUUUUUGGGGACGGAGCCAACCCGCCCAGUGUUUGGUUGCAUUUCUGAUUUUGGGGACGGAGCCAACCCAUUUUAGUGUUUGGUUGAAGAAUUGGGGACAGAGCGGCUCUGUUCAGUGUUUGGUUGAAGGAAUUUAGUGUUUGGUGGGAGCCAACCCGGCUGGAGCGGCUCCGUCCGCCAGAUUUUGACGGACGAGUCCAACCCGCAUCUGAGAGGAAUAUUCCACCCUGGAGCCAACCCAACUCUCUCAUCCUCCAACCAAACAGCCACAGGAAUGGGUUCGCUCCGACCCGGCUCGCCCCGCUCUCCAACCAAACACACGGAUACAUACAUCAGCUCAUCAGCAUGGAGAUUGGAAUGAAGAGGAGUAGGAGCACAUCAGUUUGUUGGCUGUGCAGAGGCCACGUCAGCGCCCGGCUCCUGUCCUGAGGCUGUCGAUCGGCUUCCUCCCCUCUCCACCGCCGGAACGUCCGGCGCCAAGCCCACGCCAAUACGCCACCCAAAAUUCUACCUCUACCAGUGGCCUCCUUUGCCCUCUGCUCUCGCUCCCUCGCCUCGCUGACCGUUACGCAGCGCACGGUACGCCCGCCAUGCACGCCUCGGCCUCGGCAGCAGCCGGCGCUAGGUAGCUAGGCACCGCCGCACCGACCGAUGCGGCCGGCGGGGCCGCCAACGAAGCCGGCCGCCGGCGCCGUGGCGGUCCAGGCCAGCAGCAGGCGUAGUAGCAGGAGGCCCGGCGCCGCCGUGCUGAGGAUGCUGCGGGCGCCGGCGGUGGUGGCGCUGGCGGCGGCGCUCGCGGUGUCGUCGUCGCCGGGGCCAGGGCCAGGGCCGGCGUCGGAGCCGCUGUGCAACCUCCCGCCGACGCUGUCCGGCGAGGACGGCGGCGGGCGGCAGGGCGAGGCGAACAGGAUCCGGCACCCCAAGUCGGACCGCGCGGCGCGGUGCACGUCCAAGUGCGUCAGCACCUGCGUCCUCGGCGGCUACGGCGCGCCGGGCGUCGCCGGGCCCUUCAACAUCCGGAGGUAACGCAUGGUGUGCUCCGAUGACCCACCGUCGUCGGUCGCUCCGUUGUUUGCUCAUCUUUUCUUGACGAUGAUUGAUUGAUUAAACGCGUACGACUGUACUGUCUGAUCGAUCGAUCUCUUCUUUGACGAUGAACUCAACUGCGACGUACUCCUAACUAAUUCUCUCUCGUUUGCCGUUGGCAUCGAUCCAUGGAUGGAUUCGUGCAGACCAUUGGUGGUGUUCAAGGACACCUUCCGAAGCCGGCAGUACUGGUAAGUGGUAACAACACACGCACCAACUCAAAUUGGCCCCUUUUUGAAUCCAUUAUUGGCGAGUGAAUUGUCUUGAUUACUAGUGUCCAAUACUGCAUGUCUUUAAUUUGUAAUAGCUUGGUGGAGUGCUCGGACAUCUGCAAUCUACUCAAAGACGGCGAAGAUGACCAGUGAAAGUAUAGUGAACACAACAAGAAGGCAAGCUCUCUUGCAUUCCAUGGUGUGCGGACCUCAGUCCUCAGCUAUGCCGGAAAUGGAGACUCAGGCCGGCCGGGUCAUGCUCAGCUUCGAAUUGUCCAGCUCACGCAGCAUGGACAUGGCAUGUGAGGCAGAGUUUUUGUUUCCCCUGUCUAAAUUGAAAGGAGCUAGCUUAGCUAGUAGUACUAAUUAAGUACUACUCUCCAUCAUCGGUCCAUCCGGUCAAAAGAAAACUCACACAUUUGACUUUGCAUGGUCUUCCAAGCGUAUAUUUGAUCACUACGUACUCUACUACUCCAUGUUUAGGAGUAGUUUCUUGUAGAAUGUGUUCUUAGUAGAAGCCUUCAAUUUUAGGAGAUAAUGUAAGUAUUUUCAAUAUAAAUCCACAUAUGCUAUUUUUUCCCUCCAUGUUUCUAAACUAAACAAAAUGUAUAUAUGCUUGUAAUUUUUCAGGUUUAGACCAAUAAUAUAUUUUUUUCAAAUAGUUUUUAUUUUUUAUUUACUGGAGGAGUACUAAGCAGCUAUGUAACAUAUGGAGAUGCGAAUGGGGUUGGCCUUGCAACGCACAUGUAGACUGUUUUUAAGUGGUUAUCAUUACCAUACUACAGCAAUCAACAUCCUCUUUUCUUUUUUCUAGAUGAAGGAUAGUUUAUAUUUAGCUUCAUCUAUCAAUAACACCCUCUUUUUCUAGAUAGAUUUUUUUUCUCCAUCACACAAAAGGUUUGCACAUCUUUCUAUUAAGUUAGAAGAAAAUUUUUAAUACAACAUGUCUUAGCGGCACCCUAAGGGUCAGGAGAGUUGUAUAUGGACGCUCAGCUCCACCCUAAUGUACUACAGUCUAUGGUGUUACAUUGGACACUAAUCAGUGGCGUCGGUUAGGAGGCCUAAGCCCAGCAGCCAAGCAGCGGCGGCUGCAGGCACGCACAUCGCCGCUCGGUGAAAACAACUCGCGAAGCGCUUGCAUGUUGUCGGGGUCACCGCUGUAGAUUCCGUCGUACGCCUCGAUGGCCGAUGCGGACGGAGAUGACAUCCGUUGGUUAGUCCCAAGCGCUUCAAGACAUGGUGCUCACCUAGUUUGGACGCCAAAAUAUACGACAUACUCCGCGCCGCUGUCCGCCUACUCCUACGAGGGAUUAUAGGCAGUGCAUGUUCACCGUGGGCUGUACCAUCUCCGAGUAGCUCCGGGGAGAGGCAACUGUCUCGCCUUAUUUGUGACUUGCUCGGUGAAGUGCAUGAGGUGUCUGCCGGUGGUGGUCAUCUGAGGGGAUGGAAUGCGGUUGACGUUGUCCAUGGCAUUUAUGAUCAUCACAUCAAAUAACUCCUUACUCAUUAUGGUGAAUGGUCAAAUGGAGUAGUGUCACUACAAUACCAAGAUGCCACCAUCAUCUUCUCAAGUGAUGAAGAACAGGAAAUGAGAAACUUGAGAGGUGUGUUGUCUGAGUAUUUUUUUUUUGAAAGGACCAAGAUGUUGUAAAGGUAGGGUGAAUCUACAAUGCUUGAUGUGAAAUCAGUAUUUUUCUUCCUUCGUUUUAAAUUACGGGCAUUAACCUAGUUAUAUAUAUAUAUAUAUAUAAGUCAUAAUGAUCUUGCAAUUUGCAACGGAAAGAAUAGUUUUCUAAAAAUGGACCCUCCGUUUUUUUAGAGAAAUUGAAAACAACCAGAAGCCACGUUCGUUUGAGUUUAUUAGCCGAAUCUAUCUGCCAUUCAACAGUGUUUUUUCUCUAUAAUAAAUCAAUAAACCAUACUUUCUGUCACGCCUUUUCGGCUAAAUGAAUAUUUCGUAAAGGGUGUUUCUUGAGUAGACUCACGAUGUCCCUACACAGGAGUAAGAAAAAACAAGUAGCAAAAGAGUCCAGUGUGCUUUGAAUCAUGGAGGAACAUGUUUGCUCUGGCCGGAGAGAAGUUCAGACUAGCGCAACAUUUUAGCAGUGUACGUGACCUGUGAAUAUACCCAAAGCCCAAUCCAAAUGCCGCAUUGUGGCUUCCAUGACAAAGGCCCAACACAUCUUCUUUAUUGGUACAAAGCCCAUCUAAACCUUAGCCUUUCGGUUUCAUGUCACAGGUCUACAAAUAGGAAUUUUUUGUUGUAAAAAAAAUAGUUGUAAAAAAUAACAAAUCUGUUUUAUUGGUGAGGAUCCACGAACGAAGGCCAUCCAUAAAAAAUGUAAUCCAUCCGUGCUAAACUAAAUCAAUUUCUAAUGUUGUCCUAGACCAAGCUAAUUUUAAUUAAACCGACUUCAUAAAAUAGCAUCAAUAUUUAUAUAACACAAAUCAAUACUACAAGGUGAUGCAAAUAUAUUGAUGCCAUCAUAGAUGUUUUGAUUCUUAGAAUGGCUCUAAAAAUCAAAUUUUUUUGGGAUGUUCUUAUACAUUUCUUGGACAAAUAAAUUUUCAUUAUGAUUUGGCUGGGGUGCGCCAAGCCUAACCAGCAGUGCAACGGCUAGGCAACGCUUGAGAGACCCAAUGGCAAGCCAUUGCGGUGGUUCCUCCCCCCACAAAAAAUUAAUUUAACAUCAAAGUGAACACAUGGUCCACAUAUCAGAUAUUAAACUGAUAAGAACAGAUACUACACUUGAUCUUAGCCAAAAGGCCGAGAAAGGUAUGAGUUGCAUCAUUGCCGUGGGUCUCAUUUUCUACCCUUCUUGUGCCUCAACUCGCUCAAAGCUGUCGAGGUGGGACUAAAUUGAAGAUUAAGCAUGGCUUAGCGCAGCGCAAAUGCAUUGCUCUUGCUUGCGUGUUUGGUUUAUUGAGCAGUUUGGGCCCGUAAUUGACCAUCCCAACGUGUAAGGUCACGGCCCAAGUCCCAUUACUGGGCCUUUACUCAGUGGAUCCCAUAAUUAAUUGGCCUAGUUUCCAGUAGCCGCUGGCGUUGGAGAAAGAGGAGACUGGAGCAUUGUCAAGUUGUGGCACCAGGUCAGGUCGCAAACCAAUAGUGGACCAAGAGCAAAUUUGACAUGGAAUGGAUGCAAGCAACGCGCGUCGGCCGGCGGCGAGGCAACGAUGCUGUGGCAGCCGAGAUCGACGGCGGCGUGUUCUUCAUGCACGUACAGCAGUAGCACCACCGAGGCCUUGUUUAGUUCACCCAAAAACUAAAUUUUUUUAAAAUUUUCUGUCAGAUCAAAUCUUGCGACACUUGCAUGAAGCAUUAAAUAUAAAUGAAAAUAAAAACUAAUUACACAACUUAUCUAUAAAUCGCGAGACGAAUCUUUUAAACCUAAUUACUUUAUAAUUGAACAAUGUUUGUCAAAUAAAAACGUUUGUCAAAUAAAAAUAAAAGUGCUAUAUUGUCAAAAUCAAAAAAAUUUGGAUCUAACAAGGUCGCAUUAUUGCAGCACAGCAGCACACGAGAGGCUGACGGACGGCCACCGGGGACUAGCGGCGUGCAGUUUUGGUUUUCGAUCUUUCUACACUUUCACGCCUUGUUUAGUUCCAAAAAAUUUUGCAAAAUUUUUCAGAUUUUCCGUCACAUCGAAUCUUUAGACACAUGCAUGAAGUAUUAAAUAUAGAUAAAAAUAAAAACUAAUUACACAGUUUGGUCGAAAUUGACGAGACGAAUCUUUUGAGACUAGUUACUCCAUGAUUGGACAAUAUUUGUCAAAUACAAACGAAAAAACUACUGUGUUUUCACUUCACUGUGUUUUGAUCGGGAAGUAUAUCUACUUUUGUUGUUUUUUUUGGGUCCUGCAAUGCUUAUCUUUGAUGAGAGGAUAUGAUGAGGUGUGCAGUGUGCCGGUAUCUAUAACUCUCAACGAGAGGGAUGGCCAUUGAUGAGAAAUUUAAGGUCUUGUUGGGUAGUGCAAAUCAAUCAAUUUAUCGAUUAAUAAGAUUGUUAAUCAAUUUGGUAUUAUUUAACAAUUAAUAAGAACGUUUUUUUUAAUCAACUCUCUACCUUCUACCCUGUUGUUAUUACGCUGUGUAGAAGCGGGAAUUUUGUUCCAUUGUCUAAAAGAUACUACCAUGUUAUUAUUCAUUUUUUUUUAAAAAAAACUCCACCACCAAGUUUAAGGAAUUUAAUUGUUACCUAAAUUACUAGUAUUCAGAAAUCUUAUAGAGUUAGUAUUUGGUGAAGUGUGCCGGCCAACAAACGUUCAUAUACUGACCCUUUUUUUUUUUUGGAACGACCCUGUUUUGAGUUUUUUUGACUGAAAAGACUGUAGGGAAGAUCCUCACGGUGGCUCAAACUUUUAUAAAAUAUUAACAAAAGGGGAUUUACUGAAUGCAUCUAGCCACGCACAAAAGGAAGACCACGGGUCUCUCCUUUAAAUCUAAGAGACUGAAGAUUACAUUGAUUUUUGAAAAUUUGCAAGUCAAAUACUAGAACUGGGGUUCUUGCCGUGGAAGAUCUUUUUAUUCCUCACCUUCCAGAUUUCCCAUGAAGCUAUCAUUACCAUCUCGAUGAAGAACGGCAGGCCUGAAUUAGCUCUUGCUUGUGCCAGACCAGGGAGUAAGCCAAGCUGUUCAUCCCACUGUACGUUCAUGGCUUGCCAGCAUCUUCUAGCAAAGGUGCAGGAGAAGAAUAAGUGUUCCAGGUCUUCUAGUAAACCAUGAGAACAAAUGACGCAUAGAUCAUCAUCUUGGAUGUUACAGUGUCAUCUUCUGAGCAUGUCUUUAUUAUUCAGUCUAUCUACUAAUACCAGCCAGGGAAAGAAUUUUAUUCUGGGGGUGCACUUGGCCUCCCAGAUCCAUCUGAAGGCUGGGUGAAUGCCAGCUUGUACAGUCGUCGAGAGGAAUAGUUGCCAUUGUCCCAGAUGUAGUUCCAAACAUCAUCCUCUGAUUCAGGUAUUGGUAAGCUGUUCAAGUGUUCCUGAAGAUGUUCUAAUUCAGUGAAGGCCUCGGAGACAACGGCAGGUGAAAGAGGUCUUCAAGAUCUUCAGUGUUCAUCCCAUCCUUGACUGAAAUCCUAGUAUCCAUGGAGAAGGAGAGUAGCCUCAGGUACUGAAGAGAUAGCAGGUGGUGUGUCCAGGGAUCAUCCCAGAAUAGGACAGUGGAUCCAUCCCCAAUGGUACAACGAGCUAUCCCUCGGAAAAGAUUGCUUUAUUAGUCUGAUGAUGUCUUUCCACAGAAAGAUCCAACCUCUCUAGUUGCAUGUAGAACCUUGUCUUGAUAAUAUUUCCACCAUAUGAGUUAUACCCAGGGAAUGUCUCUUUUGUUGUAGAACUUGUCAAGAUGCUUGAGAAGAAGCAGUGCAUCUUUUUGGAGACCGAGAUUGAGUAUGCUAGUUCACCCCCAAAACCAAAAACUUUUCAAGAUUCCCUGUCACAUCUAAUCUUACGGCACGUGCAUGAAGUAUUAAAUAUAGAUGAAAAUAAAAACUAAUUGCACAGUUUGCCUGUAAAUCGCGAGACGAAUCUUUUAAGCCUAGUUACUUUAUAAUUAGACAAUGUUUGUCAAAUAAAAAUGAAAGUGCUACAGUGUCAAAAUUCAAAAACUUUUUGGAUCUAAACAAGGCCUAAUCCCACCUUUAUCUUUAGGGGUAGUAACUACUGGCCAGGCCACGAGGUUACCUCCUCUUUGCUGAUUUGAAUUGCCUGGCCAAAGGCACUGUUUUCUAGCCCGAUCGAUGUUAUCAAUUACUCCUUUGGGAAGCUUAAUCACACACGAUGCAUAUAGGUGGUGAUCAGUGUGAUGCGGACUUGAUCAUCUCCAAAACGUCCUGAAUACGACAGCAAGGAGAGCAGGCUGAAAGUCUACGUUCAACUCGAUCCAUCACUGGUGUGAGAUCCUCGAAGCGAGGUUUUGUGGUUCCCAUUGGAAGGCCCAGGUAUGUGGAAGGGAGGGAGCCAAUUUGUUUUUGAGUUGUUCCCAGUAAAGAACCACGGUAAAGAUUUGCAAAUAUCCUCCAAUCCUGAGAGCCUGUCAUCUUUAGUGUCCACAUAUUUGUCAGGGUUUGAUAUGAUGGAUGGGUGCUCGUGGGAUAGAUAGAAGGAUGUACUAGCUUGCUUGCUUGUCGAGUGCGAAGAAUCGUCAGAACGAAGGUCAGCAUGACAUCUAGUUUUGUCAUGCUACCUUAAUUAUUUUUCCUUUGCGUCUAUAUAUAUAUUCCCCCCAUCCUUUUCUGGCAUGCUACCUUAUUUUUUCUUUGCGUCUGUCGAUUUUUUUUUUCCAUUUAAGAUCAUUGACGAAACGUCUUCAUCAUGUAAAGGUCCCCUACUAGGCUACUACCUACUACCUAGAGCACUAUAAAUUGUACCUCACAGAGAUGGUAUAAUCCCAAGCUCACGGACAACUAAUUUGAUACUGCUAGUGAAGCAAGUCAAUAUACUCCUGGGAACCCCUCAUAGAAAUUAAUAUAAGAUAUGAUUUUCAUAUGGCUGAUGGGGAAGGAGAAUGGAGCUACUCCAAGAAUUCUAGGCGUCCAGUGAUUAUUCUAUCCCUUUUCCUAUGAUACAGCUAUAUUUUAUGAAACAUGCAUUUCUCAUGUUGCAUAUGCACCAAGUUUGUAAGCAAUUAAUGAUAUAUAUGUUGGUAUUGUUAGUUUUAACCAUUAUAUCAUUGCUUAAAGCAUAUAUAAAAUUAGUCUUUUUCUUAAAGCAUAUAGAACAUUAGUUAACUCCAUGUUUCAUUUGUGAUUGUUGCUAUCCCUUUGAUACUAUCAAAUCAUAUUAAUCUGGUGUGAUUCUUGAUGCCAGUUAAGUACCAUCCAUUGGCCUUAUCUAAUAACUUACUGCAAAUAUCAAUUUGGUUUUAGUGUUCUUCUUACAAGGAUGGGAGGCCCAUAUAUCACCUAAUGAUUUCUUCUUCUUUUUGGAUUUUAUUAGGAAAUAUAUUUUCGUGAGACCAAGCCAGUGGUUGAGAAUGCCAUAAAAGAAGUGUACACAACUCUUCUCCCCAAAACUAUGAUCAUUGGCGACCUAGCAUGCGCUGCGGGGCCAAACACAUUGCUCUUCAUGUCCAGUGUUAUAAGCACCAUUGUUGAACACUGUAAAUCUAGUAGGGAUGAUUCCGUGGAACUUCAAUUCUUCUUGAAUGACCUUCCCGGCAACGACUUUAACGAACUAUUUCGGUUAAUUGAGAAGUUCAGAAGGCCAAAUAUAACGGGUGAAAGGGCACAUCUACCACCUUUUUAUUAUAUUCAAGGGUUACCAGAAUCCUAUUAUAACAGGCUUUUUCCCCGUGAAAGUGUCCACAUAUUCCACUCUUCAUACGGUCUUCAUUGGCGCUCCCAGGUAUUUAGAUCACUAAUUAAAUUGGCUAUUUAUCAAUGCUAAGAAAGAGUUUUUCCUACGGGUACUCCAGUUACUUAUGAGAAAGUAAGAUCUCAAAGAAAUCACAACCCUUGAUUUAUUUGGUAGACAUAAUAAUUAUGUAAUUUAAAUAAUUAGCAUACAAAAAAAGAGAAAACUAUCUAACUCGAGCCAGCAAUUUACCUCCUUACAUAUCUCUCUAGCAUAGAAGGCAAGUAGAAACGAAGUACCUAUUGUACCCCCUUAAUCUUUAGUUUUGUGAUAUAUAGUUUGAGAUUUACAUACUGAUAUCAUAGGUUUUACAGAUUUAAAUUUGAAAUACUUCCUAUUAUAAUUCUAUAUUUGAGUUUUCAUUUAAGCUAUUUAGACUCAAAUCCCCCCACCUGCUCCCAAAAAAGAAAAAAACGGGAAAAAUCAUCUAUGCAUGGUUCAAAAAUUAGUAUUUUGUCAUAUGUGGUCAAGUGAAAUCCAAGUUUCCUUAAUAAAUGGCCAUCUCAAAACUAGGUUUUAUUUUGAAAAUAAAUUUAAACCAUUGGAAACAAGCCCAAAUUUUAUCACACGUGUUUAUUAAUUCCAAAAUAGAGCCUAAUUUUUAGCACGUGUUUGUUAAGAAAAAUCGAGUUUUACUCAAGCAUGUAUGCUAAAAAAUUAUAUGACAAAAUACUUUGUGAAGAGGAAGUGAGCCUAGCUCAACAUACUGGUUGAGUGGGAGGUGUGGUCAUGCACCCAACCACCCAAGUUCUAAGUCCUCUCUUAGACUGAAUUUGGGUGCCUAAACCACCUAGUUCCUCCUAAGUUGGAUCUUGUUUUUUUAAGUACUUCCCGAACCAUGAAUUUGGAUAGUUUUUUGGACUCCUAAGAAACAUUUUUAGGCCAAACAAGUUAACCACAAACUCAAAACAGCUAUAGAAUGAUUUAUAUAUAAAAAAUUUUCUUUUAUUGAGUUAAAAUUAUAUUACAAGUGCACGACUUUACCAUAAGUCUUUUUCUCCAUAAGAAUGAUAUAGAAAGUAGCUCAAUCAUGAGAAGCCACAUUAUUGUAUGUUUUGUUUAUUCGGGGCAUACAAGGUAUACUUUUGUAAUUACCACACAGAGUGAAUUCGAAAAUAAUGUCACGUUCAAUCAACUAAAAAUUACAUGUUCAAACAAUCAUGUAUGGGACCUUACAUCUAUUAAUAGAUCUAAUUAUGUAUGUGGUCGAUCAUUUUCAACCACAUUUGUCUACUUCCUAACAUAAAAAUAUAUAAAUAUAUAUUUACAACAUUUAAAUCAACGGUUCAAAGUUACUUGGGAAUAUUAUAGCAACCCCCUUAAUUAUGUACAUAUCUUCCAUAGAGUAUCAAUCUUUUUGUUGUUCUCUUUAUAUGUCUAAUAUAAUAUGUUCUCAAAUGAUAUCUAUGUAGGAACUUGAGGGACUAGAGUCGUGGAGAAAAACUUAUCUAAAUGAAGACAACAUUUACAUUACAAAGACCACAACACCUUUUGUGGUGAAACAAUUCCAGAAGCUGUUCUAUAAGGACUUCUCCCUCUUCCUAAAGUUGCGUCACGAAGAACUUGUGCAUGGAGGGCAAAUGGUUCUUAUAUUUAAUGGGAGAAAGGAUGAGGAUGUAUACAAUGGUGAUCUUAAUAAACUUUUUGCAUUGGUUGCAAUAGCAUUAAAGUCUCUUGUUUUGAAGGUAGUUGUAUAUGUAAAUUACUGCAUUGUUGUAUUUUUACUUAUUUUCAUUUCACGUUGUGAAGGAAGACAUGAAGUUAAAAAAUUCUGAUCAUAACAGGGCCUUGUGGACAAGGAAAAGCUACAAUCUUUCAAUCUACCAGUCUACGGGCCAUCAGUUGGAGAAGUGAAAGAACUAGUCAUGCAAAGCCAUUUAUUUAACAUGAAUCUAAUCAAACAAUUUGAGACGAACUGGGAUCCUUUUGAUGAUUCAGAAGGUGAUGAUGUUGAAGAUAAUGCCUGCAGUAGCAUGAACAUUGCUAAGUUUAUAAGACCUGCACUAAAGUCUUUAAUUGUUCGCCAUUUCGGAGAAACCAUAAUUGACGCAUGGUUUACCGAGUUCAAGAGCCUUGUUGCUGAGCACCUUGAAAAGGAGAAGACCAAGUUCACCAUCAUCGUCAUGUCCUUGAAGAAAGAAUAAUAUAGAUCGAUGUGGGUGUUGUUUCUCAAAUUUCUUUUACUCAAAUACCAAAGAAUUAUAUAAUAUAUAGACAUGUGUGUAGCUACUCCUAUAUGUGUAUCUCAAGAUUCAGGGUGUAUAUGAGCCAAUGAAGUGUAUGUACAUGCAAUAUAUACUAUAGACCAUUUGGGAUAGUAUGUAUGCCAUAUAUGAAAGUAUACACAGAGUAUAUUGUUAUAUUUAUUUAUAUACUAUAAUAAUGGUAUUAAUAUAUAUAGUAUUACUAGUAUCUAGGUACUCCCUCAACCCCAAAUUAUAAGUCAUUCUAUUUUUUUAGAAUCAUCUUAAGUUUGACCAAAAUUAUAGAGAGAAUUGUAAAGAUUUAUGAUAUUAAAAAAAAUCUAAUAAUGUUUAUAUGGUGUCAUAAAUAUUUCUAUUUUAUUAUAUAAAUUUAGCUAAACUUGAGAUAAUUUGACCCUCCAAUAAAGUUAGAGUAACUUAUAAUUUAGGACAGAGGGAGCAGUAAAUAAUAUUCCAACACCCUCAUAGUUAGACUACCAGUCACAGCCCUCAGGUUCAGGCUCCAGGCCUGGCCUAAAUUUUUUCGGUGAGCGCCAAGCAACCUGGCUUCGGAGCGGUAUUGCCACUCCCUACACUACACCCAUGCAUGUUUUUUUUCGACUCAAUUGAUUCCAAUCUGCUCAGAUCUUGUCCGCUCGGCAUAUGCUUCGUCCCUAACCUCAGCGGCACCGCCCCACACCCUACCGGUUGAAGAGUCAAGAUGACGAACUAAGGGUUGAAUAGUCAUUUCUAAAAUUUAUCGUGCCGGCUAAUCGAAACAAAUGCGAAAUUAAAACUAUCGGUUUAGCCAAGACUACACCCCUCUAUCUAAGUUUUCUAGCACCUUGUAAAAUAUCCUAAACAAGCAAACAAGGUGCUACCUUAGCAAGAGCUCACCUAACAAAUUUUAGGAGCAAUGUCACACAAACCUAUGCUACUAGUACUUUGUAACCGGGGAGCUCCUAUACAACUAGUGAGCAAAAACACAAGGCUCCUUACUCACUAGCAAUGUUCAAUAACAAGGCAACCAAUGCAAAAUUAGAGAGUGCAACUUACUUAGCUACACAAACUAAGCAAUGUGACUAACAAGAUUACACAAACUAAAUUAGCCAUGUAAGGGAACUACUUCUAGCUACACAAGCAAGAAGGUAACUAUCAAGCUACACAAGCAAGACUAGUUGCAAGAGCAACUACACAAGCAUAAGUAUAUAGAAUGUAAAUAUAAGCUUGUGUAAGGCGAAUGCAAACCACCGAGAAGAGUAGACAAUGUUGACAUGGUGUUUUUUUACCAAGGUUCACUUGGUUGCCACCAAGUUACGUCCUUGUUGUGGCGAUACACCCACUUGAUGAAUCACGAGCUAAUUGGCAAUCCAAAGCCAAAUCCUCAGCGGGUGCCGCACAUCCACUCUCAAGAUGGGGAUGGAAUGCAGUGGUGGUGUUGAAUAUCACAGCCGCGAGGCGAGGGCUAGUGCCAUGGUGAGGUGGGGCAGGACGAGUCAAGUGUAAUUGAGGAGGGCCAGAGUAGCAAAGUCUUGUCUCGUCUAUGACAUGUAGUAAGGCAAGGACAACAAUGGCGGCCAAGUGGUGUAGCAAAGUCAUAGGAAGCUAGGUCUGCACAUCCUUCCUAAGUUCUCUUGCACAUCCUGGCCUCCACGCGCUACCCUAUUGUGGGUGGAUGAAUGCGGCGUAGCGUGAUGUCGUUGCACCAGUGUGGUGGGCCGUGAGCACAUGCAAUGUUGUGGGAGGAGGGGAUGGAUCGGGAUGGCAUAGUAAUACAAGUUUAGAGAGCUGAGUAUUUAUUUUGAAAGUACUAGGGCUAGGAUAAGAACUACAUCUGAGCAUUUUGCGGGAACGGGUUUGGACCGGACCAAGAAAAGGCCUAGUUAUUUUAGGCAAAAAAAUCCCGUCCAUUACCGUCCCAUUGGGCAAGUCGGGCCUAGUAUUUUCGGGUUAGGCUCAGGCCAGGCCCAGCUUGGGCAAGCCGCCCACGUGUUUACACUAUAAAAUAGUAUUUUAGGCUGGGUUCGGGCCAAGAAAAUUUUUUCUAAGCAGCAAGAUUUGUACCCAGGCCCUGUCCAGUAAGGUUCAUGGGCGGUCCAAAACCCAUCAAGCUCAGGCCAGGCCCGUGGGCCGAACUCAAUUUGCUCAUGUAUAAUAAGAACUAGGACAAGUUUAGAGGUCGCAAUUUGAAAAUAGGAGGACUUAGAUGAGAUCUCAGGAGAAGUUUAGAGAGUUGAAUGUGCAAUUUGAAAGUACCGAAACCUAAAUGAGAACUUGGAAUAAAUGAGAACUCUUUUAAAAAUGUUAGAUCAACUCCAUUACCAUGUUAAUUAUGUAUCCCUCCGCCCCAAAAUGAGUCUCCAUCUCACAUUUAGUGGAGUCAACAAAUGUUAACUUUGACUAGGUACUAUGAAAAUGUAUGAUGUAAUUACCUAAUGAUGUUUAUUUGAAAUCAUAAAUAUUAGUAUUUUUUUAUACAUAUUGAGUCAAAGUUAAGACUGUUUAACUUCUUAAAACGAGGCAUUGGGACUUAUUUUGGGGCUAAGGAAAUAUUCAUUAAAAGAAACUCCACCGCUAUGUUUACAGGAAUUAACAGCUAGGCCUUGUUUAGUUCCUUCCCGAAAUUUUUUCGGGACACUGUAACACUUUCGUUUGUUUAUGGUAAUUAUUGUCUAAUUAUGGACUAACUAGGCUUAAAAGAUUCGUCUCGUAAAUUUCAAGCAAACUGUGUAAUUAGUUUUUAUUUUUGUUUAUAUUUAAUACUUCAUGUAUGUAUCUAAAGAUUCGAUGUGACGGAAAAUAUUGAAAAGUUUUUGAAUUUUGGGUGGAAGUAAACAAGGCCCUAGUAUUCAGAAUCUUCAUAGCUUUAUUCGAUGAGAGGAGAGGUGUGCCGGCCAACAAUGGUUCAUAUACUGAGACGUUUCAUCUUUAUUGACCAAAUAUUUGAGGGUUUGAUUGAUGCAUGGGAUACAACGAAUAGAUUUUUUUUUUUGAACAGGAUACAGUGAAUUGAUUUUUUUUGAACAGGAUACAGUGAAUUGAUGGCUACGAAGGUGGGGGUUGGAUAAGGUUCUGCACUGUUGCUUGUCAAUUAAGCAUAAAAACGUCAGAACGAAGGUAAGCAUGGCAUCUAUUAAUUUCUUUUUCAGAUAAGAUCAUUUGACAAAAGGGCUUCAGCAUCAUGUAAUGAUCCUUAGAGUAGUAUAAAUUGGACCUGGUAGAGAUGAUACUGGGACAACUAAUUCGACAAUGCUACUGAAGCAAGAUAGGGCGUGCAUAUAAUCCCAAGCUCCUCAUAGAAAUGAAUACAGAUUUUCAUAUGACUGAAGGGGAAGGAGAAUGGAGCUACUCCAAAAAUUCUAGGCGUCAAGUGAUUAUUCUAUCCCAACCCUUUUCCUAGGAUACAACUAUGUUUCAUGUUGCUUGCACCAAGUUUAUAAGUAAUGAUACGUUGGUACUGGCUAUAGAUAUUUUUAACCAUUGCAAACAAUAGUUUAUUGUCAUCUACGGACUUGAAACAUAUAUAAAAGUAGUCAUUUUUUAAAGCAUAUAGAACAUUAGUUAAGUCCAUGUCUUUGUUUGCAAUUGUUCUAUCCUUCUUAUAUUGUCAAAUUAUACUGAUCUGGUAUGAUUAUCUAUGCCAAUUAAGUACCACCCAUUAACCUUAUUCAAUAACUUACUGCAAAUAGUAUCAAGUUGGUUUCGUUGUUCUUCUUACAAUUAGGAGACCUACAUAUCACCCUAUGAUUUUUUCUUCUUUUGUGGUUUUUAUUAGGAAAUUUUUUUUCUUGAGACGAGGCCAAUGAUUGAGAAUGCCAUAAAAGAAGUGUACACAACUCUUCUCCCCAAAACUAUGAUCAUUGCUGACCUAGGAUGCUCUUCAGGGCCAAACACAAUGCUCUUCAUAUCUAGUGUCAUAAACAUCAUUGUUGAAAAAUGUAAAUCUACUGGAGAUGAUUGCAUGGAACUUCAAUUCUUCUUGAAUGACCUUCCCGGUAAUGACUUUAAUGAACUAUUUCGGUCAAUUGAGAAGUUCAAAAGGCCAAAUACAACAGGUGAAAGGGAACAUCUACCACCUUUAUAUUAUAUUAUGGGGUUACCAGAAUCCUAUUACAAAAGGCUUUUUCCUCGUGAAAGUGUCCAUCUAUUCCACUCUUCAUACUGCCUUCACUGGCGCUCCCAGGUAUUUGGAACAUUGAUUAAAUUAGUUAUUUAUCAAUUUUAACAAGGAUUUUGCUAUGAUACUCCAGUUAUCUCCGAGAAGGUAAGAGCUCAAAUAUAUCAUGUUGAUUUUUUUUUUGGUACAAGGAAUAAUUAUAUAAUUAAAACAAUUAGCAUAAAGAGGGGGAGGGGGAGGGGGAGGAAAACUAGCCAACGAUUUAUUUGCUUACUGUACAUGUUUCUCUUUCCGCGGAAGGCAAGAAACAACACCGUAUUGAUCUAUCAGGUAAUCUUUAUUUUUGUUAACAAUACAUUUUACAAAAAAAAAAUACAUCUAAAUGCAUUUUCUAAACAAGCGUGUCUUAUCCCAUCCUUUCCAUAGAUGCUUAAAAUCCAGUAUGACCAAUUUUAUUUAUAUCUGGCAUCGUAGCUUUUACAGAUUUACAAUUGAAAUUCUAACUACAAUUCUAUUUUUGAGUUUUUGUUUAAGCUAUUUACCACCAAAUCUCCUGCCCUCCCCCCCCCCCAAAAAAAAAAGAACUAGGAAAAAUCAUCUAAACGCAUGGUUCAAAAAUUAGCAACAAGCUCAAAAUUAGAUUUUAUUUUUGAAACUAAAUAUAAAGCAUUAGAAACAAGCUCAAAAUUUGUAAUACGUGUCUAGUAAUUUCAAAGUAGAGCCUAAUUUCCACCAUGUGUUUUGUUAAGAAAAAACAAAUUUUACUCGAGCAUGUAUGCUAAAAAGUUAAAUGGCAAAAUACUUCUUGAACCAUGAAUUUGGAUGUCUUUCUGGACUUGUAAGAAACAUUGUUGAGGCCAAACAAGUUAACCAUAAACUAAAAUAGGUAUAGAAUGACUUAUAAAAAGUCUUAUUUUUUUUUGUUAAGAUAAAAUUGUAUUACAAGUGUAAGUCUUUUUCCAGAAGAAAUUUUUUUGGAAGUCGUUCAAUCACGAGAAGACAUUGUAUAUUUUGUUUAUUUAGUGCAUACAAGGUAUAGUUUUGUAAUUACUAUACAAAAUAGAGUUUAAAAAUAAAAAGUUUAUUAUAAUGUCACGUUCAGUCUACUAAAAAUUACAUGUUCAAACAAUCAAGUAUGGAACCUUACAUCAAUAGAUCUAAUUAUGUAUAUGAUCGGUUGUUAUCUGUCACAUUAGAGCUAAUAUAUUCAAAUACAAGAUAUUUUGCCUACUAUUUUGUCUACUUCCUAAAAUUACAUAUUUAUUCUACUACCUCUGUGGAGGUAAUAAUAGUAAUCAACAUUUUGGUCAACGCACUUGGGAGUACCAUAGGAACCCCCUUAGUUAUUUACACAUCUUCCAUAAUGUAUCUAUCUUCUUGCAGUUCUCUUAACAUGUCUAUCAUAAUGUUCUGAAAUGAUAUCUAUGUAGGAACCUGAGGGACUAGAGGCAUGGAGAAAAACUUAUCUAAAUAAAAACAACAUUUACAUUACGAAGACCACAACACCUUUUGUGGUCAAACAAUUCCAAAAGUUGUUCUACAAGGACUUCUCCCUCUUCCUACAGCUGCGUCAUGAAGAACUUGUGCAUGGAGGGCAAAUGGUCCUUAUAUUUCUUGGGAGGAAGAAUGAGGAUGUAUAUAAUGGUGAUCUCAAUCAACUUUUUGCAUUGGUUGCAAGAUCGUUACAGUCUCUUGUUUUGAAGGUACUUGUAUAUUUGUAAAUUAUUGUUGUAUUUUUACUUGUUUUCACUUUGUGGAGUCAUGAAUUUAAAUGAAUUCUGAUCAUGAUAGGGCAUUGUGGAGAAGGAAAAGCUAGAAUCUUUCAAUCUACCAAUCUAUGGGCCGUCGGUUGGAGAAGUGAAGGAACUAGUCAUGCAAAGUCAUUUAUUCAACAUGGAUCUAAUUAAACAAUUUGAGAUGAACUGGGACCCUUUUGAUGAUUUAGAAGGUGAUGAUGUUGAGGAUAAUACCCGCAGUAGCAUGAAUAUUGCUAAGUUCAUCAUGUCCGUACUAAAAUAUUUAAUUGUUCACCAUUUUGGAGAAACCAUACUCGAUGCAUGGUUUGCCGAGUUCAAGUGCCUCGUUGGUGAGCACCUUGAAAAGGAGAAGACCAAGUUCACCGUCAUCGCCAUGUCCUUGAAGAAAGAAUAAUAUAGAUCUAUAUGUGUGUUGUUUCUCAAUUCUUUUACUCAAAUGCCAAAGAAUAUUAUGUAUGUUUGUAUUUGUGCAUGUGUCUCUCUGUGUCUGUACAUGCAUGCAUACAUGUCUACUCCUACUUUGUGUAGUCACUCCAAUGUGUAUAUCUUAUGAUAGGUCGUAUAUGGCCAAUGAAGUAUAUUUGUAUAAAGUAUAUGAUCAUACUAGACCAUUUGGGACAGUAUAUAUAUAUUAUAUAUAUAAGUAUACAUAGAGUAUAUGAUUAUACUUAAUAUGAUAGUAUUAUAUGUAGACCUUGUCCUCUCAGCGUAUAUAUGUUGCGUCCCCAAUCCCGCCGGCACAGCUCCCCUGGCCCCACCCCUUCAGCAUCGUGCCGCUUCGCAUUUGUUUUUGGGCCUUGUUUACUUCCAAAAAAAAUUGCAAAAUAAGAAUAUUAGCACUUUCGUUUGUAUUUGACAAAUAUUGUCCAAUCAUAGACUAGCUAGACUCAAAAGAUUCAUCUCGCGAAUUACAUGUAAACUAUACAAUUAGUUAUUAUUUUUAUCUAUAUUUAAUACUUCAUAUAUGUGUCGCAAGAUUCGAUGUGACGAAAAAUUUUAAACUUUUUCUAAAUUUUUUUAGAAACUAAACAAGGCCUUGACCUCCUCAACGAAGACACCUGACAGACAGCCGUCAAACGCGGUCGGGUGUGUUGGCCAAGCAGACUUGCACAUGCUCGACAGGCCGGGGUCUGGGAGUGGGAGGCGUAGCGCCUAGGUGCGGGACUACCACGUCACAUCGAAUCUUACAACAUAAAUAUUUUACAAAAUAUAGAAUCUUACGACACAUGCAUUAAGCAUUAAAUAUAAAUAAAAAAGUAACUAAUUACACAGUUUGCAUGAAAUUUGCGAGGCGAAUCUUUUGGACCUAGUUAGUCUAUAAUUGGAUAAUAUUUGUCAAAUACAAAUGAAAAUGUUACUGUUCACAUUUUAUAAAAAAAAUUUGCAAGUAAACAAGACCUUGGCCACACACGUCGUCGAACGCCAAGCAGCACGUACUGUGUCAUCGCCUCGAUCGAGGAAUUGGGACUUCACCUAGGCGAUGUGUGUCCGGCUCAAGUCCACCAUGAAGGCCUAAAGUAAGCAUACAGUAUAUAGGUCUCAUUUUCAUGUUCCAUUAUUCCAUAUCAACAAGUCAAGGUUCGUUGUAUCAGAUUGGUUUCAAUAUUAGGUGUGCACGAUCACCUAUAAGGCAGUCACCCAAAAUUUUGAUGCAUGCAUGCAACUAAACAUGAUCUCGUCUUGUACUGGGCCAAACAACAAAGAGAACCAAACACGACCACCUACGGCCUGGCCCUGUUCGGUUCUAAUGGAUUUCACCAGAAAUUAUUCCAUUUAAUCAAUGCUUAUAUAAAUUUGCAAAGUAAUCCCGGUAGGAUUCAUUUCAGGCAAUGAUUUCUUACCGAACAAACGAGAGCUCAACCUGACUUCUUUGAUCCUGAACAACCUGGCCAUUCAGGACCGAGCUCAGCUUGGUUUGCAAUUGCAACCAAUCACGCCCUAUAUGCUCCCUCCCUAAUCCCGCCGGCACAUCUCCCCACCCCUCAGGCCCGAGGCUUGAUUUGCCAUAGAUUAUUAAUCUCAAUGAUUAGAUGUUUCGUGUACACGCAGAAAAACCAAAGAAUGUGCGAACAACCAGCUCAAAAAAGCUAAGUAAUGGCUGACAAAACUGUUCUUUAUUGUCUCACUCUACCAAUGUCAUAUUAGCUAGGCCAAGACCCAAUGCAAGACCUUCCACUGAAACUGAUAAUCUGCAGGUAAACAACACGGACAUCUAUAUAUAUAUCCGAAUAGUUCAUUGCUAUCUACCUCCAUAAAUAGUAAGUCGACUUCUCUUUCUCUCUGGCAUAACUGGACAUUUUCAAAACAAUAACCGAAAGAGUUCCAUAGUUGGACGUUUGAGCAAAAGGUUCAGAUUGCUUUGCAUCAUGGAGGAACGUGUUUGCUUUGCUCUCGCUGGAGAGACAAGUUCAGAGUAGUGAACUUUCAACAUUUUAGCAGCGUAUGUGACCUCUAAAUAAAAAAUAUACUCAAAGGCUCAAUCCCUAAUGCACCUUAGCCUUUUGGUUUCCAUUGUCACAAGCCUAACAAGUGAGGAUCCAGGCACGAAGCAUUUGUCCUUCAAUUAAAUCCAUCUGUCCUAAAUCGAAUCAGUUUCUAAAUUUGUCCUAGGUCAAACUAUUUUAAAUUUGAAUCAACUUUACAAAGAGCAUAAAUGUUUGUAGAUGACACACUAUCCUAUAAAAUUGGUUAAAUUCAGGAUAGAUGUCAAUUUAUUUGGGGGAUGGUUAGGCUUGAGCCUUGCUUAUUUUAGGCUCAAAACAAGAGAAAUUUUCAUUUUCAUUUGGUUGGGGUGCACCAAGCUCUGCCAAUAGUGCAACAGCUGAGCAACGCUUGAGGAACUUAGUGGCAAGCCACUAUUAUAGUCUCUCCCCACAAAAAAUAAAUUUAAUAUCAAAAUAGACACAUGGUCCGUAUAUCAGAUAUUAAACUGAUAAGAACAGAUACUACACUUGAUCUUAGCCAAAAGGCCGAGAAAGGUAUGAAUUGCACUAAACCCGGAGGUCUCAGUUUUAUACCCUUUUCUCCGUCUCUGCUCGCUCAAAGCUGCCCAGGUGGGACUAAACUGAAGGUUAAGCACGGCUUAGUGCAGCGCAAAUAAUGCGGUGCGUUGGUUGAUUGGGCCAUUUGGGCUCGUAAUUUACCAUCCGAACGUGUCUGUUGCCACCGCAAUUACUAGUUGGGCCCAAAUUUAGGCCCACGCGGAGAACAAACUGUACUAUGCGUCUCCCUCGACGGCCCAAGUGAGGCCUCGGGCCUCCAACACACCAGAUUUUGUGUGGGUCCCACCUGCCGUGGACACCAACCACAGCACGAAUCUCACAGCCUCGUGUCGUCUCCUUUCCUUCCCACCUCCAGCCACCGCCGCAAGGAAGAACCCCUUCUCAUGGCGGCGGCGACGGCUUCGACGGCCGGGGAGGGAGGAGUAGGAGGAGACAACAGCGCGGGUGCCCUGUUGCGCAUCUUCGUGGGCGGGCUUGCGGAGAGCGUGGGCGCGGCCGACCUAGAGGCCCUGUUCGCCUCCGCCGGGCGCGUUGCCGGCGUCGAGUUCGUGCGCACAAACGGACGCAGCUUCGCCUACGUCGACUUCCACUGCCCCAACGAUAAGGCCCUCGCCAAGCUCUUCUCCACCGUACUCACCCCCCCUCCCCAGUACCCUCUUACCUUUCUAUAUUUCGGCUGCUCCUAUGUUCAGAUGAAUGCACAUUUUCUUUAGCAAAAAAUUAGACAUGUUCAGCAGAGAAUAGAUAGUCGGAGUUUUUGGUGUCUGCUACCUGUUUGUUGCUCUGAGGCUGUCUGAGGCUUAUGACAUUUUGUGUGCAGUACAAUGGGUGCAAAUGGAAAGGAGGGAAGCUUAGGCUGGAGAAGGCCAAAGAGCACUACCUCACUCGCCUUAAACGAGAAUGGGAGGAGGAUGCGGCUGCAGCAGCGUCAAAGGAAGCUGCGCUGAAAGAUAAUGCAGAGAACCAGAAGCCGAAACUAGAAAAGGCUGCCUUGGAGGGCAUGAAGAUUAACAUCUACUUCCCAAAGCUGAGGAAGGUGAGCAGUUGUUUGUGUCGUAUGCUAGGUUUGAUCCACUGUGUCAGUUAUUUAGUCAGUACCCAAGGUGAGCAGUAUGGCUUGAUAUUCGAAUUGCUCACUUGCACUAAGUUUUCUAUGUCGCAUUUGAUUGUUGAGUAGUGCUUCUAGUUAUACACUCUUCCAAGAAGUGGAAAAACACAGAUGUUAGAUUACACAGACAGUCUUGUUUGCAAUUUCAUAUUAACACCAGGUUAUCGUACCUGUAUCGUUUUGUAGGGUGUGAAUUGAUUCUAUAGCACUGCUCUUUUCCUUCUUCAAAUGAGUGAAAAUAUAGGCAGGUCUAAAAAGGUGAAAAUAGUAACAAAAAGCAUUAGUUGCCGAAAUCUAAAGAAAUGUUAUGAUUGCAUUGUGCAAUACAUAGGUCAAGAUGGAGGCCUGGAGGGCAUGCAUUUUCUAUUUAAAUGGUUGGUUAUUUAGUAUGCCAAAACGAAUUAGGCUUGAUUUCUCUUUAAUCAGUUAUGUGCUUUUACAGAUGAAAGCUUUGCCACUGAAAGGCACAGGAAAGCAUAAAUACAGUUUCCGACAUAUUGAAGUUCCUUCUUAUCCAAUUCAUUUUUGUGACUGUGAGGAGCACUGUGGACCUCCUGAGGCAGCUAAUGAUGAAUAUGCUUCUGUUCUUAAUGCUGCUGCAUAUGAGAAGGAACGUAACAUUAUGAAUUCUGUGAUGAACAAGCUUUUUGAGAAGGAAAAUGAACAUCUUGAUUCAUGUGAAGUGGGGAAAUUUGAUGGUCAUACUGAUACCAUUGAACCCUCCAAUGCUGUGAGUGACAUGCAAAUUGAAGAAACGGGAGAGGGUCCAAAGGAGGAUUUGGAUAACCUGCCAAUGGAAGAGACAGAAGAGUCUUCAGACGAAGAUUUGGAUGAUGACCUUGUGAUUAACAUUGCUCCCCGCAAGUCCAAUAAAUCAGCAGUUGGAGCGAACAUGGAAAAGCAGGAAGUGAAUAAGGUAAGCAUAUUAUAAGUACUUAUUGAGCAAUUUGCACAUGGUUUCCAAAUCUAUGAGCAAUUAUAUGCAUAUAAUCAUGAUCGUCAUAAUUUCAUUUAUAUGCAGGACUCACAGUUACAAAAGCGUCCAAGGAUUGAAGAGCCUUCCUUGCCGAAAAAGAGGCAGAAAUCUGAAGCCUCAUCUGAACCUAUAAAAAGGAAUGGAGAACAUGUUUCAGACACUAGAACCACAGGCAAGACUUUGCCUCUAAAAUCAGAAGCCAGCCAAAAUGAACAAAAAACUCUGGGUUUGAAAGGAAAAGGAACAUAUGAGUUCUCUUCAGCACUCCCCAAAGAUAAAAGCUUCACAGGUUCUCAAGGCAUUAUGGCUCUAGCAAGUUCUUCUACCAAAAAUGAAAGUGCACAAAAUAUUGGUUCUACUGAACCUAGAAAAGGUUAUUCAUGGACUCAGAAAUCAGCCUGGAGAGAUCUUGUAGGUGGCAUGGGGAGCACAUCUUUCAGCAUAUCACAGGUGUUGCCGAACAACAAUCCAGCACCAGCAUUACAUUUAAAUGUUACUGAAAGUGAGAGAUCUUCAAAAUCCUUGGAAGCUACAACACAGCUCUCAUCUGAGCAGAGGUUGCCGAGUUCCAUGGGAAUGCUGUCUACUGGUACUACAGAUGAGUCAACAGACCAUGCCAUUGGUGGUGAACCUAAGGAGAGCAAUAAGCCACAAAAAGUUCGGGUGGUCCCAAAGAUCACCAUUAGUGAAGUCUGCCCUUUCAUGAGAAACACAGAGUCACAAAAGCAAUGGUCAAAGGCAAAGAAAGUUAUAACUGGGUUCACGAAGAAGAGAAACGAGAGCAGUGCCGGAAAGGGGAAGCCAUCGAAUAAGCAAUAAAACUGUUGUUUUCUGGGCUGUAACUCAUAGAUCAACAUUUCAAUACUAUCAGAAUCAUGAUCGUAGCUGUUGUAUUAAGAUGACUAUUACAUACCAAUGGCGUUUCUUUUUGUAUAAGAGCAAUCAAAAUGUCUUAUUUCUGCGUGUUGUGUACACUUUAUUGCAACACGAUGGACCCCUAGACUCGAGGAUUAUUAUUUUUUUGUGAUAUGAUCGAUAUAAUUCUGCUAAAUGCAGUGUCCUAGGCACCACCGCAUUGGUUCCGUGUUAGGGUUUGGGUUUUUUCGGUACAGCUUAUAAGCUGUUUAUGACUAAAAUAAGCUGAAACUUGAGCCCAAACGACAUAUUGAGUCAAAAAUAAGAAAAAAAAAGGCCAGAAUAAGCUGAAAUUAGAAGCUAAACGAUGUACUUCUUUUCAGGCCGUGCUCCCGCAGUCCUAUUAAACAGGGUCGAAGGGCUGCUUUGUAAAGGUAGUUACACUGGGCGAUAAUUUCUCGCGGGAUCAUGCUGGGGACCGUUAAAACUACCAUCUCUCUCUCAACCACAAGCUGAGUAGAUGAAAUGCGGUGUACAUUUCUGACCUCUAGUUAUGGACGUGAUCUCUCGGCCUCCCAUUCAUUCAUCCCAUGAUACUGCAGUUUAAUUCCGAUUAAAUUCUAGAUCUGCAUUUCAAAGAGGUAAUCAUUCUAUUUUUCACCAUGAAUAAAGAGAUUAUUAAGUAAUUAUAUAUAUUAUUCGUACUAAAGUCUUUGUUCUAAUUGGGUUUCAAUCUUUGGAGCAGGAGAUGGCGACGGACAGUGCCGAUUCCCAGAGGCUCUUGCUUGGGCGUCAAACUCAGGUUCUAAUGAUGUGCAUCUUUGUGUAAAUUCUUUGAUCGCAAUCAUGUCAUCAUCGUGUUGGCCCCAUUGCUUGCAUUAUCACUGAGUGCCUGAUAAGCGAUUAAUACAAUUUCAAUAUUGCAUCAUUAGUCAUAUAUAUUUUUCUGAACCUGAAUAUUACAGGAGAUCAUAGAUCUGAAUAAUGAAUUGUUUUUUCUUGGGACCUUUUUUUCUUUCUUGGCAUAACUGGCCUUAUAUAUGCCCUUAUGGGCUAUGACCUUAUAAAAAAUUGACUCAUGUAAAAUUUCACCAAGUUCUCCAAAGGAAUUAUAAUCAAACCGCAAAAUUUAAGUGAGCCCUAAUCAUAUACAUUAGCCGUACCGGUGCCAACCUGUGCAUUCAUCAUGGAGUUCCAUUUGAAUAAGUCAUUUUUUUAUAUCUCCACACUUAUUGACUAGAUUUAUCUCCAUUGGUUUUCCUAUAGAACAGGCUGAUGGAGCAGAUGAGUUCGAGGACAACAAUCUUGCUGCACCAGAACCUUUAUCCCACAAUACUGGAGCAAGUUUCCAAAGGAAUCCAAGAUCUACAAAUUCGGGUGUAUUCGGAAGCCUGAAGAUUGUGCUGCUGAAAUCUAAGCUCAAUUUGCUUAUACCAUGUGGAUUCUUGGCAAUCCUGAUGGAUUAUCUUAGCCAAAAUAAGGUUAUUUUCAUACACAAUUCUUCUUUUUCUAUUACUUGUACUACUUCGGUACUUGUACUUUUGCUUUUCUUGCCUGUGGUCUUUUACUGAUUUUGUUACUUUGUUUAUCUGAAGGCCUGGGUAUUUCCUCUGAGCCUGUUGGGUAUCAUUCCUUUGGCUGAGCGACUGGGUUUUGCAACCGAGUAAUCUGUUCUCAUAAUUUUCCCUCAUACUUGGUGUAAUCUUCUUGGUUAAGUUUGACUAUUACUUCUUGAUGCAGGCAGCUAGGACUCUUCACUGGCCGAACAGGUCUCAUUCAGUUCCUCUUCUUUUGAAGAAUUCUGAACUGAAUUGCAUUGCAUUUGCAAACUUUGGCUGACUGUGACCACUUCUCAUCGCAGCUGGGGGCCUCCUAAAUGCUACAUUUGGCAAUGCCACCGAGCUGGUCAUAUCAAUUCAUGCACUCCGGAGCGGAAAGCUACGGGUGGUUCAGCAAUCUCUGCUCGGAUCAAUCCUGUCAAACACGCUGCUGGUUCUUGGAUGUGCGUUCUUUGGUGGGGGACUCACCUGCGGUAAAUCCGAGCAGAUUUUCAGAAAGGUGCCCGUCGUCCUUAUCAGUUGGCAGGUUUACAUGGUACAGAUAGAUACUGAUCCGUUGUUGCAUUGACAGGAAGAUGCAGUGCUGAACUCUGGGCUGCUCUUGAUGGCUGUGAUGGGGCUGGUCUCUCCUGCUAUGCUGUACUAUACUCACACCGAGGUUAACUUGGGCAAGUCAGCACUGGCAUUGUCAAGGUUCAGCAGCUGCAUAAUGCUUUUUGCUUAUGCCGCUUUCAUUUUCUUCGAGCUGUCGAACAGUCGCCGCCGAGACGAAUCUAGUGAGGCAAGAAGGAUGAGUUCAUUAUCUUAAAUUCACUGUUUUAUUGUUAUUGAUCCCUUUGCAAGUUUCUGAGGUGCUUGUCUGCAUUUGUACCGCCAGGGAGGAGGUGGGGAUCAAGGGGACGACGAUUGCGAAUACGCGUUUCCUGAAAUUUCCAAGUGGGAAGCCAUUGCUUGGCUUGCAAUUUUUACUGCUUGGAUCUCAGUUUUCUCUGACUUUUUAGUUGAAGCAAUCGAGGUAUUAUAUCUCACUGAUCUGAUGGAUGGUUUCUUUUUUCCACUUAUUUUGUUGGUCACAAUUUUAGCAGACACAUUUGCAUAAUGCUGCAGCUGCGUAAUGCUGUUUGCUUAUGGCUGACACUGCAAUCUGUUUGCAGGGGGCUUCCAAGGCUUGGAAAAUACCAGUUGCGUUCAUCAGUACUGUUUUGCUUCCGAUUGUAGGGAAUGCUGCAGAACAUGCUAGUGCUGUUAUGUUUGCAAUGAAAGACAAAUUAGUAAGCAGUAGCUUGACAUUGUUAAUAACUUUAAUGACUUUUUUUACUGUAAUUUGUGAGACUCUUUUAUAGGACCUUUCCCUUGGAGUCGCCAUCGGGUCUUCGACGCAGAUAUCCAUGUUUGUGGUGGGUUGUUCAACUAUGUGCUGCUUACUACCAUUCAUCUAAAUCAUUUAGAAGUAGAUAGGGCUGUGCUUCACCUGUCAUUGUUUAGCUAUUAGUUCUCAAGUGCUGCUAAUAAAGGACCUAAUCAUCUUGAAUUUUUAGAUACCAUUUAGUGUAGUGGCAGGAUGGAUGAUGGGCCAGCCAAUGGACUUGAAUUUCCAUCUGUUUGAAACCGCCAGCCUCUUGAUAACCGUACUGGUUGUAGCACUUCUGUUGCAGGUACUGAAAUAAUACAAACACAGUUGAGGAACACAGUGCUCCACUCUUGCAAGAUUUGUUUGUUUCAAUUUUCUUUUGCUAACAUUAUAGGAUGGGACUUCGAAUUGUUUCAAAGGGCUGAUGCUAAUUCUCUGCUACCUGAUAGUAGCUGCCAGUUUUUAUGUAUAUGCUGAUCCAAAUAUUGAUGGUAGCUUUCUCUCCUAUCUAAAUUGAUAUUUCUGCAACACAUAAGCUAUGCACUUAUAUCUUUUUCUUAAAUCUCUAAUUAAAAGGCCAUAUCUGAAGUGAGAAAGAUCAACAACACGAUGAAUUUUGUAUAAUGUCCAUUGGAAAUUCUGUGUUGCAGGUGUUUAGCCUCUGCAAACUAGUACCUUGAUGAUGGGACUACACUUCCAGUUUUCUGAAGAUACCUCUUCGAAGAGGACAGGGGGCUCCUGCGGUUCACUUAAGAAGAAAAUAAUUAACUGACCACCUCAGUGUUCCUCACAUGAAGAGGUCAUUCAAGCACACCCACUGUUGUCGAUAUGCAGAAGAUUAUACAGGAAGUUCUACAUAAAUCUCCAGUUUGUGUAGGCAACAGUUUUGUUCUUAUGGUACACGCAGAACUUGUAGAAAUCAGAAUCAAUAUUUUUUCUUUAUGAACAGCUGUCGUGAUUUGCAGGCAGUAAUAAAUUUAGUGACACAUGAAACAGAUCAAUGGGCCUCCUUUUUUUUGUUUCAUUUCCAUCUGAAAAUUAAUCAUAUACAGUUAACUCUUUCAAGUACUAAGGGAUUAUGAUACAAGAGAGAAGCAUCUAGGCAGAAGUGCUAAUAUUCUACAAGGUUAGAGAAGGAAAGUGCUUGGCGAGUCAACAUUAUUUUUUUGAAAGUAGGCGAGUCAACAUAUUCAAUUGUUCAUAACGGCUAUGAACAUAGUUGCUCCUUCUCAAGAUCAACCUGAGGCUUUGCUUUUUUCUUUUUGGUUAUUCACUUAUGACUUGUGAGUCAUUCCAUGUCAGUAUCUGUUUUUUUUUAAUUUGGCAAUGGAGCUGAAAAAGUGUCCGCUUGCGUCUUGGGUUUCUUUUCCUCUUUAGAUUCAGAAAGCUCUCUUUCUAUUGAACUUGUCAUAGCUGGUAAUGAAUUACUUGCCUUCUGUUGUUCUAAUAUCUUCUGCAAAUACUUUGCAUGUUCUUCUAUGCGUACCUGUAGCUGCCUUUGCACCUGAUGAGGAAGAAUAAAAUUUGUUUGAUUGCUAGCCAUGUAAAUCCGAAAUUUAUACAGGCCUAGAAGAUAAUUGUAUUAUACAGUAUCAGCUCAAAUUAUACAUCCACCACUGGACUAAAAAAUCACUGAGCUAGGGUACUUACCUCUAAUUGUUCAUGAAGUUGUUUCUGAACCUCCAUUUGCAUCCGAAGAGCUUCUGCUAGUUGUAAACUCCUGAGAAACGUAAAAAGAGAUGUGAAUUUAAAUGGUUUUAAAUUGUUCAUUCACACUUUAAUGUGUUUGUACUAGGGGUGGGGGUGGGAUGCUUACUUCUUUCUGCCAGCAUUGUUUCCUGGUAUUUCUGAUUUAGAUAUCUUGUCUUCUGAAGAGAACUUCAUGUCUUCAUUGAGCAUGCAAAAGAACCAAUAAGUUCAUCAGGGUAAAUUUUCAACACAAAGCAAUUACCAGCACUUAAAGACACAGGCAUGAGAAAUUGCAACUUAAGUUUCUAAAAUCUACCUUCUUUUGUCUCUGGAAGAUGCUUCGCAAAACGGUAUUUCUGCAUUUCCGGACCAAAUGAACCAGUAGUACAUCAUAAAUGAUGGCUGUUUACAGGAGAAAGUGACUAUGCACGGGAGGAAAUUACACGCAAGUACCUGCAAAUGGCUCUUCACAUGAUAGAUGGUCAAGCCUUCUACCUUCACAAGCUUCAACACACCCUUAGGAGUUGCCUCUACAAGAUUUAAACAAUCACUUGAAUAUCAAAAACUGUGAAUUUAUUUAAAUUUAACUAGAAAGAAGGAUCACCCUACUUUCUGGCCCUCCAAGCUUGUUGACAGACUUUACAAAAAGCUCAUGGAGCUCCAGUGUCCAUCUCAGUCUUGGCUUGUUACAUGAUGCAGCUCGAGAUGAACUCAGCUGAACUUUAACAGGAGAUCCUGUCCUCUGGAGGUCGUCUUGGUCAGAGCAAGACAACACCGGACAAGAAGAGGUUUGUGGCGGUCUGUCAUAUAUAUCCUGAUUGAUCAAGAACAAGGUAUAGGGAAGGGACUAGUUAGUGUCACGACACAAUUUAGUUAUGAUAGAAAAAGACUCAUCAUCACAAGUGAGAGAAAAGGAAGCCUUUAAUUUUCAAGUGUUUAAUAUGGUAACUGAUGGAAUGGAACUAUGGGCUCACAUCUAAUCGAGGGCUCUCUUCGUUGUCGGUGAUGGCGAUUCCGAGCUGUUCAGACAAGAACUGAAACUCCAUCUGCUCUCUGAAAGCCAUGCCGUUGCUUUCUCCAUGGAAACUGCCUCCUGAAGCAUCUCCAGAAAGGUUAAGAAAAUCCUUGAGAUCAGCUGCAGGUUCAGCCUCACUUUGACCACCAUUGUUGAGGUCAGUACCAAAGAGCAGCGAUGAAGAGCUGGAUGACUGACCACCUGAUGUUUGCUGAUGCUCACUUUUAGGAGGAUGGGGCAGGAAAGGCAGAGCGUCUGCUUGCCGGCAUGACUUGGAAUUCGUCGACGACGACGAGUACAUACUUGUGCAGAAUGUGGAAGAACUGGAUGGCGAUACCAGAUCCUUGGAUAGUAAUCCAGCUUGAGAUACGCGAGAGACUGGGGUUCCGUUGGUGGAGUCAGGACUGCAUUUCUGAAGGUCAAAUGGAAGGAUCUUUGAGGAUUGGGAAGCAGCACAUGAUGAUGAUGGCAGUAGAUCAUGUGGUGCACUGAGCAGCUGGUGAGCUGAAGGCUGGGGAGCAGUGCGUGUGUGAGCCAUUCUGCCAGGGCUAGUGAAUUGCUUAACAGCCUUCAGAUUCAGACUAUUGGUCUCUUUGGUCAUUCACCACUAAACCAGACUUGCUUGCUCCAAGCCUGCAUAGUGCAUACCAGAGUAAGAACAUGUAGAUACCAAAAAAAUGAAGUCCGGAAAUAUGGAUGCACAAGACUAAUCUUGUCAAAUAGUCUAUCAGAAGAGCCAAAAACUCAAUAGUAACCGGCAGCGCUUAGUUCACCCCAAAAUUCAAAAUUUUUUCAAGAUUCUCCGUCACUAUAAAGCUUGUGGCACAUGCAUGGAACACUAAAUAUAGACAAAAACAAAAUUUAAUUGCACAGUGUAAUUUACGAGACGAAUCUUUUGAGCCUAGUUAGUCUAUAGUUGGACAAUAAUUGUCAAAUACAAAAGAAAGUGCUAUAGUGUCAAAAUCCAAAAACUUUUCACAACUAAACAAGGUCUGGAUAAAAGAAGAGCUGCAAAUAUGAUUUGGACCCUUCAAAAGUAAUGGCCUUUCAGUGGAUGUAACUGCAGCCUGUUCUUGAAUAUCAGAGCAGCAAUGUCUUAACAGCAGAAGAAGAAAAAAAUCUCAUAGCAGACUUGUGAUUAGAAGCGAGCCACAUCACAUGGAGGAAACACAAAACGAAAGGGGAAAAAACAAUAUAAAGCCCAUGCAGCAGAAUUAUGAUGGUUCCAACAAGGCUAGAAAAAAAUUCAGAUGGUUCCAGACGUCACUAAAGUUUUAUUUGACGAGAUAUGAAGGAGAAACAACCCAAACACAAUUUGUGGAGGAAAAUGAACAACAAAAACAAGAACACGACUAAAAGAGUCUGGGACUGCAGCUAACUGUGAGGAGAAACCAGGGCCUUGUUUAGUUCCUCCUCAAAAUCCAAAACUUUUCAAGAUUUUUUAUCACAUCGAAUCUUUGGACACAUGUAUAGAACAUUAAAUGUAGGCGAAAACAAAAACUAAUUACACAGUUUGCCUGUAAUUUGUGAGAUGAAUCUUUUGAGUCUAGUUAGUCUAUAAUUGAAUAAUAUUUAUCAUAUACAAACGAAAGUGCUACAGUGCCUAUUUUCCAAAAAAAAAUGGAACUAAACAACCCAUUCAUGGAAGGAAAAAUGCUGAGGGAAGAUCCAAACCCCUUACCUGAAAAUGAAGAACUCUCAAGAUGAAGAGUGCUGGAGCGUGAGAGAUUCAGAAGCAAGGAGUUGCGUAUCCUCUCUCCCUCCUAUCCAUUCCAGUCUCUCUCUCUCUCUCUCUCUCUCUCUCUCUCUGGCUUUUAACUAGUCUACUCUUGUGGGCUUGUGGCACAUGAUUGGUGUGGUGGCCUGCAAGCACUACUAGUCAACAUCUGCCUCUCUGUUAAUAAAUUGCAGUUGCUUUUCAUUUGCUUAUGCAGCAGUUAUGCUAUGUAUUUUGUCUCUACUUGCUUCUAAUUCUGGGAACACAGCAUGGCAUCUCCCAAAAUAACAAGCAAGGCUCACCAACCAACCAUUCGAGCAGUUUUGCUCUUAUUAUUACAGGUACGAAGUUUUCUCAUAUGUUUGGCUGCCACACGUAUGUAUUUCCCUUUCGCUUAAGCUAACUCGUACAACACCGUCUACAUUUGACAGUCAAAAAAACACCGUCUACAUUUGGUUAACCUUAAUCAUACCAGAACUUACAAAAAUUGGCCUUUUUUUCCAAAUCAAACACGCAUACGUUGAUGGAAGGAAGGAUUACUAGUAUAGUAGGACUAGGAUUGGUCUCACCUUCGCUUGGCUGAAACUGUUCGCUGAUUUAUUACGAAAGAAAUAUACUGUUAACUGCUGAAUAACUAACAGAUUUGACAGAUAAGCUCAAGCGAACAGAGUGAGAAAAAUACAUGAAACCUAUUGGCAUGAUAUAGUGCAUAGCCAUGAAUUAGGCGAAGAAGAAAUUAGGUGAAAGCAAAUGAGCCGUCACCAGUUGACCAACGAGAUGCAGUGAUGCAGAUUAUUCAUCAAAAGCCAUGUAGUGCGUAACAGGUGAGUGUUAGUCUGCAUAUGCACUCUGUCUAUCAUAAAAGAACUGCACAUCCUCACUUUUUAAGAAGUCAUUUAAAAAUAACCAAAUAUACAUAUAAAAAUAGUACUUCUUGGAAUGGUCAAACUUGAGAUGGAGGAAGUACUAUUUUUUCAAACUUCAGAUAUACUAUAAAGUCAUUCCAAGAAUCUUAGAGAGUCAACGUAUCUAAAGUUUGACCAAAUUUAUAUGAUAGGAUAAUAACAUUUAUGAUAUCAACUAAGUAUUAUUAGGUUCUUCAUUAAUUAUAUUUUUAUAGUAUAUCUAUUUGAUGCCACAAAACUUUGUAAUUUUUUCUAUAAUUUUGGUCAAACUUGAGAUGAUUUGACUCUCCAAGAUUCUUGGAAUGACUUACAAUUUGAGAUAGAGGGGUAGUAAUAUUUAUAAUACAUAAUAAAUAUUAUUAGAUUUAGGUGUAUUUUCUAUACUCCCGGGAGUAGUUACUCUCAUCUUUAAUAAACCACAUUAUGUAUGUGUGCAUACUAAUUUAUCCGUUUGAAUAUGUUUAUAUACUUAUUUUAAGAUACUUCAAAUCUUAGUACAUGGAAUUUUUCCAAAAGAGCCCAUACUUUUAAAUAUAUUAUUUAGAUACACUGCAGUGCUAUAUAAGAUAAGUAUGAUUAUAUGUAUACUUGCAUACUUGCAAUAGAUACUACCCUAGAUGGUUUAGUAUGAUCAUAUAGUACAUCUACAUACCCUUCGCCGGCCAUAUAUGCCCUAGAUGUAGAGAUAUAUAUAUAGGAGUAACUAUUCCCUAGAAGUAGGGAAUAAUUUCCCACUAGAUUAAUAAUAGAAUAUCAUUUCAAAAAAAGAUUAAUAAUAGAAUAUAUUUUCAUAAUAAACUUAUUAUGAGAUACAUAGAAAUCAAGUUAAAUUUUAAAAAGUGUGACUCGGAAAUAAGAUUUGCAAUUAUUUUGGCCAGAGGGAGUAGCAACAUAAGCACGUUGCUUAGCUAAACUUAGGGAUUAACGAGUGCACAAGCAAUCAACUGAGACAUUGGUGUCUACUGAUGAAUCUUGGCAGCAGCAUCUUGUGCUGUGAGAGGACACUGGCCAGUAGCAAGAUGUGACCGGGUCAACAUCUAGUUAAGAGUUAAGAUGCAAGAUGUUCUCUCUGUUUCUUUUUAGUUGAGUUAGUGCCUAGUUAAUCGUUAGGUCUAGAUCAAAUGGCAUGACAAUGGAUUACUUAGAGAUUUACAUAUAUAGUUGGUGUCGUCUCUAUAGUGGUGUACACUGAUAUUUGGUAUCCCUGUUCUGAUUCUACGACAAAAGCAUGUUUAAGAAAACUAAAUUUCGAGAGCCUAUUUGAAAUGUGCAAACGUGAAAAAUGCAUGUACAAGUGGAAACUAUAUAGACGAUUGCCAUUUCUUAUACCAUUAAUAAGUGGGACGUGCAAAUGUAAAAAAUGCAUUUAUAAAUUUAUAAUGGUGGUAAAUGACCGAGACAACUCACAAGUGACAAUUUGUUUUCUGUUUCUUUUAAUAAAUUCAGUAGCCUAUUUCUUAAAAAAACUCACAAGUGACAACUCUCAACUUGUCCCAGCCCCACUUGAGUAGCUGCUCGUCGUCCUAGGACUGGCCGGUGCAGAUCGACUAGACGACGGAGCUGGAGCAGUCAACUUCUGCCCCAAGCAUUCCCAAGCUUGUUUCCCCAUAAACAAGGACCGUAGGUCCAUACUCCGUAGACCAUUAUCCACACUGGCGAAACCAGAGGGCUAGCAGGGCCAGUGCCCCCCCCCCCAGCCUAAUAAUUAAUUUAAAUAUCUAUAUAGUAUUGAUAUUUAUAGUACAAAAAAUGUUAAUUUUACCUAUUUUUUUUGUUAAAAUAUGAUUAUUUUGGUAUGAAAUAGUGUAACUUUUUCUAAAAAGUUCUUUAAACAUAUACUUAUGUAUAUUUUAUACACUAAAAAAUAUAAUCAUAUUUGUUCGGUCCCCCUUAAUCAAAAUCGCUGGUUCCGCCACUAAUUACCCAUACCACACUUAAGAAUAUUUGGAACGUUGAAACCAAAUCGUUAUACCCUCUCUUUUAAAACUAGUAUUUAGAACUCGAAACUAAUUAUUUUUAUCAUAAAUUUCACAAAACUUAAAACAAGGACAAUAUAAGUGUUCUAGUAUUUAGUUGAACACUUAACGAGGUCUUAGAUGUACUAAAACUGACAUGUACAUAAAUGAUUUUAUACAAUAAUUUAGCAUAUAGAUGGUGUUGGUGUUAGUCAUUACAAGACCGGUAACAAACAAAAAAAUUUAUGCUACUUGAUGUCACACCACUAUUAUUAAACCGACAUCUACAUCGAGCAUUCAUCAUUUAGGAAAUCACUUUUGACAACCAUGUAACUUGUUUACAUGAUUUAGUAAAAAAAUAUGAGGGGCUAAUGAUUAUGAGCGUGGAUGAUAAGGCAAUUGACUGAGGUUGCCUUGCCUGUCCAAAUUCUCCAUCCACUAAACUAGAUAAGCACUUCCUUUGGAAAACUUAUCACUAGUAUAGUUGAGCACUCAUGUUGAAAUCAAAAGUUGGGUGUGCCCAAAUCAGUAACUGCCAAGUCCAAGAAACAGGUGUCUGCCCCUCAUGAGAUCCCUAGCCAAGUAAAUAUGCUCACCAUAAAGCAGGUAACCCAUUUUCUAGCCAAUCAUGUCAGCAGGAUGGUGAGUUAGGGCAUAGGACAGUCCAAAAAUGUCACUCAACAGCUAUGAAUGAAUGGGGAAAUUGCUAGGAUUUGGAAGACUGGGGGCAUGUGUAUCCUCGUCUCUCUUUCACUCUGUGCAAGGUUGAUGGAAAGCUGUGAGAAAAAUUGAGGCGAUGAAAUGGUUAUAAUUUGUGAUUGCAGGGCUUGUGGCUGAGGUGAAGCACAUGCAUGAAAAGAGGAUAAACCCAAGGCAUCCCGAAUUUGUUGGAGACAAGGCAUCCAAUUCCAACUUGGGCUCUGCAUGAUUGCUACCUCCACCAGAUGAGUCCACAUCUCAGUAAAGUUCUAAGUUUAAAUUCCCCCCUUUUUUACUGAUUCAGAUCAUGAUUCGGGCAUCAACGUUCCGAAUAAAUCUAAAUAUAUUCAUAGCAUCCAUGCAUAAAUAUAUUAAAUUUCUUUACUAUCAUAUGCCGAAAAUGAGGAGGAUCAAGAGAUGGUUUAGACAGUUCGUACGUGCUCAUCUCAGCAAGUGCAUAACAUAACAUGAAACACAUACAGUUCCAGUCAUCCAAAGACGACUUCAGAACGUGGCGACACCACAAGACGUCAACACCUCAAUUUGAUAUGUUUUACUCAAAUCUAGCACGGCAGCGCCAAGUAACUUACCUAGCACUGCCUAUUCUUGCUAAUAUACUUGCUAUCUACCUUUGAGCUCUUCUUCAAACACGCGCAUUUUCUCUUGAAUCGACGCCAGAAAGGUCUUGAGAUCCUUGCAAAUCCGUGUUUUGUCUUCAGAUGCGAGGCCCUUGUCAUCACUGAACCUUACUUGUACCUGAAACCGGAGGCAGAAAAGAAAUUUGCCAUGUAUGUUAUGCCAUCCAGUAUUAUGUUGGAUACAGUGGUACUGACAUCUCAAUACAUAAUAAUGGCAGCUUUACCUCCAAGUCAUCAAUCUCACCAAAUGAAAACUCAGGAAUGUCUAAAUGUCCUUUGAUCUUCUUGUUUUCUUCUUUAAUUAACCAUUCACCUGAUAAGCGCUACAAUGAGUCACUGCAGUAAUAACAAUAAUACAAGGACCAAAGGCAACGGUGUUGACUGAGUGAUAUGAUGUGACGUCUACCUUUAAAUCUCAAGCUUAGUUCAUAAUUAUAUCCUACUCUCUUCUUGUUGCGGACAGUGACCUGAAAUGCCUGCAAAGGAACCGGUGGUUUAUAUUCAGAAGUUAAAUUAUAUCACUACACAGAAUCACAGAGAUACUUCAAAGAAAAAAAAAAUGGCUAUCACAAGGCACAAUAAUAGAUUCCAUCCAAGGUAACACAGCAAAAAGUAUAGUUACUCCACUGUUAUGUGCUACCGUACCCUGAAGAAUUUUCAAUUCAAAACAUUUUGUUAAUUCAUUUAAUCGCAUUUUUGUUUUUAAGACGAUGCUCACAACUGUUGACAGAACCUUAGCAAUCAAGUUUCAAUGGAAACCGAGCAGAUCAAAGUGCAAGAUCUAAGUGAUCCUACACUGCCUGCUGUCUAAUAAUAAUAUUAUUAUUAUAUAACUAAACCCAGCACAGGUUCCCAAAACAUAAAUCAAUACAUGUUAGUCUAGAUGCUAACGCAUUAUGCUUUAGCAGCUAUCAGGUUAGACAGACAGUUUCAUACUAAAGAAGGGUGAUGUUAAGAGAAAUCAAUCGCAUCAGGUGUACAAUGGCAAGGAAGCAACAUGCAUAAUCAGACUGUUUCUUUCAAGCACAAACUGAUGACGGAAUAAUAGGAUUGAAUGAUUUAUUAAAAAUAUGCUUACAUCGCCUGAGCACUUGGACACUUCAUCAAUGGAUGCCUUCCCUGUAGGGAAGUCCAAUGAACCUAAAGAGCCCAGCAAAUCCUGUAGCACAAAGUAGCCAGCAAAUAUCAGAGAAAUUUUGACAAACAGAAACAUCAUUGUACUAGGAGUAUCAUAAACCAAGUAUUUUUGCCAAUAGCUAGUUACUUAAAUAUUCACCUUUAUCCUACCAUUGGCCCAUGAGUUGAGGUUCUUUUCCUCCCAGGUUCCAGCCUGCAAAGAGCGAAAAACACAUCAGAAAACUUGAGUAGGAAUAGCCACAAGUUUGAAGACAUGUACAAGGAGAUUUAUUUGUCUAAAGCUGCAACAUUCGGAAGAAAUGGUAUGGAUCAGCAUCUUGAGAAAAAUUAAGCAUAGACAUUUAGUCAUGACUCUGAUGAUAUGAAGUUGUUCCUACCAUUUCUUCUUAUCGACUUCAAAGAAGCAUAAGUACCAAAAACAACAGCUUAGCUUAUCAUAUUAAAAGAUAGGAGCAAUGUCAUAAGAUUAUUCAACAUGAACAUAAAUAAACCAAACUGUUGGGGUAAAAUAAAUUCAUGCAGUGUUAAAUCAUUUAUCAUUUAGAAUAAAGAAGCUCAUACCAACUAGUUUAAACAUAUCAGACAUUUUAGUUUUACCCAUUGAUUCAAAGUUACAAACCUAUUUAUUCAACAUGCAUUCCCCUAUUCAUGCACCUAUCGUCCUUUUUCUAUCUCUCACUUCCAGUUCCAGGGGCAUAAAAAUAUAAUAUUCCUCAACCUGGAUACUGUCAACCCAAUUGUUUGUGGACUGGAUAAAAUCUUCGUAAGCAGCAGGAACACUCAUUCAACCAAGAUAAGAAUCACUUCUUGCAAGUACAAGGGUGAAUGCACCCAGUAGUCCACAAGAGAAUGGAGCAGUACAUUAACACAAGGCACAUAAAAACAAAAAGCAAAUAUGCUCCACCGAUUGGAAUCCUUUUUCCCUGAAGAAUCCAAUGGUGUAACUGCGGACAAAAGGUGACUCUAAAUUUGUAUAACGGCAUCGCGCCAAGGUAACAUAUUUGGUUGCUGCUAGCCGUAGUUCCGGUGAUCAGAUGAACAAUACAUAAUGUCAAAGGAAGUUGAAAUACAGAUCAGAUCUAGCAUUCGUCAGCUUCCCCAUCAGACUCCACGCUCGGAAUGAACACUAAGGACACAAAGGAGGUCACAAAUUCGUGACCUUUUCAUGGGUGUCACAAUGCAACUACUUACACGAUUCCUUCUCCAAUCCAACAUAAGGAUGGAGAUGAUGAGAUGAGGGGCGUGGCUCACCUGAUUCCAGACGGAGCCGAGGGGCGGCGGGUUCCCGUUCCCGUUCCCGUUGGCGGUGGGGUCGAGCUUGCGCGGGACGGGGAGCGGCGCGGCGUCGCCGGUGGCCUCCCGCACCCAGUACCUGUACGACGACGCCUUCUCAGACGUCGCCGUCGCCGCCGCCGCCGCCGCCGCCGUCUCCUCCAUCUCUAUUCGUUCGCCGGCGAGUCGACGGACGGAUCGGUGCCGACGACGGCGCAGAUCUCUCGGCUAGGCGCGGGGCGGGAACGGGAUGGGGGCACGAGCUCGACGCGUCGCUUGCACUCCAAUUCUGACCGCUUUCUCGGGGGACUUGCUUCCUCUUUCUCCUUUUGUGUCCCCGUCAGGGUCAGCCAGUGGCGUGCCCGCGUGUUCCAGAUGCUUCGGGAGCCUUCCCGGCAGUUACACGCUCACUGUGAACCUUCCAGGCAACGUGUGGGCUCCACGGCUGUCCCACGCGUCAGACACAUAACACGCACGCACAGCGACGGGUGCCAUUCAGUCGCGUGGAAAACGAUCGUCAGGCUUCAAAAAUGUUUUUCUUUUUUGCAGCCUAGGGUCUGGUUCAGAUAAAAAAAACAUAUUUUGACACUAUAGCACUUUUUGUUGUAUUUAGCAAUUAUUAUUUAACUAUAGAUUAAUUAGAUUUAAAUAUUUGUCUCGCAAAUUAUAAAUAAACUAUGUAAUUAGUUAUUUUUAUCUAUAUUUAAGUAUUUAGUUUUAAAAAAAUUUACAAAAUAGACACUGUAACACUUUCAUUUGUAUUUAACAAAUAUUAUCCAAUCAUGGACUAACUAAACUUAAAAGAUUCAUAUCGCAAAUUACAGACAAAUUAUACAAUUAAUUAUUUAAUUUAUAUUUAAUGCUCUAUGUAUGUACCACAAGAUUCGAUGCGACAAAAAAUCUGAAUUUUUUUAAGAACUAAACAAGGCCUUAGUACUCCAUACAUGUGAGAUUCGAUAUGAUAGAAAAUCUUGAAAAGUUUUUAUAUUUAGAGAUGAAUUAAACAAGGCCUAAGAAAUACUAUGUGAAUGAAACAAUUACAUGUUCUGCUUUUUUUUCUUUUAGAAUAUCCGACCAUUUCCAUGUUCCAGCGAAGCAAACCAAUCUCCAGUCACAAGAACCAGAACCACACAGAUCGAAAAAGGAUGCAGACGUUUCAAAAUUUGACGAAACCUUAACAUUUGCUGCAGACGUUUCAAAAUUUGACGAAACCAGAACAUUUGCUAGUCAAGAAAUCCUACUCCCACACAACUAUCAAAAUCGACUAGGCAUCGUUGGAGGUCAAUCACCUCGAUAACAACACGUUACAGAUCCUUUGAUCUGCUCCUCCGGGCAGAAACCAGAACCAGUAGCACCCUGACAUCAUCUCAAAUAGAACUAAACACUAUCUCUCUAUUCUUUUUUCUUCUCUGUUACAACACAAAGCGAUGAUCUUGAUGACUUAUUACAGACCAACCCAGUACGAGCGGCCAUUGCUGUUGUGGACCGGCGACGGGGUCGGCGUAGUGACAGCCCACUCGUACCACACCUGCAGCAGCAAUGGGAAGAUGAGGAAGAGAUGUAGAAAUUCUAGCGUCCCAGAACCGAGACAGGCCAUGACAUAUGCUUUACCUUUGUGGGGGCACAGCAGCGCCAGAAGUGCACUUCUAUAGGAGACCCUUGGGGCACGUAGAUGGGCUUUCUCAAUGGGAAGAAGAUGGGGAACCUGACAGUGUUUCAUCGUGAAGAUACAGCUAUUGAUUGAUGGCAAGAUUUGAGAGAUUAUAUUGUUAGCUUUCAUAAGGAAAGGAUCAGUACCAGCUAAACAUGUUUGGUGUAGCGGUGUUUGGCUCGAUUCCAAGAUGAACAUCCUUAUAGAGAACGGAGUCAAAAUAGCCAGCAAAUCCUGCCAAAAUGAUGGGGUAAAACUUUGUGUUAGUGAGGGGCCAACUUUUGUAUCUAUGGUACUAGCUUGUAUGAAUAUAAUAAAAUCCAAAAAAAUGAGUAUGGUUGCAUACCGUGCACAAGGCAUGAACCCAUAUCUGGUAGCAUUUCAAAUUGCAACUUGGUGUACCUUUGGUUGCUAGCACUUGGUGAGAAAUUUGGAUGGUUGAAAGUAAAAACCUACACAUGUAGAGUAAAGGUGAUCACCAAAUUUCAUGGCAUCAAUAGUUAAUGAAAUAUGGCAACGUGUCAAACUGUGUUUUGAUCAGAACCGAUGAAGCACACACAGUAGAUCUGAUUUCUCACCUGUUGUGUAGGUGCAAGUGUCGCUAUACGGUGUAGUUUGACAACAUAUGCUGUUUCAAAAUGAGCAAUAUCUUUGUGUGCUUUAAUCUGCAGAAAUCAAGUCACUCAGGUUUCUAUAAAAAUGUCACAAGCUAUAGCUUCAAUUUGUAGACACCUACAUCGUUGUGCAGUUUUGAUGCUGUUAUUGGUUGGAUGAAGCUGGUAUAUCUGCAAAGAAACAUAAGCAGACAAUCAAAUGAUAUUUAAAAUAUUUUGACAUCAGAAAUUAAGGAAAUAUAUGUAUAAGAAAAGGUCCAGUACGAUGAAGGAAUGGAAAUCCCAUCAGGCUUCAAGAAUCGCUGAGCACCAUCAAGACACUCAGGAGAUAGUUCAUUGUCACCAAAGGACCCAAGCAAUUCACUGACCUGAUUCAUGUAGGUAUGCAAGAGGUUUUUAAAAUUAACAGGUUGGAGAGGUUUAACAUGACCAUUUCCAAAAAUGAAAUAUCACCAUACCAGAAUAUCUGCCUUUUCAGGGGCAUCCCAACACCGCAUGUCACUAGAAAUUACAGUAACCAGGCUUUCCCAACCCUCCAAUUUGAUCAAACUCUGUUUCAGCACCCAAAAUCAACAAGUAAAAUGAUUGUAUCAGCAAUCAUUGCAUUGACAAACUUUAGUAGUUUAGUACCAGCCUAAUGGACAUGAUUGAAUAAAUAAGAGACAGAACAGCCACUCAAUAACUUACAUGAAGAGUAAUAACAGCGUUAGGAUUUUUUUCAACAGCAUAUACUUUUAACUUGCGACCAGUUUCUUCAGCGGCCUGCAAUGUCAAAGUUUCAUUUACCUCAAUUGAAGAGAGAUACAGUUGUACUACGUUUUUUGAAGAGGGUGUUCCACUUGUAUCCUUAUGACAGUGAAUUAAUCAAGAUCCUCUUUUUUUCUCUGAAGCUCAUAAGCUUCAAGCAAACUGACGCUAACCUGCAAUGAUGCUCGUACUAGAGGUCCUCGGCCUGCUCCCACAACCAUCAGAACCUUUGUUUGUUGAAUAGUUAAUACAUAAUUAGACUCAACAAAAAAUACAGAAACAUGGAAUGAAGCCAAUGAAACAGGGAGUAGAUUUAUUUACAGGAUGCAGGAAAUUAAAAGGCAGAAGAAAAAAUAGUCAUUCAACUGGCCAUGGUCCAGAAACAUAUAGGAAAAACAAUAUUCGAAUUUAUGCCAUCUCAGCAGAAAAUAAAGCCUCUAAUCUUAUUUAGAGCUACAACAUUACUUCAUCUCCUAAAUUUUUUGGUAUCCUAAAAUUUAGUGAAAGUAUGGUUUACAUGCAUCAAAUUUAGGAGGGGAAAACACAACAAAGUUUAAGGUCCAAUCUUACAGUCCUAGUUGUGGAGACUGCAUCAUCUGCAACCCUAUCAACCAAGGCCUUAGCAACUGCUCUUCGAUACUGCUCACAUGAUGUAAAACAAAGAAUCAACAAAACUCAGUAUUGAACUUAGUAAGCGGACAUGAAGUCACAGGGAAAAGAAUAGGGUAACAUUCUGGUCAUAUAAUAUUUGACUAUUUGUUUUCUUUUGCCAAACCAGGUUCAUCAGCUCGUUCAAAUAAACUAUUAUUUCAAGAACAGCCAUAUAAUGUGAUGCUCGAAAUCAUGGUGGAAACAGAUAAGUUUUAUUCAAAUUUUGCAUUCACGUUAUUCAAAAUAAAUGUGAACAAGAUAGUAGCUACUUCACAAGCUAUAAUAUAUAAAAUAAAAUAAAGGGCAUAUUCGCAUCAUAUAGCAGAAACCUGAGUAUACUUCACAACAUCCUUCUCAAAUGUCUCAUAAGUCUGAGCUUCCAAAUUAUCCAUUAGAGGCUGCACCGAAAGGAAAGUCAUGUCGCGUAAGUAUACGGAGAGUAAUGGAGGGCAAAGUAUUUCUGUACUGGUAGGGGGAAAAAAACUCAGGGAUGUCAGGUUGUCAGCAGAAUAAGUGAAUAACAAAAUUUCCUUCCCAUAAAGGUUGUUUGAAGAAAAUUGAAUUGUUAAACCUUAAAGUAGGAUAAAGUGAGCAGCAUCUGCCUUAGCCUACGAAUGCCUUUAAACUAUUGCAAGGCUGUAGCAGCACAAGGAUGAGAUCAUGGGUUCAAACCCCAAGCCGUUACAACUUCAGUUCUCUUGAAUUAGUGAGGCCUGCUGGCAAGCGAAAGUAAAUUUUGAAAAAGCUGGCUGAACAUAAGUUUAACCUGGACAUCCUCUAGACACACGAGAUGCUAAGCUGACUUGGUUUAUUAUAUUAUGGAGGCAUAAAAAUCAAUCUUAAUGACCAAAAACACACUUACAUUUUUGUGACUAAAAUAUCUGACUUUUGUGAAAUUUAAGUGAACUCAUCAAUACUCAACCCCUCAUAAUGGUUUUGGGGGCAGUAUAAAUAACCCAACCCAUGACCCAAGAAUAAUUAGUUUUAGGUACUGUAGAAUCAAUGGCAAAUACAACAGGACUUACCUGGAGAGGAGACUGCAAAAAAUCCCUGUAAUUAAUCUGAAUCAAGUCAAAUAACACAAAGUCAAUGAAUAUCCCAGUCAAGCAGUUAAAUCCUGGACCACAGCGUGUCUGCUAGAAUGAAUACCUCAAAGCGUUCCUGCUCAGGAAGUGGAUCCAUCUUCUGAUAUAGGUACGCAAUGUACUCCAGGUACGGAGCUAAUGCAUGUCGAACAGGGGAAUCUAAAAGAACAGUUUAUUUCAAUGGUAAUUAACAAUUUAGGCAAGUACUGAGUCGUGCUAAGAAAUGAAAGUAAGUUUACAGUGCGACAUAGAAUUAGGUGACUAGCUAAUACAUAGCACAGUAUAAUCAUAGAAAUGCUCAUGUUGCUAUCAUUAAUGAAGUGGAGCUUAGAUUUAAACAUUUGAAGUUAAGAACUCUUGUAUUUUUUCCCAGAAUCGACAAGAGUAUUAAAAAUUCUGAAAUAUGCAUGGUCAGUGAACUAUCUCCAUCCAAAUGUGGAUGGGGGUGAGGGUGGGGGGUGCCAAUAUGAAUCACUCUGUUUAUGAACAAUCAUGUGUGGUUAAAGCACACCACGGAAUAAUAUGUCAUACAGUAUGCAUGGCUAACCUUCAAUGCAGCUCUCAUCACCUGAGAGCACUCCAGAUGCUGGGAAAACAUUGAGAUUUGAUCUCCCAGAGAUUAUCACCUAAAUGAACAAAAAAGAACUUAAGAAUGAUGUCUGCCACAGUUACCUCAUCAAAACACAAAUAUAUAUACAAGAUAAAAAAAGGCAAGUUGAAAACUAGAGGCAUGUAACAUUGGAUUGUUGACUCGGAAGAUAUGAAAAUAGAAAGGUUGACUAAGUGUAAUCGUAAAAGCAUAAAAAUAAUAAACCUGAACAGAAUGGUUAAAAAAUCCAGUUAGCAGCCUCUGAUGCCGCUUUGAUAAACAAGGAUAUCCUUUUGAAUUUGUAAGAUAAGCCUGCGAUGCAAAAAUCAAACGGUGACCUGAGUUUUCAUUGCCUGCAUCAACAUUAAUUUGUUAGAUCAGAAAUUUGUGAUUACAUUGGUUUGCAGAAUAGCAGCCUUUACAGGCUCCCCAAACCACCGCCCUAAUGAGUUUAUUGAUGGCAGUGUGCUCCUGGUAAAAGAAUGAAUCUUUGUGAAUACCAAAACUAUAGAUUAAAAUAAUUAAAUAGUUUCGAAAGUACUGGAAUGGGCAGGUAUGACACUUACGAAAUAUCAAGUGCCACACAUAGUUGGCUACUAUGGUCACAUAGCAAUCUGAACGAAUUCCAUAAUUCCCACGAGUCUACUAUUUCACUCUGAAGUUAAAGAAAACAAAUAAACAUGUGCAUUAUAUAUAAUGCUAAAAUACUUCAACACCAUGUUCCAGGCACACUCAAUUGUCAAAAAAUUACCAUGUGGUUGUUAUUCUUUAUUUUAUCAAGAUCGUCAUCCAUAGGCUCGGACUUCUCCAGAGGCAACCUAAGCCAUAACUUGAGAAAGAAGCAGAAGAAAAAAUAUCAUUCAGAUAUAAGCAUAUCUAGAACAUAGAUAAAACUGACAGAAUGAGGGAUGGGAGAUGGAGGGCAUACAUGCAUAUUGGUCAGGCCUUGCAAAAUUUGAUUCACAACUCUGGCAUAAUUGCCACAAAAAGAUGUCCGGGGGGCAGGAAGAACACAUGCCUGCAAGGACGUGCACCAAAAUUUAUUUUUUUUUCUUCAAAAAGAACAAUGCUGCAUAAGACAGUCAAGCUAACAAAGUUUUCAGCUACCAUCAAAAUCCUAAGAUUUUGUAUUGGAAUGGAAUUUCCUUGUUUCUAGAGCUUGCGAGAUGAUGAAAAACUGAGAUGAUUCACACACACAAAAUUACCGGAGAAGAAUUCUUAUGCUAUGUCAAAUAGAAUUUCGAAUUCCAGGGCAACCCACAGGUUAUCUGGAACUAGAAUCCCAGGCUCACCGGGACAAACUGACUGCAGUGGGAAUAUUCCACUGUGAGCUGUUUUUACUCGUAACGGAAUACAAUUGUCAAUUGAAUGCUCUUGGAAGUUGAAAACUGUAAAGAUUGUGAGGGGGAUUUCAAAUGUGAACAGACCGGCAGCCAACGGUUUCCGGCUCCCGGCAAAGUUAGAAAGUUUUGUCCUUACACCAGAAUGGUUUUCAAAUCCUAAAGGCAAUGUAUUGUCCAAUUUAAGUCUUCAAUUUCGCAACAAUCAGCGGUACGUUCCAAACUAACGGGUGAAUGGAUAAUGAACGGUGCAAUGAGACCACUGGACCUGCAGCGAGACGUGAGACGCCCACGCGAUCUCCUGCUUCAGCGUGAGCUCGGAGUCCAGGCGGAGCCGCUCGUCCUCCGCGUCCAAAUCGAUCCACUCGCUGAUCUUCCCGACGACGUGGUUGCUCCACUGGGCCGGGCCGAGGACGAGGUCCGACGCCGACACGGGCAGGACGGCGCCGGGCGCCGGCCGGUAGUUCGGGUCAACCUGCGGCGCGCAGCAGAGCAGAGCAUAUCAGAGGAGGGGACGUCGAAGAAGGCAUACGGCGGCAAAAGAGCGGUGGUGUGCCCACCAGAGGAGCGAGGAUGAAGUCGAAGCCGGAGGAGAUGGAGUGGCUGAGGACGGCGGGGAGGCCCUCGCCGGCGGGGAAGUCGAGCACCUCCACCCCGCAGUAGCGGGAGUCGCUCUUGUCCCCUGGGCGCUGCCCCAGCGGCAUCUCCGCCAGACGGAUGUAAACGGCGCUUCUCCGCCGUACGAUGCUGGUUGCUGGUGGCCGCCCGCCGCCGGGGAAGGACGGAUUAGAGAAGGCGUUGGUGCGGCUAGGGUUUAGGGGUUUGGGCGGCGAGCGGGGAGCAGGGGGCUUUUCAGGCUUUGCCCGUUUAGCGGCUGCUGCUGAUUACUCUUGGCUCGGUUUUUUUUUCCCCUUUCUUUGGCGCUUUUGCUGCUGGAUGGCUUACUGACAUGUGGGCCCCGCUACAUUUGUAAGAGUAGAAAUCAUCGUGUCCAACUCCCAUAAACUCUAUUGCCAAAAAUAAUUAUGUAUAGUAUAAUUAAUAUUUUUUAUUUAUAAAUUGCAAAUCGUUCUGUCUUUUUUAAUUAUGUAGUUUUUUCACUAUAUGUAACUAAAUAUAAAAUACUGAUGUGUAAUAAAAUUAUCGACAACUUGAUGAAAUGAAAAAUGUACUUAUAAAAAGAAGUGCACGAGUAUUGACAUAUACUCCCUCCAUCCUAAAUUGUAAGUCAUUCCAAGAAUCUUGGAGAGUCAAAGUAUUUUCAUAUUUGACCAAAAUUAUAGAGUAAAAUACUAAGAUUUGUAAUAUAAAGUGAGUAUACUAUGAAAAUAUAAUUAAGAAAGAAUCUAAUGAUACUUGGUUAGUACCAUAAUAAUUAUUAUUUUAUAAUAUAAAUUUGGUCAAACUUAAAAAAAUUGACUCUCCAAGAUUCUUGGAAUGACUUAUAAUUUGGAAUGGAGGGAGUAUAUUGUUUGAGUUGUCUCCUAAUAACCGUGUCAUUUGUGCAUAGAUGAAGAUAAUAGCAUAAAUCGUAUAGUGACAAUAGACUGUAAAAUUGUGCACAGAAGAGUCUCAUAGUCUUAUAUUUUUAGGUUAGAGGUAGUUGCUUCACAAGGCACUAGACUCUCCUUUCCAUAUUGGAUUAGAAUGUAUUUGGUAGGGGUUUAGAUUCUCAUAAAAACAUUUAAGAUCCAAAAUCUCUUAAAAAAGUUUCAAGUGGUGAAUUAGAAUAUUUUUAUGGGAUUGUUUGACUAGUAGGCUAGAUUAUGAUUUAAAAAGAAUAUUUUUCAUAAAAGAGUACAUAUAAAUAAAAAUAUGCUUCAUGUAGGCGAAGAUUAACUUAAAUACUAUAACAUAUUUUAACGUGUUAACUAAAAAUAUGGUGUCUAGUUCACAAAAGAGACAAGAAACAAAAUCGGUGGAAAACUGCUCCUAAACUGUUUGCAUGCAUAGGCACAUGCCAUGCGUUUUUAGACACAAAUAUUUUACUUCUUUCCCGUUUGGCAAUGAUUCUAGGGCUUCUGGCUAGAACCCGAAGCAUUUUUUAUUGCCAAACAGUCCUUAGAUGACUAUGGAAUAUGUAGCUUGUGCUAGCUAACAGUGAGACAUCUCAAGAUCUAUCAGCUUAGUCUUAGCCUUUCAGAAGUGCUCAUAAGGAUAUGAUGCAGUGCGUGCAUUCAUAAGAGAGUAUAUGUGUAUAUAUCAAUGUUUAAGUAUAUACUGUGAUUCACAACAAAAAUAUAUCUGCCCAUAUAUAUGGGGUUCAACGGUUCCUGAUUUCUCCCUUGUAGUAGAAAAACAACAAGAUAUCAUCCUUUGUAUAUUUUGGGUCAACAAUAUGCGAUUUAGUUGGUCACAUGUUUUGUAAUAGGGUUAAGUAUCUUAUCUUUAUACUUUAUGAGUUGUUUGUUCUAUGUUUAUAUCCAUAUGAUGUUGGCAGAUAAGAAGUUAGACUAUUUUAGAAAUAUUUAGCAAUUUAUUUUGUACCUAUUGUUUCAUUUGGUUUUUAUUUUUUAGUUUGGUUUUGUUUAUAUAUGUUAUUAGGGUUAUAAUAAUGACCGCGCGUAUGAUAACACAGGUGAGGAACACAUGAUCUGAUGUUUUUAUGAAGGAAUGGUCAAUAUUCCAAGGGCAUACAAAUCAUGUUGAUGUGAUAGUUCUUGUCCUAACAUAGAAGGGAAAGAGUGUAACAUGUUUGGUUAAUAUAGAGAGUUCGAUUGUCAUUAUUACGCUCAUGUGCUCAUGAGAAAUUCGCUUAAAUUUGCUUGGUAUAAACAACCCCUUCAUGGUACUCAAUGUAUUAUCACUACAAGCUUUUAGCCUGUUUCUAAUUGGUAGACACAUCCCGUAGCAUCCUACAUGAAUUAAAAUUAUUGAUGGAAGAAUUAGUGUUGUGGAACCAUAUAGAUCUAUGAAAAGAAAACAAUAAAGUAUUUUGAACCCAACAACACUCAUCAAACUUGAGUCCAGUUAGGCCCAACCUAACCAAUUUUAAUAUAGCUAAGCUCAUUUACACCAAAAACCAUGUUAAUCUAACCUACCACUCUGGCGGAGAUAAAAGAUAUAUAGAUCCUUUUGUGGAGCAAUUAGUUGUUGUGUUUUGUUAUUUAUCUUUAGAUGCAAUUCAUUCAAAGAAUCAUCUAGUAUAUGUGCAAAUAUAGGUGAUACAACAUGGCUGGAUAUUUCAAUCAUUGAUCAUCUCAUAUUUGAAACAUAUUUUUGUUUAGGAUUUCGCUUUCGUGUUGACUUACUGUUGCAAAAGUGAAGUGAAACUGUGUAUAGAUCAAUAAGAAACCAACUAUGCAUGAAAGUAUAUUACAAGUUGGUAUUUUAUAUAUAAUUAAGUUACAACUUAUACAAGUUAAAGUCACAAAAAUAUGUCACAUUUAUAUUGAUCUAGUCUCUAUCCAACCUUUUAGAGUAACUUUUUACACACGCCACUACCCCACCACACUGCUUGCUACAUUGUAGGUGUUGAUGAACCUCUACCUCUUACCCGCCCUCUAUCCGUCUCUCCUUUUUCUAUUUGUGCAUUGCCUCCUUGUCAUCAACUAGUGUUGAUCUAGUUGCCGCCACUACAUGAGUUGUGACCCUAUACUAUUAGUAACUUCCCACAAACCCUUGAUCUCGAUGUCAUCCAUGCUUCAAUCCCUAGCAUAUGUUGUUGCCUUGCCUAGAUACAACAACAUCAUUGUCGAAGGAAUCAUUGCCCUCCACCGUCAUAUGUCUUUCCAUCCGGUCAAUAAAAAAGUUUGUUGUUUCCUUUGCCUUAGUCACUCCAUCCAAUACUUGCCAUGACCAUCAAGCUGGCGAGCUCAUGGACCAUCGAUCUAUGAACCGCCUAAUCCUGAGCCCUAACCCUUGUAUGAGUUGACGUAGGUCAAUGGAUAUAGAGGAGGAGCAACCUUGCAAAGGUGAUAGUUUUGGCAUAUUACAACAUCAGAAUUCUUAUAAGAUGUACUUGAAAUACAUGGGAAAAACUAAUGGAUAUAAAGGAGGAACAACCUUGCAAAGGCGAAGAUAGAAUGCUAACUUCAAGCAAAGAAGAGACAUGAAGUUUAUACGUAGAAAAGACACAUGGAAAAAUUAGGUGAUUGGGUACAAACUACAACAUGUAAAGACAUAUGUUAACUUCCUUGUCACCAACAACCAAAUAUGAUGUCUUGUGGAUAGACGUGAACGAAAGUCGCAUAGGGUCUGCAAAAAGCAUGGUUAAAUUUAGACCUAGGUUCUCGGUGGGCAAGUUUGGGCACGUCAUUUUGGAUUAGGUCUUGGCUUGACCGGAGGCCACCCACAAGUUUUUAGUACGAAAAUGAACAUAAUUAAUAUUUUGUCUUAGGCUUGAGCUAAGAGUACUUUUACAUGUGAUAUUUUUUGCACGGCCAAGCCAAGCCCAUCGUUCUUCUUUCUCUUGCCGAGGGGAUUGUAUUUAGUUAUCUACAACUUUUCUUUUUCUCUAUUUUCCCAUCAUAUUUUCCUCCAGCUAAAACAAUGACUCACGCUCCUACUAUUUUUUUUAAAAAAAAAAUCACCAUUUUUUGCAAUACAACUUUGGCCUCUGUGGAAGAGCCCCAUGAACCAACAAAAUAUCUGUUGCGCUACCUAAGCUCAUUGAUUCAUCUCCUAGCAUCCCAAACAGGCAAACAUUCCGUAACGUCCCGCCUCCACGAGGCGGGGCCCGCUUACAUCUGGCAGCUUUUCUAGUCUUUUCUGCACACUUUGUCCUCACUCGUGCGCACCCGAGAAGUACUUCCCGGUCGGUCACCCAUCCCUAAAUUUCUCCAGGCCAAGCACGUUUAACUUUAGAGUUCUUUGGAGAUGGGCUUCCAGAAAAGAAGUUGCUAUGAGUCUCCUAUUAAUCCUAUUAAGCCCUGGGGGCCCAGGGCUUAAUAGGAGUAAUAGGAGACUCAUACCAACAAGUUGCAACUUCUUUUCCGGAAGUCCAUCUCCAAAGAACUCUAAAGUUAAGCGUGCGCGAGUGAGGACAAAGUGUGCAAAAAAAACAAAGUGUUGCCCUGUGGGGACUGACUAUGUCCUAGAAAAGCUGACUGACGUAAGCGGGUCCGGCCUCGUAGAGGCGGGGAACACCGUUACACCAACUAUCAACACUACCAACGUAAGCGGGUCCGGCCUCGUAGAGGCGGGGAACACCGUUACACCAACUAUCAACACUACCAAAACACGAACCUUUUUUUUUUUAAAAAAAAAACCGCUGCGCAUCAUCCUCUCCGUCACUGUCCUCUGGGCCCUUGAUUCAAGCGUCCUCAGCGUGGGUCCCGCGUCGAGCGUGGCCAGCCCUUCGGCCCAUGCUGCUAACGUGGAGCCAACGAGGCGACGUACCAACGGGUUACUGUCACCAUCACUGCACUGCUGUCCUCACCCCUUCUUUGCUUGCCACUCCUAAUUGGUUUGCUGACAGAGUUUAGCAAAACGUCUGCUUUAUUAUUUUAAUGGUCCCAGAACCAAAUGUGAGCUGUAGCAAAGAGACAAGCAAAAGAAGUAUAAUAAAAAAAACCGACAGCAGCAGCGGCAUGUGUGAACAAAAACAUUGUAGGCUUUUUAGGAUGCAGUGGGCGGAUCACCGAUGCGAUUUUGAGAGCUUUUUUUUAAAGCGGAGUGGAGAAUAUUGCUAUGCUACCCUUUUCUUUUAGUACUUUUAUUAUUAUCUUUUUCGUGGGCUUUUAAAUCCAUCAUUCUCUCUUUCUGCACGACACAGAACAGCGGAAAUAUCUUUGGUUUGGCAUGGUCAGUGAGGAAUCUUUUUUCCUUUUCCAUUUAUUUAAGUCCUGCAGAGCAUCAUUAUCUUCUCCUCAAUCUUAGUCUGUCACAGACUCACAGUGUCACUCAUCACUCUGUGCUGUCACUCUGUGCUGAUGACAAUUUAUCAGCAGCUCCUGAGGCUCUCGGAGGUGAAAGGUGACAAUUUCACUAGUAUGCUAGAGUAGAUCAAACAACUUUCUGUGCAAUCCUUGGCUCAAAAUCAAAUCCUUUUCUUGCUAUCUUUUUCAACCUUUCAAAUCAACCAAGAAAGCUCAUCCAGUUUAUCCCCACUGCCUGUUUCGGGGGAUCGCCUAUUUUGGAGCCAUCUUUUAUUGCUACUACGCUAUCUACACCUUGCUGUCCUCGUCAGCCAAAUUUACUCACACCUGAGGGCUUGCAUGCCAUCAAUGCUCCCCUGACUGAGGUGUUUAUCAUGUGAGCGUCUGCAUUUUGCAAUCACAGGAAAUCCCCUCUCAUGGUCCACUGUAGGUGGAGUUCAUUUAUUCCCAAAUAUUCGAGCUUUGGCUUUUGGGGGCUCUAAAUAGUUCAAAAAUUCUCAAGUUGUUGGGAAAAUCUGGCUGGCCUCUUAGAGCUUUUAUAUAGCCCUUGCUCCUCUUUCCAGCAGAGAUUUCAACUUUUCUUCCCCCUGAGGUUUCGUGAGCUCAAGAAAAAGAUUUCUGAAACUGUUCUUGGAGGUUUGCUCUCGCCAGUUUCCACUAUCCCUACUUUAUCUGUCCGGCUCCAAGAUCUGAACUUGGGGAGUUCUUGGUGCAGAGCAGAGCAAUCCAGCAAAAUCGCCCGGCGAUUUGGAGCUGGAAUAAUCCUUCCAUGGAUUCCCGGUCCGGCCAUGGAGCGGCGGUGGCGGCCGUGGUGUUGGUUUCUUGGCUGUGCUUCGCGGCGGCCGGCGUUGGUGCGAUAGGGGCGAACUGGGGCACGCAGGCGAGCCACCCGCUGCCGCCGGAAACGGUGGUGCGGAUGCUCAAGGACAAUGGGUUCCAGAAGGUCAAGCUGUUCGACGCCGAGGAGGGCACCAUGAACGCCCUCAGGAAGAGCGGGCUGGAGGUGAUGGUCGGCAUCCCCAACGACUUGCUGUUGACGAUGGCAACCAGCAUGAAGGCCGCAGAGAAGUGGGUCGACACCAACGUCUCCAGCUACCUCAACGAUGGUGUCAGCAUCAGGUAUUUGCUUCUCUGUCAGUGUUGCUUCUGAUUACCGUUGAUGCUUGGUAGCUAGUGUUAAUUGUACUGUGGAAUCUCAGUUCUGAUGAUCUAGGAUGAGCUGUGAGCCUAGAGUAUUGGGGAAAUAGUAUGAUUUGCAUGCUAUCCUCGCUUGUCUUGAUUGAUGGCUAAUGAUUGAAGCUCAUAUCUGGUUAAAUGCUUGACUUGGAAAGCAAUUAUACACUUAUACAUCAUUCUCCGUACACGACAAGCGGUCGACAUUCUCCGUGCCUCAUUUAGUACAUUUGUGCACAUGUUGUAGUUCGGAUAUAACGGUUGCCGUUUCUGAUUGCACAUGUUGUGCUUUGCAUGCCUGCUUGGGUGCUUCUGUCGUUGUUUGUAUGCGAGAAACGGCUGGCGUAUUUGUUCCAUCCCCAAAUUGGGAGUUGUGUGUUUCAUUAACCUGUGCAUGCACCACCAAAUCAAUGCCUUCACCGGUCUGAAGAAUCUACUUCUCUGUUAUACUUGUAAAUCACGCUUCUUUUUGUUAGAGGAAAAAACAUAUUUCUUUGUUAUAUGGAAGUCUGAAAGGUUUUGUAUGUUUUCACCGAGCACUGCAGCUGUAGUUGCGCUUGGCUGCACUAGGAAUCAUGUCACCAUGACAAGAUUUAUGAGUUAAGUUUUGAAUAAAGAUUUUAACUGUCAAAGUGCCAAUCAUUUUUUUACUGCUAGGUUUUAGAUGUUCCUUUUGUCUCUCAGAAAAAUAUUUUUUUUGUUUGAAAGGAGCUCAGUGAAAUGAACCGGAUCCAUGAAGACACUCAGGAGCAUUCAGUGACUUCUGAAUAUGCUUUAAAGCGGUGGACCGUACACCGGACGAAAUACAUCCAUUUUGGCUGAUCCUAUUUAUUUGUGUUCCUUUUGAAUGGAGCAUAGUUGUCCCCACUUGCAAUGGCGGAGCUUUGUUGGGGCCAAAGGUGGCCAUGGCACUCCCUGCCAUUAUAAAUUACCUUAAGUAGAUACUAAGCCUCACCUCCUACAUGCUAGCAAAAACACUAAACAAAGUGAGUUUUAGGCUUAGUUUUUAAACUUGGCUCGCUCUGGAAUUUUGACCAAGCUGCGCCACUGCCCACUUGUAUAAUUUAGUUAAUUUACCUCAAGCCUUUAUCGUGUCACUACUUUAUGCCUCUUAUUUCUUUUCGCAUGUGGAAUACUGAUAGGCGGAUGACCUAUUCACAUGGUACUAUUAUAGAAGUUGGAAGGUUCAGUUUUUCAAAGAAAUUUUGAACACCAUGUCCAGUUAUAGAAGGAAAAAUCAAUUUUUAAAUGAACAUAGCUGAUUUUUUUUAGUGUCAAGAGUAUAUGGAACCAUCUGUACCUCACUUUGUGUAGCAAAUUAAUCUUAACUAGAUAUCAUUUGUUGCCCUUCUCUAUAUUUAUUUAUAAAUUAUUGUUCGCACAUGCAUCCACCAUUUGACUAUCAAACUGCCAAUGCCUUUUAAAAUACAUAGACCUAAGUAGCAUGUGCCUUGAAAAAAUUCUAUGCAUCUGCAGAGCUUUAUUUUUCUUAAUCACUAAGACAGUAAGCAGAACAUGCAAUAGCUGCAAUGGUCACCUCCUUAUUUCUUACCUUCUGUGACGGAUAGCUUAUCAAUUCAUUGAUACUCUUUUCCAGCAGUUACGGAGAACAGACAUGUACCAAGCUUCAUAUCUUGUAUUUUGAGCCUCCAUAUACACAUCUUGUUCUGGCAAUGCUGUUUUAACACUUUCGUUGCGUGAAGUUCUGCCAUGUUUGUUAAGUACUCCCUUGCAAUUUUAUGUAACACUGUACCAGUGAAACUUUCUUUUAAUCUGAAUAGGCAUCUUUAGUUUUUACCCCUAAUGUUCACUGCCUGCUUUAUGAGUUGUGGGAAUAUGCACCAGCAUGGCAUUUGAACUACUUGGCACUUGCAUGUAUGGCAUGACACUUCCAUUUGCACAUCAUGUACCAAAUGGAAGAUGAAUAUUCAAGAUAGUACUUUGCUUCAUGUUCUGAAUUUCUGUGUUGUUGAUGUUAACUCAAUCAACCAUCUACAUGAUGCUGUGGCCUCACCUCUUUAUUUGCCCUAUUGCAUUUGUUAGGUAUGUCGCAGUUGGGAAUGAGCCUUUCUUGGAGACAUACAAUGGAACCUUUCUGCAAACAACUUUUCCUGCCAUCAGAAACAUACAAGGUGCACUUAUAAAAGCCGGUUUGGGCAAUCAAGUCAAAGUCACGUGCCCUCUCAACGCUGAUGUCUAUAGCUCGUCAACCUCCAAGCCUUCUGAUGGGGACUUCCGCACAGAUAUUCAUGAUCUGAUGCUCACUAUAGUAAAAUUUCUGAGCGACAAUGGUGGAGCUUUCACUGUCAACAUAUACCCUUUCAUAAGCCUCUACAUUGAUCCAAACUUCCCUGUGGACUAUGCCUUCUUCGAGGGGGCCUCAUCGCCCAUCGUUGAUGGCUCCUUCACUUAUACUAACAUGUUCGACGCGAACCAUGACACACUUAUAUGGGCUCUGAAAAAGAAUGGUUUUGAAAACCUCCCAGUCAUUGUUGGGGAGAUUGGAUGGCCGACUGACGGGGACAGGAACGCCAAUGCUCAGCUGGCUCAGCGCUUCAACCAAGGCUUCAUGACCCAUAUUGCUUCUGGGCGAGGAACACCAAUGCGGCCUGGACCUGUUGAUGCUUACUUGUUCAGUCUAAUCGACGAGGAUGAGAAGAGCAUACAGCCAGGAAAUUUCGAGCGGCACUGGGGGAUCUUUACUUAUGAUGGCCUGCCAAAGUACCAGCUGAAUCUCGGGACAUCAAAUUCAGGCGGUCUUGUGAGAGCAAGGGGUGUGAAGUACCUUGAAAAGAAGUGGUGUGUACUGAAGCCUUCUGUGAACCUCAAUGACCCAAAGCUUGCAGACAACGUGAACUAUGCAUGUUCCAUGGCAGAUUGCACCAGCCUUGGUUACAAGACAUCAUGUGGUAUGCUGGACACGCGAGGCAACAUCUCAUAUGCAUUCAACAACUACUUCCAGAAGAAUGACCAAGAUGAUGUGGCCUGUGGGUUCCAGAAUCUUGCAACAACCACAGGCCAAGACCCAAGCACUGGGACAUGCAGGUUCGGGAUCAUGAUCGAGGUUGACUCCGCCUUCUCAUGGAGGCUUCAGGGGCAUGGAAGCAACCUCCUCUUGAUCCUCCUGCUUGUGCUUCUCCAGCUAUUCCUGUCUUUCUCUUAGAUGCAGGUUUCGCGAGAGAUGACAAUGAGAGCAUAAAAAAUCUGACAGCUUGAGGAUAUUAGAUGUAUGUUGUCAGUAUCAUUCAUUUAGAAACUCUUUCCUCUAUAACCCUUUUUCUUCUCUUUGGCAAGGAAACCGCAGACUGCGGUUUCAGGCAUGCUUGAUUAUUGUUAGGGUUAGCUUUGAUUCAUCAGUUCCCUUGUGAUAGCAAUGAAUGAUGCAUUGAGCCAUCCACUGGCUAGCAGGGUGUGGGCACUGCUAUUGAACCUCUGCAGCUUCGGAGUUCAGGUUUCUCAGCAAGUCAACAGCAUAUUUGUGAUCCAUCUUCCAUCACGCGUCGUAAUCUUCAGAAGCUUUCAUGACCAGAAAAGAGUUUGGUUCUGCUUCAGCAUGGAAUCAACAUGGAUGGUAAUUCUGUUCAGCGCUUCACACAUGUUUUCGCAUGCAUUCUUUUUGGGUGAAGUCUGAAGUGUGAUAUGGUCACUCAAAUUGGCAAACUGGGCCACAAAGCAUUACCAGGUCAGAGACAGUUCAGAUCUGGGGUAGUAGUGUUACUGCUCCUUGAAUGACCAGGAACAGGGAAACACCCAGAUUUCAUGGUGUCCAAGGUUACAGGUCGGAACCCUUUGCUGAAUCAUUAUUAAUAACAAAAAUGCAGGGCCAGGAGCAUCUCGUACGUCAAGAAGUCAAUUUGCAGUACACGUUACAUGCGCAAGUGGCCUCAUGCCACCAACAUUGAAAGCAAACCGUCCUUUUGUCCAAGAUUCUAAGCACACAUGGUAGAUCCUAAAGUUUCUGCAACCUUUUCUUAUUCAGUCUAGACCAAGGAUACAGUGAGCCAUCCGGAUAGCUGGGAUUCAUCCAAAUCUAAAUUUCAAAAAUUUGAUUCAAAACUUGAAACAAAAAUCUAUUUCUAAAAAGGAAAAAUCUCCCAAACAAUUCUAACCUCAAAUGCAUAUUACGAUAACAAAGUAUUGAAAUGAAGCUGUCAAACUCAACCAGUUGUUCACCUUCACCUGGGGCGCUGCGACCCCGCCCUGGAGGCUCGCCACGCCCGUGGGCUGCAACUUGUCAUGUUUGCGCACCUGGCCUAAGUUUACAGCCCGACCAGCACGGGAUUUAAAGCAGCCAUAGCUAGGUCCCAGAAAUGAGAUUUUCCUUCGUUUCUCCGCGGCCAUGCUCGCUACGGCGCUCACGCGGCUCGCAGCAGUCCACAACAGUACAACACCGAUAGAAUCACCUCCGCCCCUUCCUCAUACCCCGUGUGUGCCUCGACUCCGUCGCUCCUCCACGACGGCGAUGGCGGCGUCGCCUCCCCGUCCCCCGCGCAUAGCUCUCCGUCGAAGGCGGGCACGACCAAGGCGUGCAGGACUCCGGUGGCGGCGGGUGAAAGGUCCAAAUGGCUAGAGAGGGGGGGGGGGUGAAUAUCCUAUUUAAAUUUUCUACAAACUUUACUAAACAGUGUGUUAGUAAAACAAAUGGCGAAGCAAUUUUAGCACUAGCUCAACUAAGCUAUGCAAGCCACCUAUACAAACUAGUACAAGGCUAAAAACUAAAUCACAACAACAAGAGAAGGCUACACAACAACUCUACUCUAAACAAGAACUAAGCUAUACAAGCUAAACAACUAGCAAGAUAAGCAAGUAUGUAAAGGAGUGGAGAGUGAUUGUUAUACCGAUGUUGUAGAGUAGAUAUAUAAUCAAUCAAUCAAUCAAUCACAAGAGAAUCCUCGGCAAGAGAUGACAUAAGAUUUUUUACCAAGGUUCACUUGCUUUCCGGCAAGCUAGUCCUCGUUGUGGUGAUACAUCCACUUGAUGGAUCACGAGCUAAUUAGCAAUCCGAAGCCAAACCCUCAGCGGGUGCCGCACAUCUACUCACAAGAUGGGGAUACUCUAAGCCACGAGCAAUCCACUAGAGUAGCCAAUUGCGAUCUCCCGUGGGGAAGGCUCAAGAACCCCUCACAAAUCACUUGGUGAGGCUCGAAACAAUCUCCAAUCACAAGCUCAACACCUCCGCUGCUCGAAGCCGUCUAGGGUGUCGGGAAACACCCAUGAGUAACAAGAAAUCCACAGCAAACUCAAUGAUCAAGUGUCACUAGAUGCAACUCUCAAUACAAUGCACUUGAAUCUCACUCAAUCUCACUAAGAUCAGCAAUCAAGCAAGGAGAUGAGUGGAGAAAGUGUUCUCUAGCUCAAUGUAUGCCUCAAGUAAUCAAAUGUGCAAGAGAGAGCCUCCCAAAACCGGCUACCUUCUAUUUAUAAGCUCCUCAAAGAGAUAGAGUCGUUGGCUCUGUCACUGGGCUGAAAUCGAGGGCACCAGACGCUCAGCAGGGAACCACCGGACGCUCGACCCUCUGCGUCUGGUGCUCUUAAGUUAGCCGCAUGUCCAAAUUUGAAUCUCGUGCGUCAAACUCUAACGGUCACAUGUGGACCACCGGACGCGACGAAGUGAGCACCGGAUGCGUUCGGUACCCACCGGUCUCGUACGCAGAGAAUUUGUCAAACUCAAGACCUUAUCGGACUCGGAGCACUAGACUCAUGCGCAGAGAGGUCUGCAAAACAUCCGUGCACCAGACUCACACCACCGGUCGCACUCAGAGCGUCCGGUGCUCUCAGCCAGCAACACCUGAAGAAGCCAGGCAGCACCGGACGCGCCAACAGGAAACACCCUGUGUCCGGUGCAGUGCGUCCGAUGCUUAACCCUAGUAGAGCUAGGCAGUGACAGCACACUGGACGCCAAGGUCAGCGUCUAGUGCCUCCGAGCACUAGGUCCGAUGCCCGUGACUUCUCCAAAAUUUCCCACCGGCGCAAUAGAAAAUAUACACUUUUUUUUCUCAAAAGCGCCGAAUCCCGCCUCGCAAGCUCGGUGGGAGGGAGAGAGGAACCCAAACCCCUCUCAACCCUAGGAACUCUACCUCCUUUGUAAAUGUGAUAAUACUAACAAGUGUCCACCACCAAAGUGCAUGUGUGUUAUCUUUUCACAAACAUUUUCAUCAAAGGAGUUAAGUUAGCACUUUACCGGAUCCUAAUGCAUAUGCUCAAGAUGUGGACCUAGUAGCACUUGAUUAGAGAGAUGACCGUGAUUUCCCCUCUUGAUAGUCAGCUAUCUAUCCUAAAUCCGGUCAAUCACUUCUCUACUCAACUUAGAUCGGCAAAAGUAAAGCCCUAUGUUUAUACCUUUGCUUUGAUCACUUUACUUCUCAUCUAUCACCAUGAUCUCUACUUCAUGCUUCAUCCCUUUGUGAUCAUCUGGCCACCUUUUCAUGCCACCAUGCACCUUCAUCACAUGUGUUGCUAUGCCUAACUCAAAUCAUUUAAACACAAGACAUUAGCAACUUGGUGUCAUUAAUUACCAAAACCAAAUUUGGGCUUUCAACGGGGUUGGCGCAUGCGGCAACAGAGUGGCGGGCGAGAUCUUGCGGCGGGCAGCGCGUCCUCGUCCAUCCACCCGGUCACCACGCUCGACCCUCCUCCUUCCUCAUCUCCCCCGCACCGCCGCCGCCACCAUGCCUGCAGGCACCCUACCUUGGCGCGCUUUUCUUGCUCCUGCAGAUGUGGCGUGAGCUCCAGCACCGUCGCGCCGACGCCCUCGAGCUGGGCAACUGCCAUGGCCGCUGUGCAGUAAGUCACCCGCUGCUGCUUUGGGCGCGCACGCGCGCUCUGGCGUUGCCGCCUCAGGCGCAUGAAUGGCAGCUCCGCCGUUGUGCCGCCCGCGGCCCCAUCCCCAUCUUGUCCUCGUCGUCGUGGUGGCAGAGCAGGUGAGGGCGAAAGUGGAGGAAGGCGUGGCUAGCUCCGUGCUCAGCGAAGGGAGCUCGGGGCGGAGCAGGACGAGGCCGGCACGAUGUUGAGGUGGUGCAGAGGUGGCUGGGAGCUCGCCGGUGGCCAUGGCCGUGGUGGAGUAGGACAGGUGCUCGAUGAAAUGCCGAUGAGGAUAGAAUGUUGACUAUGUGGUGGUAAGCCUACCAAAUGUGAGUGCAGAGUAACCAUAUCCUCAGUUAGGCUGAAGGCAAACAUAAUCUUAUUGGAGCCAGACCCGUUUCGUGCAUGGACACAAACAUGAGCAGUUGCACCACUUGGACCAGGGGCUUUGCCAGGCCUGGGCCAGUUGAGAAGGCUAGGCCGGCCAGGUACAGGGGUGUCGUGUAAAAAGUAACUAAUUGUACAGUUUGCGUGUAAUUUACAAAAUGAAUCUUUUGAGCCUAGUUAAUUCAUGGUUGGACAAUAAUUAUCAUACAAACAAAAAUAUUACAUUACCCAAAAUCAAAAAAAUUUGCCAACUAAAUAAGGCCCACGAAAAGUUUAUCGAUACUGUAGUAUUUUCAUUUUUAUUUGAUAAUUAUUGUCUAAUUAUGGACACUAGGUUAAAAAGAUCCGUGUCCCAAAUUACAUGUAAAUUGUGUGAUUAAUUAUUCUUUUAUCUAUAUUUAAUACUCUAUAUAUGUGUCGCAAGAUUCGACGAAAAAUCUUGAAAAUUUCUGGUUUUUGAACUAAGGCCUUGUUUAGUUCGCAAAAAUUUUCAAGAUUUCCCGUCACAUCGAAUCUUUGGUCGCAUGCAUGGAGCAUUAAAUAUAGAUAAAAAUAAAAACUAAUUACACAGUUUAUCUGUAAUUUGUGAGAGGAAUCUUUUGAGCCUAAUUACUCCAUGAUUGGACAAUGUUUGUCAAAUAAAAACGAAAGUGCUACAGUAGCCAAAAACCAAAGUUUUUGCCAACUGAACAAGGCCUAAGGCCCUGUUUAGUUUCCCACCUAAAAAUUUUUCAUCCAUCCCAUCGAAUCUUUGGACACAUGCAUGAAACAUUAAAUGUAGAUAAAAAAAUAAACUAAUUACACAGUUUAGUUGAGAAUCGCGAGACGAAUCUUUUAAGCCUAGUUACUCCAUGAUUAGCCGUAAGUGCUACAGUAACCCACAUAUGCUAAUGACAGAUUAAUUAUGCUUAAUAAAUUUGUCUUGCAGUUUCCUGACGAGCUAUGUAAUUUGUUUUUUUAUUAGUUUCUAAAAAUCUCUUCCGACAUCCUUCCGACACAUCCGAUGUGACACUCAAAAAAUUUCCGUUCCCAAUCUAAACAGGCCCUAAACAAGGCCUGUGAUGGAGACGAAGACGCGGGGCUGGUUGGUGGUUGCUGUCGUUUGGGAAUCUGGAUUUAUUAGGAGACAGUCACACGUGUGCCUGUCCCGGAGUUUAUACGCUCUGUCGUUUUCGACAACGGCGGCUUCUCCUGGUCGCAUGUGUGUGUUUGUCCGAUGGUGAUGCGCCGAGUUUUUUUUUUUUUUUUUACCCCGAUUCAGACCUGUACACAGCGGAUGGCGACGCGUCAAAUUCGAUCCAAAAUCAUCCAGAGACGUCAGGCCAGUUCAAGAGCAAGCACACGAACACGAAGAUCAGUACGAUACUUUGAUCCAGUCUGUACUGAAGUCACACACCACAGCACCUAGCAAAGGCUGCAAGGCUGCAACCACACUACGGCCUUGUUUAGUUUCGAAAAGUGAAAGUGAAAAAUUUUCGGUAGUGUAGCACUUUCGUUUGUUUGUGAUAAAUAUUAUCCAAUCAUAGACUAACUAGGAUCAAAAGAUUCGUCUCGUGAUUUACAGCUAAACCGUGUAAUUAGUUUUUAUUUUCGUUUAUAUUUAAUGUUUCAUGCAUGUGCCACAAGAUUCGAUGUGACGGGGAAUCUUGAAAAAUUUUUGGUUUUAAGGGUGAACUAAACAAGGCUUAGUACUUGUUGGAGCUGCCAUGGCCGGCGGCAGCAGAAGUUGCGGCGCCACCGCGGCACGCCGAUGAAGAAGAAGUGGCGCCAGCAGCCCGGCCGUUGCUGUCACUGUGUCACAUCCACUGACCACUGUGGCACUGUGGAGUGCAAUGCCAAACGGAAACAGCACCACAGUGAGUGGCACCCUGGGUGCCACUGUUGCCGGUCCACUCUUGUUCGCCACUCUUUUGCUCUGGAGGAGUAUUGCGAGUACAGUGCAGAGAGCCCAUUCUACCAUCCUUCCAAAUGUGGCAACACGAGCUUUGCUAUCAGGGUCCUGGAAAUCCGGCACAGAAAGGAGAGUCCUUUCGGCCUUGUUUAGUUCACCCAAAAAGCAAAAAGUUUUCAAGAUUCCCCAUCACAUCGAAUCUUGCGGCACAUGCAUGAAGCAUUCAAUAUAGACGAAAACAAAAACUAAUUACACAGUUUAGCUAGAAAUCGCGAGAUGAAUCUUUUGAUCCUAGUUAGUCUAUAAUUAGAUAAUAUUUAUCACAAAUAAACGAAAGUGCUACAGUACCGAAAUCCGAAAUCUUUUCGGAACUAAACAAGGCCUUCGUGACACUGAGCUCGUCGCACGGCAUUGGGCGCCCGUGGUGCCGUAGUGGCCGCCGCCGUAGAAUGGUAGGGUGGGGAGUAGCUGGAAGGAGAUCAGAAGCAGUUGUGAUUGGUUGUUGCAGCCGCAGGAGCAGUAACAGCAGUCACUGUCACUGGUGGUGAGCCUUGUGCUUGGGGGUCAGGGACGGCCAUGUGCCUUCUGCCAAGUUGCUGGUGGUUGCGGAGGAGGCAGCCAGCCAUCUGAUCUGAGCCGUGCAGACUAUACCUGGGCAACGGGCCGGCCCGGCCCGGCCCGGCACGUUGCCUAACGGGCCGAGGGGGCCCGUCGUGCCCUGCGGGCCGUGCCUUACCGGCCUGCGGGCCUGACCUCCGGCCCAGGCACGGGCCCGUGGGCCAUUUUGCGUACCGGACGGGCCCGUCAGGCCGGGCCAGCCCAUAGCCCGUUAAACAAUAACAUAUCAAUAAACACAGAUUUAAAAGCAUAUUUCAAACACAUUCAUCAAUUCAUCACUUCAUCAGUAUAAAGAACACAUUCAAAUACAUAUGACAGAUGUAGAGAAUAGAUUUAGAUAUUAAAAUGAGUUAUUUUAUACAAUGUUGUUAUUUGACGGUGCGGCCCAAGCACGGCCUGCAGCCCCGUGCCGUGUCAGCCCGAGCCCAAUGACUUUCGGGCCGGGCCGGGCUAGGGCCGGGCCAAAAUGACGGGCUUCGGGCCGUGCUCACGGGCUCGGGCUGCAUGCCCAGGUAUAGUGCAGACUGCUGCGAGCGAGCGAGAGAGAUGAGGUGUCUACUGUAUCGAUAAUUGGGAGUCUUGUCUUUCUUAUCUGCUCCCCUUUCCUCGCUGCUGCUCUCCCUCCCUCGUCUUUUGGGUUUCUGAGGCCCUGGUUUGCCUUCCCCACUGCUUGGCCUCCCUUUGCCGGUCGCUGUGCAAGAGCUGCAACGAGACACAGAUUCUCCAUCAUCCACAACGAGGAGGUGAGAUUCUUGCUGAAAGAUCGGACGGAGGGAGUAGAAUUGCGGGGGGUAGUCAGUGGUGGUUGCCAAUUGCCGCCAUGAAGUGUGUAGGAGUAGGGUCCAGCCGCCGGAGCUGUCGUUGACGACUUGGCGAUGCUGUGGUUUCCAGGCUGAGUGAGAGGAGAGGAGAGGAACAGGAUACAGAUCUCAGGAAGUUCCAUGAGGGUGAGCCGGUGCCCAAGCCUGUGUUCCGGUGCGCGAGGCUGAGCUUCUUGCCCGUUGCCCCCACGAGCUCAUCGAUGCGCCGCCGCCGCCACGGCUCGAGCUGUCCAGCGUGCUGAUGCGGAUUGAGAGGCAGGCUGUCCUGUCCGCUUUCUUUUUCUGGUGAGUAUUUUGGCCUUUUGCUGCACCUUGAUUGGCGUACUUGUGGGUUUCUUUCCCCUUGCCUUUCUUGGUGCUAGACUAGAAUAUGAUGGCGCUGCUGUUCUGUUCUUGCCAUGAUUGACGAUCCAUCUUGUAAAAGUUCAGCUGCUCUCUCCCCUGAAAAACAUGCCAUCCGCAUCCGUUCUGAUAUCACCACCUUGCGUACUUCUCUGUGAAUUUAAUGAUGAUGCAUACUCUAAUUGAGUGCCCAGAUAUGCUCCUGCAAAUCUGUCCAGUUUCUGCAACUUCCAUGAGCCGAACUCUCUCUGUUCUUAACCUGCUUCUCUCUUCCAUUUUUUUUUUCUUUUUGCUUCAGAGGUAGCUGCUUCGGCAGACAAAUAGGAGCAGCGGCUCAGAUUUUGGAUCCUGGCAUGGGCUCCUUUGGGAUGGACUGGAACCAGAAGGCCUCUGUGUUGUGGGACUGGGAGAAUUUGCCGCCCAUAGGUGCAAACAUGAGCGACAACCCCAGGAUGACUGCUGCACCUCAGGGUGAGGCCAAGUUUGCAGGCCUGGAGGCCACAAGGCAUGAAUCAGUGCAUUCUUCCUGUGGCACCUUCUCUUCCAGCUCGGAGAUGGGGUAUGGUUCAUCCAAGAGCUCCGUAUCUGCGUCGACUGAUUCUUCGCCCAAGGCCAAGGGGAACAGCAUGGAGCUCAAUUUUGCGCCUGCCAAAGCGCCUGACAAGAACACUGAUUCAGGGAAGGUUGAUGACGCCAGAACCUCUCCGUCGUCCGUGAUUGCCAUCAGCAGUGGAGAGCCAGUGCUUAGUCUGAAACUUGGCAAGAGAACAUAUUUUGAAGAUGUCUGUGGAGGCCAGAGUGUCAAGAGUUUGCCGUCAGAUACGAGUGCAGUGACUCCUCUGGCUUCUGCGAAGAAGGCAAAGUCAGCUCCAAACACGCAGAAAUCAUACUGUCAGGUUGAAGGCUGCAAGGUUGAUCUCUCUUCUGCUAAAGAAUACCAUCGGAAGCACAAAGUCUGUGAACCUCAUUCUAAGGCUUCCAAGGUGGUUGUUGCUGGUCUGGAGCGGCGCUUUUGUCAACAGUGUAGCCGGUGAGUUCUUUAGCAUGUAAUAAACCGAGCCUCGCUUUUCUGUGGAGAAACAUGUUUUCUGUUCUUUUGCUUGGAUCCAUGUCUUGGUAUCCUUGAGUAAGGAAGGAAAAAUGUUCUGCUAUGUUGAAAAUCCAAUUUCUUACAGGUUCCAUGGAUUAUCUGAGUUUGACCAGAAGAAAAAAAGCUGCCGCAGGCGCCUCAAUGAUCACAAUGCCCGCAGACGGAAGCCACAGCCUGAAGCAUUUUCUUUUGGUUCAUCAAGGCUGUCCACAAUGUUCUAUGGUAGUAGUAAGCCGUUGGUUGCCUUGUCAUUUUCUGAAGCCAACACAUUAUUUAUUUUUCUUCUUCUAGCAACUAUUAUGUUUAAGAAUCUUAGGAAUGCAAAGCUGCAUAUUUUGUCUGUGAAAUUGAUCUUCUUGUUUAUUUACAAUUCAGUGUCAUGAUUUUAAGGUGUAAUUCUUUUUUUUUACGAUGUUAGAUGACAUGGUUACUUUGGCAGUGUUGGUAACUGAUGAACUCCAUCUGAGGGAGUGCCAUUUUGAUUUGUAUAGAGGGGCACCUUUGCUUCGUUCUUUUCAGUUUAGAUAUCUAAUAACACAUGAUUCAGUUUUGUCUACCAUGAUGCCAUCUCUCGAUAUGGGUUCCACAUUAUACUUCAGGAAAACUCACUUUACGUUUGCACAAACAAAUUGAUGCUUCGAAGACACUAGGAAGCUGAGUAAGCCUUAGUUCAAAUUUAUUAAGUCCAUGCCAUGGCCACUAUAUUUUCAGCACUUUGUGGUUUGUACGAAAACAGCUUCAACAUUAAUACUAUGCAAAUAAUUUGUUCCAUUGCUGAAUCUGUUAGCUUUAGCACUGAAUUUGUCUUGCCUUUCUUAAACAGACACAAGACAACAGACAAACCUUCCGUUUGGUCAAGGUCCUUAUGGUCAAAUGAGAAGCUGUGCAAAUUCUUCAUGGGAUAACCCAGUAGGAGGCUUCAAAUUUGCAGAAACAAAAGCUCCUUGGUUAAGAGCUGCUGGUGUUGAUGGUUUGCAUCUAUCAAGUCAGCAGGUGUGGAACAACUUUAUGCCACAUGGUGUCCAUCAAGAUUUUGAUGGGUUCACGGCUUUUAAAGAAACCAGUGCAAAAGUCCUUGAUCAAGGUAAUUUUUCAUCUGUACUUAUGAACCGAUGGUUAGUCACUUGCUUGAAAAACUGUUUCUCCUGAAAUUCCAAACCAGGGAAAAUUCGUAGAUAGGUGCACCUAUAGUGUUUAUUAUUUUAGGAGCCUUUCAUAAAAUAUAUUCUUUUGUCUCUGUGUUAGUGUACACAAUUUGUUAGUGCCAGAUUUGAAGUUUUAGGACUUAUAAUAUGUACCUGUAUCAUUCAUAUACGUUUGCAUCACACUAGUAUAUAGCAUGUUUCUGAAUUUGCAUUUGCAGUCUGAGAACCUUUCUUUGGAAGGGACGAGGUCGGAGCCUGACUGCUAGGCCAUAUUUUCCAUGUAUUUAUCUUGGUCAGUUAAUGACCAUCAGUCACCAUAUUUUAGUAACAUCCAAGUAAUCUAUUUUUUGCUUUUGUACUAGCUUAUUGCAACAUGAUGCGUUUUUACUCAAGGCUUGAACACACUAGCAUAUGAUUUAUGUUUUGCAAGUGCUGAGUCAGCAAAGACCUGCAGUCUCAUCUGAAUUGCCAACAUCAGUAACUGCCACCUAAACCUUGAUUUGACUCUUUCAUAACAUGGCCAAAGGAUACAGCACGCUAAGCCAACUUUUCAGAAUCAGACCCCACUGCACCAUAAUUGGGACCUAGGACGGUUUGUAUUGAUCUCUGUGUAAGGUGGGGGGUUUAUAUCAUGGUUGGUUCCCAAAUUUGGCAUGUUGUGAUGGAUGGCACUCAUGGUUUCUUGUAUUGUUGGGGAAAACAGUAAGUAGCUAACUAGUGUCAUCCUCAUGGACAACAUGCUUCAGUACCAGAUUCCAGGAAUAGCUUAGCUGAUUGAUUGAUUUUGCUUCUGCUGCUGUGGUUGCUAAUGCUACACAUGCAGGCUAAGCCUAUAGAGUCACCGAGCCAAAAUGUUGCUAUUCUGUAAAUGAUCUAAUCAUCAUUGAUUUCAGUAUUGAUGAUAUCCUCUUCUAUAUGGAAAAUUAUUGACCCUACUAUGCUAUAGUUCUAUACUUUGACUAUGAAAUAUUUAUAACUAUUAUUCGAUUAACUGAAUUUCACACCGUGCUCUAUCUCAUAGUCAUAUACUCUUAUCAGGAAUGAUUGUUUCCAAACAAAUAGCCAAGACGUACAACAGUUGCAGUAGCAUAUGUGGCAUUUAUUAUAUGGAACCAAUAUGCAGUUUGAAUGAACUUGAGGAUUUUGAUUAUCAUUUGUUAUAUUGAACAAAGAUGCAUUUUCAACAAACUUGAAGAUUUUGAUUAGUAACAUGCAUCCUUUUCAGGCGCUGAAGCUUCUGCGGUUGUCUCCAACCCAGACGGAGCCCCGGAUCUUCAGCGUGCUCUCUCUCUUCUGUCAAACAGUUCGGCUGGUGCUGGUACCAACCAGCAGCCGACUGCUCAGCUGCACCACCACCAUGCUGGCCUGAGCACCCUCGCCGCCAGCUCCAGCUCCGUGAUGCAGGCCUCGUCACCAGGGCUCUGGCAAGACAGCAGCGGCACGGCCCUGGGCCACCACGCCCACGCACGGUUUCAGGCUCUCGAUGCCCCGGGCAGCGGUGCCGCCAUUGCGACCGCUCAGGAGCUGCUCCAGCUCCCGCGGUCGCCGUCCUUGUACGACAGCUCCUCGUCCCACUACGACCUGAUGCGCUGAUGCUUCUCCCUUCAGGCUUCAGGUAGAGCUUCAGACUCGGCUUCUGGUGUCUCUCUGGAAGUCGGAGUUUUGAAUGAACUGCUGUGUGUUUGAUCUGAAUCAACGAACAAAAUAAAAGGCCUGCACAAACCUAGCCUUGUUGCCAUGGAAACUCGUGGGAUCGCCAGGAGCUGCGUGUGCUUGAAUAAUCCACAGUUGUGUGACGCUAGCUUUCUAUUUUUAUUUGUGUAAUGUAAUGUAACUCCGUUGCUUGAAUAAUCUCAGAAUGUCCGUCUCAAAUUCUCGAUGCCUUGGAAGUUGGAUGGACCACUCUUGCCUCUGAUGAAUGAUGAUCCUAACCGCUGUUGUUUCCGCAACGAAGGCGUUAACUGCUGGCUGGAGAACAAAUGGACGCCGCCGCGGCGGCGGCGACGGCAGCCCGUGGCCCCGCCUCGCUCGUCGCCCGCGGGCCGCACCUCCCUCCCAUCUCCGGCUGCGGUCGUGCCUAGAGCUUUCCUUCCCCAACUGCAAGCUGCCGAUCUGCGAUGCAUCCGGCCUAGCUAUCAGCCUAUCAGCGAGCAGGAACCUCAACGCCGACAUCUCGCCGGCCGGUGGCCGCCCAUCCAGACUCCUAUUCCCCGCCGCGGCCUCCAAUCGAAGGACCCCUCCCGCUCUGAAGCUAAAAUUAUAUAUUUUUUUUUAAGAUUUUCCGUCAUAUUAAAUCUUAGCAUUUAAUAUAAAUAAAAAAAUAAAUUAAUUAUAUAGUCCUAUAAUUUAGGAGACAGAUUUUUUUAAAUCUAGUUAGUCAAUAAUUAGAUUUGUCAAAUACAAACCUAAUUUUAGAUCAUUCCUAUGGGGCUCGGAUCGACAACUAUCGCAGAAAGUUUUGCAAACCGCAACCUUUUACCAGAGAAGUUUCUAAAAAGCACGUGCCUCAUGGUGUCGUUUGUUGGAUUCUUAAUAAACACUCUAAUACAUUUUUCAUGUCACCAAACUUUCUAAGGAUCAUUGAGACAACAAAACUCUUAAAAUGUCAUUUUUAAAGAAAUACUUUGUUUGAUUCUAUCACUUUCACUAUGACUAGGAGUAGCCUUUUUACUCCUAGCUAAACGUAAAGUGCAUGAGCCUAUGUCUUAAUUUCCCUACCAACCCUAUCUAUAUAAGUUUGCUAUAAAGAACCGAAGAACAUCCCUUGCCUUUCUUUAUAUAUAGUCUCAUAGAGUGACAUCUAGAUCUCUAAAUUAAACUCUUUAUACGACAAGCUCUAACCUACUCCACUCCUCGACAUCGCAUACCAUACAUGCCUGUGGCUUAGCUCUUGACCAGUGGGUCCAAUGUGAGAGUUGUGCUCAUAUGUCGUUCUUUGUGCUUGCCCACCCUCACAUGCGGCUCAUAGAAGGUUGAUGAUAUGGACAUCCCUAUGAGUUGUCAUAGUAAUCUGGAAAGGCAAAGCACACAAGCGCAUAUCUUGUUGAUUCGUUGCAAGAGGUGGUUAGGGUAGAGCCGAAGAGCUUAUGUGGCGGCAAGACAAAGGAGCAAUACACGAGUGAAAGAUGCUUGGAUACAAGGUUUGCUUGGCCGCAUCCACACCAUAUUAUUGGUGGUUGUCUUCUUUCCUGAUCCUCCUAUAGAGCAUUAUGUUAGUGUUUCAUCACAGCCAAGCGGCAAUAUGUUUACGAGGCUAUGUGCAUCAUCCUAAACUAUAUGGUAGCACGAGACGCAAUUACGGGAGGAGGUAAUGCCCUAUCUUGUUUUAGUGAUCACAUUUGCUUGUGCUCAGAUGAUAAUAAGGUGACACUGAACCAAUGUUUUCUACCUCUCAUAUCAUAUAUGACAAGGCACCUUUCUUGUUCCUUAGAUAAGCUUCCUUAAUCGAUUACAGUAGAGGACUCCGAGAUUACCUGACUAAUAUCAAUGUAUUGCAUAGCUCAUCAAUAGCGCUACCAAUAGGCCCUACCUAGACUUUAUGUAGUCACGUUGGCCUAUCCGUGUCUUGAUGGCCUGACUAUGUCCACUAUGCACCUUCAAGGUGGAGGUGAACAAGGUAGAUAUAAUUUUGUCACUCUUGACAUGUAGGUUCUACGUCUAUGGCUGAAAUCCUAAGGAUUCACUUUGCAUGUCAUGUUAAGGUGUAGAGUGGUCGCCCCCUAUUCUCACAUCACGUGGUAAUAUAAUCGACAACUUUGAAUAUCUUCCCGCAAAAAAAGAACUUCAAAUAUCCAAAAAUAAUAUUUAAAAAUUAUACUUUGAGAGUUUCCCAUAAACAACAAGAGAGCCGUCCUAUUAUUUUACCUUUUUUACCCCAAAAGGCCCCCGUUUUCUUAUCAACCAUUCAAUCCGUCAACCUUUGAAGUCAAGGACCAUGGACGACGUCGACGGCGCGGUCGCAUGGGCGGCCAAGCGGAGCUACUACUUUACCGGUGACGGCGCCCACCGAGCACUACAAUACAACUGCCCGCAAACCUACGGAGUAGGCAGCUUCCGCGCACUGACGGACGCUGAGCUUGUCAAAGAGAGCCCGAGCCAGAGCCUCCACCAGUUGACCGCGGCACCGCAGCCAGCAAGAGCACGCAGAGCGCCAUGGCGUCGUCCGGAGGCGAGCACCACGAGGAGGCGGAGGACUCAUACGGCGACGCCGCCACCAUAGGCGCCCUGCGGCAGCUGUACGCGGGGUACGCCUGGGCGGACGUGGCGUCGCUGGGCCCGGAGUCGUCGGGCCGCGCCGUGCGCGUGCGCGGCGCGGCGCAGGCGGUUCGCGCCGUGGGGCGGCGCGUGGCGUUCCUCGUCCUGCGGCAGGGCACCGCCACCGUGCAGUGCGUGGUGGCAGGGGACGGCGGCGGCGGGAUGGCGAUGGCGCGGUUCGCGGCCGGGCUGAGCCGGGAGUCGGUGGUGGACGUCGCCGGCGCCGUGUCGCUGCCGCGGGACCCCGUCCGCGGCACCACCCAGCCAGCAGCUCGUGGAGAUCAAGGUGGAGAAGCUCCACUGCGUCAGCAGGGCCGUCCCCGCCCUCCCCAUCGGCGUCGACGACGCGGCGCGGAGCGAGGAGGACGUCGCCAGAGCCAAAGCGGCAGGGGAGCAGGUGGUUCAUGUUGGGCAGGACAAGCGGCUGGACUACCGGGUGAUCGACCUCCGCACCGCCGCCAACCAGGCCAUCUUCCGUGUCCAAUGCCAGGUCGAAAACGUAAGUUGAUCUGCUCCGGUCCGGAGACCAACUUGAGCAAAGAUUCAGGGCUGGUUUAGUUCCAAAAAAAAUUUCAAGAUUCUUCGUCAUACCGAAUCUUUGAAUGCAAGCAUUAAAUAUAGAUGAAAAUAAAAAUUAAUUGUACAAUUUAUUUAUAAUUUACGAGACGAAUCUUUUGAGUCUAGUUAAUUUAUGAUUAGAGAAUAAUUGUCAAAUAGAAACGAAAAUGCUACGGCUAAAACCAAAAAAAUUCGCUAACUAAACAACGCCUCAUAUAUGUAUGUAUGCAACUACGACAGACUGACAGCGCUGCAUGCAACAAAUCGAUCGAUGUACAGGUGUUCAGGCAGGUGCUGCUGUCGGAAGGGUUCGUGGGCAUCCACACGCCGAAGCUGAUCGGCGGUUCGAGCGAGGGCGGCGCCGCCGUGUUCAAGCUGGACUACAACGGGCAGGCGGCGUGCCUGGCGCAGUCGCCGCAGCUGCACAAGCAGAUGGCCGUGUGCGGCGGCUUCGGCCGCGUCUUCGAGGUGGGCCCCGUGUUCAGGGCCGAGGACUCCGACACCCACCGCCACCUCUGCGAGUUCGUCGGCCUCGACGUCGAGAUGGCGCUCAGGGACCACUACACCGAGGUGUGCGACGUCGUGGACAGGCUGUUCGUCGCCAUGUUCGACCACCUCAACGACAAGUGCGGCAAGGAGCUGGAGGCCAUCCACAGGCAGUACCCGUUCCAGCCGUUGAAGUACCUGAGGACGACGCUGCGCAUGGACUACGACGAGGGCAUCCGGAUGCUGCAGGAAGCCGGGGUACACGUGGACGCCAUGGGCGACCUCAACACGGAGGCCGAGAAGAAGCUGGGCGACCUCGUCCGAGACCGGUACGGCACGGAGUUCUACAUGCUGUGCCGGUACCCGUCGGCGGUGAGGCCGUUCUACACGAUGCCGUGCCCGGAGGACCCGCGCUACAGCUGCUCCUUCGACGUCUUCGUCCGUGGCGAGGAGAUCAUCUCGGGGGCGCAGCGGGUGCACGUCCCGGACCUGCUGGCGGCGCAGGCGGCGGCGCGGGGCAUCGACGUCGCCUCCAUCGCCACCUACGUCGACGCGUUCCGGUACGGCGCGCCGCCGCACGGCGGGUUCGGCGUCGGGCUGGAGCGCGUCGUCAUGCUCUUCUGCGGCCUCGGUAACAUCAGGAAGACGUCGCUGUUCCCGCGCGACCCCAGGAGGCUGGCGCCCUGACAUUGACACCCAUCCAUCUGAGAUCAUCUGAUGCUGUUGUUAAUCUCAUCUCAUCCAUGCGAAUGAACCUGUAUGUAAUGAAUAAUAAGCAAACAUGUAUGUACUCUAGAUCGCCGAUUGGAUUUUGCAAGUGCAACUCUGACAGACUAUACAUCAGUUUAUUUUACAUCAACGAAAAGAGUCUAUCAAGCAACCUGAAUCUAGCUACAUUAUUUAUGCACACGGCACAGCCUUCAGUAUACAUUAUUGGAACUACUAGGAGAGCAUCUCCUGAACAUAGCUAGUAGUUGAGAAUUGAGAUGCACAUGCACUACUGCUUGCCAUCUUCCAGGAGGACCCGGCACCGGUACGCACCCAGAGCCCAAAUUGGGAAGAUGUUCCUGUACUGGGAGUAGCUGAUCAUGCAGUUCUUGUUGAACACUCCUACGAUCUCCUGUAUGUGUUAGGCAGUGCAAUAAUUAGUAAGCAUAACAAAAGGGUGAGAAGUUGAACUUAGAUUAUAUGAGUUCGAAGAGACCGGCCUGUUGUUACUUACUUGCUGAGGAAAUUCUCCAUCCUCUGAUUGCAAGUUGAUCAAAACCUUUGCUGCUCGGUGUAGAGGUGUUGGAUCUCUCUCAGCCUGUAUGGUACGGACGAGAUUUAAGUACCAUUCUGAAUGUGCACAUCGAAUCAGAGUAUCCAAAACCACAGGUUAAUUAACAGACCUGUCCUGCAUCAAUCAGUGCCAGCAUGGCCCAACUAGUGUUCACUGCAUGAGCUCGGUUGCCUUUGAGAUUGGUGUAAACCUGAUUGAGUGUGUAGAAAGAUGCAUGGUUAAUGCAAAGGUCUUUCCAAUUCCAAGAACCAAUACUGCACCACUGUUUUGCUUACUAGCAGCAUGUUACCAUUUCAGGUUCUACAUAUCGCAGCAAGCAGCUUUGCCAGUAUAUCCAUAAUGCUGUUAAGUGCUGUUAUUUUAAACAAAUUGACAGAAGUGAAUUUACCUGGUCUUGAGAUGAUAAAUAGCUUUCUCCCCAACCACCGGAAGGAAGAAGCUCUUUUGAUAACAGAAAGCCGCAUGCCUUUCUGAUCGCAGGACUGUUCUCAAAUGUUCUACCAGCAGCAAUUAGUCCCUUCACACCAAACCAAGUGCCAUACGUGAAGCAAACAGCCCAAGAGCCAUACCUGUUGGAAACAGAUAAACAAAUAGAGGAUUAAUUGGUAUUUUUUGUUUGCAUGAAGUCCAGAUACUGACCAUGAACCGUCGCUUCUCUGAACAUCCUCAAUGAAAUUGGCAGCUUUGCUGAUACAGUUGUCCACCUCUUUCCUGCGAUGCCCAGGGUAGAGUUUUCUGAAUGAUGUCAGGGCCUGAAUUGCUGCUGAUGUACAUUCAACAUACCUGCAAAAUGAGUUUUAUGUUUUCUUUGUUUUGUAAGUCAAAGUCAGCAUGGUGGAAAAGUUACCGCAUCUUACGGGUAAUCAAUCAUAAUGUCCCCAAAGGUCUCCGUAGGAUUGAUAAGCUGAAUAAUUUAAUAAAGAAUGUCAAUAUAGAUGAAACGUCAAAGAUUCAAGGAAUGCUGAUGAAUUAUACUGUUUUGAAACAAAGCAAAUAUCUUAUCAUGUAUGAGUUCAUCCACCUACCUCCAGCCAGGCAUAAGAUCUCGUGAGUUCAUAUGUCGCGAAGCCACCAUUAUCAUUCUGCAAAGGUUAACACAAACCGAUGAGAAAUGGUCCCUCUAAUGGAUUUAUUCAAAACACACAAGAACAAUGGAAUAAAAAAGAAACUGCAUAUAAUUUAAAUGAGAUAUAUUGACCUAGUAAUAAUGAGAGGGGGUUGCUGCCAAUUCAAGGAAUCUUGUUUCCACAACGUACACAGCAUAAUGUUUACAAAUUUACAUAGACCAUUUCGUUAAAAAAAAUGAUUCAAUAGCAACAAUUGUGAGAAGAUAAAGUGUUGGGCCAUGUUUGUGUAAUGGCCUAAUGGGCCUAGCCUAAUCUGAUGUACAUGUAUAUAACAAGAUAAGCAAUGCAGAGAACUCUAGAAGUUGACCAUUCUUCAUAAAGAAAAAUUCAGGAUGCUUACCAUAUAAGACAUCAGACAACUGACAGCAUCGUAAAACCUAUUAGCUUCCACCGGUUCACCAACAAUCUCAGGAGAAAUCUUUGAUAACAAUAAUGAAGCCUGAAGUCAAAGAACAAAAGCAAUUAAAUAUUUAAAACGUAUAAUUAUAAAAACAUGCUAGACACUAUACUGUCAAGAAUACUGGCACAUACAUGCCAUGGAACAAAACUGUUUGGUUCACGGGGAAAACGUAGGAAGAUCAAAGAAAUCAAGUUCCUAUAGGAAUUUUCAUUGUAGCAGUGUUUGGAACAAAGGAAGAGACCCAAACCGUUCUAGAGGAAAGGUAAUGAAACCUGCAGUUUUGGAGGAAACAAAAGGAUGAGGUCUGACCUCAUGGGAAUAUUUCUGCGGCUCAUGCGCACUCACGCACUAAUCUGCAUACUCCCUCCCUACAUGCAUGCACAGCAUGUGCUACUCCCUAGUCGCUACCUGCAUGCACAGCCAUGUGGGCUCCUCCAAGACACGUCAAUUUUUCUUAACUAUUACAUGUUGCUUUGUAGAGGAGUAUUUAGCUCAUAUUUAAUCUAAACAACUGUGUUUAGCACAAAUCAAUAGACUUUGAUGCUAUUAGUAUUCCUGUGUUCCAAACACUAGUUUCUACAAAAUUUCUGUAUUUUCUAAUCCUAUGUUUUACACAUCUAUUCCUUUGUCAUACGUGUGUUUUCUCUCAUUCCUGUGUUUUGCAUUUCUAUGUUCCAAAUAAGCCCCUAUUAGCUAUGUUUUUUUUAAUUUUUUUAUCAGAAACAGGAGGGGUGUGAGCCCCUACUGUGCUUUAUUGAAAAAAAGGAGCAAAAAUCCUUAUCAGCUAUGUGAGCAUAAAUAUUUGCAAAUUUACUAUCCUUGGUUAUAUAUGAAUGCUAUUUGACCCAAGCACUUUACCCAUAUAGUUUGAUUAAUGUGGAAAGAGUUUAUAGGUGCUGUAAGAACAAAGGAUCCUAGAUCUCAAAAGACAAAGUAUUUGAACACCUAAAGUAAAAUUCCUUUAAUGCUGUAAGAGUUUAUAGGUGCUGUAAGAACAAAAUAGCUUAUUGGUAAUGCUGAUGACCGAGUUCACCUUUAAUCCUUCUGCAGUGCAAUCAGAUACAGUCCAACCAUUAUCAGCAGUUGAGAAUGGCCAUGCACCUUUAGAUGUGUGGCGGUACCAGUCAUUCAGAUCACCAGGACAGUCGUCAAGAACCUUUUGUAAUGAAUAGCCAUUUAUCGGUACUGUAAAUAGACCUAAGGUUGAACCAUAUACAUACAUCAAAUGUACCUGCGAAUUCUUGAUGUAGCUGUGUGCUAGUUUAAGGGUGGGACCAAACUCUUUAAUAAGGUUAGUAGCCACAAUGGCUUGAACUGCGAAAGCUGUAUCCCAAAGUUGGCUGCCAUUAUAACCCUACAGUGGAAAUGGCUGGUUGGAUUGAAGAUGCCAAAACAAUCGCCAAUCCAAUUAAGAGAUAGCAAAACAUAAUAUGUUGACAGGUUUGCUGUUGCAGUAGCUGCCUAGAGAAAAGGAAAUUGGCAACGGAACAAGCAAUAAUCACCUGCAUCUUCAUGCCAUCUUCAGCAAGCCACAAGUAAUCAUAUACUCGUGGAAUGUGGAGUUUGAAUGCCUCUGAGUUUGGAUCUUCAAUCCAGCAAGCAAGCAUAUUUAAUACCUGCAUAGAAUUUCUUGCUGUAAUCAGCUGAAUAAUAUUGAGAUAUAAUCAGGAAAUAAUAUAAUUAUUUAGUAACAUGGUAUAUACUUCCGAUAAAAGUUUCACAACCUACGAGCAUAAAUCACACAUCAUCAGAUUUGCAGAAGUGAUUUAAGCCAACAGAAGUGGCUAACACAGUCAGAAAUAAACUAUACUCAUGACCCUGAGGAAUCAACAGGUAAAUGCACCAACAGUCCUUGAACUGGUAAGCGAGUAUCACUUAGGUCCACAAACUCUUAAAAUGCAUUUUUGAGCCCCUCUUUGUCAAUGCUACUGUUAUAUGUGAGUAUCACUUAGCUCAUUCUUAUAUGUUUAAGGGCUCCUGGUGCUUUUAACUUGUAAAUGAACUUCUAAAGUUGUCCUAAGUAAAACAAUUUAGAGUCUAACCAAAUUUAUGGAGAAGACUAUCGACAUAUGUGGCACUAAAUAAGAAAAUUAUGAAAAUAUAUUUCAUGGUUUAUCAAAUGAUGUAAUUUGGUGCCACAAUUCUAUAAAUUUAGUCAAACUUGGGAUAGUUUGACUUAGGAGAAUUCUAAAGGUUGAUUUAUUUUGGGAUAGUGGGAUUACAUAAUUGUUCUAGAAUGAAGAGAAAGAAAAGUAAUUCCAUGAUUUGAAUGGAUCACUCAAGUACUAUCUUGUUUGGCAUAAUCCUAUUGCAUGUGUAGUGGGUACAAUUAGCAAAAUAUGAUUAUUUUCACUGGUUGCAUGACAUAGAUCACAUGACAAUCAUAAUGCAUGAGAUGGUGGAAGAACUGAUAAAUCACAUAAUCAGCAACAAUUGUUUUAGUUCUCCUAGACAAUUCAGAAGGGAGGUAAUGUGAGAAAAAAAGGUGAAGAUGUUAUGGGGGAGGGUUCAUUAUUGUAAUGCCAUAGUUGUCUAAGCCCGUAGAAGCUGAAAGUUGAAGCACUGAAAUCACAAAAUGCCUCAGUUUUUAACUCUGAUUAUAGAGUAAAUAAAUCUAUAAAGUCUCUAGCAUAUGGAUAUGGCCAUGUUUUGCUUGUAGAAAGAGUAUGACAAAAUAAAAUUCCACCACCUGGUAAAGGUUCAACAAGCAAACAUAGCUCUCAAUUUACCUUGGUUACAGGACCAAUGCAGAUGUAUUGAGUGUUCUCAUCCUCAUAGUGAACAUGUUGCAUGACAAUUUCUAGAGCUUUCUCCCUCAAUUUGCAACCAGGCCAGUGCAUCAUAACUGGUUCAACAAAUUUAUGGAGAGAUGCCCAUAAGACAUCUUGAACAAAUGGGUGCGGACGGUACAGAUCUUCCUGCAACAUAAAUGUAUUAGAAUUCCUUCAGACAGAGGAUCCAAAAUGGGCUCCUCAUAUAACAAGGAAGAUAACCAUAAAAGUUCCUUAAGCUUCUAGAACUAAGCAACUUUUCAAAUAGCAUCACUUGCUAGUUAAUGAGUGCUAUUAAGGAUACAAGUUCCACAUGGUUUGGGUCAUUGGGUCAACUCAAAACUUGCUAAAAUGAACUAGAAUGGUAUGCAACAUAAUUAAUUUAGGAGGAGAAAUGAACUAAGGUAUCUGACCCACAAAACACCAUUGGGUAGCCACUCAUCCUUAACUUUUAUAAACAAAAAGGAAUUCAACAGCUUGACUUUGUGACAAGUUGUCCAAGUGACUAGACUAUGUUGUAUAAUCGAAUGAAAACUCCAUGACUUUAUAAUAGAUCAUCCACGUGUCAAAAUUGACUCUGUGAAAAGAUUGGCCAGGUCUCUAGAAUGCACUGUAUGCUCUAGUGUGCUUCUGUGACACACCAGAGUAUCAUACGGUGGGGAACAUUCUAGCAUAUUUCAUACUAGCUAUUAGUUGAAAAGGAUAUAUUAGUAGCCCGUAUAAUCUGGCAUCGGUAAUGGUGGUCGAGGGAUCAUUCGGUGGUGUCUCACAUUAGUCAACUUUUUUAAUGGCUAGUAGCCCCUUCACCCUUUAUAUAAAGUAAAACCCUUGGCUCAUUUGGAGCUUCUCUUCCACUCUAUUAUUCCUAGUACUUAUAGAGAGGAUAAUGAAGCAAUUGAAGAGCCAUCCAAACCAAGAAAUGAAUUUAAGAAUUAGCCUUGAGUGCUUGGCGAACUUGUACAAAAUUUGGUCCAUGUGCAUCAAUGCCCAUAAAAAAGGUUGCGCAAAAAGUUAAUUAACAAACCUUAGCACAUAUGUUGCGGACCUUGUCCCAAUCAAUCUCGUUGUAAGGGUCAUUGAAAAUUUCCUUUCUCAAUUCCAACACAAGUGGUGUGAUUCGGCCGACAAACCUCUUCCCAUAAAUGUAGCACAUAGGCAAAUACAACAUUCGACAAUGACACCACAUCCUCCCUACAAGAAUGUGUAAAGUGCAAUAGCAUAUCAGAAAGAAACACCAAAGAAACAUUUACAUUGAGUUGUUUGAUUGCUAGCCGAUUGGCCAAUUAAAAAUGGAAAAAGAGGAUGAUAUAUAAAUGAUGAAUUUUGUGAAAUAAAAUUAUUGGCGAUUGGAAUAUUCAAUUAAGGCAUACUACAUUUAACCUCUAGGAUCGAUUAGCAAUCUUUACCAUUGAGUGGUAGAUUGUAUAUAUACACCUAUAACAUACUAGAUUUAUGUAUGUCAAGAAAAAGAAAGCAGAACCUGGAUGAAAUGGCAGGAGAUAUGGUAGUAGCCAUAGUUCUGGUGGGACCGGGUUGUUACCAGACCAUUCAAAUACACCAAGUAUCUUAAAUAAGCCAGGUAAUUAAAAUGAAUUAAAGCAGAUCCAAGAAAAUGGAAGCAGCUAAUAAACAAAUAAAUAAGACUUAAUUCCCCACCGAAAGCCAAAACUUCCCCCAUGAUGCUAUAUAUGUUGCUCCACCAUGAUCUAAGAUCCAGUUUCGACCAUUCUCCAUGGCUCCAUCUCCGCUAUCUGGUCCCUCUCCAAGCAAUCUCAAAAUAACAUAGCUCAGUGCUGAGCCAAACAUGGUGCUCGGACCCUCAAUGUGCAUGCCCCAACCGCCAUCUUCAUUCUAAACUUGCAGUAAAAAAAAAUUACAUCACAUUUAGCCACUGUACGGAUGAGAAACUUAAUUAGGGAUUGAAUCCUUGCCUGAUGGUUAUAAAGAUAUCGACGGAUCUCCUUCUGGUGUUCUGGUGAUAGGACAAUGUUUAGUGCUCCAGUCACAUACAAUGUUAUGACCUGGGUAUAGGAUAAACACAAUCAGUAGCUGUUUUGUAAACCAAGAAACAUGAAACAUCCAUAUAAUCUAAAUCUUUCUUAAAAAAGCAGCUAAAUUGGUAUCACAUUUAAUAAAAAAAGUAUUGGUGGUCACAUACAACAUAAAGCAAAAGUGAGAAAGAAAAGAGAUAGCACAACUUUGUCUUAUACACAUGACAAGAUUAAUCACACAAUUAAUCGUAGGAAUUGAAUGCAUAUCCAAGUGAAGUAAAAAGUUGCAUAUCACUGUAGAGUUGGAGGAGGUACCAAGCCUGGCAUGAGGAACAUAGGACCACCAUAGUCCCCAGGCCAGUGCCCAUCGUGUGCCUGGAUAGUAGAAAAACGGUUGAGUGCCCUUUUCAAGGUAGUGGACACGGCUUCAACGGUAACAUCUUCAUGCUCAUCUAGUUUCAUCGCCAGAAGGUCCAGCUGAAGAGGAUUUUCUUUGGCCAACUGCAUGCAAUAUAUAAGGAGAGAAUAUAUAUUCCAAUUAUUUACAGGGAAGCAGAGCACUGAAACAUAGACUGCAGAAGAAAACAGGCUAAGUAUAGGAGUGUGUGUGCAUGUUGUGUGUGAGUGAGAGAGAAAGAGUCUAUUUUCCCUCUAAUACAUUGGUUCCCCUCUCACCACCUAUAUCUAUUGGGUCAACAAAUAUGCCUACCUAUUUUUUCCCUUCGUCUCUCUCCUCCCGCGUGCACACGGAACCUCUUGCCGCCGCCACCUAGAGGCUUCCCUCCCCGUCACGUGGUCCUCCCAGCGGCAGUCCUCCCCAGUGGCCACCAUUCCUGGCGCCGGUCCUCUCCGACGACCCUUUGUUCCCGUCAUGGUGCGUCUCUGCUCCGGCCACCAGCAUGGCGGGUCCUCCUCCUCUGUGGCACCCUGACCCAGCGCAGCUCUCUGCCCUGGCCACCGGCGCUGCUGAUUCGGCACGGUGGGUUGCCCCUCACGAACGCCGUCCGCGUCCGCAUUGCUCCCCACCAGCCCCCUAGCGAACACCCCUCCCACUGGUUGGUCGGUGCCCCCAUCCCCUCCCCGUGAUUGCGUGACUGCUUUGCCCGAGUUCGUCAAUGCCAAAAGAAAGAAGGAAGUGGAUGAUAUGUGGGCUCCACAUGUCAUUGCCUGUUAAACUGAAUUUAGGAUCCAUAAUUUAGGUAGUAUUACUGAAGUUGGAAACAAAAUUUAGUUAGUAUAAAAAUAGGUGGGUAUUUAAACAGAUAUUUAGGUAGUACUGCUGAAGAUGCUCUAAACAUAUGGUAUAGUAAAUCCUAUAAUCGGUAUCCCUAUGGACCCACAUUUUUUUUGACUAACCCACCUUUAAUUUGUGUUGUUAGGUUUGCGCGGGAGGACCGGAGGCGGAGCAGCGGAGAGCUGGUUUGGCUGGAUUGGGCCGGCCGGCCUGGUGUCGAGUAUGGAUGAAAACGGAUCGGAUACGGAUGGAUAUCACUGAUAUCAUAUUUGUUUUUAUGUUUUUAGUCGGAUUCGGAUUCGAAUACAGAUAGUGUCAACAAUGUCGGAUAAAAUACAAUUGGAUGUCGACAUCAUAAAUAUACAAUUUAAGUUUUCAGAUACGGAUACGGUAUCAGAUAUUGAACAUUUGAAUUUGGAUGCAGAUAGAUCUGGACCCUUCUAAACAAAUUCGAUCUCGAAUACGAUCAGAAAAAUAUUCAUACCAUUUUUAUCCCUAGUGUCGAAUACUCCAGUCUCGAGUGGUUUGGGGUACAAAUAUUAUUAUUCUACUCAGUACAUACAUAGCGCGUGCCACACACACACGAGAGCCCAGGCUCCAUCAGUUGACGCACCUGGUACCGAAGGCUAGCUACUGGAAGUUAACGCCAUGUUUUGGUUGCCACUAAUAAAUUUUAUCACGUAUCGUAUCAAAUAUUUUACACAUACUGAUAUACAUAAAUAUUAAAUAUAAAUUAUUUAUGAAACUGUGUUUACUUAAAACACAGUUAAUAAUUUACAGAAAAAAAAUUUAAAACUUAAUUAGUCCAUAAUUAACAUUAAUUCUCAAAUAAAAUAAAACUAUUAUAGUACUUGUUAAACUUUAACACCCACGACCAAACACUAUGUAUACAACGGGACCUACCUGGAUGCGCAUGAGCAGGUCGGCGCUGUGCUUGAGGUGGUGCCUGGUGUCGACGAAGGCCUGCCGCGCGGCGUCGACGGCGGGGUCGGGGUCGGCGGCGGCGUCGAACUCCCAGACCUGGCGGCCGACGUGGCCGUUCUUCGUGCGGAGCCCGCCCCCCCCGCCGCCGCCGUCCUCCGCGACCCGCAGGCGCCACAUCUCCGCCCCCGGCCGCGCCUCCGAUCCCUCCCUCAGAUGAUGCAGCGGCGCAGUGCCGCCGGCGGGCAAUGCAAUGCAAGCAGGCUGCCCGUUUUGUCUUUCUUUGAUUGCUUCGUGCUUCGAUUCCUUUCUCGAUCUGCAUGGGGUUUUAAAUGGCAAAAUUGCUCCUUUGAGUCACAACUCCGCUAAAGUACUUUGAAUACUACGUAGCUUUUCUGGAUGCGUACGUUCGUCCGUCGUCAUGGGCAUCACUUUCACAAUUCCACAGGGUUGACUGAUCUCUUUUUUAUAUGAGGUUUGUUACCGUGCUUAGAGGAACCGCCGGUUCCUCGUGUGAAAAAAAAAUGAUAGCCAUUAAUCUAAAAAAUAUAAUUAAAUAUUCUUAAGAGUGGGUGGUUUAGUAUUUUUUCCAUUCUCCCUAACAUACCCAGCCGCACAGCUCGAUCCGCUGAGAAGUUCUCCUCUGUGCUUUGUCGCCGUCCGCCACCCGCGCUGUUCCGAUAUUCUCCGUUGCGCGCCGCUGGUCGCCCCGAUAUUCGCCGUCGCCCGCCGCUCGCCACUCCUAGAAUUCGUUGUGGCGCGCCUCCCGGAUUUUGCCGCCGCCUCUCCUCGAAAUCACCGCUACAUGACUCUCCGGGGUCGUCGUCUUCACACAGCCUCCUACAGGAGCUCGCCCACCUAAUUUGGUCACUCAUCAUGGCGCUAGGGACUCUGGACUGCUCUGAAAUGGUGGUUGCCGGCUGCGGCGGAGUAGACGAGGGAGGACCGGAGGAGUGGUCAAUUUCGCUGUCGCCCGCUUCUCCGGAGGUCACCAUCUUCCAAUGGCCGCCUGCAGGAGCUCGUCCGCGUAAUGCGGCUUUGGGAGCUCCCGGUGCUGCUCCAAAUCGGCACAGCGGCGGAGGGGACGAGGGAGGAGGAGUGGCGGCAGGAGCCCGUUGGGACUUGUCAUGGCGCUUGGAGGAUUGAGGGGUGCGCCUGAAGAGGCUCGUCGUCCUACACUGAAGAAGCUCGAUACUGCUGCAGGGCAUUCACGUUGGGCAGCUGCUGUAGGUUGCUAGGCUAUUUUGAUUUACCCACGCAUAUACGCGUACUAACUAAGCAUAUCUGUGCUAACGUUACGCCUUACGGUAAAAGCCAAAGACAAUAUUUUUGUACGCACAUAAUUGUUUGUAUCGCUGGUGCAUACACGUCAUUCAUUGUCUCUAUGCUACAUGCUUGCAUAACUGCUGACAACACUCAACCAAUGCCCUUGCCAACAUUACGGGAUACAUUAAGUAACUUUUUCACACACAAAUCUAUACUAUAUUGUUAGAAUCUCCUAGCUGGCUAGAUUAUCCAAGUGUCAAAUUUGUUAUUAGAGAAGAGCCAAAAUGAAAAAAAAAAUAUGAAUACACGAAGGAACAAUAUUACCUGAAUGUAAAUAGAUAAUACACCUUUCAAGCCAAUAACAACAUAAAUAGAUUUUCACACAUGCACCACGUUAUAAGCAUAUUGCCCCACAAUAGCAUCUAGCAUUCUACACCAUAAGCAUGCACCUUUCGAAUUCAACCUGCCAUACUUAUAUGAUCUAUUUACUUCCUAAAACCAAACCCUAACUCUUUAACUCUCCUCUCAAACAAAUGUUUAUUAAUAGUUUGGUUGGAGUUUGUUGUGUGUGUGUGGCCUUGUUUAGAUACACCCAAAAAUCCAAAACUUUAUAAGAUUCCUCGUCACAUCGAAUCUUGCGGUACAUGCAUGAAAUAUUAAAUAUAGAUAAAAAGAAUAACUAAUUGCACAGUUUACCCAUAAAUCACGAGACGAAUCUUUUAAGUCUAGUUACUCCAUAAUUAGACAAUGUUUGUCAAAUAAAAACGAAAAUGUUAGUGUCAAAAUACAAAAACUUUUUGCAUCUAGGCCUUGUUUACUUACACCCAAAAUUAAAAAAACUUUUCAAGAUUUCCCGUCACAUCGAAUCUUUAGACGCAUACAUAGAAUAUUAAAUAUAAAUGAAAUUAAAAACUAAUUGCACAGUUUGGUCGAAAUUUACGAGACGAAUCUUUUGAGCCUAGUUAGUUUAUGAUUGAACAAUAACUACCGCAAACAAACGAAAGUGCUACAGUGUCCCGAAAAAAUUUCGGCAAGGAACUAAACAAGGCCCUAAAUAAGGCCUGUGUGUGUGUGUGUGUUGGCGACGGCGCUGCGCAUCGACUAUGGCGGACAAGGCAUCCAAAUGCUGCAGGAAUCCGGGGUAUACGUGGAACCCCAUGGGUAACCUGCAUGCCGUCUCUGAAAAACUGUAAUCAAUAUGCAGACAAUAGGCAGACUGGAUUUGAUUGAUUUGAUUCUCCCAACUACAGUAUACAAGUACUCCUUCGCCGAUUGGAUUUCAUUCUCCCAACUCUCUCAGGUGCGUGACUGGCAUCUGAGAGGAGCAAAAUUGCAUGGCACAGGGCAUACCAGGUACCAGCAGCACGGCUUUGAGACUGUAAUAAGUCAACUGGCAAUCGCGCAGCUCAGAACUACAUCACAUCAUUAGCAAAAGAACGGAGUAGACCUGAAUCUAACAUUAUCCCACUUUCAAUAUACAUUAUUAUUAUUAUUAUUAGAACUAGGAGCGCAACCCCUGAACAUAGCUACAUUAUUCCAACUGCCACAUGGCUACUCACAAAAACUGAUUCAUGAGACACACCUCCCGUUCCCCGGCAAGACAGUCCUUGGCGUGCCAAGAUAGAGCCACAAGGCAACAAAGUGCCUUUUCAAUCUAGUUGACGGGGGCACUACCACACUACUGCUUGCCAGACGCCAAGACUCGGCACCGGUACUCACCCAGAGCCCAAAUUGGGAAGGUGUUCCUGUACUGGGAGUAACUGAUCAUGCAGUUCUUGUUGAACACUCCUAUGAUCUCCUGCGUUGGGCGGUACAACAGUUAGUUAUGAACAAAAAGACGAGAUGCCCAUGCAACCAGCAAUUAACCCUGGUCAAUAAGACAAACUCUAAUAUGCAUAUAGAAUGAUGAGAUGUUUAGAUAUCAAUAAGACCACAGCUUCCUUUGUCUCAACAAUAUACAUGCCUAGAAUAUAACCAACCAUUUUUUACUAUUUGCUUCUAGAGCAAAGUUUUUAAAUUGAAAUUAUAUUUGAUUGAAGAAUGAUUAAGGGUAGUAUCUCUGUGGACCCAUUUUGUUACUUACUUGCUGAGGAAAUUCUCCAUCCUCUGAUUGCAAGUUGAUCAAAACCUUUGCUGCUCGGUGUAGAGGCGUUGGGUCUCUCUCAGCCUGUAUGGGUGAGGUUUAAGUACCAUAACGAAUGUACACAUCUUAUCAGAGUAUCCAAAAUUACAAUCUAAAUAACAGACCUGUCCUGCAUCAAUCAGUGCCAGCAUGGCCCAACUAGUGUUCACUGCAUGAGGUCUGUUGCCUUUGAGAUUGGUGUAAACCUGAUUGAGCGCGUCAAAAGAUAGUUAACAUAAAGUCCUUUCCAAUUCCAAGAAGUCUAUAUGUAUAUAAGUAUCAACACUGCACCAAUGUUUUGCUCUGGUAGGUUUAUAUUUCAACUGCUAUCUACUCGUACCAAACUCUUCGGAUAAAAUGAUGCGCUCUAAAUAGACAGGUUUUCUCUAGGCUUGGUGCAUUAUAAAUUAUAAAUCUAAUAAAAGCACGCUUUUCCAAAAAUCUUGACUUUAGCACACAGAUGAUGAAAAUUGGAAUAGAUAAACAUAUCACAGCAAACAACAUUGCCACUAUAUCCAUAAUACUGUCAAGUGCUGUUAUUUAAAAAAAAAACUGAUAGAAGUGAAUUUACCUGGUCUUGAGAGGACAAAUAGCUUUCUCCCCAACCACCCGAAGGAAGUUCUUUUGAUAACAGAAAGUCGCAUGCCUUUCUAAUUGCAGGACUGUUCUCAAAUGUUCUACCAGCAGCAAUUAGUCCCUUCACACCAAACCAAGUGCCGUAUGUGAAACAAACAGCCCAAGAGCCAUACCUGUUGGAAACAGAUAAACAUAUAUAAGGCAAUGAAGAAGGCUAUCUGGAGGCACCUUCCAAAAUAACUUGAGUCUGUUUAAUUGGUAUUUCGUGUUGCAUGGAGUCCAAAUACUAACCAUGAACCAUCACUUUUCUGAAUACUCUCAAUGAAAUUAGAAGCUUUGCUGAUACAGCUAUCCACCUCUUUCCUGCGGUGCCCAGGGUAUAGUUUUUUGAAUGAUGUCAAGGCCUGAAUUGCUGCUGAUGUACAUUCAACAUACCUGUAAAAUGGUUUUACGUUUCUUCAAUUUGUUUUAUAAGUAAAAAUCAGCACAAUGAAAGGUUACUGCAUCUUACGGGUAAUCAAUCACAAUAUCCCCAAAGGUCUCAGCAGGAUUGAUAAGCUGAAUAAUUGAAGAAACAAUGUUAAUAUACAUGAAACAUGAAAGAUUCAAGGAAUGCUGACGAAUUAUUCUGUUUUGAAACAAAACAAAUAUCUUAUCUAGCAUGUAUUUGUACUCAAUGGCAAAUGGGAAUAAUUAAGAAAUUCACAAGUCGCCUGAUUAACUUGGCGAUUGGAGUUCAAUACUUCAGAAAGUAGAAAAGUAGCAGGUAACUUCACAUUUCAGAGGGAGAGCAUGCGAACAUGGACUUAAAAUACUGCCAUGCUUAGACAUGCGCAGACAAAGGUGUCUGCAUUAUGCACGUAUGUGUGUUUGUGGUGCGGUGUGUGGAGGGUUUUGAAGAAGUUCAUCCACCUACCUCCAGCCAGGGAUAAGAUCUUGUGAGUUCAUAUGUCGCGAAACCACCAUUAUCAUUCUGUAAAGGUCAAUGCAAACUAAUGAGACAUGGUCCCUCCAACGGAUUUAUUCAAAACACAUAAGAACAGUGGAAUCAAGGAGAAACUGCAUAGAAUUUAAAUAAGAUAUAUGACCACAGUAUAAUAAAAGGGCUGCUGCCAGUUCAAGGAGUCUUCUUUUCCAUAACGCACACAAUGUUUACAAAAUUGAUUCAAUAGUAACAAUUGCAAGAAGAUGAAAAAAUUCAGGAUGCUUACCAUAUAAGACAUUAGACAACUGACAGCAUCAUAAAAUCUAUUAGCUUCCACCGGUUCACCAACAAUUUUGGGAGAGAUCUUUGAUAACAAUAAUGAAGCCUGGAGUAAAAUAAAAGAAGCAAUUACUAUUUAUUAAAACAAAUAAUUACAAAAUUAUGACAAUGUGCCAGACACUAUACUGUCAAAGAAUGCUGGAACAUAAAUGCGAAGGAACAAAGCUAAAUUAUGUUAGCUACGUGAGCUAUUUACUCAUGUAGUUUGCAUGGGAAGAAUUAGAGAUGCUGAAAGAACAAAGGAUCCUAGAUCUCAAAAGACAAAAUUUUAACCUUCUAAAGUAAAUUUCCUUAUUGGUAAUGCUGAUGACUGAAUUCACCUUUAGUCCUUCAGCAGUGCAAUCAGAUAUAGGCCAACCAUGAUCAGCAGUUGAGAAUGGCCAUGCACCUUUAGAUGUGUGGCGGUACCAGUCAUCCAGAUCACCAGGGCAGUCAUCAAGAACCUUUCAUAUUAAAAAGCCAUUUAUCAGUGCUGUAAAUGGACCUAAGAUUGAACAGUAUAGACAAAAAGGCAUGUCGCACCUGCGAAUUCUUGAUAUAGUUGUGUGCUAGUUUAAGGGUGGGACCAAACUCUUCAAUAAGGUUGGUAGCCACAAUGGCUUGAACUGCAAAAGCUGUAUCCCAAAGUUGGCUGCCAUUAUAACCCUACAGUGGAAAGAGCUGGCUCGAUUGAAGAUGCCAAAACAAUUUGCCAAUCCCAUUAAGAGACAGCAAAAUAUUAUAUGUUGAUUGGUUUGCUGUUGCACUAGCUGCCUAACAGGAAGUUAAUUAAUUAAAAGGAAAUGGGAAACAGAACAAGAAAUAAUCACCUGCAUCUUCAUGCCAUCUUCAGCAAGCCACAAGUAAUCAUAGACUCGUGGGAUAUGAAGUUUGAAGGCCUCUGAGUUUGGAUCUUCAAUCCAGCAAGCAAGCAUAUUCAAUACCUGCACAGAAUUUCAGAAAUUUGUCAAGCAACAUUAAGAAAUAAUCAAGAAAUAAAUCACAGUAUACACUUCUAAUAAAAGUUUCACAACCUAUGAACAUAAACUGAACAUCAUCAAAUUAACAGAAGUGAUUUAAGUCAACAAAAAUGACAAAAUGAGAGUCAGAAAUAAACUAUACUCAAGGGUCAAGACCGAGGAAUCCAUCCCAAACAUCAAGGCACUAACAGAAGGAUAUUUUUUGUUAAUACAAAUUGUUGGAGCAGAACGAGAAAGAAAAGCAAUUCCAUAAUUUUAAUAUAUCAUUCAAGUAAUGACUUGUUUGGCAUAAUCUUAUGCUGUUACCAAGGACUAUGGAUUGCAUAUACUGAACACAAUUAGCAAAAUCACGGUUGCUUGUAGCAUAGAAUGCAUUUAUCAUGAAUUAAAUGAUACAGAUCACAGGACAAUCAUAGUGAAUGAGGUGGAAGUGACAAAUCACAUAACGCACGGCAGCUAUUGUAAUAUUUAACAGAAAUCUGUGGUGGACUGAUAGGAAUAUUUUAGUCAGGCAAUUCAGGAGAAAGUAAUGGGUUAAAAAAGGUGAAGAUUGUAACGGGAGGGUUAAUCAUUUUAAUGCCAUAGUAAGCUAAGGCAGCACAAGCUGAAAGUUAAAGGAAGCACCGAAAUCACAAUCGCCUCAGCUUCUUUCUUAUUGGAGAGUAAAUAAAUCUAUAUCAAAAUCGCUAGCGCAUGACCUUAAAUAAGACUACACCUCCUUUUGUACUGGUUCAGCAAGCAAUGAUAUCCCUCAAUUUACCUUGUUUACAGGACCAAUGCAAAUGUAACGAGUGUUCUCAUCCUCAUAGUGAACAUGCUGCAUGACUGUUUCCAGAGCUUUCUCCCUCAAUUUGCUGCCAGGCCAAUGCAUCAUAACUGGUUCAACGAAUUUAUGGAGAGUGGCCCAUAACACAUCUUGAACGAAUGGGUGUGGGUAGUACAGAUCUUCCUGCAGCACAAAUGUGUCGAAACUCCUUCAGACAGAAUAAUCAGGAUCCAAAAUGGACUUCUCACAGACGAAGAAAGAUAUAUAAACAUUAUGUUCCUAAGUUUUCAGAACUAAGAAACUUUUCAAAUAGCAUCACUUGCCAGUUAACGACUGUUAAAGGGACUCUGAGACACAUUAUGUGAAAGAUGGAUCCCAUACUUACUAAAGAAGUACAGAUCCAGAUCAAUUGGGCCAGUCAUGGGAGUAACUGGUAACUUACAUGGUUUUUCUCGAACAAAAUAAACGAAGAGAGUUUCUAAGUAUGAGCAUACAUGUAAAGAAAUUUCUUUAAGCUUCUUGACAGUUUAUAUAUUUUAAGUAGAGCUAUGACAAGGUUGUGCCAGUAACUAAGCAUACUCUUCUUUUGGCAGUGGGAUUUCUGAAUGACUAAGGAGUAAGGACAGCCUUGGCCGAAAACAAGAUCAACUUGGAGACUAAUAGAUAACUAUCACACUAUGUGGCACCUCAUGCAAUGAAGUUGUGCACAAUUUGGCCUAUAUGAAUGAAUGUAUCAAUGCCCAUAAGAAACGUUACACAAAAAAGUUAACAAACCUUAGCACAUAGAUUGCGGGCUUUGUCCCAAUCAAUCUUGUUAUAAGGUUCUUUGAAAAGCUCCUUCCUUAAUUCCAACAGAAGUGGUGUGAUUCGGCCAACAAACCUCUUCCCAUAAAUGUAGCACAUUGGCAAAUACACCAUUCGACAAUGACACCACAUCCUCCCUGCAAGACAUUGUAAACCACAAAAGUAUAUGAGGAAAAGGAACAACAUAGCAACCAAGAGCACAGUACAGAAAGACUACGGGCCUAUGGUAAUGCAAAGUAGAUUGAUUGUUCUCCGAUUGGCACAUUGAAAAUGAAAAAAGGAAUGAUAUAUAAAUGACAAUUUUAUGAUACACUAGUAUCAUUGGUGAUUGGAACAUUCGGUUAGGGCUGAAUAUCUAUGUUUAAUCUUCAACAUGUACUAUAUAUACAACCUUUAGAACCAACUUAGCAAUCUUUAGCACUGAGUUACAGAAUGUAUAUAUACACCUAUAAUAUACUAAAUUUAUGUACACCGAGUAAAAGAAAGCAGAACCUGGGUGAAAUGGGAGGAGAUAUGGCAGUAGCCAUACUUCUGGUGGCACCGGGUUGUUACCAGACCAUUCAAAUACACCCAGUACCUUUAAUAAGCCAGGUAAUUAGAAGGGAGGUAGAGAGAUCCAAGAAAAUGGAAGCAGCUAAUAAACAAAUAAAUAAGAGUCAAUUCCCUACCGAGAGCCAAAACUUCCCCCAUGAUGUUAUAUAUGUUGCUCCACCAUGGUCUAAUAUCCAGUUUCGACCUUUCUCCAUGGCUCCAUCUCCACUAUCUGGUCCCUCUCCAAGCAAUCUCAAAAUAACGUAGGUCAGUGCUGAGCCAAACAUGGUGCUUGGACCCUCAAUGUGCAAUCCCCAGCCACCAUCUUCAUUCUACAGUUGCAGCAACAAAAUUAGAUCACCUUUAGCCACUGUAGGGUUGACAAAUUUAGAACUGAAUCCUUGCCUGAUGAUUAUAAAGAUACCGGCGGAUCUCCUUCUGGUGUUCUGGUGACAGGACAGUGUUUAGUGCUCCAGUCACAUACAAUGUUAUGAUCUGGAUAAAGGAUAAAUACAAUUAGUAGUUGUUUUGUAAACCAGAAAACAUGAAACAUAAGUUUUCCAUAUAAUCUAAGAAUGAUAUGUCUGCCACAAUUUGCCAGUUUCUAUUUAGGAGGCAUCCAAAUUGGUACUCGUAUUGACUCACUGAGCUCACAUAUAACAUGAGGCAUAAGAAGUGAUGGAAGCAAGACAGCACAAUUUUGUUUUAAAAAUAUCACAAGAUUAAGCACAGAGCAGAGAUUUAGUCAUAGAAAUGCAUAUCCUUAGUAAGCAAGUUGAACAUAUCGCUGUAGAAGAAGAGUUGAAGGAGGUACCAAGCCUGGCAUAAGGAACAUAGGGCCACCAUAAUCCCCAGGCCAGUGUCCAUCGUGUGCCUGGAGAGUAGAAAAACGGCUGAUUGCCCUUUUCAAGGUAGUCGACACGGCUUCCUCGGUAACAUCUUCAUGCUCACCAAGCUUGAUCGCUGGAAGGUCAAGCUCAAGCGGAUUUUCUUUGGCAAACUGCAGUGUGUAAAAGAGAGCAGAUGUUUCAAAUUCACAGGGAAGCAGAGAACUGAAACAGAGACUGCACAAUAAAGAAACGCUGAGCGCAAGACUGGACUGCAUUAGUUCCCAAAAACGGUGUCCAUUUCAACCAGUUCGUGUGGUACUGAUAUUUGCAUGGACAGUGAAAUGUUUUUUUUACUCCUAAAUAAAAGUGACAGUGAAAGGGUUACUGUGGUAAAGAGACCACACAGAGAAAUGGAGGAAUUCUGAAAUCAUGUGCUGUGUCAUUAUCAUCCCCCAAAACAACCAUGUGCUCAACCAUGUGAUGUGUCAUGUUUGCAUACGUCUGCAGUUUACAAAUUGCAAACUGAACCACGGCACCACAUUUAAAAGGUGCCGACAGCCGGUAUGUACGGGGAAAAAAACGGAGGAACUCCGAAAUCGAGACAAGAGGAAGGAUGAUCAACCCUGCAACCUGCGAGAGCCAGAGCCCAGAGCCCAUCCCGGCUCGCAUACCGCGCAUUAAAAUUGUAUACGAGAAUCCCAUGAACACGAGUUUUAUUAGUUCACCGGCCACCGGCCGGCCUCACAUUGAAAGCGACUGGAAAUUAAGGUAGCGCCGUCGGGCCCAUGAGAAUGUGCCAAGUAAGACCAUCACCACCGCCGGUUGUUCUAGUACGACGCACGGCACGACGGCAAGCCCGGCCACAGAACACGCCAUCCGUCACCGGCGGACCGACCGAGACGGCGACAUGCACGCGGGCGGGCGAGGGGCAACCGCAGCCGCGUGGGCGCAUCAGCGGGUAACGGAGCCGGGAGGGAGAGGGGGCAGGCAGGCAUUACGAGCGGGUAGCGAUCGGCAGGAAGGCAGGUAACCCCACCUGGAUGCGCAUGAGGAGGUCGGCGCUGUGCUUGAGUUGGCGCCUGGUGUCGACGAAGGCCCGGCGCGCGGCGUCGACGGCGGGGUCGGGGUCGGCGGCGGCGUCGAACUCCCAGACCUGGCGGCCGACGUGGGCGUUCUUCGUGCGGAGCCAGGGGUCCCCGCCCCCCUCCGUGAUCCGCAGGCGCCACAUCGCCCCGCGUCGUCCCCUCUCCUCCUCCUCAAUUCAAAUGCGGCGGUUGCCGGCGGACGAGCGGGCGGGGCGAGGGAUCCUGAUCCGCGGCGGACGGUCCUCUCCUCCCCUCCCCACCUGUGCGUGGUGGCGUGGCUUCGGGAUCCCCCUCCCUAGGGUCCUUCUCCUUCCUCUCCACGCUGGUGUGGGAUCGGCUCGGCUGCCUCCGCCUGCUGCGUCUCGUGAUAGAUGACAAGGGGAGUCCGGACAGUGGACAGGCUGUACGGUUGGCCGGAGUUGCUGCGGCCGCCUGCAGAGUGAGGGCGAGGGGUUUGGGUUUGAUUUGAUUUGAUUUGAUUUGGGAUCUGGGUGGGGUUUAUUAGGCAGCAGCCACCGGCGGAGCUUCACCACUGCUGGGUGCUCGUGCCGUCCCCGUGCGUCUGUGCGCGUGGCACGAGUCCGUUCCAGGAACAGGGGCGGGGCCCACGUUGCCGUUUGGAUCGCGAGAUGCUCUGUGGCCUUCUGUGUGUGAGAAGGUGUCCCGUAGCUCUUUUAUUUGUAUUUGACAAAUAUUGUCCAAUCAUGGACUAACUAGGCUUAAAAGCUUCGUCUCGUCAAUUCCGACCAAACUGUACAAUUAGUUUUUAUUUUUAUCUAUAUUUAAUAUUUCAUACAUGUGUCUAAAGAUUCGAUGUGACAAAAAAUCUGAAAAAUUUUGCAAAAUUUUUUGAGAACUAAACAAGGCCCAAAUGUUUCUAUGUUUGAAUGGGUGUUCUAUGUUAGAAUGGGUGUUUGAAUAUUAAUAAAAAAAUAAUUACAUAAGAAACUAUGAGAUAAAUUUAUUAAGUUUAGUUAAUUUAUGAUUGUAGCACUUAAGGUUAAUUGUAGACUAAUUAGAAUUAAAAAAUUUGUUUCAUGAUUUCAAACUAAACAGUAUAAUUAGUUUAUUAUUUUAUUAUUUUAUCUAUAUUUAAUACUUUAUGUAUAUAUCUAAACUUCGAUGGUAUGGGUAAAAAAAAAUUUUUGGGUAGGAAACAAAACAAGGCGUGUGCUUCCCUACCCCUAGUGUGGGCGCGUGGCAGUGGAGUGCUACACUAGCGUGGCAUGUGGCAAUGGAGCACUAUAGUAACUAGCUUAAAAAAUUCAUUUCGUAAAUUACAGGUAAAUUGUGCAAUUAAUUAUCUUUUUUAUAUUUAAUGCUCUAUACAUAUCGUGAGAUUUGAUGUGACGGAAAAUCUUAAAAACUUUUUGGAUUUUGGACGUAACUAAAUACCAACGUGUAUGAAAAUAUAUUUUAUUUAUUACUAUUAACAUUUUUUAUAGGAGCAAGUAUGUGCGUUGUGAUUGUCUGUGUUGUACUGUAUAAUUCUAUAAAAAUUACUAGCACAAUGUAACAUCCCAAAAAUUCACAUUCAAAAAUCACUCGUAUUAAAAAUUAUUUUCAAAAUAUAUUUCAAAAACUAUAAAAUAAUUUGAGCUCUAUAGUAUCUCCAUCUAAUCCAUCUUAAUUAUUCAUCUUUAAAUAUAACCUGCACAACAUGGCAUGAGCAUCAUAUGUCCGCUACUUAUCCCUCUUGCACGCUCGCUCUGCCCGAUACCCGACAACGGUGCGUGCGCCGACCCCACCACCACCAGCGCCGCAGCGCACUCACGUCCGGCCCCCUCGCCGAGCGCACUCGCUCGCACGCGCACCGCGGCAUGCGGGCCCCACCUCUUGCCUUUUUCCGUUCCUCUUUUGAUGUACAAAAAGAUAGCAAGCCGCAACGCACAACUAUACACCAUUUAUAUUUAUCGUGCACAAAUAAUAACAAGUACCAGUAAGCCUACAUGCAAGAAAGCAUAGUAGUGCACCCACACACACAUGGCUCAUGCAUGCAAAACCGCAGCAACACACGCGCUCGUACUUCGAUACGUGCCGACCAUCACACAGUAGCAAGUUAGGCACCGUCCAUCGGCUGCUCGUACCAUCGUUUCUGUGCAUCAGUCAUCUCAGGCACCCAGCACGAGAACCACCAUUAAUGGCGAAGCAACUAAGCUCACCGAGCAGUGCCCUCCUCUGGCCUAUAAAAGCCAAUGCCGAGCAGCACUACUCCACCGUGCCAACCACGCUGAGCCGUUAGCUCUGCAGCCACUCACUCGCUUAUCUCCUUCCUCCUCUGUUCUUACACAGAGAGAGAGCUGCGCCCCGUGAAUCUCCUUCUCUAGGCCACAAUCAGCAAGGUAGCUAGCCUCCAUCAAUUUUCUACCUCUCCUAUCCCUCUCUAUGUUCUUGUAUUCGAGAAUGGUAGUCUGAAUCAUCACCUAGCCAAGCUUUGACAGCCAGCAAUGGCGGAUGAGCAACGAGUGAUGAACGUAGUCACUGCUCUACCUCUCUGUCCUGUCCUAGUACCUCCUCUCUCUCUUCGUUGUCUCUUUAUAGUCUUAAUUACCAGAUUAGAAUGCUGACCAAAGUACACCUAGCACACAGCUCACGUCAAUGCCCUCCUCAAAAGGCCUUGUUUAUUUUAGUAGACAAUAAUCUUGUAAAAUUAAUAUCUCCUUCAUCUUAACUUCGAUUUCAACGAUUCUUUUUCCUAAAUUUAUCUAAAAUUAUGGUCUACCUCUCAUAUUAAUUUCAUGAUUUUUGGAGCUCAUUUAAAUUUAUAUGAUUAUUUAUCUGUGCUUGUUGUCUGUGUCGUUCGUCGCGUAUUUUAGCUGACGGAGUGAACGAGGCGGAAAACGAGAACGUUGGUGACGAGUACCGCGAGUUUGACGCCGAGGACCCGGACUGUCAGCAAAAGUUUGCAGAGGACGCCGACGGAGGCAAGUCCAACCGAUCCCUUUUGAUGCAUAUUGAUCCUAUUUUUAAACACAACCCGUAAAAGCCGUUUUAAAUAUUGCAUGUACGAUAUAUGUACGAAGUAUUUUCGCUGCUUAGUUAAAACCUGUUGAAUAGCCAUCCUUGAAUUGAUAUUACCCGUUAAUUGUCUUGUUCGAACCUAGGAACAAAUAAUAUGCUAUGACAGAAAUAUUAUUAUUUAGUAUGCUUAGGACUUGUUACUCAUCCUGGAUAGUCAUCGCUAUAUUUUUCAAAUAUAAUGAUUUUAAAAGUAAAAGGUGUGAGUGGUGAAAAUAAAUUGUGGGUAUUAUGAAAGGGUUAAUGAACAAGUUAUAGAUGUGAUUACUAUGAAGAUGGGGCGGAUGAGAUCUCUUUUGGGGAUGCCCUGGUGUUGUGGCUUAUACCUUGCGGGGUUAAGCGAGAAGAUAUCCGCCUUGUCUCGAUUAAGGACUGAGUUGAUGAUUCAUCUUGCCUAACUCAUUUAUCGUACAACCACUCGUCUUGCAUGGGAAAGGUGUCGACGAAAGCUAGUCGGCAGUCUACCUUGGGGUAUACCCACGGUAGUAGUUUAUCGGUAGACGGUGCGCAAACUACGAACUCGAUGGUGACGCAAGACACGGACAAGCUUUUUAUCCAGGUUCGGCCGCCGAGUUGGCGUAAUACCUACGUCCUGCGUCUGGUUGUAUUGGAUUGUGUUGAGAGAUAAUCUGUUCUAGGGGGGUCCCUUGCCCCUCCUUAUAUAGUCUGGAGGGCAGGGUUACAGAUCUGGAAACUAAUCUUAGUCGGUUACAAUUGCCAUGGAUAAUUCGAUAUCAAUUCCUAUUCUAACCGACUAGAAUCCUGCUUGAUCUCCACAUCUUGUUUCCUUGCGCAAAACUCCAAGCUGUCGGAUCAAGCCUUGAACUCGUCUUGUAAUGGGCCAAGCCUCCUGGCCCAAGUCUAGCCGUAAGGGUAUAGGGGUUUAUACCCCCACAGCUAGUCCCCGAGCACCAUGUAUUGUGAUGUAACACGCCGUCUUGAGCUUCUUCGAUCAGUGAGGCUUGACGUCUUCAGGAAAGUUGCCCGAACAGUUGCAACGGUAUUUUGACCAACUCAAAAGACAGUUGAUCAACAUUGACAUCGAAGAAGCAGGUUGUUCGAAGAAUGCAUGGUGCUCUAAAUUAAAAAAGAUUUCUUUCCUGGUGAAGUGUGCCCACUUUACUUUUUUGUAAGGUAUUAUUCUCAAAAAAGCAAGCAUAUUCACCGCAAGGUGAAGUGUGCCCACUUAGUCCCCGAGCCUGGUAGUAGGUGACGUAGGCACGUGGUGCCAGGGUCAAAAGAAAAUUCCCCAAAGUAGUUUUGAGACUGAGAUGCAUCGCUAGAUGCAUCGUACCGAUGUAGUCCCCGAGCUUGCUGGAAGGCGAAGUAUGAGCCUUGUAGCAAGGUCUAAAAAAUUGAAAGUACCAGUCCGUCUGCAGUUGAAUAGACUAAUCGACCAGUCCCCGGGUGUACAAAAGUAUGACAACCAGGCCCUAAACACCAAGCGCACUCCUUAGAAUUCUGCGUUGCUAUACUGUACGGCCAGUCCCCGAGCAUCGAGCGCUCAGUGGUCGGUGCGAUAUAUUCAAGUUCGGAGCUGAUAGACUGGACGACCAGUCCCCGAGCAUCGAGCGCUCAGUGGUCGGUGCGAUAUAUUAAAGUUCGGAGCUGAUGGGCUGGGCGACCAGUCCCCGAGCAUCAAGUGCUCGUUGGUCGGUGCAGUCCUUGAAGUUCCGAGUCGAUAAACUAAACGACCAAUCCCCGAGUGUCAGGUGCUCGGUGGUCGGUACAAUCCUUUGCAUCCGAGUUGAUAGACUGGUCGACCAGUCCCCAAGCAUCAAUUGCUCAGUGGUCGGUGCAGUCCCCGGAUUGUUGACUCUGCCAUAUUUGUCUUCUUGUUUUUGAAAAAAAUCUUCCCAGUUAAAGUUGACGUGACAAGACCUUCUGAUGGUGUGUCAGAUGGAUGCAUGAAAAGUUGCGCCUGGCAACUGUGCAGCCGCCCUUUGCGUGGUUUGACAAAAGGAAACCAUCAAUUGGUAUGAAAAUUCCGCCGCAUUAAUUGCCUAUAAUCAUUGAAAACCGAAAUACCGCAUCCGCCGCAUGGCCCGCCCACUUCCCGAGAAUACAGGAAGUGGGAGGGAUGGAGUUGCGGGUUAUAAGAGCUGGACAGUUCCGCCCGUACUGCUUACCCUGCCAUUGCCAUCAAGCCUUUCUCUUUUGCCUCCUUCAAUCACCUUCGUCCUCGUAACCCAAGUCCACUUCCUCACCUCCAAUGGCGAAGAGCGACUCCAAGAAGAGAGCCGAACUGAUGGCCAAGGAGUGGAAGAAAUCCCGCAGCACCACCAAGUCCCUCGGUGACCUCGUCGACAUGGGACUCCUGCACAGCUCGGAGCUCGGCGGCUGGAGAGCGCCGGAAGGAGAGAGCUUCCCGGACCCUCGUGCCGGUGAGAUCGUCGUGUUUGAAGAUUUCAUUAAGAGGGGCUUUGGGGUUCCUGUUCAUCCUUUUCUUCAAGGUCUUCUUUUGUAUUAUGAGAUCGGGAUUUGCAAUCUGCACCCGAACUCAAUUCUCCUCAUUUCCACUUUUAUCCACCUGUGCGAGGCCUAUGUUGGCAUAGAGCCGCACUUCGAUCUUUUUCGUUAUUUUUUCUGCUUGAGGAAGAAAGGAGCGGUUGGAGGCUCCAAGGUUGCAGGUGGAGUAUACCUCAACCUUCGUGAUGGAAUGAAGAAUCGCUACCUGCACUGUCCAUGGAACACUUCAUUGACCGAAUGGUAUAGGAAGUGGUUCUACAUCAGGGAGGAACCGGGCAGCUCCACGUUCUGCGACGUGGGAUACAUUCCUGAGAAGAGGCUGAGCUGGACCGACCGCCCGGAGUUCGACGGUCAAGUGGCGGAUCUCAUGAAGCUGAUCGACUGGUCGCGCCUGGACGGGCUUGGCGUGGUCGGCAACUUCAUUUGUCGUCGGGUGAUGCCCUGCCAGAAGAGGGUGCACUCGGCGUACGAGUAUGCCAGAAGCGCGGACCCGACCAGGAUGCGGCCAGAGAUCUUGGAGAAGGCGGAGGUACAACAGCUGUUGAACGAGCUGUUCAACUUCGCGGACGGAAGCUUCAUCUGUGGCAGUGAUCGGGUGCAAGCGUUCAAGUUAGGACGACCAGCACCAAAGGUAUGUGGCAAGUUAUUUUGUUUUAGGAUUCGUUUAUCGUCUGCAACCGUCUUAUCUUUGUUGCUUUUGCAGAUCGGCGAAGUCGACCGGUGCAUAGUGUAUGUAUCACUGGCACCGGGGAUGGAGAAUCCUGCGGGAGAGGACCCGCCAGAGGAGGACGCUGCUCGGUGUACUUAUUACACCAGCAGUGAGGACCAGGCCCGCCCCGCCCUGACCACCGAGGAGAUGGUGGCGGGGAAAAGGCCACUGGCAGCGGAUCCUUUGCCGGUGCCAACGUUGCCGGCGGAGAGCAGCCAAGCGCCGAAGCGCCGUCGGCUCGUGCGGAUUGUUGACGACGACGACGAGGAGGAGGCCGCACCGUCGCUAGUUCGACGACCUCGGAGCCGCCCAGAUAGUGCGCCAGCCACUACUGAUCGGGUGGCCAGCGACCCUCCUGCACCGCGCGUUGUCGAGAUGGGAGCGCAGGUGCCAAUUGGCCGGACGAGGAGGAGGUUCACCGCGACCCACCGUCGAUCGGACCUGUAAGUGUUUGACUUACGUAUUUUGGCAUUAUUUUGUUUUUUUUAAUUAUACUUUUGUUCUUUUAGCGCGGCGUCGGAUGUCAACCCUGGCCAUGCCGCCGGCCAGGAGACGGGUGAGCCUGCCUGUGCUGCUGAAGACGCGGCGCCACAGACCACGGAGCAGCCCGCGGCUGCAACCGUGCCUGUGAGCACCGAGGAGCCCCCAGCUGCGGCACCGACCACGUCGAGCAGCCCGGCUAGGGAUGAGGGGGCUACAGAGGCACCUCCCCCAACGAACGCCGCAGAAGGGGAGAGGAGAGGCCCGACCCCUCCUCCCGUCGAGGAGAGCGAAGCCCCCACGCCGCCCCGAGCAAGGGCCGCUUCGACUACAGGCUCCCCUGGUCUAGCCCGGGGGCCAGUAAUGCCUUCGACUGCUACUGGGGGCAAUACGACGGGUGAGGAGGAAACCCAGGCGGCCUCCAACGACGAGGUGGAGGAGAUUGAAGGUCGUCCCCGCGAUGGCCGCCAACACGUGUAUGUGUGGCGCCAACGCGGGGAUCACUUCAUCGGGUAUGAAGAGCUUGCCGACACCGAGGAGGCCACCAGGGUCGAGCGUGCGGCCAAACGCCUUGUCGACGAAGUCAAGGUAAGCGGUUCUUUGCACUGUCGUACACUCUGUGCAUUGUCUUGCUUGGUUGUCAUAUGUUCGUUUUGUAGGGCGCGAUGAAAACGGCGAAGUACCGGAAACGGUGCUUCGACCAGAUAGAAGGCGUUGUGGCCGAGAACAAGGCCCUGGCCGCAGAGGUAGACCGGCUGCGAUCGGAGGUUGGGGAGAAAGUGGCCGAGGUGAAUGCCCAAGAGGAGCGUCGUCUCGAGCUUACCCGUCGCUUAGCCGACCAGUACCGUCAGCGAGAAGGUUAGUCACGCGCUCCAAGCACCUCCGCGUAGCUGUGUAGUUCGCUUUGCUGACCGGGUUAUGACUCACUUAGACCUGGAGGAGGAGGUGACGCGCCUCCGACAGGAGAAGGAGCAGCUCAGCCAAGAGCUUGCUGGAGCGCUGGAGUCCGGGCGCCGAGCAGGAGAGGAGUUGGGUCGUAAGGACCGGGAGCUAUCUGGUAAUACGCACCGCCUCGUUAUCUGCCGCUUGUCGCCCCCAUUGUGUUUUUUUUGAUAUGUCGAAGAUAACGUCCUGCCUGACUUGCAGUGCUCAAGGUGAACGCCAAAAAGCAUCUGGAUGAGCUGGCUAAGGACCGGGACUCCUGGAAGGUCAACUGUUGUAAGAUCUGGAAGGGAGUAUCCCCGGUCCUGGAUCUAAUCAGUCCCGAGCUCCCGAAGAGCCAGCCCCGCGCGCCGAAGUUGACUCCGGUGGAGAAGGCGCAGCGGGCGUGGGACUGGCUCCAGCAAUUUGUAAAGGACGCUGGUGAGUUCGCCGGCGCGCAUGUCCUUAGCAUGGUGCGCGCCCACUACCCCCUGGUCGACUUGACCAGGCUGGAGAAGGGGUACCCCAAGGAGGUCGGCCCGCAGGAGGCGGACGAGCUUCGGGGUGGUCUGCUGGACUUGUCGUCGAUGGUGAUCGGCGACAUCAAUCUGUGCGGAACAGCCACUCCCCCCGACCAGCCAGGCUCAGAUAGGUCGGCCAGGGAGCUGUCGGGCGCGUCUGUUGCGGGAGAUGGGCGGUCGACGCCUGCGGUCUCGACCAGCCAGGCGCCGGUGGCCCCGACUGUAACACCCUAGGUGUUUGUCACUUGCUAAGUACUAGGUUUGAGCUCAAACAUGACAAGUUCAAUGGUAAUAUAGAGGUCAAAGUCAAUCUAUGAAAGUAAACCCCAACUUGGGCUUGGUGGAUGCAACCUUGCUUGCAUAUAUGCCUUUUUAAAAGGUAUGAUUGGAUGAUGCUAAUGGAACCUUUUUCAUGUGUCUUAUAUCCAUCCCAAUCUAUGUUGGUCUCUGGAAAAGUUUGGUGAAGUUUGGAAUCAAGAAGUCACAUGAAAUGAUAAGUUAUAUCCUUGCCGGAAUGACUCUAUUAAGGAAAUAGAAUCAUGGGUCACCAACCAAACCUUGCAAACUUGCUCAUAUGACACUAGAUGAAUUAUACAACAAAAGUCGUGAAGGGUUCAUGUUGAGCUUAUGUCAAGAAAAUGCUUCAAUUGGCCUAAAAUCCUAUUUGGAGCUUUAUCGGGUUACUACUUUGACCAAGGUGAAAGAUUGACUUCGGUUGCAGUUAUGAGGUUUGACCCUAAAUUAAAGUUGUGGUUUUGCUUCUGUAGAAGAAACUUUAUUCAAAGGUCAAGAACCAAAUCAGCCUGCAAACAGUUCAAACAGAGGCUCGAAGUUCGAAUCAGCUGCUGUUUUUCAGCCCUGAGAAAUAGUUCUAAGUCCCUAGAAGGACAGCAGUGAGUUAGCUCCUUCGUGACGUUUUAUUAUGCAAAUUCAUAUGGUAACUCAAUUAGAUUCCUUAAUAUGAGUUGGACUACUCUUCUUGAUGAAAGCAAUGGAUCAAGUAUCAUCAAAUUUGGAGUUCAUUUGGGUAUCUAAAAGUAGCUCCCAAAACAGCAAAAAGUUAUUUUAUCACUAAACGGACGUCGACCCGUUGGCAUGCCGCGUUCUCGUAUUUUUGUAAAGCAACUCAAGCUGGUCCAAGAAUAAAAGUUGUGGAUAAUUAUUUGGAGAAGAGCAUACAAAAAGUUGCAUCAAGUUUGACAUGAUUUGGACCAUCAAUUCUUGGUUUUGCUAAUCACCGUCAAUACGUUGACACUCGUGACUUGGCAUCUAAUUAUCUCCUAAUCUGUUGGCCUAAUGACUAAGCACCCUUAAUCAAAGUUGGAGAGCAGGCCGAGGUGAGCAAACUUCAUUUUUGGCCCAUCUCCAAAUUCGGCCGGGAACGAGCCCAAAAUCGCCUCCCACCUUGCCUACCCCGACGCGCGCCACGUGCUCGACGAAAUGCCUGCGUGGUCGCCAUGCACCAGAGCGCGCCCCACCAUUGCUGCACCUCUGCUGCUGCUCCAUUUCGCGUUUGGGACAGCCAGAAGGGCUCACCACUUCCUCACUCACUCGCCUCCACAUCCCCCUCCCUCUAGCUCUUCUCCUCGCUAUCUCUGUGAGCUCCGCAAGGUGGUCACCAUGGCCACCAUGGCCAACCAGCAGAGCUCGAGCUCCUGCAGCUGUUGGCUGCAGCCGGCCAAGGCCAGGGCCGGGCGUGGCCAUGGCUAGCCGAGGCCAGGCCGCCGGCUGGCUCUCUGCUGCCACUGGUCGCUCUCCAACAGAGUCCAGAAGCCGGCCAUGUCCUCUGCUCCCGUAACAAGAAGAAGGCAAGGACCUCGUGUUCGAAUAAGAAACAACCCAGGGUUCCAGAUGCGAAUCCAAGACUCAUAUGAAUAGUGCAUCUGGACUGCAGUAGAUUUCGAGAAACUCCAGGGUUCCCGAAGCAAAAGUGUUUUCCUUUAUCUUUUCUUUGUGCAGAUUUCUGGAUGAACUUUAGAAAUUCAUAGUAAUUCAUAGAAAAGUCGUAAAAUAGCAAAUGUGGACUUUUUGGAAUCCUUGUAAAAUUCUCUAUGCAGUAGAUCUAUAAUAUGGCAUGGUUUAGUUUGAUAUUUUAGUCGUAAAAAUAGUUUUAUACAGUUAGGUUUUGAUUGCUUGUUAUAUUUGUCUUUUUUAUAACUGCUGUGUUGUUGCUCCAAUAAAUGUGAAAAUAUUGUGGCAUGCUUUUCAUAUGAUAUUUGAUCUCUGGCAUUUGUUUCAUGAAUUUAGGAUUGAUAGAUUAAGAGUUAUGAAAAUAACAAAUGCCCUGUGUUGCUUUGCUCCUAUUCUGAGUGGAUCUGCAUGUUUGUAUUGUUUGGCUCAGUUAAGUUGAGAAUCUUGCCUAGAUGAAAAUAUAUAAGUUUUAGUAAUUUUCAUAAGCUUUCCAGAAAGGUAAAUAGCACAAUUUUUGGUUAAGCACAUGUUUAGUUAUAGUGGUUUAAAGUAUUGUUUCAGUUUCUGUCUAAAUCCAGACAGGGUUGCAUUGUUUGUAAUGUAAGACCUUUUUAGUUGUAGAUUUAGCUGUACAUGUUUAUAACAAAGUUGUUCACAAUUAGAUAAGGUUUCUAGAAAGUAUAUAACCAUAAUUUAUGGACAUGUGAAACUCAUGUUAUGGGUGUUUAAUGUAGCAUGACAGAUUCUGUCUGUGUUUUGGACAGAGAUAUCUUCAUGGGAUUAAUUGACCUUGUUAACUCUAGAUUCAUAUUUAGAUGAUAAUAAGAAAGUUGUAGGUAACUUUAUAAGCUUUCCAAAAAUAUAAGAAUCAUGUUGGCUGGAGGUCUACAACUCCAGUUAUGCUUCUUUGAAUUGCCUAUCAGUUUUCUGUUUGUAAUUGUACCUCUACUGUUUGGCAGCAUGAGCAGUUUUAUUUGUGCAAUUAAUUCCAUGAUAUAAAUGAUGUUUUCUGUGAAACUUGUAUAUAUAAAAGAUGUAGAUAAAUUACUAAUAUAUCUUGUUGUAAAGUUUCAUGUCAUUUGGCUAAGUGGUUUGUGAGUUACAGUAGUAUGAAUUUCAUCCUUUAAAAUGCUUGUUCUCUGGAAAUUCCUGGACCAGAUUCUAUGGUUAUGCAUGUUUGACUUGGUUAACUUGUUAAUCAUACUGAGAUGAUUAAAUAUGAAUUGUAGAUAAUUUUAUAUUCUUUCCAGAAUGUCCUAUUGCAUAGUUUUUGGAGUUGUGUAACUCCAGUUGUGAUUUAAUUACUGAGUUGUUGCAUGUAUGUCCAGAAUUGCUGAAAUACAUGAAUGCUUGAUUGCUUUACUUUGUGUGAUCUAAGUAUGAUUCAUGUCUUUAAUGGUGAUUUAAGUAAUACACUUGUAAACUUGUUAAACUUGUGUCAUGAUUGAUAUAUUUGCUCUAUAUAAUUGGUUGUGUGAUGUUAGUUAAAUAACUUUAGAUGCUUGUGUCUUGCAUACUUUUAUGUCAUGCAUGUUGUGUUAUUAUUCUUUAUAUUCAUGCACUUGCAUCUUGCAUCUCAUCUAGGUGCGCUAGAUGAAUCACGUGAAGGUCUUGGUGUGGGAACAAACCCGAAGACGGUGUUGGAUGGACCCACCCCGAAGGUGGAAGGACUAAGCAAGCGUUGUGACCUUAGAUGUCACCAAGACGGAGCAACUAAUUAAACUGACUCCGUGUUGAUCCCAGGCAAGCCCCGGAGCAUUAUAAGUCUCCCACUACUUUUGAAUGCAGUUGAGAAUAUAUGUUAUAUAUGUAUUGUUGCAUUAAGUAUAGGAGUUGGGUGAAACCCUUACUGCAUAUAACACUCCUUGUCCAGCAAAUAUACCUAUAACCCUAUGUAGAUUCAGGAUCGAAUCUAAAUGCUUAGUCAUGCUUAGACCGGUAGAAGCCAGGUGAUGUCCUAUCACCUGAGUGAGAUAGGUGGAUACCUGAAAAGGUUGGCUAUAUAUGCUAUCAUGAAAAUAACCAAGUGAUGAGGAUGAAUAAUUGGAGACCGGGCGGGACGAUGGUAGAGAAGUAACAAGACAUGGAGGUCUUGGGUGCCUAUCUAUCCCCGCCUGUGUCGAUUAAGGACCGAUCGUUGACGGCCCUCUUGUCAUGUUGAACGCAUGCCCCACACUUAGCUGGAAGGAUAAGUCGUUCCGACCGCGAAGCCUGAGCACUAUCCGGGCCGGGAAUCGGCCCGAUGUACGCGCUGUAUUGGUGAUGGUUGAGGAGAACGACGAGGGCGCGGCGCGCAACCUUGGUAUACCUUGGAUACCUCGGUCGCCGGAACGGUCCUCGGGUACGGGCGGUGCCUGUCGAACCCGCGAAUUGGUCCUGGAUAGUGCAAUAUGGUGACCUGUAGCUCACUUUGGCCGGUGAGUGUGGUUUGUGUGGGGAAUAACUCGCCAGCUGGUUAGAAAUCGAUUCGAAUCGCCAUCGCUCCUGGACAGUGAGCACUUGACUUGAGCCACGUCAUCGUAGUAAUGAUUAUAGAACACUUGGAUGGUUAUGGUAUGAUGAUGUUGGAAAUGCCACAUCAAAUAUGGGUACUACUGUUGUAUCUUAAUCAAGUGAUUGCUCUAGUACAGGUGCUAAUAUAGAUGACAGGUAAUGAUUAUCAACUUGAGCUAAAUACCUGAAAGGUUACUUAGUUGCAACUUAAGCUUUUUAUGCAAAAAGUGUUGUCAAGCUAGCCCCACCAAUAAAGCCUUGCAUACUCCUUGGUGUCAUAUUAUUUCUGGUUUAUGACGGGUAAGUCUAGCUGAGUACCUUCUCGUACUCAGGGUUUAUUCCCACUUGUUGCAGGUUGUGAUGUAUCAUGGCUACUGCAAGAGUUGGAUGACUCCUAUCAUAUUAGAGGAGUAAGAUCAUGGGCAUGAUCCUUCUUAGUUACCCCAUCUAUGUUGCUUUUGUUGGAGUUGACCUGGAUACUGGCAUGUAUUUGAAAUAAGGGCAAUAUUAGUUUCAAAUUACUUUGCUUCCGCUACUUUUCAACUCAAGUUGUAAUAACUAUCUUGAACUCUGAUGUAUAUCAAACUACUUGUGAAAUGGAUGUAACAUGUGACUUGUUAUGUUGAAUCACUACGAUCUUGGCUUGUAAGAUGGUUGGUUUGAAAUCCCUCGUGAUUUCAUGGACUACCGGGUUUAUGAGAGUUCGAUUACGUUAAAGCAACUGCUUUGGCGGGAGUUUUUCGUAGUUGAUCUCUUGUAAAUUGGGCGGUUCUGUUACACCGACCCCUUCGUCCGGGCAGCAGGGCCAAACGGGUGAUCAGCCCGAGCAGUUAGGCCGAUAGGGUAGUCUGUAGGAGUAGACUAGCGUCUGCCCGUCAGGGUAUUUAUUGUAAACUUUGUAUAUGUAAAGUUUGUAAUAAAGUUUGCUUUUGUCAUGACUGCUAUUUUGAGCGCUGUACAAUUUUCUGAGUGACGUGUCACCGUAUUCGACUUUGUAGUCGUUGAGAGCUUCCAUUGCAGAAGGUUUGCCAAGAGUUCUGCGUGCAACAAAGUAUAGGCAAAAUAGAAAUCUUUAUUAUUGACAAUUAUAAGAUAUUUACAAGCGAAAGUUAUUAGAACUUAUGGGUAAAAUCGUCGAAGUUUGUCUAUGUGCCAAGAGUUAGGCACGCGUGUCCCGUCUGGGUAUGCCAAUCUAUAGGACGUGGGUCGUGUGACUUCAGCGACCACGAAGGGUCCUUCCCAGGGAGUGGAGAGCUUGUGCAUUCCCUCUUGACUUGUUCUCCACCUAAGUACCAGGUCGCCGACCACGAAGGAACGGUCCUUGACGUUCCUGUUGUAGUAUAGCCGGACCGCCGCGAGAUACUUUGCUGUUCGGAGACAGGAAUUCAAACGCUUUUCCUCCAUGCAGUUGAUUUCGAGUUCCCUGGAGUUGUCGGCUGUCGCCUGGUCGAAGUGUUCAAUCCUAGGAGAUCCGAAGGUUAUGUCAGACGGCAGGACUGCCUCAGAGCCGUAGACCAUGAAGUAAGGAGAUACUCCUGUGUUUCGACUGGUCUGAGUUCGGAGGCCCCAGACCACGGCAGGUAACUCUUUCAUCCAUCGACCGGGUGCUCUGUCGUUCUCGGUGUACAGUCUUUUCUUUAGGGCGUCGAUGAUCAUUCCGUUUGCGCGUUCAACUUGACCAUUGGCCCGUGGAUGUGCAACUGACACAUAUUUUAUGACUAUGCCCCUGUCAUCGCAGAAGUCCCAAAAUAUGGUGCCAGUAAACUGAGUACCCAGGUCGGUGAUUAUGCUGUUCGGGAUACCGAAUCUGUGUAUGAUCUGGUUGAGGAACUCUACAGCCUUCUCGGAGGUUGCUUUGACCAGAGGCAUGUAUUCAAUCCACUUGGAGAACUUGUCGAUUAAUAUGAAAACAAACUUGAAGUUGCCGGGAGCUGGUUUAAAUGGCCCGAUCAUGUCAAGCCCCCAGCAAGCGAAGGGCCAGGACGCCGGGAUGGUUUGAAUCUCGUGAGCGGGUACGUGGGUCCUCUUGGCGAAAAACUGGCAUCCCUCGCAGUGUCGGACCAGCUUUUCUGCGUCGUUGACCGCGGUUGGCCAAUAAAAACCUGCUCGGAAGGCUUUUCCGACCAACGUUCUGGAUGCGGCAUGAUUGCCGCAGGAUCCAGCAUGUAUGUCUUCUAGGAGCUUGAUACCAUCAUCUUGGGAUAUGCAUUUGAGCAGUACCUCAGAGCUUGCAUUUUUUCGCAUGAGUUUGCCGUUGACCAGGAUGUAGUUCUUUGACCGUCGAAUGAGACGCUCGUUCUCUGUUUUGUCCUGAAAGCCUGUCCCGUCUGUUAUAUACUUGAUGAACGGGGUACGCCAGUCAUGACCGCCGGUUGUCGGAGUGGCAUCGUCUAUGAGCAUUGCCUCAGUGGGUUGCUUGUCGACCAGGGGAGAGCCAACGCUGGGCUCGUGGAUGUCCUGGACGAAAAUACCCCGCGGGAUCUGGGCCCGAGAUGAUCCUAACUUUGACAACACAUCUGCUGCCUGGUUCUUAUCCCGGACCACAUGGAUGUACUCUAUGCCGUAGAAGUUGGUUUCCCAUUUGCGGAUUUCUUUGCAGUAGAGAUCCAUCUUUUCGUGGGUUGCGUCCCACUCCUUGUUGAGCUGAUUGAUAACCAAAGCAGAGUCGCCAUAGACAUAGAGGUGUUUGACUCCCAGCUCAAUGGCUAGCCUUAUGCCGUGCAGGCACGCUUCGUAUUCGGCGACAUUGUUUGACGCCGGAAAGAGGAUCCUAAAGACGUAACGCAGUUUGUCCUUGUUAGGCGACACGAACAAUAUCCCAGCGCCGGCACCGUUGAUGUUCAAGGACCCGUCAAAGAACAUUGACCAGUGGUCGGAGACAUCGGGAACGGGAGGCUCGUUGAGAUCCGUCCACUCAGCAAUGAAAUCGACCAAGGCCUGAGACUUAACUGUGGUGCGGCUCUGGAACUCCAGGGAAAAUGGGCAUAACUCCAUUGCCCAUUUUACAAUUCUGCCGUUGGCAUCUUUAUUGCACAGAAUGUCUCCGAGAGGGAAACUGGUGGUCACCAAGACUCGAUGGCCGUCGAAGUAAUGUUUCAGCUUUCUUGAUGUUAUUAGGAUAGCGUAUAUGAGCUUCUGUAUCUGUGGGUACCUGGCCUUGGACUCGUUUAAGACCUCACUUAUGAAGUAAAUGGGUCUCUGGACUUUAUAGGCAUGACCUGGUUCAUCUCGCUCGACCACUAUUGCUGUGGAAACAACCCGGUCGGUUGCAGCAAUGUAAAGUAAUAGGUCUUCAUCGGGCUGGGGCGCUGUAAGGACAGGUGGUGAAGUGAGAAAAGUCUUGAGCUGAGUGAAUGCGGCGUCUGCUUCCUCUGUCCAAGAAAAUUUUUCCGACGCUUUCAAGAUUUUGAAGAAAGGGAGGCCUUUUUCUCCUAGUCUUGAGAUGAAGCGACUGAGGGCGGCCAUACAUCCAGUAAGCUUCUGAAUAUCCUUGACAUUCUUAGGUGGCCGCAUGUCGAGUACUGCUUUUACUUUUGAAGGGUUUGGUCGUAUGCCGUCACGGCUGACAACGUUGCCGAGCAGUAGACCAGAAGGAACACCAAAAAUGCAUUUUUUGGGGUUAAGCUUCCACUUGUACCUAUUAAGCGCCUUAAAAGUUCGGUCUAAGUUGUCGAUUAGGGUGCUCGCGUCCCUUGUUUUUACGACCACGUCGUCUACAUAGGCCUCGACGAGGUCAUCACGAAUCUCGUCGUGGAGGCAUUGCUGGAUAGCCCGUUGAUAAGUGGCUCCGGCAUUUUUGAGUCCGAAGGACAUGGUCGUGUAGCAGUAUGCGCCAAAGGGAGUGAUGAAGGAUGUUUUUAUCUGAUCGUCUUCCUUUAGCGAGAUCUGGUGAUAACCAGAAUAGCAAUCUAGAAAAGAGAGGAGUUCGCAUCCGGCCGUUGAGUCGACCACCUCGUCGAUGCGAGGGGGACCAAAAGGGUCUUUAGGACAAUGUUUAUUGAGAUCAGUGUAAUCAACGCACAUUCUCCAUUCAUUAUUCUUUUUGCGUACAAGAACCGGAUUGGCGAGCCAAUCGGGAUGAUACACUUCUUUUAUGAAUCCGGCUGCUAGAAGCCGUGUUAUUUCUAUCCUAAUAGCCUCCUUUUUGUCACGAGCGAACCGUCGCAGCUUUUGCUUGAUUGGUCUUGCGGUUUUCGAGACAUUUAAGGAGUGCUCGAUCAGGUUUCGUGGGACACCGGGCAUGUCUGCGGGUUUCCAUGCGAAAACGCUCACGUUAUCCCUUAGAAACCUGACAAGCGCGUCUUCCUAUUUUGGAUCCAGAUUGGCCCCGAUGAGGGCCGUCUUCUCGGGGCUGCCGUCGACCAGCUGUACUUCCCUGUACUCCUUGGAUUUUGAAUUCUUCCUGGCUGUCUCCUGCUCGGGUAGUCGAAGCUGGUCGGGGGGCAGCUGCGCGGCUUGGGUCGUUGUUUCUGCCAUGCGGAUUGAGAGGUCUAUUGCUUCGGUGAUCUUGAAGCUCUCUUCUUCGCAGGUAUACGCGGUGUAGACGUUGCCUCUGACGGUUAGGACACCCUUCUCCGUAGGCAUCUUAAGGACCAGGUAUGAGUAGUGCGGGACUGCCAUGAAUUUUGUCAGUGAUGGUCGGCCCAGUAUAGCGUGGUAGGUCCCGUCGAAGUCCGCGACCACGAAGUUGAUGAACUCUGUCCGAAAGUGGUCGGGUGUGCCAAAUUGGACAGGCAAUGUUAUCUGUCCGAGGGGCACUGAGCUCUGACCUGGCAAAACCCCCCAGAAUUGGGCAUCGUAGGGUUUUAGUUGUGCAGGUGAUAUCUUGAGAGCAGGCAGGCUGUUGCGGAAGAGAAUGUCGAUGGAGCUUCCCCCGUCCACGAGCACGCGCUCGAAUCUGAUGCUGUUGAUGCAAGGGUCGAGGAUCAGAGGGAAACGACCUGGCUCUGGGAUAGCGGCCCACUGGUCCUUCCUGCUGAAUGAGAUCUCCCUGUGCGACCACGGGGGAAAUUUUGGGUCUGUGAUCAGCCCGUCCGUGCUGUCUAUGUUGAGGCAGGCUCUCUUUAGUAGCUUUCUUUCUCGCUUAGAUUCGAUGGAGACCUUGCCCCCGAAGAUGGAGUGGACCACGUCAGUGGGGCUGACGUAUUGGUGUCGGGGGUCCCUAUCUUGGUCCUCAUCCUCGUCUUCAUGGUCGUGCCCGUCUCGCUUGCCGUUUUUCUUAGCGGGGUCGUCUUGGGCGGCCCGCCGUGUAUAGAUGCUUUUGAGGACGCGGCACUCUUCCAUGGUAUGAUUAGACUUUGGAUGUAGUUGGCAUGGUCCCUUCAACGUUUUGUUGUAGUCUUCUUCGUAGUCCCGCCGGCCGUUAGGACGCUUGACCGUAUUUACUUCGUGGUCGUAGUCACGGGGGCGCUUUCCUCUGAAAUCGUCACGGUUGUCGCGCCGCCGAUCCCAACCUUCUCUGUGAUCGCGGUUGUCGGGGCGGCGGUUGUUCCUGUUGUCGUAUCGACCGCGACCUUCAUCUCGCCGGGGAGGCUGGUCGGGACCUCUCGCAUCGUCUCGGAUUAGUUUUUCUGCGUCGUCGGCGUCGGCAUAAUUUUUAGCUGUGGCGAGGAGCUCCGCCACCGUUGUUGGCCGUUUACGCAACAGCUUGUUCCUUAGCGCUUCAUGGAAACGCAGGCCCUUGAUGAAGGCAGAGAUGGCCUCGUCGUGGGAAAUCUUCGGGAUCUUAAGGCGCAUAUCCGAGAAUCGCCGGAUGUAAUCGCGCAGAGGUUCGUUCUUCCUGUCCCUUAUUCUUUCGAGGUCAUACUUAUUUCCAGGCUGCUCGCAUGUGGCGAUGAAGUUGUCGAUGAAGGCCUGGCGUAGCUCUUUCCAAGAGUUGAAGGAGUCCUCGGGCAAGCCAAGAAGCCACUGAUGACCAGCCUGGUCGAGGACUACGGGGAAGUAGUUGGCCAUGACGUGCUCAUCUCCCGCUGCUGAUCGGACGGCGAUUUCAUAGAGAGUGAUCCAGUUCUCUGGAUUUUCCUUGCCAUCGUAUUUUUUAAGUUUUUCGAGCUUGAAAUUGCGGGGCCACACGACCUGGCGGAGGUGUGAGGAGAACUGUCUUAGGCCCGGGGGGCCAUGGGUUGCAUCGUACUCGAUACGGCGCAGGUUUUCGUUGACUGCUCUCUCUGUGGCGCGCCUGUUGAUGCGGUCCCGGGCAUCUUUGGGAGGGAUGUUGUGCCGGAGAUCCCUGUGCUGGUUUACUUCUCGACCGCGUCUGCGGUUCUGCUCGUGAUGACCGUCAGUGUCCCGACCACCAUCAUCACGCCGUGAAUCUUUUCGACGUUUGUCGGGAGAGCGACUGUGGUGACGCCUGCUGGGAGGCGGUGAGGUCCGGCUAUGAUUAGUCUGGUCGGAGGUGGGUUCCGUGUAAGAGACGUCCUGGACUCUCUUGAGCAGAGUGGCUGUCUGUCCCAUUGCGGCAAUCAGGUGUGCUUGGAUGCUGGUCCGAACUCCCUGGCACUCAGGGGUAUCAGGGAGCCGAUCUAAAUUAGCCAUGGCGACAGCCACGUUGGCGCUUGGUGUCUUGUAGACUGGCUGAUCCCCGACCAUAUCAAAAGCGUCAUUAAGAUUAUGCGGCGGAAUUUGUUGUUGCUCGUCUGCGCGUCGUCGGGCGCGAUCGGCGUUGCGCUGUUCGCGGAGUUGCCUCUGCUCAUCAGUUUCUCCAUCAACGACCGGCUCGUCGGCGCUGAUGUUGAAAACAAUAUCCCCUCGCCGGGGGGGAAAUACCGGGAAACGAGGGAAACCCGGAGGGUGUGAAGGCAAAUCCAGGUCGUAGUCCUCUUCUUCGGUGUUUAUAACUUCGGUGGGGACGGAACCGGUGCUUGAGUUGGUACUGGAAGCCUGACCGUUCCGUAGUUCUUGGACUGUCACCAUGUUGACGUAGUGACGGCCGUUGCUUUUUGGCGACCAACCCGCUUUGCUGAAAGCGGAUUGGAUGUGCCGCGAGUAGAGAGAGGCCGAGUUGUUCAAGCCGCAAGGAUAGUCUCCCUUCUUGAGCUUGACGGAUCGUCCGAAGGGAGUUGAGGUUACCGUCAGAGACGUUCCUAGCCGUUCGUGUGUAACGACACGAGUUGGCCGACGGGAUUUGUAAAAAUCCGUUGGGGCAGCUUGAUCAGGCUGGCGCAGGACUCCGUCCACUAGCUGGGAGGCUUCAAGUAGCUUGGAAUCGGCGCGAUCGAGCGCUUGGAGAAGGUCCGAGCAGUCGAUCUUCUUUCCCUUGUAGAGCGGGAGCAGUGGUCGGGCGCUUGGUUCCGCCACACGGGUGGUCGGAGUCGACGUGUUCUCAGAUUGGAUCUGAAUUUCUUUCGGAACCGUGGUCGUGAGGCCGCCGCUGCGCGUCGUCCAUGUGAUCUGGCCGACGGUGAACGUGAGGCCUUCAGGCACGGCCGCGGAAGCUGGGAUCGUGACCAUCUUGUUCGCCGGAGAAGUUGCACGCACACCCCCUACCUGGCGCGCCACUGUCGACGAAAGCUAGUCGGCAGUCUACCUUGGGGUAUACCCACGGUAGUAGUUUAUCGGUAGACGGUGCGCAAACUACGAACUCGAUGGUGACGCAAGACACGGACAAGCUUUUUAUCCAGGUUCGGCCGCCGAGUUGGCGUAAUACCUAAAUCCUGCGUCUGGUUGUAUUGGAUUGUGUUGAGAGAUAAUCUGUCCUAGGGGGGGUCCCUUGCCCCUCCUUAUAUAGUCUGGAGGGCAGGGUUACAGAUCUGGAAACUAAUCCUAGUCGGUUACAAUUGCCAUGGAUAAUUCGAUAUCAAUUCCUAUUCUAACCGACUAGAAUCUUGCUUGAUCUCCACAUCUUGUUUCCUUGCGCAAAACUCCAAGCUGUCGGAUCAAGCCUUGAACUCGUCUCGUAAUGGGCCAAGCCUCCUGGCCCAAGUCUAGCCGUAAGGGUAUAGGGGUUUAUACCCCCACAAAAGGCUUAGUCUAAAUCCCUCUAGUUAGUAUGGCAAUCACCUGGAGGCAGGUGUGCAACGGGACACUAAGUGAUGUAUGUGAAAUUGUGGAAAUAUAUGAAAAGAGCUUUGUGAAUUAUUGUGGUAUCAUGAGAUGUGGCCUUAGUGUUCCCGUGGUGAGCGCCAUUACUUAGCUAUGGAGGGUAAUGACUUUGAUGGAUCUGUGCUUGCACGACGGUGUAAGUUGUGGUAUCCUACUUGUGGGAAAAGUGUACAACCUCUGCAGAGUGUAAAUCUAUCUGGAUAGCCGUGUCCGCGGUCUCGGACGGGUUAUGGUUUGGUUUCAACAACUAGAUUGGUUGGGAUGAGUGAAAACAUGAGAGUGAGUGUGAUUUUGGAAAUAAAUGGUUGACUGCCAUUGUGUUGUGGGAACAAGGGUUCAACAACACUUAAAAUUGUGAUCAAACCCCCAUUUUUUUAGAAAUACUAUCAUAUGUGGAAAAAAAGGUCUUUUACAACAGUAUUUGUGAAAUGAAACCUUGCAUGUGUAAAAAGAUAGCUUUAUGCAAAUAAAACUAAGCCUCAUCCUUGAUUUAUCCAUAUGCAUAUAUACUGUAGGGGGUAAGGUUGGAUUUGCUGAGUACUUUGUACUCACCCUUGCUUUAUUAAACAGAAGAAGAUCCAGACUUUGAUCCCGAAGUGGCGUUCGAGUAAGGUCGUGUCUGCACCCAACUAAGCCUGUGGCAUUGGGACUCGUCAGAUGUUCGAUUGUGAUAUCGUUUGUUUCUAGGUCCUUUGGACCUAUGUUGUAUUUUGGUGUCUUAUUAUUAUAGCGUGUCUUCCUUGUCCACGCUUACCGAGACUACUGCGCUGAAACUUAUCUGAUGUAAUAAAUGUGUUACUAGUCUCCUGGGACUAGUAUUGUAUCACAUUUGAGUUCUGGUUUACCAGGGGCGCUUCACACAAGAAUUAUAAUAUCCACAUUAGUGAGAUACAUCAUCUACUAUAGAUACAAUCUCUAAGAUUAUGCUAAUAAAUCUAUACAUAUAUUGUAUUUUUGCAUUAUCAACAUUAUAUAUAUAGGUUCUUCCUUCAUAUAUAUGGCAACACGUGGAAUCCUCCUAGUAUUUACUAUACAAAUACAUAACGUUCAAUCAAUGAUAUGUUAUAUUUUAUUAAACAUAUUUGGACAUAAACAUGGAUACUAUUUCUCUAUAAAUUCAAUCGAAAAUUAAAUUGGUUGACACCUUGAAAAAUGAUAUGUGCAUUCUUUAGAUGAUGACUAAAAAGUCAUGAUAGAAAGUACUGUUUACUAAUUUAUUGUGAGAGAAAAAUAUCAUUGAAUGACUAGUAGAUUUACUUGAUAAACUCAAUCAAACAGGCGGGAAGGGAGAAAGAGACAGGAGCAUCGCUUGCGGUGGUGAUCUUAUCAAGCAAUUUUACACAAUGAGGACACGAGAGCAUACUGUACGGACAACUUCAACAGUGAUAUUUCAGGCCCAGUUCAAUCAGUGCGCGGGCCCAGGGUUUCAUAGUGUAUGAUGUGACUAACCUUCCUACCUCUCUCUCUCCUAGCUGCCCCCAACCUCUCUCUGUCGCCGGUCCCCUAUCCUCCCCGUGCUCGCCGGUGGCAGGGCAGGUGGGUCGACCCUCUCCCUUCCUCCCUUGUUCCUCUCCUCCUCCUCCUCCUCCUCCUCCUUGUAAGAUUCAUGUAUAUUUUUUAGGAGUCCCGUGAUAGGUUCUCCUCAGGUGGUCACCUUUAUCGUCGCCGUCGUCGUUGCUGUUGUUGUAGCUCCUGUCGCCGUCGACGAGGCUCCAACCAAGGUACGUCUAAAUAAAAUAAAUCCGCUCCUCCGCAGCACGGCUCUCCCCUUCUCCACUUCCACCUCGCCUACCUCGCGUCGCCUCCCAGUUCCGUGCUCAUCCAACCCGCAUCCACCACAGAUCGCCUUCGCCUCCACCUCUACUUUGUAGCCAUCGAUCCUGCGGAUCCAGACAGCUCCUUAUCCGACGUUGGCACGAUGACUUCGUCUUCACCUGGGACCCAACUUGGAGCUUCAUCCUCUACCUCCGGCGCAACAACAAACUUAUCCUUCGGUCGCUCGGCGCACGCUUCCUCACCGGCUCCGUCGCCCCACCUUCAACUGACGCUUGGCGCGGUCUUCCAUCUAGGUGUAUGCGCCUUAGCGCCUCUACGGCCCCUCGUUGGCGAAUGCAUCGUCGUCAACAUCUCCGACAUAGUUGCUGUUCUUAUCUGGUCGUUGGACCUCGUUGUAAUUCAGUCUUUCUUGGAGGACCUUUGUGUAAUAUGGUUGCUUAAUAUAUAAUAUAUGCUAUUGUCAAAAAAUAGUGAUAUUUCAACUAGCUCAUAAAGAUCUACCUCAACAUUUUUGCUUAUUACGUGAAAGGGAGAAGAGCUCUCUUGUUUCUACUGGGCCUGAACAAACUAUGAGGCUAUUAGAGAAGGUCCAAUGUGUGUGCUAAGAGCAUCUCUAGCAGUGCUAUCUAAAUCAAACUACAUAAAUGUCUAUUUGGGUAGCCACCCAUUUUAAUACUACCUAGAUUUUGCUCUCAACUCCAGCAGUACUACCUAAAACUAGCUACCCAUUUUUGUCUUAGCAGAGAAUAACUUCUAGGUCUCACAAUCAAAGCAUGAAUGGGAGAGAAGAUUUGGGUAGUGUUCUUGACCCAACAUAAAUGGGUAGUGGAUAGGAGGAUUUAGGUAGCCAACAAAUUUGUUGGGUAGAAUAGGUAGUCUGCUGAAGUGGAUUUUUAGUCCUCUACUACUCAGAUUGGAGAUAAGUAGUCUAAAUAGCCUGCUGGAGAUGCUCUAAGGUGAUGCUAGAAGAAGAGGUGCAAUACAUUGCAUUAGAGAGGUGGCGUUAGCCUGGCAACCUUUGGCACCUGUUGCCUUUUGUAGCACCCGCCGCAGGAGAGACGAGAGAGAAAAGAAUAUUGGGAAGAGAUGUGGGGGUUGGAAAAGAGUAGUUUAUUCCUUGCGGGUCCGUUUAACUAGUGCUUGGAGAUUUUACAGGUUGGAGCAAAAUCGAACAAGGAAACAUCACUGGGCAGAGCAUAACACCGUGAGGGUGCAAAACGUUAAAGUUGCCCUUGUUGGGGCGUAGGAUGACUAGAUGAGGUGUGGGUGAGGGGAAAAAAGAUGUGGGAUGUAUAGUGAGUUGGAUUAUUAUUGGAUAGCCUUUUCUUAUGCACUACAAUCUUUCUAACAUGAGUUAGUCUCAUAUCUAUGGUAUUCUUUAUUUAUAUAUUUUCUAUUUUGUCAAGGGAGAGAUAGAUGAUUUAUGUUCUUCAUACAUUAGGACAGGCAAAUAGUUUUUUUUCAUGCUAGUUCAAAUUAAAGGAUUUUCGCAUAUCUCUUCUUUAUAUACUAUAUAUCUAGUGCUAUUUUAGAGCUAGCUAGGUCUUGUCGCGGAAAUUUUUGGCUUUGCCUAUUAUAGCACUUUCAUUUGUAUUUGACAAUUAUUGUCUAAUUAAUCACGGACUAACUAGGCUUUAAAGAUUUGCCUCACAAAUUAUAGGCAAAUUGUGCAAUUAGUUUUUGUUUUUGUCUAUAUUUAAUGUUCCAUACAUACAUCUAAAGAUUUGAUGUGACGAAAAAUCUUAAAAAAUUGAAAACUAAACCAGGCCUAAAAAAAGAUGGUAGGGGAUAAAAACGUGAAUUCCUUCUCUUUUUGUUCAGUUUAUCCACAUCAGUUGUCUACGUUGUGAGCACCACGCUGAGCGGCUGAGUUUAUCAAUUAAAUCUGUCAAACAUUCAAUAGUGUUUUUCUCUUAUAACAAAUCAACCAAACAGUACUUUCUAUCAUGCCUUAUGAACCAAACGAAUAAGGCUCAAGGAUGGGUUGGGAUUUGGAGCAUCCAAACCAGCUAUGAAAGCGACAUAGAUCUGGACAAUUGCCACCUUGUGAUCAAACAACUGUAGCAGUAUAAUGCGCUCCAUUGCUUCAAGUACAGAUGGAUGAUGGAUCGAGGCCUUGUUUACUUCCAUUUUUUUUUGCAAAAUGUGAAUAGUAGCAUUUUUGUUUGUAUUUGACAAAUAUUAUCUAAUUAUAGACUAACUAGGCUCAAAAGAUUCGUCUCGUCAAUUCCGACCAAACUGUGUAAUUAGUUUUUAUUUUCAUCUAUAUUUAAUACUCUAUGCAUACGUCUAAAGAUUCGAUGUGACGGAAAAUCUGAAAAGUUUUACAAAAUUUUUGAGAACUAAACAACGCCCGAAUGAAAAACGUCUCGGAUAUUCAUAUAGCGGACUUCACCAAGGCCUUGUUUAUUUCACCCUGAAAUUCAAAAAGUUUUCAAAAUUCCCUGCCACAUCGAUUCUUACGGCACAUGUAUGAAGCAUUAAAUAUAGACGAAAACAAAAACUAAUCACACAAUUUGACUGUAAAUCACGAGACGAAUCUUUUAACCCUAGUUAGUCUAUGAUUAAAUAAUAUUCACCACAAAUAAACAAAAGUGCUAUAGUUCUGAAAAAUUUUCAGUUUUCGGAACUAAACAAGGCCCAAGUGCUACCACCCUAUCAAAAAAAAGUAACAGAAAGGUAUGGGCAUAUAUAUAAUUCUUGACGGCACGGUGUAUGGUAUGGCAACGUUUCAACAGAAAAAGGCCUCACGUCAUCCAAGAGAUUGCGCGAAAAAUAUGUUUCGUGUCUUCUGGAGAUGCUACAAGACAAGCUGCGGCAGAUUUCUUAAAGGGUGCUUUGGUGCCACCUAUCGUCGAGGUCUGGUUGCCGAUUUCAACUAAUAGGUCUCGUUUAGUUUCCAAAAAAUUUUGUAAAAUUUUUCAAAUUUACUCUCACAUCAAAUCUUUAGACACAUACAUGGAGUAUUAAAUAUAGACAAAAAUAAAAACUAAUUACACAGUUUAGUUGAAAUUGACGAGACGAAUCUUUUGAGUCUAGUUAGUCCAUGAUUGGAUAAUAUUUGUCAAAUACAAACGAAAGUACUACAAUAUCGAGUUCCUAAAAAAUUUUGGAAGUAAACAAGGCCAUAAUACCAAACACUGCUUUACAACCAUCUCUGCUCCCAUAGGCCAUCUGGUAUCAACUACACCUACUAACCUGUACGCUCCUACGUAUAGGCCAUUUUCUAUAUAUUUUUGGUACAUUAGAGUAAGACUUACUUUCUCAUAAAUCCUAAGAGCAACUCCAAUAAAAUCUCUACUUGAACCCUCUAAUGUAUAAGUCGUAAGAGUAACUCGCCCUCAAAUAUAAAAGUAUCUCUUCUUUAUAUACUAUAUAUCUAGCGCAAUUCAGCAAAGUCUCUACUUUAAACUCUUAAAACUAAAUUUGAGGACUUGAGACAAAAACAUAGGUCCAAUAUAGAGCUCUCAAAUUAGAGCGCCCCCACCCUCCCCAAAUCAAAUCUCCCCUCCGGGCAUCGUUUAUACAGGGCUCUACUCCAAGCUUGCAAAUGACCGUCCCGCGCGUGUGUUUCACUCCCACUCUCCUCCCUCACCAGUGUGCUGUCUGCAAGCCUAUAUCACUACUACAAAUAUUUUUAACCAAGGCAGGCGUAAAGGGUUUACGAAGGCGGUUUUUACAACCGUCUCAGAUCAAAGGUCACAGUUAAUAUGACCUUUUCCGAGGCGGUUUGCUGCCCGCAUCGGUAAAUAAAAAAAUAUCUAUGGACAAGCCCGGCGAGCCCAUCUACAGGCCCGCUGAGCCCAUCCACACGUCGUCACCGACCAUCGUCGUUGUUGGAUACGCCACCGGAGACCGCGCCCACCCUAGAUCCAUCGCCAGGGGAUGAGCCCGCCCUAGAUCCACUGCCGAGAAGCGCUCCGGAUCUGAGCACCUCCUCGUCUGCGUGCCUCGCUGCCGGAUCCGGCUCAUCCGCCACCAGAUCCAACUGGCGGCUGCGGGGCCGUGCACCACCACAUGAAGAAGAGGGGUGUGCCGUUGCAUGAGAGAGGUGGAGGUGCAGUGCGGGUGAGAUGGAGGGUCUUGGAGACUAGGAGGGAGAAGGGAGGACGCGUGAGGGAGGGGAGAAGGGAGCAGGCGCCAUGAGGGGAGAUGCGAGGGAGAGGAGAAGGGAGGAGGCACCGGGCUAGGAGAAGAGAGGAGGCGUUGGGCUAGGAGAAGGAGGAAGAACCUAAGGUUUCUGUUUAUAUAGCCUAAUUUCUUACCGGGCCGAGUGGGCUCGGUCAUAUUAACCGAAACGGGCUUUAUAAGAGGCCCGCCUCCGAAAAUGGGGGUAUUUUUUUUGAGGCGGGGGCCCGCCUCGGUUAAUAGAUUUUAGCUUUUAACAGCCUCUGUUAAUCUAGGCAUUAACCGAAGCGGUUAAAAAACCUGCCCGCCUCCGCGACCCAUUAGCAAACGUUGCACAAAAGUUUUUCUGUAGUAGUGUAUGCAUCUUCUGCGUGUGUUUCUUCCCUCACCUGCAUGCGGAGCCCGCCCAUGUUUGCAAGCGCCGCCCCGCAUUCCUGCCCACCUUCUUGUGCCCAAAUCGUUAGCAGCUCAAACUGGCACCACACUGCGCUGCCAAGUGCUUUCCGUUCUGGCUGGCGGGAGCUCACUGACACAUCGGUAGAGGAAGCCUUUCACCACCUAUUCUGGCUCCUCCUCCUCCUCCGACUCCUCGCAGCACCCCUCCCUCGCGACAAUGGGAAAAAGCCUCGCGACACCCUUCCUUGGGGCAAUGGGGGAAGAAGAUCUGGCAAUGCUACUCCCGACCACUCCUGGCGUGUCCCUCCCUUGUGGUACCCUAUUUUUUUUGCCGAGACAUGGGUGAUUCCUUAGUGGUGAAGAAGAUAGAUAAGAGAGAGGAUGACGAGUGGGUCCUAAAUCUUAUUUCCUCUAAAUAAGUUUGAUGGUCUUAGGGCUCAUGCUUGAGGUGCAGCCUAGCUAGAAACACAUAGGACUCUCAAAAUUAGAGGGAUCAAAGCCCUCAGAUGAAAAGUAGAGGCCUUGUUUUGAAGGCUACCGCCAAAGUCGAUCUAACUAUCAUUUUUUAACAUAUACUAGUAUCACAGGGAUGGAUUUGGGUCAGAUCCACAUAGAAUCGAAUAUGGAAAGCACUAUUUACUACAUUUUAAUUCAAAUUCAAACUCAAUAUAGACACGGAUAUUAUAAUUCACAUUCGGAUUUGUAAGGCCUUGUUUAGUUCCCAAAAAAUUUUGUAAAAUUUUUCAUAUACUCCGUCACAUCGAAUCUUUAGACGCAUGCAUGGAGUAUUAAAUAUAGACGAAAAUAAAAACUAAUUACAUAGUUUAGUCAGAAUUGACAAGACAAAUCUUUUGAGACUAGUUAGUCUAUAAUUAGACAAUAUUUGUCAAAUACAAACGAAAGUGCUACAGUGUCGAUUUUCCAAAAUUUUUUGGAACUAAACAAGGCCUAAAUGGGCUCUACUUGAUUUUAAAACUAUAGAUAAAUAUUUAAUAAAAUUAAAUUUAUAAUAAUGCAUUUUGGAAAUCGUAUUAAUGCUAAUUCGACUUAAACCAGUUUGACUUAAAAAUGGCUAGAGUUAUAUUUAUUUUAGGACAAAGGCACAGUGCUAGUAUGUAGUAUAUGACGGGAAGCAGUAAGGCAAAUAAAACAGUGGAUCUUCUCUCUCUUUGAAAUGAAUACAAUGGACCUAUUAUAGGCUCAAUGUGCAACAUGUGUGGGACACCUAGAUAUAUAUAUAUAUAUAUAUAUAUAUAUAUAUAUAUAUAUACAUGCAUGCAUGGUUUAUUCUUGUCCACGAAUAUACUAGUCAACUCGUGGAAAAUAUAUAAUAAGACCUUAUUUGGAUGUAUUCGUAUUUAUAUCAAUCCACAUAUGUUUGGAUGGAUUGAAUGAGAUGAAUGCGAUAACAGCUGAAUAAGGCCUAAAUACUAUGGAGAAACAUGCGUGGCCAUUAGCCAGCAGAGCUGUGGAGAACUUGUGGAACAAAUGCUGUGGAGACUGGAGUCUGGAGAGCUCCCAUCGUCCAGCUAGCGUAUAGUGAUCGUCGCAUGCAUUGCAUAUGGCCGCCUUGUUGCAUCGGUACACAGGUACAAGCUGCUUUCACUAGGUUUCCUGGCCACAUCGAUAUCUCCGGUGGUCUCCGCUACCGCAGCGACAGCGUCGUCUCCCCGCUCGCCCCCAGGCCUCUCUCUCACCCGACUGCCACCACCAGCUGCAGUGCAGGCGAUCGAGGUCAGCAUUUGAGGAUUGGAGCUGAACCUGAACGGCGGCUGAGUGUGAAAUUCAUGUUUCGUUAUAGGAGUAGGAGCUAACUACUGACCCUGAAGGCUUUGCAUUGCAGAGAAGUUUUUUUCUUUUUUUUUUAAAAAAAAUGGAGCCAGCUUUCACAGUAGACACAUGUAUACUCUUCCUGGGGAUUAUUGACACUUAGCACUUUGGCAGGUGGCAUUACAGUAGACACAUGUAUACUCUUCCUUGCAAGUUGCAGCAAGGAGGGACGCUGGUGGAGGAUGCAAUGCACAUGCAGGGCAAGGCACUGUGAUGGAUCGAUGAACUGAACUGAUGGCACAAAAUCUCCUUUCACUGUGUCACAUAUUAACGCCUUGAGAUAAUUGUGAUCCAUUCUUUCAGUCCAUGCAUGUUGUCACAUGCAGCAUGGGUUUUGGGUUAUAUCAUUCAACUUGCACUAACGAAGACUUCAUUCUAGAAGGGGACUGAUAGCUACCACAACCACAAUGUAUACGAGUAUAUAUAUACUAGUAGAUAUUUGUGAAUAGACACAUUGAUAUGCCAUCAAAACUGAAAGCAGCAGAUCGAUCUCGUUUUGCUAACCACUUGGAAACUCAUCACCACAUCAUCCCUGCAGAUUUGCUCAGCCCUGGUAUAUGCUAGCUCCACAAGAAACUCUUGCCUUUUCCCUAAAAAAAAAGAAACUCUUGCCUGAUCAUCUGGCCAGACCACGGUUCUCCUGCUGCUUGCUGGUGUGUCCGUGUGCGGCGGGCAGGGCAGCAGCCUUGCCACCGGCUGCGUGAAGGCAGCAAGGUUGCAAAUUAUUGACAAGUCAAAGCUAGACCACCAACUGCAGGAGCAGGACAGGACGCCAUUGGAGCUGAACCGUACCUGCUGAUUUUUUUUUGUUAGGGCACUCCCAAUGCAAGACUCUAUCACAGAGUCCAAGACAAUUAAUUACAUAUUAUUUAUGGUGUUUUGCUGAUGUUGCAGUAUAUUUAUUGAAGAAAGAGGUAGAAAAAAUAAGACUCCAAGUCUUAUUUAGAGCAAGUAUAAUAAGCCUGAGUUGCAGCAUCUAACACGUCAUCAAAAUCCUAAGUGGAGCAGUGAGAAGAUAAGAGAGAGAAAGGAGCGGGCGGUUCGUGAAACGCUCGGCUGAAUCACAUGUUCCGAGGUAGAAGGGAGUCUGGUGCCAGCAACAACUCGGCGCUUGCUUGACCCACGUUCCAACUUUCUGAUCCAAUGCGCCAAUACUGGCCUCCCAGCUCCAAUGAUUGAAGGGCCACACGGGAUACUAGACCGCACUUGAUCAUAUACUGUACAGGCACACAUUAAAUGCUUACUCUCUGUUGAACCAACCUAAUAGCCGGCUAAUAGUUAGCAUAUUGUAUCAGUUGGCUGCAGUAUUAGCUUUAUGUGACGUGGCAAUGUCAUACAGUCGACUGCCGGCUAAAUUAUUAACCAUGCUCUUAGACUCCACAUUGUUCGAUGUAAUAAAUAACUUUAGACUCCAUGAUAGAGUCUGCAUUAAUGCAAGACUCUAUCACAGAGUCCAAGACACUUAAUUACAUAUUAUUUAUGGUAUUUUACUGAUGUGGCAGCAUAUUUAUUUAAAAAGAUGUAGAAAAAAUAAGACUCUAAGUCCACAUUGUUCGAGGUAAUAAAUAACUUUAGACUCUAUGAUAGAGUCUGCAUUGUGAGUGCGUGGAUCGAAGCAAACUGUCGCAAAAGGCUUUUAAUUGCAGAGAAACUUCUGAUUCGACGGCUUUUAAUUGUGCAGAAACCUCUGACUCGACCUACAGCUAGCUACCUGUACGUCAUUUCCUGGGAAUUAUUGGCAGUUGGCACUCAAAGUCAAACAGUAAUACAUUUGGCAGUUGGCGUAUUGAUAGUUACGACAAGUAUAUGUGAAUAAUGUGUGACAUAUUAAUACAAUAUAAAAGUUGAAAGCAGAUCUCGUUUAAUCACUUGGAGACUCAUCCCUGGCACAAGAAACACUUUACUAAGCAAGUAAGCAACAUCCACCGCAAAAUAUGGUUAUCAUCUUAGUUAUGUGCUACUUUCUCAGUACCAUUUUCAAAAAAAGAAAAAAAAAACCUGAACGAGAGGUGUCCUUAUUGUUUAUCAUCAAACAGGCAAAUAGAAAUGGAUGACAGAGCUCAGUGAAGGCCGUUUCUUACUCUCAGUGCUCUUCUGAUCAAGUUAAAUUUAGAUAAAUUCUUUUAUGCAAUAGUAGUGCAUGGAUUUGUUUAGGGCAAUGUUUGCAGCACUGUGUUCAAGUAUAUGUGCCAGAGUUCAAUAUAGCCAUGCACCUGUUUGUCACCAUGUUAUGCUCACAUGAACCCAUUUCUCUUCCUUACACGAUGCUGGCGGUAUACACCAUGAGCCCAAAUGGGGAAUAUGUUUCAGUAGUUAGGGUAAUUGAAGAUAACAGCGCAGUUGUAACUUCCAACAUGUUCCUAUAUCAUCAAAAUGUGAGCGUAGUUAGAAAACGACCUCAAGUAAUCAAAGACCAACACCACAUGCAUAUUAUAUAUAACACUGAAGGCUGUUGGUUCCACCCCUAGAAUGUCUAUGCAUUGGCUAAAGAGCUUACUAAAGAGGUUUCCAGCAUCACAAAUAAAAAAUCUAACGAAACAAGUGCUAUAACCAAGACAAACGGGUGGAUAGAAGUAGGUAAAAAUUAGUUGGGAAGGCCCAAAGAAGAGGGUUUAGUAGUGUUGUGAUCUUCUCUCCUGGAAUAGUCCAACCCCUAUGUCCCAGACCGAACACGGGAACAAAUUGGGAUAUCCCACUUUGUUGAUGUCUUGGCCCCCAACUAAACACAACUUAUGUAAUGAACUUGGCUGUAGAGAGAUGUUAUUUUUAGGGAGAGAGAGAUGUCUAAGGAAUGUGUCUAAACAAGAGUAGAUAAAGGGAUUUAUUUCUACUGUAAUAUGGGACAUUCAACCUGAGGAAUGUUCCUAGCUACACAUAGCUUAACAAGAUCGCCAGCACUCCAACAAGAAGAUGAUGAGAACUGGCAUUUGAUCUGAUUGUCGUUUAGUGUUGCCACGUGCUCUGAAUUUGAUAUAUACUCACCAACAUGCUUGGGAAAAGAAUACUGCUCGUUUAUUAGUUUCUCCACCCAAAUAUGAUAUACUCCUUCUAUUCCAAAUUACAAGUCAUUCCAACUUUCUUAGAGGGCCAAAAUAUCUCAAGUUUGAUCAAAUUUUAUAUAAUAAAAUAAUAACACUUACAAUAACUAAGUAUUAUUAGAUUCUUCAUUAAUUAUAUUUUCAUAGUACACCUAUUUGAUGUCAUAAAUCUUUAUAAUUCUCUCUAUAAUUUUGAUCAACCUUAAGAUGCUUUGACUCGAUCCCCAAGAAAGUUGGAAUGACUUAUAAUUUGAAAUGGAGGGAGUACCUUUUUAGCGUAAAAUACAGCUAGAGAGACGCGUAAAGUACAGUUAGAAAAAAAGAGGCACUGUACAAAAGGGAGGCUUUACCCAAGCCAAAACACACAAGGAGACCUGCAAAACUAGGAGAGGGAAUCUAUACAGAGGAGGAACUCAUGACAUUUGUUUUCACAAAAUGUACAAGCCUGCAAUAUGGCCUCUUCAUAGAAGAGGUGGAAGGACGGCCCAUCUCAAAGAUGAAGUUGUUUCUUUGCGAGCAAGGCCUUGUUUAGUUCCAAAAUAUUUUGCAAAAUUGACACUGUAUCUUUUUCGUUUGUAUUUGACAAAUAUUGUCCAAUCAUGGACUAAUUAGGCUCAAAAGAUUCGUCUCGUCAAUUUCGACCAAACUGUGUAAUUAGUUUUUAUUUUUGUCUAUAUUUAAUACUUCAUGCAUGUGUCUAAAGAUUCGAUGUGACUGGAAAUCUGAAAAAUUUUGCAAAAUUUUUUGGGAACUAAACAAGACCCAAAUGUGCCAAGCAGCAACGAUGAAGAUCUCCAUAAGGAGUGUUGGAGCUGUUGUUUUGCAUAUCUCGUCAUUUGGGGAAAAAAUCUCCUGCAAAGUCCCAGUGAAUUUCUAAGAGCCGCCAACAGGUUUGGCUGAAAGGGCAAUUGAAGAACAAGUGAAAGGCAGUUUCUUCAAUGUUAUUGCUGCAUAGAACACAAUUAUAAUUGUUGCCUUCUAGCUUAUGCUUCUUCCUCUUUAGGAUGUUCCUUGUGUUUACCCUAUCCACAAGAAGUAGCCAUGAAAAGAGUCUGAGCUUGUUGCAACAUUUAGAGUCUGAAAUAGGGUGUUGGGGGUUGAAUAUUCCUAGGGUCCGUUUAGAUGUAGAUAUUGGAAGAGCUGGAAUUGAAUUGGGUUCAAUACCAAUGUAGCCAUGGUAUUCAAAUGGCCAUAAUUCGAAUACUAUUGUUUGGAUGACCAUUGAAUUGGCUUUUGAAAUCCUAGCAAGCAGCUGAAAUUUGUUUUCUAUUUGGAUGCAAAAGAAUGGAAUUGGCUCUUCCUCUCCGUCUGCCGCCUCGGCUUGCUCGAGCCUGGAGCUGGCAGUCGCGGCUAUGGGGGAGGGCACCACUAGGGGUGGGGAGCUUGUGUGUCCGCACAUCUAGGAUGGAGAGCUCGCACGCUCGUGCAUGCCCUUCCUGUGGCCACUGGGGUGGGGGAGGAAGCCGCUGGGGUAGUGGGGUAGAGGAGGAAGCCGCCAGGGUAGGAGAGGAAGUCGCCGCUGGGGGUGGGGAGCCUACACCCCAUCGUGCCCGUCAGGGAGGAAGGGAUGUGAGUGGAUCUCGGCACUAUUGGAGAUGGAAGAGGAGCUGCUAAGAAGGAAGCUCGACUGGUGGGCAUCGUGGAUCUCAUGUCAUCGACCAUGGUGGAUCUUGUGUCACCGACCAUAGGGGAAGGAAGAGGAGCUCGCACCGCUGUCCAUGGGCAAGAGGAAGAGGAGCUCGCACUGCUGACCAUGGGGAAGAGGAAGAGGUCUUGCUGGCCAAGGGGAAGAGGGCGCUCGCCCGCGGGGAAGUGGCUGAGUGUCGGAUCCAGCACCACUCACUACAGAGGGGUCGGCCCCUUCCAGUUAUAGUUAAUUACUAAGGAAUUGGGUCUUCAAUGCCAAAUCUCGAUUCCAUGUGUAUCCAAACAACAGCAUUGAGAAAACCUGAUUCCAGUUCUAAUGUCUGGGCUCCAAUAUCUACGUCCAAACGAGGUGUAAAGGAAAUUGUAGAAUUUUGAGGAUGUAUAUUUAUUGGUCCCCCAGAUGUGAUGCAGUGGCGGACCCAGGAUUCGAAACUAGGGUAGUCCUAGUCAAAAAAAAAGUCUCAUGCUUAUCGCCAAAAUUAUUUAAUACAAUACCGUAAAAACUAAAAAAAAAAGUUCAGUAUACAUGACUAUAAAUUAACCAAACUUAGGCUCAAUUUCAGAAGUAAUGCUAUUUUUUGCAUUAUACUUCUAAAAAUGCAAUAUGAUUUAUUCAUGCUCAAUUUCAUGGAAAAAACAAGAAAUUUCAAUCGGUUCUAGGCUCACAAAUCCACACUCCCUAAGACCAAUUGGCCAAUUUACAGUCCAAUCUCCAUUUUGUAGUCUCCAAUGUCCAAAUCAAGUUUAGAAGUAAACACAAGCACUCACGACAAGACUCCGGAAGGAUCUGACAAUAACCUGAGAUAAAAUAGAGAUAAUUUUUUGGAUAAGUUGGGAGGAGAAGAGGGAAGGAGUUUAGGCUACGAGAGAGAUAGAUCAAUUGUUUUCCCUCCGUUCUUUUCAACCGGCGCAUCGGACCUACUAACAGAUAAUCUCUAUGUACACCAACCCAUGAACAAUACAAAUCUUCAGUUUCGUUAGAAACUCACCAGGGACUGCAUUAGGCCAGCGCGGGGCCAGAGCGCAUGGCGGACUGGGGCAUUGGGUAGCCGCCGGCUAUGCCGACCAGCUCCUUGGCGCGCCCGCCGCCGCCGGACUAGCGGAGCGUGGCCACGUAGGGCCGCGGGGCAGCGUGGCGUCGGGGCUGUCGCUUGGCGAGGUGGGCAGGCGGCGGCACAGGACGAGCAGUCGGUGGGCGGCGGCCGACGGGGGAUCCUCGUGCCGCUCGACCUCAGGGCUUGGCCGGGGGUCGGACGGGCGGUCGGCAACGGUCGCCAGUAUGGAGUCGUGGACUCACAUCUCGUGCUGGAGUAUAGACAAUGUUGCUUGUUUGGACCAAUUUUUUAUGGGCUGUAAAGUAGUAAACUUUUGUUGGGCCAGAUUUCAGGGUAGUCCUGGGCCUACCUGGACUAUCCACUAGGCCCACCACUGAUGUGAUGCCACGAAUCUUUUGUGUUCGGCUGAACUUGGAUAGUCUCAAUAUAGCCCUGGAGGCUUUGAUAUUUUUGAUAAGCUUGUUCUGAUAAUGGGAUGUGAAAUUGGUCUAGAUUGUUGUAUGUAAAAAGCUGUGAAACUAAGAUCUUUUUGUUCAUUGCAAAAGAGAUAAGUCUAAGAUAUUGAUUUGCAUUACAUUUUCAUUCCAUAUGUCAGAUGACCAGAAUAGGACGGUAGAUAUAUCUCCAAUGUUGUAGUUUGCAAUACCUCUGAAGAGAUCACAAAGCUUUAAAUAUCCCUCCACCAAAAAGAACCUUUUUCAGUUGUAGCAUGAGGGAUCUUCCCAUUAUAAUAAUGUGCAUGUCAAACUAAUUUCACCCAGGGAACCUCCUUCUUGUUGUAAAAUUUUUCUAAGUGUUUAAGAAAGAGAGUAGAGUUUUGACUUUUGAGGUUAAUGAUGCCCAGAACCACCUUUCCUUUUUGGUUUAGAACAUUUUUUCCAAGCUACAAGGGGUUUCAUCUUGGCAUUGAUGUCAGAUCCUCUCCUCUGUCAAUAUAGUCGAGGACUGCAACUGGCAGUUGCAAAGAGCACAUUGCAUAUAUUAGUAAUGAAGAGAGCACUGAGUUUACCAGUUCCAGCCUUCCAGCAUGGGAUAAGAAGUUCGAAGUAGUUCUAAGUCUUCUUUCCACCUUGUUCAUGAUAAAUCCGAAAUGGUGAACUCAGGGUUUGGUAGUUUCCAUUAGCAGUCCAAGGUAGGUAGAGACUCAAGUUUGCAUACAAACACCCCAGCCAACUGGAGGUUCAAAGGAACUAGGCACGAUUUGCCUAGAAUAUUCACCAAUUUCCAGUUUUAAUUACCUAUAUUGAACUUCUUUUUUUAUGAAACCAUGGGCAAAAUGCUAAGGAAACUUUGUAAUAAAAAUGUAAAAUAUGUGCAUAAAAGAAGAAACAAACUUCAAUAUUAUACAAGGAAAUGGAUAGGUAUAUUACAAUAUACAACAUCAUGCUAGAUUUACACUCCAACAACACUCAACACCGUAUACUGUUAUACAACUACAUGAAAGCACAUCUUAUUUUUGCUUCACUCAGAGAUGCAACAUGUUCUAUUUCUCACAAUGCUAUACUAUAUAUAUACUCAUAUGGACUCAUUUCUCUUCUUUGCACUAAGGCCACGAUGAUACUCACCAAGAGCCCAGAUGGGGAACAAGUUGCGGUAGUUUGGGUAAUUGAAGAAAAGGGAGCAGUUGAAGCAUCCUACGUGCUCCUAUCAUCAAAACACAAGUGCGGUCAUCAACAAAACCACUUUGACCUUUGAUAAUCAAACACCCUUACACCCACACGUAAAUAAUGCUGAAUAUGGUAGUUCAAAGUUCAAUCCUUACAAGAAUGCAUGUACAAUUAUGCAUCUGCUAAAUAUCUAUCCAAAUAGGUUCUCUCAAAAUUCCACAUCAAACCAAAUAAAGCAAGUUAGAUUUUCAUGAAAUCGAGUUUAGACAUAACAAUUCCUUGAAUGUCAUGUUUCUGGUUUGUAUACGAUUAAUUUUAUAAGUUGGUGCUUCAAAAGACGAAAAGCUUGCUCUUGUGUUAAUUCAAUUGUAGUCCUAUGAUUUAUCAAUUAUGUCCGAUGCACAGGGAUGUUCUUCCUUUGGAAAAUGUAAAAUGAAUUAUAUCAUGCAGUUACAUAUUCUAGUCACCACCUCCUUUCAAAAAAAACAUAUUCUAGUCACCCAGUAUAUUGGUGCCUCAUUAUUUCAAUAUACUAAUAUGCAUGUGUCAUGCCAUAUGAUAGGUUUUUCUAUGUUCCUCAACACCGUUCCAUCAAUUUUCAUGACAAAGUAAGAGGAAAAGAACAAGUUCACUUGUCAAUAUAAUGUUUCACUAUCAAAAAAAAAUAGAAUGGAGCUUACUUGUUGUGGAAACUCUCCUGUCUCCAACUGCAUAUUGAUCAAUUCUUUUGCAGCGCGAUGUAAUGGUGUUGGAUCUCUUUCAAACUAUAGUAUUAGAAAAGAGGUAUGUGAAUAGAAUGAUAAAUUGUAUGUUCUUGUUAACAUGUAAAUAAAAGAAUAAAUAAUUUGUACCUGUCCAGCAUAAAUUAAAGCGAGCAUUGCCCAAGCAGUAUUCACGGCGUGAGCACAGUCACCUUUGAUAUUUACAUAAACCUAUUUAGGAUUAUAUGGGGGGAGAAAAGAUAAGUUAAAAGAUGAAUACACAUACUUAUGAUACAAAGAAAUAAAUUUUUUCCAUUGCAUUAAAUAUUGUGCUUGCCAUGACUUGCUAGGGAUCUGAGACUAAAGGCACUUUAUUAUAUUACUGGAGCAACUCAUAUUGAGAGGAAAUUAAAUGACAUAGUUAGAACGAAAAGAUACAACUUACAACCUAUAUACAACAAAACCAAGAAACCUAUAAUGAUUUGAAAGCCAUGCUAAAUAGCCAGAUUCACCAUAAAAUAUCAUAUGUCAAUUUAUUGCUAGUAUCUUCAACAAGGAUUCAACAAACAAAAUUGUGUGUCCUUAUCAGUUAUCACUAGUAGGCAAAGUUGGACUGAAAGGGUCUAGAGAAGUAGGAGUAGAAGGAAAAAAUAUGAUUACCUGAGUUUCAUUAGAGACAUGGCUUUCUCCCCAUCCACCAGUACUGAGUUGCUUCGACAAUAUAAAGUGGCAUGCUUUCCGUAUGGAAAGGCUAUUCUUAUAUGUUCUUCCAGAAGCAACUAAACCUUUAAUUGAAAAGAAGGCCCCGUAGGUGAAACAUACACCCCAAGUACCUAACCUGCAAAACAACUAUUUGUGUUAUCAACUGCUGGCAUAGAAAUUCUCUGAGUAAAUGAGGCAUUAGGACAAACCAUGAACCGUCUUCUUGUUGUCUGUUCUCAAUAAAUGUUGCUGCAUUUCUAACCAAUGUUUCUAUCUCUUCUGUGCGGUAACCAGGAUAUAAUUCUUUGAACAGUAUCAGAGCUUGGAGCACUGAUGAAGUGCAUUCUGGGUAACUGUCAAUUAAUAAUGCAUCAUAAUUUUAUUUCUUUAUCUGAAGUGAAAAUUUUGUAAGCAUGAUCUUCUGCUAAUAUAUAUAUAUAUAUAUAUAUAUGGUAUUUGCAUGCAUCACUUACGGGUAAUCGACAACCAUGUUUGGAAAACUCUCACAAGGAUUUAGAAUCUAGUUAAUUAACAAAAAGAAGUGUCAAUACAGUGGAGCUGGAAGUAGUAAAAUGUAUUGAAAUAAAAAGUUUAAGAUUACUGAAUACGAACUGCAUCUUCCUAAUUGGAAGUAACAAUAAUAUAUAAGAGCUCUAACGGACAGAAACUUACCUCUAUCCAAGAAGAAGUUCUUUUGCACUCAUAUGUAGAAAAGGUACCAUCUUUGUUCUACAACAUAGAAUGAUUAGCCAUUAACAAAUUAUCUUCAUAGCUUACAACGUACAAUACCGGCACACAGACAACACAAUCUAGGCAAUGCAAGCAUGUAUUGUUGUAGCUAAAUUUUGAAGUUUAUCUAUUAUACCUAAAUAGGAGAACCCCCCCCCCCCACUACAAGAUUUUCCUAUGAUUUUGUGAAGCCACGUCACCUAAAACCCGGCCCACUAAGUGCCUCCAACAAUUGUUCUUUAAUUUUCUCCCCCACUAAGUGCAUCCACUAUUGUUCUUCUUUAAUGUAUUUUUCCUUACUUCCUCCCACUAAGUGCCUUUCCAAUUGUAUUCUUUAAUGCCUUUUGUGUUUGGAAGCCGAUCUGUCAUUUACCAUUGCCUAUAUAUCACUUCUGCUACUGCUGCUCAUCCCUGUACAUCCCAGUACACACGAGAUUUCUUCCUGUCUACCUAGCAUGGCUUAGGAGAUGUGUGUUCCUCCCUUAGAUAAGCUAUGGUGGUGGUGUUAACCUUGCUUUUCUGCCCUAACGUCCUCAGUGCAGCCACCAGAGUCCUCUUCAUGUUGCAACAAAGAUAGCAUCAUACAUAAUGUUAGUCUUCCUAGAUCCUUAAUAAACUUCCAAUUUGAUUUCAUCAUUCAGGCAUAGUUUGCAUCUGACAUCAUCAGGGAGAAAUUGGUGUAUCGAUUUGUGUUACAAAAUCGUUCGGUGUUUUUACUAAUCCAUAACCUUUAUUAUUUUGCAGAACAUAUGAAAAGGACUUGAUCAUGGCAAGUGACAACUAAAUCUCUCAAAUGAUUCAUUUGGAGGCAAACAACAGGCAUGUGGCUUGUGGCAUGUUGACAUCUGAGUCAUGUUACCGGAAACAUGCACAUUAGCAAUUUUAAUUACCACUGUGGAAACAACCAUACAUGCUUUACUUUCAAGCUACCUAUAGCAUUUUUUGUAUCCAUUACCAAUGUGUGUGUACAUAGUAAGAUAGUUGUGGUAUAUGUAAAUAUGUGCUACUGCAACACAUGGGUAUUCAACUGUUUUUAUGACUUUUCAUAAAAUCCAAUAUAUUUGAUCAAAUAUACAUAUCUUCCUUUUGAUUUUACUAUUUGUCACUCAAUGAUCCUUCUCAAAAUCCUGUAGCAACGCGCGGGGUAUUAUCUAGUUGACUGAACAUUUCAAAAGCAAGAAAAAUUUGCGCCAAAUUCAGAAUUCAGAAACUUAGUUCCUUAAGAAAAUUAUUCAUCUACACACUUUCACUUCAUCAUAUCAUCCCCAUAGGUUUGCUGUAACAGAUUUAUUUUGUAUCAACCAGCAAGCAAAGUGUGGCAUUUCUGAUUUCCAUGGCUUACAGAAGAAUUGUGUGAUAGCAAGUUUUUGUUGCAAUUUUUCUAGGGUAUAAAAUAGAUGACAACAACACAUCAGACUUGGCCUUGUUUAGUUUGCGAAAAGAAAAGUUUUUGGCUACUGUAGCACAUUUGUAACUAUAGCAAUUAGUGUCCAAUCAUGGAUUAAUUAGGCUUAAAAGAUUCGUCUUGCAAAAUACAUGCAAACUAUGCAAUUAAUUAUGUUUUUAAUCUAUAUUCAAUGCUCCAUGCCUAUGUCCAAACAUUUGAUGUGAUGGAGCGAAAAGUUUUUACACUGGGAACUAAACAGGGCCUUAGAGAAUACCUACCACAAAAGAUAGAAGGCAAUCAAUAGCAUCAUGCAGCCUCUCUCUUUCUAUUGGAUCCCCAAUAAGGUUGUUUUUGUUUGAGAUCUUUGACAGCAACAAUACAGCCUGGAAAUAGUCACAUUAAGCUGCUUUAGAAUAGAAAAAAUGAAAAGGCAUGGAAAUGAAUAACAUAUCAAGCAAAGCAUUUUAUUAAAUUACUGGUUACACACUCUACAUUAACAAUAACACUAUAUGGUACUUAGUGGCCUUAGUUUCUUUUUUUGAAACGAACCGGCAGGAGAGCUGCCCUUAGUGACCUUAGUUUCGCUUCUUCUCAAUAUAAUGAUGGGUAACUUUCUUAAUAUAAUGAUACGUAGCUCCCUUGCGUGUUUGAGAAAAAUAGUAACGGGUAGCUCACCACCUAGUUUGAGAAAAAAGGUAGCUUUACUCAUCUACAUUGGAGCAAAAGAAAAACUGACAAAGAUAGAAUAACCUUAAGUGCUUCUCCUGUAGUGUCAGAUACAGCCCAUCCAUUGUCUGCAGAUGAAAGUGUCCAUGAGCCCUUCGAUCUAUGGCGAUGCCAAUAACUUUGGUCACCAGGAUGGUUCCUCAGAACCUUCAAGUACAGAAAUGCAUGUUGUGUUUCAUCAUUGCCCAUGAUGGUGAAUAUAUAAAUUGCCAUGAUUUCAAGAUAAAGAUAGAAACCUGUGAAUUUUUCAUAAACUCAUAGGCUCUCUGAAGAGUUGGAGCAUACUCAUUGACAAGAUCUGUAGCGCAAAAUGCUUGAAUUAUGAAUGAUGUCUCCCAGCUCUGGCAGCCAUCAUAUAUCUAUCAUGGUAACACACACCAGCCAUGCAGAGUUAUAUCCUAUGAGGAGGAAAUUUCUUGAUGCAUAUUCAACAUGUCCAACAUACUUGCAAUCAUACCAAGAUACUUCUACUGCAAUAUUAAAUGAUUACAUGCUACUCGGAAAAAAACAAUUACAUAGCAAUUCUCUAGCUGGUAUGUUAGUUUAUUCCUCAGUAAAGAUGCAAAUGAUGGCAGUAAUUAGCUAAAGAAAAAUAAGCUUAACUUACUAUUAUAUUCAAAUGGACUGCCACCAUGAUAUAAAUGCUAGCAAGUAAAAAGGAGAAAAUUAUACCUGUGCCUUCAUGCCAUCUUCUGAAAGCCACAAGAAAUCUGGUAUCCUUGCAAGAUGACGCUUGAAUGCAUCUGAAUUUGGAUCUUCUACCCAACAGCAGACCAUGUUUAGAGCCUAAAUAACAAAGUAACCAAUAUUAAAAGGCACCAAUCAGAAGUUCAUGAUCCACAAUAUAAUUAACAAGAAACAUUAAAUAGAGCAUAUACUAAAUCAUGAAGAGUGAGAAUUAAUAAUAAGACCACACCAACAGAACAGCAGCAUGGCUAACUAAAGUGUCGGUAAUAAGACGUCAAACUUGUGCAGCUAUUUACCUUGUUCACAGAACAUAUGCAUAGGUACUGUGUGUUCUCAUCUUCAUAAUGGAUAUGAUCCAUGAGGUUUCCCAGAGCUCUCUCUCUCAGCUUGUUGACAGGACAGCUGCUCAAUACUGGUUCCACACACCUGUAAAGUGAAGUCCAAAAAACAUUUUGCAACAGUGUACGUGGACAGACGAGGUCCUCCUGCAAUACCAAGAGGAAAUUAAAAGAAAUAAAAAACAGGCGUAAGAAAAGAGAUAUUCCUAGUAGCUAGCCCAUCAUUGUGAGAGUAGAGCAAUCUACGGUUCUCUUACAAUAUGAGGAUUCGACAAAUAUAAACACAAAAUAAACCUUGUUUAGCUAGAACUGUUAAUUAUUUUGAGUUUGUGUGCACAAGGAGGGGUAUGGGUGUUUGGAGGUUAGGCCUGCACACCACCCACACUAUAUUACUAUAAUAGUCGUCUAUUGCAGACCGCCUCUCUCCUGGAACAAGCCUAAUUACGCUGGACAACUAUCCAAAAGUGCAGUUUAUAGUUCUAGGGCGAAUCAAGAUAACCGGCUAAUACUAUCUUGACUAUCGACAUGGCGUUGGAUGAGCUAGGCUAAUCCAACAAAGACCACAAAUAGAUCACAUAUACUUUCCACAUUCAUACUCAGGGUAUAAUCCAGGUGGUUAGUGAGUCCAAAUAUUUUUUACUUAUUUUAUAUAGAAAGUAAUUAGACCAUCAACUCAAGUUUUGAGGAUACAACACUUUGUAAGUCAGUGUUUGGGAAUUUUGUGACAACCCCAUCACCAUCAGAUACAUUCCCACCAUAGAAGGGCAUAUAUCAUGAUAAUAAACUGUAGGACCAGAAGGGAUGUGAGAAACCUUUGCACAUUUAUUAGCAGCAUCGCUCCAACCAAUCUCGCCAUAUGGAGUGUCAUAGAUCUCCUCUCUCAGUGCCAAUAUAGUUGGUGUAAUUGGUCCAACAAAUUUCUUGCCAUAAAGAUAAGCCAUUGGCAGAUAUACCAUGCGGGUUAAGCACCAAAAUUUCCCUGAAAGGACAGAGCCAUUGGUAGAUAUAGCGAAUUUAUUUCAACAGAACCAUGUAUCCAAUGUACAAUGUACUGGAAGUGGGAAUGACACAAAUUCACAGAAGAAAUAUAUUAUAUACCUGGAUGAAAUGGAAGAAACUGAGGAGCGAGCCAUAGUUCAGGGAAAAUUGGAUUAUUUCCUGACCAAUCAAACACUCCAAGUACCUUCAUCAAUUAAUACAAAAGCAAAGCAAAGUGAUGACACUGCCAUGGAGAAUAAAAUGUUACAAAUGAGAAACUUUUUAUAUUUUUAUUUUUCUCAAAAAUAAGAGUCCUAUCAUAUGCAUGUACGAAUUAUUUCCUGGCAGAGUAAUGUGCAUGUAUAGAAAACUAGUACACAUGUAUGAAUCACAAAGAAUACCGAAAGCCAUAUCUUUCCCCACUGGGGAAUCAAGGUUGCACCACCAUGGGAUAGAAUCCAAGCACGCCCUUUAGCCAAUGCACCAUUGUUUCCGUAUGGCUCCUCGCCGAGAAGCCUCAGGGUGAUGUAGUUUGAGCAUGUGCCAAACAUGGUGCUCGAACCAAGGAUAAGUGUACUCCAUCCACCAUCUUUGUUCUACACAUUAUUUAUUUGAUGGGCAAAACUAAUGUAUACAUCCAAAGUGAAAAAAUUGGUGCAAAAUGACCUUGUCCCCAACAAGGCCUUAAUGAAAGAUAGAGAUGUAAUCUAAGAGAACUAUGUCAUGCCUGGUGGUUGUAAAUGUAGCGGCAUAUCUCACGCCGAUGUUCCGGUGAUAUGACAACAUUCAUUGAUCCAGUGACAUACAAGGCAAAUAUCUGCAUACGAAUGUGCGGAGAUAUUUGUUUUAUCCAUAUAGGUGAACAAUUGAGCAAGGAAAAAAAGAAAAGAAAAAGGAGGUAAUGCCAUUUUGUGCAGAAAUAAGGCGCACCAAACCAGGCAUGAUGAACAUGAUCCCACUGAAAUCACCAGGCCAGUGACCAUCACUUGCUUGCAGCGAAGAGAACUGAUCCAGAGCCCGCCUCAAGGAGCUCACUACAAUUUCUUCAGUGACAUUCUCAUCCUCCUCAAGUUUGAGGCACGGCAGAUCACGUUGAUAUCUCUUCUGCUUUGCGCACUGUAACGAAAAGAUUAGUGGGCGCUGAUUUAUUUUGACAUAACUUAAGCACAGAUUUAUUUUUUUAAAAGAAUGAGUAUGACAUAAUUUAAGCACAAAUUAUUUUUUUUUAAUGAUAUAUAUGUAUCCCUCUAUUCAGAGGUUGCAUCAUUGCAAACAUCAUGUUCACUGCCAUUGUCAUUCAGCACACUUAAUUUAUUGAUAAUUGGUGAGAAGAACCGAUGCGGACAAGCUGCUCCUUAAAUUAACGAAACAAAAAAGAAAACACAAGGGUUGGGAUGAAACCUCGGCCCUUCAACUUCCUGGCCACGCACACACAGUCAUCUACCUCCAGGAAGCUCCCGCCGCCGCGCACGCCGGACGCCGGACGCCGGACGCCCUCGCCAGCGCUGUCUCCUCUGCCGCAGCGAGGCUUGCGGCCCAGACCUUCGCCUCGGCCUCUCACCCACCCCGCCACCCCGGCGAUCCAUCCUCACCAGUCACCGCUGUCGGCCGAGCCCAACUCUGUUUAGGCCCAUCAAUCAAGUAACGUGUUCGACAGCCAUUAGGCUGGCCCAUCGGCACCGUCCGUUUUUUUAGAAUUAAUGAUAUAAUCUUUAAAAAAAUCCUUAAGAUCACACAUUUUCCUUUCUAAGCUACAAAAUCAGUUCUUUAAUUCCCUCAACUUUUACAACCGCUUCUUUUUUUGAUGAUAGUUAUGGUGCUACGUCAAGAUAAAUUGGACUUGAAGUAUUUUUUUAAAAGAUCCAAAAUCCAUAAAAAAAUAACAAAUUAUAAAUAAUUUUACAUGAAAAAGUAAUGUAACUAAAAAUCCUAACAUCUGGUUUAAUCUUAAAGAAUCUAUAGAAAAUUUGUUUUACCUCGAAAAAAUAUGAAACUAGUUUCAAUUUUUUAAAUCAUGCUAUCGCGUGGGCGAAUGCAGGCGAGCUCAUAGGUCGGGCGUGUGCCCGAGGAGCCAACCGCGCAGGCCCUUCCACAUCAGCCACCAUGGGCGGUUGAGGAGUGACUGAGAGUGAGAAGUCGGCCUGAGCAUUUGGUUAACUGAAACCGAUGAAAUUCAAUUAGUAGAAAACUGAGAAUCGAUCGGCCAGCUACAAAACUCGAAACUGAGAGAUUUUGACCGAUCAAUCGAUUUACAUCGAUGAAAGGGAAGGGGGGAAAGGAAAAACAAUGAAAAUAAAAACACGAAUUUCCACUUAGACUGGCCAUAGAGUGUCACGUCUCUGAACACAGCCUCUUAAUUAUAUUGAUUUAACUGAGCUAAUUACCCAUGCAAUACAGGUCUAGUUAGUGAUAUCGUAGUUAUUUGAGUUCCACAACAAAUUUUCCGAGAUCCUCUAGAAUGGGUUUUUAUAGAUUGGCGGUGUUUUUAUCCCACCUCUUCUUUUUCGAAAAUUCCAGACUAUCUCAGUUAAGUGAGUUUUGGGUGAAUCUUAGAUAAAGGAGCCGAAGCUUGCAUGUGAGCUCAGGAUCAUUUCAUACCUACUUAAGUUUUGUUUGAUACAGCUCCAUAAUUUUUUUCUUCAGCUUCAUGAUCAUGAGUAGCUCUAUUGAUGGCUGUUUUGAUAAACCAUUUAGCAAAACUACUCUUAAAACAUGAUCUCACAAGGACCCACCAAAUCGAGUUUUGAUCUCUCUAUGGAAGCAUGUUUGAAAAGAGCUUCAUCUAUAUGUGAAGUUGUUUGAAGAUUACAUGUUUGAUACAGAACAGUUUUAAAUAAGUGUUUGAAUUAUAUCUAUACCUACCUAAUAAAAAGAGGCACAAAUUUUGAUCUUUUUUUGUCUAUCCAUUUUUUUCAUCCACCUCCCUUUAGCUACCAGGUAGUUAAGAAUUUCUUUCAUCUAAACUUGUAUGACCCUAGAUAGUUAGGAUAAAUAGAUCUCUCUGAGCCGAUAUAAACUGAAUAGGAAUAGAAAUCUAAUUCAAACUUUUUUGUCGAGACAUUCCCGUGCAUUUUUUUUCUUCCGCGAAGACGUCACCUUCAGUGUAGGACACGACACAAGAGAAAAAUUCCAAAUUGGACUUCUCGGGUGCACGGAUAUGCCUUUUUUUUUCCUGUUUUCUAUUUCUUUUCCAGUAUGGGACACGGCAAAAGGGAAAAUUAGACUCCUCGGGUGCACAGAUAUGCCUCUUUUUUAUUUUCUGUUUUCUAUUUCUUUUCUGAUAUUAUUCUUUUGUUUUUUCUUAUAAAAUAAAAACUAAAAAAUAUAUCUAAUCUAUCUAUAUCUACUUCUAGAAGUUCCUUUAGAUUGCUUAUGAUAUGUUAUGCCAAUAAAUUGAAUAGAUUUCUAACUCAAUUUCUUCAUGAGCUUCGGUCAUAUUAGCUCACAUAAAUACAAGUCAUAACAAAUAGUUCACGUGAAUAAGAGAGAUCUCACGUCAUAAUCAUCUAUGGAUACAACUAGCUACUUGCCGGCUUUAAUUAAGUAUUAGAACUACGAAUUUUUAUAGAUCCUCGGAACAUUUCACUGUUACAACACAUGGAUAAUAUAAAAAUUAAUAUUGAUAAGUUAUGAUAGUACGAUUAAAUUUUUCAUGCUUUGUAUUAGGAAAAAAGAUAUUGUGAUUAUAUUUUAGUUUGAUUAUAUAUUAAUAAGAUAUUGACAAUAUUAUUAUAUUAUUGUGUGUAUCGAUCCACGUAUGUGUCCACUACUACAGAAUUCAUUUUUAGGAACGGCUGAAAACCCUCUGUAAGGGCAGGGCGGCUGGCCCAGCCACCCCUCCAGCUUUGCACUUACAAAUAAAACAUUUGUAAGAGCGGGUGCCUCAGCUGCUCUUACAAAUACAUUUGUAAAGACGGCUAGUGUACUAUUUAUAAAUGUGGCUGGUGACCCAGCCCUCAUUACAAAUAGUUCUAAGGGCGGUUGGUGACCUAGCUCCUCUUACAAAUGAUAUUUCUAAGAGCGACUGAAACACCAUCCGCUUCUUAAAAAUUAUGUGUAUCCACGUACGUGUAUACCAGUCGUUGUCAUUUUUAUAAAUACCUGCAUGCGCAUGAGGAGGUCGGCGGACUCCCUCCUGUGGAAGCGGCGGUCGGAGAACUCCCGGCGGACCCUGUCCACCUCGGCGCGCUCCUCCGGCGUGCCAAGGUCCGGGUCGAACUCCCACACUGCCCGUCCAAUGAAGCCGUUGGUCGACCGCAGCCAUGGCCCGCCCCGCGCCACCUUCAGCCUCCACAUGCUGACGGAUCGGACGGACGGCUACUAGCUGCUGCUAGUCGCUAGUGCUAUAGCUAGUCUAAGAUCGACCACCCUCAAGAUGAGUACUCCUACUGCGCGCGCUGGCGGUUUAUAUAUAUAUAUAUAUAUAUAUAUAUAUAUUUAAAAGAAAAAAAUACUGCUGCAGUGUGCUGCUCGCUCUUUUUUUUUUCUUUGCUCCUCCCCGGGGGGUGUGGAUGUCUGUCCUUGUGGGACGACGACACGUCGGUGGAGACGACGAGCCAUGGCGCAUGGCAAAACAGGUAGCGUCGGGCACGCCGCCGAUGGCCAGAAUUAGUGAGGUGGUUGGCUGCCGAGCCUGUCGGUCCACUGUUCCCCAGCCGCCGCUCAUUGAAUUCUUCUUCCCACGUGUAUAAUAUCGUCCCAGUGGCGACACAUGCGUAUACACGUGUGCAAACACGAGGCACCCAGCGUCGGGUGCAACCGGCAGCAAAGACUGCAAGAUGCGGAGCUUGACAUUAGAAAAUAGAGGGGCAGUUCAUUGGAUUUAUGAAUUAAACAGCAAUAAAAAGUAGUGAAAGCAUUUUUGUUAGUCUAAAAAGUUAUAAUUGAAAAUAUUGUUCUCUGAUUUAUUAUGAACUAUUGACUGAUAGAAAAAAUAUAGAAGUGACAGGUUAUAUCAGACUUUCGUCACACUCAGUGACAACACAUUCUCUUUCUUUGCUUCUCAUUCCUACGUGUACGACUUGUAUAUAGGGCAUGUACAACCCGCAGACAGAAAUUCGUCUCUAAGGGCACUUCCAAUGCUAGAAACUACAUAUAGUUUCUAUAUCCAUUAAUUUUUAUAGACACUAUAUAUAGAAACUAUGGUCUCAAUGGAUAGUUUCUAUAUAAUAUUUUUAUAUCCAAUUAUAUUCAUUCUCUCUCCAUUCUUAGCCAAUCAUAUCACUUCAUGUCUUGGAUUUUGUGUAGACAUGGUUUCUAACUUAGACCCAGUUUCUAUGAUUUUUACUCUCUCUCUCUCUCUUCAAUAACUACAUUGUCACAUCAGCAAAAUGCUUAGGUCGCACUGCAAUUAAUGUCUAUAGAAACCACAAUGAUUUUCUACAUUGGGAGUGCUCUAAGUGCCUCGAAUAUAACAUAGAGACAAGUAUAAAGACAAACCAUACAACCCUUAGAUGAAGGUAUGUCUCUAACCUGUUUAAUACUUUGUAUAUCUUCGUCUGGCUGCAGUUUGGGUGAAAACCCUGCCUGGCAUUACGCCGGGCCAGCGACGGUGGUACUGACGGUGCUACUCACCUUGUUGAAGGCGUCGCUGGAGCUGUAGCGGUUGUGGUCGUCCAACAACUGGGUGAAAACCUAGCCUGGUUUCUCCGGGCCGGCGGCGGUGUGUUGGCUCGUCGUCGAAGUUGUUGUUCGUCAUGGCCGGGAACCACGUCUCUUCGUUGUGUAGUUCUUGUCGAAGGAGGUGUUCGUUGGCAUAACUGCUCGGAGUUUGGAUGGCAGGCCUAUGUCUGUUCCAAGUUCUUUGCGUUGUUGCCUUGGAAGAAGCAUCCAAUCUUCAAUGGUGGUCGGUGUCCAACGUUUUCACUAUCUUUUUUAAGGUGUGACAAACGUGUUUCGACGACUGUCUUGACGCUGGUGAUCGUAUUCCAGAGGAGUUGACAUCUUGGAUCAAGGCGGUUUGUUGCAUAGGACUACUUGAGCCCUUGUUGGGAAUGUAAUUUUUCCGUUAUUUAUCUUCUUUUUUUCUUCCAUUGUAUUAAUUUGGCCGCUACCUAUGGGUAGAUGAAGCCGGAUAGUUUCUAUCCUUUUAUCUAAAAAAAAGUAGGAUUAACUAUAAUUUUUUUUAUAUACCAUUGUGUAGCUAUUUAAUAGAAAUUAUAUCAUGAACUGAUUAGUUUAACCAUAGAAAAAAUGGUAGGCUCACAUCAGCCAUGUUCUUGUCACUCUAGAACCUUGCACCGUGUGGGCAUGAGCUAAAAAAAGCACAUUUUAUAUGGGCAUUGUGUCGAACAGAUUGUGAACACCUACCUCUAUUCUUUUGGUAGCACACCUGCCUCUGCCAAGUCGUGCUCGUGCAAGCAGGCCGCAUGCCAUCAGACCCUUCCUAAAGCUGAGCCACAAAAUCUUCAUGGACGCCGCGAGCAUACGCUUCUAACCGAGGCCUAUAGGAUGCUGCAGGAGGCAAAGAAAUCGAGAGGCCAGAUCAACCAACCCGUGGAAGAAGCCAUCCUCCGGCGCCGGGUCUUUCUUCUUCACACACAAGUUCAUCUAGCAGCUGCACCGUGCGGAGAAGAGAUGGCUGCACACGAGGCGAGGGGCGUUGGGCGCACCUGAUCCACUCUGUCAACGAGCCUCUGUACAACGCGACGAUUUCGUGGCUUCGAGCCUCGGAGCACCAGCCAUCCUCGUCGUCUCACGAGACGACGGACGAGACGACGGGCUCAGCUGUCUCCUGACUCGCAAGGGACUGUUCUGCAAAAAACACCGUAUAAAGACUAAACCUGACUUUUUUGGUUUGGUUUUACUUUUGGGCUGUAUUGGUUUGGAUUGAAACAGGCUGAAAAGGUUGUUGGUCCAGUUUGGUUUGGACCCUAUUAAAGUGGGCUGAACUGGUUUGGCGGUAAAUAAUAGAGUUUACAAUGAUUUUUUAUUUUAUCUAUUUAUUUUUUGCUUUUGUUUAUGGCUAAAUAUAAACAAUAGCAUGAGGUGCCGGUGAAAUGGUGGGUUCGAAAUGUAUUUUAAUGGGUCUAGUGCAUAAGUGGUAUGGUUUGGUGUGGAUGAUUGAAGUCAUGGUCUAAUUUGGUUUGGAUUUGACUUUCAUAAAUAUAUGUUUUGGAUUGGUGUGAGUUUGGUUGGGAUCUCAACCCACUGUCAAAUUUAAUAAUGACGAGGAGAAAGGAUGCAUUGUACGUGCCCUAACUGCCACUUAUAGGGUGUGUUUGGUUUAUUUCUCCACUAAGCCUGGCUAGCAAAAAUUGCCCAGGCUAGCUGUAGCCAGUAUUAGUUAUGCAACCAGCACUUGUUUGGUUGUUGUGUCUAAGCAAGUCUGGCCUAGCUAGAUCUUAUUUAGUUGCCAGACUAAGUUCGAGUGCAGUCACGUCUUCUUUGCCAUGGUGAGCUUACCUUCAUCUUCUCUAGUUUGGCAAUGGCGGUGGAAAUCGAUUUGGCGACGGAGGAGUCCGAUUCGGUGGUGUUUCUCCAGAUCCCGCUCGAGGAACACCGGUCCGGGUAGUGUCUCACCAGAUCCACGCAGGAGCCACCACUGACGAGCUCUCCAGAUGGACGGCGAGUCGACCAGGUGCUCCGCCGCGCCAAGGCCAUGAAGACCAAGCUAGAGGCGCUCGACCGCGCCAACGCCGCUAGCCGCAGGCUCCUCGGCUCCGGUACGGGCUCCUCCACCGACCGCACCCGCACCUUUGGGUCCUCGAGCGGCGUCACCGGCCUCGGCCGCGGGUGAAGGUGUUUGAGCUCGAGCGGUGGGGGAGAGCAGCAGGAUGCGGGUGGCUCCCCGGCUGCGGUCCGGGCUCCUCCACCGACCGCACCCGCACCUUCAGGUCGUCAAGCGGCGUCACCGGCCUCGACCGUGGGUGGAGGCGUUGAGCUCGAGCGGUGGGGGAGAACAGCGGGAUGCGUUGCUGUCCGGGCUCCUCCACCGACCGCACCCGCACCUUCAGGUCCUCAAGCGGCGUCAACGGCCUCGGCUGUGGGUGGAGACGUUGAGCUCGAGCGGUGGGGGAGAGUGGCGGGAUGCGGGUGGCUCCGACGAGCUCGAGCGACAGGAUGCGGGUGGAGCGAAUGGGGUACGGAGAAGGUGAACGAACUCAUCCACUGCGCGAGCACAAGCCAGACUUCGGAAGAAUGGCCAAAUCGACCGUUUCUAGGAAGCCACCCAAAUCCCUCCAAUCUGUCUUGUGGUAGCCUGGCUAAUGGGCCAAGCAGGCAUCCAAACAAGCCCAACUUGUAUUACAUAAGCCUGGCUAAACCCUAGUAGAGAGAACCAAACACACUCAUAGAGAGCUUUAACAGCACUAUUGAGGGUCAUAAAACCGCAAAUCUCAUAGUGUACUUUGCUCGCACAUAGGAUCGGUUACCUAAGUCACUUGUCUUAAGUUCUUAGCUAUCUGCAAGUGUGGGUUGUAGGCUUGCAGCGUAGCCUAGUGCUUUAUUAGGAUUAAACAUAUUUUUCUUGUGUAGAUAAGUUUAAACUAGACAAUACAAUGUAAAUUAAUUUCUUGCAAGAUAAAUGAUUGGGCUUUUAACCCUUUAAAAAUCUAAUAUCUAAACCUAUUUAUAGGCUCUUUGGCAACUUGCAGCUUGUUCGUUUAAGCUUAUUAGCCAAAUCUACUAGUCAUUUGGAGACGACAGAGAUAGAUGAAAUGCAAUAGCCUGUUCGCUGAGUCUUAGCAGAAAGUACACUGUUCAUUGUUUUUUUAUAAGAAAAAAAAAUUGUUGAGAUAUUCGGCAAAUAAAGUCGAGCAAAGUGCCGUUUGAUCGGCUCACCGUUGGAGACUGCCUUUGCUGUAUAGGUGGAGAUGACAGGGUCGCCGCUGCACUGCAAAGGAAUUUGGGGAUCUUCAUUAUCCGGUUGCAUAUCACUUUGAUUGGGUCGAGGUGUUUGGGAUCUUGUACUUGGUUUGUACUCCCUCGGUCCCAAGUUAAAUGUCGUUUUCGAUUUUUAUAUUGUAAAUUUAAUUUAAUUUAUAGAAAAUACGUAUAAUAUUUAUAUUUUUAAAUAAAUUUUUAAAAACUAUAUUUAAAUUUUUUAUAAUACUAAUUAUGUAAUAUAAAUAUUAAUAUUUGUAAAUGUAUAUUUAAUUAAAAUUUGGAAAGCGAAAACAAUAGUUAUUGCGGGCAUCGGGGGAUGGGCGUGGGUCGGCCGGCGGGGAUUUUGGAGCAUAGGGCAAUUCCAAUGAUAGAAACCAUGUAUGAUAUCUAAAAAGAUCACGUCAGCAAAAAUCUCUACUAUAAUUGAAAACUUUUUCAAACCAAUUUCUUCCUUCAAGAUCAACGACUCUUAGCCUACCUACUACAGAUGCAACGGGUGAGAUUAAAAGUUUGAUGAGGCUUCCCACUCUCCCUCACCUCUGUUAAAAUUAAGGGCUCACAUAACACCAACGUUAAAUCCAACGGAGGACGUGUGAUGUUUGUCCAAGCUUCUCACCCCCUCCUCAUGCAGCGCCCACACCCUCACGCCCUCCUAUUUCCACGCAAGGAAAUCAGCCAUCAUCCACGCAAUGCUCGCAAGAGUCUUUCUAUUUUCAUGGAAGGUGGCAAAUCAAUCGACAAGAUUCAAAAUCGUCGACGUUGUGGAUAUAGGCACUCCAUCUCCACGCCCACAUACGUGUACACCCGCUGCGCCGCUGGCCUACCUUGCGUUGCGGAGCCCCCACCGCCGAGCAGGCCGUACACCGGCGUCAGGUAGCCUUGAUCUCCGCGUCACCGCUCUGCACAUCUGUGGAUAGAGGCACGCCCACAGACAUCCAGAUCAGCCGCCGGCCUCCCUGACGUCGCGGAGAUCGUGGCUACAAGCAGGUUGUGCACCGGCGCUACACGUCCGUGGAUCAGCUGCGUGCACUUAGACGACCGGUGGAGAUCAUCGGGUGACCGAGAUCAUCUGCUGGCGGCCGAUCGGCUAUGCAGCUAGAUAUCAGGUGUGUGCACUCUGAUUGAAACUUCCAGAUGCAAUCAGCUGUUUUGCUAUUAUUAUGUGGCCGAUGCUUUCAGAUGCACUCUUUGAAAAUUUCAGAUGCCAAAGAGAUACACUUUGAUCUGAAUUGAUAUGACCUUUGGCCCCGCUGUAUGUUUCCUGCCGCUGUAGGUUAUUGCUGAAGUUCAAAUUCGUAGCAGCACUGUCGAGCAAACCAAACAGCUGUAGUUUGAUCUUGUUAGCUUUUGAUGACAUCAUUCUUAGCCAUUUUUUCAAGAUUUUGUUCUAUAUUGAUCUUUGUUUUUUUUUUGCAUUCAAAAUAUACACACCUGUUGUCUAACAUGAUAUUCAUGUUACCUGUUUCUGAUAUGAUGUUUGCAUUCAAAACUUUUAGACUUUUAUGAGUGGUUGAAAGAUGGACAUCGCCGUGUCUGUGGACCAUGGGCUAGAAGAUGGACAACUUGGUGCUCACACAAUCAGUCAGUUCCUCAGGUGUUGCGUGCCGUGCAAUAAAACCAUGGCACAUAUAAUUUUUUUGUUUAAAACUAUGGAAAUCGUGGAUGACAUUUUGGUAAAUAUUUGGUUAAGGAGUUAGAAAGGAUGUAAAUAGUCUGAAAAUAUAAAAAAUAGUGUAAACCAUAAACUCUGCAGAAAAAAAUGGUUCUUUUAAAAGCAUUUUCUAUAAAAAAAUCGUAGCGUUAGUUCGGGUAUUAUACUAGUCAUGUAUAGAAACUAACUCAAACAAUGGUAAAGUCUUCAACUAGUUAGAUUUUUUCAAUCUCCCUUAUCCCUUCCACAUAGAUGCACAACACAUGAAGUAGUGUCCACGACUGCGAGUAUCUUGAGCACCCACUUAUGCAGCAGCAAACUUCUCCCAACAUCAAACACACACAUGCAACAGCGGCGAUCGGCGAGCACGCGGCCAGCAGAGCUAGCGCGUGCAGUGGCCACAGCCGGUGAGCGCGGCCGGUAGAGCAAGCACACGCACCGCGGCCUACGCGAUCGGCAAGCGAGUGAGCGCACGGCCAACAGAGCUAGCGCGUGCAGUGGCCGUGGCUGGCGAGAGCGGAUGGCAGAGCAAGCACGCGCGGUCCGCAGCCUAUGCGACCGGUGCAUCCUGCACAUGCCCUGGCAGCCAGCAAGCGAGCGCGGGCGAGCGCAGCCUGCGCAGUGGCGCGAACGAGUGAGCGCGACCUGCGCGCGGCGUUCGGCGAGCGCAGCCUGCCUGAUGGCGCGUCCUUCAAGGAUGGUGUGCGCACGGCAGCCGGUGGGCAUGCUCGACGGCGCGAACCAGCGAGCGCCGGCCGGCGAGUGCAGUCCGCGCGGCGUCCGGUGAGCGCGAGCAGCGUCAGCGGCCAGUGCACGGCAGCCGGCCAGCGCAACCUAGGUGGAGACGCGGCCUUCACGGACGGCGAGCGUCGCCGGUGUGGCAGCGCGACCUGGGCUCGGCAGCCAGACGUCCCAUCGUGGCUCCACCCACAUAGGAACUACUCGUUUCCUCCCAACGAGAAAACGACGAUUUCUUCGUGGCUCAUUGCGAGUGUCGACGUUGUUUUCCUCUGAAGAAACGAUUUUGUCAAAUUUUCUUCUUUUUCUUCAUUAAUUAAAUUGUCAUAUUAUAUUUUUGUUUAGUUGGCAGUAUAGUUGAUAAAGAUAGAAACUAUCAUAAAUAGUCUAUUGGGACUACCCUUAGCUGCGGCAGUCUAGGAAUGAGAUAUGACACGGGAAAUGGGGGAAGUAGAUCGUGGUGAAGCCUAUGAGAAAGGAUGCGAAUAAUUUUUCUUCGAAAGGAAGGCUGUGAUUUAUUUUUGGAGAGUAAGGCUUAUGAAAAUCUUUUGUUUUUUUAGUACUAUAGCAUUUUUAUUUUUAUUUGAUAAUUAUUAUCUAAUUAUGGACUAAUUAGAUUCAAAAGAUUUAUAUCACGAUUUACAGGUUGUGUAAUUAGUUUUUAUUUUUAUCUAUAUUUAAUGUUUCGAUAUGACGUAGAAUUUUGAAAAGUUUUUUGGUUUUUAGAGUAAAAGUCUAAGAUUGUGAAUAAUUGAUUUAAUAGAAACAAAAAAGAUCCUAAUUACUCCUCACAAAUUUGGCUAUGUGUACAUAAACCCCUAAACUUAUCGAAGUCGAAGAGCAAGCGAGAGGAGGCGGCAGACGCUGCAAUUUCGGGCUUGGAGGAGACGAUCGUGGAGUGCCUCUCUGGCGGGAGUUCCUCCUCAUGGGGAGCUCGGACGAAGACUCCGACUCCGGGGAGGAGGAGAUGGAAUUGCGUCCUGUGAAGAGGACACCGUGGCUUGGGGUUCUCAAGGACUUAGGUAUCGAUCUGAUCGAGAAAUUUAACGCUGUCGGCGGCCUAAUUGUACGUUUGUUUGCGUCCUCAAGCCCGUGUUGCCGUUUCCAUCUUUGCUAGUCUUUCUUUUUUGUUUGUUUGUUUGUUUUCUUUGUCAUUUCGCGAAAUGCUAUAUGAUGGUACAGUAUUUUCUUGCUCCUCCACACCCGAAUUUUUCCUGCACCAAUAUCUUCACGCUCUUCUCCAUUUCUCCAGAGAGAUUUAUCUCGUCCAGCCAAUUCCAGUGAGUUAGGGUUAGGGAUUUAGGAGUUGGGGUUUGGGGAUUUCGGGACUGAGUAUUUUUAAGAGUGAGUUAAGACCUGAAUCAUGCUUGUUCCUACAAAGGUGGAGAACUGUCGGAUAUAAGUAUUGAUGUAGAUCCUAGGAGUACAGAGGAGUACAGAGUAUACAUCCCCUCAACGAACAUAAUUCAUGUCUUUAUACUGUUGCUUCAAAAGACUUUUUUUUUAAAGUGAACUGGCAUGAGCUCUGCCUUUCAAUUAAGAUUGGAAAAGGAGUUUAUGUACAGCAGUUCCCCCUCCUCCCAACUUUGAUCUGGGGAUUGAGAAACAAAAUACAAUAACACUAAAAACGAUUAUACGCUUCAAAUUUGGGCCCUCCUCCAGUGUAGGAUGUCUUCUUUUGUUCUCGCAGCCACCUGCAGCGCCGUCUCAGGCGAGUUGGAGAAAAUUCUCCUGUUCCUUUCUUUUCAGACGUUCCAGAUGGUGUAGAUGACUAGUCCAUUAAAACGCCUCCAGUCAUUCUUGGCUAUUCUAGAUUGGGCUUCCUCCCACCAUGUGAGGAGACGGGCUGGUUCAGUUGCCGGUAGUACUUGGGCGGCAUCAAAGUUCUCCCACUGAAGGAUCUGCUCCCAUACUAGUCUGGAGAAUGGGCACAGUAAACUGGAGCUACCUACUUGAUGUCCUGCGUGCUCUUGGCUUCGGCACAAGAUGGUGCGAAUGGGUAUCCAUGCUGUUUCGCACUGCCACCUCGAGGGUGCUCAUCAAUGGCCUGCAAGGUCCGAGCUUCCACCAUGCCAGGGGAGUUCGCCAAGGCGAUCCUCUAUCGCCAAUGCUCUUUAUCCUCGCCAUGGACCCCUUGCAGCGUAUGCUUGAGCUAGCAACCCAAAAUGGCGCUAUAUCCCCACUACCCUCGACCAUUGCUAGAUGGAUAGUUUCCCUGUAUGCGGACGACGCGGCCAUCUUCUUAAACCCUACAAAGGAUGACAUUGCUGCAACCCAAGUGGUUCUCCAAGCUUUUGGCAACAUCUCCGGACUCCACAUUAAUAUGGAUAAGAGCUCCGUCCACCCGAUCAGAUGUGAAGACAUAGACCUUGAUCAUGUCCUUGGGUCUUUCACCGGGAUCAGAGGCACCUUCCCUUGUCGCUACCUCGGACUUCAGCUACACACGCGUGCGCUGCGAAAGGUUCAUAUACAGCCACUCAUCGAACGAAUUGGGCAGAGACUUCCCGGAUGGAAAGGGAAGUGGCUCAACAGAGCUGGACGCCUUACUUUAGUCCAGUCCGUCCUCUCGGCUAUUCCUACAUAUCACCUAACGGUAUUCCCGUUACCUGUUUGGGCCCGCAAAAGCAUAGACAAGAUCAGAAAAUCUUUCUUUUGGAAAGGAGAGGAGAACGCCAAUGGGGGACAUUGUCUUGUCAACUGGCCAACAGUAACUAGACCAAAGGACCUCGGGGGGCUCGGGGUACCGGACCUCAAGAAAUUCAGCAGGGCACUGCGGCUGAGAUGGCUUUGGAAAGAAUGGGUGGACACCUCCAAGCCGUGGGUGGGAAUGGCGGUCCCCUACAACGAUCUUGAUCGGGCCCUGUUCUUGGCAUCUACUAGAGUUACCAUUGGGGAUGGUCGAAAGGCACGAUUCUGGCACGAUAGCUGGCUUGAUGGCGAGGCCCCAAAAUUCCUAGCACCCAGCCUUUUCGAGGUCAUCAGGUUCAAGAACAGGAACGUGCACUUCGAGUUCCGGAACAACGCCUGGAUAGCUGCACUGAGGGGGCGAAUCUCCACCUACCAGCAGGUAGAAGAAUUCAUCUCAGUGAUCUUUCUUUUGGAAAGGAGAGGAGAACGCCAACGGGGGACAUUGUCUUGUCAACUGGCCAACAAUAACUAGACCAAAGGACCUCGGGGGGCUCGGGGUACCGGACCUCAAGAAAUUCAGCAGGGCACUGCGGCUGAGAUGGCUUUGGAAAGAAUGGGUGGACACCUCCAAGCCGUGGGUGGGAAUGGCGGUCCCCUACAACGAUCUUGAUCGGGCCCUGUUCUUGGCAUCUACUAGAGUUACCAUUGGGGAUGGUCGAAAGGCAUGAUUCUGGCACGAUAGCUGGCUUGAUGGCGAGGCCCCAAAAUUCCUAGCACCCAGCCUUUUCGAGGUCAUCAGGUUCAAGAACAGGAACGUGCACUUCGAGCUCCGGAACAACGCCUGGAUAGCUGCACUGAGGGGGCGAAUCUCCACCUACCAGCAGGUAGAAGAAUUCAUCUCAGUGAUCUUUCUUUUGGAAAGGAGAGGAGAACGCCAACAGGGGACAUUGUCUUGUCAACUGGCCAACAAUAACUAGACCAAAGGACCUCGGGGGGCUCGGGGUACCGGACCUCAAGAAAUUCAGCAGGGCACUGCGGCUGAGAUGGCUUUGGAAAGAAUGGGUGGACACCUCCAAGCCGUGGGUGGGAAUGGCGGUCCCCUACAACGAUCUUGAUCGGGCCCUGUUCUUGGCAUCUACUAGAGUUACCAUUGGGGAUGGUCGAAAGGCACGAUUCUGGCACGAUAGCUGGCUUGAUGGCGAGGCCCCAAAAUUCCUAGCACCCAGCCUUUUCGAGGUCAUCAGGUUCAAGAACAGGAACGUGCACUUCGAGCUCCGGAACAACGCCUGGAUAGCUGCACUGAGGGGGCGAAUCUCCACCUACCAGCAGGUAGAAGAAUUCAUCUCGCUAUGGAUCAGGAUACAACAGGUUCACCUAAUGCCGGGCACUCCCGACACCAUCAUCUGGAGAUGGACAGCUAGUGGUGCUUAUUCCACCAGUUCAGCAUGUAGGAUCCAAUUUUCUGGGUCCUAUAGAGCUUUUAGAGGAGACUUCAUAUGGAAAGCGCACACAAAGAACAAAUGCAAGGUUUUUGCAUGGAUCAUGGCACGGGAAAAAGCUCUCACGGCAGAUAACCUACAGAAGAAGGGUUGGCCCCACCAAAAGCAUUGCACCUUGUGCAAUGGACCCCUGGAAGCUUCAAAAGAUUUAAUGAUUCUUCAAAAGGUUAAUGGUUCUUUUUUGCCUUGUUGUUACUUCUUUCAUUCGAAAGAUAAGUUGGCAAAGGUAUGGGUCUGGGAAAUGCUGCUGCCAUACAAGUGUAACCCUGACUGGUCUGACUAUUGCAACUACCUUGGGGAAUAUUACAAGCUCCAUCACAGUGUUAUUGCUCAAGUUCCCUUGAUCUAUCUGACAUUUGGCUUUCUGUUAUUAAUGAACACUCCCAAAAACUUAAUAUGUUGUAUGACUAGUUGCUAAGGAUGGCCUGUGCCUUGCAUGCUUACUUUUUUUUUUUGAAAAAAUGGCAGGAGCUCUGCCCUUCAAUUAAGAACGGGAGUAGAAAAGGUGUUUUAAGUACAAAUAGGACCAAAAACAGUCCAGUCGGUACAGCAACAAGAAAGAAAAACUCCCUAUUGAAACGCUCUUGUUCUUUGCUCUAUAUCGUGCCUUGCAUGCUUACUGUUUCACCUGCUAUGGAUUGUUUGGUUUACCAUCACAACCUUCAGUAAAGUAUAUUGGCUCCUUGGAUAGCAUUUUGAUUAUGUUAUUUGAUUUUUUAUGAUACACUUAUAAAACAAUCGAUUCUAGUGUAUCACCAAGGAGGCUGACCUGAUCUGUAAGAUGCUGAGUGUUGGUGCCAAGCCUUCUAAUUACAUAAUCAUUCAAAGCACUGAGAUCCUCAUGUGCGCUUUAAGCCUUACGAACCACCAAUUGUGUGAUUCUGUUCCUGCUGCUGCUGCUAUGGUGGUACAUCCCUGCCUGCAUCACGCCUCUUAAUGUUAUAUCCAUUCCUUUCUUUGUUUAAUUUGCGACCAACUUAUGUGACCUAACCGCUAAGUGUUGGGUGGUUUACUGGCUUGAAUUCAAGAGAAUCAUGAAGGAGACUAAUAAAAUAUGUGACUGGAUAAGACAAAACUGUAAGCCUUUUGACACGACCGACAUGGACUUGGAUAAUGAUUUCGAGUUGGGUCGCCAAGUUCGGCAGGGAACCCUGGACUUCAUGACCAGCCUGCUGGAAAAGUCUCCCUUUUCUGUUUCUGCUGCUGCUACUGAGCAAAAACCUGUUGAGGAAAAAUAUUUUAUUGGAAAUAUUCCUAGAAAUGAUGGGAAUGACAUUGCUCCUGCUGAAGCAGCAAACUCUACAGGGUAUGUAUAGUCUAUCCUUUCUUGACACAACAAAGUGUAGAUAGUGUUUGAUUAUAUUAUCUGAUAAUGUAAGAGAGUUAGGUUGAUUAUUUUCGACGAGAAAAUUAAAGCAUUGUGAUGCUGUAUCAUUGUACUGUGCUAUCACCAGGGGGAACACACCCGGUCAGGAAAAGAUCACUGGCGCAGAUAUUAGUAAGAAGAGGAUGGAAGAUGCAGACAAAGAAGCAAAUGACCAAGGUAUACCCCUUGUAAUUUUUUGUCAAGUAGUGAAAUCGCAUGAUUCAUUGUCUUAAUACAGUUGUUUCAAAAGAUUUAAUGAUUCUUUUUUUCUUUGUUGUUAAUCUUUUGAAAAGAUGUGUUGGAAAAAACAUGGGGGUGGGACAGGCUGCUGCCAUUGAAGAGUCCUAUUGAGUGGUCUGACUAUUGCAACUACCUUCGGCAGUAUUACAAGCGCAAUGCCAGUGUUGUUGCUGAAGUUACUGGCAGCUUGGUUGCUUUGGCCGAAGUUGUAACUAUACAAGUAUACAACUGCCCUUUCUAAACCAUCAGCCAAAGCCUCCUAAUUUUUUUCUUUGCUUAUCUUCUUGCUAUGUUGAAUUAAACUGGUUGUCAAAUAGUGUUUCAAGAAGGAGGAGGAACUUGUGUCUUUGUGGAAGACUCAGGUUUUUCGUUCCCAUAUUGUGAUCUUGCCUGUCAACACUAUCACUCAGAGUAACCUGAUCCAGGAGCAUGCACAUUCAUUCAUAUGUUCUGACUUCCUGUUGCUUCCACUGUUGCUUUUGCGGUAUGUGCCUUAACUGGGCCUAAAUAAAGCAAAAAAUUGUGUCGUAUUCAUUGCAGAAAUACUACUACUACUCUCUAAACCUACUGACCAAAUGUGUGUUGCAGUUGGCAAUUACCUACUGACCAGAUCAUAAAGGGAAAAGACAUGUUUAGUGUGUGUGUGUGGGUGGGUGGGUGGGGGGGUGGUGUUCUCUAUCAAGUUAAUUGUUACGAUAUAUAAACUAGUUGGACUCAUCUUUACAAGAAGGGUAAGAGAUUAUCUCUUUCAAGCAAUUGUAAAAUACUACAACUACAGAUUGGUUAUUGUGAUCACCAGCAACAACAAUAUUAUCUUUGGUUAGAAUGCAUAUUUUAUGGUUUUUAGUCCUGUCUUCACAGUUCUAUUUUAUCAAUAUUGAAAUACCUGCCUAUGGCACAUUUGAUAACCGAUUGCGACUGGUUCUUUAGUAAAAUUGCCAAGCAAUGUACUGUCAUCUAACGUUUGUGAUCUGCUUCUUGCUGCAAAACGGUGCAAGAUCUAAUCUUUUAUCUUUUUAUUGUUGCAGACUUUAUAUCUAUUUGUUGUGGUGCCAUUUUAAUUGUGCCAACUUGGCCCUGAGCCCUACAUGCUCACUGUUUCACUACUUUUAUCCAACUCAGCACAUGCACUUUCAGUAAUGUAGUACUUCUUUUAUGGCUUUUGACUAAUGCAAAACUUUGGUUUCAAGUGUAUUAGCAACGAGGCUGACCUGAUAUGUGAGCUUCUAAAGCAUGGUGCUAAGGCUACUGAUGGCAUCAUCCAGCAGAGCAGCAUGAUCCGCAUGUGCACCUUGAGCCUUAUGCACCUACAACUACAAGGAUUCCAUGCCAUUGAUGCCGCCGCAGCCAUGGUGGUAAGUGCCCGCCUGCAUCACGCCACCUCUGCCAAAACACUCUUAGGUUUAACUAGCAUCCUAAUACUUGCUGGCACUUACUACACCAAUGGCUUCAAUUGAAGGGCAUCACAAAAGAGUGCAAAUUGAUGUGUGAUUGGAUAAAAAAAGAGGACAAGCUUAUCACCUUUGGCUUUUUCACACGGCACAGGCUUGAGGAAUGCCGCUUGAUUCGCAUCAGAACCUUGGAUGUUAUGCUCAGCAUACUGAAAGGGUCUUCCUUUCCUCCUUCCAAGGUUAGUGGAAUGGGUGAUCAGAAUGGAGCUGCUGUUGGAUUUCAUUUGGCUUCUUCAUCAUUUGGUGGGGCAGUCCAGCUAUGAAAUGUUGUUAUGCCCUUUUGUUUGUAAUAUAGGAUUUAUUCAUUUAGUUCUAAUACUAAUUAUCUUCACAUGAUCAUUCAAAAUGUUGAGCAGGUUAGCUCGACAUGGGAUGAGCCGAUUGGUUGGCCACUUCGCUAGGAUAGCAUACAGAUUUCUUUUUUUCACUUAGCAUUUAAUGCCGCUUGUGUCCUGUUAAUCAAAUUCGACUUUAUUCAUAUCAUCAUUUAAUGGUAUGCCUUGUGCCAGUGUUAAAAAUUUUAGACUCAUUAUUGGUGGCGAACAUGCCAAUCACUCAGGAACGAAUUGUACAUGUUAAUCUUAGGUUAUCAUGAUGGUUCUGGCACCUAUUUUGUUUUCAUGUGUAGUACUUGAUUAACUGAUUCAUGAUAUUUCUUUUCUACUGCAGAUGUGGCUUGAUCUAGUGGCUAAUAACUAGAAACAAUGAUGGUGGGCAGCUCCAUGGAUGAAGUUUCUUUUGGCUGGAACACCCUAAACCCUAAAUCCUAAACCCUAAACAUUAAGCACAGUACUCGUUGCGGAGUAUAUGUCAUGGUUGUCAAACCAAAUUGUAACAACUACUAGAAUGCACUGUGCUAUUUAAAUUUGUUGCUCCAAUGACAUAUCUUUGGAUUUAACUGCACCGUUAAGUUUUGUAGUCCAAACCUCAUGUCGCACUUUGGCAGCCGCGGGACGUUCACGCGCUGCCGCAUCUGAACUUAUAUCCUGCAAGGAGGAAUGACUUAGGUCCCGUUUAGUUUGAGGAUGAAAAUUUUUUAGGUGUUACAUCGAAUAUGUCGGAAGAAUGUCGGAAAGGGUUUUUAGAAACUAAUAAAAAAACAAAUUACAUAGCUCGUCAGGAAACUGCAAGACAAAUCUAUUAAGUAUAAUUAAUCUAUCAUUAGCACAUGUGAGUUACUGUAGCACUCAAGGCUAAUCAUGGAGUAACUAGGCUUAAAAAAAUUCGUCUCACGAUUUUCAACCAAACUGUGUAAUUAGUUUAUUUUUUUUAUCUACAUUUAAUGUUCUAUGCAUGUGUCCAAAGAUUCGAUGGGAUGGUUGAAAAAUUUUUGGGUGAGUAACUAAACAGGGCCUUACAACUGCAAAGUGACAGAUUAUGUGGAUUGAUUGAAACAGCCAGUCUGGCUGAUUAUAUUAGCUGUUUGUUAGAGCAUCUCCAAGAGCUUGGCUAAAAUUAGUAGCCAAAUUCUAAUGUUUAGUCAUUUUGUAAAAUAUAUAACUUCUUAAAAAAGAAGAGGUUCACAACAGUCUUGCUAUCAGAUAGCUAGUGCCAGUGGUUGGCUAUAUAUGGCCAACGAAAAUCAAGGAUAGCAAACUUUCUAUUUUACAAAACCAAAUAGCACAUCUGUUGGAGUCUAUUUUUCUACUACAAAAGUUCUAAAAGGCCUCCAUAACAAGAAUAGCACGGAGUUGCUCUUAGCUUGUUAUCCGGGUCCUUCCGUGGUUAAUUUGUGGCUCAUAACUAAACCAUCUGCCGCGCGUCAGGUAUCCAAUGAAUUUGAUGCAAGAUACGAUACUAGGCUCACUCAUGUAUAGGGGCUCAUUCCUAUUGUUUAUCACCAUUGUCCAAAGACUGGAAACCCUUGUUCCAAGACUUGGAGUAAAAUUAACAGGUGCUCCAUAUGCACGUCGUGUUCAAGUUAGGGAUUUUUCUUUGGAAAUGUGUUCCAGAUAUGUCUGAAAAGGACUUAAAUUAUAAAAAUAACUUGAGCAUAUUUAAAAAUAAGCUUAAGUUGAAUUUUAACAUUAAAGAAAGUUUCAAAGAUCCUUUAUUUUGGCUUUCAAAUGUGGUUUGAAAAUAUUUUAAAAUAGUCAUUUAAAAAUGUUUUAAAAUGAUUUCAAAAUAGCUUUCAAAUAAUUUCAAAUAUAACUUCUAAAAAUAUGGUUUGCAAAGUAAAGUUUGAAAAAGGUCUCUAAAAGAGAUAAUUUUGACCUUCAAAAUUACUCCCUCUAUUCCAAAUUAUAUGAUUUUAUAGCUUUUUCUCCAUGUACUUAGAUAUACACUAUGUCUAAAUAAACUAUAAAAUCAACCUACUUAGAAAAUCCAAAACAUGUCUUAAUAUUUGUUACGGAGGCAGUAUUUUACAAGGAUUUUCAAAAUAUAGUUCAAAUGAAAUUCAAAAAGGUGGUUUAACAGAGUUCGGAACAUAUUUGUUUGUUUCCUCCAAAUCUACCAAAGUCUGAAAGGUUCAACUCUCAAAUGUUUAAAACAUAUUUGAAAUAUACUGUGCAAUAUUUUAUAAAAGGUAAAAACUUUUCAUGGGCCAAAUCUCAUUUGGAAAACCCCACCCAGCCCAAAAUUUCUUUUUCCUCCCUCUAUUAUUCUGCCGGGUCAUUCUUUUCUUCGGGCCUAAAGGCACCAGCCCACAAACCCCCUUCUGCCCUUCUUCGUUACCUUUUUUUUUUUUUUUUUGCGAACAGGUAAUUUGCUUGCUGCAUUUCAUCCCUGAACCUGAAUGGAAGUCGCUGAGAAUCUUCAACCCUAGAGAUCGGAUCCUCUGGCUGUCUCAGAGAAUGGAGAUGGUGGUACGCAGCAGCUUGGCGCCUUCCUUCGCCUACCUCAUUGCACUCGUAAUCAGCUCAGCUGGAGGGCAGUCUCGUCAUUCCGGCAGCUCUUCCACCAUGCCUUGCCUUGACCUUCCUAUUCUUCCCCCACAAAGCACAGGGCCUUAUCUGCUCUGCUGCUCUCUCUCCCUCCCCACCCCACUCGCCGUCUCCAAUUCCAAUCCGUGCUCUUGUGCCAAGUCAGGCAAUCAAUCAAAGAGUCCAAAGAUCCCAGCUUUCCCAUGGCGAGCGUCGAUCUCCCGCCUCCUCCUCCUUCCGAGGAGACGCCGGCGGCAGUGGCGGCGGCCGAGGAGGACGAGGACCUGAUCGAGAUCGUGGAGGAAGGUUCGGGGCGGCUGGACAUCGCCCGGUACGUGGACCACGUGCGGGACCUGUCGGCGGGCGCCAUCGCGACGUUCGAGGGCACGACGCGGGACCACUUCGCGGGGCGGCGCGUGGUGGAGCUCCGGUACGAGGCGUACGCGGCCAUGGCGCGGCGCCGCCUGGGGGCCAUCCUGCGGGAGGCCCGGUCCCUGCACGCGCUGCGGCGGCUGGCCGUGGCGCACCGCCUGGGCGCCGUCCCCGCCGGGGAGGCCAGCGUGUUCGUGGCCGCCUCCGCCACGCACCGCGCCGACGCCAUGGAGGCAUGCCGCUACGUCAUCGACGAGCUCAAGGCGUCCGUUCCCAUCUGGAAGAAGGAGGUCUACGACGACGGCGAGGUCUGGAAGGAGAAUCGCGAGUUCUUGGACCGCCACGCCGGCGACGCCCACGGCAACGGCUCGGCCGCCGCGGCGCAGACGAAGGCGGGCGGGUGCUGCGGGAGCAAGGUCAGGGUGCAGGAGGCUUAAUGGUGAUGGAUGGCGGCGCCCGGCUCUCUCCAUCGCCAUCGCAAUCGCAAUCCACGGGAGUGGGUGGUGUUUCAUGAAAUUCUCUGUACAACUCGAUGCCCGUUGACUAAUUUUUCCUCCAGUUUUAUUGCUGAGAGAGACUACUGCUAAGUACAUCUUGAAGUUGAAAGGCAGAUAGAUGUUUUGAGAAAAGUGAGAAGUGAUGAGGGAAAAUAGUACAGUAAAGAUUUGUUUCUGAAAAAUUCAGUUUGUUGGAAGAAACGGCAUGUGAAGUCACGUUUCUAGAUUCUAUCUAUGCCUUGUAUACCAACACAACAUGGCGAAAAAAUAACACGAAUUCUGUACUCUUUGAGGAGCCAUGGAAUGCAGAAAUUUCACAUGAAUUAUAUAGAAACUUUAUAGGAAAAAUUUUCUGGAUUCCAAAUGGGCAUAACUAUGGAAUUGCUGAAAGCCAAGAACUGCAUAUGAUGAUAUGAAGAGGUGUUGAUGUUGUGGUCUGAAUCUGAAACUUGACAGGAGUUUUGUAACUGAAACACGAGUGGGUGGUAUGGUACUGCGAGGAGAGGAAGGAGGGGAGACGAAAAUACAACAGAGCAGUAAGAAUGAUUCUGACGAUUCCACGUUUGAGACGGCAUAAUAACAUCUUAACAAUUUGGAACAGAGGAGAGAGUAGUUUCUGGAACUCUGACUCUGAGACAGGGGCCUGAAACUGGACAAGACGAGGAAGAGGGGUUUAAAUCUUCUGGAAUCUGAAACUGGGCACAGGAGUCUGUUGUAUUGGAUGGAAACUUGCCUCUCCUAGCCGUUUUCAAUUAUUCAUUCACGUGUAAUGACUACAUGUUGGAUGUAGGAAGCUCCCAUUUCAUAACUCAAUUAUAUAUGGCUGUAUGAAACUGUCAAACAUCAAAGUGGCUGUAGUUUAGUGGUGAGAAUUCCACGUUGUGGCCGUGGAGACUUGGGCUCGAAUCCCAGCAGCCACAGUUGUAGUUUUAAAAUAUUUUUUAGUCCUUUAUUGCCAUGAUUUUCAAUUUUUUUUAGUCCUACCAGCCAUGGUUUUCAUUUCUCUUCUCAGUCCUUUUGCAGCCAUAUUUAUUCGCAUAUUUAUGGUCCUUUUUUUUGUAUCUCAUGUGCGCAUGAGCCACAGUUGUAGUUUUAAAAUAAUUUUUAGUCCUUUAUUAGCCAUGAUUUUCAUUUUUUUUUUAGUCCUACCAGCCAUGGUUUUCAUUUCUCUUCUCAGUCCUUUUGCAGCCAUAUUUAUUCGCAUAUUUAUGGUCUUUUUUUUGUAUCUCAUGUGCGCAUGAGGAGGUGACAUUUAUUUAAAUUUAGCAGCCACAUUUGUUUUUUUUUCAGUCUUAUUUUUGUCUCAUGUGCGAAGGUGAGAUUUUUUUUUUUCUAGCCCUUCAGCAGCAACAACUUUUUAUAUAUAUUUUUCGGUCCUUUUUUCUUGUCACUUAUGUGCGCAGGAGGUGACCUAGAUGAAGAGUUCUGGCAGGGCAGGAUCACGACUCACGAGCCAGCUUGGCUCAGGCUCACCUCACGUUGGCUCGUUAUUCAAAUGAGUUGGCUCAGCUCGACUUGCGUUAAUUCAACACAAAAAAAUGCUAGCUUGUCUCUGCUUGUUAGGAUUGUGGAUUGUAAACUAGGUAAAGUCAUGGCUAAAAAAACUAUUCACUGAUUUAUUACGACAGAAAAACACUGUUAGCUGACAGAAAAAAUACAACUUAUAUAGAUGGACCUAGGUCAUGGUCAAAAGGACAUGGACUGAUGGACAUGGGUCGGCCUUUGACUAGGUGUUUGGCAGCGCUCAAGACAUCGUGGUUCUCUUAUGUGUCCAUCUCCUCCAAGUCAAAACUUUUUUAGGGCUCCUCCAGGUCAAAAUGUCGUGUACAAUAGAGUUUUGUGGCCUGUUUUGGAGGGCGGUUAGAGCGCAGACAUAAUUUAUGGACCUUAAAAAAAGUUUACAAACCAAGGCCUUGUUUACUUUCGAUUUUUUUUUUUUUGAUUUUGAUAGUGUAGCAAUUAGUUUUUAUUUUCGUCUCAUAAAUUACAGACAAAUUGUACAAUUAUUUUUUAUCUUCGUCUAUAUUUAGUGCUCCAUACAUAUGUCAUAAGAUUCGAGGUCAAAGUUUUUAGAUUUUGGGGUGAUCUAAACAAGGCCCAAGUAGGGGGUAAACCUACAAAAACCGUGUCCAGCCCAUUCUUUCUGGCGGACGAAGCCCAAUCCAAAUAGCGGCUCGGCCCAACGAAAUUCAAUCGGCCUGCGCGGCCUGUCUAGCGUUCUCCGUUCCAUCUCCACCUGUCGCCGUCGUCGUCCUCCUCCUGUCCAGCUCCGUCCCUGUCCCCGGCUGGGCGACUCCUCAUGGCGUCGCCUCCUCCCGUGGCGGCUGCCGCGGGGCCUCACAGCGUCUUCGUGUACGGAACUCUGAUAGCGGAGGAGGUGGUGCGGGUCCUCCUGGGCCGAGCACCGCCUUCCUCCCCCGCAAUCCUCGCCGACCACCGCAGGUUCAGCAUCAGGGGCCGCGUCUACCCGGCCAUCCUCCCCGCCCGCGGCCACGCGGUGAGCGGAAAGGUCCGCGUCCGCCUCUCACUCUCUACGGCUGAAACAUGGAGGCGAACGCCGCCGAGACAGCUCUCGUCUGAAUCCGUUGCCUCUGUGCUCCGUCCAGGUUCUCAAGGAGCUCACCGACAGGGAACUCCAUGUGUUCGACAUGUUCGAGGACGAGGAGUAUGUGAAGACAACCGUCGAGGUCUCACUGGCUGUGAGUACAUUGCAACCGUAUUUGCAACAUCUGAUUCUGAUCGACUCCCCAUGCUUAUCUCCCAUUGUUCUGAACUUCUGAACCUUAGUAGCUCAGAUGGUUGAUGGUUUCAUUUUUCAAUGAUGAAAAAGGAUGGUCUGCGGUUUUGCAGGAUGCACAGGAGAAAUCAAUCGCCUGCGCCUACAUAUGGGGCAACGAGCGUGAUCCUGACCUCUACGGGGAAUGGGAUUUUGAGGUCUGACUGAAUGUCACCGUAUGAUGUUCGUGUUUGUCAGUGUGGCGCUUUGAUUUGCAUUGAUGAUUCUGUUUGUGGGCUGUAGGAGUGGAGGAAGGUGCAUUUGAAGGACUACCUUGAGAUGACUCAGGAAUUCAUGCAGGAACUCGGGCAAUUUUAAGACACUUCUCCUCUGGUUUGUAACUACACAGGAUCCUUGCAAAAUUACCAUAGAAUAAUCUGUGUCAUAGUAGAGCCUCUUGUGCUCAUAUAGAGUCGACGAGUGAUUGCUCCACGAUGCAUUUCUUCUGUUCUUUUGGAACAUACAGAUGUUUACUUGAGUCAUUUGGAUGUGAACAAAUCGACUCUUCUCUUCUGCCUGUUUUUGCUGUGUUAUCCUGUGAAAUCCGCUUCCUACUAGAUGCCUACCACUAGCAGUGACGUUUACUGCUCUAUAUAUCUAGAUCUGACUAGUUGACAGUAAAAUGUCUAUAUAGAAAUCUGUCGUUAAACUUUACCAAAAUGAGACGUAUAGAGUUUCCUCGUAGUGCCAGUGCGAUAAAAACCUGGUUAUAGUUGAACAAGUACACCUACAAAUGGAGACGGACAGGUUGUCCAUUUGUUGAUUUUCUCAAAAUAGAUAAAGGAAUAACAAUGGGGAAAAACAAGAAAGAAUAGCAAGCAUGUGUAAGAACACCUAAAGGCCAUUCACAUUACACAAAUAGUACUAAUCAGUAGAACCUCUUAAAUCUGCUUCAGUAUUUUCUGAACUGAGACUCAUAGUGCUACAUGGGUUUCAAGCAACCCCAGCAGCAGUUCAAUACACAAUUACAAAUACUCUCCAUCAAAAUACUUUAUCUUCAGAUCUGCCUACUCUGUCUGUAGUUCAGACUUUGCCUAACCCUCUGUCUGAAGUUUUGACUCUGCAAUGGCUCUAUAUAUCUAAAACAUACCCUAAUCUGAGGAGUGCUCUGCCAGCUAUAAAAGCCUAGACGUCUACAGCAUCCUGCAUUGCUUGGCGAUAAUUCUGUAGAUGGCUGGACACUGGUUGCUUUUUGCAACCAUAGUUCUCAUCUCCCAUUCUGAAUUCAUAAUUGUGAAAUACAGUUCAACAACUAACACAGGGAUGAAAGGAAAUACUGUAAGCAAACUGUGUAUGUACCUGUGAUCACGUCAUUCAAAUUGAUCGUAGAAGCCGAUCGAAGGGUUACCAGGGUUCUGGUCACAGCGAGGCUUCCAGGCAUUCCCACCAUCUGAGCUGCUGCAAGCCUGGUUGGAGAGGACAUUGUUCCCCAAAUCACCGUCUAAGCUCAUCUGUUGCACUUCUUGGGGGGAUAGGAUCCUAAUGCACUUCACACAAUUCACAAACUCCCUGUGUAAUUCACAUCACAUUUUAUUACAAUAAUAACCAACGAAAUUCUUUUUCUAUCAUUUAUAUUCAGUGCGUUUACGAAAUUUACACUCUAUAAGCUCCAGCAUACACUUAUCAAUAAAAAGGAAGACACAGGCACAUUGCUGUUCACUUUUGUACUUUUUUUACUAUAUUACAUUCCUAGACAAUAUACACAUCUACAUUGGGCACUUCUACAAUAUUAUUUUUCUUGACAACUUUUCAUAGUGAAAAUACAAAAUUUAAUAUAAAGCAAAAAUAGGAAGGUAAACUUACUCCCAUGGGUCAUCACCGAGAAGUAGGAUGUCAUCCUCAUGAUCCUUGUAGACUAACUUCCAGCCUAUUCGCUGUCGGUCCUCAAGUUGGCCCUCUAUACCAAACAUGCGGGCCAAAGCAUGCUUCAAUUCUUCAUAUCCAGAGAACCUACCUAUGUCAAUGGACCGGCCUACAGCUCCACGCUUGUAGACCUACAGGAUUUAUGUUACCGUCACUUUUAUGAAAAUGUUAGGUUCACAUUCAAAAGAAUGAUGGCUAUAGCAAACAAAGCACAUGCUCAAGAGUUUAUGGCUCCAGAGUGAGCAUGGUCAUAGAAGGUACCAAUUGCCAAGUGUCCAGUCCUUGACAAGCUUUUAAAGCUAUAUGUGACCACCUCAUCAACCAUACAUCCAAGCAAGCAUAAAUACACCUAUCACGUUUGAAUCAUGAUUUCAAAACUGCUUGACAGUAGCUGACUACUCAACUGGCAUAAUAGCAUGGCACCAUAUACUAGCACAGCUAAAACCAUAAAUGCGCUCUUGAAAAGACAGUUAUACAUUUGCUUUUCUACUAGUCUGAAUAUGACAAUUUUUUACAUGUGAAUUUUUUAAAUGUACUUCACAUAUAUUGUCAUAUCUGCUCCCAUAUUUCAUCUUAUAUUUGGUGUUCAGGAGUGAUCAGAAGUGUAUUCCAUUCUUCCCUUAAAGCCCCGCAAUUUAAUAUUCAGGAAUUAGUAAAUACAACAACAAAAGCAUACUGUUGAAUGUUAUAAUAUCAGUAAGUUGGGUUAUGUAAAGAAGCACAAACCUUUGUGAAUGUCCGCAUUCUCUGUGGUGGAGGUGCAGGGGGCCAAGAAUUUCUGUUCAACAUGGCACCAUCGUUGAUUGCAGAAUCAAUUGAGUUAAAAGCUAUAUCAGACUGACCAAAUGACUGUGAAACCAUGGAGGUUGAGAUCUCUUGUUGGGCAUCCUUUUGUAUUCGGUAAUUGUUCUCAACAUCAGUUGACAAAUUAGUCUGACACUUCACAGGAUUAAGUGCACUUACCAACAAGCCUUCUGUUUCCAUAGGAAAGCUCAAUGGACCAUCAUUGUUGAUCCCAAAGAAAGCAUUGUUAGUUGGAUCCACUUCUUGAAUUUCCACAUCUGCAAGUGCAUCUUUGAACAUUUGUUGCUGGUUCAAGUUAGAAGUGGGGAAUCCUUGAUGCAAAAGUCCAUCUGUUUGGGUAGGCCAUAACGAAGUUGCUGAUGAAGCUGUUUCCAGGUUUUCUGUUGAUGGUACAAUGUUCAAAAGAUUGUCAUGUCCAGUCCCAACAGUGGGUGACUUUGAGGUGAUUACAUUCUCCUUCAGAUUAUGGUUCAACUUCGACGAUUCCUUCAUCAUUAUUGGAGUUGUUACAGCUUCACUAGAUGUUGGAAUUGACAUCAGAGCAGACGAUUGAGGCACCUUCUCCAUGUUGACCUUGCAAUGCUCGUUCCUGCCAAUAGUUGGGUGUGCCAAAUGAUUUCCGUUGUUGGCUGUAGAAGGUGAUGUUGAGCAAGAAGGGAUUUCCUCAGUUAGUACAGAUUGUGUAGCACCUGGAAUCAUCAGUUGGCUUCCGGCUUUGGACAGAACGUUGGUUGAUGAGAUCUGUUGAAAGGCAACAUCUGACACAUUUGCAAGUGCGACUUGUUUCUGUGAAAGCUUCUGCUGUUCUUGCUUCAUUGUUGGUGGCGCCUGUGAUGCUUGCAGUGAAACUUUGCUAUCUUGCUGAGGCAUGAUCCGCUGCUGCGCAAGUGAAUGAGAACUCGAUAGCUGCUGCAUGUCCAAAAGUAACUUCUGCUGUUCCUGCAUUAGUGGUAAUCGUGAGAGUGUAACUGCUGGCUGUGAUAUAAGUGACUGCUGCUGUAGUUUCUGUAAUAGCUGCAACUGAAGUUCCUGGUCAGACAAUUGAGCCUGUUGACCAGCCAGAUUCACAAGUUGACCUGGCAACUUGUUUAGCUGCUGCUGAUUCUGCUGCUGCUGCCGCUGCAGUUCCUGAAGUAAUAGCUGCUGCUGUUGCUGCAGUUGAAAAUUCUGGUCCUGAUGUUGCUGUGAAAGAAGCAGCUGUUGCUCACUGGUUCCCUGCUGGCACCUAGUUGGAGACGGUUGUUGUUGUUGUUGUUGCUGCUGCUGCUGCAUCUGAGUCUGGAUAAUUACCUGGGCCUGGACAAGAUUGGCUUGAGCCUGGCUUAAAGGAAUUGUUUGGUUAAUGUGCUGCUGUUGCCUCUGCUGGUUGCCAACUUCUUGCUUCAGUUCUUGAUGAUUGGUGAUGGUGUCAAGUUGAUUACAAGACAACGAUCCCUUGGCAAGCUCAUUUAUAGGUUGCAUUUGCUGAGGGAGCUUGGAAGCAUUAAGCUGUACACUGUUUUGUUGCAGGAGAUGGUUCUGAACAUAUAACUGCCUUGCAAGCUCAGCGGCACCAAGGUUUUGCAUGGCAGGGUUACUUAGAGAUCGCAGAUACUCCGACUGUAUGCCUGUAUUAGCUAAUGUGGAGCUCUGCUGCCUGUUCAUGUUCAUCCAUUGAACCAAGCUCAGACCAGGCAUUGUGGUGUUCUGGGUCUGAGCAUCCUUUAUGCAUAUCUCCUCACCAAGCCAAGGCAUUGCCCUCUUGAAAAGGUUUUCCAUCUCUGAUGACUCAUCAUCUGUUAAUUCAGAUAUAAAAGUGAACCAUGUAAACCAUCAGAAGUGGUUGUCGUGAUAAGCAAUUUGCAUUGCAAUCUAAAACAGAAAGAUGAACCUAAGUCUGAUUUACCUAUUUGCCUAGGGCGCUUUACGCCAAAGAAAGGCUGGGGGCAUAUGAAGAAAGGAGCAGCAAUUGGUUCAAUCUCCCACAUUGAAACUCUGUUUCGUCUUUCACCCGCUGCAGACUCAUCCCAACCAACCUACAAAAUUAUGCUACAUCUGUGAAUCAGAUAAAAAUCAAAUCUGCCAUCAAUGGUGUGGCUCAGCAAUCUAACCUGUAAGUUUCGCCACUGGGAGUUUUUCCAUCUUACAGGAUCUAGGUCACUUAUCCCAGUUAUCGUGCCCAUGUACCUGAAGAACAUUGAAUAAUUUAAUUGGUAUAGAAUAGGCAACAAAACCAUGGCUAUAAUUUAGAAUUUAGAACAAAGAAAUAGAAAUUGAUUGUUUAUAAAAAAUGUCCAAAUGAAAACAUGUAAAAAGAGCCACUGUACCUUCUCAUCCCUAAUUCCUCAGUCUCAAACAUCAUCCGGAAUCGCAUUCCUAAAGAUAUUUGGUUACUAUACAGUGCCUUCUGGUAUUUGGCAAAUGGGAUAACAAACUCAGUAGGGCUAGCCCUGAAAGUCCACAUUUCAGAUAAAUCAUUGAUAGUUACUGAGCUACAUAAAAAGGCUGUUUAGAGCCAUCAGGGUGGGAAAAUUAUAGUGUAGGAACGUUACUCACCUAGGGUUGUAAAAUAUGGUAAAUGGGCUAUUGUUAGCAGCAGCAUGGGCCGCUGCAGCAAGCACCCCUAUGUGCAUACUGUCACUUGAAAGUACUGAAGAAGAUAUAUUAGUUGGCUGCCGGCUAGCCCGCCUUAUUCCCAGUAGAAGUUGCUGCCUUUCAUCCCUAAAAUCAUGAUGAGCCAAAACAUAGAUGAUAUUCACACUCCAAUUUUGUUCAUUAUUUCGCAGUUAAUUUAGUAAGAAUAUUUACUCUAGAGAGAACCAAGACAAGCUUUUACAAGAGGAAAAUGACCAGGAAACCUACCUAACAAAAAUGACAGAAUCACCAGCAAAUAAUCUCUUGCCGCCCACGAAAAGACUCCACCCAGUGGUUAGUAAAUGUCUUUUCGGCUGACCUGAUCAUAGCAAAGUCCAAAAAUGAUUCAUAGUAUUGAAACUUGCAUUUACAGUCAAGGACCUCUAAUGUCGGCAACAGUAACAGUAGAUUUUCCCUUGCAGACCAACCAGAACAUAAAAGAAUGAUGUGCAAGGUUCUUCAAAUGCAUGAAACUUCAUUGGGAAAUACUUGCAUAAAAACUAAAAAGAGUCCUUCCUACUGCCAUUUGUAGCAAUGAAAGGGCUAUAUUUUCCCCACCUCGAAAUAUAUGGCGAAAUGUCCACACGUUGUCAUGUAUGUCUCUGGCUUGAAGCUCUUGAGCCGGAGGCUGCAUACUGAAGUCCUAUAGAGCAGACCAGGAGAGUAAAAAUAUUACAAUGGCACUAUGGGGUUGAUAAAAAGCAAGCAUUUUGCUGCGGCAAUGUUAGAUAUUCGAUGCCUGGAUACCAGUGGAGGUAAUAUCUUCUCUGCAGCACGGCGAGGCACAGAGAAGCCUCCAUGUGUACUUGUAUCACUUGCAGUAAGUGUCUUACAGAAGAACUCCAUCUGUGGCCUUGCAUGUUUUAGUGCAAGCUCCGAUAGCUGCAAAGCCUCUUUUCCAUACUAAAGCAAAGUCAAAGCCAUGGUUUUAGGACAUUGGAACAAGCAAGAGACUUUUGGAGAACCACAAGUUCUAGAUGCUCACUGUGUUCACUGGCUGAAGAGUCAUCUGUGCAUACACCUCAUCAGUGUCUGGGUCCGCCUGAGGACAAAAGAGAGGUGGUUUUAGAAUUGAUCAUUGCAAGCUCUGUGUCAAAGGGACAGGAUAGGAAGUGUACAUUACAUGCAAAGUAACACUGUGAAGAAGACAUAUCAACUUUGAGGGAAGAUUUGGGUAGCUUGGCACAUGUGCAUCAAUGUCCUUUUGCAUAGAAGCUGCAACCUGAAUCAGAAGGACAAUAAGUCCAAGCAUAACAUUGCGUUUGGAACAAAGUGAAAAAUAUUAGUAUUCAAAUAUUCAAGGUAACUUUUUGUCUUAAUCUCGGAGAAUCGGAAGACAUUAAAUUGCAGGCAGAUGAACCAACCAUCAAUUAUAUGGGGACUAAUAUCUUUUCAUUAUUUUCCAGUAAUACGCCACAACUUUUCAUGUAUUCAUUGUUGCAUUACUGUCAGUCUGAAUAAUGCAUGGGGAAAUGUUUAUCUUUGUGCCGUAGUUAUUUCAAAAUGUGCUGGUGUGGGGACUCAUCAGUACUCUGCGGAUUUUGCGAUAAAAGAUUAUUUCUUGAAAUGAUUAAGAAAGUAGAGCCAUUCGAACAUGCUUCCCCUUUUGCUAACCCUUUCUGCAGUUUGACUAAAAAAAUGAAGCGGAAAGUAGUCUGCAGUUUAAAAGGAGCGCCGCAUGAGUGAACUUUUCUUAGAUAAACUCUUUAUAAGUACUGUGAUAAAGUCCUCUACCAUCAUGCGCAACACAAGCAGAUGUCAUAAAAACUUAAGGGCUUCAUUUCCUUUGCUUUUCUUCUGAAAUAGUAGAAAGAUAAUUUAUGUUUUCAUCUUUUCUGAAAAGAACACCAUGACUGCCUUUUGGAUUAAGAUUUUUAUUAUAGGGCACCAUGACUUGUGAUAAAAAUAAUAUUUCAUAAUCAUGUUAUUCCAGUUCCAAAUCUGUAAGCUGGGACAAAAAUUACCCAUCCCAGGACCAUAAAUGCAAGCAACCCACAUGCACAAAAGAUGCUUCAUGUACACCAAACUCCUUGCAAGGAAAUAGUGCACAACACACCAGAAACCAACAGAGGAAAGAAGCAAGUAGGACCCCAAUAGUUCCAACCACUUUGGCAAUGAGCUAACAUUAGCAGGUUCUUGCACUGGAAGAUAUCAGCAACCUAGUGAAUAUCUUCACAUUUCUAGUGAAGAAUGGGAAUCUUCUUGCACCAAAAAGAUCUGAGUGAAAAAAAAAUCACCAAAAAUCUGGUAGUAAAGAAGAUUAUGGGGAAACUAUUCCAGUUAGCUCAGCAACAAUCAGUUGGCUCCACCAACAAAUCAAAAAACUGUUUUUUUCAUUUUUAUUACUGCACUGAUAGUAGUACCCUUUAUAUUAUAUCCCUUGUAUAAAAACCACAAACAUUUUAGUAAUAAACUCAACAUGAACCCGCCAAAAAGAAUCACAGAAUGAAAAAACACAACUUUUCUCCUGAAAACGCAGAAUCAAACUACAAACUUUGUGCACAAGUAUCUCAGAACUCUGACAUAUCGAUAACCAAUUGAAGAUUUGGAAACAUGAUCCCAUAGAAGAUGCCGAAGAAGCAUCAGCGGAUGUUACAAGAACAGAGCAUCCCAAAGGCUGUAGCAAUGGCGUCAAGCCGUCAACUACCGUUACGGCGUGACGUCGAGGAGCAGGAGCAGGAGCAGCACGGGGACGAGGAGGGGCGCGGUGUCACUCACCUGCUCGCUGUGGCCCUGCGGGAAGUAGACGACGAGGCUGCCCACCGGCGGCAGCGACACGAGCGGGCCCGCGCAGGCGUACCACAGGUCGGCGUUGAUCGCCGGCGCCUUCCGCUCCCCUGCAAGCGGACGCAUGCCGACGCCGGCGUCAGCGACACGACACGACACGAGAAAAAAAAAGGCGACGCCUUUCUGAACUUGGGCACAAGAAACGCGAACUGCCGCCGGCCGGCGACAAACGCAUGCCGCAGAAGAGGAGCAAGGUGGCGAAAGAGGUACCUUCGCAUGCCGCCGCGCCGGUGGAGUCGGGCGCGGGGGCAGCGACGGGCGCGGGCGCGACACCAGAGCUCGCCGGGGACUGCUUCAUGGUCGGCCACGCGGGAGCUUCACUGGUGGCCCACGAGCAUGGAGCAGGGGCGCGCGGCGCUGCGCUGCGCUGCGCGGCGUCGCUGCCAGCCAGACAGCGCGCGCCGCCGGCCGGCCGUGUCGUCGUUCUUGGCGGAAACAACCUACUACCACUAGGAGUUGUUGCUCCGGACGCGGCGCUAGCUAGGCGAGCGGCGUGGCGGCGCCUCCCCGACAACGCGAGCAGCAGCAGCAGCUCACGAAGACCAAGGGGCGUCCCCGAGAGAGAGAGAGGGGAGGUGCUGAGCUGCUGGCUAGUUGGUGCGUUGCCUCGGGAGUUAAAACGAAACGCUCCUUGUUUCUCUCUUUUUCCUCGUCUUCUUGCGAGACUGAAGAGAGAGAAAGAGGACCGUGAACGACAGCAAGAGGAACACCACUCUCUGCAGCUCUCAGCUCAGCUCAGCUCAGCCCAGCCAAGCCCAAAUCUUGUUCAGGUACAAAAACUUUUUUAGAUUUUGAUUCUAUAGCUUUUUCAUUUUUAUAUGACAAACAUUAUUUAAUCAUGAAGUAACUAGACUUAAAAGAUUAGUCUCGUAAUUUACAGACAAAAUGUACAAUUAGUUUUUAUUUUCAUCUGCUUCAUGCAUAUGCCGCAAGAUUCGAUGUGAUGGGGAAUCUUGAAAAGUUUUUGGUUUUUGGGUUAAACUAAACAAGGCCUAAAAUGAAAAUCUUUUUCUGCACUGUGAAAAGAUAUUUUUUUCUAUAAAGGUUUUUAUAUGCUUUAGACUGUGCCUCCGUGAAAUCGUAGAAUUUAUUUUCUUGGAACAUGACUAAUAAUGGGCCGUGUUACCGUGACCAUGAUAGCGAGUUUACCGCGAGGAGAGACGUGGACGACACUUUGUAUGCCCAUAAAGAUAAUUGGAUAAUUUAGCAUGCUAAAUAUUGGUCAGUGCGACACGAGAGUGGAUUUUUAGAAUUGUGUAAAUGUCAACUAAUAACCAAUUUGGUUAUUCUAAAAAAACGAUUUUGUUACGAGUGUUCUAUUGAUUCGACGACUAUUUGUGUUUUCUUAUGAAGUCUCGUGCUAACUACUAGUAACUUCGAUUGGCAAUCCACGAAGAUAUCAUCGUGAUCUAUGAGACACUGUAACUCACUUUGAAUACCAAUAUCUAUAAAUAUAUUGUUUUGUUAUCAAAUAUGCUCUACGUUGCAAUGAGAAAAUAAAUUGUUCUGUUGUCAGCUAGACUAGCCCCGUACCAAUGACAAUGGGGUAAGUAUCUUUGUUGGAUUUGAUUGGGCUUGUCUUAAUUCUUCGCUUGAAUUUAUCAGCACGGCUUUAUCAGUUAUUGUAAAAAAAAAUUCAUAACAAAUCAAUGAAUAAUACUUAUCAGCAUCAGCAUGAUCAAAUCAAACACUCCUAUGAAUAAAUAUCUUAAAGUUGUCUUAAGUUAGACUUUGUUUUAUGUUUGAUUGAGUUUAUAGAAAUGUGUGCCAAGAUUUAUGAAACAAAAAUGAAUAUAAUUAGAUAUAUCAUAAAAUAGAUUUGUCGGUGUUUUCCCCACGGGGGGUCACACCAACGAGAAAAUUUGUAUGCGUGCUCCUUUUCUCAGAUGGUGAUGCAAGAAGACAGAGAUUUAUCCUGGUUCGGGCAAGAGAAGGCCCUACGUCCAGCGGGGGAGGGAAGUUUGUAUUAUCUUGCACCUAAGUGCUUGUACAGGGGUGGAUACAAGUGUGGUCUGGAGUAUGCGAGUUCUACUGCGUAUGGGUGAAGUGUUUUUUUCUCUCCUGUAUCUAUUCCCGGGUCCCUUCCUUUUAUAGCACCAAGGAGAGACCCAGGGUACAUGUAUAGGUGUCAGAGUAGGAGUCGAUAGGAGCAUGGCGCGCUGACCUACUCGAAGCCCCCGUACCAGCGUGACCUCAAGCCGUCCCGUCUUAGUAGCCUGGUGAUGAUUACGCGUGCCCCUGUAACCUGCUCUGCGCGCCGCUUUGGGCUGGUUCAACGGUCGCACGCCUGUACGAUACGGCGGCAGAUCCGGCGGAGUGGUUGCGGUAUUGUCAAUCGACGCCCAACUCGUCUCCAGGAAGGAACCAGGUCUGGUCGAGGGUCAGACCCCGUGCAAAGCCCUGAUGUCCGGAGCGCUGACCUUGGUUGUCUCGAGGGGGUCCUGAUUAGACGUUCCAUCCCUGUUUCUCGUGUCCUGACACGUUCUGGGUCGUUUGGUGGGGAAGGCUGCAAAAAGAACGAUGAGACGGGUGCCUGUUCCCUAUCACGCUUCCCGUGACCAGCGUGUUAGGUGGGAAAGCGGCAGGCGCAUUUAAUGCCUCGGCUCUCGUGCGCGCGUCAGGCGGCGGACAGUGUCCUUGCACUCGACGCCUCCUGGUUCGCUCGAGCCUGUCUCCGUAUUCGACGGUAGUCAGCACUCGUCCCCUGAGUGGUUCGCUCAACGCCCUUUCCGUCUUCGAGGCUGCGGCCGCCGUCGAUCGUAUGUGUUCGACCAGAGCGUCGAGUUGGAAGCCCCGACCUUUGUACGGGUAAUCUCGUUAUAUGCAUUGGUGAAGGUACCCCUUACUGAUACCCUCGACAAGAUUUUUAUAAUAUGCUCAAUUUUGUGUUAUACACUACAAAAAAAUACCCUUAUACAUGACGGUUUACUUUGGUCACAAACAAACGAAAAUACCCUCAUAGUUAACUCACUAUGACGAUCGAAAAAAACAUCAUAUAUCCCGCAUCAUACAUUUGUUGGCCCAAAUUGAGUCGUCACAGAUUGGAAUUUGUAUUCGUCAUAGAAUAGUUGUCUUAAGUUAGACUUUGUUUUAUGUUUGAUUGAGUUUUAUAGAAAAGUGUGUCAAGAUUUAUGAAACAGCAAAUAAUAUAAUUAGAUAUAUCAUAAAAUAUAUUUUUAUAGUAUGCUUGUUUUUAUGUUAUAAAUAUUUGUGCUCUUUUCUAUAAAUUAGGUUAGACAUAAAAAAAGUUUACUUAAGACAACAAAUUAAUUUAUUUAGAGAUGGUAGAAGUAAAUUGCAAGGCCAUAAUAAAUGUUAAACACAAUAAAGGAUUAAUCUUGUAUGGAAAUUGACUAGAGAUUGAUCCAGCUUAAAGGAUUGGCUACGUGUAUGUAUCUGUUGUAAGGUUAAAAAAGAUAGAAGAUGAGCCAUAAAUUAGAAGCCGAUAAAACCAGAAAACAUAAACCAAAAGAAAAACUUCUUCCAAAGAGACCUUAACAUAAGCCUAGAUUGUUAUACUUCAGACCUAAGUAAGAAAAUUUAUUGCACCUCCUCUAUCAAGAAGCGUCUGUCUCCAAAAGUCCAAAUCAUCUCAGCACUGGUACCAGGGCCUGUUCCCUUCAAAAGCAAAAUAACAAAGCACCAUUGGGCAGGCAUAGCCCUUUUUUUAUUAAUUAAUUAACUAAUAUCUUGCGGAUGAAAGUGGGUCCAUAUAUUAUAUAUUAGUCGGUUGCGCCUGUAUGCCACGUGAAUUCCAGGAAUACGACACGUACUCCUACACUUUUGGCUAAUCAUCCCUGCUACUGUUCUUUCCUGUUGCAACUCAUUCUUAUACUGCAUACUUAGGCCUUGUUUAGAUGCAAAAAGGUUUUGGAUUUUGACACUGUAGCAUUUUCGUUUUUAUUUGACAAACAUUGUCUAAUCAUAGAGUAAUUAGGCUUAAAAGAUUCGUCUCGUGAUUUACAGAUAAACUGUGUAAUUAGUUAUUCUUUUAAUCUAUAUUUAAUACUGCAUGUGCCGCAAGAUUCGAUGUGACGAGGAAUCUUGUAAAGUUUUUGGUUUUUGGGUGUAUCUAAACAAGGCCUUAUAUUUAGAAGAAGUUAAAAAAGAGUAUGUAGUUCAAGUAGCCAAAAUUCGUGUGUUUAGUGAAAGCCUGCUGGUGGAUCCUAUGCACAACAGAGCAUAGUUUUUUUUCCCGGCACUUUAACAUAAAUAAUGUAGCAUCACCGCUUCCCCCUCUUUAGAGAAAGGGUGUAUUCAUAUGGACGGAGUUGCAGAAUAAAUUGAGAUUAUGUUGGUUGGUUGUAUAAGCGGAUGCAACUUGUGAGACUAACGUGUGGGCCUAUCCUCGUCCUCCUCAUCUUGCAGUCUUUGGGACAGGUUCAGGAGAGACGGCCAAAUUAGUCGCAUGAGCAAGGCUUGAUUAAUGGGAGCGUAUAUAUUUGCACUAACAAAUUAAUGUAGCAUUAACAUAACGGAACAGAAUAUCCAAGCACCCUUUUUCGAUAGUUUAUAUAGAUGGACAGUUGCUCGUAAGAACCAAGCGUCCAAAAGACCAAAACAUACCCAAGAGAGUUGAGCCCAUAAAUUAUUACAGGAAUGCAGCAUCCGCUACUGAUUUUGUGGAUUCUAUAGGACAUGAAAAGAACAGAUCUAGGUAGUAAUUAGCCAAACGGUAGUGUGUUCAUAUACAACCUUGUACAACUUUAGUUUUGCCCACUGGACACUUGCCUACGCUUAUAUAUAAAAAUAAAUAAAUGAUAUCAAAACAUAUGCACAUAUGUAUACUCUAUUUGCAUGCCCCAUAAUUUAACAUACGUGGCAAUGAUUUAUACAGAGAAUGUUUGUUGGUGCUUGGUGGUGUGCACAUGCAUGUUGUCACAGCGUGCUUGAUGCCAGCAGAGAGAUCCUUCCAAGAAAUCAAGACGCAAAUUCAGAUGAAAUAUUUCUUCAUCAUAGGUGUGAAUGUGUGAUCCACAUCACAUUAUUAUUAUGAUUAAUAUUGCCAUAAUAUGAUGCACCCACCAUAUCAUUCCCUUUUGGAGCUCCUAGUGUACUUUCUGACCUGUAGAAUUAGAAAGGCCGAUUUGGCAUGUGAAUUAGCUAGUAGGAGAUCUUCAGAGCAGCAGGCAGCGUAUGAUUGCGUGGUGGUUAGUUGGGACGUUUAAGGUAUCCAUUCCAUCCGGUUGGCAUGGCAAUGGCAAUGCCAAUGGCAGAGAGAGAGAGAGAGAGAGGACAUGUCCAGCUACUUGAACCUGUCAUACAGGGACAGCCCGCCGGCCGGCCCGUCCGACCUCCUAUCGGCAACCACCACAGCAUCUCAUCUCUGUUCGUGUUGGACUCCACCUUGAGUGGUGUCCAGUUCCAAAGGGCUCCGUAGCUUUAGGAUCAUGAGUCAUGACUAUUAUAUUAUUGUUUUGUAUUUCUUAGAUUUCUGGCCAUUUCUCCUACAGUAAUCAUGUCCUUUUAGAGGUUGUAGGAGUCACCUAAACUCCUUUUUUUUUUCCUUCUUAGGCCUUAUUCUUCAGUUGGCAAUUUUUUUUGGAUUUUAGGUACUAUAGCAGUUUCGUUUGUACUGGUAAUUAAUAUCCAAUUAUGAACUAAUUAGGCUCAAAAAAUUCGUCUCGCAAAUUAUAAGUAAACUGUAUAAUUAGUUUUUGUUUUCGUUUAUAUUUAAUACUCCAUGCAUAUGCCGUAAGAUUAGAUGUCACGGAAAAUUUUGAAAUUUUUUGAAACUAAAUAAGGCCUUAAUAUAAUGAUAUACACCUCUAGAAAUGUGCAUGGCAUAGACUGAUGUAUAUAUCAUAGAGAUGACUGCAUGUUUAAUUAUUUUGCUGGAAAGAUGUUGAAUUCCAGAUGAAGCGAAGUGUCCUCACCGUAGCCGUAGCAGACUACUAGGCCUUGUUUAGUUCCCAAAAAUUUUGGGAAAUAGACACUGUAGCACUUUCGUUUGUAUUUGACAAAUAUUGUCCAAUCAUAGAGUAACUAGGUUCAAAAGAUUCAUCUCGUCAAUUCCGACCAAAUUGUACAGUUAGUUUUUAUUUUCGUCUAUAUUUAAUACUCUAUACAUACGUCUAAAGAUUCGAUGUGACGGGGAAUGUGAAAAAUUUUGCAAAAUUUUCUGGGAAGUAAACAAGGCCCUACUCGUAGCAGCAGAAGGAGAAAGGCAACAGGCAACAGGGAAUGAUUGACGGGACGCGUGUGGCAGGGGCGCCGGUGGCUGCUGCGUCCGACAGCAUUUUGCGCUCCGCCGCCCUGCCGCCUCGCCGGGGGACACCACCCCUUGCCCGCCGGCUUUCCCUGUCGCCCGCCGGUGUCCGUCGGUCUCCCCGCGUCUGUCUGGUCCAAUCCAAUCCCCCCUGCUGCUCACCCUGCAGCAGAGCAGUGCAGUGCAGCCGAAGCAGCUGCCGCAUGCGACCGUGGUCGUCGUCCUUCGAACGGAAUGGAAUGACAUCCACCUCUAGCCUCGGGUCUCGGGACAGGGCUCUCCUUUGCGCAUUCUUGUCUGCACUAGUACACGCAGCACGCCACUGUAUUUUUUUUGGCAUUUGGAGUUGUUUGGUUACAUGUGUUAAAAUUAAAAAAAAAUAGUAUUUUUGUUUUAUUUGAUAAUAGACCAACUGUACUUAAAAAUUCAUCUCAUAAAUUAUUAUAUAAUUAUAUUUUUAGUUUAAUAAAUACUCCCUCCACUUACAAAUAAAUGCACAUAUAAUUUUCUAAGAAGUUAAAUAUUUUUAAGUUUGACUAAAUAUAUAAAAAAAGUAUAUUAAUAUUUAUCACGUGUGAUAUGUAUCGUUAAAUUGAGUACUAAAUAUAAAUUCAUAAUAUACUUAUCUGUGGAUACAAAUAUUAAUAUUAUUUAAUAUAUUUCUAGUCAAACUUCGAAAAGUGAGACGUGUAUUUGUUUAUAGACGGAGGGAGUAAUCUAUAUUAGUGCUUUACUUACUCCGUCCAUAAAUAAAUACAUAUCUCAUUUCUCGAGGGGUUAAUUUUUUUUAAAUUUGAUUAAAAAUAUAUCAAAUAAUAUUAAUAUUUGUAUCUAUACAUAAGGCCUUGUUUAGUUCACUCCGAAAACCAAAAAGUUUUCAAGAUUCCCCGUCACAUCGAAUCUUGUGGCACAUGCAUGAAAUAUUAAAUAUAGACGAAAACAAAAACUAAUUACACAGUUUAGCUGUAAAUCACGAGACGAAUCUUUUGAUCCUAGUUAGUCCAUAAUUGGAUAAUAUUUGUCACAAACAAAUGAAAGUGCUACAGACCGAAAAGUUUUUACUUUUCGGAACUAAACAAGGCCUAAGUAUAUUACGAAACUAUACUUAAUACUCAAUCUAAUGAAAUAUAUUAAAUAUGAUAAAUAUUAGUAUAUUUAUAUAUAUUUAGUUACAGGGGCGAAGCUACAUGUUACUUAGGGGGUGCAGAUGCACCCUCAAAAUUUGUAAAAACAGUGAUUAGGUCCAAAAUUUCACCAUAUAUGCACCCCUAUGGAAGAUGUCUAUGCAUACAACUCCUCUAAUUUGCUCUAGCUUCGCCACUGUUUAGUUAAACUUAAAAAUAAUUGACUCUUUGAAAAAUAAGAUGUACUUAUUUGUGGAUGAAGUGAGAAGUAUGCAUUUAUCUAAACAUGGAUGUGAUAAAAAAUCCGCCCCAAAUCGGGGCAGUAGUACAGCACUGUAGAAGUCUACAGGAAGAGGGCUGGCGGACCUCGGUGUCUGCGUCAGCGUGCCCCUGCAGCGCCCGAGCUCCUGCUCGCUCGUGCGCCUCGGGAGUUGUGCUCACUGGCGUAGGCACGUCACCAGCACGGUCGCUGCCGAAGGCCCCCGAGCUCGGGACGGGCCAGGGCCACAAAGCUGCGCUGACUUUAUUUUAUCUGCAACUUAAAUUUAAUGUGACAGAGAAUCUUGAAAAAGUUUUUAAUUUUUAGAUAAACUAAACAAAGCCUUAGACUCAAAAAAUUUAUACCAGUAUAUCCUUAGGCUGCCCAUUAAACAACCGAGACACAAAAUAGGUCCUUAAGAUAUCUCUAGGCUGCCUUAGAGUUAGAUCCGCUGCCUUGCCUAUAUAACUCCGGCUCUUCCGAAGUAUACUCCAUUCACAAAACACGAUACAAUAAUAUACUCCAUUCACAAAACAUGAUACUAUUAACAUUUAUGUCUCCAACAAUAUAUAGAUGAAACUAUAUUUUAGAACUAAUUUAAUGAUACUUAUAUAUUUUGUAUCGUAGAUGUUGGUACUUAUAUAACUUUGAUCAAAUUUCAAUUCGUUAACUAGGAACUAGCACCUUCCAAACCAAUAGCUAUAAAGUCUCGAGGAGGAGCAAACAGCCAAACACUAGAACUAGCUAGCGGAUCGAUGGCACACGUAACUGUCUUUUUCGAUUGAAAGCCAUCUGACGAGUGCCUAACCUAACCAACGGAGUGUAAGUAAUACUACCUGAUAGCGAUCAUAUAUACUCCUAUAUUACAAUCUCCUCUAAUCACACUCCACGCCAAGGUUUCUCCGGACCAACCAAGCGCUAACCACCGGUCAAUUAAGAUCUUCCUAACACAUGGGCACAUCGGCAUCACGUGCAUCUAUCCGUUGUCUACCCCUAAUCCUAACACAUGGACACUUUCGUUUGUUUGCGGCAAAUAUUGUCCAAUCAUAGACUAAUUAGGGUUAAAAGAUUCGUUUCAUGAUUUAUAGGCAAACUAUAUAAUUAGUUUUUAUUUUCGUCUGUAUUUAAUGUUUCAUCCACUGCCACAAGAUUCGAUGUGACGGAAAAUCUUAAAAACUUUUUAGUUUUUGGGUUGAACUUAAACAAUGCCAUAUGGACAUAGGCGUGAUGGUAUUUGGCGUGCAGUCAGCUAGUGUGGUAAAUAACUUUGGGCCUUGUUUAGUUCCCAAAAAGUUUUACAAAAUUUUUUAGAUUUCUCGUCAAAUCGAAUUUUACGGCACAUGCAUGAAACAUUAAAUAUAGAUAAAAAUAAUAACUAAUUGCACAGUUUGCCUGUAAUUUGUAAGACGAAUCUUUUGACUCUAGUUAGUCUAUGAUUGGACAAUAUUUAUUAAAUACAAACAAAAAUGUUAUAAUAUGCAUUUUGCAAAAAAAAAAAACUAAACAAGUCCCAGGUUUACGAGACUACAAAACUUUGAAAUACUAGGUCCAUCAUUGGUGCCAUGGUGACGACAUCUCCCUAAAAAAAUAGAUUUACCCGCUGUGUAGCGGUAGCAAACCUCUUCCUUUACCGCUAUUGAACAUUGACACAGGAUGGCAGAGAACAAAGAUUAUUGGAAGUGGACCUAGGAUCUGCUGUUGCACUUAGGCUAGUGUUAAUGCAUGUUUCAUGAGAGUGUCAUACAUAUUAAAUAGGAUGUCACAUAAGCAAAAUUAAUGAUUUAGUGGGGUCAUUAAAUGAAGAAGUUUCAUCAGAUGAGAGAGAAGUUUCAUCCUCAUGAAACACAUGUGACUCAGUUACCUAGUUUUAUGGGAGCAAAGAGGGUUUUAUAGGGAUAAAAUAUUUUACACUGUUUCUAAAAUACAGAUGUGUUGAAAAACUGAGCUAUAAAACCUGCAUUGAGGAUGAUCUUAGCAUUCGCUACUGCAUGCUACCAUUGUUGUGCUAGGGCAACUAUUUUUAUAUAGGCAAUAAAAAUCAAGUGGCAAUAAAAAUGUUUAUAAAUAUAGGCAGUAUAACGAAGAAUUGAUGGGAUGAUGAAAUGAAUAAUGUCUUCUCCAUUGAUAUAAGGACUUGAUAAAUUUGCAUAAAUGUGUCUUCUUUGUCAUUGGAAAAAUAUGUAACUUUAGUUUGCAAGGCAACAUAUGGUGACUUUCGAGUAAGGAGUUAUAACCGUUUUAGUGGAAGAUGCACUAACUGUUGCUGGCUGCAUAAGAACUAAAGAAGAUUCAUCAAAUACUCCACUAAACUAAUCUCAGUUCAGAAAAGAAUACAAUUCUAAUUUACACAAUAUCAAAUUAAAGUAUCUCAAGCUUAACUAAUUAUACAUGAAUAAAUAACUAUGAUAUUAAAUAAUUACUAUUAGAUUAUCAUGAAAUAUAUUUUUAUAACAUAAUUAUUUGAUAUUAAAAUAUUAAUACUUAUAUAUAUAUAUUAUCAAACUUUAGAUACUUUAUUAAUCGAGAAUACAACAAAAAUUGUAUUUUUUUUAAGGACAGAGACAAUCUGCUGCCUCAGCUGAUGCCUGAGGUCGGUGAUGAGUAGUAGUAGUAGUACUGUGAGUGCUACAGAACCUGCCUGUCGUGCCAGGGGAACACACUUGAACAAACAGUCACAGUGUUACACUACUUUGGAUGGGACCCCCGGUGGAUUUGGCUUUGUCCCUCGUCGUUGAGACAGCCAGCGACCAGCGGCCUGCUUCAAUUACCGGCUCCAAUGGCGGACGUGUGGCGCAGAAAACUUAGGCCUGGUUUAGUUUCAAAAUAUUUUGCAAAAUCGACACUGUAGCUUUUUCGUUUGUAUUUGACAAAUAUUAUCCAAUCAUAGACUAACUAGAUUCAAAAGAUUCGUCUCGUCAAUUUCGACCAAACUGUGCAAUUAGUUUUUAUUUUUAUCUAUAUUUAAUACUUCAUACAUGUGUCUAAAGAUUCGAUGUGACGGAGAAUCUGAAAAAUUUUACAAAAUUUUUUGGGAACUAAACAAGGCCUUAACGGACGCCUUCUUCUCCGAUUGUCCGAUGGGCGAUGGCAAAUAAAGUAGUACUACUUUCUCCAAAGACCAUUGUUAUUGACUUUCAAACAUUUCUUUUAACCAUCCAUCUUAUUACAAGUUUUUAGUAUAAAUAUAGUCUAUUUUGGUAUGACUUAUUUAAUCAUUACAGGUACUUUAAUAAUAAUUUAUCUAUUUUAGAAUUUGUAUAAAAAAUUUAAAUACUCGAGCGGUCAAACAUGAUUGAUCAAAGUCAAAAACAUCAAUAUUUUUCAGACAGCUGGGAGUAUAUAUAACGAUUUUAGGAAUGUAUAUUGGUCUUGUGAUUUCGGUGAACAUAAACUAAAAUUUUAAAUAUUAACAACGAUUUGCUAGCUAGGUACUUUCUUCAUCCUAGAACGAGAAGCGUAUUGUAUAUCCGAACAAGUCAAACUUUACAAAUUUUAACCAACAACUAGUGUUUGUUUCUUGGUGCAACUUGUUAAAGACUGACUUGUUAUAAACUCUAUUUCAAAUUAUAAGACUUUUAGCAUUUUCUUAUAGUUUUUGUUAUAUUAUAUUUAGAUACAUAGUAAACUAACGUUUCUAGAAAAGCCAAAAGUCCUAUUAUUUUGAAUGGAGUAGUGGUCAGUUUUCUUGGCACACACAGUGUGGUUUUCUUUGGCACCUCACGUCUCUCUCUCUCUUGUACCCUUUCCUUCUUUGUACAUAUCUUCCUUCUUUCAUUCUUUGGUGCUACUCUUAGUUAUCAAUCGAACUUGUCCAUAUAUCACUCCUCAUAUCUUCUCUGUACCUCUUUCUUCUUUGGUGCUAUACUACUACUCCAUAAUUGAGAGAGAGAGAGAGAGAGAGAGGUGAUUAUAUAGGAUAUAUAGAGUGGCAAUAAGAAGCUUCAUCCCGAUGACCAACAAUAUCUCAUGCAUAUAAUAAUUGUUCAUGAUUGUUUUUCAUCGUACUCUUCAAUUCUCACACUACUUGCUUUUCGAAGAAUGCAUGCCCUUUUUCCUGCCACGACACUUGUCACACCUCUACGGCUAGUAUGAUAUUGUUUGUAGUUGUACUGUAACUUUCUUUCGGUAAGUGUGGCAUUAUUUGUACUCCUAAUAAUUGUUCUGCGUUUACCAAAGCACAGGUUGCGGACAGGCUCACUCACAUGGUCACAUGCCUGUGUGCAAGUAGGGUAUAUGUGGUUUGGGAUUUCCUCCACCUGCGUGAGAGGUCUUUUUCUUAAAGCACAAAGCUCUAGAGCUAUCUAGCCAUCCGAGGGUCGAGUUUUUUAGAUUAUUAUGUCUAGCUACACUAUUUGUUACUCUUAGGAAUGAUGCAAAUUUAGCACACUAAAGGCCCAUUUGGAUCCUAGGGCCGCUAGGAGGGUUAUGAGAAUCACAGAUGAGAACAUGGGUUUUAGAUAGAAAGAUUCUAAUCAGUUUGAAUCAUGAGAGUAUACUAUACUACGGAAAGUGGGUGUAUUAUACAAGAUAAAUGUAUAAAAUACUCUUUAGAUGAUUCAGCAAGGAAAGCAAGGGCAAAGUUGCCUUUUGUCACCUUAUUGGUUUGGAUUGCUGAAAUACAUAUAAAAGCCUUCCCGUCUGGAUAAAAUCGUAAUUAGAUCCAAACGACCCCUAAUUCUAAAUCUAUAUCUGAUAUUAAAGAGGCUAAGGUGCCAUUUGAAUUCCAUGGGCUUCUAAAUCCAGACAAGAAAGAAUCCCAAUAAUUAUAUUGAAUUUUGUGAUUCUAAAAACUUAUGAGUUCAAACCCCUCUAAAAUUUAGACAGUUUGGAUGACAUAGUAGGAUAGGGAUUUCAUAUUGCUCACACACCGCCUAAGAAUCCCAUGUAAUUCAAAAAGGGGCCUAAGGAUUCUUCAUCUCUCAUCGCUCACAACUGUCUGAUAGAGAUUUUGUUGGGACAUGCGCCCUGAUCGAACAAGUUGUAGAGGUGAAGGCUCCUUGGUGUGGAGAAGGUCUGCCGAUAAGAGUUUGGCCAGAGAAGGCUCCUAUGAAGGCCCAUCCGGAGAAGGGUCUAGUGAAGGUUUGGUCGGAGGAGGUUGAUGACAAAGGCCUAGCCAAAGGAGGCUCCAAUGAAGGUCUGGCCAGAGAAGGCUAGUGACGAAGGCCUGGCCAGAGAAGGCUGCGACGAGGGCCUGGCCGAACGAGGUUGCGAUAAAGACCUGACCGAAGGAGGCUGCGAUGAAGGCUUGGCCAUAGAAGGUCCCCUUGCCCUCAUGUUAUUGGCAUUAUAUAGACAAGCGGAAAUUUACAAGUAACUCCUUAAUGCGGCGAGUUUUACAUACCACUCCAAUAAGCCCAAAUCCAAAAGUAAUUACAAUACCAAUGAUAAUCUCUAGGGCCAGCCUCACACUUCCGUGUCCAUACGAGUUAAAUAUUCAGACAUGGUGUGCAAUCCAAUCCCAAAACGAAUUGGGCAUUGUUUACUUUCAACCAAAAAUCCAAAAUUUUUCAAGAUUUUCCGUCAGAUCGAAUCUUUAGACGCAUGCAUGGAGUAUUAAAUAUAAACAAAAAUAAAAACUAAUUGCAUAGUUUGGUCGAAAUUGACGAGAUGAAUCUUUUGAGCCUAGUUAGUCCAUGGUUAGACAAUAAUUACCACAAGCAAACGAAAAUGCUACAGUGCCGCGAAAUUUUUUCCUUCAGAAACUAAACAAGGCCUUAGAACUAUCAUUAACAAAAUCUCUAAACCUCCCAUACCGUGCGUGUUGGAGCAAUAUUUGAAGUCAUACCAUGUAUUUUUCAUACCAAUUUUUAUAAAUCUCAAUCAAUUUUAAGAUAAUUGUUUGAGAUUAUAUAUACCAAAUCUAUCAAUUAUUUAGCAGUAUUUUUCUUUUAUAAUAAAUCAGGAAAUAAUAUUUUCAGUUAUAACUUAUCAAUUAAGUGAACAAGCUCACUGUAGAGUAGGCAGUGGGAGUUUGGAUAUAUACAACCUGCCGACACGAUCAUUGAGCCGGCAGAAAUAUAGUACACAGUGCGUAAACAAGGAUGGCCCCGCACCGCACCCUUAUCUGGCCUGGAUCGAUCGAGAGCAGCUAUAGCUGGUGAUAGAUCGAUAGUAGACGAAAGAUAACCAGUCAGUCACCACUGCAGUCAAGUCACUGCAUGCCCUCUCCUGCCACAGCUUAGCGUACGCACAGUGUCCAUGCUCACGAGGCAGACUUGUGUGACUGCUCACUGCUGGUGCAGCUGCUGGGCAUCACGCACAGCUUGCAUGCAAGUGACAGCACACUUUGGCUUUGCUACUACUGCUUCUACACCGUAGACCACACAAGAAUUCCUGUCAUGUCAUCAGGUAGGAGUAUUCGUUCUCAUCUGCAGAGGAGGGGACUCGGCUGUGUGUGAGCCUCUCUGAAUGCGUCCGUGCCGACACACGCAUAUGCAUGCUUUGCAACCGUCUACGUAUAUAUAAAUCUGAUCUGUGUGAGUAGUAACCACGCAACUAAUGAGCUCUUGUGUGUAUAUUAUUCGGUUUAGGUUCUUGUUUCUGCUACGCACUGAUUGUUGGUGAGGAAGAUUUAAGAGAAGGGUGAGUGAGGCUGUAACAGCUAGCCACCAGCAUGCAGCAGCAAAGCAGACCUCUCUUUAGCCUGAGUGGUGUCAUCUCAUGCUUGCCAUUGCAACUGCACUAGCCUCAAAAUGAAAGGGCUUUAUAUAUUCUCCUUCACUUCACCAGGAUAUGAUCUAGUAACCCUUCUUUUUCUCCACAUCUAUAUAUAACAGGAUUGACCUUGCGCGUAUAUCCUCAUUGGAUGGCACCGCCAGUAGUAGAGUGUGUCACCAACAACUAGCUAGCUCAAAUGGAAAAUCCACAGGAUUUUAUUUUAAGCUAAACAAAAAAAAAAUACUAGUAGUUCAUAUAAAUGGCCAAGAGAACACCUAGAUAGUCCACAUGAAUAAAAGAACCAGCAGAUCGAUCUAUGUUGAGGAGAAAGAAACCAAUAAUCACAGUGGAUAGGAUCAUAUUCCAGAAUUUCACUUCGAUGGCUACACUCCAUGCAUGUCCAAGUGCAUGCAUAUGGUUAUUAGCAGGGUACAGAAGCUGGCUAGCACUGCUGCUACCUAACCUAAAAUGUGGUCUCUCUCUUUGGUAGCUUCUAUAUAUCUAUAACCUGAAAACCAUGUGAGUGAAAUCUGUCCCCAGCUUUUAUGAUGCUUCUUCCAGCCACCUUCUUCAGAGCCUGGCUCUAGCUUCCAUUUGCUUGGCUGGUUUCUUGAGAUGGACACUACAUUGAGGGGUCUGGCCCAGGUCCAAUUAAGACCUGGCCCAGCCAAUCACCAGACGCUGGACGGCAGCAACAGUGUUGUGAGAGCGUAGUAGUAGUGGGGUCAUUGCUGGGCCUCCUCUUUGAUGGUUGAGCCUAACAGUUUCGGUCAAUUCCAGCCUCGCCCUCGCGUUGCUCAAGCUAUUGCCUUCAAUUCCUUCCCCUUUUCGCUGGUGGGGCUGCUGAAAGAUUGUACUCGUAUCUGCUUUCUGAAAGAGCAAUUCAGUCAGAAAAGUUGUACUUUUCCUAUUCCUUUUUAAAGAAAACGGAGGCAGAGAAGAUAAUGUAAUGUAAUGCCACAACAUGAAGACAAUGCAGCUUGAAGAAAAUCUUCCCAUGCUACGAGUAAUCAACCGAUGGCCCUUCCUUUGUGCCUGACAGCAACUAUUCCUGCCGUCAGAAUGCAAUUCUCGCUUCCGAGAAAUCGAAUAGUUUUAAUUUCAAAUUUAACUAAAUUUACACAAUAAAGUAGGGACAUUGAUCAUUAUGUCAAGUAAAUAUCGUUUGACUAGUCACAGAAUAUAUAUUUUUAUAAUAAACUUAUUUAGAGACAUAAAUAUUGAUAUUACAGCUAGCUGAUUUUUCGUCUGCUGCUGAUUUGUUAUGAGAGAAAAAAACAUUGUUUUAUUCUCAGAUCAGGUUGCAAUUGCAACAGCUGUAAUUGCUUCCUAAUCAAAGUGAUCAGCAAAGAAAAAAAAAGGAGUCCAGAUCACACGGUGCACUUCUUAUCCACGGUCUACCCGUCGGCCUGCAGCCGUGAAAGGACAUGUGUGCCCGAUGCGUCUCCCUGCACGAGAUCUUUCGUGGCCUGCCGACUUGUCAUCUACUAGGACCGGACCGGACCCCGUCGCUGCUGUUACCGGUAGACAGCUCCUCCUGCAACGCCUGUUUGCUUGCAUGAUUGCACCCCGCGCACCUGCUCUGAUGUCCGCUACGAGCAGAUCACACACAGCCAGCCCCAGGGGCACUGCACGGCUGCUGACGGUUGUCUCUGAUGCUCUGCAUCUAACAGCUCGAGUCGGUGGACGGCUACUGCUCGUGCGCGUCCAUCGCAACGUCUGGGGGCCUGUGGUGUGUUGCAGCAUGCUGCCGCAUGCCAUGCCAAUCCGUAGGCCACCAAAGGGUCACGUCUUAUCUUUCUGCAGUUCUGCCUGACGAGCAGUCGGCAGAGCGAUGCAUUCUGCCAGGAAAUCCUCUCGUUGUCUGUAGAUUCCAGCAACCAGAGGCUACCAAGAACUGAAGCACCUUGCUGAAUUCUACUGUAGUGGUGCUAAGUUCACAUUUGGCCAUACGUAUAUGCAGUUGCAGAUCAGCAGCAAGUUACUAGCAUUAUUAUUGGCAGUGCUCAUGUCUUUGUUCAAUUAUUGACAAUGCUGUUCGUGGUAUACGAUCAAUAUGACCGUGUGGUAUUCGCUACUACGUGUUCCUCUCGACAGAUGCUUAAUUGCACAACCUAUUCUACGGCGGCCGAGCUCUUCCUCCAGUUCAGUUAGAUGGCGACGUGGAUCGGCGUCGAAUCUUCAGGUACCCAAACUUGCAGGCGCCUGGAGACGAGCCCUCGAAAACAAUCGGAAGAUACCCGGUAGCUGCUUUGUAUCUCUUCUGGAUCUGAAAAGACCCAACAAGUUCAUUAAGUUAGCACACCAUGGAUACACACACAACCACUUUGAUUUUGGUGAUAAGAUUGAAGUCUUUGGAUGUGUACAAUUGGUAAGUCAAUUAUGGUAGCAUGUCGAAGCGCACCUCAAGUAUCUCUUCACUGCUUUUCAGGCAGUUCUUCCCAAUCACACAAACUGAGCCACCGGACCCUCCACCGGUGAUCUUUGCGCCGAAUAGACUGGGGCCUCCAGUUCGCAAGGUCUUCCUGUGCCGGAUUUCUUGUACUAGAUUCACUAGCCUGUCUGUACCGUCAGAACCAAGCCCGCAAGCGUUGUAGCUGUAGUGGCACUGCCGUCAAAUAAACAACCAAAAUGUCAGCAAUAUGAUACAACAAAAUAUUUCUUGUUUCUAUUCUCGUGAGAGGCAAAGCUUUUGCUGUCCUUUAGAAAGAAAGAUAUUUUUUCCAUUUACUUCAUAUGGAUAUAUCAUAAGCCAGUCUGUACUCUGUAUGGAUAUAAAUGAACUUUUUUUGUACCGCCAACCACAAAUUUACCUGGAACAUAAGCUCUCCAAGGGCUGAAAGUUGCUCGUCUGUUUUGGAUGCUGUCAACAAUGCUUUGAAGGCCUACACACAAGAAGCAUAAAACAUGUCAGAGAUAUAAUUAUCAGACGGGCUCAUUUUAAUUUUUUAAGGAAAAAAUGAGCUUAGUGAAAGCAAGUUCACAGGAUCAUGUUAUGACCAUCAAGGCUUAUCCAAGUGAGAGGAACAGGCAUAAUGGUUUCAAGAUGUCAAACCUCAACUCUGGAAUUCUCGUAUAUGGGAUGUCUGGUAGGAGCCCUGACACAGUAAGAUCGUUUUCGGUCAACUUCUGUUACCGCAUCAUUAUGAUCUCCAUACUUCUCCAGGAAAACAUCACCAGUUAUCGUCUCUGGAAUAUCUUUUGCAUAAACAGCUUCAUAUCUGAAGUAGAAAUAUAGCCAUAAGAAACUGCAGAACAUGAAACAUGCUAGUGUUCUGUCAAUUUUAAUAAGGUGAGUGAGACCUAUGUGGUGGUAAGUUGCAUAAAUACUCCAUCGAUGCUUCAGAUUUCAGAAGGUCUACACCAUGCUCUUCAUAUUCAUCAGGAUUUGAGUCGCCUGAUUGCAUAGACGUACAUGAGGGUAACAAUUCUGAAAGUAGGUCAGAUGCAGCACACUUGAUCAUCUUGCGACCCAUGUAAGUGCCUACUCUUACAGACCCAUAAUCAGUCCCACCGACACUGCAUAACUCAAAGGACAGUAAAAUUAGCUCCAACAAACCCAUUCAAGAUUCAGGAAUAUAUUAAAAAGAUUAUCCCAACCACAAAGCUCAAUAAAGAUUUAUCCACCUAUGACGUAUCCCAGAGUCAAGACCCCAAAAUCGUAUAUGAGUUGGAAUGCUAACCAGCUCCUUCACUUCUGCAGGCUGCAGUGAGAUUUUGACCGAUUAAAAUCGUAUAUGUGGAGAAUGAUUGGAUCUAGCAGCUAGUUGAGAAAAUAAAAUACUUACUAACCUGGCAAACCAUUGCUAGGAGUUUGUUAGCUUCUCCACAAGCAGAUGUCAUUUGGUCCAUUACUCCACAAGGAGCUCCAACAACACGAUUCUCAACCUGCAUAAUUGUUCACCAACAGACAACAAACACUCAAUUAAGAAUAGAUGAAAUGAUGAACCCAACAUAGUUUGACAGUGUACUGUACCUUUUGACAGAGUAAAGCAAGAUCCCUUGGAGCAAUGUUUAAACCUAGAAGCAAGAAUAACACGUGAACUGAUGCCAUUUUGCAUGUAUAAAUGCAAGGUAAAAUAUCAGGAGGUGAAUAAUUCCUGAAGAGAUUCAAAUGUCAACAUAUAUUAACAAAAUUAGCUGCUAUAGCUAUUUUCUUUAAGGGUCAUUUGCAAUCUGCUCUCGCUUUGACCUCUAACAGCAUGUUUGCCCCUGAUUUUAUCAGUGCCACCAAAGUAGGCAAAACCAGGGUCAACAGUGGGCUGAAUGGGUCAAAGCAGAGGCAAUGGGGCAAAGUUGGAAAAGGUAGGGAAACGUGAAGUUAGAGGUCAAGGUGAGCCCACUUAUGCAAUUGUCCCUUCCUUUAAUGUAAUAAACAUGGCUGUAUGUCUCCUCUCGAUAUACUAACCAUAGGCAGCAGCGAUGGCAGACAUAGAAGCUACCUCCACUGAUGCAGAAGAGGAGACACCUUUGCCUUCAGGGACAGAUGAAGAAACCUGAGGAUUCAAACAAAAGUACCAUAGAUAACUGAUACAGAUGUUCCAGUUACAUGUGUGUCUGACAUGUGAAAACAUCACUGAUUAAUAUGGGCAUUAUAUGAAAAACAAUGUGACUGGCAUGAUGUUUGAUGACUAAUCAACAUAAAUUUCUAAUACAGACUAACUCUUACAGGCAUAUGUGAUAUAUCCCAAUAUGAAAAAGAAUGUGAAUGCCAAUGUGUUUGAUGAUUAAUGGACAUUUCUUUGCAGACUAAUUCUUGCUAGCAUAUGUGAUGUCGUUAAAUGUGAAUGGCAAGAUGUUUGAUGACUAAUCAACAAACAUUCCUGGACAGACUUGCUUAUACAAGCAUUAGUGAUAUAUCCCAAUAUGAAAAAGGUGAUAAAUGGAUGCAAUUUUGCAUACUAUGAAUUACGAUUACUCAUACCAAAAUGCUCAUGCUGUCCGUAAAGCGCACUCCUAGCUCAGACAUCAAUACAAAAAUAGUUCCAGCAACAUAGGCAGCCCAUCUGAGAUGGAAAAGUUUAUUAAACAUCAAUACACAUGAAAGUUGUUGAUAAUAGACAACCAUAAAAACAUCUUACUUUUGUGAUGGGUCCCGAGAAAAGUAUUCUUUAGCUUUAUCAUAAGAUAUUGGUUUGUCACCAUCCAUAAAAUCAGAAAGGUCCAUGUCAAACGUAGGUGCACGAUUGCUUAAUUCAGAACCAAAGGACACCUGCGCAAACAUAUUUAGUAAGAGCACCCAGUUGCACAAACAAGUGUAUUAGAUACUCUAGUAAGCAUGUGGGGGUCUUAUCUCCACAGAAUUAUGGGAAGUCAAAAGUGAAAAUAUUUUAGUACAAGACUCUUUUAAAAAGAUAAGGGGACAGAAAGAUUGAGGAUUGUUAACGUACAAUUUGUAACACUGGUACUGCUCCUCCAUUUGCUAGUUGUCUAGCCUGUGUAUGCUUCCAUUGCUUCUGUUUGGUAGGGUCGCUUCUCUGAACAGCAACAUGGCACGCCUCUCGGAUGGGCAUCUAUAUGUUAAUAAUCACACAUGUCAAAAAAGAACAACCAUAUCACAUCGGAAGGCUACUAGAUCAAUUCCACAAAGGUGCUAAUUUACUAGGGAAGGUAGUCCUAGCUCCUAGGUAACUAUGAUUUAUGAGGUAAUCGGUCCCUAUAGCAAUGAUCAAUCCAUUUUUAUAGAGAAGAAAAGUUUGAGAUCUAACUAAUCCUUCAAAAAGGGCAGGAAGAUGGGGAGUUGUCUCAGCCUUCAGGGAUGUAAAAGUCAUAGUAAAUUAUUCAUCUAUCUAUUAUCUGUAAAUAAAUAAGUGACAAUACAACAUUGAUGGCAUACAAAUCUAGCCUGUUAAAAUGGGCCUGUGACAAACCUUGUGGAGAGAAAAAUUACAGAAGGGACCCUGAUGGCAUAAAGUGGAUGCACAAAAGGUUAGGGCGAUGCAAAAGGAAAGUUUAAUAAAUAUGAAAAAAGGCAAUGUUUUUGCCACGUUUGUAAUUAAAACGGAUGGUCAGAGGUUUAAGGAUACACAGGUGGCAUCCCCAAAGAGUCUAGUUGAUAAGAAGUAAUAAAAAUGGUUCUCUUGUGGAUUUGGGCCCAUGGAGCUCAAAAGAAAAGAGUAUGUUUUGAAAAUGUUACAAAAAAGUAAGGCAUAUAAAACAUGUUUUACAUAUGUGUCUAAUAUUUAUUACUAAUAAUGAUAAUCUAUGAAACAAAUGGCACUUGUUUUGCAGUCAAACUUACCUGCAGUACAAGACUUCCAGAGUAAUCUGCAAUACCACCCAUAACAUCUAAUCGCCCAGGAGCUCUUGCAACAUAUAUUUCCUCCUAUAACAGAAUAAAAUAAGUUUUGCAUAUGAAUCUUGUUCUUAAUUUAAUAUUGCAUAGGAAUUUUGCUCAAAAUAUUUGUCAGUAACAUAUUAACAGAAUUUAUCAAACAAAAUGAAGUGUUCCAUCAGAUUCGGUGCAUUCUUCCAGUCUAACAUAGAGAAGAACAAGAACUUAGCACACUCUAUCGGAAUUCGAACUCCAGGAUUAUAAAGAGAACUGAGUACCUCCCAGUCAAAGAGCACAGAAGCAGCGGCCCUCUCUCGAGUUUGCUUCUCAGGGCUUCUUAAGUCAUUUCCAACAAGCCCUGAUAAACUCUUCAAAAAGGACAUGGUAUCAGUUAAGCCUUGCAUGUCACCAUGGAGUAUCUCGAAGUCCUCGAACGAUCUGGAAAAAAAUGAAAAAGGUGAACAAAUUUGUAUCAGAAUGCAGCAGACUACUACUGGAGAGAACGUAGAUAGCAUAAAGGGAAACAAAAGUGGUAUAGAAACUUACGACUCUGCACUUCCAUUCAUAUCAUGAGAUGUGGGCGUUGGGCGGACACUGAUUUCUUUCUCAGAGAGAGAAUACCAGUCAGGAAUUCCUACAUCUCUCCCAGGAGCCCUUUGUAGUUGAUAGCCAAGCACAAUGGCAUCACGCAACCGUCUUGCUCCGCUCAACUACAGUUGUUAAAUAAAGCAAGAUGAUUGAACAUAAAACAGAGACAUUCAUUGAACAUUAUAUGGGUUUUUUUUACAAAAAAAAAAAACCCUAAUCACAUGGAAAACAUGGCCAGUGGGAUUGUGAGACAACAGGGAGUAUUAGCAAACAAAAGAAUGAUUAUGUAACAUAAAAUAAAACUGUAGUCAUGUACUAUUGACAACAGAAUUCAGAAGGCAUGCUUCGUUGGAAAUUUGGAGGUCCAACAUAAAGGGUAAUUGACUACUUUAAAUAUAGUUUGUACAGUAACUCACCUUUCCAGAAAUAUACUUCUUUCCAACAGCAGUAUCUUGGAGGAUAUGUGCAGCCACCUGAUGACAGAAGCAUUAGCUUGUCUACAAUAUUCUAUUGUAUUGCAACUAAUGAAUCACAUACACGUUCUAUCUAUUUGGUUCAAGGAAAAUAGGAGGUUGAUAUUAAGUUGUUUUCUUUGCAAGAACUAAUUUGCAUGCAAUUGAAUGCUUCUAAAUAUUUGGCCCUUAACAAUAAGGGACAACUUCAAUUUAUUCUGUGGGACAGAAGCAAAACAUGAUUGAUGAGUUGCUGAAUAAUAUUAAAAGAUUAUGCCUGAGAAUAAAUAGGAAUUACCUCGCCACCAUUUAUGGGACCAUCAUAGCAAGGUUGAAGUGUGAUAGCACGUUGCAGAUAAGGUUUCCAAUGCCCAGUAAGUAAAUCCCUCCGUAUCAUCUCAAUGCCGCAUUGAUAAUGCUUUUUUUGUGAUGCAACAGAAGAGAACACAGAACAGAAUCUCAGGCAAGGUACUUAAUGACAGCACACAAUUUUGAAUCAGUUUUAAGGUCAAAAUGUUUCAACCUCAAGCAUAUUCCUCAAAAAUGGUUCUUCAUUGAAAUAAUCUCUUCGAACAAAUACAAAUGGCAACUUGUAAGCCAAAGCCUCACUCACUGUGCCAUAUCCAAUUUUUCCUACAUUGGAACAGGAAUUUUUUUUGUAAGUGACAAGCAAGAAAAAAAAAGACAUUAAAUAAAUACCAAAUAAUUUAAAGUUAUCAUUACCAAGCAUGCAGUCAGAUGCUGCCAUCAAAUCAGGUGUGUAGGCAUCCUUUGCAAGCUUAAUGAAAUUUGGAGGAAGCUUUUGAGUAUCAGAUGCACCACAUACCUUUCAGAAAAUAUAAAAUGUUAGUCAGGUGGGUUGGUCAGGCAUUAAUCAGUCAGGGAAAACGUUGCUAUCAGAUAAACAUACCAAACAUAGCCAACCAUCAGGCAACCACUCUUUCUUCAGUUCCCAUCCCGCAGGCUGCACAAGAAAAUAGCAAAAGAUGAUGUUAUUAAUGUGUACAACUGUCCUAGUUAGAACAAUUACAUACCGAUAGAAAAAAAAUAACUUAAACAAAAUGAGGGCCGGUUUUUUUCAUGGAAAAUCUACUCUUCUGACAAAACAUAUAAGAUAACUCCUAGUCCUCAAAUGUUGGGGGGUGUAUUAUAUGUUGAGAACCCCCACUAUUAUGUUCAGAGCACAAUUACAUAGCUCAGGGCUCGCAAAAUAAUAUUUGGAGGAUAUUUAUAGUCUUUAGUGGCAUUUUUGUACAUACAAACCCAGCAAUGAUCCAUUUGUAGUCUUUAGUGGCAUUUUUUGUGAAUAAAAACCCUACCAGGGGCCCAUUUGUAGCCCUUAGUAGCGUUUUUGUAAAUACAAAGUGGGAGAGAGAUUUUUUUGGCCAAUGACUCUUUUGACUCGGUCCCAUUCCCAUGUUCCUCCUUUUCUUUCUCAUUUUGUUGGCCUAAACCAACACCAAAUUUAAUAUUGAUAGAACGUUCAAAUAUUGUGCCAUGUAUAAUAUAAACUGAUGUAUCAACAACACAUGUAAAAUAUGACCAUAGAGCAGCGAUAUACCAUAACAACAUUGUCUGUGAUCAGAUCAACCUAUACUAGUCCGGAAAUUGGCAAAUCAAUUGAACAUAGAUAUGUUGUGGGCAAACAUCAAUCAGAUAUUAGAAUAAAGCAAGCCACAUACUUAUAAGGAUGGACAAUUUUCUCUCACCUGUCCUCCAAAGUUGAAAAUGACCAACUUAACAUCAUCUGCAAUUCCUAGUUCCUUUCUCACCUAAAACACGAAAAUUAUGUAACUUAAAAAGCAAAAAGUGGGUUACAUUUGUAAGAUAUCACUCUAAAACAGAAUAUACAAACCUCAGAUCUAGAUCUGUGUAAUCUUCUAACCACCAGAGGAACAUCAAUGACAUCACGAAAAGCAGGCACUGCAUCAAAUAGGAUUGCCAACUUGUUAAUGAGAAUUGCACGCUUAGACCAACUAAAAACAAUUAUUCGAGCUUAAGUUACAUACUAGGGCAGUAUCCAGGGAGUCGGAGCAAGAAUUCACAAUGGGAGUAAUCCUCUGCUAUCUACAAUUGUUGUUAAGAUACAGACAUGGCUAAUUAACAGACGACAUAAUAUUAGAUUACAAAAUAAACAUAAAAAAACAUGGUAUGAUUGAACAAACUCUAAACGAUAACUAUUUGCAAUUCUUUCCACCAGCCCACCCAUCUUAAGUAGGCGUCAAUAACUUGCCUAAGAAAAAUUGAAAACUUAGACAUGUGAGUGAGGUACCUGCCACACAAUUGAGCGAUGAUGAUGUCCAGCUGCUACAACAUACUCUGCAUAAAUAAAGUCCCAGCUGCAGACAAUUAAGAUAUGUUAGAAGCUUCAUCAAAUCACAAGUUGCCUGUAGGCUAUAGUUUUUUUUGAACUAAAGCCUGUAGGCUAUAGUAACCACUGGCAGAUCCCCCAGAUACUUACCUUACGAAAUUAAUUUGAAAAAAAAGGAGAUUACAACUUAUUUUAAUGUUUAUCAGUAUUCCUUCCUGCUCUUUGCGACACAUGGAACCAAAGAAGCAAUAGAACCACUACUAACCUGAAAUUUGUGACGCACACGGAUCGAAUGCCAGCAUCUGCAGCUGCCCUACACGCCACGGGUACAACAUCUGAAACCUGCCAGCAUUUACUCGAGUGAGUUCAGUUGAGUCCUAGUCCGGUUACCCGUAAAUAUUUAGGGAGAUAGAUAAGUAUCAGAAGCAUGUAACAAUCAGUGAUCAUGCUAGUAUGGCAUUGAUACCACUAGGUCGGCCUUGAUGGAGUUGAGCCACUCCGCCUCGGUCCUGAGGAUGGACUCCCGGGGCACCACAGCCGUCUGGUGAUACUGCACUCCGCGCACCCUUUUUUCAGAACUUCGGAGAAGCAAGGCAGGCGGUGGAAUAACGGAAAUGGAAUUGAAAGGAUCGAGUUGUGCGUGCAAACUGCAAAGCAGAGCCAGAAACCUUCUCGAGUGAGGCGAGGCGGUCGACGGUGAGUGCAUCGGCCUGGACGGCGCCGCAGUCGAGCAGGACCUUGCGGAUGUGGAGGCUCGGGGAAGUGAUCUCGGUGGUGAAGACGAACUCGGGCGCGGCGGUGACCACGUGCACGUCGUGCCCCGCGGCGACCAGGUGCCUCACCACCUGCAGGAGGAAAGGACAGAGGAGGGACGCAGGCAGGGUCAGGAAACGGGACGGGGGGAUCACGCGGGCACCAGGCAGGUAGGCCGGCCGUAAACGGGCGGAGGAGUCGGAACUCGGAAGGGAGGGAGGGGCGGCGGACCUCGAGGGCGCGGGUGGCGUGCCCGAAGCCGUGGCCGGUGAUGUAAUAGGCGAACACGAGGUGCUGCGGCGGCGCGGUCACCUCGCCGCCGCCGUCCCCGUCACGAACCCUCAUCCUCCGGGUUCCGGCCUCCGCGUCUCGGCGACCGAGUGCGAGCGAUCACUCCGCUGACGCUACGACUCUUUGCUCGACUUGGGAGUGGACUCUCUCUCUCUCUCUCUGCUCCCUCUUCCUAUCUGUUGUACUAGUAUUUAUCAUCACGUCGCCGUCGGGGCGUCGGGUAAGCAGGCGCAGGGGGGUUUGGUUGGUCAUAUCCGAACCCGGCGCCGGCUUCAAUGCGCCGUGCGUUGCGCCCAUUCGCCGCAUUAUCCUCCUGCCCAACUCUCUGUUUCAAUUUGCGUGCCGUGAACUGAGGUGAGCUCCUGGAGUUUGGGAGUCUCAAGCAACAACCCCUUGCUUCGGAUGGGGUUUUGAUAAACCUGACUUUUUUUUCCCCCCGCUUUGAGCCUGAUCCGAGCCUGAUCCUUCAGUUGUGCGUGAUUGACAGAUUUCUUUAAACACGUCCGGUUCACGAUCGUGGUCGGUCUAAUGAGAGUGAGAUUGUCAGCUAGGGCCGGCCUAUGACUCUAUGUGAGUUUGGCGUCAUCUUAUUCUUAUCCAGAAGGUAGGAAUAUACUUAGAUAUGCAUGUUUUCAGAUGAGUGAAUUGCACUCACCAUACAACAACUAUCUAAGUGGGUGCAUAUUCACUUAACAUCUUGUAAUUUGUUCAAUUUAAUACAACAACUAUCUAAGUGGUGCAUGUUGAUCCAACAUCUUGUAGUCUAUUUAAUUUGAUGCGAAAACUUGGCUCAUUGGUGCAUAUACGAUCCAAACGUUGCAACUACAUAUCUUUGUACACCCUCUAUCACUAUGAUAGGAAGCUAUACCCUAGCAUGCUCAUUUCAUCCAUCACUUAGCUUGAAUCAUUUACUAUAUUGUGAUACUAGAUUAAUUUAAAUUUUAGCCACAUAUAAAUACUGCCAUUGAUUUCAUAAAUAUUAUGAUAAAUAAUGUGUUUUGAUCCAUUUUCACCUCUACCAAGCUCACUCAUGGCUCACUAAUUACAGCUCAUAAGUGGGUUGUCCAUCAUGGAGGGAGAGAUCACAACCAAUAUUUUACAACUUCUCUUAGUAAAGUGGGCUUGUCCUAGUGUCUUGGUAGUCAAAAGUUUAGGCCCCCUUUGGAUCAUAGGAUAUGAAUCCUAUAGGAAUAGGGAAACUAUAGGAAUAUACAUGUCAUACACUCUAAUAAUAAAUAAUAGAGAAGACCUUUGGUUGGACCAUAAGAAAUUUUCCAUAAAGUCAUACUUCAUGCUUUUUUUCCUAUGGAAUUGAACUAUAGGAGGCCAAUCUUAUGGAAUGCUUCCUGUACUUUUCCUAUGAACCAAGGAGUAGGAAAGAAAUUUUUUUGUUGAGAAUCCUAUCCUACAACAUUCCUUUGUUUCACCCUUGAAUCAAAGGAGCCCAGUAUAAAUUUUUCAUUUCCUUUGAGAAUGCUAUCCUACAAAAUUCAUUUGUUUCACCCUUGAACCAAAGGAGCCCUUAGUACAAUUUUUCCCUACUAAAUGUCUCCUAUGAUAUUAAACAUGCUAAUUAACACAUGCUACAAGAUAUUGGACCAACAUGCACCCACCUAGAUAGUUGUCGUACUAAAUUAAAUAAAUUACAAGAUGUUGGACUAAUAUGCACCCACUUAAAUAGUUAUUGUAUGGUGAGUGCAAUUUACUCUUUUCAGAUUAUAUUCGUUCAAGUCAUCAUUCGCAAAAGUGUUUUUAUUAUUCUGCUUUAAGUAAACUUUGGAGAUAAAAAUCUAACAUAUUCUUAAAUUGUGAAAAAGAAUACUCCCUCCAUCCCAAGAUGUUAGGUUGCGCUUUUGAGAAACAAUUUUAAUUAAAUAUAUAUUAAAAAAUAUUAAUAUGUAUGAUACAUAAUUAGUAUCAUUGAUAGAUAUUUGAAUCUAACUUUUUUCAUAAAUUUAUUAGGAGAUAAAAAUAUUGUGCGUAUUUUCUAUAAAUCAAGUUAAAGUUAACGAUAAACAAAUCGUAUGGCAGGAACCUUGGAGAUCGAUGACGACCCGCAGUCCACGGCAGCAGGACGAAUUACUCUAUGACAGGAAGACUCUAUGGUAGGAAGCCCUCGAUGAUGACCUACAACGUCUCGGAUAUAGUUACAGGAAACGGCGGCGACCUGGAUGCUCGCGAACUGGCGGCGCGGCGACAAGAAAAUGCCGCAAAGAAGAUACGCGCGCGACCAAAAACGCGGGACCAGAUAUGACGCGGAAGAAAAGCCGCAGCAAAUACAAUUAGAUCCGCAAUUUUAGUUUUUACCAAGUCAAUUAUGUCAAACACUUGGAGAUAACCUUUUUUUUCAUUUGUCAUAUCGUUUUGGGAGUUGGCAAACCACAACAAAUGGUAAACAAAAAAUAUCAAACUAUUAAAGAUGCUCUAAUUAGUUAUUUUUUUAAUCUAUAUAUAUAUAUGUGUCGUAAGAUUUAAUAUGAUAUAUAAUUUAAAGGCCCAAUGGUACAUGGCCACAUCAGUCUGUGCUCUUGUCCCUGCUGUUUUUUUCAGUCUCUUCUCCCGUGAUUCUUUUUGCGCAACCUUUUCUAAACUUAUUUUCAAAUGUUUUUUUUGUACAACCUUUUGUAAACUUAUUUUAAAAUGAAAACAGAGCAGGUAAUUCCCGCUGUUUUCAUGAAAAACAAUUCUCAGUUUUUAGAUAUACACAUUUUUUAUAUGAGCAAUUAAAUUUCUGUUAUUAAAAGAAGCAUAUAUUGUUAAUUUUUAUAUAAAUAUGUGAAAAACUCCUGGCAAUUAAACGGUUAUGGUAUCAAUAAACUAGCCAUGGUAAUACAAUAAUAAUAAUGCAAAGGACUUCGAAACUAAGGCAUUAAGAUGUUACAGAUCCACCAAGUUGUAUCAACUAAUCGGAUGUCAAUCUAACCAGGUCUCUUGUAACAUGGAGUCUACUGACACUAAUAUUACUGGGGAAGAUCAGCACUACACCAGGAGGCAUCAUGCUAAGCAUAAUCAGUUUUUUUGUUUUCAACUAGAGCAGCCAGCUGUUAAAAAAAAAAAAAAAAAAAAAAAAAAAAAAAAAAAAAAAAAAAAAAAAAACUAGAGCAGCCAGCUACUCCUACACAACUAGGGGAGGCCUAUUAGAGGAUUUCUUCAUCCUUGGUGUGACUCAGUACUCAGUACACAGGGCCUCCCGGUUGUCACCUUGACCACAUAACAUGGGCUGAUGGAUUUGGUAACGACGAUGGGGUCAUACAAUGUUGCCACUGGCCAAGGUUCUCGCCAUUUAAUCCACCGGAAACUGCUUCCGAUGCUUCCUCUACAUCCAUAGAAGUUACUUCAGUCUCAUCAGCCUCCAUAGGUACUUCAAAAAUUUGUGCGCUCUCUGGUUCAGCAGUGACCCAGUCAGAUCUUAUAGACACUUGUGGUGGUGUCCAAGGAACUAAAGCCAAGCUGUUCCUUCGCUCAGGAGAUUCACCCUCCACCUCAUGAUAGUUCACUUGAUUGAAAGCAUGGUCUGAAAAGUGAAAACAGCAAAGAAACUCUUGAGUUGUUAUAAUUCAGGACACGUAUAAUUGGAAAAAUAUGCUGCAUGUGAAGGUGGAGCAAAAUAGAAGCCAAUGGAAAAGUUCUACAAGAAGACAGCAGAACCAGAGAAAAUAAAAGAAGAUAAUUGUUGACAAGUAAAUCGUGUUAAAAAUCAUGACAUGGAUCAUAUUCUGCACAGCAAAGAAUGCAGCACAACUACAGCCCUAGACAAAGGACACACCAAGCAUUCACCCAUGCAGAUCAUAAUGUGAGCAGAUGAUGUCAAUAUGUCAUGGCUAAAACAUAUCAUCUCAUGCUCCUAGGCCAACAAGCAUGUUUCCUGUUAUAUUCACCAACUAGCUGCAUGACAACUAAAUAGUAGACUCUUCUGCAUAUAACUUGCUUAAAGUAACAGGAGAUAGGUUUGGACAUGUCACAGAUAUAGAAGUUAACAAAAGAUCUAAAUAGGUUAGGGGCCUUUUGGAUCCCCAAAAGAUCAUGAGAAUCCAGAUUAUGGAUAGUGAUUUUAAAAAUCUAGAUUGUGAAUAGUGGUAACCAGUUCCGUUUGGAUACCAGAUUAUACUAUCCGGAUACUGCAUUCACUCUAGAGAAAAAUUGUCUAAAAUGCCCUUGACUCCUUUAACAGAUUCUUUCAUUCGGCUAGCACCUCACAGACAUACAGGUGUCUGAUGCCCAAGGUCCAAUAUCAUCUUUUCGCAGAUAGAAUCCCCCAGAAGCUUGUUCCCAGAGGCUACUGGAUUACUGCAUCAGAUUUCUCAAACCAGCCAAGAAUCCCCUAGCAACCUUCUCUGUUUGGAUAGAUUUUUGGAUUUUUUAUCAGAUUGCAGAAUCCUAUCUGGAUCCAAAUGGGGCCUUAGUUUAUAUUUGCACAAGGAACACCCAGAUACUUAGGCAACAACAAUACACUGUACUCAUACAAGUUCUAAAUAUACAUUUGACACUUCGAAAUCUAAUGAAAUGCAGGAUCAAAAUAGCAAAGUUUCAUAGGAAUAAUAAAUUUAAAUCUAAAUGACGACUAAAGAAGGUUGAUCACGAUGUACUUACUCUUUAGACCACGUAUCAAGUCUGAACUCACUAUAAAUGAAGAGCUUGAGAUACCAGGACCAAAUGGUAUGGGAUUAUCUACUGGUUUGUAUAAAACAAGUGCCAUGUCCUCACUAGGCACAUGAUGUGUUGUUAGACCUUCCAUCAUGACUUCCACACUGGGUAUGUCAACACCACUAUUGGUUUUCUCUCCCAACAUCUGGAAUGACAUGGAAGGAGCAGGUGGUUCUUCUUCCAUAAUUGGUGGGAGCCCGGGGUCCUAUAAAUAAUAAGCAACACUUCAUUCAGAGAGGCAUUACAGAUGCAGUAUGUGUUCUAAAUAAAGACUUCAGACGAAUGUAAAACACCAAAAUGACAGAAUGCUUAACUAUAUGCACGACAAGACAUGCAGCACACCAUGCAUGAUAAACCUUGCUUAGGCCUUGUUUAGUUCCGAAAAAAAUCGGAUUUCGGCACUGUUAGCAUUUUCGUUUUUAUUUGACAAAUAUUAUCCAAUCAUAGAUUAACUAGGCUUAAAAGAUUCAUCUCGUGAUUUACAGACAAACUGUAUAAUUAGUUUUUAUUUUCGUCUAUAUCUAAUGCUUCAUGCAUGUGCUCCAAGAUUUGAUGUGACGGGGAAUCUUGAAAAAAAUUUGGUUUUCAGGGUGAACUAAAUAAGGCCUUAUCUACAUGCAGUGGAAAAUUGCAACAUGUAUAUGGUUUUUCCUCUUCACUUGAAGUAAUCAAACAGAAAGUAGGGUGCUACUUUGCUAGACAACAAGGCUGUCACAACAAAUGCAUAAAAACGUAUAGAGAUGAUGCCAUAAGAACACCCAGCAUAUCAUCAUCAGAUAAACCUCACUACAUUUGUACACAAGAAGAACUCCAACGAAAGCAACAACACAUAAUCUGGCAAUACCUGCAUGUAAAUAAAACAGGCAUUCUCAUAAAACAGGCUGACCCAUGAAAGGGCUACUGCUCUUUGCAGAAAAGACGUUUUCGUUAAUUUAUUCAGUAGGGAGUUCCCGACAGAGCAAUACUGCUGGGAAACCUAAUGCUACUUAAUCAGAAUUAGGAAAACGGUAUAGAAACUGAAAACAGAUCUGACAAAACAUCUAUUGAAUCGAUUCUGACGAAUUGCAUGAAGAUGCUUUGAACAAAUAUCCACUUACACAGGCAGGUCAUGGGCAUGAUAGCAAGUAUAGGUAAUCAUCAAGUGCAAGAUAUAGUUGGAGCAAUAUCCUCCAUUUUUUUUCUUAAAAAAAAUAUUUUUUUACUGUAUUUGCUAACAUGUAACCGCUCCCAAAUCCCUAUAAUCAACCACCCGAGUCAGGCGUCCACCAAUCAUCAGUAAUCAAAGAGAUGAACUCGCAGGCAUAGUAGCAGCAAGAUUAGGGCAAAAGAUUGCGCCAGCAAACCAGAUAUGAGCCCUCAAUUAAUAGAAGCCUAAAAGAAGGCACAAACAGACAGCUCACCAACUCACCAAUCUGCGGCUCUUGGCAGCGGGGCCGGAGAGGGAGAAGUCGGAGAGGCCAUCCACCACCUGCUCCAGCUCCUUCCUCUUCCCCGAGAACCCCACCAUCUUCUCGCCCGAAACGAGAAGGCCCCGCGAAAUCCGGCCACGAACUCCGCAGAUUCGGAGAUUCCUACAGAACCCCCGCUCCGGUCGAGCGAGGGCUGGCUGCUCCGGAGUGAUGAUGCUUCCCGCUGUCCCCGCCGCGGCUCGCGAGGGCGGACGGUCGGGGGGGUUUGCUCCCUUCGCGCGCCGCGGGACGGCGGGAGGGAUCCUUGGGCGGGGGCGGGGAGGGGUUUCGCGCUUCCGAGUUCUCGCACGCAGCACACGCGCUCCGCUUGUGUUGUGUGUUUUUUGUGCGGGGGUUCUGCUUCUGCUUGUUUGGUAAGCUUUGCUUCUCGGUUGGUUGCUUGGUUUGCGCUGGAAGGAAGGAUAGUUCCAGAAAAGCGCGGUGGCCUUGAGCCCUGUGUCGCUGGCAGGUGGGGUCGGAUUUGCGGAAGGUUAUUUUUCCUUUCUUUUAGGCCUUGUUUAGUUUAAAAAAAAUUACAAAAUAGGAAUAAUACCACUUUUGUUUGUAUUUGACAAAUAUUAUCCAAUCAUAGACUAACUAGACUCAAAAGAUUCGUCUCGUCAAUUUCGACCAAACUGUGCAAUUAGUUUUUAUUUUUGUCUAUAUUUAAUACUUCAUGCAUGCGUCUAAAGAUUUGAUGUGAUGGGGAUUCUGAAAAAUUUUGCAAAUUUUUUUAGAAAUACGAUGAAAUGUCAACUUUGCCUUUCUAAUCUAUACCUAAUAAUAAAUUGUGAAAAUUUCAGUUCACCAUAUUUUUAUAUGUCCACCAGAUAUCAGGUUCUGUAUAUGACUAUGAUUACAAUUAAUCAAACACUGUGUGUGUUAAAAUACAAAAGAAAAGAGGCCAAAUUUCAGCUAAAAAUUUCUGACUAAUUUUCGUCUGGCCUCUUCCAUGACCGUCUUCGACUCGCGUCUAAAUACAAAUCCAAGCCGGACAAGAGCAGUCGGAGCGGACCUCGUGAUCCCGGGCGGAGGAGGCAGACACCGUGUAAUCUGGCGGAGCUCUUUCUCGGCGGAGCAGGAGCCGGUGCUCCCGGCUUCCGUGGCCAGACGUCCGACCGAUGGGGAUGGAGAUCGCAACCUACGGCGGCGGCACCAUGACCACACCAGUGAAGGGGAGAUGGGACACGUGGAGAGGCCCACAAUCCUGGUGGAGAAGGCAGACUCUGUGUAAUCCGCCGGAGCUCUUUCUCAGCGUUGGCGGAGCAGGAGCCCGCGCUCCCCGGUUCUGUGGCCCGGCGCCUAGCCGAUGUAGAUGGAGAUCGCAAACCGCGGUGGAGGCACCACGACCACGCCUGUGAAGGGGAGAUGGGAAGCCGCUGAUGUUGGUUAGGGCGCAACCACCAUUGGUGAAGGGGAGGGCAUCGCCUCCAGAGUUGCCGUCGGGAGCGACGAGUGAACUGGAUCUGCUACCGGCGUGGUUGGGGAAGCCGCUGCUGGCCUACGACAGUGCGGCUCCACAUGGAGAAAACACCGCUGCUAAGCUAGGAGGGGAGAGAACCACCGGAUGAAGCCACACAAGCGGAAGAUUCUGGAUUCCUCUUCUGAAAUCGAGCAAGGGCGGUGCAGAUAAUGACCAUAUAAAAAAUUGAAUUAAUGACUCUGUAUAUAUCUAAACGGGUAACGAUAUGCUAUUGAACCCGAUAGGCUGCGUGUGGAACCGUCCCCUACGCAUACAAUGGCUGAAGUCUAAAUAGAUUAAUAGUUAAUUUUAACUACACCUAAUAAUUUAAAUCUAAUUGAUCCAAAAAAAUUAUACUCCUAUAAAAAAAAUCUUCAAAGUUCAAGGUUCGUAAUAACAAAACGUGCAGCGAUAAUUUUUGAGACUUGGCCAAGGUUCCAAUGCUUUAGGCCAAUGAAACUUUUCAUUAUGAAUAAUUUGAUUUAGAGUUUGUUUUUUCUAAAGUGAUGUAUUAUUUGAAUAGGCAUAUUAUGAUCAAGCUUCAAUUUAAGUUAGAGUUCAGUGGCGGGACUAUAAACAUAUGCUAGGAGAGGCAUAUCUUACUUAUUUUGUAUAUUUAGCCUCUCAUUGUAUGCUUUAGUAAUUAUAAUCUGUAGUCAGGACGAGAGUCUCCAUACAUUCAGUGACGUUGGCGCAGGUUUCAAGUCCUGAUUAACCCAAUGCUAGAUUUGCUAUAGUUAGUGCUUGUCUCUUACGAAAAGUCUAUUUUAUGGACCCAUAACAACUUCAUUCAAGAUUAUAGCCUUUACAUUGUUAAUAAAAACUUUUUUUGAUAAUUUAUGAUUUUUAUUAUAGUUGUUAGAAUUAAUUUUUCCUUUUUCCCGUUGCAACGCACGAGCACUUUUGCUAGUGAAAACCAGAAGUCCAAAGCCCAAGCUGAUGCGGCUUUUGUUCGGAGCAACUUUGCUUGCUACUACUUUCACCUUAAGAUGUUUAUUUUUUUAAUCUCAAUCACUCGUUUUAUUCAAACAAUUGUAUAAAUAUUAUUUUUAAAGAACUUUUAUUAAUAAACCAAGUCACAAUAAAAUAGUUGAUAUUUUGCACAAAUCUUUGAAUAAGACGAAUGACCAAACUUGAUGUCAAAAAAGUCAAAAUUUUUAUAAUUUAAGAUGAAUUGAGUAUUAGGGGAAAGCAAGGCCUUGUUUAGUUUACCCCCCAAACCAAAAAGUUUUUAAGAUUCCCCGUCAUAUCAAAUCUUGUGGCACAUGCAUGAAACAUUAAAUAUAGACGAAAACAAAAACUAAUUACAUAGUUUGCCUGUAAAUCACGACAUAAAUCUUUUGACUAUAGUUAGUCUAUGAUUGAACAAUAUUUGCCAUAAACAAACGAAAGUGCUACAGUAGCGAAAUCAAAAAAAUUCACAUCUAAACAAGACCCAUACAUGGGGUACAAGAACAAAACGAGGGCAGGGACAGUUUAGGACAUUCGUGUUGCUAAUAGCUAGCAACUACUCUCUUCAUUAUUUUAAAUUAUAAGAUUUUUUAGCUAGCAACUACUAUCUUCAUUUUAAAUUAUAAGAUGUUUUGGUUUUUUAAAAUAUAUAUUUUUGCUAUGUACUUCACAUAUAUUAUGUCUAUAUAGAACAUACUCUAGAAAAAUCAAAACAUCAAAUAAUUUAGAAUUGAUGGAGUAGGAAUUAGAAAGAGCGGAUAAUAAGCCACAUGGCAAUAAGUUACUAAUCACUAGCACGUUUUUACAAGUUGGAGGCUAUGAGGAGAUGCCAAUGUAGUGGCUAGCAAUGAUACUUUUAAAGCGUUCAAACAUGCCAUGUAAGGUUCAUACCGAGAGAAAAUUGUUCGGCUGACAUGUCAGUGUCUACUCUUUUUUUUUGAAUUGCAUGACAGAAUUUAUCAUUUAAAUAAACUAGUUUCAUGUGUACAUGUAAGCAACACAGAUUUGCGAACACCCCCCCCACUCCCCCACCCCAAAAAAAGGAAAAAAAAAGAAAAAGGCCACAUACGAAAAAAAAAACUUCCAAAGGAGGCCCAACUCGGCAUUUGGGCUGUCUGUUCUCAAAGCCCUUCGCCUCUGCUGCGAGUCUGCGCCCACACUCCGUCUCGCCGCCCAAAACCCACUCUCGAAAACCCUCCUUCCCAUGGCGUCCGCCGGCGUAGCCGACGCCGACGACGGCGAGGCAGCCAUGGCCGCCCCCGCUGCCCGGAGGAUAGUUGGCGCUGAGGUUCCCAUACCCGGCUUGGACAAGCUGCGGUGGAUCGACCUCACCAUCCCCUCCUCCUCCGCCGCCGCGCCGGCGAGCCCCUCCGAUCCCUUCGUCUGCGUGCCCCCGCGCGCCGCCUCGGGGUGCCACAUCAUCUCUUCGGGCGAUUCUCAGUAUUACCUCUCGUGGUACGUGUUGGGCUUCUCCUCACUUUCGAGCUCUAUAUUAUGGUUCUGUUCAGAUGAGUGGCACAUUUUGUUAGCUGGACCUCGCGCAGAUUAGACUUAGCUUCGAAUAGUUUUGGCCUUUGGAGUUGUCUGUGCUCGUGUUUAUGUGAUAUGAAUCCUUUUAGAACUAUAACUUAAGUGCACUUUCAGUAUUGCUUUGGUACCUGCCAUGUUUAGAGAAACCCUAGGUUCAUAGUAGGUGGGGAUUUUCUGAAUGGAGCAUAUGGAUGCCGUCUUACAGGAGGAUUCACGAGGAACACCCAAAUGUGCUAGAGGUCAUCGAACUUAGUGCCUCCAAGGAGUUCCCUACCUUUGGACUGCGGUUGGUCUUCCAUGAGGCGCUAUGUCCAUUUGCCUUUUUAUGUGAAAGAGAGGUUGGUUCAUUCAUGACAUUUUAUGCCAAUUGUUGUUUUCAGUAACUUUCUGGAACAUUAGAGACUAGACUAGUCACUUAUGUGGCAAUGCAGGGUCGCAGGCAAGGGGAGCUUGUAUAUAUGCUAUACGUGCUUACCGUUUCUGGAGUUGCUCUCUUGUGCCAUUUACGCAGCCCAUUUUCCUACGUAUCUGGUUCAGUGCUGCAUCAGGAUGAUAUAAUUGAGUUUAAUCUCCAAACUCAAGCUCAGAGUGCAAAGGUUACAGCGGUAACAGCGAAGCCAGGAUGUAUAGUGAUUGGUCGGCAAGAUGGGUCCAUCUGUUCUUACAGUCUUGGCAGAUUAGCCCUGAACUCACCAGGCAUGUCCUCUACUGUCAAUUCACGGCAGCAAACUCAUUGUUCCACGGAUUUAGUGUUCCAGAUGACUGAGCUUGGGGGCUUCUUCUGUAACUCUCCCCAAGGUUUCUGAAUGAUAUUGUCUUCUACUGUAGGUUUCUCGAAUGAACUACGAGAUGAUGCUGGGAUUGGCCGUUUAUGGAAUCUUGUGUCAAGGUACUAUCUUGGAUUCCUGGUUAUUAUGGUCCACCAAGCAAUAAAGGCAUGAUCAUCUUAGCUACACGAGAAUUGUUGCUAGAACAUCUACUGUUUUCAUGUUUUGGCUAUUAGCCAUUGCCCCAGCUGCAUAGAUAUUUGCAGAGACUAUCAUAGCAUAGGAAGAAGGAACAGCAUGUGCAGUGUUCAUAUGCUUGUUGACGUGAAUGGAGUUCCAGUUUACUCAAAGAUUCUUUAGUUGGUCUACAUCUCAUGUUUUGUAUUUUUUUGAAUCUUUUUCCAUGAAAUUUACCUACAUUAUUUUGCAGAACAAAGAAUGUGGGUCCUGUGCAGGAUAUAGUGGCAACUGUUGUAAAUGAAAGGGACCUGUUAUUUGUUCUUCAUUUGGAUGGACACUUGCGCAUAUGGGAUAAUCACAUGAAGCUUCUCAACUAUAGUGUUCACUCAAAUGAUAUUGAAGGUAAUGUCUAUGUUCUCUUUACUUGCUACUCUCUUGAUCUUGUCUGUCUGCACUAUUGAUGAUUGUGUUAUGGUUCUUUCUAAGCAAUGCUGCUCUGUUUACAAUGCAUGCAAUGUUGUUGUGACGCGUGUAAGCCAUGAUCUACAUCCUUAAGUCAGUUCUGCUUCCAGUCUCAUAUCCAAUCUACCCAAGCUGCUGGUAUCCGAUGUCUAUACUAUCGCUGGAUAGCAUAUAAUUUUUGUGUGGUGGGCUGAUGAUAGCUUUAUCUGUGCAUACUUGUUUCAGUGAGCUCAGUGACAUUGCUUUAAAUGUGGAAAAAGUACAGUGAGGGUCAACUGUUACUUGCAUGCCGUUUUUUUUUUGUAAUAGUGCUAUCUAAGAGUGAAGGGAAUGGUUUGAUUGAACAAUUUGAGAUGCAUAAAGAUUAAAGAGUAAUGAUUUUCAUGAAUGAACCUGUGCAGUUGUGCUUUGUUGAUGCACUGCAAUUUCGUGGUCGCCUCUACAAUGCUGUCCCUUGUUUGGAAACCAUGGUUUCACAAAAACGAGUUUAAGCUUUGUUUGCACAUUCCACAUAAUGCUGUUCUUGAGCAGUUAAUAUCUAUUGACAAGUUCUCUUUAUCUCAGGCCAUCCUUCCAGGCUAUGGGUUGGUGAGGCUGAUGAUGAUCAAGAGUUGAUAUCUUUGGCAAUUCUGCAUCAGAACACUGUGGUAUGUCAAGAAUGUCGUCUAACCAGUUAUUUACUUGCUCAUCUGCCAUUUACAAAAUGUAUACUUUUGUAGUGAUAAAUAACUAGGUAACUCCACUUUUUGAAAAUGGUAACAGAAUGUUCUAUCUAGGUGUAACGUGAAUCUGAAGUUGUGAAGUGUAUCAAAUGUGCAUACUAUGUGCCAAGAAUAUCUCCAAACUAAUUGCAAGCUGUGCCUUGCCAGUGUUUUCAUGUUGGAAAACCAGUUGAUCUUCUUGUGAUUGAGAGUAAAGAAAACUUUUUCUACCAUAUUGAGCAAAAGGAGUUGGACAGAUUAGUGAUGGUAGCUGGAUUAGUUUCGAGGUUGCCUUGAUCAGUAUAGUAUUAAGAUGGACUAAUGAAUUGGUGACAUAUGUUGCUGUGGAACAUUCUUGUCCCUAUAAGAUAGUGAGAUUUACUAGCUGUGGAUUAUAUAACCACAAUCUGGUGAUUAUCUUAUGCUAACUUCAACCGGUAAUAAAUGAUGUUCCAACAGCAGAAGCAGACUUGCUGCUAGUACUAACUUCCGGUCAGAAACUUAAAUGUUAGAUCUGUUGUUCUACCCUUUGCUUGUGCUCAUGUUUGUCACUUUGUGAAAUCUCAUUUUUCUAUUGUGGGUCGUUCAUCAUUGUAUGAUGACAUACCGUGAUGGAAAAUGUAAUCUUCUCUCAUCAUUAUUGUGGCAAAAAACUGAUUGGUUAAUAUUAUGAUAUUUUAAAGGUCCAAGAUUGUGAUUAUGUUGCUGUGUAUACCUUCGGUUUUUCUGCUGUGGAAAGGUUCAUGUUCUCUUCUGAACCUUCAGUUUCUACUAUACCUUUGCUAGAGGUAAAACACCACUGCUAAUUUAUUGACAUUCUUCAACAAACUUAAUUUUUGCAAGAUUUCCAUCUACUUGAUUAAUUGGAAAUGAAUUGGAUAAAAGAUGAUGUAGAGUUAUCUUAAUCUUGCCAAUCAUAGUUACUAUGGAAUAUGGAGUUUCAAAUUCUAUACUUUUAUAUGCACUAGCCAAUGCCCGUGCGUUGCUACGGAUGACAAAAGUAUGUUAAUCUAAUUUGUUGGUCCCAUAAGAAAGGUUUUUGAAACAAUAUUAGCACCAAUAAUGAAGUUAAAGAAACACAUGGUGUAUUGAUUUGCAUCACAGGUAUAAAUGGAAAUGAAAUGUUAAAUGCACCUUGUCGAAAUCCACCAAAUGAUUAGGCUCAAAAGAUUUGUCUCGCAAAUUACAUAUAAACUGUGCAAUUAGUUAUUUUUUAUGCAAUUAGUUAUUUUUUUAUCUAUAUUUAGUGCUCUAUACAUGUGCCGCAAGAUUCAAUGUGACAGAGAAUCUGAAAAAUGUUGCAAUAUUUUUUGGGAAGUAAACACCAAAACUAAAAAAAUUUGGUGUUAGAAUUUUGGUGAGCUGCUCAAGGUUUUAGGUUUUUGAAUUUUUUGCAAAAUACCAUACCUAGAUUCUCUUACCUAGGAUUGACGAUGUGGGAAGUCCAGGGAUGGGCAUGCCCAGGGCGCCCUUUAGUCACUCGGGGAGAGGAAGCCAUACAACGCCAGGGGCCAAUGUACCCGUCGAUCGAGCGCGCCGGCUGCCAGGGGCCGCCAUGCCCAUGGGUUGGCAGCGCCGCCACCAGGAACCGCCAUGGCCAUGGGUCGGUCACACUGCUGUCAUGGCCACCGCAGCCAUCAGGGAGGAAGGGGAGGGGGCAUUGCCGUCUAAGGUCGCCGAUGCGCGCUGGCCUAGCAGCAUCAUAGCCAAGGGCAGCGUCCUGGGGGAGAUGGCUCGCUGCCAGUCGGCUGGGGAGGGGUGGUGUGGAGGAGCUGUCGGGAGUAGACCGCAACAGAAGCCUCUGUUUUUUUUUUUCAAGAGGCUGACUGGCUGAGGGAGUUGGGUGGGGAGGCAUGGGGAGUCAGAGAAGGCACGUUGAAGACUGUUGACGUCUCCACUUUCAUCUUUUUAGGUGUAGAGAUUUCUGCCAAAGAUAUUAUGCUUCAUCAUCAUAUUUUCAAAAUUACAUAUUGUCUUCCAAAUCUUUAUGCAUUUUCUUGAGGACAACAUUAGUGCAUCACUGUUCCUUAUUUUUUUUUGAAAUAAUAGCACCCCCACCCCAAAAUAAGAUAAAAAUAAUUCCACUGUAGGAAAAUCAGAAUUGCUUUCCUUGUUGCUGGUUAUUCUAUUUAACCUAUCACAUCUGCUGCCCACUGAUAGCUAAUAUUUCCAACCUUCUUACUCAGGGGAAGCUUGUGGACUUGAAAAUAGCCACGGAUAAGCUUUGGAUACUUAAAGAAUUUGGCUCCAUGGUAUAUGAAAUAUUACAGUAUGACACCGAAACGUAAGUCUGUUCUACCUCAUUGUUGUCACUAUGUUCCUUUGCAUUGUUUGCAAUCCUUCAACCAGUGCCAUCAAAUUGGAAUAAGCAUCUCUUAUUUCAAUAAGCUAGACCAGUGGAUGAUUACAUAUCAACAACUGUACGAAGGCUAGCUAACUAACAUAUAUUACAGAAAUACACAACUCUUAUUUUUUUCUUUUCAUUUAUUUUGUAUAUCAUGUAUAUACAUAUAGUCAACUUUAUACACAAAAAAUUGUAAGCCUGCAUGCAAUAACAUACCGUACCUCUAUAAAUUCUCGGAGAAUAUUCAGGUGUGCACAUGUGUAAUCUUUAGUCAGUAUUUGAUUCCUUUUCUUACGUAAAUUCUAGACACAGUAGCUGAAUUAUAUCAAGUAAUGGUAUUGUUAAUGGAUUGGGCCAGCUUUAUUUAUAGUGUAAAAUGUUGCAGUGAGAAGAUUUGCUGUUAUGUGCUACAAGAAGAUGCUAUCAGUGAACAGUUGUUUCAAAGUUCUGACAAUGCAUUGGAUGAUUUGGUCUGGACAGCUGAUUCAAUGUUCACCUCCUUGAAGGUAGCUGUAACUUAUGGAUUUUUCAUAGUUCAACUUUCAUCUGGAAAUGGAACAUAAAGAUAUGUUUCGAUGAUUGUAUCAUUUAUUAGGAUAAUGAAUUAUGUGCAACUUGAAUCAUGAGCUUGCUACUUUGCAUGCUGUUAUGUUUUUGUUGUCUUUUCCUUUAAAUUGAGUGAUCUGUUGGUGGACGUUUAAUUCUAAUACACUUGGUCGCAGGAACUCAGAGAUUAUUCAGCAUACAUUUGUUCUCAACUGCUGAACACUCUUUGUAAUUAGAUAUUCAUACUUUCAUAAUUCAUAGUAAUUUACACAGUUUGUAAUUUUGUUUAAUUUGGAAUUGUGACUAGUUUGAUCCCUCCACUUUUCUUCUCUCAUUUUGAUCUUAUAAGUUUCAAAAUGACCUGUCUUUUCAAGUGAAAAAUGUCAUAAUAUUCAGACUACUUUCUACACCUGUGCAGAAUAUAUUGUUUAGCAUUUCAGAUCCCUUCCAUGCAUUUUAUCUCCUCUUCCAUGCAUUUUAUCUCCAUUUUUUUUGUGUGAGUAUUUUUGUGACUGGAGAGCACUUCUAUAUCCUUAACUUUCUAUACAUCUUUGGUAUCUGUAGGAGCAGGCUUUCACUUUUAUUUCAUCCAUGUUUAUGCGGAGGCUACUUCAACCAGGAGUAAACCACUGUUCUGCCCUACGUGAAACCUUACUGGAGCACAAAAGGUUCCUAUCAGAUUCUGAGUUCCAGUCACUUACAGCAAAUGGGCUACGAAAAGAGAUAAUAUCUAUUAUAGAACAAGAGGUAAUCUUUUUUGUUUUUUUUGUUUUUUUUGUCUUUUGUUUUGUUCCUUUAAGGUUUCUAUUUUCUAGUUUUCCUGUAUAACUGAAUUUCCAGAAUUCUUUUGGUUUUAGGGAAGUUCACAGGCAGCAAGUGCUACAGCUUAUCACUGGAAACAAUUCUCUGCACGGUACCUCCACAAUUGGUGCUGGAACAAUAAGCCAUAUGGGUUGCUUCUUGAUACUAAAAAUGAAGUGUUUGGUUUAAUAAGAAAGGGUUCAUUUUCUCUAUUCCGUUGUUUGGAGGGUGUGGAAAUGCUUAUUUAUGGUGUGAUUCUUUCUUAGUGUUUUUUUGCAAUAAAUUUCAGCUUAUCUGUUGGUAGCAAUUAGGUAAUGCUAAUUAGCCUAACAUUUCAGGUUCAUCUGAAGAAUUUCCCAAUAUUGAUGACCUUGGAAUGAACUUAUUGGAUGAUAUAUCUGAUUUUGAACUCCUCAAAGAGGUCCUCAGAUGCAUGGGCCAUAUACACCAUUUGCUGGGGAGAUCUUCCACAGCAGUAUAUUAUGAAUGCCUAAUUAGUUCUAUUAUAUCAUCUGAUGAAAUUGCUUCACAUAUAGUAAAGAUUCUAGAGACUGGUUUUAGUCCUCAAUCAUCCUCAUCCCUCAUUACAUUACUUGGAACGGAUACUUAUGUAGAAAGAAGGCAGGCAGCUCACAGAAGUCAAAGGAAGUUUUCUGUUGAGAUGUUACUAUCUUUUCAUAAGUUGCAAUCAAGAUCCGCGUCCUGGUCGGCAGUAUUCGAUGUGAUUGAGAAGUUUAUGAAGUGUUUGAACACAAACAUGAGUAUACAAGAGCAUGGAUCAAAGAGAGUUUGUAAUGUAAAUUCUGUGUUACUAGUUCAAGCUACUUCACAGGUUGCAAGAACAAUGUUUGAGUGUGCAUUUGAUCUGUUUCUGUUCCUUAGUUAUCUGGUUGGUGUUGGUGGCCAGGUAUGCUAUAACUUUUGAUUAUUGCUAUUUCUGUCUGCUGUGUACCGUAACUUCAACUUUGCUUCUUUGGCCAUGAACUCAUAUAGCUUAAGAUACACAUUUUUGAGCUUUUAUGAGCGUGCUUGCCUUGUCUCAGCUGUAAAUUACAAUAGCUGGUCAGAACUCUCAAGUACUUUGGCAUUACUCUCAAGUACUUUGGCAUUACUCUCAAGUACUUUGGCGAUUACUCAAGUACUUUGGCCAUUACUGGUAUUUUGGGUUGCUGGACCAAUCUUGUCCACAUACCAUAUGGCUAACUACCAACAAUUACUAUGGUCUCAAAACUCACUCAAAAAAAACUAUGGUCUCAAAAUCAUGCAGAUGAAUAUUUGCUAUUUACAUGCCCUUUCAGAACACCAUUGUUACACCCUAAGGCCUGUGGGCUCAAAUUGUUAAUUCCAUAUGCAAAAUAUUAAGUGACAAUGUCUGUUUUUUUUAAGCUUGCACCCCUUUGCUUCUAGUUUGAAAAUUGCAAGUUAUUCAUGUUAGAGGUAACACAGACUUUUGAUUAGCCUUGAGGCAACUAACCCCAGGCGUCUCCUUCAUUAUAUAUAGAGAAAAACAUUGCAUUGAUUACAAAUAGCUCACUAGAGCAUAGCUAAUCAGAUAGGUGCCUUGGCAGCCGUACACACCUUUGGGCUGCCCAAGGUCUUUAAUGACUGUAAUUAACUAGCAUAGUUAUUUAGGAAAUGCUUAGGAAGCAGGGCUUAUUAACUACAUUUCUCCCCCUAAGGCCUGCUUCAAUUAAUCUUGAUCUCCUUGAUCCCAAUCCUGCUCCUCAUCUCUUCCAGCUUGGUUUUGCCCAAAGCUUUAGUCAGUAUAUCAGCAAGCUGAUCUGCAGUGGGAAUGAACUCUGUUUUGAUGCUACCAUCUUCCACACAAUCUCUGAUGAAAUGAUGCUUGAUUCUAAUAUGCUUGCUCCUGUCAUGAAAAACAGGAUUCUUUGCCAAAGCCAGAGCAGACUUAUUGUCUACUCUGAGUUCCACCACUUCAACUUUUCUUCCCAACAAAUCUGCAAACAGUCUUGACAACCACAAAGCUUGGGUUGCAGCUGUUGUCAUCGCCACAUAUUCAGCCUCACAGCUAGACAGAGCAACAACUCUCUGUUUGACAGACUGCCAGCUGACCAGGCUGGUUCCAAGGAAGAACAAACAUCCAGUUGUGCUUUUGCUUGAAUCAACAUCUCCAGCCAAAUCUGAAUCACUGUAACCCACAAACCUUGCUUUGCCUGUUGUUCUGGUGUAGCAGAGCCCAUGAUCUAGAGUACCAGCCAGGUAUCUCAAGAUUCUCUUCACAGCCUGAAGAUGUUCGGUUGUUGGCUUCUCCAGAAAUCUGCUAACAUACCCUACAGCAAAAGCCAAAUCUGGUCUUGUGUGCACUAGGUAUCUCAAGCUGCCAACCAGUCUUCUGUACCGUGUUGGGUUUACUUCUUUUGCUGUGCAUUCCUUGCUCAACUUCAGCCUUUCUUCCAUGGGUGUGGUGGCUGGAUUACAACCUGCCAUACCACCAAGCUCAAGUAUCUUCUUAGCAUAAUGGGUUUGCUUCAGAGUGAUGCUCCCCUCUGAUUGUCUCACCUCAACUCCCAGAUAGAAAGACAGAAGACCCAAAUCACUCAUUUCAAAAGUUUGCUUCAUCUUUGCCUUGAAGGCUUCAAUCUUCUGCUGAUUGACUCCUGUGAUGAUCAAAUCAUCAACAUAGACUCCAAUUACCAGUAGGGAGUCACCUGAUCCCUUCCUGUACAUAGCAGCUUCAUACAUAUUCUGCUCAAAACCCAUCUGCUUGAGAGUCAAGUCAAGCUUGGCAUUCCAUGCCCGAGGAGCCUGUCUCAGGCCAUACAGAGCCUUGUGCAGCUUGUACACUUUCUUCUCUUCUCCUGUUACUGCAAAACCUGGAGGCUGUGUGACAUAAACCUCCUCCUGGAGUUCUCCAUUCAAAGAUGCAGACUUCACAUCCAUGUGAUGUACUGCCCUUCCCUCUUGUGCUGCUAGGGCAAGCAAGAUACGCACUGAUUCCAUUCCUGCAACUGGUGCAAAAGCAUCUUCAUAAUCAACUCCUUCCUGCUGCACAAAACCACGGGCCACAAGUCUUGCCUUGUGCCUAAUUACAGCUCCAUGUUCAUCCUUCUUCAGCUUAAACACCCAUUUCAGUGAAAUUGGACGGUGACCAGGACGGGGAGAAACAAGUUCCAAGUCCCAUUCCGCUCUACUGAUCUCAGCUCCUCCUUCAUUGCUGCUUGCCAAUCUGGAUCAUCUUUGGCUUCUUCAUAGCUUGUAGGCUCACCAGAAUGGUUGAGAUUCAGUUCUGCAAACAGCCGCUGCGCCGGCGGAGGGGUUGGCUGAUCACCAAUAAUGUCAUGAAUCUUCCGAUAGCGGAGUUCUUCAUCGUCAUGGUAGGCAUCCACCCUUUCAUCAUCAUCCUCCAGGGGGGUCACAUGCUCAACCUGAGGACUUGCUGGGGCUGGUGUAGGUGUUCUGGGCGUCGCAGGCGCCUCUGCCUCCGCUGCGGGCUCCUCUGCUUCCGCUGCAGGCUCUCCUGCAUUCACCGGGGAGAAACCAGGCGAUGCAGGAUGUGGCGGAGGAGAUAGUGAAGGCGACGCUGAACUUCCUGCUUCAGGGAGUUUCUCCGCCCAUGGGAAUCCAACAGUAAACUCACUGCCCGCUGCUUCUGGUGCGCCUGCUGCUGGUGAUGCCCAGUCCCAGCCGCGGCCUUCGUCGAACACCACAUCACGGCUGACACGCACGCGCUGGGACACUGGAUCAUAGAUACGGUAUGCCUUGGCCCCUUCCGCAUAGCCGAUAAACACGCCAGCCUCGCCGCGGUCAUCGAGCUUGCGAAGCUGAGUAAGCUGCCGGGUAUAAGCCACACAGCCAAAGACCUUGAGGUGGCCGACUGUUGGUGCCCGACCGUGCCACGCUUCAUAAGGACUGGCAUUCUUCAGCGCCUUCGUCGGGGAUCGAUUCAGGAUGUGCACAGCCGUCAUCACAGCCUCCCCCCAAAACCGAGAGGGCAUCUGGCGUUGCUUGAGCAGAGCUCGUGCCAUGGCCACCACUGUUGGGUUCCUGCGCUCAACAACACCGUUCUGUUGCGGUGAAUAAGAGCAUCUCCAAAGGCUUUGGCAAAUUAACUUGGCAUUUGUUGUUGUUUGCAAACUCCCAUAACAAAAUGCAAAGGACAAAAAUAGGUUAUCUCCAAGGGAAUUGGCAUUUGGACUUGGCAAAGGAUAAAAAUAGGAGGUCUCCAGGCGCGCGCGCUUUCCUCGCGCGUGACUUUGCUCGCGCGAUCGGGUUUGCAAAGCCGUCCACAACUUGGCAUUUUUGCCAAGUUUGCUCGUUCAUUUGCCAAGUUGCCCAAAUUGCAAACUUCAAAUGCAAAACCGUUGGAUACCUCUUUUGGAGCUUUUUGGCAAAUUACUCAAAUGCAAACCUCAAAUGCAAAACCCUUGGAGAUGCUCUAAGGGGCAUUGAAAUGCCGUUUAAUACCUUCAUCAGCGCAGUAUGCAGUAAACUCCGCGACAGUGAAUUCGCCGCCAUUGUCGGUGCGCAGGACCUUCAACUUGCGCCCGCUUUCCACCUCUGCUGCCACCUUGACUUUCUUAAUUGCUUCUGCUGCUGCGUCCUUGGAUGGCAGCAACACAGCCCACAUAAAGCGGGUGGCGUCAUCGACAAGCAGCAAGAUAUAGCGGUUGCCCGCCGGUGUCGCUGGCGUGACCGGACCGCACAGGUCACCGUGCACCAGCUCAAGCUGAUUCUGGGCACGGUAUGCUGCUGCAGCCGGAAAGGAACGCCGCCUCUGCUUGGUGGUAACGCAGGUGUCACACACCUGCUCAACAUGGUCGACCACCGGCAUCCCGCGCGCCAUCUCCUUGCUGAGUCGCCGGAGUGCGUCGAAGUGCAGAUGGCCGAAACGCUCGUGCCACUGCCACACCUCUCAUCCUUGCGUGCCGCGAGACAGACAGGUCGUGCAGCCUCAAGAUGCAGAAUAUACAACCUAUUCUUCCCUCUACGUACCUUGGCGAGCAGACGGCGGCUCUUGUCCCAAAUGCGAAGCACGCCAUCAUCAAUCUCAACCUUGGACCCUCCUUCAUCAAGCUGUCUCAGACUUAUGAUAAGUUCUUCAGCGCCAGAAUGAAAUAGACGCCAUGAAGAACCCUCUGCUCACCGGUCUUGGCUUGGAAAACAAUAGACCCGACACCCUUGAUCUCAACCUUCGACGCAUCCCCGAACCGGACCGUUCCUCGAACGCCAGUGUUCAGAUCAGCAAAGAACUUUUGGCGCCCGGUCAUGUGAUGCGUCGCGCCGGAGUCCAGGUACCAGCCACUGUCCACCUCUUCUUCGUCCACGCCGAGUUAGGCGCGAGCACGUGGCUCAGAGAGCUCGACGUGCUGCGCCGUGUAGCUGUGCGCCGGCGUGCUCUGUUCCAGGCUAAUGAAGCCAUGUGCCAGAAACAGAGCGCCAUCUUCAUCGCACUCGACGUACUGGGCGCGCGCCUCAUGCCUUCCUUGGUUCCCGCCACGCUGCCCAGCCUGAUUUCCGCCGCCACAACCUCCACCACGGUUGCCACCACCGCGGCCAGCACGGUUUCCCCCUCCACCGCCGUGCUCUGCAUCUUCACGGCGCGGCUGGGGACACUCACGUGCCCAGUGGCCUUCCUGGUUGCAGUUGAGGCAGGUGUUGGGGCCGACGCGGCCAGCAACACUGCCAUCUCCUUGUCCGCCACCACGUUCACUGCCUCUGCCUCGUCCUCGUCCACCACCGCGGCUACGUCCACCGCCACCGCGCUGGUUCCUGAAACCAGAACCACCAGCAUCAUCUCCCUUCUUCUCCUUCCUCCAGUGCGCUUUCCACUGCUCCUCCGUGUACAACAGCUUGCCGUUGAUGGCCACUUGCUCGGUCAGCGCUUGUUCCUCACGAUUAUCCACCGCCUUGAGCCUUCCAGUCACCUCCUCAAGAGUGAGCGCCUCAAAGUCGAGGAACUGCUCAAUGGCGACAACAAUCUGCGCGUACUUGGCUGGCACCGUGCGCAGAAACUUCUCCACCACACGCUCCUCAGUGAUGUCCUUGUCACCAUGAAUGACAAGCUGCUGGUGCAGAGUUGACAGACGCAUGGCGAAAUCCUCCACUUGCUCGCCGGGGUUGACGCUGAUGUUCUCCCAAUCGCGGCGUAGGCGCUGCAGCGUUGCUCGACGGACCCGGUCCACGCCGAUGCGAGUCGCAGCGAUAGCGUCCCACGCCUCCUUCGCCGUAGCCUUGUCGAGGAGUGGGAUGCCCAUCUCCUUGGGCACGGCCCCGACAAUCACCUCCAGUGCGCGCCUGUCAUCGCGAAACUGGACAGGGCCGCUGUUGGCACCUGCACACAAGCACCAGGUGAGCAGACCCUGCUCACCUUCCCUCUUCCUCUCCCCUGACCCAAGGUAGAAGAUGAGCCGAGCUCUGGCACACACACACUCACUCAGUUUCAGUCUUGGCUGAAACUAGAACCCAGGAAAUGUGGCACUUGAACUGCCUUUCCUUCAUUGCAUACAUGGUGUAUAUAUACAAGCCUUGUACCAACUAUAAGGUACACAAGGCAUGGCUGAGUACAGCCCCAACUACUCCUAGUACACUGCAUACAUCAUCCUCCUACCAAGUAUGGCUGAUGUAUGGUUCUACCAACUACUGUACUAGAGUGGCCUAUUGCCAUACUCCUAUAUGACCAAGAGCUGACCUAUUGCCUGCCUAUGAUCACUAACAGAACAAGAAAGGUUUAGCUGCAGAUUAUGUCUUACAGCCGCCCUCGAUGGCGUCCCAGAGGUCGCGCGCCUGCAUCCUCAGCUUCAUGGUCUGACUCCACUCGUAGUAGUUCGACUUGUCCAGCAUCGGCCACGACGUGCUGCUGCCGGAGUCGCGGUACACCACUCUGCCUUGCGGUGAUUCGUAGCGACCGCCGCCGCGGCUGCGCCUCCAGUCCGGCAGUGGUGACUGCGAGCGCCUCCUGUCUCGCGACGGAGUCCGCAGCCGCCGAUUCCUGCUCUCCUCCUCCUCUUCCUCCUCCUCUGCAUCUUCUUCUUCUCCCUUCUCAGCAGCAAUUUUGGCCCGCAGCUCCUGCGCCGUCCUUGCUGCCGCCUCUGCAGCAGCCGCCGCCUGCUGUGCUGCCUGGACUGCCAGCGCUGCUGCUUCCUCUGCAGCCUUCAAGCGCGCGGCCCGGCCGGAGGAGUCGCCCAGCUCUCCAUCGCCGGUUCCCUUGGCCUUGAGCCUGGCAGCGCGCUCAGCAGAGGUCGACAUGGGGUGGACAAGGUGAGGAGUUGGCCUCGUGGCUCUCUGGUGUCUAACCUAGCUCUGGUACCAAAUGUUAGAGGUAACAUAGACUUUUGAUUAGCCUUGAGGCAACUAACCCCAGGCGUCUCCUUCAUUAUAUAUAGAGAAAGACAUUGCAUUGAUUACAAAUAGCUCACUAGAGCAUAGCUAAUCAGAUAGGUGCCUUGGCAGCCGUACACACCUUUGGGCUGCCCAAGGUCUUUAAUGACUGUAAUUAACUAGCAUAGUUAUCUAGGAAAUGCUUAGGAAGCAGGGCUUAUUAACUACAAUUCAUUCAUACAGUUAUCUUCAUUGUCUUUUUGUUUCUUUGAUAAUAAUAAUUUGUGAAUCAGGUCUCCUUAUUGCAAAGUGAUGUUGCCAGAAUAAAAUUGAAGUUGUUCCCAACGAUUCAAGACAUAUUGGGACAGUGGAUUGUUCUCCACUUUGUAGGAACCUCACCAACCUCACCACCAACCAUUGACGAUUUUAGCUAUCAUCUUUCUUCUCUUCAGCUUGGUAAUACCUAAAAGAUAUGAUUGUGGUCUUAACUUUGUUUUGUUGUUGAUAAAGAUAUGAUUGUAGUCUUACCUUUGUUGUUGAUACACAUAUUUUGAAUGGGCACCCUGCUACUACAUUUAGCGUCUUAAUGUGCUCUGUUUUUACAAUGGUGUAAUGAGUCCAUACCAAAGGACAGAACUUGUAAGUUGGUGUUUUGCGAUGGCAUUCAUAAUGUUUUGGCUAUUGUAUUUUAGGGACAGUUUUUUGUGAUCAGUUGCUAGUAUGUUCUACAGGACGGUCUUUUGUGAUUUUGUGAAUUUGUUUUAACUAACUGUACAAAGUCCUUUGCCUCCAAAUAUGUUUACUGUGCAAGAGCCCAAAGAAUGUUUUGUUAACUUCACAUUCACUAGUUUCUUAAAAAAAUUGUAUUCCUCCUUCGAUUGCAUUAAACGUAAGGCUUUCUUUGACAAACCGCAAAAAUAUUGAGAACAAGGGUCCUGUGGGGUAGGAUUUGGCCUCCACCACUAGCAUUCUAACUAUGUUAGGCAGGGGUGGGCGAGGAAAAACAUAACAUUCUGGAAUUUAUGGUCCUGAAUAUGCAUCUGAUGACAGAUUUGUGCUCUACAAUAGCUUACAUACAAAUUUAAAUAUAGGGAAAUGAAUGGGAUCUCAUAUUUGUGUAAAUGUACUGGCAACUGUACUCGAUUUUUUUUGCAUAUCAGUAUAUCACAAAGAUACUAUUAAAACAUUUUAUGCUGAUUGGCGAACAUUUUAGCUUCAAGAACUUUUAAUUUGAAGAAAUUAUGUUUUUGAGAUAUCUUGAAGCCUAAAGUCGUAAACCAUGUGGAUAAAUGUCUAAGAACCCCCCCCCCCCCCCCCCUCCUUCUUAUUUUGCCCCUAAGAAGUUUGUGGUAGCCUUCGAAUCCUCACUUGUGGUGGGGAUUUCAUCAACCCACGGACUUUCAACUGUCUAACCAGUGUAAGUCAGGGGAAGUUGGCGUCCAAGAAAAUAGAUGUAAUUUUUUCCUCUCUCUUGUGUCAGCCUGUACAUUGUACCAUAGUUCUUAAGGCGUAAAGGUGAGGCAUGACAAUGCGCGCCCGCCUUGCCCGCCUAGGCGAGCAUUUUGCAAGGCGCUGGGGGUCGCUAGGCGACGCCUUAAGAACUAUGCGCUGUACCUCAUUUUAUCAUUUUUCUGGUAGCCGAUCUAUAUAUUCUGCAAGUAUACACCAUUUUCCUAUUUAACUUUUAAUUUGUGUUCGUUUCAUGUAUAAUCUUUGAAGCUUGUUACUUAUUUUGAAUUGCACAUGCUGUUCUCUUAUUAUAGGUAAAGCAGAUGAACUGUCUUUGCACAGAAAGCUUGGCUGCUCUGAUUUUACUUUGGCUUGUUUACUUGAUUUUCCAAAAUCUCCUGAAGGGGACGUUAUGUCACCUUGUUUUCCCAGUCCAGCAGAAGUGAUCAAUCUAGUAAGGAGGUUUAGUAGUUUGAUUAUGUGUGGAAGAAAUUUUGAGUGUGCACAGACUUUCUUGGGAUACACAAUUAAUCUAUCAGCUGUUCUCAUCCGACAUGGUCAGUAUGAAGCUGCUAAGGUACUAUAUUUUAUUUUUGGUCUAAAAUUCAUUAGAAACAUACUUUGUUUUUUUUAAUGUUGCUUUAUCUAUAUAGUAAUCAGCUAUCAGAUAUCCUUAUCCUCAUUUUUAUCUCUAAUAACAGAAUCUGCUGGGAAUUCUGGAAACAUACUUGAACAAUGGAGAAGUAUCCCAUACUGGUCAAGAUGCAGAUACUGCAUGUGCAGCAUACCUUCAUCUCAAUGGAUUUUGCCUUCUGAUGCUUGCACAUGAUGAAGCAAAUAUUAUUUUGAGAGAAUCCAAGGUUCAUGAUGCUAUCCGAUGCUUUUUCAGGUACCAACUUUUCACUAUGUGAACUUGUGGAUUGAGCCUUUUUUUUAUUUUCAUCAACCGACACAUUUCUGGAAACUGUCUUUACUGGCUGGGGACAGCAAUGAUUUAUUUUCCUAUUGUGAUACCGGAGAAGAAAUAUAUAACAUAAACAUAUUUGUUACUGAGGUAUUGAAAAUAAUAGGACUGCAUCAGUCUAACUGGUUAUUUAAAAGCCUAACUGACAGACCAGGCGCUUGAUCUACUUCUGCUGUUUAAGUUAAGUGGUAGCUGAUACAUAUGGUUCUCUGUCCUUAAUCCCACUUCAAUGUAUGAAAAUCUUCUUUAAUUAGACCUAAUUACUAGGCGCUUGAUCUUUGUGCUAGCACCUUGCAAUAAGUCUGAUACUUUGUCUUUUGCAUACUCAAUUUGUAUAGAAUUGUAGGCACAAAUGUAGUUGUUACCUUACAAAAUAUCGAUACAGAGCAACUCAUCUUUGCCCACAACAUUUGAUUUGCUGUCAUGCUCUGUUUUGAAAAAGAAAGGGACUGCACAUUCCUUUAUUAGAAAUGACAAGUAACUAAGCAAGCUUGCUAUCAGCGUAAUCAGGACAUCUCCUUGUGUCUUUUGAUAAAUAUCGGUAAGGGAUUUUCAAGCGAGUAAUCCAAUUGUUUAAGUUAAUGUCUUCUGGUAGGAGUCACUUCAUUUGAUUUAGUUGCCUAGUUUUCAGGUUCUGUGAAACAAAUAGUUCAGACUUGAGAACUGAGGCAGCACCAUAUAUUAGUUGAUGCUAUGGGAUCAAAGCUAUGUAACUCUUAGGGUCACCUUAUUUAAGAUAAAAAAUUGCAGGAGUGUUUUAGUUUAUCUUUAGACAGGCUGGGGUGCGGAUCCAUUACUCAAGAAGGAUGGAGCCCUGAAAGGGUUGAAAAUAUAUACUAAGAAUAAAACUCUUGGAUCUGUAUACAUGCCACAUUGUGUAUUCCUUUUUAAUAUUGCUGUUUUUUUUGUUAUAAACUUAUAAUUGGGCUACCUGUUUGCUCUUUCUCUGGUAUUAACUUGACAAAUACUUUGGAAAACAGGGCUGCGUCCGGGUAUGAAGCUCCAAAGGUUUUGCAGAACUUUUCAUUGGAAACAGGGUUUCAAGUUUCUGGUGAUAUCAUUCUCCUAGCUUUACUUGUUCUAUAUUGCAUUUAAUUUAUGUUCUUACAAUCUUACUGUUUGUCUUUUUUUUCCCAGGGGAAUCUAGAUCUAUUUCUUUGUGGAGACUUAACUACUAUGAGUGGGCAAUGCAAAUUUUUGAGCAACACUCCAUGAGUGAGGGGGCGUGCCAAUUUGCUCUUGCUGCUCUUGAGCUAGUUGAUAUCAUUGAUGGGUUAGAUAAUGGAAUUGAAGCUGAGGGCCUUCCAGAGACCGCAGCAAUGAUUAAAGGACGGUUAUGGGCUAAUGUAUUCAAGUACAGCUUGGAUCUGAAACACUUUCGAGAUGCAUAUUGUGCGAUCGUCUCAAACCCGGAUGAUGAUAGCAAAUACAUCUGUUUGAGGCGUUUCAUCAUAGUCCUUUGUGAUCUUGGGGAGACAAAGGUUUGUCGUAUUAAGUUGCUUACAUCCCCCCCCCCCCCCCCCCCCCGCGUGAUUUGUCCAUGGGCAUCUUUAGUGUUUUGAGGUGGAUCAUAGUGCCUACCCAGCAAUAAGUUGAUUGGCAGACACAUGAUUUUGUAAGUAUUAUAGCUAGUGGUCAUGACACAUGUUUACAGUCAUACAUAGGUACCAUAAGACUUCUAUCUUGGCCGUUGACAUGAUCUACCACAUUUGAUUUUAUUCUUUUUUUUUCUUACAUUGGGGAAAAGGGGGUUCAUGCAGUGUGGGAUGUUGUCCAAUGGAUUUCUGCUAAAUUUUGUUAGAGAAAAUCUACAGGUGUGCAAUGUGUUAGCUAUUUGAUUAUUUUCUUUUUGAUUGUAUAAGCAAGGUAUGUUAACGGAUCAAGCUGGCUCCUCUAACUACUAUUAUUACCUAAAAACCAUUAUUUGGGUGCUUUUGUUGUGUUUGAGCCUUUUCUUUUUCUUGUCUUCCUUUUAUUGUAUGAAAGGCAUGUUGGCCAGUCUAGCAGCCUUUCCCCUGUUAGUUAAAAUCAUUUUCUGUAUGCAGGACAUAUUGACAAUCUAGCAGGCUUUCCUCUAAAUAUCAGUAAUUAGAAGUCAUAUAAAUGAAAUUUUGUCUGUCUUUGUGUUACCCAGUUGUUUUCCUCAUCAUUUUAUGCAAGGGAUGCUCACUAUUAGAUUGGAGCUUAAAUUUGCCUCUUAUUUGUGGAAAUAGGUUCUUUGCAAUGGGGAGAUUCCAUUCACUGACUUGGUAGAGAAAGUGGAGCAAGAGCUCUUCUGGAAGGUUUGUCAUUUUCAGCAUAGUCCAAUCUUUGUGUCUUCCUUUCUUCCAUGCCGAUCUAAUUUUUGUUUUUGCAGGCUGAACGCUCGGAUCUGUCUUCUAGACCAAAUCUCUAUAAGGUUCUGUAUUCAUUUGAAGCACAUCGGAACAAAUGGAGGAAAGCAGCUGUAUACAUGUACAGGUACUAUGUUAGAUUGAAUAGAGAAGGUAAUGCAGGUGGCAGCCACCAACUUCCUCAUGUGUUGCAAGAGAGGUUGCACGCUUUAUCUGCUGCUAUCAACGCAUUGCAGCUUGUUGAUCCCUCAUUUGCAUGGCUCGACUCUAUUUGUGAAGCUGAUGAUCAAAUUUCUCCAAGUAAAAGACCUCGGAAUCUUUUGAUGGAGAACUGUAUGUUUUGUCAGACUUUUAAUUGCUGUUUGAUUUGUCUCAUUGCACAGAAACAUGCUUGGUUUAACUUUUGUUCUCUAUUCCAGUGGCUUUUGGCACAGAUUCUGAGCUUUCUAGAUUGCAGUUUUGCGUCGACAUUGAAAUCCUUGAAAAAGAAUACAUAUUAACAGAAGCACAGUAUAUGCUCAGCACUCUGAAAUCAAUAUUUGAUUUUUCAGGUAUCUCCAAAACUAAUCAUAGGACUUCAUUGCUUGAAUUUAUGGAGAUCAAUAUCUUAAUUAACAAUCUUUAAUAUUAAACAUUGAAAUCAGUUUUUGUGUGACUGCAGAAAGGCAGUCAAUGGAGUCCCUGAUGGAUAUUCUUAUAGAUGAGAAAUUGUAUGACUUGGCCUUCACAGUUGUGCUCAAAUUUUGGAAGGAGUCAGGAAUGAAAAAGUACUUUGCAUUUACUUGUUUUGUUUCCUUUUUUUGCCUGUAGCGCUGUCUUAAUGGAUUGCUGUUUGUCAUGUUCUCAUCUGUGUCUAUGAUUUAGCCUGACUAUCUAUUGUUUCAAUUGUUCUGUUGUAGGCAAUUGGAGCGUGUCUUUUCAGUCAUUGCUCAGCAAUGCUGUCCGAACAGAGCAGACAACAAAUCAAGGUAUGUUGACUGACCCCUCUAAUUGCACAUAUGGGCAGAUUAUUGUGCUGACAAAUAAUUGUGUUAACUAAUGGCGUGAGAUAUAACCUAAUUACAGGAAAAGUUUGACUGACAGUCAACAAGUGCUACUCCUGCCUUCUUCUGAGAAUGAUGCAUGGGAGAUCAACAAUAAGAGUAUUCCUGUCACCCAACAACUGCAGGGGAGCAACCACUGGGAAAUCCUUGAACUAUAUUUGGUAUGUCUUUAUUUGAAUGUCUUCUUUUAUUACUUUUCCCUAAGUUGGGGAUCUCUAUGCCCGGAGUACUGUGUUGAACUAUAUUCCCUCCUUUUCUUUUUGUAAGGCUUGAUUUGACCUGGUGCUGUCUCCAAAGUCACACUUUGACCGUUAAUAUCUCAUAUAUUAUGAUGUUCAUAACUAUGGAUUUGAUGUCAUAUGGAAGUGUUUUCAAAUAUGAAUCCAAUAAUACCAAAUCUGUUUGGUAUCAUUUGCAAAUUCUUAGACUAAGUGUCAGUAAAAAAUUAACAAGUUCAAAUCUUGGGUUCCGCUAAGGAGUUGUUUUGUUGGCAUUUGGCUGGGGCCAGAGGUGUAUCCUUCCUCUUUGCUCUUGGUCCUCCCAUGGGUGAGAUCCUUUUUAGUUUUCCCGUCUUGGGAUGUGUGGGUGUUUGUAUUUGGGAGAAAAAAAUCUUGGGUUGCGUGUGCCCCUUGCAAAAAGAAAAGGAGCGAGUACUUUGCUACUGUUGACCUCAUGGGUCAGUCAGUGAGCAGCGGCAUAUACAUAUGAAAAUUUACUAUUCUUUUAUGGUGCUGCUUCUAUAGGAACCAAUGCUAUCCUUUUGGGUCCUUCCAACUAUCUGUAGUGUUUUGCAAUCAACAAUUUUUUUCAUCUUUAUCUGAUUAGUUUGAUUUUACUACACCCUAAGUAGUGGAAUAGACCUUUGUGCAUGGGACUCUAUGCAGCUAAGUCUAGUGUCUGGCAGAGGCUCCAAUUACUAUCCACUAUUUGUAGAUUUUGAUCAAUAAAAUAGUUCUGCCAGAGCACAAUUAUGUUGUAAGUUUUGAUCAAUCAAUAGUGUAGAUAAUUAGGGAACACGUCACACCCAUUAUGGGGUGCGGUUGUGUUAUGGUGGUGAACGUCUAUUAGCGUCGCAAGAGGAGUGGUGGCUGAGGAGUGGACCGUGCCAAUGAAUGCCAGAGUGCGGUCACCAGCCAAGGCAUGCCAAAACCCGCGCUGUCCAGGAGUGCAGCACACGCAUGUUUGUUAUUUGAUCCGAUUGUUUAGGAGUGAUAUUUGCGUUGAAUUGUUAUCCCUUAAAGUUAGCAGAAAGGUUGUUAGGAUUGUGGUAUAAGUAUCGAACACUGUUGCUUAAUGAAAGGUUAGUCAGAGAUUGAGUUUGCCUCUCUCGCUCUUAUGCCUUUUCUGCGCCUUAUGGCCUGUUUGGAUUUUAGAAUUUCGAGACAAAUACCAUGGUUUCUAAAAACACCAUAGUAUCAAAACUUUGAAGUGCUUGGAUACCUCAAACUAUGACGUUUUCUAAACUGUAGUUUCCCAGAUACCAUGGUAUUCGUGGACUUUCUAAGUAAAAAUCAACUUCUUGUAAAACAGAGCUAUGUCUGGUGUGGUCUCCAUACUCUUGCUGCAGAAGUGAGGUGCUUGAUAAGCUAAUUACACAGCUGUCAACUCAAGCCGAGUCUUCAGGGAAAAAGAUCAAAUAGCUACAUGACUUUUUAUUAGAAAAAUAAAGAAUAGAACAAACAAAAAAAUACAUGUUUAAUCUCCCAUACAUAAAGUAUUAUAACUUCUACUGUUCUACACAUCUCAAUGUUGUAUGUAGUGUUACAUGUAAAAGCUAAGUACAAUAGAAAUGUAAGCAUAUAUAUGUAGAUUCUGGUUUAUUAAUUAUAUGGUACAUUCUACUUAGCUUGAUAAAUAUACGAUUUAUAAAACGCAAAGCACUGCGCUACAUACUGCAAUAGCCAAACAAAUCGUGGUUUCCUAAAAGACUUUAGAAAACCAUGGUUUUGACAAACUGUGGUUUCACACCUUGCAACUACAGUAUAGAAAAAAACUGUAGUUGUAGGAUACUUUAAUAUCCAAACAAGCACUUAAUGUACUGUGUGUUUGAUAUUUUCUGUGUUCCCAACAACGAAACAGCACCUGUAUUGCGUUGUCAAUACUUUUAUUUCUGUUUUUGCAGGAUAAAUACAAAGAUCUGCAUCCUAGGUUGCCGGUCAUUGUUGCUGAGACACUUCUUUAUACCGAUCCCGAGAUUGAGCUACCACUUUGGUUGGUUCAGAUGUUCAAGGUGGGUUUCUGAUAAAUAGUGUCUGGCUAAUUUUAUAUUUUUGUAUAAUUAGUGCUGAUCGACCUAUGGUUUGGCUGCUACCCGUUGCUUUUUUUCAGACUAACAAGGCAGGGAACAAGAUCUCCUGGGGCAUGUCUGGGAAAGAGGCAGAUCCUGCCGCCUUAUUCAGACUAUACAUAAACUACGGACGCCAUGCAGAAGCUACUAACUUGCUGGUGGAGUAUUUAGAGUCGUUCGCAUCAUCGGUAAUGGAUCGACCGACUGAAAUCCAAAUGCAAGAUCUUUACAAUCUUAACAUAUAAAUCCCUGGAACCAUUUGCAGAGGCCAGUGGACCUUCUCCACCGCAAGCAGAUGUCCGCCACUUGGUUCCCGUACACGGCUGUGGAGAGGCUGUGGUGCCAGCUGGGUGAGAUGCAACGCGCCGGCCACAGCGUGGAUCAGUGCGACCGGCUCAAGAAGCUGCUGCAUGGAGCCCUGAUGAGCCACCUGCAGCAGGUUGGUUGUGCCACAUCUGAAUGCAAACUCCACUAUGUUGCGUGUGUCGGUGCUGAUUGCUCUUCUUGUUCUACUUCUACGUUUGCAGGUUGUGGUCGACUCGGGGGACGUGCUGUCGUCAGUUGGAGAUGGGCAGGGGAUGGAGGGCCAGAGCAGAUGAAGUCCUAGAGAUCGUGUUGGUGUUGGUAUGUGUGUUGUAGAGAACGAUGCGCCACCACUGAAUCCUGUACGUAAUUGUUUGUAUGGUUAGCCUGUCUUAUAUAGAAUUAUUAGAAGAAAAACAAAGAUGGAGUGAUGGCUCCAUUUGUAACGUGAACAUGGAAUCAUCGCUGAUAACGGCCGGUUCACCCUCCCACAUGUAGGAGUAGAAGAUGGAUUGACGCCUCCAUUACAGCACUGGUAUUGUGUCAGAGCACUGGUAUUGUGUCAGAUUCUGGGUGUCUGUAGCUUGUGAAUUGUGAUGGUGGUUUGGGAAAUAUUGACAAACUUAGCAAUGGGAGGUUACGCCGAUUGGAGCCUCCUCGAUUUUGGCCUUGUUUACUUCUAUUUUUUUUUUUUGCAAAAUAGAUAUUAUAGCAUUUUUGUUUGUAUUUGACAAAUAUGAUCUAACUAGGCUUAAAAGAUUCGUCUCGCAAAUUACAGGUGUAUAAUUAGUUUUUAUUUUCGUCUAUAUUUAACGCUUCAUGCAUUUAUCUAAAAAUUUGAUAUGACGUGAAAUCUGAAAAAUUUUGCAAUUUUUUUUUUAAACUAAAUAAGACCUUUGUUAUACUGGAGACAUGUGAACUUGAGAAAAAAAUUAUAUAGGCAAAAACAGAAAUCAAUUUUGUUGUACUCCCUUCAUAUGAGAUUUAGAAGUCGUUUUAGACAAGGUUUGGGUCAAACAUUGAGAAUAUAAAUUAUUAUUAAUUUUCAAAUUAUUUAGUUUGUAAAUAUAAAAAUUAUAUAAAUAGAUUUGCCUUUAAAAAUACUUUUAUGAAAGUGUAUAUAUAUAUAUAUAUAUAGAAGUCGUUUUAGACAAGGUUUGGGUCAAACUUUGAGAAUAUAAAUUAUUAUUAAUUUUCAAAUUAUUUAGUUUGUAAAUAUAAAAAUUAUAUAAAUAGAUUUGCCUUUAAAAAUACUUUUAUGAAAGUGUAUAUAUAUAUAUAUAUAUAUAUAUAUAUAUAUAUAUAUAUAUUGGGAGCCCAGGGCUACAAUUAGAUAUUGGAAGCCCCAGCCAGUCAACCACUCCACCCAACCUCUAUGAAGCUGACGCACACGCAGGUGAGGACCUCUGAAGACCCAAGGAUGCAUAAAAUCCUAUGCAGGCUAUCCAGAAAGGUUUUUAUCGCGACAAUGUAUAAAAUUUAGUAGUUGUAUAAAUUAAAAUCAAUUCAUUACUGUAUAAAAAUCUCUCUCUAAUCUAGACUUUACAGCUGAUAUAGACUGACACAUGUCUACAUGCGUGCGUCCACUCUAAUCUCUUCCGUUUUUUCACGACAAUUUCUCAACGAAACAUCUGAUUCAAAAACGGUUUUCACCAUUGAACUCCUGAUAUUUUUGUGCACGAUUUAAGAUCUGUUGUGAAUAUAUUUUUGAAAAAAAAAAUAAAAUUUCAUAAUUUUGCGCACUAUGAGACAAAGUUUUAUGUAUCCGAAUAGAUCUUAUGAGCAAAAAACAUCAGGACAACCUCAUGUUUUUUAAAAUUUGAAAUUUGAAUCAUGACACGUAAUGACCGAUUAAAUGCAUAGAAUCACGGGUCAAAAUGCGUAGCAAAGUUUUUGGCGCCGACAUUGAAUAGAAAUUAGUGGUUAGAUGAAUAAAAAUUAAUUUUGUUACCGCAUAGAAACAUCUCCACAUGGAGACGAUCUUGUCUUCUUCAAAAUUUGAAAUUUUAAUACUGACACGUGAUGACCUAGUAGGUACAUAGAAUCAAUAGUCAAGAUACGCAUAAAGGUUUUUAGUGCCACAUUGCAUACAAAUUAGUAGUUCAAUGAAUAAAAAUUAAUUUCAUUGCUGCGUAAAAACCUCUCCAUGAGAUGGACAUUCCACGUGACACAACCAUGAUUGUCUGUAACAACAUCAUGCUUCCUGCUAUGGGGGUGUAUUACAACUAAGACCAUCACUACCCAUACCCACACUGUUCUUUGCACGAGGAUAUGUUUAUUUAAUAGAGCAACAAUGUAUAGAAACUUUACACCAUACUUUCUUUUAAGGGAAUGAAACAUACAAAACAGUGUGGACUAUCCAUAAUGUUCCCAACUCACAACAUGCAUAGACACUCAGUUAACCAAAUAUUGAAACCCAACAGAGGUUACAUAGAAAUCAAUAGUUUCGCUCAUAUCAUCGAAGCAUAUAAACACAACAUAUGGAAAACUUUUUACAUUAACCCAUCAACUAUAUGGAAUAUCACACUACGCCACCGUCAUAAGCCAAGGAAGUUGUGAACGUCGCAAGUCAUGUCUUAUAAUGUCCGAGCCACCAUUGACCUCACACCAAAAAUAGAGGAAUCCUUCUAACCAUCCUACACCACAACAAAGACAUAGAAACAUAUUUGAGUAGGCGUAAAAAACUUACGGUGGCAAAGAAAGGUAUGGAAACAUGUUUUAGAAACGUAAUUAGUGAUUUUAAAUCUUCAAACAAUGUAGAGUGAGAAGAACCACCAAAGAUGUGAAGAUACUGGUCAGUGUAAACAACAGCUGAAUGAUCGUACCUAAAUUGCAUAAAAUAAUGUAGUGCUUUGAAUAUAUUAAAAAAGUCAAGAAAUACAAAAAUCCUACAGUAGCUUCAAUGGCUUACAACAUGUGAGGCAGCGUGGAAGCGGGAGUAGCCUGCUAGGCACUAGAUCUGAAGAAGCUUUGGGGCAAUGGUAAGAAAGGCAUAGAAACAUAUUAAAGAUUUCAAUUUCUAUGCAUCUAAAAAAUAUUUUAUUUAGUCAGAUUGUCAAAUCAUAAUUGAUAUGCAUAGAAACUUAUGUAUGCAAGUACAGAAACAACUUAUCUCUAAAUGGACACAUCAAUAUUGCAUAGAAAACUACGUUGUUCCUGUAAGGCAACAACCAAAUUGGAUCAAAAGCUAAUGUAAAACCAUAAAAAAUCAGUGUGUCCAAAAGCGACAGGCAUUUUGAAUGUGUUGUGGACAAUCUAGUUAGGCAUAUGCAUGUAUCUUGCCGAUGGACGAGAAUGGAUGGUGGUGGUGGAUGCCGAGCAUGGGGCAUAGAACGCCUCCGCUCGAGCGGACGCCACCAUGUGGCACGACAGACUUGCAACAGCUCUGAAUGUGCCCACUGCUGCUGGCCAUUUGAGCUCUCGCCAGGUCCACCAUGAGUCUCUGCAAGACCGGAAGAGGAGAGGAAGAGAAGAAAAAAAAUAUAUAAUACAAGAGACGGGAGGAGCUUCCGGAGUCUGACAGAAGGUUGCAACACUAUGGGAGGAAGAGGGAUAGAUCUGCUCACCUUUGGGCCUGUAGGCCUGCAGCGCCACCAGGGAAAGCCCACCGUCACCACUCCAUGUUGCCUCCACGCUGAAGCUGCUGCUGCUGCCCCCGUCGGUCGGAGAAGCAGGCCGCCUUGCCAUGUCGGGGAAAGAGAGGACAUGUGGCCCUCUGCCGUGCGGCAUCGAGUGCCGUCAGCGGCUCCACCUCCUCGAGAGGCACCGUUGGCCCACGCGCGGCCGGGCACGCGCACUGUCGGCGGCCGCCGGCUAGUGAGUCCACCUAGGCCCUCCCCAUGGCCCGUGCAGAGCCGCAGCCGCGAUCGCGUAGUCCCCUCGCAAGGCCUUGCAGCAGAGCGGCACCGCCGCUCACCGAGAUGCCAAAGAUGGGGAGAGGACGCCGGGAUGCAAGAGGUGGGGAUGGACCAGCCGGACCCGGAUGUAGGAGAUGCCACCGCGGGGCGCGGUCCGCGGUGGGGAGCGGGCGCCGGGAUGCAGGAGCCGCCUCGGGCUGCUUCCGUGUACCGUAAGAGGAUGAGAGGAGAGACCGAGAGAGACGAGAUUCAAAAAAAAAUUGAACGGGUGUCGGUCUGGUCUCUGGUUGGCUUGAGCUGCUUCGGUGGAUGCUGAGUUGGUUUGGCUGUGUCGUCACGCCCACAUGCCAGCCCAGUGGAUGAUGGUUCGUUGGAACCAGAUAUCUGCCAUUUGGACCGGGGCUUCCGCUAAUUAUUGGAAGCCUUAAGCUCUAAAUAAUAUAUAUAUAUAUAUAUAUAUAUAUAUAUAUAUAUAUAUAUAGGGUGCAUGUUUUAUACUCUCAGGAGUAAUUACUCCCACAUGCAUGUAGUGUAGGUGAGAAGGGCGCUGCAGGAGUUAACGGGUUUCCAAAGAUCCAUUAAAAAGCUAACUAAUCUGGGUGAUUUAUUUAUUUAUUUAUUUAAUAAUUUUCUAUGUGCGUUACCCAUUAUUUUCGGUUGGCUGGCUUAUCUGUUAGUUAUCGCUUUUGCUAGGAUAUUUGAAAUUUCGCAUGCAAUAUGUGUACAUACAUGAUCUGUAAGUUGUAUGAAUGCGUACACGUGUUCUGAGAGUAUGUCUACAUACAUGCAUGGGUAAGAGGAGUAUAUAGACAUACAUAUUGUAUUGUCCUGGGCGUAUAAGUACAUACAUAUUUAGCAACAAGAGUAUACACAUGUGUUUUAGGAAAUAGAGUAGUAUAUUGUUAUACGAAAAUUUGCCAUGGAUCCCGGAUGCACAUAUAUUUUUUUUGAAAUGGAGUCCGUAAAUAAGUUUUUACUAGAGUAUUUAUAUAUAUUUUUUAAAAUGGAGUAUCUGUACAUACUUUUAACUAGAGUAUUUAUACUAGAGUAUUUAUAUAUACUUUUUAGAAUGGAGUAUCUGUACAUACUUUUAGAAUAGAGUAUUUAUAUAUACUUUUUAGAAUGGGGUAUCUGUACAUAUACUUUUAAAAUAGAGUAUUUAUACAUACUUUUUUUGGAUUGGAGUAUGCAUACCUAAGAUUUAGAUAGUAUAAGUGCAUAGUUAAACCACACGACCGGAGUAUAUGUAUGCAUACAUUCACAUAUGGAGACUUAUAAAACAAUGUUCAUACUAUUUUUUUAAAAUAAAAUAUAUGUAUAUGAUGAUUGGAGAAUGGAGUAUCCAUACAUACGCCAAGAUUUAGAUAGUAUAAGUACAUACUUAAACCACACCAUCGUAGUAUAUGUACAUACAUUCAUGUAUGGAGAUAUAGAAAUUAAAACAAUGCUGCUUAAUGAAAUGCAUGCUUCUCGAAAAAAAACAAUGACGAGAGUAUGUAUUUUGACUAUUUUUACAACAAAAUAUAUGUACAUUAUGAUAGGAGCAACCUUCACGCGGUCAGAAACUCCAAUUAAUGACAUGAUGAUCUGCAGUCUCAUGUUGAAGUCUGAUUUGAAACUGUUUUUUUAUAAUAAAAAAAAUCAAUGCUUAAAAAUCCUAAUGGAAUGUGAAUCCAUCAUAAAAGCUUGGGAUGUGAGGACUCAAGGAUCUGUAUUAUAGAAAAUAAGGCAUCCGUAGGUAUAGAGGGAGAAGGAAAAGAUCACCGAUCACCGUAGUAUAUUUGUCCCGGUGAGGGUGAUCUCGAGGACGAUUGGGAUGUAUGCCCGACUGCAGGAGAUGGAAGAAAGCCGCAGUUCGCGGUGUGGGAAGAUGGCCCGGAUUUCAGGAUCUGGAUCGCGGCAUCGCUCGGCGGAGAGAAGAGAGACGCAUCCCGGUCACCCUGCUUCCGCUCCAAGCAGCGCCGUUGGCCGGCGGCGGCGCCCUGCCUCCAUGCUGUGUUGUGGAGGCGACGAACUAGAUGAGAAUGAAGGCACGUUUAUGGGCAUUAUGAAAGAAACUAGCGUGUAGAUUGGAACCGAAAAUCAAGAUCGAGAAAAAAAAUAUUGCAUCCCAACUCACGCUUGCAGCUGUGGCACCGCCGACGGAGACCAGAACAGUAUCACGUUGGUGGGCAAUCUUUGGCGGCGGCCGUCCCGACGAGACCCCUGCUGUGAAUGGCGGCGCUGAAAAAGAAAACGGAAAGCCGCCCGAUGAAACCAGUGAAGCCGCUGCCACCACCAAAUACCGUGAACAUCGCAACCCUAAACUUUAUUUUAUAGGUUGGAUUGACGUUGGAUUAACGGGUCCACCAUUUGAAACCCGUUAGGCAACCUGCCCACCACAGUUAUGGUUGCGCAGGUGCAUCCACGUGAGAUUAAAAGAGGGAGUAGCUACUCUCAGGGAGUAGGAAAAAAUUACCCUAUAUAGAUAUAUAUAUAGGACGUGUUUCUUUUACACGCGCGCGUAGUUACUCUCAUCUAUGUAUCUCUAGAUAUUAAGUUAUAUAUGACCGGACGAAAUGUAUAUAGACAAAGUAUAUGAUCAUACUAGACCAUCUAGAGUGAUAUGUAUGUUAAGUAUGCAUACAUACAUAGAGUAUAUGGUCAUACUUAUUUUAUAUAAUAUAGUAGUGGCAUUUUAGUAAUAUAUUUAAAAUAUAAUUUUUUUUGAAAAAUUUUCGCGUGGUAAGAUCUAGAGUAUCUUAAUAUGAGUAUAUAAACAUACUCAAACUGAUAAACAAGUAUGAAUACAUACACAAUAUAGUUUAUUGAAGAUGAGAGUAACUACACGUACGUGUACAAAGGAAUUUCCCUAUAUAUAUAUAUAUAUAUAUAUAUAUAUAUAUAUAUAUAUAUAUAUAAGAAAUUCAAAAUUGAUGUUAAUUUUCCUUUACUUACACAUCACCUCAGUAGAAGCAGUUGCAUGUUAAAUUGUCAAUCCUCAUUAGCCGCCUGCAGCAAUCAAAAUAACAUACAAAAAGGCACUACUAGCAGAUCAAGACGAUGAAAUGGGAAAGGGGGAAAAAAGAAGAAGAUGCAUUUGCGAUCCUGCACGUAAAAGAACGGCAAAUAAGGUGCUAAGCUGAACUAAUUUGCAUAUGCGGCACGACACAUAUAAUGACACUAUUGGAAAUAAAAUUCCAUGUCAGUUCAUCUUAAACCAAGACGAAUAUUAUAUUUUUUCAAUCAGUUUCAUAAAAUGAUCUCUUUAAUGAAUUUUCACUCUUAAAUGAAUUUUCACAAUAUAUAAAUGAUCUAUAAUAAAUUUGAGAUUGUUCUAUUAAUUUUAUCAUAUUCUUUCUACUGCAUUGCUUUGACGGUAUAUGAAUCGACAGAACUUGAUGUUUUUUUCCUGAUGGUAGACACCAAUUUUCCUGCCAGUUAAUUUUUUUAUAACUCCUUGUUGGUUACUUGUGACAAGAAAAGAAUCCCCGAACCUGGUGGACCAGAGAAUUUUGCUAUCGAUGGCUAGGAAUUCUUUUGUCGAUGUCUUACCGAUAAGAAAAUCGGUAAACUGACCAAUAAAUUGGUCUACUGAUAGAUUUUUUUUUUCUAUCGCUUUUAUUCUGUUGGUCUACUUCUUCCCAAUAGAGAAAUUAACUUUCAAAAUUCCUGUAGGUAUUUCAUAUUUCCCUGUCAAUUUCACACCAAUAAGGAUUUUUGGUUUUCCAAGCUGUUGGAGACCUCAGAAGAAAAGAAGCAUAUAGAUAGAGUACAUUGACAGCCAUAGAAGAAAAUUUACAUAUAUUAAACUAUGCCUUUGUGUGUUCGUUUGCAAAUAAAAAGAAAGAAACAGAGAUAAAUAAAUAAAUAAGUAAAUAAAUAAAUAAAUAAAUAAAUGCAUAAAUAUAACGUACCCAAUAUAAAAGAUAUAACCUGUGAUAGCAAACAACGGAUAGACAACUUCAAACUUCGGGUAUUAACUUCUUUCUAUAGGAUCCAACACAAGCCUAACACUCCUCCUGAAGUAUGGGAGAAACAGCAAGAGUGAGUCCAUGUCGAACUCCACAAGUAUAGCAACUAGAUUAUAUAGAUCCCACAAUCUCAUGAUCAAUGUGACAUAAAUAAUGUAAAACAUUAAACAAUAAAUAAUGAGCAUAUUAACACACAAGAAUCAUCACCCUUAAUGUAGAUGUCCCCAAGGCCGCACCUGACCGUGAGCACGGCUAGUAUACCAGUUUUAAACACUCUGCAGAGGUUGUACAUCUUUACCCAUGAGUCAUAAUUUACCCUUUCGCCCGAGGUGAUCAGCCUCUUAACCCACUUCCAAGGUAGGUCGGCAGGGAUCACUAUGAAGCCUUUCAAAGGUUUCGUCUAACAAGUUAGGGCCAUUAGUUCACUCGGUUGGCAGAUACAGAGCCCCCCUUCCAUGACACAUAACCCGCAGCCUAUACACACGGACAGAGGCCGCAUUAUACCCAACGUGUCUAGCCAUUCUUACGCCAUUUAAGGUAACCGCUAACAAGCUAGAAAAAGGUCCUCAUACUGAGCUAAAGCCAGAGCCAUUAUAGCCCUCAUGGUUGCACUGUUAUCCCGGAUGAUCACGUACAGAUAAAUCAUCAAGUUGCUAAAAAGUCAUUUUUAUCGUUUGUUGCUUAAACAUUAAUCAAGUCACAAGAUCAUGGUCACAGAAUUAAAACCCAAAUGCUAUACUUGCCUUAAUUCAAUUGCUCUUGUUGAUCCUUUUAGUUCUGCUAGUCUUACUUGCCAAGGCUCUGAUCUUGAUUACUGAAGCACUCUUGAUCACUACGAGUUGCUCACCAACUAAACUCGAUCAUCGAUCAUCAACACACAAACAAUCGGGGACAACAUACACGAAGCAAACAAGGAUACAAUUAGAACAAUACAUCAAUAGUAGAAAAAUAGUAUAAAAAAUUUAUAAAAUGAUUCUACUUAUCGCUACGAUCUCACAGACGUAAAGAUCACGAAAAUCGGAGCUAAAACGGAGAAGUUAUGAAUUUUCUAAGAUUUUAUAUAGAAAAGUAAUUAAUUAAAUAGGAUCACAAAAUUAAAAGGUUUCAAACAGUGUUACUAACAUGUAGAGCUCAUGAAAACGAACCUAACGCAAUUUGAAUGAGUCAAAUCAGAGUUAAAAUAAAUAUUUUAUGGCCAAAAGAAAGUCAAUGGCAAUUCUAUGAAUAGUGAAAACGUAUUUUUAAUCUAAAACCGAGCUGUUUGCGUUUUUCAAACUGAAAGGCAAAGUGAUUGGGGCUUACGUUGGUAGACAGAGAGCAGGUUCGCCGGCAGCGAUGCUUUCUUAGAGCUACAGCAACGCCGGAGCAGCCGACCGCUCGUAGAUGUCGUGUAUAAGCGAGAUGAUAGUGAUCACGUUGUAGAGAAAGAAAGAGAAAAUAUAAUUUUAUUUUACUAUCUUAGGAAUUCCUAAAUUAGAGGCUUUUUAUAUGGUAGUUUUUGGUGUACUCUGCCUAAGGGGUUGGUAUAUAUAUAUAUAUAGGAAGAGAAACUCCCCACCUCCACGUCCACUAGCGAUAUGGUACUAAUUGAUUUGCAACUUCAUCUUUACUAAUAGAUCUAAUUAAUUAUUAAAGCCCAUUAGUAAAUAAAUAUAUGGUAUUUGGGAUUUAUUAUGAUUAUUGGAAAUGAGCUUUGACGUUGGAAAAAUAGUAAGAGGUUUAUUAUUUUCGGAAUUAGUUAUUUUAAUGGAUAAAAUAAUUCUAGAAAAGUCCAAAAUUAUUAUUUAAGCCAAAAAAAAUACUCCGAAAGCUCCAAAAAUUCGGGAAAAAUUCUCAGAGAUAUUAUAGAACAUGGGAAACCCGAAUAAAGAUUUUAGAGCUCAUGAUAAGAUUGUUUAGAGUAUCUAAAAAAUUAGAUUAUGCUCAGAGAAAAGUGAGAACAAAAGAUAGAAAAUUCCCGAAAAGUUUGUAGAGAUUGCUUGAUUGGCGAGGAACUAAAAGAAGUGCUUUGAGUGACAAAGAAAGGAUUUUAGGAAGCUCCUAAUAAAAACUUGAGCUUAGAAACAAGGAAUUUGGUUAUAGAUAAAGAUAAAGACGUAUUGGUCAAGGAGGAUCGAUCUCCUAAACGUAUUUUAAAAACUUUGCUCGCUCAACACAUAAAGGAGCAACAAGCAAACAUUACAUCAAAUCUUAUGCGCCAGCAUUGUAUGCACAACAAUAUUGCUAAGUUUUAUGAUAAAUUUUAAUUUAAUGAAAAAUAUUAUUUUCCUUAUAUUUUCAUGAGCACGGAAAUACAAAACUGAAUAAAUUUUUAUCUAUUUUGAAAGGAGCAAAUUUUAGGGUGUUACAAUUACAACCCUGGUACACCGUUGAAAUAUGCGUUUGGUCUCAUGAUCUGCAGGCAGAAGGCACCCCCGCCCUACUUGUGUUCAUACGGAUACCGAAAGAAACUAGUGCAAUUGACCAAACAAAAUCAAUAAUUAGAGGACUAGUACAUGUACGUGGGAGUGGGAAACAAAAACAUAAUCCCCAUUUCAUGCAAAUGGUGAUCAACCACACGUAAAGAAACAACAAUGAUAAUAAAGAAACUAAAAACAGCUAGCAACAGUUACAUAAAAAAAGAAAAAGAAAAGAAGAUGAUUACCUGGUACCAAAUCCGUCUCCCAUGGUCUGGGUCGGCAUCGAGAACUACUACAAAAUUCAUUUUUAGGGACGGCUGGGAACUUUCUGUAAUGGCGGCUGGCCCGCCCCUCCGGUCUUGCACUUAUAAAUAAAGCAUUUGUAAGGGCGGGUGCCCCAACUGCCCUUACAAAUAUAUUUGUUAGGGCGGCUGGUGUUGUCAGUCGCCCUUAGAAAUACCAUUUGUAAGGACGGCUAUGUCACCAGCCGCCCCUAAAGUGACUAUUUGUAGGGGCGGUUCAAUCUACAACCGCCCCUACAGUCUGUUUUCAGCAAAAAAAAGAUUCAAAUCUGACCAGAGAAUGUAAUAUAUAAUUCAAAUAUGACCACACGAGAACGAUAUAAACCACAAAUUACAUGUCUAAUUCAUUGAAAAGUCUAUUACAUAACCAUAAUUCACAAGUUCAAAUAUUCCCACAAGUCCACAUGCAUCUUAGUCUAGAUUGUUAUCAACGUCCAAGAUAAAGCUUGUGUGUCUCACGCAGGUGUUGGUGAAGUGGAUUGGAGCCUAAGUCAGAGCUUACAUCAUGAUAAGUGCCUCUAGAAUUAACAAUCUCGUCAAUGAUGAAGUUGCAAAGGUCGCCGACGAGCCCUAAGAGUUCAUCAUCCUUGAUUAGGUUCCUUCGCUUGUCUUUAUAUUCUUUCCACUAUAGGAGAACAAGUUUAAGUUUUCAUAACAUGAGGGAACUAAAUUUCAUAACAUAAGCUAAGUUUUCAUACUACGAGGGAACAAAGUGUGAAACUAACCAGAUUGGGGUGUCUCGUAUAGGCACUAGUGUUACUCAUCAUGCAACAUAUGUAAUAUCCACAAUAGUUACUCCUAGGCCUCUGCUUGAGACUCUGUGUGUUUUGCAUAUGGAAAUGGUAAGUAAUGCUAUUUCCUAACGUAAUCAAGUAUAACGAUGUAAGUUACACGUACCGCACAGAGCGGACAUUUGUCUAGAUCUUUGAACGUAUCGCCACGAAAAAGGAUACAGUGGUUGGGGGCAUGCAUCUAUUUUCUCAACACCCACUGAUAAUGGACUUAUAACCUUCUUCACAUGAUAUGUGUUGGUGGGAACUAAGUUUGACUGUGGCAACACCUAUGAUAAGAGACCCAACAAAUCAUAGAAACUGUAGUCAGACCAGCCGUACUUUGCCUUCAAGAUGAGUACCUCAAGCACAAAACGGAGUAGUGUCCAGUGGGUCGGACAACCCUUCUCAACACUGUACACAGUCUUCAUCGAUGCUUUUUUCACCCUCUAUAUUUUCUACACAUUUAUUCUGUAGUAAUAUUUCUGGUCCAAUCGCUCGAAUCAUGUCCUCUAAAUUGUCAAAGUCAUCUUCAUCCCCCUCACGUGCUCCUCCAUCAGUGCCGACAUCACCAACAUCAUUAGUACCUUCUUGAUUGCCAAAGUACUGACCACCUUGUCCAUUGCCAUAGUCAUAACCCAUUUCUUCUUUAAGCUCAGUUGUGUAUUGGUGCACAUACCUCUCGGCUUCGGCAGCAUCUCCUAGAUCAAAGUUACCAUCAUCAGUAACCGUUGUUUCGCCAUGAUGAAUCCACAUUGUGUAGUUCAGAACCAAUUCUUGCAAAAUUAGAUGUGAUCUGAUGGUAUUCAGAUCUGCAAAUGCCAUAAGGUUCUUGCAAUCUUUGCAGGGACAAAUAACUAUAUCCUUAUAAUGUGUCAAUGUUGAUGCAUGCUUCUGUGCAGCUUCAAUAAAUUUAUCCACCUCAUCGUGAAAACCUUCAUAAAUUCUUGAUCAACCAUACAUCCAAGAGUUCCUGUACUCCGUCUUUUAAAACAAAAUAAAAAUACAAAAUACAUAAAACAAAACAAAUUAAUGAAGAAAAAUGCAAACUAGACAUUAAUUGUGUAUAUACUCAUGGUAGAGGAUAAUUAUUUAGUUGGCUAUUAAUAAAACUAAAUAUUUAGAAAAGGAAUAAGGAACAAGUAUUAUUUUACCAAUUAGCAACAAUUAGCAACAAAACAAAAAUACAAAAUACAUAAAACAAAACAAAUUAAUGAAGAAAAAUACAAACUAGAGAUUAAUUGUGUAUACAUACGUAUACUCAUGGUAGAGGAUAAUUAUUUAGUUGGCUAUUCUUGAUUAUAAAGUUCUAAAUGGUGAAAAUAUUAACUUAUAUAUUAAUUAGUUGGCUAUUAAUGAAACUAAAUAUUUAGAAAAGGAAUUAGGAACAAGUAUUAUUUUUACCAAUUAGCAACAAUUAGCAACAAUUAUUAGAAUAUAAUUAUAUAAAUAAACUUAUAUAUACUUCCAUUGUCAACAAUUAGCAACAAUUUUUAUUUUACCAACAACCUUUCAUGUCCAAAUCAUUCUAAUUUCAUGAACCAUAAAUAAAAAAAAUUAAAAAGCAAAUUCUAGAUCUAGAACUAGAUGAACAUAUACAUGAUAGAGUGAAAUAUAUCACCACUAAAAUCAAGCAAGAUCGACCAAUAGAGAGGGCAAACUCAUAUCUCUAACUAAUUCCAACUAAGCUAAAGCUUAAGAACAAGGGUGUAAUUUGCUCCAUACAAAGCUCAAGCACCAUGGAAGAGAGAGAAAAGCAAAACUCAAAUUACUCACUAACCAACCACUAAAACUUUAAUUCAAGUGUUGGAAUAGCAUUUUCUUACCUUUUCCAAGCUCCCCAUUAUGGUAGUUUUUGAGACCAAAACCUCCCUCUUUACUAGAGCAAUUUUUAGGAGGUGCCCAAGACCUCACAACCUUAUCUUCUCGGGUUGGAGUGAGUGACCCGAGGAGAAAGAAUGCUACAACCAUAUAUAUAGCCGCGAUUUGUAAGGGCGGCUGGUGAUUCAGCCGCCCUUUGAAAUUAGAGCUGGGUCAACAGCCAGUCUUAAAAAUUAAACCAUUUAUAAGGGCUGCUCGUGUUACCAGCCACUCUUAUUGUGGGAUUUGUAAGGACGGCUGGUGAUCACAAAGUCUGAUGCUGAUGGAAACACCACUGUAGAGGCGGUUGCAUCACCAGCCGCACUUGCAAUGAGAGCCUCUAGCUCUUGCAAAUCAUUUUUCACGUAGUGGGGGCGAUGGCUUGGCACCUGGCGCUCAGCUCUUGGUCCACCAUCGCAUUUUGCCCGGCGGCGGCGGCGGCGGCGUUGAGGCAGACGACGACGCUGUGGUUGCCCUUGAACAACCUGUACCGCAUUCCUCCUCACCCCUGGCGGCUCUCCUGCUCACAGGUGUCCAAGUCCGGCGGCAACACCAGCACCAGCAGCAUAGGUAGCAACACCAGCAGCGCCGUCGCGAGAGCAACCGUGCAGCCCCGCUCCAUCCUGUUCUUGUCGCCGCCAACGACGACGAUGAACGGACGACGGUGGGGUUUUCCUUUUUGAGGGAAACGACGAGGGUGGGCCGGUAGGGUGGUGGGGUAGACUGCGGGCCUCGACACUAAACGGACCGGGUCUCAGACACUAAACCACCCUGGCUUUGUGCUUUGGUGCACCGCGAUGGAGAAUUAUUUAUUAUUUUAUUUAAAAUGUCACCUUUAUAUUAUAUUAUGAAACAGAAUUUUUAUAUGUGUUGAAAGUAUAUUUUUGGAAUUGUUUGGCACAGGUACCUGCCGGUGACAGGCUGGCAAUUGGUACCUACCCACCGGUUUGAACUAGUGAGGUAGCAACAUUUGAAAUGCUAUACUAAAAAAUUUGGCAAUGGUUACAAAGAAUCGAUGAUGAUCUUACACCAUCAUAUCAGACCAGCAGAGGCAUGAAAGGCAGUGGACGUAUGUAUCCUGGUAAUGGAAGAGAUACUAUUGGUGCUUCUUUGUAUACUAGGCUAGAGUUCAACGGAAGCACAAAUACAUCAGCUUGAGCAAGAGAAGCAUAUUGAUGUUCAGUUCUUAGAGCAAGUAUUAUGGUGGGCUGUAAGCUGGCUAAAUGCUGAUGUGGAGGAGAAAAGAGAGGAGAGAGAGGAGAAGCAGGCUGUAAGCUUACAGCCAGCUUAGACACAAAAACCAAGAAACUUUGUGAGAGAGAUAAGUGGGCCAUGUAUUAAUAGUGAAUAGCUAACUAUUGUACAAGUGGCCUGGGAGAAGGCUGUAAAAAACCUUACAGCCAGCAAGUUGGGUAUAUUAUUAAACUUGCUCUUAGAGCAUUCAAGGCUCAAUCUGAUGCUAGAUUUCAUGGAACCUCAUAAAUGUUUGAAUGCACCGACACAGGAAAAAAGAAAGUCUUAUUUAUUGAGCUUAGGAAAAAGAUGUCUCAACUCUCAACCCAUUCCUUCUGCAUCUGUACCUGCACCAUCGAUCUGCUAUGCAUUCACAGCCUUUAACUGCACCAAUGCAACCAUCAUCUUCAAAAGAAAAAAAGGGGCAGCUCCACAUGGCAUAAAAAGUGAAUUAUAUAAUUUUGUGGCUGUAAUUUUUGUAACAUGAUACGGGUUAUUUUGUGGGCCAUUAAUUGUGCUUGAAGGGCCAGAAGAUACCUGGUGGCCCUGCAAUUAAAUCUAUGCCAUCUUCUACUGGUCCUUGUAUCUAUAUAUCCUACAAAGACAAACCCACUAAGCUAAUUCUGUUGCAUAUCCUUGCGCCACGUUAUCAUCCACUUCUACUGCUGCCGCACACAAUUAAGUGUCCACUCACAAAUGAUUUUCAGUAGUGGAUAUAACUACCUACACAACCAUACAUGCAUACUGCUAGCAAUUAUUCUCUUACGUGACCUUCUCUCUUUCUCUUUAGAAAUUGGCUACUAAAACUAUUUUUUUUGUGAGAAAAAAAGUUUUAGUAGUCAAUUUGUAGAUGACUCUAUAGACUACAGUAAAAUUAUAUUUAUAUUUCUUUUUCAUACCCGCAGCAACGCGCGAGGAAUCCUCCUAGUUAUCAAUAGAAAUAUGUCUGCUGGUGGCCUUCCACCUGAAGGUCCACAAUUAUAUCCUUUCAAUCGGCCGUAAAGUCAUGACUCGGUGGCCAGACGAUAAUAUAGCUUUUAUGAAGCAGAAAUAACCAAAUAUGAUGCAUCAAAGGUAUCCUUAUUUCUAAGGCGACAUAAUUGUCACUUAUCAUUGUUUAUACAAUUAAUCAAGUCGCUCUAAUUAGUACAUAUGAUGUUUUUUUGUUUUGAGGGAAACUGGAGCUUCGUAUAUUAACCAUGAAUAGGAUUACCAUCAUUGUCUAUGAUAUCUCUUUAAGUCUGUUGGGGUCAUAAGCCAUUCCUCCGAUCUUUCAAAAAAACAUAAGCCAUUCCUCCUCUUAAUUAUCACUGGAUACGAAACAAGCACACUCAUGAGCUAAUCUAUUAUAUUUUCCAAUAAUGAAAAGCAAAUUAAACUCUUGAAGCUCCGGCUAAGAUCUGCCAUCUGCUGCAGUAUAUAGUAGGAUGUCUAUGCACUGGUUUAUGACAUAAAUACAGCACAUGAGACAUGAGAAUGGGUUGAUUUCAAGGAGGUAACUAAUUUUCAGUCCUUAACUCUUCAUUCUGUUAAUUUUAUUGUCAUGUGUCCAACACUUGAUAAAAUAUAUCCCUCAACUGUCGAAACCCAGAACGUGUAGUGUACUAUCGCCUGGUGAGCGUGAGCAGGUGGCCGCCUUUCUAUACUCAGGAUUCAGGAUACUAUAGUAUACAGAGUACUUUUUCUGUCUUAAAAUAAGUGUCACUUUCGCUUUUCAAAAAAUAACUUUAACUAAAUAUAGUAAAAAUAUUUAUAAUACAUAAUUAGUAUCAUUAGAAAGAUUUUUAAAUCAAGAUUUUUAAUAAAUUUAUUUAAAGAUACAAAUAUUGUAUGUAUUUUCAACAAAUUGAAUUAAAUUUGUGCAUGAAAAUCUAAAACGUCACUUUUUUUGAAUGGAGAGAGUAUACUUCAGUCUCAAUUAAUCAGACAGUGAAUCAUUGGUUGGUUCCUUUUUCUAUACUUGCUGCUGCGAGCGGAGAAACAGACAUAUAUAACCACAAACCUGCCGUUGCCGACCCAGAAAAUUGCGGUAUUAAAUGAGGACACAACCACCCACUGUGAACAAAAUUAUAGGUGCUAAUAAGAGUAAGGUUAAUACUCCCUCCAUCUCUGAAAGCUGCAAUUUCUAGAGUUGUCCUAAGUCAAACUUUUACAACUUUGACCAAAUUUAUAGAAAAAAAUGCUAAGAUUUAUAUUACCAAAUUAAUACCGUUAAAUUUAUUAUAGAAUAUAUUUUUGAAAGAUACUUAUUUUAUGUCAUAGAUAUUGAUACUCUUUUCUAUAAAGUUGGUCAAAGUUAGAAAAAUUUGACUGACACAGAUUCUAGGAGUUGAAGCUUUCAGGGACGGAGAGAGUAAUAUAGUCGGCUUCUCUUAGUCCACCCAUAUAAUAGUUGAAUCUUUAUUAUUAAUACAUGGCCUACUUAUCUAUCUUAUAGAAUUUCUCUUAUAUAAUAGUUGUGUCUUCAUUAUUAAUACAUAAUAUACUUAUCUAGCGUACAGUUUGUUUCUCUUUCCUCUUUUUUGUUCUCUCUUCAACCUUGAUAUUUAGGCCUUGUUUAGAUGCAAAAAGUUUUUGGAUUUUGAUACUGUAGCAUUUUCGUUUUUAUUUGACAAACAUUAUCUAAUUAUGGAGUAACUAGGCUUAAAAGAUUCGUCUCGUGAUUUACAGAUAAACUGUGCAAUUAGUUAUUCUUUUUAUUUAUAUUUAAUACUUCAUGCAUAUGCCGCAAGAUUCGAUGUGACGGGGAAUCUUGUAAAGUUUUGGGUUUUUGGGUGUAUCUAAACAAGGCCUUAGCCUACUUGUAACCUUUUAUUGUAUUUGCUUUAAUAGUGUCAUAGUAGAAAGUACUGGUGGCUGAUUUGUUGCGAUAGAAGCUGACAGAUUUAGCGAACAAUGACGGGCGUUCAAUCACCCGGAAAACUGCGGUAUUAAAUGAGGGUGGUCAGUGGUCACACAACCCCCGCUCGUUCAUCACCCAGGCCUUUUCCUAAAAAGUUUUGCAAAAUUUUUUAGAUUUUCUGUCACAUCAAAUCUUUAGACGCAUGCAUGAGUAUUAAAUAUAAACGAAAAUAAAAACUAAUUGCACAGUUUGGUCGGAAUUGACGAGAUGAAUCUUUUGAGUCUAGUUAGUAUAUAAUUGUAUAAUAUUUAUCAAAUACAAACGAAAGUGUUACUAUUUCUAUUUUGCAAAACUUUUUUGAACUAAACAAGGCCUCAGCAUUAGCAGGCGUACGUCCACUGCAGCUGCAGAUCUGCUUCUCGUACCACCACCGUUCCUGUGUGUCGACCGUCUCAGCACCACUGCACCAGAACCACCAUGUGCAGACAGCCACCGGCCAUCUGCUCGCACCGGGUCCCCGCCGUCACCCUGUGCAGCAACAGCACAGUCCUUACAAGUGUUCGCGUCCACUCACUCUCGCCUCCGAUCCCCCGCUAGACGCCACCGCCCAUCGCCCAAUCGCUCUGCCGAAGCAUGUCGCUCGCUCUGCCCCCAGCUAGCGCCACCUGCCGCUGUGCCAAAUAUUACGCCAUGACGAAAUAUCGUUAUAUAGAGCUUGAUACUCAUCAUGAUGCUCAUCACUGUGUUUUCUUAAAUAUAAUUAUUUUAUUUAAAUGGAAAACUAUGUGAGUUGUGAGGAAAAGUUGUGGGUACUGUGAAAGGUUAAUGAACAAGCUAUAGAUGGUGAUUACCCUAGAGAUUAAGCUUGAGCAUUCGGGUUACCUGAUUUUUUCGGGUCGGGUAAUUCGGGUAAUUCAAAAUUCAGGUAAUGAAAAUUGUUACCCGAUAUUAGUCCCGAAAAAACACUACUCGCAAUUUCGGGUGCCCGAUAAUUCGGGUUCGGGUAUUCCAGAUUUACCCGAAUUUUCAAAAAACAACACACUAUACAAAAUUUCAAUAGCAAUUUAUAUAUAAUUUUAGCAGCAAUUUGUAUAGAAUUUUAGUAGCAUUUUGUAGAGAAUAAUAUAUUACUAUCACUUGUUCAAACAAAGAGAAUUAUGUUCUAAUAAAUUGAUAAGUUCUAAUAUUUAACUAACAACACAUGAUAUAUACAAAGAUAUAGACAAAUAUUUGGGUAAUUCGGAUAGUUCGGGUACCGGGGGAUAUUACCCGAAUUACCCAAACUAAUUUCGGGUAAUCAAAAUCGCUAUCCGAAUUUAUGAUCAGGUACCUCGGGUUCGAGUAAUUCAGGCCCGAAUAAUUCGGGUACGGAUAAUAGAUAUCGGGUAAUUUGCCUAGGCUUACUAGAGAUGAGACAGAUGAUCAGGUUCCCUUUUCGUGGGAUGUCAUAAUGUUGUUGCUUGUACCUUUUGUAGUUAAGUAUGAAGAUAUCUGUCUCGUCUCGAUUAAGGACUGAGUUAAUGAUUUAUCCUGCCUAACUUAUUUUAUUGUAUAACCACUCGACCCUGCAUGUGGUGGACCUUAGUCUAAAUCCCUCUAGCUGGUAUGACAAUCACCUGGAGGCAAGUGUGCAAUAGGACACUAAGAGAUGUAUGUGAAAAUUAAGAAAUUUUAUAAAAUAUAAUAGGCUCGAUAUAAAUUAUUGUAUUAUGAGAUGUGGCCUUAAUGUUCCCAUGGUGAGCGCCAAUACUUAGCUAUGCAGGGUAAUGGCUUUGAUGCUCUAUGCUUGCAUUAUAGUGUUAAGUAAUUGUACCUUACUUAUGGUAAAAGUGUGCAAACUCUACAGAGUGUCAAAUCUAUCUAGAUAGUUGUGUCCGCAGUUUUAAACGGGUUACAGUUUGGUUUCAACAACUCUAGAUGGGUUAGGAUGAGUGUAAAUAUGAGUGGGUGUGACUUUGGAAUGAAUGUUUAUCUGCCAUGUGUUUUGGGAACAAAGAGUUCAAUGACAUUUAAAAUUGUGAUCAAUCCCCUUUUUCAGAAACACUCUUAUAUAUGAAAAAUGGAUGUCUUUUACAAAAAAUUAUAAUAUGAAACCCUGCAUGUGUCAAAAGAUAGCUUUAUGUAAAUAAACCAAGUCUUAUCCUUGAUUUAUCUAUAUGCAUAUACUUUUAUUCUUUUCCAUGGGGUAAAGUUGGAUUUACUAAGUACUUUAUAUAUACUCACCCUUGCUUUGUCGAACAUAGGACGAUCCGGAUUUUAAUGUUGAAGCUACGUUCGAGUAAGGUUCUGUCUGUACCCAACUAAGUCUGUGGCAUUGGGGUUCGCCAGAUGUGUGUAGCGGGUUGUUUCUGGUCUGUUGGGCCUACAUCGUAUUUUGGUUACUUCUAUGUGUGGUGUGGCUUCAUAGCCCACGCCUACCACGACUACUACGUUACGUUAAGACUUAUCUGAUUAAUAAAUGUACGCGCUAGUCUUAGGACUAAGUAUUUGUAUCACAUGUGAGUUUCUAAAUGGCCAGGGGCACUUUAAAGGGAACACAUGAAUAUGGGUGCCAUCAAGUACUUCAAUGCAAUCUUUAAAAUAUAGAUAUACUCGGCUAUCAUCCCUUAUUCUCCUAUGAACCGUAUAAAAAUUAGGAUCUUUUGGCCUAAUGAAAUUCUUUGCCAUGGCCAUCAAACAGUAAAGAACAUCAUCAAAUUUUUUUUUGACUGAACUGGAGGGGCCUGAGCCCCUGCAGGAAUUUAUUGAUAAAGCAACAAGAGCGAAAACAAAGUUACAGAACUACAGAGUUGAAAGCAGAGGGGGCAGGUUAGGAGACAAAGAAAGAAAAGAAAAAAAAUAUAAAAACAUCUAGAAUCAAUUACAGAUUUUGAAUCCAUAAAUCAAAGGGCGCUGAGAGGCUUUGCUUGACCCUGAAGGAUACAAGGCGUAGCUCCUUGAAGAAAAAUUCCUUACAAUCUUGAAUUGAGAACUGAUUAUUAUUGAAUAUCAUCUCAUUCCUGGCUUUCCAGAUCGUCCAACAUAGAAGUAUUAUCGCAAUCAUGAAGAAUUGGCUGUGAAGCUGGUCUUUGAUGGCUUGUAUGUUUCUAACCGUUCCUUCACUCUGCACUAUUUGAAUUCCAAUGAACCCCCAACAUUGCUGCGCAAAGGCGCAGUGCCAGAACAAGUGAUCAACAGUUUCUUCUGUUGCCUGUAAGCAAAAUUCGCAGUUGAAGGAUGCAAUAUUCAUUUGUUUUCUCCUGAGAAUGUUACGCGUACUGAGCCUGUCUUUUAACAAAAGCCAAGCAAAAACCUUGUGCUUCGGCUGGCAAGCUGAUUUCCAUAUCCAGUUUAAAGCCGGCUCAGAUUGUUGAUGUCCUAGGAGCCUUCUAUAAGCAUUUGCAGGUUUGAAACUGGAGGAUCCUCCUUGAUAUGUCCAGACAUCUUUGAUUCUAUCAUCCAGUUGUAAGACUUCCAUUUUCUGUUGUAUGUUCGCCAUCUGUUCAUAGGCCACUUGUGAUACCGGGAGGUUAAACAUUGCUGCGAUGUCAUUGAAACUGAAAGCUUUGUGUGCCGUAAUAUUCUUGUUUCUUGCAAAGGCGAACGCUUGAGGAUACUGAGUUUGUAAGGGCUGUGACUCCCAAGAGUCCUUCCAAAAGUGACACGUGAUUCCACUAUUCAUUUUGACCGAUGCCAUUUGCUUGAAUUGUGGUAGUAAUUUUAGGACAUCUCUCCACCAAAAGGAGCCCUUCUUCACAGUACCUGGCAGUUUGUCAUUCUUGUAAUGCAUUUCUCAUACCAAGUUUACCCAAGGAAUUUCUUUCAUAUAGUAGAAUUUAUCUAAAUUCUUCAUCAACAGAGCCUGGUUUUGUAGUUCCAAAUUGAUAAUACCAAGUCCUCCCUCCUUUUUUGUCCUACAGACCAUUUCCCACGCUGCCUUAGGCUUACUUUGUCCAUUUAUGUCAUUGCUUCUCCAGAGGCAAUUUUUCCAGAAUUUGUCGAUCUGUUUGAUGACAGCUUUGGGAAGCUCCAGGGUGCACAUAUAGAAUGUUGGAAGGGCUGAGAGCACCGCAUUGGUUAUUUGAAGCCUGCCUGCCAGGUUUAGCAUAGAAGAGACUCCUCCUAGCCUCCUUUCACAUUUGUUUACGAGGGGUAGGAAGUCCACAAUUUUUGGCUUAGUAGUCCCCGCAGGCAGACCGAGGUAGGUGAAGGGUAGGACCCCUUUAGAGCAGCCGAAGGUUCUCGAGAGCAUGUCAAGCUUUUCACCACUUAUAUUAAUAGGCAGCAUCAUGGAUUUGUUGUAGUUAACCUUUAACCCUGUGGACUCAGAGAAGUUUUGCAGAAUAGUCUUGAGGAAGAAUAACUGUCUAGGAUCCCCCUCCAUGAUGAUUAACGUGUCAUCGACAUACUGGAUUAUUGGAAAGUCCUUCUCAGUUUGUAAUGGAAUAGGCAGAUUGAUUAAACCCAUAUCCUUGCCCUUGUUAAUCAGAGAUUGCAGAAAAUCGGCAGCCAUGACAAAGAGCAAUGGUGAUAAUGGGUCUCCUUGCCUCACACCCCUUUUGCAUUUGAAUCUCUUUCCAGGUACCCCAUUCAAGAGCACCGAUGAGGUGCCUGUAUUAAGAAUGCCUGUAGUCCAGGAAAUCCAUCUUUCUCCAAAGCCCAGAGCAGCCAUGAUAGUUGUUAUAGCCUGGUGCUCUAUUUUGUCAAAAGCCUUUUCAAAAUCCAGUUUUAGGAUGACUAUCUCUUUUCUUGACUUAUGGCAUAGGUGAAUGUAUUCAAAGGCCCAGGCAAGGCAGUCUUGUAUGGUCCUUGAUCUUAUGAACCCAUACUGAUUCUUGUGGAUCAAGGAGGAAAUUUUUAAUUGAAGUCUGUUAGCCAUCAGCUUAGUCAGAACUUUGAUGGAGGUGUUGAGCAACGAGAUAGGCCUGAAAUCAUUGACAGAUUUGGCAUCCUCCACCUUUGGGACCAGGGUAAUGUAGGAUGAAUUAAUGCUUUGCAGGCAAGAAUUGUUAGAAUGGAAUUGAUCACAUAGUUGAAAAACAUCCUCCUUGAUCGUGUUCCAAGAGGCUUUGAAGAAUUCAUUAUUGAACCCAUCAGGACUAGGGGAUUUAUUAUUGGGUAGACCUUUGAUUAGAGCCUCAAUUUCAUCCCUAGUGAAAGGAGAUUCUAAACUGCCCAGAUCAGAGCUGGCUUCCAAAAGAUCUCUUGGGUUUAUAGUGAAGCUAGUGAAUUCUGUAAUUCCCAGCCUUUCCUUGUAUUCAUGCCAAAGAAGCUGCUCUUUCUCAGAGUGAUCAGCAAUCAUAACUCCUUGGGCCGAGGAUAGGUGACUGAUAAGUUUCCUCCUAUUCCUUAUAGUGGCAUUGGCAUGAAAAAACUUCGUUCCAGCAUCACCCAGUUGAACCCAUUUGAUAGAGCCCCUUUGUUUCCAGUAGGUUCUCUGCUUAUCUAAAAGCUCCAGCAGGUGUUUCUCUAGGAUUUUAUGAAAGUUCCAUUCAGAUAGGCUCAGAUCCCUAUAUUCUGACAUUACUUCCAGAAGCAGCAAAGUUACUCUGACAUUAGAAAUUACUGUUUUCAAACUUUGUAAAGACUUUUGCCACUCUCUUAGAUUUUUUCUCAGGCUUUUCAAUUUGGCCGAGAAGAGUUUAGCUGCAUCAAUUUGUACCUGGGGGGAGCUCCAGCUCUGAGUCAAGAUAUUUUGAAAGUCUUGGUGCUUAAGCCAAUAGUUUUCAAAUCUGAAAACUUUAUUAGUUGGGAUUUUGGUGGAAAUUUUGACCAGACAGGGGCAGUGGUCAGAGGGCACCAUGUCAAGGGCUGAUACAGAAGUUGUGGGGUAAGAAAUAGCCCAACUACUAGACGUGAAAACCCAGUCCAAUUUCUGAAGGAGGGGGUGAAGGCUGCAUGUUUGACCAGGUGUAUUUUCUGCCUUGAAGCCUAAUUUCAUUAACACCUAGCUGGCUUAGGGCCUCAUUGAACCUGAACAUUUCUCCUAUGUCACCUCCUGGCUUAUUUCUGUCCUCUGGCUUUCUAAUCAGGUUGAAGUCCCCAAGUAAUAUCCAGUCAGUAUCAGGGCUGAUUUGAAACUGUUGGAGCCAAUCUAGGAAGACUGCCUUUCCUUCAGGGGUGCAUGGAGCAUAGACACAAGUGAGGAGCCAAGAGGCAUUGUUAUGCUUGGAACAUAAUUCCAUGGUGAGAGAGAAAUUAUUGUGAUCUGUCAUGAGGCCCGAGAAAAGACUUUCCUUCCAUGCGAUCAGUAUCCCUCCAGAAGCACCCACCGAGGGUAAAAAGACAUGACUAGUAAAGGUAGCAGGGCAAAUUUUCCUGAGAAAAGUAGUAUCGACGACUUCCUUUUUGGUUUCUUGGAGGCAGACAAUAUCACAUAAAGAAUCAGCGAUCUUGUUUCUAAUCGAGUCCCAUUUCCAUGAGGAAUUGAUUCCUCUAAUAUUCCAAGACAGAACAUUCCAGCUUCUAGUAGGAAAGCUAUUCAUUUAGGGAAUUGAUAAAGUCAAAAGUGGUGCGUAGAAUCCAUCCCUGAGCAAACAUAACAGUUUUAGCAGAGGCUGCAUCCUCUGAAAGAACCCUCUUACAAUCACAAAAGACUGAUACAUAGGUACUGAAAAAGUCUGAAGCAGGCUAAAAUGCUAGGGGCCUAAACCAACUAGAUUAGUGAUCAGCAGGGCCAUCUUCUUCUUCCCCAUCUUCUUCCCUACUCUUUUUGGUCUCCUUGGAGGGUUUGGGAGCUUUGCUUUUGUUCCUGACCACGGCAUCCUUGAUCUCCCCCUUCUUGCAAAGAGCCUCAUCUUCUAGGACCGAAGCAUCCAGGCUGCAAAACUGAACCCCCAAGUUCUUAAUUAUUUUAUUGCUUAAGAUGGGGGGUAGCAAGAUGAGCACUUUUGACUAGUGCAACCACUAUAUUUAAAGCCUACACUGCCCAGUCUUACUCUUUCACUUCUACGUACCUGUGUGUCAACCAGUGGCGUGAUCCUCUUGGAGCCACUUUUCUUCUUUCUGCACCCUCCUUUUUCAGCUUCCAUUGCCCCCUCCUGAACAAUCUUGUCCUUUCCAAGCUCUUCUUUUUCGUUCCCUUUUCCUCCUAGAGAAGAGAAUGGUAAAUCAGCACAACGAAAGUGGCUGGCGUGCUUGCUGUCACAAUGAUCUGGUAUAGAGACAGGAGACAUACCAGAGCCAUCAUCAAGGAAGGUUGAGGCCCCAGACUUUAGAAAGUCUCUUGCCCAGUCAAACUUAUCUGUUGAAGAUAGCAAUAUGUUAAAAAAAGGUAUCCAAGUGUUGGGGAUGUGUACAAGGAGGCCCCCAUUGAUACCUUGAUUGUUGGUGGGUUGCCAAGCCAUGGGAGUAUUCUUAGUCCCCUUAAAGCCUUGGCCUUGCUUCAUGAGCACAGGGUCGAAAUGCAGUUCAGACAUCAGGGCGAACCCAACUUGCAGAUGAUGGUUGUCAACUUGAUCAGGAAACUCUUGUUCAGGCUGGUUGUUCUGAGGUGCCUGGCCCACGGGAGCUUGACCAGGGAGAACUUGUUGAAGUUGCAGAGCUGGCUGUUGGAAGAUAUGCUGCUGCGCUAAUAUCUGUUCUUGCAAUUGCUCAUCAGCUAGAGCCAUAAUAUCCAUCUCAACCUGAUUAUGUGGCAGUUGCAUUCCCCCAUUAGGGAAGACAGGGAAGCCUUCCUCUCCUGGGCCGACCAGUAGAUUUAAAUCAAGGUCAUCCUCCCCAUCCACUUCCAUUUGAUUGAGAUCCCCAACAGGUUCUUCCUGAUCCAUAUGGUUAUUAACUUCCUGCUCAAACAUGUGCACUUCCUUUGGAGCAUCUGCCUGUUCAAUGAGUUGGUCCAUGGGGAUCUCCUCUCCAAGCACAUCAGGUAGAGGUGGCAAAGGGAAGCCCAGGAUUUGCUGAUCAUUGAAACCUCCAUUGGGGAGAGGAAUAACAGCUGGCUGAGGGAGCUAGGGAAUGUUCUCCUCAAAUACUUCUAAGAUGUCAUUUAACUCAAUGUAAUCUUGAUUGGGAGGAUUAGCUAGAUUGAUGAUUACUUCACCAGGAUCAGCAGGAUCAUUGAGGUCAAACUGGGCCUGUUGGGCCAAGUUGAGGUCUAGAACAUUUUGGGCCAGUUGCUGGGCUGGGAACUGGUCAGGCCAGGCCAGCCACGGAUCCCAAGGAUUGAGCUGUUGGGGCUCCCAUUGAAUCGGCUGCCCAGGAAGGUGGUCAUUGAGGCCUUGACCUUGUAUCUCCUGUUGCUGCGGGCCGAGCUGCUGUUCCCCUGGUUGAUCGUUCUGACCCUGCUGAGGAAGCUGAUUCAGUUCAUGUCCUUGCUCCUGCUGACCAACUGGCUGCCCAAGUCCCAUGAAAUCAAAAGGAACAAAUUCCCCCAUUUCCAACUCAUUUGGCAUUGGGUCUUCUUCUGGAGGCUCAUCACCUAGGUCUCGGCGUUGGACAACUUAGCACUGAAUAGUCCAAGAGUCUCCAUUGAUGUUCAGGGAGUCAGAGUAAACGAUGAACUGAGGGACACCCUAAGCACUAGUGACUCUGACCCUAGCCAUGAUUCUCCCAGGGAAGGCAUUGCUCUCCUCCCAAAGCAGCAGCCUUCCAAAAUCACUGACAGCAUUGUGAAUGUGACGCUCUGUCUUAUAGUCAUCAGGAAAGCCCAACAUCAUGACCCAACAAUCAUCAUUAAAAUAGACCCUCCUCCAAUUUCUACCCUCAUUAUGCUUCACAAAAGAGAUAUUCACAUUGCCAAAGACCAUGGGGCUCUCAUUGACCAUCUGAUCUCUCUCAUAGGCGUGAUUGAACCUAACAUAAGCUUGUCCAAGGUGACAGGGCAUGAUAUCCCUCGGGUUGAUGUGACGACUGAUAAGAAACUCUCUAAUGAUGUUCCUUACAGCACCAAAGUUUAAGACAUUACCAGGGAGAGGAUCAAAGGAGACGAUUGCGAGGUCUUCAUUUGCCGGUGGCGGACGCAUAGGAGCCACCGCCCGGCACAUAAACUCGCGGUUGGGAAGGUCCACCCAUUGGAAGCUUGGCGGCAGGAAAGGCCUUGGGUCAGCACGCUGGAAAGCCAUGGGCGCCGCCGAAGGAGGAAGCUCCUCGGAAGGAGCCGACGGAGAGGCGCGCAGCGGAGAAGACUGGAGCAAAGAGGGGUUUCCACCGGCCGAGACAGGGAGAGCCGAGGAAUGGGAAGAGCCGAGGGACAGACUGAGGGAGUCGAUUGAGGUAGCCAAACUUUGAACAGUGUUGGGCUUGGGGUGGCGCAGCACAUUAACUUCAGGCUCUUUUCCCCUAGUGGCCCAGGUGAAGAGGGAGGGGGCAGCUUGCGGGAUUUCGUCGGAGACGAUUGGGACAGCUCUGGACGGCCCAGCCACCGCAUUGUCGGACCAACCAGCGGCCAUCUUUUUACCGAGGUCAGUAAACUAUCUCUCCCCUUCCCGCCUUCAGUCAAAUUUACCGGAGCAGAAGCAGGGUGAAAAUCGCACAAGGCAGCAGUGUGUCCCCAUCUACGGCAGGCAAGGCACCUAAUAGGGGAGCGGCACUGUGCUCUGUAAUGAUCACGCGGGAGACAGCGCUGGCAAAACGGAAGCAGGGGAGAGUUCCCAGGGUAAUCACCAGAAGAUUGCCCGGUCGGGGCGCCCAUGACUGGACGCUUGCCUCUGACAGACCCGGAGGAACCGGGCAACAUCGGGGUUGGCGAGCGGACCACCGCAGGUUGAAGGCGCCUGAAGGCAGAACGCUUGGCCGGCAAGGGAAUGGCGUUAGCUCCGGUGAGCGGCACUCCAGGGGCCGAAGGGGGACGCUGUUGCGGAGCGGAGUCCACACAAGAACGGACAACAUCCGCAAAAGAUAAAUUAGGGUGAACCAAAGUGGACAGGCGAAUGGCCGGACGACGUUUGUGAGCAGGAAGCCAAGAACGUUCUUCUUCGGACAAGAAAAGAGACAGCUCACGCCUCCAGUUUGGGCCUCCAUUGCCCCAUAGGUGGAAGAAAAGAGAAUAUUCAAGGCAAGAAAACGAACGCAGCUUAGCAAUGAAGAAGCCAACGGUCUUGGAUGAAACAAAGAAUUUGAAAGCACGCCCGGCCAGGUGAGAAACACGAAAGUAAGCAGCACAUCCUCCAAUGGAAGCUUGGAGGAUGAUACUAACAGAGGAGGUGUCGAGACGAAACUUGCAGCGAGAAAAGGAGACAACCAGAGCAAAGGACCGGGAAGAGGAAACCGGGGAAGAAAUGGGAAGGCCAAGGGAACGAUCCACGUUAGCCGAAACCGAUUCUCCCGGGGAGAAAGAGAGCCCGGGAAGAGUUGGGAGAACCAUAGCCAGAAAGGGGCACACAGCAAGGAGCACCGAGCAGGGGAAAGGAGAAACUUACAGGAUUACAGGGGGGCUCCCGGCCCCAUUGGUGGCCGAGGCAGCCCAGCAAUGGCAGCACCACCUGUAGUCGCCAAAAACCAAAACAUCUUGCUGCUCGAUCCUUUGUUCUUCAGAGGUCGCCGGGAGAUGCAGGCGGCGCCGGCGGCUCUGCUGCGACGGCCAGCCGGCUCGGGCGAUGCUGCGGAACCUUCGAGGAGCCCGCCGGCCCCGGCGGCGGUGGGGUCAAAGCCGGCGAGGGCGCCGCCGAAGGAGGAAGUUCCUCGGAAGGAGCCGACCAGUUGGUCAUGCCAAAAUGUCAACCUCUGUCUAGAUCGUAUCCAAUACAUCAUCAAAUUUCCUACUAAUAGUUUCACUAGAGUGCUUGAAUCGAUUUUGAACUUUUCUAUUAGACUCAUUUCCCGCAUAUAGAUAUAAAGAAGAAAAUUUCUAGGCUCUUCGGUAGAUAUGUGCAAGGAUGCUUUUAACCCAUAUACCUAUAUAUGUACCAAUAAACCAUGAAGGUCACCGAAGAUUUCUGUGCCAGGUGUGCGGAAAAAGGAGUUCUUAGAAAGAGGAGUAUUGGAGCACUUCUCUAUUUUGUAAAGAGCAUAUAUCAACAACCUAUAUCAAUUUUGAAAAAAUCCUCGUUCUGAUUACUAAAUCAUCACUAGAAUCAUAGUGAGACUAUGCAAGAAUAAAAAGAACAUGUCGAAAUGAGAAUAGUCAUAAAUAUUUUCCUAUGAUCGAUCUUUCUUGACAAAAACCUCAGUUGCCACAAAAUGCUCAUCACUGCCAUACCUAGUCCCACAUGCAACAACAUGCCCCAUUACUUGUUCCAAUAGUGAUCCCGACGAUGUUGCACGUCUCCUAAUUAAGCUUGCGCACCUCCUAACUAUACUUACUAUAUAAGUAUAUGAUAGCAAUGCAAGCUCUUUUAACCAUAUAUGGUACUCCAACAACCAGCUAUAAUUUGGACACGACGCUACAUUGCGCGCGGAGGAUGACAGCUAAUUAAUUUGGCCAUCGACGACAACGACGCCUAGCUACAACCCUGUACACCGCGGAGGACGCCUAGCUGUACACUGCAGAGAACGACGCCUCGUAGGCUUUGUUGGCCUUGUUUAGUUCCUACAAUAUUUUGCAAAAUUUUUUAUAUUCUUCAUCACAUCGAAUCUUACGGCAUAUACAUAGAGCACUAAAUAUAGAUAAAAAAACUAAUUACACAGUUUAUCUGUAAUUUGCGAGACAAACUUUUGAGUCUAGUUAGUCUAUGAUUGGACAAUAUUUGUCAAAUACAAACGAAAGUGCUACAAUUCGUAUUUUACAAAGUUUUUUGGAAGUAAACAAGAGGAGGUAAAAAGUUUUUAGGUACUGUAGCACUUUUGCUUUUAUUUGGUAAUUAUUGUUCAAAUAUGGACUAACUAGACUUAAAAAAAUUAUCUUGCAAAUUACAGACAAACUAUAUAAUUAGUUAUUUUUUAUCUAUAUUUAAUGUUUUAAUGUGAUGAGAAAUCUUGAAAAAUUUAAGUUCUGGGUGAACUAAACAAGGCCUUAAAUAGUCGUCCCGGUGCUCGUAGGUCCUCCGCAGCUAGCACGCGAAGCUCCUUCUCCUGGCUACGCAAAGCUCUCCUCUGCUCCUGGCUCUGGCUAACUACACGGCAGCGGGAAGAGGGCUGCCGCCUGCUGCUGCUUCUUAUUAGCACAUAAGCAAGGUCUGUUUAUAGAUCUUACUAUACACUCGUGUGUGUGUGUGUACGCGCUAACUAUUAGCUAGUUUUAUAUAGUUCGUCCAAACAGAAUGAAUGUACUAAUUUUUAGCCAAGCUGCUAGUCUCAUGGACGAUAAUAUAUAGAGAACAUUUGAAAUUAGAAUAGCUCUCUAAAUGAGAACUUAGAGAAUGGGAUUUAAAAAAUAACGUUGGAUAUGCUCUUAGCUGGCUACCUUUUUAAUUAGCUACGUAUACACCUUUUUUUUUGUUCUAGUUAACAAUUCUAUUCUUACACUGUCCAGGGUUGGAGGUACGUAUGCAUUUCAUCACUGACUUCGUUCCUUUUUACUGUAUAUACUAGCAUGUGCCUGUGCGCUGCAUUAAUUUAAUAAAGGUUCAAAAAGCUUAAAUUUGUUUGCAUACUCCGAUAGAUCCUAUAUACGGUUAGAGUUGUGUCUGAAGAUGUAUUUCAUGAUGGCCAAACUAAGGAUCGUAUAUAUACCGUUAUUUAGAGUCGUAUUACUGUUACUAUAUACGAAUAUAUAUACGAUUUUUGAGUUUGCUAUAUAUUAUGCAUGGACAACAUGAUUUAAUUAAGCGACGACGUACUACAACGCUAGCUGCACCUUAUUGUACUGAUCUUGAGGCCAGUCUUUGGUUGGGUAGCUAGCAGAGCUUGGAAUUAGCAGGGGCACCGAGCAUGUGGAGGCUGAAGGUGGCGCAGGGCGACGACGGCCCGUGGCUGCGGUCGACCAACAACUUUGUUGGACGGGCGGUGUGGGAGUUCGAUCCCGACCACGGCACGCCGGAGGAGCGCGCCGACGUGGAGAGGCUCCGCCGUGAGUUCUCCCAACACCGCUUCCAGAGGAGGGAGUCUUCCGAUCUCCUCAUGCGCAUGCAGGUAAAUAACCAUGCAUGUCAUCAUUAAUAAUAAGCUAUAAGUAAGCUUUUUGCUAAGGUGGAGAAAAAGAGAAGAAGAAAGAGAAGAGAGGUGUGCUAUAAGUUUACAACUAACUCAUGUAUAAACUUCAACAAUUUUUGUACGUAAGAGAAGGAAGUAUGACGAUAUACUAAUAGUACUGAAGAGCUAACUACUAUUAUACAAGUGAGUUGAGAGACGAAUCGCAAAGAUUAAUACAACCAACAGAAGACUAUAUCAUUAGCCUUACUCGGCCCUGUUUCAAUCCAAAAGAGAUAAUAGUUAGCUACUAAUGAUUAACUUAUUGGAUCCAAACAGAUCUAGCUACCCCCUUUAUCAUGAAAACUUAAACUAUUAGAAUCUGUGUCAAUCAAACUUUUUCAAAUUAGAUCAACUUUAUAGAAAAAAGUAUCAAUAUCUGUAACAUAAAAUAAGUAUCUUAUAAAAAUAUAUUCUAUGAUAAAUCUAAUGGUAUUAAUUUGGUACUAUAAAUCUUAGUGUUUUUUCUAGAAAUUCGAUCAAAGUUUUAAAAGUUUGACUUAGGAGAAUUCUAGAAACUGAAACUUUUAAGACAGAGAGAGUAAUAGUUAGCUGAAUACCAAACUAACGACUAUUUCACUAGUUGAACAAAACUAGCUUAUAGCAGCUAUAAUUAGCUAUAACCUAUUAGCUAGCUAGGCUAUUAUUAGCAACAACUAAUGGAUCGAAAGGGGGCCUUAAUUAGGAAAAGAAAUUGGGUGGAGACCGUCCCCAUGGAGCAACAUGCAUGAGAGAGAUGUAUUUUUUCUUUCCAAUUAUUAUUACUCCUAUAAAUUUUGAUAAUAGUUUUAUUUGCUAGAUGAAUACGUGUCGCAAAUUCAUGAUGGGUGCCCGUAGUUCCUUUGUGGGACCGUUUUCCAACUAAAAGGAUUGUUCUUUGCAUGGGUAGCUGGCUUAGUUAAUUCAUGCAUGCAAACUAUAACUAAGGAGGUAUGAAUAUUAUUUAGUUGGAGAUAUAAAUAUGAAUAUUAUUUAUUAUAAAUUUAGUCAAACUUAAGUUAUUUUAACUUGUAUGAAUUUUAUACCUGCAUUAUUUUGUUAGUAUAUCCGUGUACUGAAGUGUAUGGACUGGUAACAAUGUUUCACAUCACCCAGUGGUGGUCUCCUCUAGACAAUUAAUGCAGUGGCAUUCUAGCUAGCUAUAGGCUACCCGACAUCAACUUUUUGGAACAACAAGCAUGAGCUAAAGCCCUUGUUUACUUUUCAAAAGUUUUACAAAUUUUUUCAAGAUUUUUCGUCAUAUCGAAUCUUGCGGCACAUACAUGAAGCAUUAAAUAUAGACAAAAAAUAACUAAUUGCACAGUUUGUCAUAUUUGUGAGACGAACAUAAUUGGAUAAUAUUUAUCAAAUACCAACGAAAAUACAACGGUGUCUAUUUUGCAAAAAAAAAUUACAACUAAACAAAGUCUAAGCAAGUAAGAAUUGUAGGUGGGCUUUUUUUUGAGACAUAUAGGUGGGCUGAGUGUUGAAGUAGAGAAAAGAGGAGAAAUAAAUUGUACGGAACUACUAGCGCCCGGACGUCUGAUCCGGGCACUAACAUCUUGACGGCAGGUCUCCAUACUCACCCUCUCCCGCCCCCGCACGAAAAAAACAAAGAAGAAAAGUAGAGAUGUGAACCCGCCCCCACUCGCCCCGCACGAAGAACGCAAGGAGUCCGGCCCAAACCUCUUCGGCCCACUAGCACCUCCGCCCGUUGCCAGUUCAUCCCCAACUCGCAACCUCCCCUCCCCCUUGCUGCUACAAUAAUAGGAUGAAGCAACCGAAACACCAUAAAUGUGAUAUUGCAAUAACGCCCGAUAAACUACUGCAACAAUAGAUUGUAGUAGUUGAAAACAUCGUAAACAUAUAGAAAUACAACAGCAAAAAAGGACGACAGCUCCAACAUUGGAAUGAUGAAGUUAAAACAUCUUGAAUAUAUUAUUACAACAAACAAAGAAAAAACAGCUGAAACAUUUGGCUGCAGUUGCUGAAACACAAUGAACAUACUACUACAACAACACCCAAACAAAUGCUGCAACAUAUACGCAACAACUACUGCAACAUACAGAUUAAAGUAAUUGAAACAAUAUAUCAAAAGCAGUAUUGCAACACCAACUGAAACCCUACUGCAACGUCUAAAAAGACCAUUGCAACAAACGGCGAAAUCUAAAGUCGAGAGCAAGCUGAAGCCCUAACAUGCUGCAACAUCACAUGAAAACAUACUGCAACAACCAAAGAACACAUUUGCAACUCGCACGAGAGCUGAACCCCAAGACCUCGUCGGAACCCUAACCACCACCACAUCUCUUAGAUAGAGAGAGAGAGAGAGGAGGAGGAGGUGCUGGUGGUGGUGUUGGUGGAGGAGGAGGAGGAAGCCUUAGAUCCAGAUCCAGAGAAGGAGUAACAUGCCUCAGUAUGAGAUCCCUCCACGACCUACCUUGUCACAACCCCUGCCGUCGUCCGUCGUCCUCAUCUUCUGUGGGAUGUGGGAGCAGGGUCACAGAGAUAGUGGGCUCAUGCAUGGAUCGGAGGUCACGGUGGGCAAGGGAUGGAGGGAGGAAGGGAGAACGGGCAGGACGGGUGUGGGGGGGGGAGGGGGCACUGUGAGCUCGCGGGUGCGAGGGCCCUUAUCUCCGGUGAUAGCGUGGAGAGCGCGCAGAAAAGCGACGAGAGAAGAAGCGGGGGAGCAGUGCGGAUGGCAACAGAGAAGAAACAGGAGAGACGAGCGGAGAAAAAGAAAGAAGAACGAUGGAGACAGGAGCAAAGGAAGUGAAGACGCUGGUGCAGGGCGAGGCGUCCGAUGGGUCGGACGUCCGGUCCAUAGUAUUACCGUAAAUCGUAAUUUUACAGCCGGCUUAGAAAUAAGAACCAAAAAUUUUUAUAAGAGAAACAAGUAGAAUAUAUGCGGGUUUAUGUUGCUCACCUCGCUCAUGGCCUUCGAUGACCCUGUUGAUGAUCGUGGAUUCAUGCAUGGCGAUUUGUGCAUUGUGCAGUCGGUCGGUAGUGGAAAAAAGUUUAUUCUAUCUUAGUUUGAACUAUGAUUUUUCUUCUCAAACAUUAAAUCAGAUAUUGUAUCCGCUAAACUUUUAAAACCAUUCAACUUAUCUCCAUACACAGGUUUGGAAUGGUAUUGAAGGUGAUUUUAUCUUUCUUCUUAAUUAAUUAGUUCAAAAAAUCGGUAAAUCCUUGAUAAGGUUUUUAAACUAUAGAAAAUAUCUUGGUUGAUUGAAAAAAAAGUCUGAUGAUAAAUUUGAAUAUGCCAAAAUCCAAAUAAAAUACAUCUAGAUGCUUCAAAAAACAGGUUUAGCUCUAGGAAAAUGAAAAAAAAAACAAAAAUCCUUAAGAAGAACAAACAAAAAAUAACCGCAAAGGUUGCAUUGGGAUGAAAACAACGGCGCUUCAACUUCCUCGCCACGCAUACACAGUCGCACUCUCAUCCUCCUCCAGGAAACUCCCUCCGGCACUAAAUCUAUUUUGUUUACAAACCUUAAGAAAGUGUCCUCAUCGGUUCUUCUCACCAAUUAUCUGAUCCAUUCAUACUCAUUUUUUAAAAAUAAAUGUGUGCUUAAAUUACGUCAAAAGUUUUAGCAGCUAGAGCUAGGUAAUCAAAAUCCUUGUGUUGCAGGGCACAAAGCAGAACAGAUGUCAACGUGAUCUGCCACGCAUCAAGCUUGAGGAGGAUGACCAAGUCACUGAAGAAAUUGUAUUGAGCUCUUUGAGGCGGGCUCUGGAUCAGUUCUCUUCACUGCAAGCAAGUGAUGGGCACUGGCCUGGUGAUUUCAGCGGGAUCAUGUUCAUCAUGCCUGGUUUGGUGCGCGUUUGUUUCUCCCCAAAUAAAAUGCCAUGUCUUUUACCUUUUUUUCCUUGCUUACUUGUUCACUGAUGACUUGUAAAAAUUCUCAACAUGUAUACUUGCACGUCCGUACGCAGAUAUUUGCCUUGUAUGUCACUGGAUCACUGAAUGCUGUCAUAUCACCAGAACAUCGGCAUGAGAUAUGCCGCUACAUCUACAACCACCAGGCAUGGCAUAGUUCUCUUGGAUUAUCUCUCUCAUUAAGGCCUUGAUGGGGACAAGGUCAAUUUACACCCAGAUUGUUCACUUUAGUUUUACUCAUCAAAUAAAUAUAUAAUGUGUAGAACGAAGAUGGUGGAUGGAGCACACUUGUCCUGGGUUCAAGCACCAUGUUUGGCACAUGCUCAAACUACAUCACCCUGAGGCUUCUUGGCGAGGAGCUAUAUGGCAACAACGAUGCGUUGGCUAAAGGGCGGGCUUGGAUUCUAUCCCAUGGUGGUGCAACCUUCAUUCCCCAGUGGGGAAAGAUAUGGCUUUCGGUAUAUAUUCUUUGCGACCCGUACAUGUGUACUAGUUUUAUAUACAUAUAUAUAUAGUCUUAUUUGGGAAAAAAAAACACAAGCCUGUUUCUCAUUUAUAACCUCUGAUUCUUUACGUCGGUGUCACUGACACUUCCUUUGCAUCGAUCUGUAUCAAUCGAAGGUACUUGGAGUGUUUGAUUGGUCAGGAAAUAAUCCAAUUUUCCCUGAACUAUGGCUCAUUCCUCAGUUUCUUCCAUUUCAUCCAGGUAUAUUAUUCCUUCUACGAAAUGCAGAAAUGGUGUCAUUCCAGCUUCCAGCUAGCACCUUAUAGAUUGGAUGCACGUGGUCUAUAUUGAAUAAGUUUGCUAUAUCUACCAAUGGCUCUGUCCUUUUCAGGGAAAUUUUGGUGCUUAACCCGUAUGGUAUAUCUGCCAAUGGCUUAUCUUUAUGGCAAGAAAUUUGUCGGACCAAUUACACCAACUAUAUUAGCACUAAGAGAGGAGAUAUAUGACACUCCGUACAACAAGAUUGACUGGAGCAACGCUCGUAAUGAAUGCGCAAAGGUUUGCCACAUCCUUUCUGGUUCUACAGUUCAUUAUCAUCAUAUAUGUCGUCCUUCUAUGGUGAGAUUGUAUCAAAUGGGGUUUUCACAAAAUCCCUAGGCGUUGAGAGUGUUUAAAACCUAAUAUGCAUAUAUAGGUUAUGUAAUCUAUUCAUGGUCUUAAGACUGCUUUUACUUUUUUUUUCAUUUUGGCAUUUCAGGAGGACCUCAUCUGUCCACGUACACUGUUGCAGAAUGUUGUUUGGACUUCACUUUACAGGUGUGUGGAACCAGUGUUGAGCAGUUGGCCUGUCAACAAGCUGAGGGAGAGAGCUCUAGGAAACCUCAUGGAGCAUAUCCAUUAUGAAGAUGAGAACACACAAUACCUAUGCAUAUGUUCUGUGAACAAGGUAAAUAUUGGCAAAAGUUGAUAUCUCAUUACUGGCACUUAGUUGGCCAUGCUUCUAUUUGCUGUUAGCAUGUUGUGUUCUUGCUAUUAAUUAUCAUGCUUUAUAUAAGCAUUGUUUAGUGGUUCUUGUUAAUUGUCAUGUGGAUCAUGAACUUCUGAUUGGUGCCUAUUAAUAUUGGUUACCUUGUUACUUAGGCUCUAAACAUGAUCUGCUGUUGGGUAGAAGAUCCAAAUUCAGAUGCAUUCAAGCAUCACCUUGCAAGGGUACCAGAUUUCUUGUGGCUUUCAGAAGAUGGCAUGAAGGCACAGGUAUAACUUUUCACCUUUUUACCCACUUAUGGUACUUGAUAGCUUGUAUGCCAUGCUAGCAUGAGACGCUCGCUAUUGGUAGUCCAUUGAGGUAUAAUCAUAAUAGUUAAGCCAGUAAUCAUUUCCUUUGGCUAAUUACUAUCGUCAUAAUUGCAUCGUCUUUACUGAGGAAUAAACUAACAAUAGAUUUACUAUCAACGAUGUUUAUUGCACAUAUAGGAACUAUGUGCUUAAUAAGCUACAACACAUAGAAUGAUGAUUCCCUUCAAAUUACCUUAGUUAAUAAUAAUAGUGUAAAGAGUGUUCUUAUUUGCAUGACUAAGUACCAGUUAGUAGAUAUUAGAGCAUUGGUACGUAGUCAUUGUUGUUGUGAGUAGUUAGUAAUCUUUUAAUAUUAUUGCAGUAAAAGUGUCUUGGAACCACUGUAAGUUUGUUGGACAUAUUGAAUAUGCAUCAAGAAAACCCUCAUAUUAUAUAACUACAUGUUUUAAGCAUGGAUGAGUGUUACCAUGAUAGGUAUAUGAUGGUUGCCAGAGCUGGGAAACAUCAUUCAUAAUUCAAGCAUUUUGCGGUACAGAUCUUGUCAAUGAGUAUGGUCCAACUAUUCAGAGAGCCUAUGAGUUCAUGAAAAAUUCACAGGUUUCUUUUGUUUAUCUUAAAAUCAUGGCAAGUUAUAAAAUUGACCAUCGUGAGCAAUGAUGAACCACAACAUGCAUUUGUGUACAUGAAGGUUUUGAGGAACCACCCUGGUGACCAAAGUAAAUGGCAUCGCCAUAGAUCGAAGGGUUCAUGGACACUUUCAUCUGCAGACAAUGGGUGGGCUGUAUCUGACACUACAGGAGAAGCACUUAAGGUUAUUCCAUCUUGUUCAGUUUUUUCUUUUGACUCAUUAUAGAUGACUAACUACUUAAUUUUCCGCCAUCAUAUUAAGAAGAAAUGAAACCAAGGUCACUAAUAAGUACCAUAUAAUGUUAUGCUUAAUUUAUAGCGUGUAACUAGUAAUUAAUAAAAUGCUCUACUUGAUAUGUUGUUCAUUCCCAUGCCUUUUCAUUUUCUCUAUUCUAAAGCAAUUUGAUGUGAUUUUAUUUACAGGCUGUACUGUUAGUGGCAAAGAUCUCAAACAAAAAUAACCUUGCUGGGGAUCCAAUAGAAAAACAAAGGUUGCAUGAUGCCAUGGAAAUCAGAAAUGCCAUACUCUGUGUUGGCUGAUACAAAAUAACUCUAUUACACCAAGCUUAUGGGGAUGGUAUGAUGAGUGUAUAUGUUAAGGAACCAGGUUUCUACAUGUGGCUGUGAAUCUGAAACCUUGUAUACAAUUUGCACAAGUUUUCCUCUCCUUCUAAAUUUCAAUCAGUAAACCUCUUUAGAUGUAACAACCAACAAUACCAUACUUACUUUGCCUGAAUCGUUUUUAAAAUAUGUCUAUGGUGGCAUUGCUUUUAAGCUACGAAAAACAUAAUUUCAAAUGGCUAAUCAUUCUAUGUUGUAGAACAAAGAUGGUACCUUUUCUACAUAUGAGUGCAAAAGAUCUUCUUCUUGGAUAGAGGUAAGUUUCAAUAGGCUGAGUGCUUAUAUGUUCUUGUUACUUUCCCAUUAGGAAGAUGCAAUUCAUAUGAUGCAUCUUACUCUUUGCAACUCCACUGUACUAAUAUCUUUUUGUUAAUUAACUAGAUUCUAAAUCCUUGUGAGAGUUUUCCAAACAUGGUUGUCGAUUACCCGUAAGUGACACAUACAAAUGGCAUAUGUUUAGUAGAAGAUCCCACUAACAAAAUUUUUACUUUAGAUAAUGAAACAAACUCAAGUUGCACUAUGAAUUCACAGUUACCCAGAAUGCACUUCCUCAGUGCUCCAAGCUCUGAUACUUUUCCAAGAAUUGUAUCCUGGUUACCGCACAAAAGAGAUAAAAACAUCUAUCAGAAAUGCAGCAACGUUUAUUGAAAGAAGUCAACAAGAAGAUGGUUCAUGGUUUGCCCUAAUGCAUCAUUUAAUCAAAGAAUCUAUAAACUAGUACUCAAUUGAUAACACAAUUAAUUGUUUCACAGGUUAGGCACUUGGGGUGUAUGUUUCACCUAUGGGGCCUUCUUUUCAAUCAAAGGUUUAGUUGAUUAUGGAAGAACGUAUGAGAACAACUCUUUCAUACGGAAAGGAUGCCAUUUUUUAUUGUCAAAGCAACUCACCACUGGUGGAUGGGGAGAAAGCCAUGUCUCUAAUGAAACUCAGGUAAUAUAUAUAUAUAUAUAUAUAUAUAUAAUGAAGAUACUAGUAACAAAUUGACACAUGAUAUUUUAUGAUGAAUCUGGCUAUUUAAUUAGAAUGUUUCAAAUCAUUAGAGAUUUAUUGAUUUAUUGUGUAUGUUGAGCCUUUCUGUUAUACUAUGCUCAUUUAAUUUCCUCUCAGUUUGAAUUGCUCCAUAAGCCUUUGUUCUCAAGUCGAUCCCUAGCAAGUCAUGGCGGGCACAAUAUUUAAUGCAAUAUGAAAAAAAAAUAUUAUAUUUACAUAGUAUCAUUAGUAUGUCCAUUCAUCUUUGAACUUAUCUUUCCCCACCCCCUUGUAAUGCUAAAUAGGUUUAUGUAAAUAUCAAAGGUGAUCGUGCUCACGCUGUGAAUACUGCUUGGGCAAUGUUGGCUCUAAUUUAUGCUGGACAGGUACUGAUUAUUCAUUUUCUUAAUUUUACAUAUUGACAAGAACAUACAAUUUAUCAAUCUAUUGGCAUACACCUUUCUAAUACAAGAUGGAGCGAGAUCCAACACCAUUACACCGUGCUGCAAAAGAAUUGAUAAAUAUGCAGUUGGAGACAGGAGAGUUCCCACAGCAAGUAAGAUUCCACUUCAAUUUAUGUUGGUAAUACAUCAUAUUGAUAAGUGAACUUGUUAUGUUUCUCUUAAUUUGUUCUAAAAAUUGAUGGAACAUAGUGUUGAAGAACAUAGAAAAACCCUAUCAUGUGGCAUGGCAUAUUAGUAUUGAAAUAAUGAGGCACCCAUUUUUGUCACAUAUAGAUAUAUGAACAGACUUACUAGGUGGCUAGAAUAUGUAAUUGCAUGAUAGAAUUCUUUUCACGUUUUUUAAUAAAAAUGUCCCUAUAUAUGGAUCUGACAUGAAUAAUUAAUCACAUAACUAGAAUUGAAUUAGCACAAUACGAAUAGAGCAAGCCUUUUGUCAUUUGAAGCAUCCAAUUAUAAAAUCAUUCAUACUCAAGCCCACUACCACAAAGUUGAUUAUAGAGACUCUUCAUUUUAUUUUUAGAGGUGGACCUUAAAGGUAUACCAUCCCAAAAAAAACUCCCAGAGCAUUGUAGAAACAGGUUGACUCUGAAAAUGAUUUUUAGAUGCAGUUCGCAUAAGGCAACACCCUAGAAAAAUGUGCCGUAAACAUGACAGCCAAGGCAUUAUUAUGUCUAAACUCAAGUUCAUGAAUCUAACAUGUUUUAUGUGGUGUCCAGUAGACUUUUAAGAUAACCUAUUUGGAUUAUUGGAUAUUAGGGGGUGCAUAAUUACACAUGCAUUCUUGUAGUCAUUUUAGAACUUUGAACUACCAUAUUUCAGCACAAUUUUGUGGUGUGGGUGUUUGAUUAUCAAAUGUUAAAGUGGUUUUGUUGACUACACUUGCAUUUCGAUGAUAGGAGCAUGUCGGAUGCUUCAAUUGUUCUCUUUUCUUCAAUUACCCCAACUACCGCAACUUGUUCCCCAUUUGGGCUCUCGGUGAGUAUCAUCGUGGCAUUUGUGGAAAGAAGAGAAAUGAGUCCAAAUGAGCAUAAUAUAAUAUAGUAUGGUGAAAAAUAAAUAGGUUGCACCUCUGAGAAGCAAAAAGGAGAUUUACUUUCAUGUAGUUGUGUAUAACAUGUAUGCAGUGUAUGUUGAAUGUUGUGGGGAUAUAAAUCUAGCAUGACAUUAUAUAUUGUCAUACCUAUCCAUCUCCUUAUAUAACACAGGGUUUGCUUUAUCUUCUACCCAUACAAAUUGUAUGUUCUAUUGGUACGGACGUGCGUGCCAGACUCCUUGAACCGUAGAUACGCGUACGUGUCACGUCUGUGUGCUGCAGUUUUAAUUUGCUCACAUGCAUGUAAACGAAUAUAAACUUGGCCAUUUGGCAUGAGCACGAUGGCCGGCCUAGACAAGACCCUGAGAAGCACGGCCUAGGCACGGGUUCGGCUCCCAUAGUGCCCGUGUCUGGCACGGCUCGGUCGUAGUGCCAUGCCUAGGCCGCCAUGUUGGCCCGUAGUGCCAGCCCAGGCAUGGUACGGAUAAAGGCCUGGCAUGAUGUGGCCCUAACCAUUAGAUGACUAGCUGAUGAACUAGAGUCGUUGGAUAGUAAUAUAUAAAUAUAUCUUCCUCACCUAAACCCUAACUUCCUCUACUCUCUCCCUCCCCACUCAUUUCCUCACCAGCGCCGACACAGAGAGCCAGAGACCUGUCCUCUUUCCCUCUAUCCUCACUAGCAUUGACGCGGAGACUGGAGGUGGUGGGCAGCAUAGUUGUGGGGCCAUGCCUUGAGGGCCUCAAGGCGGCAUCAGCGGCGCAUCUGCAGCAGCGGUGGAGUAGCACGCAGUCGGCGGUGGCGCAUUUGCGUGUGACAAAUGGCCAGCGGUGGCGGAGCAGCGGGCGGCCAGUAUGCGUGCGGUCAGCGAUAGAGGCGGCACAUCUUGUUUCCUAGCCACACCACCUCCACCUAUGGGCCUGCAUGGUCCCGACGUGCCGUCGUGCCCUUCGGCAUGACAUGGCACAACUAAUCCUCUGUAGUGUUGUCUCGACAUGGUGACACUAUGAGGCAUGACACAACUAAGCUAUUGUGUCACGUAGUGCCGUGCUCAGCAGUGUCAUGCCUGGCCGUGCCCGUGCCAGUGCCGUGCCGCGCGACCUGGCUGGCCAUCUAUAAUCAAAUCAGUAUGUGCUCGCCCAGUACUUUGUUUGUAGCAAUAGGCGCAUGGUCAGGAUAUUCGCUUGAGCUUAUGCGCUGAAAUUGCUAAUCAUUCAAUAUUAUUUUUUAUAAUAAAUUAGCAAACAAUAUUUUUAAUCAUGGCCUAUCAAUAAACCAAAUAGGCUAAUUGUCGGUGUCUGGACUCAUGAUCUAGGCACUAACAAGUAAUAUGUGUGUCUGCGUGCCUAAAUCCAGAUGGUGAUGUAGGAAGAACACAGAGGUUUAUACUGGUUCAGGCCAAGAGUGCCCUACGUCUAGUGUGAAGGAGUGACUUGUAUUAUCCUGUACCCGAGAUGCUCGUAGUAGGGGUUACAAUCGAGUUGCGAGAGAGAGAGUGUGUCCUAGAUCUCGGCUUAGGAUGUGUUGUGCGAGACUUAGCUUGUAUUUGUGUUAGUCUGCUCGAAUGAGACCCUCCCUCCCAUUUUAUAGUUCAAGAGGAAUGAGGGGAUACAUGUGUUUUGGUUCUAUCGUCGUGGUGUUGAUCCGAGGCGUGGAUCGGAGUAUGACGUUAUACAGGGGGUAAGGCGCUCCAUUCCUAAUGCUCUAGUUGAUCGUGGUUGCGGUAUGGACGUUCCUAUUGUUCGUGCUGAGCCAUGCCGCUACUGUAGACAAGACGUAUGUUCUUGUUCAAACCAUGACGACCCCUACUCCUCAUCUAGAUUAUCCUCCGAGGCCUCUUCCCUUAAUCAGUGUUCUGGAGUUCUGACAGGUUGGUGGCUGUAGUGCUUGGAAUUUGACGCUGUCCAUUCCUCCUGACCCGAUCGUACGGAUAGUGACAGGAGGCAGGUGCUGCAGUGAUGGAAGCAGGAAACAUAGUGUGCGCUAUAUCCUGCCUGCACCCCAUGGUUGUAAGGGCGUGCCCCACAUCCCAUCCGUCGCACGACAGUCAUACGCAAGAAGCCUAGAGUGCCUUUAUUAGGGACAGGGCUCGGGCGUGAUGGGAGAAAACCGUCCGAGGCUUGGCCUCGGGCGAGACGAAAAUCGUUCCUUUGUCGCUUGAGGACUACUUUGGCCCAAGCCGAGAUAGUUCUGGUAUUGUUUAAAGCCCUGUUUGGAGAUGUCUUUUGGAUGGCCCAGCUGUCCUCCUUUCCAAGACCGGGUGAUUAGGCCCUGGCCUUUGCAUUGUUUUGUUUUGAAAAGGUGACUGGAGUUUUUAUGGCAUUAGUUUGGAUUAUUAUGAUAUCUUCUUGGGUACCCUGUUUUAUGGUACCCGGCACUAAUCCACCUGACCCAAGCUAGUGACGUGACGGCAGCAUGCAUCGAGACCAUGCCACGCAUGCAGCAGCAUCAAAGAAAGCUACCACUGAGGCCAUCCUCAAUAGGGGUUUCAUGACCCAGUUUUCAAUAUUUUUAUAUUUUGAAAACAGUGUAGAAGAGUUUCAUCUUCAUAGAACUCUUUCUACUCCCAUAAAACACUUGUCAUCUCUCUCUCUUCAUUAAUACAGUAUCAUAUCAAUAUAUUUAAUGUGCAUGAAGCUGUAAUGAAACAUCAUUGAGACUAGCUUGAUGGAACGAGGCAUCGACCACAAGCAGCUGACCCAAUAGAUGUUGAUGCAAGAGCUCUCAAUCCGGCCAUCGUCUACUAAUCGAUCAUUGCGCAAGUGCAUUACAGCUAGUCUUAGUGGAGAGUUUUAUUUUGUUAUUUCCAAGAUUGCCAUAUUAUAGAAAAUGAAAUAAAACUUAGAUGAAAUACUCACUCUCAAUAGAAAGUUUCAUUCCAUAGUUUCAUACCCCCUCCUUCCUAGAAUAGAGUGUGUGGGGUGAAAGUUCUCGAACUUCGCAAUCAAUCACACAAACAUUCAAAAUUCAAAUCAAGUCAAAUAUGCGACUUUAUUGCUUGAUGGGGUAUUUAUAGGGCUCGCGACUUCACCCAAUGUUCAAAAUGACUAUUUUGCCCCUUAUGCAAAAUGACUACAAUACACUAUUUGGGUAAGGGUGAAGUCGUCAUUCUUCACAUCCAGUCUUCAUUUCCUCAACUUCGAUCUUCAAGUCUUCUAGCAACUUACAAUUUUGACUUAGCCGAUUUACAUGAUCAAUUAACAGACGAAGUCAAACUUCGUCUUCGCUCUUCUAAGCCCGCUGUCUGGAGGCGAAGACGAAUUUAUCGUGAGCGAAGUUGAUCCAUGAUCCUGGCGAAGUCAACUUUUGUCUUCGCUACAAUCUUACUCCUGUAGACAAAACUCUGAAACAAAUUUUAGAAUUGAUCUUCUGAGAAUCUUCGACUCCAAAGUUUGGGACUACUUUUUGUGACUAAGUUUAAUUCUCAUUCUGGCUUUUGAGAUGUAUCCACAAAUAUAAUACAUUUGAAAAACAACAAGGUAAUAUUUACUUAAAUAAAAUUAAGGAAGAGAAAAGUAAAUGAGUACUUACCAUAUUUUCUAUAAGAAAGCUUAGAUUACACCCUUUAAUCAUGCAUAUAGGAUCAGAUUUCAAUAGAUUAGGAAGUUUAGUGAUAGGUACAUGUGUCUAUUGCGCUCUCUCUCUCUCUCUCUUAUUUUGUCUUAGAAUAGCUACAACGCACUAUAUUACAUGACGGAGAGAGUAUACAUUCAAUUCUAUGAUUCAAAGAGAAUUGGUAACUCUGCUAAGAGAGUUUCAUCUUCAUGAAACCUAAUUCUUCUUUCUCUUUGUUAAAACAUUAUCAUGUCAUCAAAAGUACAUAUAUGGUAAGUUAUUAAAUUCAAAUGAGUGAAAUUCUAGUGAAACUCUCACUGGCAGUCUGAGACUGCCGCCGAUCGAACUACGAGGCCAUCUCGAGACGCUUCGAUUUGAUCCAUGGUAAUCCCGUACGUCCGCGCCCAUCUUUUGAGUAUCCUGAGAUAACGGCAACCAACUUGAGCGACGUCCAUCAAUCACCCUGCCCGGGGCGCGUGCGGGAUCGCGCAACAGCAGGCUGGGCAUGAACAGCAGUCUUGGACAAUAGCAGGCUGGGCAUGAUGAGCAGCUGGCCCGGGAGUUGACCGUGUUCAACUCGGUGUACAUCGAAGCAGCUAGCCCAACCGAUCGUCCACCGAAACUACGGAAAUGCAAUGCAAGCAGCUCGUCCCUCGUCAUGUAAUAUAGCAUAUUCUAGAAAUUUUAAAAUAGAUUAAGAAAGAACACAAAAGAUUCAUAUGCGCUCAUUUUAUUUCCUUACUAGCCAAUGCCCGUGCGUUGCUACGGAUGAGAAAAAAAUGUUAAUCUAAUUAUUUGUUGCUUCAUAAGAAGAGUUUUUGAAACAAUAUUGGCACCAAUAAUGAAGUUAAAGAAAUACAUGAUGUAUUGAUUUGCAUCACUGGUAUGUGGAAAUGAAAUGUUAAAUGCACCGUGUCAAAAUCCACCAAAAUGAACAUCAGCCAAACUCUAUUACAUUUCGUUGCACCGCUUUGCUGCAACAACAAACCAAGAAUAGCACUAAUCAAUAUUCCAAGAAAUACGGCCUUCUCAAGCUUCUAAACCCUGGCUAUUGUAGUCCCUGCAGGCGAAGUGAUCUAAAACUUUUAGUUUCAGGAUGUGAUUGGUUAGGUGGAUCAGCAUGGGCCUAGCUGAGAAGAAGAACCAGGCCGAGCAUGACCAGCUUGUCCACAUGUGUUUGGUUUGCAGCCAGGCUACAACGCUACUAAUUGGUUGGCUGACUUGUUGGCUGGAUUGCUAUGGGUGCACAGUGAGGUUAUGACUGUCGUGAGCAUUUUCUUUAUACGUCUGAAUAAUAGAGAAUACAAUCAAAACAACUAAGAAUUGAGCUACCAUUAUUGUAUACUUUCAUGUCCCAAAACGACAAAAUCACUGUCUCUACACAACAAAAUUUCAUUGGCUAAAACAAAGAUUAGUGCCUUUGUGCCUGAACAAUAAUUAUAACAUAGUAUUGCAUACAUUCAGUUGAAAGCACACUUUCUCCAUGAAGUGUCAGACGUCCUCUCAAUCUUAGCUAUUUUCAGAUCAGCUUAUCCAUCUUGACUAUAGUAUGCUGCCCUAGCUUCAUUUUUUUUGUUGUGUGCUAUAACAACCUCAUAUUUGGACCCCUUGUAAAAAUACACCCUGUGCACAGCAACCACUCAACUCCUAUUAUAAAUUUUUUUACCUAGAUUUAGAGAACUGUUGGUGCUCGCGAUGAAUAGGCAUCUCUUAUUAGACUUUUUCCCCAAUCAAAGACACAAAGAAAUCAUGCCUCUUGGAAGCAUGUUUCUCCACAUCUAUUUCUCCUCACCACCUAAACCUGCAAAAAGACGACAAAAUCAUAAGGAAAGCAAACCGUAAAUAUAUGUUUAAUGUAAUUGUGAAGAAAAAUAUCUCUAGGUGAGUAGAAAAAUUCAACCCUCAUACUACAACUAUUAGUAUCAAGAACUAAACUCGUUUGUGGUAAUUGUUAAUUCUUUUGGCUCUACAAAAAUAGAAAAUACACCGAUGUGUGAAUGUCAGUUAAGAACUAUAUCCUAAAUCAAAUGAUGCAUGAACGACACCUACGAACUGGAUAUAGACACAUCUUGGUACAAGCAACACAGCGCCACCAAACACAUCGGUGGGCGCUAUGUCCGGAACCAUUAGUUUUAGAGGGUGUUGCCAAUAUGCAUCCAGGACCAUAUAUAUAGCUCGAUAUCGAUUCUAUGCUCGAGGAGACUGGGACCAGAUUACUUAUGGAAUACUCCCUCCGUCUUAAAAUAAGUGUCGUUUGCGCUUUCCGAGAAAUAACUUUAACUAAAUAUAUAGUAAAAAAUAUUAAUAUUUAUAGUAUAUAAUUAAUAUCAUUAGAAAGAUCUUUAAGUCUAACUUUUUAACAAAUUUAUUUAGAAAAAUAAAUAUUACACGUAUUUUGGGUCGGAGGAAGUACACUCUCUUUGGACGGAGGAAGUACACUGCUACGCCAUCACGUCGUCUCACCGGGCCUUGUUUAGGCCUUGUUUAGUUCCAAAAUAUUUUGGGUCAAAUAUAAAAUUUUUUGCUAUUUUGCAUUUUGGAAGUAAACAUGUUCAAAAUAUUUUGGCCCUAAACUUUUUGCAAAAGUAAAUAGCCUUGUUUAGUUUCAAUUUUUUUUUAUAAAAUGGACACUCUAGCACUUUCAUUUGUAUCUGACAAAUAUUGCAUAAUAAUAGAAUAAUUAGGUUUAAAAUAUUCAUCUCGUAAAUUACAUAUAAAUUGCGCAAUUAGUUAUUUUUUAUCUAUAUUUAAUGCUUUAUACAUGUGCCGCAAGAUUCAAUGUCAAAAAAUCUGAAAAAAUUUACAAAUUUUUUUUGGAAAGUAAACACCAAAACUAAAAAAUUUUAGUGUUAGAAUUUUGAUGGACUGCUCAAGAUUUUGGGUUUUUGAAAAAACGCAAACAAACGGACUCCACAUCCAUUUCCUCGCAGCAGAAACCUUUGUUUUUUUUUCAAAAAGCUGACGGCUGAGGGAGUUGGGUGGGGUGGCAGGGGGAGGAGGCACGUUGAAGCCUGUUGACGUCUCCACUCUCAUCUUUUUAGGUGUAGAGAUUGGCCCUAAACUUUUUGCAAAAGUAAAUAGCCUUGUUUAGUUUCAAUUUUUUUUAUAUAAAAUGGACACUGUAGCACUUUCAUUUGUAUUUGACAAAUAUUGCCUAAUAAUAGAAUAAUUGGGUUUAAAAGAUUCAUCUCGUAAAUUACAUAUAAACUGUGCAAUUUGUUAUUUUUAUCUAUAUUUAAUGCUUUAUACAUGUGCCGCAAGAUUCAAUGUGACAGAAAAUCUGAAAAAUUUUACAAUUUUUUUUUGGAAAGUAAACACCAAAAUUAAAAAAUUUUGGUGUUAGAAUUUUGAUGGACUACUCAAGAUUUUGGGUUUUUGAAAAAGCGCAAACAAACGGACUCCACAUCCAUUUCCUCGCAGCAGAAACCUUUGUUUUUUUUUCAAAAAGCUGACGGGUGAGGGAGUUGGGUGGGGUGGCAGGGAGAGGAGGCAUGUUGAAGCUUGUUGACGUCUCCACUCUCAUCUUUUUAGGUGUAGAGAUAAGACACUAGUAUGAUUAGUGGUGAUUGAUUGAUAAAUAGAAAGUAUUUAAUACAAAACUAGUUUGUGUAUUUGAAAGGUCCAAAUGGCUAGAGGGGGGGUGAAUAGCCUAUUUAAAAAAUCUACAAACUUUACUAAACAAGUGAGUUAGUAAAAUAAGUGGCGAAGCUAUUCUAGCACUAGCACAACUAAGCUAUGCAAGCCACCUAAACAAGUCUAGCAAGAAGACUAAACACUAAAACACAACAACUCUAUACUAAAAAGAACUAAGCUACACAAGCUAAACUAACAAGGUAGGCAAGAAUGUAAAGCGAGGAGAGUGAUUGUUAUACCGACGUUGUAGAGAUGAAAUAUAUCCAAUCAAUCACAUACACAAUCACAAGAGAGACCUCGGCAAGGGAUGACACAAUAUUUUUUACCGAGGUUCACUUGCUUCCCGGCAAGCUACUCCUCGUUGUGGCGAUAGACCCACUUGAUGGAUCACAAGCUAAUUGGCAAUCCAAAGCCAAACCCUCAGCGGGUGCCGCACAUCCACUCACAAGAUGGGGAUCCUCCAAGCCACGAGCAAUCCACUAGAGUAGCCAAUUGCGAUCUCCCACGGAGAAGGCUCAAGAACCUCUCACAAAUCACUUGGUGAGGCUCGAAACAAUCUCCAAUCACGAGCUCAACACCACCGCUGCUCCAAGCCGUCUAGGGCGUCGGAAAACACCCAAGAGUAACAAGAAAUCCGCAGCAAACUCAAGAAUCAAGUGCCACUAAAUACAACUCUCAAAGCAAUACACUUGAAUCUCACUCAAUCUCACUAGGAUUAGCAAUCAAGCAAGGAGAUGAGUGGAGGGAGUGUUCUCUAGCUCAAUGUAUGUCUCAAGUAAUCAAAUGUGCAAGAGCAAGCCUCCCAAAGCCGGCCACCUUCUAUUUAUAAGCCCCUCAAAGAAACUAGCCGUUGGCUGUUUUCACUGGGCUGAAAUCGAGGGCACCGGACGCUACCAAGUGAUCACCGGACGCUCGACCCCAGCGUCCGGUGCUCAGGGGUUGGCCACGUGCCCUUCUUGAAUCUCGCGUGUCAGAUCCUAACGGUCACCUACGGAUCACCGGACGCUCUGUAGGUGCACACCGGACGCGUCCGGUGCACACCGGACUCAUGCGCAGAGAGUUUGUCAAACUCGCGACCUCACCGGACGCUGGUCACCGGACGGUCCGGUGCUCACCGGACUCGUGCGCAGAGAGGGUUGCAAAAACCCCUCACACCGGACGCUAACCACCGGACGCACUCAGAGAGCGUCCGGUGCUUAACCCUAGCAGGGUCAAGCACACCGGACUCUGAGGCCAGCGUCCGGUGAGUGUUUCUCAGUGAGAAAACACUCCCACGACUUCUCCAAAUUUCCCAUCGGCGCAAAAGAAAAUAUACACUUAUUUUUCUCAAAAGAGCCGAAUCCCACCGAGCUUGAGAAACCCACACCCCUCUCAACCCUAGGAAAACCACCUCCUUUGCAAAUGUGCUAACACCAACAAGUGUCCACCACCAAAGUGCAUGUGUGUUAGCUUUUCACAAACAUUUUCACCAAAGGAGUUAGGUUAGCACUUUACUAGAUCCUAAUGCAUAUGCUCAAGAUGUAGACCUAGUAGCACUUGAUUCGAGAGAUGACCGUGAUUUCCCCUCUUGAUAGUCGGCUAUCUAUCCUAAACCCGGUCAAUCACUUCUCUACUCAUCUUAGACCGGCAAAAGUAAAACCCUAUGUUUAUACCUUUGCCUUGAUAACUUUUGCUCCUCGUCUAUCAUCAUGAUCUUCACUUCAUGCUUCAUCCCUUUGUGAUCAUGUGGCCACCUUUCCAUGCCACCAUGCACCUUCAUCACAUGUGUUGCUAUGCCUAACUCAAAUCACUUAAACACAAGACAUUAGCAACUUGGUGUCAUUAAUUACCAAAACCAAACUUGGGCUUUCAGUAUUCUAGAAUACCUUAUAUUUGAGGACUAAAUUUGAAUACUAAAAUAUGCUAUAUUACAGGACGGAGGGAGUAGUAGUCUAGUUGUACCACUUUCAUGUGUUUCUCAGCUUGGGCCUUGUUUAGUUCCCCAAAAAUUUUGUAAAAUUUUUUAGAUUCUCCGUCACAUCGAAUCUUUAGACGUAUACAUGAAGUAUUAAAUAUAGAUGAAAAUACAAAUUAAUUGCACAGUUUGGUCAGAAUUGACGAGACGAAUCUUUUGAGCCUAGUUAGUCUAUAAUUGGACAAUAUUUGUCAAAUACAAACGAAAGUGCAAUUAUUCCUAUUUUGCAAAAUUUUUUGGAAGUAAACAAGGCCCCGGGUCUUAAUGUGAUCUUGGAUUCGCCCCUGAUUAAUAGGGGCCGGACAAUACGAUGACACCUCAUGUCUAGUUGUCUAGUUGUAGCACUUUCGUGUGUUUCUCAGUUAGGGUCCAUCCCUGAUUAAGAGGGGUUAAACAAUACAAUGACACCUCGUAACUAUGAUAAACAUAUGCAUCAAGUAUAUGUCUCUAUAGCUUUUCAAUGAUUUUUAUAUACUCCCUUCAUUUUAUCUCCUUCAUAUUAUCUUGGGACUUGCCUACAUUUAUUGCCCCCAUGUUGCUCAUUGUCUACCACUUGCAUGUAUUUAUUGCCUCUUUGCUGCUUAUUGGUUGUUCCUUGCUUGUGACUUUUUAUGUGCACUCAACUAAUUAAAUGCAAAGUGAAUGCUUUUGCUCUGCUCUUUGGUCAUUGCGCCGAAUGUAUGGUGGAGAUAAAUAAAUGGAGGCAGUAUGUAUUUAGUAUUUAUAAAAAAAAACAGAUAUUAUCAUAAAAAUGGGUGAAAUAAUAUUUUUUUUGUGCUAUGCAAUUGAACCGUGUUGUGUGCCCCCCGCCCCCCCCCCCCCGGGCACACUGUUGUCUGCCUUGCUAGCUCACCGCCCAGGUAGAAUCGAUCGAGCCCAUCACUUCGCAUAGCUAGGUUGCACGAAAAGCAUCGCCAAACUAGAGAGUAGUGCUAUAAGCAGAUUGCUUGACGAAGACAACGACGAAGAAGCUUGGUGGCGUUGUUGGAGUUGGCAGCCGCUGAUAUGAAGUUCAGCAAUGAUGACCGCAAAGUCCGACCGAGGAGUCACUAGCCGAGGCAACUGGAUGAGUUGUGGAGUGUGUGCUACAAUGUAGCAUGUGACCCCAUCGAGAAGCUUGAUCGGCCGGUUCAACAUGUUCAAGGAGACGGCGCACUACUUUUUGCCUCUCAUGUUCGAGUUGCUGGCUAGGCUUUGAGUCUCAACAUCUUCGUUGACUUUAGCAGUGAGGAGUUCAGUUGUGUCUUGUGAUUAUAAAUGUCACAUGAUGACAAUGGAGCGGUGCAACCGCAACAUCACUGCUCAGCCUGUAAAAAAGGAGGCGUGGCGACGGGACCCUCCCGCUGCCCAUCUGUCGACUUGUGCACCAAGAGCUACAAAGGCCAGUUGUGCCUAGGUCCAGUACUCAAGGACCAAAGGGGCCGUGGGCAGCUCUUGCUGGGCAUUCACUGCCGGCGUGUUCAAUAGCGAAACCAACAAUUUAUUUAAGGGGGUACGACCCCUAGUUCCGCCACUAGGAGCGCUGGAGAGCCAUCAGAGGGGCGACCCAAUGCAGUUGUUGUUGGAGCACACGUGAGCGAGGGCUGAAAAGGCGACGACCUCACCAUUCACGCUUUCCACUACGUGGGCAAGAAUGGUCUUGCGUCGUCGGUAUCCUUCGCUUACAUGUGGGAGUGGGCAAUGGUACAUGCCAUGCCAGUGCCACAUCACACAUGCGAGGGUUCGAGGAGGUGGUGGCCCUCAACGAGUUCUAAUUGCUUUGAGUAGUUACCUUUGGCCCGUCGUGGUCUCUGUCACCAUCGAACGGAGCCCACAACAAAGACUUCACAGACUACGAGGGUGGUGUCUAUGUACCGAGGCAAGUGUAUAACUACUAAGAACGAUCAUGAGUUGUUACUCGUCGAUUAUGGCUAGAACUGUUAUAUCCUCAAAAAUUCUUCUAUAGCUACAUGAAAGAAGAUAUAUUUUCUAUAGAAACCUACAAUUUAAGAGGGACACAUGCCCCCACUCCUUGUGUCCACCACUAGACAACGUCACUUUGGAUGCAUCUUUUGGAGUACGAACAAGAUUUGGUCAUUUGGGGAUCCGAUAGCCAAAACGAGGGCACGCAUCUCCCUUUUGUUCCACUACUUCCUCAGUUUUGUUAUUAGUUAAAAAUAAAAUAUUGUUUUAAAAUCAUAAAGUCCAGCUUGCAGACAUUAGAAAUUCAAAAUUGAUGUCCAUUUUCCUUUGCUAACACGUACAUCACCAAUGCAUCAAUAAAAGUUGCAUGUCAAUCAUCAUUAGCCGCACGCAGCAGUCAAAAUAACAUAGAAAAGGGAAAAGGCGCUACUAGCAGUUCGAGAAGAUGCAUUUGUGUUUCUGCGUGUAAAAUAACGACAAAUAAGGUGCUUGCUGAACUAAUUUGCAUGUGCAUGCGGCAGGUCACAUAUAUGCUGACACUACUGAAACGAAAAAAUUAUGUUUAUUCAGUUUCAUAAUAUGAUAUAUUAAAUGGAUUUUCAUGGUAUAUAAACGAUCCAUAUUAACUUUGAGAUUAUUCUAUGAAUUUCAUCUUUUCCUGUCUAAUGCAUUGCUUUGACGGUAUAUGAAUCCACGUAACGUUUUUCGUGACGGUAGAAACCAAUUUUUACUGUCGGUUACUUGUGGUUGUAACAGGGAUAGAAUUCCAGAUCAGGUGCCUCUCGGUUACUUGUGAUUGUAAGGCUAGUCUCAAUGGGGGUUUCACCUGGAUGUCAUGCACAUUUAUUAGAGCGCCAUGUCACCAAAACUGCACUUUUUGCAUGAAACGAAGAAGAGAGAGAAGGAAGUAGUUUCACCAUGGUGAAACUCCGCUGGCGUUGUUUCCCACGCGGUGAAACAUGAUGAAAUCCCCACUGAGGACUAAAUCGUUUCACCAUCUUGCAUGUGAUCCAAUCAUUUUGCAGUAAUUAAAUGCUUUGCCCAGUCUUGGAAACAUCAAGGUGAAACUCAUGCAUUAUGGAGGUUGUUUCAUUGUUUGUUUCAUUGAUGCUCUGUCAGCAGAUUUGUUUUGGAAACAGUGCAUUGAAACGGGCCAUUCAGACUGGCCUAACAGGAUAGAAUUCCAGACCUGGUGCCUGGUGGACUAGAAUUUCUGUGAACUGACCGGACAAAGAAGUUUUAUUUUUCUGUCGCUUUUCUUCUGUCAGCGUACUAUCGGUUUUCUGACAGAGAAAUUAAUUUUUGAUUCCUGUCAGUAUUUCGUGUCAGUUUCACACCGACAUGGAAAUUUUGGUUUCCACCACAGAAUAAAAAGAACACAUGGAUAGAGUACAUUGACAGCCAUAGAUGAAAAUGUACAUAUAUUAAACUAUGCCAUAGAGAUAAAUAAAUAAGGAUAUAUAUAAGAAAGAAAGAAAGAAAGAAAGAAAGAAGUAGGUGCUACCUUUGAAAAUAGUGGAGAAAUUCUUUUACAGUCUCUUUGACACAUUUUCUCAAACUUUAAUAGUAUAUCUCCAUAUAGCAGUGCCCAAGAAACAAUUUAUUUAGCCAUGCCAACAAUCAAAGAAGAAAAAAAAAGUUCACAAAUUAAAUUAGACAAGAAUUCUUUCAAACAGGUCCAUGAAAUAUUUACAAUUGUAGGAGAGGCCUUUCCAAGAGUCAUCAACGAUGAAACGGCUGUCCUAGGAAGCCCACCAGUUCGACAUAGCAAAUAGCCGAAAACACCCAUGAGAAACAAUCUUUAUCAUAGGUUGGAAAUGCAUACAAUUUCAUCUCAACUUUAUCAUAAUACAUUAGCAACAUUUUUAUUCUAAAAUUCUCCGACAACAAACACAAGUGACCUUCAGAUCCACAUGUGUGCUUCAUCUCCUGGAACAGCGCUACCUCCAGGCUCUGUUUGUUUUAGUUCCAUAGCAAUGCACUGGCAAACCUAUAUGAAACAAGUAAAAAAUAACGAAUGAGAAUAUAUACAUAUGAGCAAACAGACACCGGUACAACCAAUACGAUUAAGAAACAUCCACAUUCAGACUUACAUGUUUCCAAGACCAAGAGGCUAUUUAGCAUCAUGUAAAUCACAGUAGAUGGUGAGAUCAUCCAUCCAUUAGAGAAACUAAACCCUUGAUUCUCUUACAUGCUGUACUCCAGUCGGUAACAGAAUCCCACAAUUAUACAACUUUGGGUAAAACCAUGUAGGAAUUCCCAGUUACCAUAUACUAGUAGUAAAUAAUACAAAUUGAACUGCUAGGUUAAUCAAAUCGUAUCCAAAGAGAGGUUAACAAAAAUCUUCACAUACUUGUGGUUAUUAGUUCUGGAAAUUGUUCCCUUGUCUACCGAUCAAGGCACUACUCAAAAUCUCACACAUACGAAGCCAUUACAAACUGGUACACCGUUGAAAUAUGCGUUUGGUCUCACAUGAUCUGCAGGCAGAAGGCAUACCCCCGCUUGUGUUCAUAUGGAUACCAAAAGAAGCUAGUGCAAUUGACCAAACAAAAUCAAUAAUUAGAGGACUUCAUGCAAAUGGUAAUCAACCACAUGUAAAGAAACAACAAUGAUAAUAAAGAAACUAAAAACAGCUAGCAACAGUUUCAUAAAAAAAAAAAGAUGUACCUGGUACCAAAUCCGCCUCCCAUGGUCAGGGUCCGGAUCAGGGGCGAUGGCUUGGCACCUGGCGCUCAGCUCUUGGUCCACCAUCUCUGGGUAGCAGCUUUCGCGGACCUCCUCGUUGGUAAGGUCACCGAAUUGGUUGAUGGCGUACACGAUUUGCCCGGCGGCGGCGUCGUUGAGCCGGACGACGACGCGGCGGUUGCCCUUGAACAACCUGUACCGGCAUUCCUCCUCACCGACGUCUCUGUAGGUCUUGCCGUACUUGGCCUUCCACCCCACGAACAUCCGGCGGGUCUCCUGCUCGUACGUCGCCUCCCCCUUCUGGACCCUGUACCCGCGGUAGAUCUCCUCCAUGGAGCGGGCGGCGAGACCGUUGAGGCCAGAUGUGGUAUCCCCGUCGGCCCUUUUCCAGGCGAUGCGGCAGCGGCUCUCCUUGAAAUUAGCGUACCGGCACUCAUCUUCGCCGGCGUAUUUAUAGGUCUUCUUGUGCCUGGCCUUCCACUCCACGAACAUCUGGCGGCUCUCCUGCUCGUACGUGUCCGCGUCCGGCGGCAACACCAGCAGCAACGGCAGCGACACCAGCAGCGCCGCCGCCGCUGCCGUCGCGAGAGCAACCGUGCUGCGCCGCCCCAUUUUGUUCCUGUCGCCGCCAACGACGCCGACAAGGAAAGUGGUGGUAGACUAGAUCACUGGUGGGUGGGCUGUGGGCCUCGACACUAAACAGGCCGGGCCUCAGACACUAAACAGGCCGGGCCUCAGACACUAAACCGGCCGGGCUUCAAGAUGGAGCGAUGGCUUCAUAUUUUUUUUUAUCAAGCGAUGGCUUCAUUUGUAACGUGGAAUUGUUUGUUGCUGAUGCUGAUAACGUGUUCACCUCUCGACAAUAUGCGUUGACGCCUUUGUGAAUUGUCACGAUCAUUAGAGCAUGUUUCGCAAAUGAAUUUUUAUCCAUAUUUUUUUAAGUAAAAUAAGAAAAAAAAACUCUCUUCAACCGUUUGACAUCUCAAUUCCCUGGUAUAUCUCCUUGUCUAGCGCAAAUAUGCGCGCGGGCUUUGUUCUUGGCAUCGGUCUUUCUCCUCAUGCUUAGCGGUGCUCUUUGUUUGUUUAGCGGAGCUCUUCGUUCGUUUAGCGGGGCUCUUUGUUUCGUCAACGGGUUUUUGGUUUUUUAAAAUGAAAUUUGCCAAACUGUCGGAAAUAAGAUCUUUUUUCUAUUUAUAUUAUUUUAGGAGUUGACAAACAACAAGAUCUGGGAAAAGAAUUUUGCCAAACAGAUCUAUAUCUAUAUCUAUAUCUAUAUCUAUAUCUAUAUCUAUAUCUAUAUCUAUAUCUAUAUCUAUAUCUAUAUCUAUAUCUAUAUCUAUUUCUAUUUUAAUAAAACUAAACCUCGCUAAAUUUUCUCUCUUUAGCUCAAGAUGUUCAUAUUAUUUCUCACUAAGUGUUUUGUUAACUUACAAUUCUUUUUUGCAAGUUAUCCAUAUCAUCUCAUCCUAUAUUAACUAUAAAAAAUUUUUAUGUCAUCUCAUCCAUGUAAGUCAUGUAUAUAUGUUAUAUAUUUUAUCAUUCUAUUAUUCUAGAAUGUGAUAUAAUAUUCCAUUAGCUUUUCUUCUAUUAGCUUACCGUUUUUUACCACAUUGGAUGCAAUAAACUAAUAUGCAAACCCAGCUCAUAUAUAUACACAUAAUACCAAUUCGAUGAGGGUAGCUGAGUGCUGUAGAUUAUCCACGGUACCAUAUAAUUAAUGCUAUACACUAAAACAAAUUUAUCUUUAAGAAAGCAAUGGGAUUACGCCAAAUGGAGCCUGAUCGAUUUAUCGUACCGCUGACAUGUGAGUUAAAAAGAAAACAGGAAGUAUAUACGAGGCUGCAGCGUGGGCUCAAUCGUAUGCCAGCCGGCAGGCGCCAGCUACCAAACGGCUGACAGGUGGGACAAUCUGGUUCGCACGCGGCGCGCGCCCUCCUCGAAAUUCCGUUCGAUUCGAUUCCCCAUACCAAACCCGCUCGUGCUCGUGCGCGCGCGUCGCCUCCCACCUCUUCGUCCGCCGCGGCCGCCCGCACUCUCCCUUCCGCCGUCGUGGGCGCGACGGCGACAGGGGAGGCAAAAGCAGGUGAGGUCGGAAGCGGCGGCGGAGACCGGAGACGGCGUCGGCCCCCCGCCGUCUACUCCUACUCACGCACCACCGACGCGCCCGCGAGUUUAGCGGAGGUAAACGCAAACGCCUUCUCAUGCCCCCCGCGUUGUCUGAUCCGACCGGGCGUUCCACUCAACGAGGGUUGUUCCCUCAUUUCGUCCGCCUCCACAAUGCAGGUCGAGGCGGGAGGAAGGCGGUGGGGGUUCCCGGCCGGCGGGCAGGAGGGUCGGGGUCGGGGGCGGGGAUGGGGCUCGACGGCGCGGUCUCGGGGGUGGUGUCGAGGAAGGUGCUGCCGGCGUGCGGUGGGCUCUGCUACCUCUGCCCUUCGCUGCGUCCACGCUCCAGGCAGCCCGUCAAACGCUACAAGAAGAUCCUCGCCGACAUCUUCCCCGCGAAGCAGGUUGACAAGCUCUCCUUCCGCACGUCUGCUUAUGUUAUUUUCUCCUUGCUCGCCAUCAGCUGCAUUUUCAUGGGGCCCUCGCCUUAGAAAUUGAACCAGUGCCAAUUACACUGGCGAAUUACCCAUUAUGAGCUGCUUAGAGCCUCAAUUUGACUGUGUAUCUGUCUUCACCGUUGCAAUCUCUCCCCCCAUAAGGAGAUGGCAAUGGUAUAAUGACCCUCUUUCUGUUUGUUCACACCACUCAGCUACCCUUAAAUGGACUGUAGUUUCCCAUUGAUUGUUAUGGACCAUACUACGUGUGGUAGCAGUUGAUUCUGUCUUAAAACAGGCUUAAUUUCAUCAAUAUUGCCACAGGAAGACGGACCAAAUGAGAGGAGGAUUGGGAAGCUAUGCGAGUAUGUUGCUAGAAACCCUCAUCGUGUGCCAAAGGUGGGGUGUGCUCCUCACCUCUCAAAUAUCCUACAAUUGCAUCUAAUUCGUUGCUUCCAGUUCACUUGUUUUCUCUUGCGUAUCGGUGUCUCUGCAGAUCACAGCUUACUUGGAGAAGAGGUGUUACAAGGAGUUGAGAAAUGAGCAGUAUGGCUUUGUGAAAGUUGUUGUGCUAAUAUACCGCAGGCUAUUGGUCUCUUGUAAAGAACAGAUGUGAGCUUUGUUUUUCACAUCCAUUUUACAAUGCAUCAGAUCCAUCUCAUUCUAGAAAUGAACAUCUUGAUUGAUGUUUGGAUUUUGUAUGUAACUUCUAUAUUUGCAUGCUGUAAGUUCAUUCAAACUGUUGUAGAUCUGAAAGUGAAUUUUCUCAGUGCAGGCCGUUACUGGCAAAUAGCUUGUUAAGCAUCAUACAAACACUUUUGGAUCAAUCAAGGCAGGAUGACAUGUGCAUCAUUGGCUGUGAAACCUUGUUUGAUUUCACUGUCACUCAGGUAUUCAUUAUUCAAUUUGUGUAGUGGACAGUGGAUACCUUUCUAUACUGAGGAUGCUAUUUCAAUCUCAAUCAGUCACUGAAUUAUGAGUUGGUUCCAGUUGGAUGGUACAUAUCAGUUCGAUUUGGAAGAGCUUAUUCCAAGCCUCUACAAACUUUCUCAAAUAGUAAGGGACGAAGAGAAAGCUAAUGCACUCCGUGCAGCAGUCUUGCAAUCUCUUUCUGCUAUGGUAAGUCUCCUGCACAGUAUGAUGAACAAGUUAUCAUUGUAUCUAUUCACAAUGCCACCAUGUUCUCCUCAAGUAAUAUUAGAUGCUGCUUCAGCUCAGAUAAAAAAACAUAAAUAAGUUGUUAGUGGACCUACGAUUUGGCAAAAUUUCUUUCAGUGUUAAAGUAUAGCCCAAUCAAACUUAUUCUGGUUAUUCUCAUCACAAUUAGGUGCAUUUUUUGAAGCACUGUUUAUAGUCGUUGGCUUAGCAAUUGUUCAUGGUAUAUACCUGGGGUUCCAUCCUUUUCUUUACAGUUCUGCUAAAACUGGCUAAGAACCCCAAUAAGAAAAUUCUAGCAGUUUACAACUUUGAAUUUUUUUAAUGCUGCACUUUUGGUUUUCUUUUGCAUCCUUAUUACAAUAAUGGGGAUAUGUUGAGUAAUUUUGUGUCUUUACAAAGAUUGGUCCACUUUUGGUUUUCUUUUGUAUUCUUAUUACAAUACAUAUAGUUAUUAACAAAAAAACAAUGCAAAGUACAAUCCAAAAUAUGCUCCAGCACUAACAUACUGUUCAUUUUAUAUGCUGAACAGAUCUGGUUUAUGGGUGAGCUCUCUCAUAUCUCAUCAGAGUUCGAUAAUGUAAGUAUCUUGCAGUAGUUCUUGUAGUUUCUCUGUUUUACUUAUCUGUCCUUGAAACUUCAGACUGCCAUUAUUUUCUUAUUGUUAGAUUAGAUGUUUUUUCAUGUAUGACAGUCAGAAUAUCACCUUAUACAACCUAGGAAGGAAUGUUGCUUAGUUAUGCAGAUCUGCUCAAAUAUUUUCAAGCUGUGAUACAAUUCCUACACAUAUAAUAGUACUUUUGCUUCUAUAUGUUUACUGAAUGCUAUACCUUUUUGCUAUGAGCGGGUUUUUUUUGCGGUAACAUAUUGUGCUCUUAAACUUUUAUACUUUAUUCACUAUAAUUGUCAGGUUGUCGAAGUAGUAUUGGAAAGCUAUGAGCCUCGAAAGGUGCAAAGUGACAAUAGCGCUGCCGCUACUAAAAAUCCAAGUUGUCAGUGGGUGGAAGAGGUCCUUAAAACCGAGGGCCAUGCCUCUCCAUCUUCAUUUAUAUUUUCUGUGAUACCUUCUUGGGAGAGCAUAGUUAGUGACUUUGGAGGAGCUCAACUGCUUAUGUAAUAUACCAUUCUUAGGGAACUUAAGUUUGUUAUUUCCUCUUAUUUUUUAGUUCUUAACUGACUCCUGUCUUGUAGGGAUGAUUCCAAGGAUCCUUAUUUUUGGUCAAGAGUCUGUGUGCAUAACAUGGCUAAGCUGUCCAGGGAGGCAACCACAUUCCGCCGUGUUAUGGAGUCCCUAUUUCGCCACUUUGAUAAUACCAAUUCAUGGUCAUCCAAGAAUAGUCUUGCACUUUGUGUUCUACUGGACAUGCAAAUGUUCAUGGAAAACUCAGGUGCGCUAUUCGCAUUAAGUAAACCUUCGUCAUUAACAUAAUAACACGACUAUUUUAUUUAUUUAGCUACAACUGGCUUUUGCAGGGACAAACAUUAAUUUGAUGAUAUCAGUACUAGUAAAACACCUUGAACACAAGGCCAUACUGGAACAACCUGAGAUGCAACUCAGCAUCGUGGAAGUGAUAGCUGCUCUUGCAGAACAAUCAAGAGCUCAGGCUUCAGCAGCAACCAUGGUUGCUAUAAGUGACCUUGUAAGGCAUAUGAAAAAGACACUGCAUUUAGCUCUCGGUAGCAAAGAUUUGGAGGUGGUAAAGUGGAAUGACAAACUCCGCAAGGCUUUUGAUGAAUGCAUAACCCAGCUGUCAAAGAAGGUCAAUUUCCCUCCAAUUGAAACUUUAUCAGUGAUUUUUACUUGCUGCUCUUUGCCUUUUCUUCCCUUGCUAAUUUGAUGCCAGUAUAAUGCUUCUUACUUCUUAGUUUGGUUUGCAUAAUAUUAUAGAGUUAUAUAGUUCAUAUGAGAUCACAACUUAGUUGGUGUUGCUGAUCAGGUAGGUGAUGCUGGGCCAGUUCUUGACAUGAUGUCUGUGAUGCUAGAGAACAUAUCACGCACUCCUCUUGUUGCUAUAGCAACUACCUCAGCUGUUUACCGCACAGCUCAAAUAAUCGCUUCAAUACCAAAUUUGUCGUAUCAGAACAAGGUAUGGUGUUGGAGCACAAAAUUUGAAUUCAUUUUAGCAGUAGUUCUUAGUGAUUUUUCAAUUGUUUAUCCUGUGUCAUACUUGUCAGGUAUUUCCAGAAGCACUUUUUCAUCAAUUGCUGUUAGCGAUGGUUCACCCUGAUCAUGAAACACGUGUUGGUGCACACCGCAUAUUUUCUGUUGUCCUUGUUCCAUCUUCUGUUUCUCCCUUUCCCAAUUUGAAAUCCCUAGAUCAGUGUAGAAAGCAUGAUGUCCAGAGAACACUCUCGAGGGCUGUAUCUGUCUUCUCAUCUUCAGCUGCUUUGUUUGAUAAGCUGAGAAGGGACAAAAACUCCUUCAGAGAAUAUUUUCAUGAAGGAAGCAUGAACAGAAUUUUGCAUGGUAUUGAUGAUGAAACUGCUACUCCCAAUGACUUGCUAGGCUCCCAAAGUUUGAGAGAAAACCUCAGAUUUCCUUCAGUGUCUCGGAAAUAUUCUUCUGCUUCUUUAAAGGAAGGUCAAAGUCCCGUGACGGAGUCAAUCAACGAAAUGGUAUGUUCUGCCAUGAGCAACCUCUUCGUUCCCCUCCAAAGGAAAAAAAAACCCCAACAUGUUGAACCUUGUGCUUAGAAAUUUACAGGCUAGUAACAAUUGAACAAAGUUUUUCUGCUAUUCACAUCCUUUUAUCUAACUUUUGGAUACUUUCAGGAAAUGACUGUGUUAAGACUAAGUAGUCAGCAGGCCACUCUUCUGCUCUCAUCUAUUUGGCGUCAAGCGCUUUCUCCAAAAAAUACUCCUCAAAACUAUGAAGCUAUUGCUCAUACAUAUAGUUUGCUUCUAUUGUUUUUGGGAUCAAAGGUACUUAAUUUUUGUAGCUGCCAUUUGUCUUGUGCCUAUUGUUUAUGGGUUGCAGAGAAUUGCUAUUCUUCCUGCAAUUUGUUUGAUUUGAUUAUUUUUCUGUUAAAAUGAUGAUACUUAUAUUGUCAUGCAUGAUCUUUAUCAUAUGGCUUAUUGCUUUCGCUCUUCUUUUUGUCGUCACCACAUCUUUUAAUCCUCAGUUACAUGAUGCUCUUUUGGAAUGGUCAUCACUGAGAACAUUAUUCUCUUUGUUUUUUUUCCCUUUUUGCUCUUCCAGACAUCAAUUUUUGAGGCUCUUGCUCCCAGUUUUCAGAUUGCAUUUUCUUUAAUGAGCCAUUCACUUGGAGGAACAGGUGAAGCAAUUUAUCAUUUGCCUAGAGUUAACUAAAGUACAUGUUGGUCUGGUUUCUGAUAAGUACCUAACCAUUUGUUUAGAUUCAUUGCCACCAUCUCGCCGCCGGUCCUUAUUUACUCUGGCUACAUCUAUGAUUGUUUUUUCCUCAAGAGCUUUCAAUGUGGCGACUCUUCUCCCAAUUUGUAAAUCAAUGCUCAAUGAUAGAACGGUAUGUCCAAUCAAAUUCCACUCCACACCGCCUCUUCAAUCAAGCCUCCUUGUUUUUAGUAGAGUUCGGUAUAUUAUAUGUGCAGUGUAUGUUCUACAUAAUGGGGGUAAAUAUCUGUAUAUGUGAUGUUGGACAGUGAUAGACAUGAUUCAGAACGAUGUCAUAGGAAGGAGGGUGUUGAUAGAGGGAGAAAAGGAGACUGAGAAACUGGUUGACUUGAUUUAUUCAUGUUUUUGCUUGAUCAUGUAAAUAUGUAAUGAAUGUCCUAUCCUCUUAAAUAGACUCUGACUCCUGAGAAAUGAUAGAUUUAACGUCUGACGAAGCUAAUAGAUAACAAGUUGGGGAAUUUAAUUUGACAAGCUUAUAGAUAAGGUACAGAUAGAUUAAUUUAUCUGCUGGUGUGCUCAGAUGACAAAUACCACUGCACUUCUGCACAUGAUUAGCAGAAUAGUGCCAAAAGUGAAUGUGCUUUUCAUCAAAUGAACACAACAUUUUUGUGUUCACUUUGCGUUCACCAAUUACUUUUCGGUUGCACCAAUUACUUUUCUUCUAGAUGCAAAGCAUACAGUGUGCAUGUUUAUACUAUACAUUAAUAAUGCAUUACUGUUCUUCAUGUCAUUUUUGUUGCUUCCAUAUCUUUUUAAUCAAUGAAAGUUCUAAGCUUUCUGCACCGCAACUGUUGUAGAUGGAUCCAUUCCUUCAUUUGGUACAUGAGAACAAACUUCAGGCUGUGAAGGACUAUACAGAAGAUCCAUCAACAUUCUAUGGCUCAGCUGAGGACAAUCAGAAUGCCUUGAAGUCUCUUUCAGCAGUGGAACUAACAAAUAGUUGCUCUCGAGAAUCCAUGGUCUUUGCCAUUAUGAACUCCAUAACAGAUUUACCUGAUGUAAUUUUCCAUCCAUUCACCGUAAGCAGUUCUUAUAUUUGCCUAAACUGAAUACCAUGGAAUGUGUGGAUAAUGAACUUUCCUCACAACUUCUGCAGCUGGAGUUAGAGAAUAUUAGGAGUCAACUGCUACGUGAUUUCUCCCCUGAUGAAAUGUGCCCAGCUAGUGCUCACUUUCUUGAAUCACCUGGCAAGAUUGCACGGCCAAGUUCUGAUGAUGACACCGACUAUCAAGAGGUAUAUGUGUAUCACCUAUAUAUCUGUCUCGCUUUCUUUACCAUCUUAACGGUACAUGGAAAUUUUGAGCAGGCUGAACUUAUCGAUCUGAGAAAUGACAACAAUACUUUUGCGGAAUUCUCUGCAACUACACUGACGGCUACAGCUAUUCCUGUGCCCACAACAAAUCUUCUCAGUAUUGAUGAACUUCUAGAAACAGUAUGUUCUUUUUUUCUCUCUCAAAGUUCAUUGUUCCACUCUUCUCUCUUCGUUUGUUUGUUUGUUUGUUUAUACCACCAUCUGUGUGCACAAUGCACAUUACAGGUCAUGAAUGACACGUCAUCUCAGACCAGAGCGCAAUCGAUGGCCGGUGACAUCCCAUUCCAGGAGAUGACUAGCCACUGCGAGGCCCUUUCGAUGGGAAAGCACCACAAGAUGUCCCUGCUCAUGAGCUUCAAGCAAAACAAGCAAGCUGCCACCGCUGUCGUGCCGGAAAAUCAGGUUAACCGCGAUGAAGCAGCCCAUACCUCCAACAAGCAGGUGCGUGGAUCAGCUUAGUUUCAAGCUCGUAAUUUGCAUUUCCACGGACGCUUAUUUGUAAAUCGGGAAAAAAUAUAUCUUGGGGAUGAUAUGGGAUGGGGAAUUGUGGAUGGUGAGAUGAUGAGGCUGACUGUUGCCGGUUUGUUUUCAGAACACAAACCCGUUCCUCCGGCACAGCAUCGGUGCCGAAGUGGCACAGGUUGCUGGCGUCGUCCAGCAGCCGUUCCUGAGGCUGCCAGCGUCCAGCCCCUACGACAACUUCCUCAAGGCUGCUGGCUGCUGAUUUCCGCAUCCCUGCAGAAACCCCGCCGUGUAACGAACUGAAUGUAUAUGUAACAGUGGUUGGCAGCUGAUUGGUCAUACAGGCCAAAGCUGCCAUUUUGCUGCUGUAUCUGUGUGCCUUCAGAAAAGAAAAGAAUGAAAUGAAAAAAGAGGACUCCAAGUUUUCAAAGAAAGUUGCCUGCCGCAAGCUUAUUUUCUUUUUGAACGAACUGGCACGGUAUUGUGUUCAUUUCAUAGAACAGAGAAGAGCUGCAGCUGCCUCGAGCUUACGAGCUAAACAAGAGCAUUGCCAUCUGAUCUUUGACAUGCAAGCGUUGAUUUAUCGGGUCAAUCCAAAACUCAUCUAAUUGAAGGAUUUUUUUUAAGAAGCCGGCAAGAGUUUAGUUGAAGAAUUCCAAAGCAAAGGCAAUGGGAUUAUAGAUAAAUGCUGCAGCCAUCCACUCCAUUGGUGACAUCAAGGACUAAAGGACAUGCAUGGACGGCACGUCGUGCUCAUCAACCCUGAGAAGGUCGCAUCAGCGAUCCAUCGUUACUUACAAGUCUGAGCUGGAAAUGAAGGAAUAAUCGAUUAAACAUGACGGAAGGUGGCCGGCGACGUAAUUCUUGGCGCCAUCCGUACUAUACGCGAUCCUUGCGGCCGUACCGUAUCCCAGAAAACCUAAACAAUGCCCUUCCUCGCUCAUCCUAUAUAUACUUUUCCGGACACCCUUGUCAUCGACGUUACGUUGCUACAAGUACAACUAUGUUCGAUAGCUUUUAUGCGUCAUAGUCAACAAUAUAGUAAUGCAAUACGGAGUUCGAGUGAAGACUCUUUUAACUUGCACUCCUGUUUAUUUAUCUAGCUGACUGGUUGGUUUGUUAUAUAGGGGACUUUUAUAUUAUAUACUCCCUUCAUACCACAUCUCGUACUUUAAGGAGUCGAUCAAAUUCAAAUUAGACUAGAGUUAUAGAAAUAACAAUAUUAAUAUUUAUAUCUUUAAAUAGGUUUACUAUAAAAAUACAUGGCGCGAUCAAUCUAAUGAUAUUGAUUUGAUAUUAUAAAAUUAAUAUUUUAUAUAUAUUUAGUCAAAUUUAAGAUUGAUUGAUUUCUCAAAGUAUGAGAUUUUACUUAUUUUGGAGAUUGAUUGAUUCCUCAGAGUACGAGAUUUUAUUUAUUUGAGGACAGAGGGAAUAAAUUAGCAAUAUACUGCGACCUCUAGCCACACUUAGAUCAUUUUUGUUUUAGCUUACAUAGUUAUUACAUUAUUUCAAUUGUAUGCAAGAUAGAGAAACGGAAAAUUAUAUCAUAGCAAGGAAUAAUUCCUCAUAUGCCACCCAAAAAAAUCUUAAAUCUCUGAGAUUCCAUAGUCGGCGACGGUCCCAUGUGUUGUAGAUAUAGUGAUUCAUAUUUGUGAGCUUUUUUGUGGUAUAUAUGAGGAGUGAUAGAAGAAUAACCAGUAAUGUCAGGAAUGAAUGAAGCAAAUACUUGCCACAAAUUAUUUUUUAAGGGACAAUAAAAACUUUGUCGUGAUUUUAUUAGACAAACAAGGAUCUGGUGAAUUAUUAUAAUGUAGGAGCUGUUUUGUUUCAGUUGCAUCGUUUGGCUGAUAAGUCAUAGCAGAAAGUACUGUUAGCUGAUUUGUUGGGAGAAAAAAACACUGUUGAAUGUUUGGUAGAUUCGGCUGAUAAGCUCGAGUGAACAAGCUAAACACAAAAUGGGCCUUAGUUUUGCGUUUUAGACGUCAAAAACAAGAUAAAAAGCAAACUACAUCUCCAUAUCUCAGCGUCCACAGGGGGAGCAUGUGACAUGGAAAAAUUAAAAAAAUAAGGCAGAAGGAUCAAGCUAAAACAGGGGCAAACUGCUAGCUAAUGACUUAUCAACACCCAAAUUUAAAAUCAUAUGUGCAUCAGUACAUACUAGUGUCCCACCCAGCUCACAUUGUAGUCUACACUUAUUAUUAUAUAUACUCCCUCCGUCCACAAAUAAAUGCAUAUCUUGUUUUUCGAAGAGUCAAACCUUUUUAAAUUUGACCAAAAAUAUACUAAUAUUUAUCAUAUUUAAUAUGUAUCAUUAGAUUGAACAUGAAAUGUACUUUCAUAAUAUACUUUUUUGCAGAUACGAAUAUUGAUAGUAUUUGAUAUAUUUGUUAAAAAAGUUUGACUUCUCAGGAAGUGAGACGUGUAUUUAUUUAUGGACGGAGGGAUUAUGCAGGCUAUACAGCAUUGCAAACUUUGCACAUUGUAGAUUACUCCUAUACACUAGCAUUGUUUAGUGCAAGGAUACAGCUAAUAAUCCAAGCACAUCCUCAGAGGGGAGGGAGCAUGCUUCCAUGCUGCAAACAGCACUCCAAGUCCAAGCCUCUGCUCACACUUCAUCCCUCCCUCUCCUCUCCUCUCCGUUUUGAUCAUCAUCAACCAGGUGGCAGGUGUGCAUGGCGAUGACCCAGGCGCUGAAUCGAUCACGCCACCAUUUCCCAUCUGAUCGAUCUCUUCUUGGAGCUAGACAGCAACUGGCGCAGCUGAACGACAAGAUCAGGAGCAGAGCAGGCGGUCUUGUAGUUCUUGGCUCGGCGUCAGCGUCGGCGAUGAUGGCGAUCAGGGGCUACUUCCGGGCGCCGGCGAGGCUGCAGGGGAGGAAGAGGAAGCAGCAGGCGGCGGAGCGGGGACUCCGGGGCGACAGCCUGGGCGCCGCGCUGCUCGACGAGGCCGAGCUGCCGGCAGUGCCCAGGGGCUACUUCGCCGUGUACGUGGGCGCGGAGGCGCGCCGGUUCGUGGUGCCGACGGACUACCUCCGCCAGCCGGCGUUCCGGGACCUCAUGGAGCGCGCCGCCGAGGAGUUCGGCUUCGCGCAGGCCGCCGGCAUCCGCAUCCCGUGCCGCGAGGAGGACUUCGAGGCCACCGUCGCCGCGCUCGAUCUCGAGUCCGCCGUGGCGCGCCGGCGCUCCCGGGCCGGCACCGGUAGAGCCACCGCGGCGGCGGAGCCCAAACUGCCCAAGGCCAGGUCGUUGUAGCAAGCCAGGCAUGCAGAAUUUGCAGGCCAUGGAGAUGCGCAAUGCAAGUAUUCUUUGCAGCUCAAGCUGACUUUGAUUAGAUCAAGUCAGUCAAAUCAUUAGGCAUUAGCUUUGGAUCAGUAGAUAAUCGAUCUGUGGAGUAGUGUUUGUUCUGCAAGGGCUCUGAAACUGGCAUGAAACAAGAAAAGGAAUAAUUCGUUCUUUGUUUUUCAUCUGUAGUUAAUUUGAAGAUUUCUAGUCAUGAUUUAAGGCAAAUUUUCUGUGUGUUGUUGCAUAUUCUUGAGCGUCAAACCCAGUUUCAGUGACACUGUUUGUGGAUAUUUUCAACAACAAUAGUCAAUGACAUUUAUCAACUAUUUUGAAAAAUGUAACUAUUGUUGUUGCAUAUUAUCAACAGCAAUAGUUAGUGGCAUUUAGGAAAACUUGCCAUGCUUAUGAAUUGUGAUAUGAGUGGCACACAAUUUGCCAUCAUGACCCACUUUCAGUGACACUGUCUGUGGAUCAUCUUAAGUGAUGGGUCUGGAAUGGAGCAUGCAAACAUGUCAUCGGAUGAUCCUGAGUUGAGUGAGUGAUUUCUAUUCAAGCUCAUCUUCCCUUGAAAGAAAACGUAACUGACAUUUUCUCCCCAAAUGGCACUUCAACUUUGUCUUCAGUUCAGGCUCUAGAACCAAGAUAACCUACAUUUGUCAUCUGGCCAAAUGCUGUCUGGAUUUGUUCAGAAAACAGGAUGGCAGAGAUCUGCUGUUUCUUCCAGUUGCAACAAGAUAUUAAUAAUCUUUGAGCUGGCAGAACUGAAAAAAAUAUUGCAAAUAUCUUUUAUCCGCGGGGAUUACUUGGUCUCGAGAAGUGCCUGUCUGUCGGAAUACAUGUGAAGAAGAUUUCAUGCUUUUUGUGAUCUAGUGCUCAUGCCAUGUGUAAUUGUACGGCAUGUAUUUCUUCUGAUCUGGAACUCUCUUUAAUGAGUCUCAGUAACAUGUCUAAGAGUAAAGAAUGUGAUAGCAUCAUUUUUUUUUUACCAAAAUAUAUGCAGCAUUGCUAGUUAUUUGUUAAUAGAGGACAGAGGGGAUUAAGGUAAUCUAGGGGGUACAUGUGUCAAGAGGCAAUUUAGCAAUAGAGGUAUAUUGAGUUACAGAAUUCUAAGGCACAGCUCCCUUAAGUUAAAGCAUUGACUUCCCUAUAGGAUUCUUGGUAGUCAGAACUGAACUUUCCUAUCUUUCAAAACUGAACUAAGGCCUUGUUUACUUCCGAAAAGUGAAAAGUUUUUGGUACUGUAGCACUUUCGUUUGUUUGUGACAAAUAUUAUCCAAUCAUGGACUAACUAGGAUCAAAAGAUUCGUCUUGUGAUUUACAACUAAACUGUGUAAUUAGUUUUUGUUUUCGUUUAUAUUUAAUGUUUCAUGCAUGUGUCACAAGAUUCGAUGUGAUGGGGAAUCUUGAAAACUUUUUAGUUUUCAGAGUGAACUAAACAAGGCCUAAAUUUGAUAUUGAACACAAACAAAGAAGCUAAGGAGGACAGAAUGACAGAUGACAGUUGCCACCUCAUCAUUGCAAAGAGAUGACUGAGGGGGAUGCAUCAAUCAUGUGUAUAAAACUACACAUACUGAAAAUUCGGAAGUAGUAGUGUUUACUUCAUUGAGGCACAACCACAUAUUAUACUUUGGGUUCAAAAUAGUGUGCAAGAACAUUGUUCACUUCUGAACAGUUACAAAAGGAAAGUUAAAGUUGAAGUACAAAGAACAAGGUGGAAAAUGAAUUCUUAAGAAAGGGGGACAUUUACUAAAUCUGCUUGGAGCAAAUCCUUCAUUUUAAAUUCUUAAAAGAAUGUGAAUCCCUUGUUUCAUCCUCCCGUAUAAAUUUGCAAAGCCUGUCAAUUUGCGGACUCUUCCUCCUCUCUUCUCCAUGGAACACCAAGAACCAAGAAUGGAAAAAGAAAAGGAGAUGUUGAGAAAGAAACUCAUUAUCUGCAUAAGAUCCCAGGCUGUGAAGGACUGUAGCAAACUGCCUCCUUCCUGCCCACCAGCCUGAGGAUGCCCUCAAACACCUUCACAUCACAGGGGAUUCUCAGAGCUCCCUCAUGCUGGAAUCCAAAUUCCUCCUCUGCCUCCUUCAGGAGCUCCUCAAAUGCCCAGUGGCCUAGGUACUCCGUGGGGAUCACAAACCUCUUCAUCUCCAUGCCAACGCACACCGCAAAGAAACCCUUUGGAACACCAUGGUUGCUGCUGCUCUUGCCGGCUUUUGGCGAGAGUGCAAGCCGCUUCCACUUCUUCAGAAGUUGUUGCAGCCUCACAAUGUCUCUGAUCUUGUUGCUGCUGGACCUGCCUUGCUCCCCCAUUGUCAGUCGAUGUAGCUGCCUAUCUCUGCCUCUGCUUUCUGCUCCCUCUGCUGGGUGCUACAGACAAUAUAUAGGAGGUUGGAUCAGUGUCUAAGCAUGGUUUAGCGUGUUCACCGGGUUAGUUUGAAUGUACUAAUCAGUGGCUUGAUACGAUGCUUUUGUUUAAGUCUGUGGGCAAGGUUUUCUUUAUGUUGUCGUUCUUGACAUAAUAAACUAAAGCAAAAGGGUAUGAGCACAUGCGACAGCAGCUGAUCAGAGUAAUCUGAUUGUACUGUCUGGUUAAACAUGUAAAGAAAUCGUAGAAUUUUCAACAACGCAUAUGAGGCGGCGCUGCAGGUUGCUUCAAAGAUUAAAGAGGACAUAGCGCAAAGAGAAAGGGCUAUUCAGAGAGCAGGCUAGCUUUUUUCUGGUUUUUGUUUCUUCUUCUCUGAGUGCUCUGCUUUUAAGCAGCUGUCUACUCAAGCUGUACAUAAAACUUCCUCUUUUCUAACUUAAUAGAGAGGCAGAGCUCCUGCCAUUCCUUUCAAAAAAAAAAAAACAUGUAAACUGUGACAUUCUAAAGCCAUCAGCUGCUUUCAGCAGUGACAUCAUACUUCAUUAGUUUGGAAUGUGCCUAUAUAUCUGGAAGAACAUGGAAAACUUAGUGACAUCAAUAUCAUUGUGCGGAGUUCAGAAGUAUUUCCUCAACAAAGAAAACAAUUAGCUAACUGCCAGUUGAGUGUGAAAUUGCUUAAAAGGUUUCCUGAAUUAUAUACACAGCGAUUGUACUACUUUUUUGAAAAUAAGUUGAUCUUUCCAUGUCAUGUCAAAUACCUGACUAACUUCUGAAGGAUGCAAGUGCAAUCCAACUGAUGAAAGAUUCCCCCACUCUGCUAAUGAUGAGAAAAGGGCCCAGAUGUUCGCAAUCAGCACCAACUCUACUCUACUUAUCUGAACAACCACCAUGCAUGAUUUGCUUCAACCUCAUCAUUGAUGCAAACCAAUUGACAGUUCAUGGUUUGGAGAAGUACGCCUCUAGUCCUAGCUUUAGGUAGCACCGGAAACUAACACUGAAAGUUCUGGUGUUUGACUAUGAAACAGAAGGUGCUCAGAUAUUGUAUGUACACUGUUUCGCAUUGUUUAUUCCUCAGUUUUCUUUCUGGUGUUAAUCAUUCACAAAUGAUACCUUUUUUCUGCUUAAGAUCAUUUACUAAUCUUUAAAACUUCUUUCUUUAUUUGGGGGUUAUGGGGUCAAUAUCAGCACCCAACCUACGUUAUGCUUCAUAUCUCCCAUGUCUAUACAACUAUUGAAAGUAUAGUUUGUGCUACCGCUUUUACCUGUGAAAAAGAAUACGUUAGUUCUGAGAAAAUGGAGAUGUGCUAUAUUAAGAACAAUUAGAAUCACGUUUCAGGUAGUAGUAAAACAUCUCAAAGUACUUGAUCAAGCUCAGUUUACUAAUGAGGAAUUAUUGCAUAACUAAAGUAGGUAUUGGUCCCCUACUCAAAGAAGGAAGCAUUGGCAUGAUAAAUUCUUUCAGACAAUCCAAGUUAGAUUAGUGUUGAAAGAAUUGGUCCCCUACUCAAAAAAGGAAUAAAGGAUUAUAUAAAUGUAGCAUGGUUCUCCCAUCUAGCCCUGUCUACAUUCACACAAGAGUUCCUCCUGGAUACUGUCUACAGACUAGUACAGCAACCACUAUAUCUGAGGUUCAUGCACCUUAAGUUUCUGAAGUACAGCAAUGUUGGCUCACUCAGGAACACACAUUAAACAAAAAGAAAGUGCCAUCAGGACUGAGGAUGCACCUUAAAAAAAUAGAAGGUGCCUUUUCUUGUGGCAAAAAAAAAAUGUGAACUCCCAUUGUCGCGUUAGAGUGCAUAACUGAAGUAACUGUUGCUCCCUCCUUCCUGACACAUUAGUCACUCACAUGGGCUCUGAAAUUCUAGCAGAUGAGCAGAUCGAAAAGCAGAUAUGAAGAACAAACAACAGAGUGGAAAUGGUUGCACAUGCCAUGGCAUCAACAAUGGAGUAAGUUGACACAUUUGCCAGAUCUGGCAUCAUGGCCUCGUGGAGAACAUAUGCAUAUGAAAAGAGUCUUCAAUUUGAUGAUUAUUAUCACUGGACUCACAGCUAUUGUCACCACAGUAACUAAGAACUUAUCUGCUACUGAAUAAUUAUGUUUGCAGUUUAGCACUAAUAUACAAGGGCAAGAAGGACCUUAUAGCACCUGAGCAACGGUGAGUAGCUGAGCAGCCAGAUAACUUGAGAAAAUAUCAACUCACAAUGAUAAUUUCAAGUACAUGUAAUUGGAUGGCCGUUGGGCCGGCCCAGCAGAUCCAUCUGGAGCUCUCUCAAACACUUUUUUCAACAAUAGCGGGAUAUCUAUGGGAGAGCUGCUCAAUGGUGGAUCUGGUGCUCCGGAUCUGGUUAGCCCUCCCAAAUAGGCCCUUGAUCUAGUAGCACCAGAUGAAUCCAAAAUGGCUGCAAUGGAGUUUCAAUGUAAAGGUUCUCACAAAAUCUGACUGCUUGUACUCCGAUUGUUGCUUGAAUGGAGUCUGGAGUGAUGUCUUUAAGUAGCACAUGCUCCAUUUUCCCUGCAUAAAUAGUUAUUAUAUGAUGAUACCUGAGGACUUAGCUCUGCCUGAGGCACGCCAACAGCAAAGCAAAAAAGCUUUAAAACCAAGGAUGAUAUCAUGGUGUAUAGCAAAAGUUGAUGUAGCGGUACUUGAAGUAUAGGCUCUGCUUUAAACCAAAGUGCAUGUCACAACGUCCUUGAACAAAUGUUGAGAACUUUGAAAUCCCAUAAUAAUACAGAUCCUUGUGUUGGCUCCAAAUUCCCAGCAAACGAAACAAAAAAAAAGAACCAAACUACAGAAGAAUUAGGCAAUCAACAACACAUAAGUACCAGUUGAAACUGUUCCCAUGGAAUGAAGACCCUGUUCUCAAUUAACUUCAGAGCAUAGGUGAAAAUGGUACUUGUGAGCCUUGAAAUGUACCAAUUAAAUUAGUUGUGGCAUCAUCUGACUACUACAUUUUACCACCUUAUAAAUGCACAUAGUAAGUAGCAACCUACCUGGUUCGUAAACUUGAACAAAGUUUCUGUGUACACUCUUCUUAAUCGCUCAUUAUCUGUAUACGAACAAUUACUCAUUUCUCCUGACCUCAAGAAGGUAAGUAAAUGACUAGCUAUUGUAUAAUUUACAGUGUGUUUAAACUUGCAGACAUCACUGGAGUGGUUAACAUUUCUUAAGACCUGUAACGUGCAAUCCAAGGGCUUCACGCCUCUUGAGAUCAGCAGUACAGUUUACUCUUAAAGCCUGGAUUUCCAUAAGUGCAUCUUUGUACCCCUAUUCAUAAAAAGGAACCGAAAGGCAACACAAGACCAAUAAGGAGGGCAAAAAAUGCUAACAAGUAUGUAGAAUGAAUGGUACAAGCCAUCUACCUUAUGUAAUGUAAACUCAUACAGUUGGACUUAUAGAAACUAGUGAACUUCUGUAUAUAUACGACCAAGGCAAAAGCCAUCUGCAGCAUUUGUUUUCGACUAACCCACAGCAUUAUCCUAAUACAACAUCCAACUAGCAGGCAGCUGAUAGUCCGCCACCAACAGGACCAGAAAUCUGGUCGAACAUGCCAAUGUAACUGAGGCACCCAUUACCGACUUGCAAAUGCAGCCAUUGGAGCAUUUCAUCAAACAUGAGCUGAGGAGUGAGCACGUGCUACCCUACGCUUAGGCUGAAAAAUGAACUAUCACUACAAUUUUCAAAUCUGACUCUGGCUGCCUAGCGAAGAGAACCAAUCAUGCCCUAGCUCACUAGCUCCGAUCUGGGCGACGGUUGCUCACCCACUCUAGUCCAAAUCGAAGGGGCUGAGAAUACUCUAGGUCUACUUUUGUUGAGGAUUAUGUGUUGAUUUGAGUUCGGGGUUACAGCUUGGAGGUCGUGUGCAAGCGGAGUCCAUGUCCUAGGAUUUUUAUGUAUGUGCUUGGCUUGGUAACACUACAUGCAGCCAUUUAACCUGUUGACAUUCCAGUCACAUUUGCUUGAAAGAAGAUGUUUCUUCUUUGGAUUUUGCUACGGUUGAAAUUUGUUUGCGUUUCUCCAUGUAGGUCAAAUCCUCACUAAGUGACCAUGGCUUGGAUUAGUUCACUACAGGUGGUUAGAAAUGUCUCAAACAAUCGGAACUUAGAGCAGAUAGAUAGACCUAUGAUUUCUCCAAACAUAUAUUUGUUUUCCACAAUAGGUGCUCACAUUGAACUAAAAAAAAGGUGCUCACAUCGCUUCCUGCUGUACCAGGUUCCACAUAAAUAUUUGUGAAGCAUGUAUCAACAUAUUCCUUUUCUGGGGCAUCCUCAUACCAUUUUUUAAACACUACAGAACAUAGCAGUCAUGUAUGAUGCAGGUUGUUGUCACAAGAAAGGAUAGAAAAAUUGGUCAGUAACUAACACAAUAUUACAUCAUAGUUGUGACUAUGAAUUAUAUUUUACCGAUAGAUAUUUGUUCUCUAUUCAGCAACACCAUGUACUUCCAAAGUUUGACAAGUGGCUAUUUAAGUGAUUGCAGGCUUAGAUAAUUUUUGGAACACACACUACAUUGCUCCAGAAACUGUCUGAAGAAAGGGUAUCAAUCUGCACUAGCAAUCACAUUAAUAAGUGAGUCCCUGAAUCUGCAGCACCAAGGACUUUGAGAAUUAGACUGAACAUGCAGUACUGUUCAAUUGUAAUAGGUGACAGAAAUCCAUGGGCCACACUUCCUUCUCCCGCUGCGUACAGGUUCAGAUUGUGUCUCAUCUUUGGCCUUAUGGAAUCCUUCCCACGAGCAAUAGAAACACUUAUUUAUCAGCAAUUCAUUCUUCGCUUUGUGCUGACUGACACGUACCGGAAACCCAACAUGUGCAGCAUAGGCUUUGUAGAACUCUCUGGCUAAUUCAAUAUCCUCAAAUGUCAUGCCAACUGCUGGCUUUAAGGACUCAUCGCAUUCUGCUGUGUAAGAUGAGCCCUGCAUGAAAACAACAUUAUUGCGUAAACAUGAAUGACUGUUGGUAGAGAUCAUGCAUUUUUAUUUUUUGGUAACAUAGCAACAACAGAAAAUUUCUUACUGAGAAAGGUACAAACCAUGAUUUUUGUGGUGCUGUAGACCCUACCCUCAAACAGUGGCGGAGCUUCUCACAAACCAAUAGGGGCCAUGGCCACCCCUAAACUUGUGUAAACUUCAUUAGUUGCAGCCAUUCUGGCUUGAUAAAAACUAAAGAUUAGCCUUGUUCUUUAAUGGUUGGCCCCUGCUGGAUUUAGGUCCAAGCUCCACCACUGCCCUCAAAGUCAUGUAUCCACAACCCGGUGCGAAGGAUGAUCUAUUAAUCUUUGCAUAAGAAAGCAUGAAUAUGUUAUGUGGUAAUUAUGUCUUUGAAAUACAUUACACGGUACAUUUUUUCAUACAUUGAAUGAUAUACUCCAUGAUUUUCAGGAUGCUGCACAUCUCACUCCAAAAGUGGCAUCCACUUGGACUACUGAUUCGGCAUCAUACAACACAUCCAGUGAAUCAGGUGCUACAGCGUUGCUCGUGUCAACAUUGACAAAGAGAGAGAACACAUAUGAAUUAAUUGUUGUUUGCCGAAAAAAGAGGAUAGUAAUUUUGUUACAAACAGCUUACAACACACCCACAUCUAUUGAUAACAUACAAGCCGCAUUCAAGCAUACCCUUUCUUUUAUUUAUUUUUGUGAAUUACACAAGUAUAGAUGCAGACGUUCAACGCGUACACACACUCAACCUAACGGGAACAUUGGCGUUUCAGGAACGUCUACAUUCCUGGAAUGUGGAACAUGAGAACAGGAACGAGAAUCAUGUUCCCAUUCCCAGGCUGCUAAGACUUCAAUCCGGGUGGAUAAAUCCCACCGCAAGGACCCUAACCAACUUGGUAUUAAUAACAUUAGCAUGGUCCAAUCCGUAGCAAAGAUUCCACAUAUGGCACCAUGUAAUGCGAAAAAGGGUGUCCCUGAUAGAUAAAAUUUACCCCUUUCCCGUGAACAUACACCAAGUUAAAUGGCAUACUGACCACUGUUUCAAGAGAUCCAUCAUGGAGGUUGCACUUCAAAAGGUGAAGAGCAUCCACAGAGAGGAAUAUUGUGCCUUGAUCAGCUGAAGCACAAGCAUAAACACGAAGAAGCCUUGGUACGGGCAGAUUGACACGACAACGUAGUGACCAUGUUAUUAUGUUUUGUCCAUCUUGUGCUAACCAAAUGGAGACUUCACGAGAGGAGGGGGAGUGGACAUAGCACAGAUUGCCACUUAGCUCACACAGAAGGUCAUUGGUACUUAGGUAGCUCCUGCAUGGAGGAUUGGGGUGCACAGUGAACGUAUCAUCGCGCAUGCUGAAUCGGAGGAUAACAUCUGUGUCGAGCUUGCUGUGGUCAGCGUCGUCAGCCACAGACUGGACUGCACUCCAAUAGAAGAAUCCUGGCAAGCAAAUAGGAGUCCUGCCCUUGAUAGGGUAAGGUGGAUCAAUGGUUGCUUUCCAUUCCAACGUCUCUAUGCCAUCGCCAAGCGUCAAGACCUCAUGUCCAACAUCGUAUUCUGUACGUUUUUGCCCUUCACUGUAUGAGCGCAAGAAGUGCCUAGCCACCUUAUACGUACCACUGGAAGGAUCAAAGCCGAAGGCGACCCUUUGGUCCAAUGCCACAUUCCGGGUGCCCCGUGGCAACUCAACAAACUCCUUGGUGGCCGGGUUGCACACAAAUAUGUGCC
Molecule: long non-coding RNA, 394971 nt
Filed under: Sorghum bicolor (sorghum)
Lineage: Eukaryota; Viridiplantae; Streptophyta; Magnoliopsida; Poales; Poaceae
Description: long non-coding RNA (SBIC_LNC005935)
Rfam family: tRNA (bases 254200-254271)
Source: RNAcentral